This 551870-nucleotide long non-coding RNA is filed under the name Triticum aestivum (bread wheat). Its description in RNAcentral is "long non-coding RNA (TAES_LNC011168)". The stretch from base 532231 to 532368 matches the Rfam family "Small nucleolar RNA Z247". Lineage: Eukaryota; Viridiplantae; Streptophyta; Magnoliopsida; Poales; Poaceae. The record is from RNAcentral.
GGUAGAAGAGAGAAUUUUGCAGUACGAGAUUGAAAUGAUUGCAUCUUUCGCCAUUGUCAUAGAAAUCACAGAUACAAUGUCAUCCUUGCUCGACGAAACUAACGGGCAGUCGGGCACUACAGAGCAUUACAUACAGGAUCUCAUCUUAGUCCAUGAGGAAUGGAUCUAAGCAACACUGGCUAGGCUAUGGGGGCGGCUACUCCUUGGUGGCGGCGACCUUCUUCUUGGGGGACUUGGCGGUGGUCUUCUUCUUGGGCGACUUGGCCUCCUUCUCGGCGGCGGCGGGGGACUUCUUUGGGAGCAGCACGGAGUUGAUGUUGGGGAUCACGCCGCCGUGGGCGAUGGUGACGCCGGCGAGCAGCCUUCCGAGCUCCUGGUCGUUGCGGACGGCGAGCAGCAGGUGUCGCGGGAUGAUCCGGGUCUUCUUGUUGUCCUUGGCCGCGUUGCCGGCAAGCUCCAGAACCUGCAUAUUCAGAAACCAAAUCUGUCAGUUACCCGUCGAGCACGAGAAGAACAUGGAAGAAGAACAAUGAAGGACGGGAAAGAUAGGUGCGUACCUCAGCGGCGAGGUACUCGAGGACGGCGGCGAGGUAGACGGGGGCGCCGGAGCCGACGCGCUGCGCGUAGCGGCCCUUCUUGAGGUAGCGCCCGAUGCGGCCGACGGGGAACUGGAGCCCGGCCUUGACGGACCUGGUCACCGCCUUCUUCCUGUCGCCUCCCUUCCUUCCGGCCAUCUUGCUUGCUGCUUCUCCGGCGGCGAGGACUCGCUAGGAGUGGUGUUGGCGGCGGUUGCGCUGGAUGGGAAUGCUCUGAGUUUGUGGGUUGGAACGCAGGCGUGGGCGCGGCUUUUAUUGGAGGCGGCCAGGGGGAGUGAUCCGCGUGACGUGCUGCGAGCGCCGUUGGAUCUGAGGGGAGCGUCGCGGGCAGGGGGAGUGAUCCGUGGGAGCCCCAGAUGAACCAAUCAGAGAGCAGAGAUUUGCAAUACAUAUUUGGAAUUGAAAAAUAACUCAAAAUCAAAAUCAGCCUACGUAUUGAAAUGGGCACGAAUUCUUUUUCUUUUGCUAUUAGAUGGGCUUCAAUUCUGAUUUUUUUUUGCUUGGUCGUGUAUAAAAUUGCUAAUUGGGAUUAAGUAGCCAUCAAUACCAAUUUUUAUUUAGAAUAGCUAAUUGUAUGUGCAUUGCAGUAGGGGCAAUACAUUUUUUUGUGGUUCACAUCAACUAUGUCUAUCUUUCACCCAUAUAAAGAUAUAGUAUGAAUUAUAUCAAAAAGAAAGUGUGACUUUUGAAGAACUCGUAAUGAAUAACGGUAUUAAGCAAAUCGGUGGUUAAAUACUCCGAUAACCAAUUUCUUCCUUAAGUAUACUUUAUCACUAGUAGGGAAAUGCUUAUAGGUAGGACAUCAGUAGUAGCGCUGGAAAAUAACAAGCGUUGCUGCUAAUUAGUAGUAGCGCUGCUCUCAGGCAGCGCUACAAGUAGUGAUUUAGCAGUAGCCCUGGAAAUGAAAAAAGCGAUACUGAUAAGUGGGACCCAACGAGCCUACCGAUGCUAGCUGUAGUAGCAGCGCGGCCCAAAACAAAGUGCUACUGCUAAGGUUUUACCAGCAACGCUUGCUUUGAAAACUCUGCUACUGCUAACGGGACCCACUUAGUAGUAGCGCUUCUCCUAACAAGUGCUACUACUGAGCACCAUAACAGUAGCGUUGUCUGGGAAAUAGCGCUACUGUUAGGCGUGGCUGGUGCCACCUUUUCACCCCCUUUCCCACUCCUCCCCCCUUUGCCCUCUCCCCCUCAUUUCCCCUCUCCCCUCUCUAAGUUAUUUCUCCACCAUUGUUGUCCUUCUUCUAUCUUCCUUCUAGCUCUCUUCUCUCCCCAUUAAUGCACCCCUCCAUCAUAAUUCUCCUCCAUAAAUGGCCUCUCUUUUCUAUCUACCUCAUUUAUUUGGCUCUCCCUCCUUCCAUGCAUAUAGAUCCAGCUAGCUCAUCUCUCUCCCUCUCCAUUAGUUAGCUAGAGUUGUCUCUCCUCCCAACAAACUAGAUCUAGCUAGCUAUUUAGCCAUCCACACUUUCGAUCGUCCCUAUAGGUAGCGAAGGCCUCAUCUAACCGUGUUCAAUAUCUCUCGGGAGAUAGGUGAGUAAAUAGUUGUGCAUUUCAAGAAUGGGAAUAUGUGUGUUUGAGAUAUGGAGGGAUUUGUGCGAGUGACAUGCCCCCGAGUUGCUUAUGUUUUGCCGAAAUGUCGAUUUAUUUCCGUUUCGGUGAAUUUUGAGCAAACUCGAUAUGUCGUAUUUUUAGGCAAGGUCAUGCCAAGUUUUUAUAUGACUUUGAUGCAUGCAUGCAUUUUGUUUAUAACCCUUUUGCUUGUUAUACCGUGCAAUUGGUCAUGAAGGUGAGUGGAUGGAAGGUGGAGCGAUACUUGCAAUCCGCGGUGAUGGACAUGUAUGCAAAUAAUCAGACUAGAAUUAGAUGUCCAUGUAUAAGAUGUAAAGAAGGAGUCCUUUUGGACCCUUUUGAUUGUGGCAGUUUGAAGGUGCGCCUGCUGAUGAAUGGUUUCAUGGAUGGCUAUACUCGGUGGAUAAGUGAAGAUAAUGAUGAGCACGUCCACAUGGCAGAGAAUAACGACAUGGGGCUAGAUGAAGAUAUGGCCGAUCGACACGAAGACGAUGGCGUCGGACAUGGCGGCGGGGAAGAGUCAGGACCUGGUGGCGGCGGAGAAGAUUCCGGACAAGGUGAAGAAGAGUACGGACAUGGCAGCGAAGAAGAGUCUGGACAUGGCGGAGAAGAGGCGGCGGACUACACGCCGCAGUCUUUAAUGCUACUAAGUUUAGUUGUGCAGGACUCUCAUGUUCGAGAGCUCCUUCGCAAGAGUACGACUAGCGAGAGAGCUACUUCUAGAGAGAAGGCCAAGCUGGCGCAACUUGAAGUAGACUCGAAGACUCCACUGUAUGACGGUUGUGAUCCUGAGGUGACCCGCUUGAGUUUCAUGCUCGAACUUCUAAAGAUGAAGGCCAAAAAGAAAUGGAUAGACAAAAGCCUCGAUGAGCAUUUGAAGUAUCUACAUAAUAAAGAUCUUCCCGUGGGGAACCUGUGUCCUACUAGUGUCGAGGAGGCCAAGAAAAUCGUUUUCCCUCUUUGUCUGCCACACAUUAGAUACCACACAUGCAUCAACGAUUGCAUCAUUUAUCAGGGGGAGCACGCGGAAAAAACCAGCUGUCCAGUGUUCAAUGCUUCUCGAUACAAGAAGGCAGGAAAGAAAGAUCCUUAGAAUGUUGUAUGGUACUUUUCGAUCACUCCCCGCCUGCAGCGGUAUUUCAUAGAUCCCAAGGAAGUAAAGCUCAUGCGCUGGCAUGCGGAGAGGACUAAGCCCGAUGAUGGAGAUGAUCCGAAGCUGAGACACCUCGCAGAUGCUAGCUAGUGGAGAGCAUUCAACGAUGAAUAUUGAUUUUUCGCAGAAGAUGCAAGGAACGUCGUGCUUGGUGUGAGUACCAAUGGCAUGAAUCCGUUUGGAAACCAGAACACCAACAACAGCACAUAGCCCGUUUUUGUAUGGAUGUUGAAAGUGCAACUAUCCCUAGGUGGUUUUGGUAAUUCAUAACAACAUAUAGCUCAUUGAGCUAAUGCUAUUCCAAGACUAUUGUUUCAAGAAAGCUCAAUGAAUGGCAUGGCAUGGAUGAUGAAAGUGGAUCCCUCAAAAUACUAAGGACAAAGGAUUGGCUCAAGCUCAAAAGCUCAAGACUCUUCAUUUUACAUUUUAGUGAUCCAAGAUCACAUUGAGUCUAUAGGAAAAGCCAAUACUAUCAAGAAGGGAUGAGGUGUUGCUUAAUGAGCCUUUUGCUUCAUGUGCUUAGUGAUAUGCUCCAAAACCCUCAACUACUUUCCCACAUCCACAAAUGACCUAAACCUAAAGCCAAAAUCGGUCACACCGAUUCUUUCUAUCCGGCGCCACCGAUUCCAAAAGUCAUAGCCACUGCCACAAACCCUAAGCAAAUCGGUCUUACCGAUAGGGAUCUCGGUCUCACCGAGAUGGGGUUGCAAUCUCUCUGUUUCCUUUCGUAACGUUUCGGUCUAACCGAACUGAGCGAUCGGUCCCACCGAGAUUGCAAUGUAAACUCUCUGUUUCCUUUUUGUAACAUUUCGGUCUCACCGAAAAGAGCAAAUCGGUCCCACCGAGUUUACCUGACCAACUCUCUGGAAAGCUUAUUACCAAAUCGGUCUCACCGAGUUUGUGUAAUCGGUCUCACCGAGAUUAUGUUAUGCCCUAACCCUAAUCGAAUUGGUCUCACCGAGAUGCAUGUCAGUCCCACCAAAAAUCACUAACGGUCACUAGGUUUACUAAAUCGGUCCGACCGAGUUUAACGAUUCGGUCCCACCGAGUUUGGUAAAUUGUGUGUAACGGUUAGAUUUUGUGUGGAGGCUAUAUAUACCCCUCCACCUUCUCUUCAUUCGUGGAGAGAGCCAUCAGACUAAACCUACACUUCCAACUUAACAUUUCUGAGAGAGAACCACCUACUCAUGCGUUGAGGCCAAGAUAUUCCAUUCCUACCAUAUGAAUCUUGAUCUCUAGCCUUCCCCAAGUUGCUUUCCACUCAAACCCUCUUCCCACCAGAUCCAAAUCCUAUGAGAGAGAGUUGAGUGUUGGGGAGACUAUCAUUUGAAGCAGAAGAGCAAGGAGUUCAUCAUCAACGCACCAUUUGUUACUUCUUGGAGAGUGGUGUCUCCUAGAUUGGCUAGGUGUCACUUGGGAGCCUCCGACAAGAUUGUGGAGUUGAACCAAGGAGUUUGUAAGGGCAAGGAGAUCGCCUACUUCAUGAAGAUCUACCGCUAGUGAGGCAAGUCCUUCGUGGGCGACGGCCAUGGUGGGAUAGACAAGGUUGCUACUUUGUGGACCCUUCGUGGGUGGAGCCCUGCGUGGACUCGCGCAGCCGUUACCCUUCGUGGGUUGAAGUCUCCAUCAACGUGGAUGUACGAUAGCACCACCUAUCGGAACCACGCCAAAAACAUCCGUGUCUCCAAUUGCGUUUGAAUCCUCCAAACCCUUCCCUUUACUUUCUUGCAAGUUGCAUGCUUUAAUUUCCGCUGCCUAUACACUCUUUGCAUGCUUGCUUGAAUUGUGUGAUGAUUGCUUGACUUGUCCUAAAAUAGCUAAAAUCUGCCAAACUCUAAAAUUGGGAAAAGGUUAAGUUUUUAUUGGUCAAGUAGUCUAAUCACCCCCCCCCUCUAGACAUACUUCAAGGUCCUACAAGUGGUAUCAGAGCUUUGGUCUCCAUUUGCUUUGAUUUCCAUAGCUUUUGGUGGUCAUAGCCUUGGUUUCACAACCUAGGAGAGUAUGGCGUCUAGCGAGGGAAAUUAUCACCGUAGAGGUCCUUACUUUGAUGGUACUAAUUUUGCUAGUUGGAAGCAUAAGAUGAAAAUGCAUAUUCUUGGAGAUAACCCCGCCGUUUGGGCAAUUAUUUGUAUUGGCUUGCAAGGUGAAUUCUUUGAUGGGAGAGAACCGAACCGUGAAGCAAAUGCGGAAGAAUUGAAGAUGCUGCAAUACAACGCUCAAGCAUGUGAUAUCAUCUUCAACGGGUUGUGCCCCGAAGAGUUCAAUAAAAUCAGUCGUCUUGAGAAUGCAAAGGAAAUUUGGGAUACUUUGAUUGAUAUGCACGAAGGUACCGAGUCCGUCAAGGAAUCCAAGUUGGAUGUGCUCCAAAGUCAGCUUGACAAGUUCAAAAUGAAGGAUGGUGAAGGUGUCACUGAAAUGUACUCUAGGCUUGCUCUUAUCACAAAUGAGAUUGCCGGCUUAGGGAGUGAAGAGAUGACCGACAGAUUCAUCAUCAAGAAGAUCCUAAGAGCAUUGGAUGGAAAGUAUGAUACAGUGUGCACAUUGAUCCAAAUGAUGCCAAACUACAAAGAUCUCAAGCCAAUGGAAGUCAUUGGAAGAAUUGUUGCUCAUGAGAUGUCACUCAAGGACAAGGAGGAACUUCACAACAAGUCAAGUGGUGCUUACAAAGCCUCAAGUGAAGCCCCCACAUCAUCAAGUGAGAAACAAACCUUCAAUGAAUAAUUGAACUUAAUGGUGAAGAACUUCAACAAAUUCUACAAGAGUAGAAGCAAAGAAAGAAGCUCCAAGUCAAGGUCUUAUCAUGACAAGAGAUCUUCUAGUCGAGAGCGCAAUUGCUACAAUUGUGGGAAGCCUGGACACUACUCCAAUGAGUGUACGGCACCCUACAAAAGAAGAGAAGAUUCUCCAAAAAGAAGAAGCAAAAGAGAAGAAUCACCACCAAUAGAGAGGAGGAGUAGAGAUGAUCGUUAUGAACGAAAACCCUCACGGAGAAGCAAGGAUUCGGAAAGGAAGGACAAGUCAUCAAGGAGCUACACAAAACGAAGACAUCAAGCUCAUGUUGGUGAAUGGGUAUCCGGCUCCGACUCCGACAAUCACUCCGAGAGAAGCUAUCACUCCGACUCCGAACAUAUUCAAGAUGAAGGUGUUGCCGGUCUAGCACUUGUGUCAACCAACUCCUACGACAUAUUUGAUUCACCAAACGAAGGAAUUGGAAGAUGCUUCAUGGCCAAAGGUCCAAAGGUAACACAUCCCGAGUAUGUUGAUUUUAAUAGUGAUGAAGAUGACUUGCUUGUGGAUGAUGAUUUACUUGUUGACAACUCUAGUGAUGAAUACUAUGAUGAAACGUCAAUUAAUCAUGCUAAUCAAACAAAUGACAAUGAUAAGGAGAAAAUUGAGCUUCUAACUAAAGAACUAAACACUCUUAAGUUGGCUCAUGGAACUAUCUUCGAAGAUCAUCGAGAACUUUUAAGGGCUCAUGAGAAGUUAUGCUUUGAAAAGCUCAAUCUUGAGCAAGAUCAUGAGUUCUUAAAGGUAAUCAAUGAUGAUAUCCGCAAGAAAAGUUCUUCUUACAUUGCCAAGCGUUUACUCUUAUCUACUUACGUGCCUCAAGUCAAGUCUAGUAACAAGUACAAGAAAGAUACUUCCUCUAGUAGUAACAAUAAUAAUGUCAAAUUCAAUGUUGUUGCUUCUAGUAGUUCUCUUGAUUCCACUAAUGAUUCUCUUAGCCAAGUUACACUUGAGCAAGAAAAUAGUUUAUUGAAGGGAAUUAUAGAGAAAGUUGUUUACAAGAGCCUUGCCGGGAGUAAGCAAUUCGAGGAAAUUGUACACAAGCAAGGAAGACACCGGAAGAAUCAAGGUGUUGGUUUUGAACGAAAGUUCAAUGCCAAUGGAGUUGAGUGGGAAGAAGAUCAAUACCCCAAGACAAAGUUUGUUCCUCAACAAGUGAAGUAUGAUCCUACUUCCUUCAAGGGGACACAAGCUCAAGAUGAUCUUCCACCACAAGACCACAAGAACAAAGGCAAGGACAAGCUUCAAGAAGAGAUUGAUGCAUUUGAAGAAGCACCUAAGGUCUCGGUCAAGUGGAUUUCCCAAGACUACGUCGAGUUCUACUUCAUCAAGUACAACUACAACUCCAAGGAUUCCCAUAAAGAUGAUGUGGAUCCCGAAGAAGAAGAACUAGAGAGUUCUUGAGUGUGACUCCGCCAACAUUCUUCACUCAUAUCAUUUUGGCAAGAACAAGUGCAAUCAACUUUCACAUCUUGCACUAGUUCAAGGAGUCACAAACCCUCAUGUUGGUAAGGCAAGGGACAAGGUAACCUAAUGUUUUCAUGGACAUCAUAUUGUGUGUGCAUCACUCUAUGUCUAUGGAUAUUCUUGUUUGUUCAUUGUGGGACUAAUCCAUGCAGGCAAGUUGAAAGUGCAAAUCACUCCAAAGGAUUGCUCCAAAUGAUCUACAUCAACAUUGAGCAUCUACAUCUUCAACACCUACAUGAAGUCAUCAUCAACAAAACCCAAGGUUAGUUUAUCCCUCUAAGGGGGGAUCUCACAUCUAGGGGGAGCUUAACUCUAAGAAUUGAGUCAAAGCAACUCUAAUGGUGUGAACACAUUAAUGCAUUAUGUAAAAGUGGUAACCCCACUUGAGCUUAAACGAUGAGUAUGACCUAUGAUCAAAUGUUCUCAUUUGACUCCUAAGUCAAUAUACUCAUAUAUAGAUGACCUAGUCAUCGCCGAUUGUUUGAUAGAUGCUAGAAUUGGCUGUGCAUGCUUUGCCACAUAUUUCAUUUGCCAUCUUAGUGUGUGAGCAUGUUGGUGCAUAUUUUACUCAUUCAAGGACAUCCACUUGUUGUUUUGAUUGUUUGGUUCUUUCUUCUUUUGGCCAAAUGGAUGGACAAGAAUGCCUAAGAACCUUCUUUAGCUAUCUAUGCUUUUCUCGUCUCAAACUCUAUUCGUGCUACAUCACAAAAUUUGAUCAAGUCAGAUUCGAACCACUCUGUGUGAGGAGCACUCGGAGUCCCUAAUUCGUCAUAGACUUAAACUUCCAAAACCUCUUUGUGAUUCUCGGUCUGACCGAUUCCUCCAUUUUGGUCCUACCGAGAUCAUCAAGUUGAUCUGAGUUUUCAAUCUCGGUGCAACCGAUUUGAACUUUUCGGUCUCACCGAUUUGCUGUAACUGAACACAGUUAUGCAUCUCGGUGCCACCGAGUUGUUCCACUCGGUCACACCGACAGGGUCGGGCUAUAUAUAGACACGGGCAAAAUUUUGGAAAUUUCUCUGAAACCCUUCGCCCGCGCAACAGCUCGCUCUGCCAUCGUGGUCUCCGGAUCGUCUCCUCGUCGCCAGCAGCCUCCUGUCGCUGGUUUCCGCCGCCGUCAACGGAUUUCGUCCCUGCCGUUGCCGCCGUAGCAAGUCCACUGCCAAGUUAGGGUAUGGACUUCAUCUUUGUGCUAUCCACGUCUGAUUCCUAGCACAUUGUUUUCAUAUUGAAUCUUGCCAUGAUUGAAACUCUUGUAUCCAGCCAAAGUAGUUCAUAGAUUAGAUGUGAUUCAAAUUUUUAGGGUUAGGUUUCCGCCGAAACCAUCUCGGACCCACCGAGUUGAAAAACUCGGUCUCACCGAUUUGGCUUAUGCCAUUGCACUAGUGACUCUCGGUCUGACCGAGAAUUACUAGUCAGUGCAACCGAUUUGAGGAUUCUGUGAAACCCUAGCAGUCUCGGUACCACCGAACUGAAACUCAGUCCAACCGAGAUCAUCAGUUUAGGUUCCAAAACUGCUUCGGUAUCACUGAGUUUGAAAAUUGGUGGAUCCCGAAUGCUUUCUGUGGAAAACUAAGACUGAACUUUUGAGUCAUUCUUUUGCAAAAACCUUUGCAUUUUGUGAUGCUCAUCUUUUCUAUCUCAUCUAUAACUCUUCACAGGGUCAGCAGUCAGCUUUUGCAGUAUGUCUGAUCAAAGUGACAGCCAGAACAGGGCAGAAGAGCAGAUGGACUUGAGUGAGGGCACUAGUCCCUCCAGUACUUCAGAUGAAGGGAGAAGAAGUACUCCUAGCAAUUUGCCUAAGGCUGCAACUAGGCAAAGGAGGAAAAGAACUUCAGAUUCAGAGGAUGAGGACUACAAAGUUGAGGAAGAUGAGGCUACUUCCAAGAAAGUGGUGCUCAAGAAGGAAUAUGGCUCAGCAAAGGAUAUAAAGCCAGGCAUGAAGAUUAAAAGGCCUGCAAGAAGGCAACCUAUGCCCAAGGCCAGAGCAGCAACUCAACUACCUGAAAAUCCUGAUCCCAAAGAGCCAGCUGAUGAAAGCAAGAAGAGGAAGGAAAGGGUCAAGAAGACCAUGGCUAGAGUUGUUGGGCAACCUUCCAUGAUGGAAGAGGAAGAGCCUGCUGCACCAGCACCAAAGGCACCUAAGCUUAUGGGAGAUGCAAUCAGAUUAGGGGCUGCAACAUCUAAGCCCAAGGAAGCACCCAAAGCUGCCCCCAAGGCCAAGUCUGCACCAAAGAGGAAUACCAGGAGUAUUCCAGCUGCUGAGAAGAACAAGGCCCCAGUGCCUGAGGUUGCUGAGGAGGAAGAUGAAGAAGGACAGGUUCUAAGGAAGCUCAAGCCAAAGAUACCAGACCACAAUGAUGCCCAUCCUGUGGCUGAGGACAUGAGAAUCAGGAAGGAUUCAGGGCUGAGACUAUGGAGGAUGGCAGAUCCAUAUGCCACAAGGAGAAGAACUACUGUUGAUUACAAGUUCCACACAAAGGAACAACAGGACUUCUAUGAAACAAUUCUGUUGGACAAGAAGCCCAUAGUCUGUGACAUGAGAUGGGUUGACUGGAAAUUCAUCAAGGAAAAUGAACAACACUAUCCUGGAGUGCAAGACAUCUUUGUUGCUUGUGGAGUUGCAGAUUUUGUUGGGCAAAAGCUCACAAAUUGGAAUGAUGAGCUUAUCAUGCAGUUCUACUCCACAGCACACUUUUACCCAGAUGGAAGAAUUGUUUGGAUGUCUGAAGGUACAAGGUACCAGUCCACUGUAGAAGAAUGGGCAAGUCUGAUAAAUGCCCCAAAGGAGAAUGAGGAUGACCUAGACAUUUAUGCCAAGAAGAAGAUGGGUCACAAUUCAAUGGCACACAUGUACAAGGAGAUCCCAGACAAAGCCCUAGAGACUUUCACUUUUGGAUCAGUCUAUUUUCUGUUGUCAGGGCUGCCAACCAUAAAUUGGAUUCUGAGGCACACCUUGUUGCCCAAGUCUGGUGACCAUAACAUGAUCAGAGGGCAUGCCAUCAACAUGUUGCAUGUGUUUGAUGUGGCACAAAAGUUCAAAGUCAUGAGCCUUAUAGUUGAAACAAUCAAGAGGACUGCAGCAGAUCAGAAGAGGAGAUGUGGAUAUGCACCUCAGAUUCAAGAAUUGAUAAACUCAAAGAUGGGCACAGGAAAAUAUCUAUUGGAUAGGGAACAUUUUCCACUCUAUCCAGACUUUGAGGACAAUGAGGUUGUCAUGAAUGAGGAUGAUCCAUCAUCAGUUCAAGCUCAGGAGAAGAAGGAGAAGGCAAAGAGGGAGAAGGCUGCCAAGAUGCCAACUCAAGAGGAGGCAUCUGAAUAUUUCUUGAAAACCAAACAGGAGUAGCUUGGUUACUUGAUAGCAUCAUCUCUGAGGAUUGAGAAGGGGUUGGCCACCAUAACUCAAAACUAGGAGAGCCUGGAAAGAAUCAUGGAACAAAAAUUCUAUGAUCUAGAUGUCAAGGUAACUGAGAUUCAGUCAGUUGUGGAGCAGCUGCAGGAUGACAUGCAGGAGAGGAAGGGCAAGACUACCACCAAUGUGUUUGCCAAAGUGCCCAGAGCCCAGAGGUCAGUUGCAGUGCUAGUGACAGACACUAGAGCAACAUCUUCAGCACCAGCUACUGCCCCUUCAGCUCCAGUGCAACCAGCUUCAGCAUCAACUCCAGCACCCUCUACAUCAACUGAAGCCUCCGUCCUUGGAGUUAUCAGGACACCACCACCAGAAGAUCAAGCCUGAGAGUCGAUCUAGCACUAUGCAUUUUCUAUGAACUUUUUGGUAAUUUGUUGCCAAAGGGGGAGAAAAAUGUAUAGAUCAUAGGCUUCGAGAGAGAGAGAGAGAGUGUGUUGCUUUUGUUCUCUCUUGAUUUAUUUGGUGUUUUUCAAUCUUUGAUUGCUUUUGGUUGAGAUACUAUGCUUGUGAGACAUUGAUGCUCAUGUGUUUGAUCAUAAGCUACACUUAUGCAUGUUUGAUGAUAUUAUCCUAUCUAUCUUUUGUGAUCACUCGCUAUGCUUGGUGAUGAGUGCAUAUAUUCAUUGUUUAUUAUUUUGAGCGCUCCACCAAGAUGUAUGUGACAUGGAAGAGUAACCCAUGAGCCUAAUUCAUUGUGCAUUUGCAGUCCAAAGCAAAUCUAAAACUAUGCACAAAUUUAGGGGAAGCUCUUGCUUAUCACAUACUUCUAAAAGUGACGAUGUUAUUUAAAUUUUAUUAUCAUUUGUCGAAGCUUUGAUCUAUAUGUUGUCAUCAAUUACCAAAAAGGGGGAGAUUGAAAGUGCAACUAUCCCUAGGUGGUUUUGGUAAUUCAUAACAACAUAUAGCUCAUUGAGCUAAUGCUAUUCCAAGACUAUUGUUUUAGGAAAGCUCAAUGAAUGGCAUGGCAUGGAUGAUGAAAGUGGAUCCCUCAAAAUACUAAGGACAAAGGAUUGGCUCAAGCUCAAAAGCUCAAGACUCUUCAUUUUACAUUUUAGUGAUCCAAGAUCACAUUGAGUCUAUAGGAAAAGCCAAUACUAUCAAGAAGGGAUGAGGUGUUGCUUAAUGAGCCUUUUGCUUCAUGUGCUUAGUGAUAUGCUCCAAAACCCUCAACUACUUUCCCACAUCCACAAAUGACCUAAACCUAAAGCCAAAAUCGGUCACACCGAUUCUUUCUAUCCGGCGCCACCGAUUCCAAAAGUCAUAGCCACUGCCACAAACCCUAAGCAAAUCGGUCUUACCGAUAGGGAUCUCGGUCUCACCGAGAUGGGCUUGCAAUCUCUCUGUUUCCCUUCGUAACGUUUCGGUCUAACUGAAGUGAGCGAUCGGUCCCACCGAGAUUGCAAUGUAAACUCUCUGUUUCCUUUUUGUAACAUUUCGGUCUCACCGAAAAGAGCAAAUCGGUCCCACCGAGUUUACCUGACCAACUCUCUGGAAAGCUUAUUACCAAAUCGGUCUCACCGAGUUUGUGUAAUCGGUCUCACCGAGAUUACGUUAUGCCCUAACCCUAACCGAAUCGGUCUCACCGAGAUGCAUGUCAGUCCCACCAAAAAUCACUAACGGUCACUAGGUUUACUAAAUCGGUCCAACCGAGUUUAACGAUUCGGUCCCACCGAGUUUGGUAAAUUGUGUGUAACGUUUAGAUUUUGUGUGGAGGCUAUAUAUACCCCUCCACCUCCUCUUCAUUCGUGGAGAGAGCCAUUAAACUAAACCUACAUUUCCAACUUACCAUUUCUGAGAGAGAACCACCUACUCAUGUGUUGAGGCCAAGAUAUUCCAUUCCUACCAUAUGAAUCUUGACCACUAGCCUUCCCCAAGGUGCUUUCCACUCAAACACUCUUUCCACCAGAUCCAAAUCCUAUGAGAGAGAGUUGAGUGUUGGGGAGACUAUCAUUUGAAGCAGAAGAGCAAGGAGUUCAUCAUCAACGCACCAUUUGUUACUUCUUGGAGAGUGGUGUCUCCUAGAUUGGCUAGGUGUCACUUGGGAGCCUCCGACAAGAUUGUGGAGUUAAACCAAGGAGUUUGUAAGGGCAAGGAGAUCGCCUACUUCGUGAAGAUCUACCACUAGUGAGGCAAGUCCUUCGUGGGCGACGGCCAUGGUGGGAUAGACAAGGUUGCUACUUCGUGGACCCUUCGUGGGUGGAGCCCUCCGUGGACUCGCGCAGCCGUUACCCUUCGUGGGUUGAAGUCUCCAUCAACGUGGAUGUACGAUAGCACCACCUAUCGGAACCACGCCAAAAACAUCCGUGUCUCCAAUUGCGUUUGAAUCCUCCAAACCCUUCCCUUUACUUUCUUGCAAGUUGCAUGAUUUAAUUUCCGCUGCCUAUACACUCUUUGCAUGCUUGCUUGAAUUGUGUGAUGAUUGCUUGACUUGUCCUAAAAUAGCUAAAAUUUGCCAAACUCUAAAAUUGGGAAAAAGGUUAAGUUUUUAUUGGUCAAGUAGUCUAAUCACCCCCACCUCUAGACAUACUUCAAGGUCCUAUAGAUGUACAACCUCCCCCCAUGGAAGUGCAUGAAGACAAUGUACAUACACAUGAGCAUGCUGAUUCAAGGGCCGAAACAACCGGGAAAUAAUAUUAAUCUGUAUAUGGGGCUUCUGAAAGAGGAGCUAGACACGUUAUGGAAAACACUGGCAUGGACAUGGGACGCCAGCAAAGGAGAGUAUUUCUAUAUGAGAUCCGCACUGAUGACGAUAGUGCACGACUAUCUCAGUUACGGGUACUCCUUAGGCCAGGUGUGCCACGGAUACUGCGGAUGCAUGAGGUGCAUGGAUGAUACAAUGUCUCAGUAGCUUACAUCAACAAAAUAUGGCAGGUCUGGGAAAAACGUGUACAUGGGGCAUCGUAGAUGGCUCGAGAAGGAUGACCGGUGGAGAAAACAUGGAGAUCUAUUCAAUGGUUUGGCUGAGCAUCGAGGACCUCCAUGUAAGAGGAGCAGCGCUGGAAUCAACGAGCUGUCGAAAAACUGGGAACAGUGCCCCACGCCAGGAAAGAUGAAAAAGGCAUCGAGCUGCUGCUGAAGGUAUGGAAAACAAGGUAUGUUUUUCGGGACUGAUGUCUGCUAGAACUACGUCGGUAUUUCCCCAAAGAGGAAUGGAUGAUGCAGUAUAGCGACGGUAGGUAUUUCCCUCGGUGAUGAGACCAAGGUUAUUGAACCAGUACGAGAACCUCCUCACACCACGUAAACAACACCUGCACACAAAUAACAAAUACUCGCAACCCGACGUGUUAAAGGGGUUGUCAAUCCCUUCCAGCUACGACGCCUCAAGUAGGCAAAUAACGUGAGGUAAAAAGUGGUAGAUAGAAUAAAUAGAUCGCGGAACAAAUAAAUUGCAGCAAGGUAUUUUUGUAUUUUUAGUUUAAUAGAUCUGAAAAUAAAUGCAAGAGAAAAUAGAUCGCAAAGGCAAAUAUGAUGAAAAGAGACCCGGGGGCCGUAGAUUUCACUAGUGGUUUCUAUCGAGAAAAAUAGCAAACGGUGGGAAAACAAUUGCUGUUGGGCAAUUGAUAGAACUUCAAAUAAUCAUGACGAUAUCCAUGAAAUGAUCAUUAUAUAGGCAUCAUGUCCAGGAUUAGUAGACCGACUCCUGCCUGCAUCUACUACUAUUACUCCACACAUCGACCGCUAUCCAGCAUGCAUAUAGUGUAUUAAGUUCAUGAGAAAACGGAGUAAUGCAAUAAGAACGAUGACAUGAUGUAGACGAGAUCCGUUUAUCUAUUGCAAUAGACAUAGAUCCCAUCUUGUUAUCCUUAGUAGCAACGAUACAUACGUGUCGGUUCCCCUUCUGUCACUGGGAUCAAGCACCGUAAGAUCGAACCCACAGCAAAGCACCUAUUCCCAUUGCAAGAUAAAUAGAUCAAGUUGGCCAAACAAAACCCAAAUAUCAGAGAAGAAAUACGGGGCUAUAAGCAAUCAUGCAUAUAAGAGAUCAAAGAAGACUCAAAUAACUUUCAUGGAUAAAAACAUAGAUUUGAUCAUAAACUCAAAGUUCAUCGGAUCCCAACAGACACACCGCCAAAAGACUUACAUCAUAUGGAUAUCCAAGAGACCAUUGUAUUGAUAAUCAAGAGAGAGAGAGGAAGCCAUCUAGCUACUAACUACGGACCUGUAGGUCUACAAAGAACUACUCACGUAUCAUAGGAGAGGCACCAAUGGAAGUGGUGAACCCCUCCAUGACGGUGUCUAGAUUGGAAUUGGUGGUUCUGGACUCUGCGGCGGCUGGAUCAAUAUUUCGUCGACUCCCUAGGGUUUCUAGAAUAUUGUGGUAUUUAUAGAGCAAAGAGGCGGUUCGAAGGCACCCGAGGUGGGCACAACCCACCAGGGCACGUCUGGGCCUCCUGGCGCGCCCUGGUGGGUGCUGCUCCCCUCGAGUAGCCCCUCAGGUGCUUCCUUGGGCCAUUGGCUUUCUUCUGGCCCAAAAAAAUUCCUCCAGGAGUUGCAUUGCAUUUGGACUCAAUUUGAUAUUGAUUUUCUGUGAUGUAAAAAACAUGCAGAAAACAGCAACUGGCACUGGGCACUAUGUCAAUAGGUUAGUACCAGAAAAUGAUAUAAAAUGACUAUAAAAUGAUUGUAAAACAUCCCAGAAUGAUAAUAUAACAACAUGGAACUAUCAAAAACUAUAGAUACGUUGGAGACGUAUCAGCAUCCCCAUGCUUAAUUCUUGCUCGUCCUCGAGUAGAUAAAUGAUAAAAACAGAAUUUUUGAUGUGGAAUGUUGCCUAACAUGUUCAUCACAUUCUUUUCUUUAUAGCAUGGACAUAUGGACUUUUAUAUGAUUCAAAGCAAUAGUCUAGUUUUGACAUGAAGACUUUAAUACUCAAGCAUACCAACAAGCAACCAUGUCUUCCAAAAUAUCAACACUAAACCAAGUUAUCCCUAGCCCAUCAUGCUCAAUCAUUGAUCCAUUCAUGAAACACACUCGAAUAUUAGCUACACCCAAUGCUCAAAUAUGAUCAUAGUGCCCCUUAAUUGGUGCUUUAUAAGAGAAGAUGGAGACUCACAUUCAAUAUAAAAUUUGCAUAAGUAAAAGAAAGGCCCUUUGCGGAGGGAAGUAGUGAUGUGUAGAGGUGCCAGAGCUCAAAGCCUAAAUUGAGAGAUAAAAUUAUUUUUGAGAGGCAUACUUUUCCUACCAACAAAAACGACUUGGAGCAUCCCAACACUUUCAAUGCUAGAUACAUCAUAGGCGAUUCCCAAAUAGAAAAUAAAGUUUAUUUCUUGCUUGAUAAGAAGCCCAUAGUGUGUGACAUGAGAUGGGUGUACCGGGAGUACAUCAAGAAGAAUGAAGAGCACUUCCCAGGUGUAUAUGACAGCUUCAAAGCAUGUGGAGUUGAUACAUUUGUUGCCCAGAAGCUUACCAAGUGGAAUGAUGAGCUGAUCAUGCAAUUCUAUUCAACUGCUCAUUUCUAUCCAGAUGGCAAAAUUGUCUGGAUGUCAGAAGGUACAAGGUACCAAUCCUCUGUGGAAGAAUGGGCUCAGUUGAUCAAUGCCCCAGAAGAAAAUGAGGAUGACUUGGAUGUCUAUGCCAAUAAGAAGAAGGAUCACAACUCAAUGGCCAGCAUGUACAGAGAGAUCCCAGAUGAUGCUUUGGAGACUCAUAAGUUUGGAUCUGUCCACUUCUUGUUGUCUGGUUUGUCUACCAUAAACUGGAUCCUAAGGCACACAUUGCUACCCAAGUCAGGAGAUCACAAGAUGACCAGAGGACACUCCAUCAACUUGCUACAUAUAUUUGAUGUUCCUCAAAAGUUCAAGGUGAGGAGUAUGAUUAUGGAAACAAUCAAGAGGACUGCAGCUGAUCAGAAGAGAUCUUGUGGGUAUGCCCCACAUAUUCAGGAGCUCAUCAACUCAAAGAUGGUCACAGGCACAUAUUUGUUGGACAAGGAGCACUUACCCCUCAAGCCAGACUUUGAGGACAACAUUGUUGUUAUGAAUAAAGAAGAUCCAUCAUCUGUGCAAGCACAUGAGAAGAGAGAGAAAGGCAAGGGCAGAGAAAGCUGCAAAGAUGCCAACUGCUGAAGAAGCAUCUCAGGUGUUCUUGAAGAGCAAGCAAGACCAGCUUGGAUAUCUAUUGCCUCCACCCUGAGGAUUGAGAAGGGCUUGGCCACCCUGACUCAAAACCAGGAGAGCUUGGAGAGGAUCAUUGAGUAGAAAUUCUAUGAUCUUGGCGUCAAGGUAACUGAGAUCCAGUCAGUAGUUGAGCAACUUCAGGAGGAAGUGGAGGAGAAGAAGGGCAAGUCUACUCCAGAAGCUUUUGCUAGAGUGCCCAGAGGAUAGAGAUCUGCUGUAGUGCCAGUCACAAAUACUAGAGCUACAUCAUCUGCACCAGCUGCUACAGCUCCAGUGCCACCUCCAGCAGCCACUCCACCAGCUCCAACUACAUCUACAUACGCUUUCGUCCUUGGAGUCAUCUCUACACCACCUCAUGAAGACCAAGCCUGAGAGUCGUUUAGCACUAUGCAUGUUUGAACUUUUUGGUAACUUGUUACCAAAGGGGGAGAAAAUGUAUAGAUCAUAGGCUUCGAGAGAGAGUGUUGCUUUUUAUCUCUCUUGUUUUGGUUGAACUUCUUAUUUGUGUGCUUGUGAGCUACUUGUUUACUUGUUCGAUCAUGUGUUUGAUCGUAUGGUACACUUAAUGCUUGUUGGAUGAUAUUAUCUCUUAUAUCCUUAUAUGAUCAUUCACUUUCUUGGUGAUGAGUGCACGCUUUUUAACUUCUAUCAUUUUGAGCGCUCCACCAAGAUGUAUAUGACAUGAAAGAGUAACCCAUGAUCCUAACACAUUGUGCAUUUGCAGUCCAAAGCAAAUUUUAAAUAAUGCACAAAUUUAGGGGGAGCUCUUGCUUAUCACAUACUUCUCAAAGCGAUGAUGUUUUUCAAUCUUAUUAUUAUUUGCCGAAGCUUUUAUCUAUAUGUUGUCAUCAAUUACCAAAAAGGGGGAGAUUGAAAGUGCAACUAUCCCUGGGUGGUUUUGGUAAUUCCUAACAACAUAUAGCUCAUUGAGCUAAUGCUAUUUCAAGACAAAUAUUUCAGGAAAGCUCAAUGUUUGGCAUGGCAUGGAUGAGAAACAUGGACCCCUCAAAAUGCUAAGGACAAAAGGAUUGGCUCAAGCUCAAAGCACAAGACUCUACAUUUUACUUUUAGUGAUCCAAGAUCACAUUGAGUCCAUAGGAAAUGCCAAUACUAUCAAGAGGGGAUGAGGUGUUGCUUAAUGAGUUUCUUGCUCAAAGUGCUUAGUGGUAUGCUCCAAAAACCCUCAAUUACUUUCUCACAUCCACAUUUGUCCCAAAACAAAAGUCAAACUCGGCCCCACCAAAACUUUCUAUCCGACGUCACCGAGUUCACUUGACAUAGCCAUUGCCACAAACCCUAGUCUUUCCGUGUCACCGAUAGGGAUCUCGAUCUCACCGAGAUGGGAUUGUAAUCUCUCUGUUUCCCUUCGUAACGUUUCGGUCCAACCGAGAUGAGUGAUUGGUCCCACUAAGAUUGCAAUGCAAACUCUCUAUUUCCCUUUCAUAACGUUUCGGUCCAACCGAGAUGAGCGAAUCAGUCCCACCGAGUUUGCCUGACCAACUCUCUAUUUGUCUAUUACCAAAAUCAGUCCCACUGAGUUUGUGAAAUCGGUCUCAACGAGAUUACGUUAUGCCCUAAGCCUAACGAUACUCAAUAGAAUUGGAUCCAUUCCAAAUAGCGAGAAUUAGGAUUCUUGAUCCCUCUCAAUCUCUCUUUCAAUUCAAGGAUCCAGAAGGUGUUUUCAUAGUCAUCUCUGAAUAUUUGCCAUCUCGGAAUAUUUUCGAUGAUCUCCCUCCCCAAUCUGAUAUUAUAGUUCCACUAUAGAUAGAAAUUCCCUUAUGAUCUAAUUCCGAGCGGUGUGUUUUCUACGAUCGCUCCAUGAAUAGUGCAUAGCAGAGCCACACCUAAUACUCCGGUAACUCCCAUCAUAUGAAAUGGGUUCAACGUCCAAUUAUGAAAUCCUUGGCGGUCCCACCGAGUUGACAUGUCUGUCCCACCGAAAUGCCUAACGAUCACAUUAUGAACUAAAUCGGUCUGACCGAGUUUCACGAUUCGGUCCCAUCGAGUUUGGUAAGUUGUGUGUAAUGGUUAGAUUUUGUGUGGAGGCUAUAUAUACCCCUGCACCCACUCUUCAUUCGUGGAGAGAGCCAUCAGAACAUGCCUACACUCCCAACAUACAUUUUCCGAGAGAGAACCACCUACACUUGUGUUGAGGUCAAGAUAUUCCAUUCCUACCACAUAAAUCUUGAUCUCUAGCCUUCCCCAAGUUGCUUUCCACUCAAAUCUUCUUUCCACCAAAUCCAAAUCCUGUGAGAGAGAGUUGAGUGUUGGGGAGACUAUCAUUUGAAGCACAAGAGCAAGGAGUUCAUCAUCAACAGACCAUUUGUUACUUCUUGGAGAGUGGUGUCUCCUAGAUUGGCUAGGUGUCACUUGGGAGCCUCCGUCAAGAUUGUGGAGUUGAACCAAUGAGUUUGUAAGGGCAAGGAGAUUGCCUACUUCAUGAAGAUCUACCCUAGUGAGGCAAGUCCUUCGUGGGCGACGACCAUGGUGGGAUAGACAAGGUUGCUUCUUCAUGGACCCUUCAUGGGUGGAGCCCUCUGUGGACUCGCGCAACCAUUACCCUUCAUGGGUUGAAGUUUCCAUCAACGUGGAUGUACGAUAGCACCACCUAUCGGAACCACGACAAAAAACAUCCGUGUCUCCUAUUGUGUUUGCUUCCUCAAACUCCUCCCCUUUACCUUCAUAUGCAAUUAUUUUACAUUCCGCUGCUAUACUCUUAGAAUUGCAUGUGUAGGUUGAUUGCUUGACUUGUGCUAAGUUGCUAAAAUCUGCCAAGAACUAAAAUUGGGAAAAGGCUAGAUUUUUAUUUGGUCAAGUAGUCUAAUCACCCCCCUCUAGACAUACUUUCGAUCCUACAAGCGGCGCCGGAAUCAAUGAGCUGUUGAAAAACUGGGAACAGUGCCCCGCGCCGGGAAAGAUGAAAAAGGCGUCGAGCCGCUGCUGAAGGUAUGGAAAACGAGGUAUGUUUUCCGGGACUGAUGUCUGCUAGAACUACGUCGGUAUUUCCCCAAAGAGGAAGGGAUGAUGCAGUAUAGCGACGGUAGGUAUUUCCCUCAGUGACAAGUCCAAGGUUAUCGAACCAGUACGAGAACCUCCUCACACCACGUAAACAACACCUACACACAAAUAACAAAUACUCACAACCCGACGUGUUAAAGGGGUUGUCAAUCCCUUCCGGCUACGACGCCUCAAGUAGGCAAAUAACAUGAGGUAAAAAGUGUUAGAUAGAAUAAAUAUAUUGCGAAACAAAUAAAUUACAGCAAGGUAUUUUUGUAUUUUUGGUUUAAUAGAUCUAAAAAUAAAUGCAAGAGAAAAUAGAUCGCAAAGGCAAAUAUGAUGAAAAGAGACCCAGGGGCCGUAGGUUUCACUAGUGGCUUCUCUCAAGAAAAAUAGCAAACGGUGGGAAAACAAUUACUGUUGGGCAAUUGAUAGAAUUUCAAAUAAUCAUGACGAUAUCCCUGCAAUGAUCAUUAUAUAGGCAUCACGUCCAAGAUUAGUAGACCGACUCCUGCGUGCAUCUACUACUAUUACUCCACACAUCGACCGCUAUCCAGCAUGCAUCUAGUGUAUUAAGUUCAUGAGAAAACGGAGUAAUGCAAUAAGAACGAUGACAUGAUGUAGACGAGAUCGGUUUAUCUAUUGUGGCAGAUAUAGAUCUCAUCUUGUUAUCCUUAGUAGCAACGAUAAAUACGUGUCGGUUCCCCUUCUGUCACUGGGAUCAAGCACCAUAAGAUCGAACCCACUACAAAGCACCUCUUCCCAUUGCAAGAUAAAUAGAUCAAGUUGGCCAAACAAAACCCUAAUAUUGGAGAAGAAAUAUGAGGCUAUAAGCAAUCAUGCAUAUAAGAGAUCAAACAAGACUCAAAUAACUUUCAUGGAUAAAAACGUAGAUCUAAGCAUAUACUCAAAGUUCAUUGGAUCCCAACAAACGCACCGCCAAAAGAAUUACAUCAUAUGGAUCUCCAAGAGACCAUUGUAUUGAUAAUCAAGAGAGAGAUAGAGAGGAAGCCAUCUAGCUACUAACUACGGAUCCGUAGGUCUAUAAAGAAUUACUCACGCAUCAUAGGAGAGGCACCAAUGGAAGUGGUGAACCCCUCCAUGACGGUGUCUAGAUUGGAUCCGGUGGUUCUAGACUCUGCGGCGGCUGGAUCAAUAUUUAGUCAACUCCCCUAGGGUUUCUAGAAUAUUGUGGUACUUAUAGAGCAAAGAGGCGGUUCGCGGGGCACCCGAGGUGGGCACAACCCAUCAGGGCGCGCCUGGGCCUCCUAGCGCGCCCUGGUGGGUGUUGCUCCCCUCGAGCAGCCCCUCAGGUGCUUCUGUGGCCCAUUGGCUUUCUUCUGGCCCAAAAAAAUUCCUCUAGGAGUUGCAUUGCGUUUGGACUCCAUUUGAUAUUGAUUUCCUGCAGUGUAAAAAACAUGCAGAAAACAUCAACUGACACUGGGCACUAUGCCAAUAGGUUAGUACCAAAAAAUGAUAUAGAAUGAUUGUAAAACAUCCAAGAAUGAUAAUAUAACAACAUGGAACAAUCAAAAAUUAUAGAUAUAUUGGAGAUGUAUCAGGGACUUGCAGUACUGGCCCAAUUAUGACACGCCUCAUUGCUUUGAUCAAAUGCAUAUCAUGAGGAAUGUCCUCGAGAGCUUGGUUGGCACACUGAUGAACAUGCCGAAGAAGACCAAGGAUGGUUCGAAGGCAAGGAAAGACUUGGAAGAUUUGGAGACCAGGAUAGAUCUCCACCGUAAAAAGUCGACGAAGGAGACGGAGACGGAGGCGAGGGAAAGGGGCAAAAAAUUGAAGGAGGAGAAUUAUUGCCCCCCUUCUUGCUUCACCUUAAGUGCGAAGGAGAUCGAUCAAUUCAUCAAGUGCCUUAUGGGAAUCAAAGUCAGUUCUAGUUACUGUGGGAAGAUAAGCAAAUUUCUAGACACCAAGAAGAAAAGGUUCAGUGGGAUGAACUCUCAUGACUGUCACGUCAUGAUGACGUAGAUACUCCCGGUUGCCAUUAGAGGGAUAAUGGAGAAGCACGUCCAUGCCACGCUUACUGGUCUCUGCAACUUCUUCGGUGUUAUCUCUCGAAAGUCCAUCAGUUUGAAGCAGCUCCGAAGGCUACAGGAAGAUAUCGUUGUCAUACUAUGUGAGCUUGAGAUGUACUUCCCGCCCGCGUUCUUUGACGUCAUGGUGCAUUUGUGUGUCCACAUCAUGGAUGACAUCAUCAACCUCGAGCUGACAUUUCUUCACAACAUGAUGCCGUUCGAGAGGAUGAAUGGGGUCAUCAAAGGAUUCAUUCGUAACAUGUCUCGUCCCGAUGGGAGCAUCGUCCAGGGGUAUCUGACGCAAGAGUGCAUCUCCUUUUGCGAGAAUUAUAUAGGCGUCGAAGACCCUGUUGUUGGUUUGCCUGUCAAGAAGCACCAUGGGCAGCUCGGAGGAGAAGGUCACAACAACGGCCGGAGGGAAUUGCACGUGGACUACUUGGAUCGACGGAACGACUUUGACAGGGCUAACUUAGUAGUGCUACAACACCUAUAUGUGGUAGAUAAUUAUGUGACACUUCACAAAGAAACCAUCGCAAAGAAGUACCGUGAUAAGGGGAUGCGCAAGACGGACGACAAAGUUAUUGUAGAGCACAAUGCCACUUUCUUGCGUUUGUUCAAAGAGCAAGUUCUUGAUAAUCCCCCAGAAGAGGGCAGUUCGGACGGAUUGCUCGUACACGCCUUAGCACAUGGCCUCGCGCCCAAACUCGCGACCUAUCAGGCAUACGAUAUCAACGGGUACACGUUCUACACGGAGGCCAAAGACAUGGACAGUGAUUACCGGAACUCAGGGGUGCCAAUUGAAUGCAUGACCAAUGCCAACAGCGCAACUGAAAGAUUCUACAGAAGGGUCGAAGAGAUCUGGGAGUUUGACUAUGCUGGAAUGCACGAAGCGAUGACGGUCCAUGUCAGAUGGGCUAAGGACGUCAUAAGAGAAAACAAGUAUUUCACUACCAUGUCUAUACCUGACGCGAAGAGGCUUGCAGCGGUGGAACUUAUGAUCUAGGGUUAUUUUGGGGGGUUUCUGUAUUUUUAGGAGUUUUUGGCAUCGGUCUCACGCUAAGAUGGGCCUCGAGGUGACCACAAGACACCAACACAUGGGCAAGGCACCUGGCGCACCCUGGUGGGUUGUGCUCACCUCCUUCACCUUCUGCCCCCACCCCCCGCGAAGCUUCUAGUGCCUCUUUUGUUCUAAAAAAAUCGUCAAUAAGUUUAAUCUCAUUUGGAGGACUUUCAUUUCUGCACAAAAAACAACACCAUGGUAGUUCUACUGAAAACAACAUCAGUCUGUGUUAGUUCCAUUCAAAUCAUACCAAAACCAUAUAAACUAUUGUAACAUGGCAUGAAUACUUCAUAAAUUAUAGAUAUAUUGGAGACGUAUGAGUGUCCUGCAUAGGGGCUACUAUGGCACCCUUCAAAUAUAGCAUUCAUUUCAUGUUCUGGAACACAACGCCUUAUCAUGUCAUCUGGUCCAUAACGAUAGAGAAAUGGGUCAUCCAAAAAGUAAUACUUCAGAUCACUGAAGAACUUUUUCCUUUGAUGAUAACUCAUAUUGGGCGCCAUGUACUUACCUACAAGAAAGUUAGCAUAAUCUGCAAAUCAAGGUUCUAUUUUUUAAUCAUGGCCAAACUCUCACCUGGAAAAGAUUCAUUUAGGUACUUCAUCACAAGGUAUUCUUUCCAUGAGUGAUAGGUGGUGCUACCUGGUUCCCCUCCCCUUUGCAGUCUACUAUCCGCAAGUCAAAUUCCUGAAGUAGUAAUAUCCACCUAAUCAACCGGGGUUUAGCGUCCUUCUUUGCAAGGAGGUAACGUAAAGCACAAUGAUCGGUGUGGACUAUCACUUUUGAAUUACUAAUAUAAGGACAAAUUUGUCACAAGCAAAAACAAUAGCGAACAAUUCUUUUUCAGUAGUUGCCAAGUGUACUUGGUCUUCAUCCAAACUCCUGCCAGCAUAAAAGAUCAUGUUAAGUUUUUUAUCAGUGCGCUAUCCUAGAACAACACAUACUGCAUAAUUGCUUGCAUCACACAUGAUCUCAAAGGGCUCAUCCCAUUUUGGGGGUUGGAUGAUGGGGGCUGUUAUCAAGGCAUCUCUUAAUUUUUCAUAAGUCUGCACACAAAUCUUAUCAAAUGAAUAAGGCACAUCUUUGUGCAACAUGUCAAGAAGAGGCUUAGUUAUUUUGGACUGAAGUCUUUGAUAAAUUCUUUAUAGAAACUAGCAUGUCCCAUAAAAGUUUGCAUACCUAUCGCAUCUUGAGGGUAAGGUACAUUUUCUAUUACCUCAAUACUAUCUUGGUCUAUCUCAAUACUCUUUCCUGAGACUCUAUGUCCCACACUACAAAAAAAUACACUUCCGUGAUGAUACGUGUUUGUCACAGUAGGUCGCAUUUUUUGUCAUGCACGUACAUCCAUGACAAAUUUAUGACAGAAUCAAGAUAGUCAUACAUGUGCUGUCGUAGAAGUGUUCCAUGGAAUUACCAAAAUUAUCAUCAUGGAAGUGUGCACUUCCAUGACGAUAAAUCGCGCGUCACAGAACUGCUUUCGUCAAGGGUGACUAACACGUGGCAUCCACCGUAACGGAAUGCCGUUAAGCUAUCGGGUCGGGUUUUGGAUCCGAUAACCCGUUAACAGCCCCGACCAAUGGGAAUUUUCCACGUGUAAAAUUAUCAUUGGCUGGAGGAAACACGUGUCUGCUCAUCGUUGGGACAGAUGUCAUCCAAUCAUUGGACCGAAGGCGCCUAUGAUACUUCGACACGUGGCACGACCCAACAGAGGCCCAUUCCUGUGAAAAGGCCGGCCCGUUUGACUUGGUCAAAAUGUGGCAGGCCGACCCGUGGAAAGCCUGUUAACGGCCUGUUCGCAUAUAGCCCAUUUACAGCCCGCUAACCCAAGGCCCGUUACGCCCUAUCCGAAUAGGCCCAGUAGCGUCAUUUGGGCCACCCAAUAUGAUUCUAGCCCGUUUUCACUUCUGGCCCAUGUAUGGCCCAUGACGUCUUUCGGCCCAUAUGAGGCCCUAUGUAACUCUUGGCCUAUUAACGGCCCGUGGUGAAACUGGCCCGUAAUGAACAGUGUAUCACUUUACACCCAUUAACGGCCCAUGGUGAAACUGGCCCGUAAUGAACAGUGUAUCACUUUACACCCAUUAACGGCCCAUGGUGAAAUUGGCACGUAAUGAACAGUGUAUCACUUUAUACCCAUUAACGGCCCGUUGUUCCGUUGGGCCGUUUCCAGCCCAUGUUAUCUUUCAGCCUUCUCGGAGCCCAUUUAUUCUUGGGCUCAUUUCCAGCAUUCGUUUACUUAUGACCCGUUACUGUCAUUUUCUGCUUGUGGGCCAAAUUCAGCCCGUGGUUACAGUCAGCCCGUUUGUGGCCCGUUAAUACGUUGGGCCGUUUUCAUAGCGUCAUGAAAUACGGCCUGUUGACGGCUUGUUAUGGUCGGCCCAUGAAUGUAUGAUCCCAACUCUAGCCCGUUUACGGCCAUAAUGCAGCCUAUUAUUGGCCCAUGUUAUCAUACUGCCCGUAUAAGGCCCAUUGAUGAUACGGCCCGUAGAAAGCCCAUUGUUUCUAUGGCCCUUAGAAGGCCCAUUGUUUCUACGGCCCGUAGAAGGCCCACUGUUUCUACGGCCCGUAGGAGGCCCAGUGUCACUACAGUAAAUAUUAGCCCAUGGUUAUUGUAGCCUAGUUUAAAAAAAUAGGUUAUUGCAGCCACUAGCAAACCGUGGAAAAAGAACUGCAAUGACUACAAGCAAACAAAUAAACAAGACAACAAGGAAAUAAAUAAGCAAGCAACUUACGCUAGGCUAUCACGGCUAUCACAUAUUACAUCCACUGGGCAUCAAAGUUCGCCACCAGUGCAAAUAAACGCGUCGACAAAAGAAUAUACAAAACUGAGAGCACUUCAGAAGGCACUAGGCCUGGCCAGGAAGGGCCCCCCAAACAACUGAAGAAGUUGAGUAGACCUCAGUUGUGUCAAUGAUAGAUGCAUCAACACUAGAUUUAAGGCUUGAUGGUGCGCACAACAGUCCUCUGACAUGUUCAUUGCAUCUUUGACUUCAAGUCGGAGCUGAGCUGAAGCAAGCCUUUUCACUUUAAGUUGAGACUGAAGAAGUCAAACUGAUUGAGGCAGCGAUUGCACAGAGGUUGUCUCACACCUGCUGGUGAGUAGCUUCAACUCACUGUCUUCAUCAAGACAGGACCUUGGGGUCAUCUCGCUGUCCACAAGAUGGUUUGGCUCACUAUCUUCCCUAAAGUUCUGCCUGGCGUAAGAGAUACGACUCUGAAAGAGAAACAAGGAGACACGUAACAGGUUUCACAAUUAUAUAAGCAAAUAAAUGGAUCUGUUGUGCAUAAGGAACAUGUUUUUACAACUACAAUUUGAAACUGGUAGUUGUUGCAAACAUCCAAUCAGAUGUAAAUAGCAAAGCAAAUAGCAGUGGAGGAAAUGAUGCCUAUCCAAAUCUAUACUAGAACAAAGUUUGAAGGCUUGAGAAGGAUGAACUUACAUUACAUGUUAACACGGGCUGGACAAAGCCCUUCUCCAUGUUGAUGGAAGGAUAAUUCAAUAAAUUCCCCAAAGAAAAUUCUUUAUAAGCAUUGCCAUUAUUCUACAUUUUGCAAAGAGUAAAUAUAGAUCAAAUAAUAUUGGAAGAAACAGAGGAUAAUGAAGCUCAGGUGCAGACUGAUGAUACAUAAUCAAAUAGCAAUUAAUUAAGUAUAGCGUUACAAGGCAAAAGGGAGAGAGGUACUGACGAGAGCAAUGCAGAGCCCAUUAUUUUUUUGAGAUCGUAUGAUCCUUUGAGCAAGGAGAUUCAUCUAAAAUUACUUUUCAUACAAGAGAGCAGGUAAGGCACAAGCAGAAAUUUAGGAGUUCAAAUUUUGAAUUGAUAUCAUAGACAGUACCUGACACUGGGCUCCCAUCAGUUCUAAUAGGGGUUUGGCCACUGGAGUAGGGGUAAAGUGUGGUACAGUUGGACCUAUGUUUUCUAUGGCUGCUGAUCUAUCUGAUUUAACAGGUAUCACUACCUUUUCCAAAUACAUAGUUUGUACUCCUUGAGGAUCUGCACUCACCCUCUUCCUUUUGGACAUCUAUUACGAAAGAACAACAUUUGACUGGGAAAACAUAGUGUGGCGACACAUGGAAUAGGUACAGAAAAUGGAUAGGUAUCGCAUAUAAUCAUAUAUGAUGCUUAAACUAAGCAGAUGGUGUAACAAAGUAGAAGUAAUGCAAGAGGUCAUAUGCAAAAUAUGUGCGACCAAUACAACUUUGCAAAGCUAGAGCAAGCACCUUGAUGGGUGAAUAAGAUAGGCCAUCCUCCACCAUGCCAAGUUUGUUAGCCAGUGGAUCGUUCCGCAAUAUUCCUCUCGUGCACCCAUUCUCAUAUUCAUUUUGAUAAUGUUCAAUAUCUGACAUGCAUGAAAACAUAAAAACAAGUGAGAUUUUCUUUGUAAUGCAGAAGUGAUUCUAAUCCAAUACUUCCUCCCUGUAAACCCCUUUGUGCUAUCUCUGUAAUUCUUUUAAAAGAUGCCAUGCAUGCUGUAAUUUGUUGUGUGCAUUAAUAUAAUGUGGCCUACUACUCAAAAUAUGAGAGCUCCAGAAGUGAUGACACUUCGCAGAUGAUAGCUUCAACAUAUAGUAAAGAAGAACAAGUCGACCUGACCUGACAGAUUCAAAAUACACUAAGGGAGAACAACUCGACCUGACCAGUCGACCGCAAGAGAAGAGUAUCAUCUUAAAGAAGAGCAGAAGAGCAAGCAGAUUGAAGAUAUUACAAGUCUUUCAAUACAAUGUCGGUUGGCCACCCAUGAUGAACCAGAGCGCACAGAGAAAUACUAUUCUUUCCGGUCUCUCCAUAUGUGGCUCACAUGCAUUUCGAAACUAAAGUAGGAACAUUUAGCUCACCAAUUAAACAUCUCUCAGUUUUACUAAUAUCAGCAAUAAUAUCAUAUAUGAAUUUGUACAACUAAGCUUGUUUAGCUCAAUGGGUGGGGCAGUGCUAUUACGACACGAACCACGUAGGCUUAUUGUGGUCAUCAUAAAAUGGGGGAAACAUAAGCAUGAUGAGUACAGUGUUGACCGUGGCAGUGGGAUGGCAGAUCUGAAGCUGCAAACCGCGCAAAGGGUAGUUAGCAACCGAUGUUUGCUUUGAAAUAACAACUAAGAUUUGGUAUGGACAAGAAAGUACAGUCAACAAGUGACAAAGAAAUGCAAUUAUGCUGUCUCUCUAUAUGUCGCGACAUGCAUUUGGAAACUCAAGUGGGACCUUUAGCUAACCAAUUAAAUGUGUCGGUUAACUAAUAUCAGUAUCAUAUCACAAUCAUAUUUGAACAACUAAGCUUUUGAAUUCUGAGUGUUGUGUUGUUUAGCUUGAAGGGUGGAGUAAUGCCAGUACGAUAGAAAGCACCUACGCAGAUCAUAGUAGAGUAGAUAAAAGGGGAAAACCCUAAGCAUCAAGAGAAAAAUCAGGAAAGUGAAACUAGCUGGACCAGUGGGUGACGCACACGCUUUUCGAAAUGAAUAUAGGAACAUUAGGUGACCAAUUAAACGUUCUCUAUUUUAGUUAUAUGAGCAUCAUAUCAGAUUCGUAUUUCAACACGUAAAGCUUUGGGUUGAGGUCUUGAGGAGCAGUGCUAGCACGACAAGAAGCACCUAUGAUGAUGGUAGUGAAUAUAAAGGGGGGAAACCAUAAGCUUUACGAGUAUAGUGCCCGUGCCAUGGCGGAUCUGAAGGUGCAAACUGGACAAAGCUACUUCGCAACCAAUGUUUGCUUUCAACUAGCCACUACGAUUUGGUACGGACAAGAAAAGUAUAGUAAACAAAUUACGAUCUAUUUUCCGGGUGAGAUCAAUAACUUAAGCACAUAUGUAAGAGUACCACCUCUCUUGCGACACCGUGUAGGCCUAUGCUGAUACGUUGAGGGUGCUGCGGGUGCGAUGGCUGUCGGCGGCGGGGAAGAAGACUUUAGACGGCAGACGGCCGGGUCGGGGGAUAUAUCCUAUUGCCGUGGACGAGGCGGUCGUAGGAGCAGCAACGGCAAGGUGGACGACGGCGCCGAUGAAGCGAGAGGAGGAUAUGAAAGGAUCCUAGUCCAGUGCCGUGGAUGAGAGACGUCCAGCUCUUGCAGUGGACGACGGGGUAGGGGUAGCGGCUUCGACAAGGUGGAGGAUGGGGUGGCGGACGGAGGAGGCUGGCCGUAGUGCGGAGGUUGUCGUGCCGCCGAUGGUGUAUGAAUGGGGAAAUGGAGGGGAGGGGGGAUCUCAAACUUUGGGACGCGCUUCUCUGAAAUGGGGGAAAGUUACAAACUUAUCCCCCGUUUAAAAUUUCGGACAUCGCGUCGGUUGGGGAUAGGACGGUAAUCUCGCAUCUCCCAAAUAUUUGCCGGUAACUAUUUCGGGCGAGGAGAGGGUGUUUUGCCGCCCACGGUUGGCUCCCACGGUGUAUGAACGGGGCUGACAGGUAGGGCGGUUGUGUCACGUCUGAUGGAAGUUACACAUCUGCCCCUAUUUAAAAUAUUAGCCUACAUCGAUUUCGGACGAGGAGAGUUUGUUUUGCCGCCCACCGUGUAUGAAUGGGGAAAUGGAGGAAGAGACACAUGUCUUUCGGACGCGCUUGAAUCAAAUGUGUUUUGCCGCCCACGUUUGGCGCCCAUCGUGUCUGGAUGGGCUCAGAGGCCGUUGUGUCACGUCUGAUUGAAGUUACUAGUCUACCCCUAUCGACAGCAGUGUAAAUCCGGUCGAUAAGGAUGUACUCAGUGUCAGGGGUAGACAGUAAUUUCCAUCUCGCAAACACUUGCUUUGGGCAGCCCACAAAUUAUAGUGGGUGUUUAGCCGCUUCGUUCAAAACUUGGGAGAAUUAGCAUUCACGUUGCCCUGGGACGUGGCAAACUAAAUUCAAAUCCAAUUUGUAUUUGAUUAUGAAUAUCCACAAAUAAUUAUACAUUUUUGUUAUUUAUUUCUUCAACACCACAACAAAGAUUUAUUCCACCUUUAUAUAUGAUUAUGAUUUAGAAAUGCCGUGAUCUUCGAAUUUAGUAGGUUGGAUACACUCUGAUUCAAACAGUUAUUUCAUCCAAUACAAUAUGCUCACACGAAAAACAGUUCACCUUAUGUCAAUCAUACAAGUACUGCGGAUUACCUCGCCUAAAAAAUUCGGAUCAUUACAACACAUGGACAACAUGGAAUUCCGGACAACAUAGGGGGUCUUGCAAUAUAAUCCAUUCAGAGACAUGACACAACAUGCAAGUACAAUAAUCUAAUGACAAUUUCAACUAGUAUCUAAAGAAGAACAGGGAUUACCUUGGGCUUCAGAUAGCAGAAACAGCAAGACCUCCUCCGUCUUCAAAUGCAACAUUCCUACUUCCUCCAAUUCUUGGGUUGCUUGCAUAAUGCGUGCCGCUAAUUCCGUAAUUUCCAGCCUCAAGAUAAAAGAUUACCUCAUUCAUGGCAGCCACACCAUCUCUUUCUGCCUCUAGUAGAGCCUCAAGCACUAUAAUAUCUGUGCUCAGACUGCUCUCCGGCGGUGUUGCCUCUGAACUGCUACCAUCUGGUAACAUGGAUGGCGCACUGCUUCCACAAAUAGAUUCUGGGGUUGUAUAUUGUGUCCUAGUGUGAACGGCAUCCUGAAAGGUUUCCGCUGGACAUAAGUAAGAGAUAGUUAUCGUAUGAUCCAGGCAGUAAGCUUACAUGGUAAACAACGGACGAAUUAUUGCUGAGCAUGGCAAACUAUAUUUGAAUGGUUCGAAGCAGCAUCAGCCAAAAAUAAAAUAAAAUGGUAAGAUGAAACUAGGGAUGUAAGUGGCAAAUAAACGACAUCCGCCAGUCCCAUCUAGUUAGUUUUUGCUACCUCCCUAGUUCAUUUUCCUCAAAAAAAAACUCUUCUGAACUAUCAUACCACUAGUGGACUUUAAUCGGGAUUGAACGUGACCCAGUUGACAUCCCUAGUUGAAAGGGAGUGUACAACCGCUAUAUUUAAGUUGCCAAGGCAUCUAAGCAGUUGAAAUAAUCUGAGAAAGCACUUAACAGUGUGGCCUCAUAUAAACUACGAAGACAGUCUUGUGAUGAAGUUGAGAGGAAAAUUUAAGGAGUCAAAUGAAAUAGGCAUGCAUUUCUUUACGAUAGUACAACAGGCACUGCUGACAUAUUGGCCAACUCAGGUAUAGCGUAACAACAAACAAGCAUUCGAAUCAAGCAAUACAGCAAAGCAGACAACUGAACUAUUUGUAAUUCAGUAGGAUUACACGUUGAGGGCACAAGCCAAGAAAGCAGUCCACUUGCAUUACAUUUCACAUGUACUAAAACACAUUGGCUUACCAUAUGUUGCUGUGAAGCCUAGCUGCUGUUGCAAUGUUCUUUGAAAAUAUCGUCAGCAUUCCGUGGUUGCAAAUCUAGUUGUUGUAGUUUAUUCUGCACUAUCUAUUUAGGUAAAAUUAAUUUUAAUCGCAUGCACUGGUCCGAAUUGAUCAUCAAUGGUUCAUCUAAACUAAUGAAAGAAGGGUGUGUGCAUACACGACAAUAUAUCUGCUUCCCUCUAUUUUUAUGCUUGUUCGAGGUGCCGGCCCCAAAAGAACAAAUAUUUUUCUUGAUGGGGUUGGCAGCUCCAUAAUUAAUAGAAGCAUCAAAUUAGUCAUGCAACUUGGGAAGAUCAAGAACACACAAACAAGUAAUGAACAAAGGCUCAGAGCAGUGAUGUAAUAGCUAGCAUCAGAAAAUGUAGGGUAAAACGAACAAAAAGCAGCGGAACCACAUGCUAGUUUGCUGAUGUGUAAUUAAGCAUAGAGAACAUUAACCAGUCUGAUGGAACCAACAUGUGGCAUCAGAACAAAACAAAAGCAUAUUAACUAUACUAGUAUGUAUGCACGUGCAAUGCAUGUCUUAAAAGAAUGGAGUGAUUUUGGAGUGUGACUCGAAAAAAGUUAUAAUGGAGUGAUUUUGGUAAAUGGAAUUCCACCCACAAUUGUUUUUAAUAUUCACACAAAAAACUGUACAUUCACAUCUUAAAUACUGGAGGUUCAUUAAAAAACUAUAUGUUACUCUAUUAUUUUUUCUUCCCAUUCUCCUCCCAAACCUUCUUAUCUGGGCUCAAGUCGUCAUGCGCUCAAGCAGUAAUAUAGCCCAUGAGGCAUAGCAUAUGGGCCUUUUUUUCCUGGAAGGGCCACGUGAAUAUUCUAGAACACAGCAGAGGCAACAACAAUCUACUGUUCAUGGCGAAUCCGGCUGAUCUUAGCUCUUGGAUUUUGGAGACCAAUGGUUAUGAUUGAUGCUCUGGAUCCAUCUCAAAACUGGUACACUAUAUAGUAUAUAAAGUACAGAUAUAGAUAUAGAUGUGCACUGGUAUGUAAUUUAGCACAUGUAACAUGUUCACUGCCAGAAGUAUGGCCCUACAGGUGCAAGCAGAAUAACACUUCUCAUGAAAAACUGAAUGAUGCCCUGAAGAAAUUCAAAGGUGCGGUGCUUAUGCUAGGAAAGUGAAUGUAGGCGCCGGCUGUUGGAUGAUAGUACCCGAUUCUUGGUGGCAUAUGGGUAUCGUUGUGAUACUUGAUAGCUAAGGAUCGUCGAUGGUGCUCGUGUUGCGGUUGAGUUUGGGCUGGCUGUCGCCGUCGCUGAAGCGGCUUCGAUGCUAUGGUUGCGGCGCCUGUCGACAUACAAGAAAGCUCAUCUGUGGUAAGUGAAUAGUUGCACGAUAAAGGGAAAAACCGAAGGAGUACAAAUCGAAAUAACCUGAUGAGGCUGUGGCAUCGGUAAAACAAGGCCGGUGGAGUUGAAUAUGGCGUCCGUGGAGCGCGUUCGGUGCAGUGGACGAAGGCUUCGGCGGGCGCGUUGUACAGUGCUUUCGGUGAGGCGGAUCUGUUGCCGAGGACGAGGGCUUGUAUGAAGGGCCAGCGAAGGGGCAGACGAGGGAGUCAGUGAAGGUCCUACGCUAUGGUGGACGAGGGCGCCGGUUAAGCAGAUCCGAUGCAGUGGACCAUGAUGGCGGUCAAGGAGAUCUGGAGCGGUGGACAAGCCAGUCGCUGAAGCGGCUCCGGUGAAGUGGUGAGUUGGCAGUUGGGGGUUCCAAGGUGCGGAAGGUAGAUCCGGCGGGGUGUGAGGUCCAUCACUGCGGCGGAGGACUAGAUUCGGCAGCUUGCCGUGGUUGGGGGGGUCGGGGAGGGUAAGGGGAGGGGCUCUGGGGAAGAAUGUUGGGGGCAAAGAGGGGAAAACAAUGGAGUUACCAAAGCAGCCCUUUUCCGUUCAUGUGGCAGGGGUAAAACAGGAAUAUCGCAGGGCUAAACUUUCGGGCGCAUGAUAUUUCGAUGUGAGCGGGAAGUUUGAAAGCUUUUGGCGCCUAAAAUUAUAAGUAUUCUGCUCUCGUACGACCGACUAUGAUAUCAUGGCUGACAAUUUGUUUGUUUUGCACGCAAAAAAAGUGCAAGUUUUGAAAAUCAAUGUCUCCAACUCGAAACUUAGAUUGUCCAUUCAAUUCAAAUAUGGAUCAUUGAGCUACUACAAGCAAAUACCAUCAUACAGUCCAAUUCAAAUGAAAUUCCAAAUGUGUUUAUCCUAAAUAUGAUGACAAAAGCAAAAAUGUGUAUGUGUAUGAAUAAAGUGAAUGAUUAUAAAGUUUGAACAUGCCCGUAUGUGUAUAUCUCUAGGUUUGAUAUAUGAAUUUGAAAUCACAAAAUUCCGGCUUAAAAUGUACCUCCGUUUAAAUGAAUUACAAAAGCUAAUGAUGGUGUCGAAUUCCAAAAUUCCAACCUUAGGUUUGUAAUUCUGGUACAUCAAGGUAUAUCACGCAUGUUCAAAAGUAUCAUUAUCUCAUAGUACAAACUGUGAAACAAAUUGAUCAACCAUGAGUGCACAAUAUCUCAAUUACGCUAAAGUCCCUCAAAUAUAGACACCUUACUCUUUAUCUGAAGUCACCCCCACCACCACCACACACACACAUAGAGAAGUCGUUCUCUCCCCCAGACACCAACACACGAGCACAUUAACACCCCUCUCUGUUGUAAAGUCCGGACCCCAACAUAGGUCUCUAUCACUUUGUCUCCCGGGCAUGCACACAUCUCUUCCCUCACUCUCUAGGUCUCCCGCUAUCUCUCUUACCCAAGCACACGCACUAUGUAGAGUGUAUAUUUCCCAUACACACAAAACGUCGCCCCCAAACAUCUAUCUCCCUAGUUAUGUGGUUCUCGCACACUCACCUCACACACCACCCCCACUGCAAACAAGCACACUUUGUCUCCUUGUGCACCACUCUCCUCUUUCUAUAUCUCCCACAUGCGGACCCGCCCCAGCUCCUUCCCUGUAUACAUAUAUGUCGUGACUCUUUGCAUAGCUCCCUAAUGUAUAAUCAUUCUCGAUUUCGCACAUUGUUCUAUACACCAUCUAUUCUAGAUCUCUCAUGAAGUCCCUAUCACACACACGAUGACUCGCUUCCCCCGCGUCUCCGUUCAUAGGCCAAUUUCGGACAACAUCAACAUUGUCUCCCUAUCUAUACGCCAUUUAUGGACACAAACGACCCCUCUCGCCCCCUCUCUUCCUCUCUCUCUCCUUCUCUCUCUCUCUCUCUCUCUCGUCACUAGCUCUCUCUUUCUCUCGCUCUCACACCCCUCUCCCACACACACACUCGAUGUCUCUUCCAAAUAGUAUGCUCCCCCCGCCCGCACCCGUGCUGUCUCGCUACUACACAUGUCACACCAUUCCCCCUUCCCUUAUACUAGGUUUACAUCAUCAGUGGUCUCUCUACUCCACAUACACUCUCUCCCUGUCACACACAAACGCGUGCACAAACACACACAGACACACACAAACACCCAUUUAUCUGGAUCCUCAUCUCUCCCCAUGUCCGCAUGUGUAUCUCACAUACUCACUCUCUGAUUAUGUAUAUGUGUCUCCAUGUUACACAACACAAAGCCCCAUGUACAUGUCUCUCUCUAUCCUCCACACACAUAGACACAAAGAAUCUGUUAUCAUUGCCUCAGUCUCUAACAUAUCGCACACGCACUCUCUCUCUCUCUCUCUCUCUCUCUCUCUCUCUCUCGCAAACACGCUCAACAAGGGUUUCCCCGUGAAUAACUUACCGUCUACUCAUCAACAGUCGUGGCAGUACGGCGAACAUGAGACGUGAAAAAGAAUAAAUCUACACGUGCUUAGACCACCUAGUAGGACUAGAGCAAGCCAAAAAGCGCGGCGCCGUCACCCCCUCCUUGUCGGCGACGGGAAAAUCUUUGUUUUACAUAGUCGAGAAGUCAUUGUGCUAAGACCCCACAUGCCGAGGCGUUGAAUAGAAUGUAGAUGCUAGUUUACGGAAGCAAGUAUCGAUAAUACGUUUGUAUCUCCAUACUUAUAUUUCUUCUUUUAUAAAAAACCGAGUUGGUGAUGAUGGUACAUGUGCCAUCUUGCAAUAUUGACCGUCUGAUCUAUAUCUGACAGAUGGAAAUUAAACUAAAAUAUACCCGCACCCCUCUCCACAUUUGCAGACAAGGCCUUCCCUCGUUCAUCCUUAUCUCCAACAAACCUCAUUGUUGAGCAAUUAAGAAAGGAAGCCUCUGGAACAAACUGGCCUAGUGGCCGCUGCCGGCGUCGUCAAUCCCCAUGCCUCCGCUCAGUCCGACCACCAACCACCACCACACCCAACUCCUCUUCACCUUAUCUCAUAUUUCUCGAGAUAUCAUUAGUUUUUACACAUGGGAUUACUCCCGCAAGGGUCAAUCACAACAAGUGUUUUUAUCAAAAAAAUGCAUCUUGAUGUUCCGUUAAUGCACAUAUCUUGCUAGUACUCCUACACAAGACUAAGUUGGUGAUGUUGGUGUGUCUGCCAUCCGUCGUUUCUGACCAUUAGAUCUACAUCUAACGUUUGUGAGGUAAGUUGUUGCCUUUUCUCACCAACAUCCCACUUGUCUACCAAUUUGUAGAAAACCCAUAAUUAGUAUCUUAAAACCAACCACAUCCCUCCCUGACCUCACCAAAACAGCCCAAGGAAUAUAUUAUAAUUGAAACAUAAUAUACAUAUGUAUAUCAAAAUUAGGGUGUUUUGUACCAAGUUUGUGAAUAAGUAUUAUUCUAAUUAUGAUUCGUUGCAACGGACAUGAACAUUGCUAGUAUUUCCAACCAUGUAUUUUUUUCUAGUAUUCCAUAGUUUUGAGUUUUCCAUCAAGAUAUUAGUCACUCAUGGUUGAUAUUUACUUUCAAUCAUGUACACAUAUGCACUAUGUAACUAGCCUUGCUUAUUGGCUUCCAAAGCUUAACUUUCACUCCUACUUACAAUAUGUAGAGUAUUUAACAAAAAACUACCACUUUCAACUAGCCCUAGGAAGAAUCUAUUGUACAAAAAAUAGCAAAAACAUACCCAAAAUUUCUUAAUCCAUGCCAAAAACUUCUAGUACUACCUAGUACUCCUACCGAUUAGGUUCGUUUAAACCCAUUUAUGACUGGGUUGGCCCACACGUCCGUGCUGACGAGGCAGCUUAAACCAACACAUUUUGUUUGACCGUUGACACGAGGGACCCACAUCUGACCUUCUAUCCUGUUAUUCCCCCUCAAAUCAUUAUUUUUCCUGAACAUUACUUCAAACAGUACUGAUGCGUGUUCGUCGGUGGCACCGGUGAUGAGCGAGUUGGCCGCCGCUCCGCCGGACGGGCCGGAGGCCGCGCUGGCCUCCGCACGGGUUGGCAGGCUGGCCCGAGCGAGACUCACGAGCGAGCAAGCUGCCGCGCUGGCCUUCGCUCGAGCCAGAUGGCUGGCCUGAGUGCGGCACGCGUGAGCAAGUCGCCGUGCUGCCGUGCAAAUCUAGCUAGCAAACCUUGCAGACAAGCAGUUGGACGGAGCUAUCUUGGCUAGCUAGCGGCCACGAGCGCCGGACGGAGCUGGCAUCUGGGCUGCCGCAACAUGGGCUCUGCACCGCCGGCGGUUUUGACCUCGCCUUCUGCCGAGGAUGACUAGGUGGACGGGCCGGAGGUAGGAGGUCACUCGAGGAUUUUGGUUGGUAAGAGCAUGUACAAUGGUUGAUAAGGUAGUCUUAUCUUAAGUCUGCCACGUAUGCAAGUGGUAGUAGUUUCUUGGCAUUUUAGUGGUUUCUUGCAUUAUUAGGGGUUUCUUGUAAGGAACAAUGUACGUACUACUAGCGACAAAAGGCGAUUCUAGGUUGCGUUGUACUCCAACGAGUACUACUAGUGGUCGCGGGAGUGUAUACCUCGUUUUUGUGGGUUUGAUCCCGGCCGAACGCACGGCGACCUUUAAAAAAAAGUACUAGUACUACACUUUGCUGCGAGCCAAUAUUUUACACGGGUAGUUUGAGUUUUGAAGUCAAACGGACGUGCGGCCCCACAAUCUGGGUGCACUGGACAGCUUAGCCACGUGAACGGGUUUUCCUUUCCAGCAUCCCGUGGCUCGUGUGCUCGCCCUAGCCGCACCUCGCUUGCAGCUUCCUCAUCAGCUAGUAGUAGCAUAUUUAAACUAGCGCCUCCUAAUUAAGCCCGAGGAGCCGGAAAAGCCUGGUGGGGCAUUGGGAACUGUGCAAUAUGGCUCUAUAUUCUAUGUAAAGUGCUGUACUACUAGUACUCUGUAGCUUGUGGCAUUGCACCCAUGGACUUCACUCCAUUAUCGGCUCUACUAUAAAAGAAAUUCCUCUUAACAUGUUUUUUUUGAAACGGAGGCAAAAGCUUUGCUUCAUCUCAUUCAUAAAGAAGGAACUACUAACAAAGUUCGACGAGAUCCAUUACACCUCCACAAAUGGAAGCGAAAAGCCUAGUCUCGCUGUAUCGAAUAACUCAAAUGUUCUGCCCCCGCAGACCGCAGUAACCGUCGCUGAUAUACAGGCUGCCAGUGUGUGUGUGAGAGGAGCGGCUGAGUAGGCCAGCUACUCCUACAUGAGAGGAGCGGCUGAAUAUAGCACCGAGAGUACCCACUAGGCCACUACGCAAGUGUACUUCCCCUGCAUUGAUAGUACAGCGACGGUUCUACAGAACAGUAGUACCCUCCACUUCCAACUGUAGCUCCUUGGCCCUGAGAUUCAAGAGUUCAAAACUGGUGCACUAUACUAGACUAGACUAGACUAGAAGUACAAUACAUCGCACUAAUACUCGUAGUUGAGAAAAGUAGUACUGGUACUGCUACAGUACGAGUACGUACUCCUCCGUCACAUAAUGUAAGACGUUUUUUGACACUAGUUGGCGUGUACAAAAAAUGGCAAAAACAUACCCAAAUUUCUUAAUCCACGCCAAAAACUACUACCUAGUGCCAAAAAUUUCUUACUAGUGCUAUUAUUUACAGUAUAAUGCAAUCCCAUAACGUUCCAUAAUGCUAGUACUAGUAGUAAAUAAUAGCCUCACCCCUUCGCUGAGGAACGAUCUACAGUUGGAAGGGACGAGGCCCUGCGGUUACUACGCUCUUAUCUCCUCCUCGCCAGUUCCCCUCCCCCCGAAGAGAAGGCAGUUCGUUGCUGCUCCCAUGGAUUCGCCAGGCGGUUCUCCUCCUUGUCGGGGCUGGGAGACCUUGGACGACGAUCCUCUGGGAGAAAUCGCACGCCGCUCCGACGUCCUCACCGCCGCAAGACUCGGUGCUUCCUGCACCAACUUUUUCAAGACACUGCUUAAACAGGUUUGGGAAAUGGCCAUGCUUGUUGGUCUUCCAUGCAUCCUCGAGGAGAAGGUUCUUUUAUGGGACAAUCCUUCAAACAGUCCACCGCUCCCUGGCCAUGGUAGCACGUUGACUCCGAUAGAGUUGCCGACAUUGAGAGGUAGUCGGAUUUUGUCCAAUGAGCAGGUCAGUAAUGGAGUUUGAUCAUGUAGUACUUAGUUAUUCCAUUUCCAUCCUGUAAUUUCUCCGCUGCCCACCGUCUUAUAUAUAGGUCUAGGUCGGUGCCAACGAAGAUUGUCUUGCAUACGUCCGGCCGGAUACCACCAUCAUUUUGCAUAACAUCCACAGCAGUGCAGCCGUUCUGAUAGACCCCUUCUCCACCAUUGGGAUCGGCCUUCUGGACUGGCUGGGCUUGAAUACGUAUGAUGAUGCCUACAUGAGAUUGAAGAAGAUAGCAAUUGCGGACCCACCGACAAAGCAACGCGGCUACGAUGAUUACUAUCUCAUCGCGGUGUUCGACAUAAGGAUUGCCAUCAAUGCAAGACGCAGUAACGGCAGAGGCUGGCGCAUGUUGGCGGCGGCAGAUUUGUACCACUACACGUUCGAAGACGCAGUGCACCAUCUAGGCCGCAUCUUCGUGGUGACAAGCUAGGGGACUUGUUUCAUCUGGUUGCCAUCCUACGGUACGAGAGAUUACAAACGGAAUGCACAAACCAUCAUUUGCAUCCCUAACGGUACUCCAUUAUUUUGCAGGGACCAGUCAUCCCCCGAUCAAAAUAAGAUCGCCGAUCUUGGAUGUGCAUUUGCAUCCGUGAUCCGGUCUAACCUGGAACCUUGUAGCUGACUUUGGCAUAUUGGGAUCAACUAUCUUAGCAGUCGUUACCCAUGGUACCACUGAUGUGCAACAUGGUCACACAAUCUACCAUGAUCGGACCGUCACCAUCUACCCAGGUAUUCCAUUUUUUAACCCUCUCGCCUUCUCUUUCAUUGUUUUACUAGUAGUAUACUUAGUACUACUAGUAGGAGUACUUUUUACCUUGGAGGACGCGUAUAGCUAGCUGGGCCCUUGAAGACUUGAACCCACUAGCUGCCACCAUUUUUGUUUUUCCAUGUCUUACUAUCUCAUCCAUGUAGCCAAGAGUGGCUAUAUAUAAUAAGUCGGUUAUUUUACUUCCUCUAUACCGGAGUAGUACUAUUUGCUACACAGUAUUACUGACCGCCAUAUUUGAGCACAACAUUAUUAUGCAUGUACCUUGACUAUGUACGUCACCAUGUGUCCAGAUCUGGGAUGCCGCGUGUACCAGAUGAACGGCGCCGAGUUCGACCCCCGUGAUGCUACGUGGGUGCCGAGGAACACUCUUGGAGAGUACUCACUUUUCAUCGGGGACAACUACCCCAUUGUGAAGCGGAUGCCACCUUCCGUGCACGACAUGGAAGGCCUACCAUUCAUGAAGCAUGGUUGUGUCUUCAUUGUGCACCGCCGGAUGAACGACAUGCUGGGACACGCUAUCCCUGAUUUAUGCCGCUUCAGCUUGGAUGAGUCUCCAUCGUGUGGAACCGGACUAGAAAGCUGCGACAAUGAUUCCCGUUGCCCACCGCUAUGGAUCGUGCCAUCCAUGAAGAACACCUGGGAUUGGAACCUGGAGGAGGACAUGCAUGUAGCCCAUCUAUAACGUGUAAGUGGAGUACGGUAAUUGUGAACGGUAGCGCUGUGAAUAUAUGUAGACUAGUCGUGCACAAAUUUAUCACAUGAAUUGGAGAUGAACUUGUGUGGCAUACUGGCAUUUGUCCUUUAGAAUUUAUUACUAGUAAAUGUAUUAUGUGUACGUGCAACUUGCGUGGUUGUUGCACGGGCUCCAACACGCUCUUUGAGAAAAAAGGUGGCACAACUUUGGAUAUACGUGACGUGGCGGCACUAUACAGUAGCAUCGUUCGCUAUAGUUGUAGUACACUCCUACUAGGACGACAACUCCUAAAAAACCUUGCGCUUGGCUCUUUGUCUCUUCGGGAGGUUCAACAGUUCGUACUCGUGUGAACCUUGCACUUGCCUCUUCGCCUCUUCGGAAGGUCAAUGAUGAUACUACAGUACAAUAUGUGUCUGGCAAUCUGACACCGAUUGAACUGCUGCACGUCCACCAUGAGGGCGAGGGCGAGGGAGAGGGCGCUAUAGUCAAAACCCUCUCCUCGUCCUGUGAACCACCGCGCGCGUGGGCGAGGGAGAGGCGUAGUAAGCAAGCUUCUCCUCGUUCGACGAGUUGACGGGACACAUCAAAGCAGUACUAGUACUAGUAGUAGUCCAUACUGCGUCCUUUCCGAUUAAUAUGGCUUAAUUUGAAACGAGAAAAAUACACUGGCGGUCAACAUAUGUAACAAUACGCUCUUUACGGUCACUAUAUAUAGUUUUGCGUCGAUUAUACGAUCACUAGCUCAUCGUAGAGCACCGUAUUAGACCCUACUGACCGGCCACAUAGUCGACGUGGCACUUUGUUGACUGGUUAAAUUGUCACCUGGUUUCUGGGUCCCACCUGUCAGUUGGCGGAGCAAAGAAAUCAGUUAAACAAAACUUUACGCAGACGCCACACGAGUCCAACCCUUGCGCCCGAACCGCCCUGGCUGUGUAUGUGAGUGAAUGCACGUGUCCUCCCUCGGCCUUCCAACAAAGAGUGUACAUCGGCUAUAAAACAAAGAGUGUAGUAGUACAUGAUGUACAUCUACAAUUCCAAUGCAUUUAGCCUUUAAUCUAAAUCGACAUUGAUUGACUAAUGCACCAACUUGUGCUGUAGGUAUAGGCUACAUGUCUAUCCUUAAUUACAGCAUGCAACAGCCUUCAUUUAAUCUUCUUAUCUCAAUAGUCACAUGCACACAUAAGUUUGCUACUUUUGGGCGUUAAUUAUACCCUGGUCAAUGUGUAAAUCUCUAAAUGUACAGUCUUUCACGGACGUAGGGAGUAGGUUGAGCACUUGAGCGUGAGCGUGUGUGUUGCGUCGUGUGCUGUGUGCCGCAUGGGUGCGUGAGUGUUGCGUGCGUCCAUGUGGAGUACGUGUGAGUGUUGCAUGUUGCAUGCAUGCAUGCAUGCAUGGGGCUUACUCCCUCCCAUUGACAUGUUCAUAUUUCAAACUUCCCCUGUUCCCUCCAUAUGGUGAUACUCCCUCUGUUCCCAAAUACUCCAGUAUGGAGUAAAAGCCUCCCUCUGUUCCCAAAUACGGAGUAUUUGUCUUUCUACAGAUUUCAACAAGUGACUAGGUACGGAGCAAAAUGAGUGAAGUGAGCGUAGAGGCAUAGGGAUACUGUAGAAAGGUAAUCCUCGCGAUCCAUCAUUCCCCAUCUCAGUCAGAGAGAACUAUUCAACUAGUCUUCGCAGUGAAGUGACAAUACACGCUGCAGCAGAUGGGACACGUAAUUAAUAAGCUGAACCAGCGUGUUGGUGUUACUAAAUCAGCCUUACCCAGUACUGCCAUCAUGUUUGCCAGUAGAGCACGCUUCUGCAAAUACGCCUACGCACCUAUGUCCUCCAUUAACUGACAUAUGGGCCCUCUUGUGGUAGACCCACAUGUCAUCGGUGUAACUAUUUACACUCCGGAGGACGGUGCCUAUAUCCUGGUAGUAGUACUAGUAGAAUUGAGAUUUAAUGCACUUUCUUCCCCGUCUUCCACUCUUCUUCCUCCUCUUUUCUUCUUCCUCCUCUCUUCCCCAUCAUCGGCCGCACACCAUUUACGCCCGCUCACUACUCGCCCGCCCGCGCCAUCUUCCUUGGUAGCUCGCGCGUACCAUAUCCCCCCGCUCACUGCUCGGCCACACGAGGAGAAGCUUCUUCGCUCGCCCGCCCGAAUCCACUUCCCCGCUGGCUCGCAGGCACCGAAAACCCCAAUGGCAGAACCGACUGACACGCAGAGCCGCGAUUGGAAUUCCCUCCCCGGUGUUCUCUUGGAGCAGAUCUGUAGUCAUAUGGACCUACUCAGCACCGUCCGUCUGGCAGCAUGCUCGGUGUCUUUGUAUCGUCUACUCGUCUACAACCGACCGGCUCUUUUCAAGACCCCUGCUUGCUGAUGCCCGAUCCUUGCAGGUGGCCCAGACACCGACUUGACGAUCCUACAGAGGUUGCCGUGGUGCCCCUCGACAUGCUACCACUACCCGUCCACCUGUCCUUCAUGCGCGGCCACUACUGGGGGGGGGGGGCAUGAAGGACAACUGGAUCGUCUUCAUCCACCACACUGGUAGUCCGUGGCGUCUCAUGGAUAUCUACACCCAGCGAGAGAUCACCCUUCCAUCGUUGGAUACCGCCGACAUCGAGCCUCGCGGCCUGCCGGACACUCCUGCCUACUACGCACGAGACGCAUCAAGCUUUUGGCUCGACCUCUAUUUGCAGAAAGUUGUAAUCUGCGAAGUGCCCACACCAUAUAAGACUACAUUGAUUACAAGCUCAUUGCCUUGUUCAACAUGGGAUUAGUCUAUCUGGAAUCCAGUCGCCAUACAUGGUUAUGGCUCAUCAUCAAUCCUGUUGAGGCAACAUUUCUGUCUGAUGCUAUAGUGCAUGAUGGCAUUGUUUACGCGGUCGACGCACAGAUUGGCUGCCUAUACUGGUGGAAUCUAUCGUCAUGUAAUUGUUCUAUCUCAUCUCAUCUUUACCUUAUGAAUACGAUUGCCUGUUCAUUUGUUACGAAUUUAGAAUGCAUAGCAUGUCUAUAACCACAUCAUUGCUAUAUGUUCAUCUCAUUUCCUAGAUUUUUAUGACCACACAUGUUAUUGUUAGAGUUGAUAUGAGAACAAUUGGCAUCUAAUGAUCGUUAGAAUACAUAUUAUGAGCAUAACAUCAUGAUUGCUAUAUGUUACUCUCGUUUACUAGAUUUUUAUAACAACGCAUGUUAUUGCUUAGAGUUGAUAUGAGAAUAGUAGUAGUAAGUGCUAUGGUAGAAUAUGAGUAGGCACUGUCAUAGCCGUUUUCCUCUCAUUGUUACAUGAUGUUUGAACCAUGACAUGUUGCUAGAAUAUGAAAGCCAUUGGCUUAUUUUUUUAACUUGGGGUAUGAUUAUGACCACGACAUUGCAAUUCUCUGUCUAUGAUAUGUGUCACUGUUAUAAUAAUCUUAAUUCCACACAUACUCUGAACAUGAUUGUUUAUUUUUGUCCUUUUGGUCUCCAAUUUAAAUUGUUGAAGCAGACGCAAAUGCACUAGCCUUCAUGAUUCCAGGACCUGGAAUCAUACCAGCUGAUGGGUGCUGGUUUAUCGCUCGUUCAGCUGACGGCGGUCAUUUGAUGCUCAUUCGCACAUACCAAAUUGACCAAACCAUUACAUCAAACCACAUGCAGUACAAUGCAUGGGGCGUUCGUGACAUUGAUGGCUAUGGCUGCUUCGUGUUCAAGAAAGAUCCCAGCUCCGUUGGGCCAGGCGUAUUCAACUGGAGGCGGGUUUACAGCCUCGGCAACCACUCCUUGUUCCUCGGGCUCAAUUAUCCAAUCAUCCAACCAAUCAUCGAUCAUAUCACCGGCGAUGAUUACUGUGCUAUGCAACUUCCAUUCGCGAGGGGGGGGUUGUGUUUACACAUCAUACCAUGGGUUUCAUGAAUCACCAUAUCCAGAGAUUCGUCGACACAGCUUGUUGCCAGGUAAUCUUCAGUGUGUGAAAGGCAUCAAGCUUCCAUGCGAUGGAUGGCUUUUGCAAACCCGACAUGCGGCAAUGUGGUUCAUGCCAACAGCAAAUAUGCACAACAUGAUUCGUGCUGAUAUCUAAACUGAGCCAUGUAUUCUGCUGCUGUAGCAUGACCCUCUUUUGUUGGAUAUUAUGUACUGUUGUUAGUUUGAAGCACUCCUCUGGUUUGAAGGAUAGAUACCUUCCUGGGAUCAAGUGCAUCCUAACUCACCUGCGUAGGAUGUACUGAUAAUGAUGAUGGAGAUGCUGUGCAGAAGCCAUAUAUAUACAUAUAUAUAUAUAUAUAAGUUAGGCUUCAAGUGCGUACUUGUUAGUUAAACCUAUGUAUAAAUUGUGACACUAAAUACGACUAGUAAGUAGUACAGUAGCAGUACUAGUAUACAUCGGUCAAAUUAUUCAUCAUGUCCACACAUUGAAUUGACGUGACAACACGCUGCACGUGAGGUGACACAAGAAUCCCGGCGGCGUGUUCGGGUAUUUCGGACUUCAGAUUUGGAGUACCACUUAUCUGUCGAAAUCUUUUUUUUCGAAACGGAGGCAAAAGAUUUGCCUCAUCCAUUAAAUAAGAGGAAAAUAGAGUUUAGAGUUUUUACAAGCGCCCUUGCAAAACGGCAUGGCAAUUACUCUCGUACAACCGUCGAAGAAGCGCGAGUUUUUACUCUGUCGAAAUCUUUCAUAAUUCACUUAAAACAGUCAAUUGGUCAUACAUUGAGUACCAUAUAACUGGAAUUUACGAUGCAAGUCGAAGAAGGAUUGGCCGGUGCUGCCGGCUGGCGUCAAGUUCGAUCCCACGGAUCAGGAGCUGAUCGAGCACCUUGAGGCCAAAGUGAGUGUUGACAGCGCAAGAUUUCAGUCUCUCAUCAAUUUGUUCAUACCAACCAUCGACAACGAGCACGGCAUAUGCUACACCCAACCUGAGAAACUUCCAGUUAAGACACCGAUCGGCCGUCUACUUGCACAAACAUAUUCCUUGUUUAUAGCUCUAUUUUUCUUUUUAGACGCAGACAUGGUGAAACAAUUACAAUUUGACAGUUAGUAAAAAGUGAAACAAGUGACUGCAACAUGCCAAAGAUGUUAUGAAAAUGCCAACUUGGUACACUAAAACCUGUAUUCCACAAUACUGUAGGUAUCACACUGAGUGCCCUAAGGAAGCAUUUCUUCCAGUGCAAUUCCAGGGCGUUCAAAAGGGGCACGUGGACGCGUCGCAAGAUACAGUCGGAGUGCGGCACGCACGCGAUGUGACACAAGACUGGCAAUACCUUGCCUGUGAUGGUCAACGGCCGGCAGACGGGCAGCAAAAAAGGUUCUGGUGCUGCACACCAACAAGAACUUCGACCAGCAGAGGACCAACUGGGUGAUGCACCAGUACCACAUCGGGGACCUGGAGCAAGAGAAGGAGCGGAGCUGGUCCUCUGCAAGAUUUUCUACUAGACGAACACUAGGUCCAGGAGUAGUUUAGUAUUGGUAGUUGUACUACCCUGUCAUCCGCAAGUUGGUAUUGUUGUUAACAAUCAUUUGGUAUGAACUUGCAUUUGCUUCCAACCAUCAUGCCGAGGGUCGACGUGGAUAUAAAUCUGAAUCAUUUGUUUCGAAACAAAUUCUCAGGCACCUGAUUUUUAUUUGAUGGGUAGCAUAAGCACCCGCCGUUCGAAUUCCCAGUUCUGCAGUUUUUUCAAAACAAGUGCAUGCACUUAUUAUCACGAUAAAAAAACAAUAUCCGUGAUGCGUCCCAGUUAUCAGUCUGUGCUUGCAGAAUUCUCUCGUUUAUUGAGCAUGUAUAUUGUUUUUUCAGGUCGAGCAAGUUUCAACUGGGCUGUAGACUGACCAGGGUUGGUUUUGUUUUUAACAGGCCCAGCCCAUGACGACAACGGGGCACAAAGAUUCAACCGGUAUCUACUGGCCUCUGGCCCGCCAGCGUUAGUUAUAUUUUGUCUUACAACAUCCGCAGGCAGUUUUGUUACUGACUCAAACACACAACCCAGUUCUAUUUUCCUCUUGAAACACAUGUCCUACAUCCGUUUUCUAAUCUCUACUAUAGUUUUACUAGUUCAUAUACACGUAUCAUUAUAUUGAAAACACAUAAAAUUCCCUUUUCAUAUUUACAUCCUUAUUUUUGUUGUUUUUUCCCACCCAUCGCUGAUUUUUUUACCACUGGUUUUCCCUUAAACCAACUCAAUUGUCCCACGUCUUAUUUGCUUACAAAAACAAAACGUUUUUUUGGCAAAUCAAUAAGUUCUUAAAAAAUGUUUAUCAUUUCGGGAUUACAACAGUUUGGACUCCACCGAAAUAUGCAAAAUAAGGUUGAACUUUUUGACCGUGGUCCUGGGCAGAAAAUGGGCUGUAAUAAAUUACUUAAGAAUUAGCAAAUGGGCUGCAAAUUAUAAAAAAUAGCAAAUGGGUUGCAAAUUGUAAAAAAUAGCAAAUGGGCUUUAUGUUGUCUGCCAUAGAUUUGGAGGCUGACUUGUGGGCCUACUAAGUUCAUGCGCACACAAGGUUUCAUAAAAAAGAAACUUAGUCAACAAUCGACUCUACCAGCGCCAGACCAUUAGAUGUCAAUCUAACGACAAUCGUGCUUCUUCGGUCUCUGAUCUUCCUUCCCCAGCCGCUCAAACCAGCAUCAUCGGAACCGCCUGCUCCCGCCUCCUAUGGCCGGCAGUGCUGCCGGGCAGGCCUCACGGCCCCAUCAUACUCGUAUCCCUGGCUUGUCUAUCCCUCUACUCACCCACACAUCCUGUUAUUUUCUGGCGAUGGCAGCCGAACCAGUCAACCCUCGUACUCUCCACCGCGUGGGCAGCCACUGCCGUGUCUUCACCAGCUCCCUGUCGUUCCCUUCGUAGGCCUCGCCGUCGUCCACCGCCCUGGUGCUCUCGGCGUGGCGUGGUCAACGAUGUCCAUCCAAUGGCCGUAGUGCUUCUUCAACCUCUAGUCUUCUUGCCCCAGCCGUCCAAAGCAACGCCGGUCGUGCCGCAUGCUCCUGCCUCCCGUGGCCGGCUGUGCUACUGCGGAGGCCUCACCGUCCCCAUACUACUCCCACCGCUGGCCAGGCCAUCCCUCCACUCACCCACUCCCCCUGUUAUUCUGCGGCGAUGACAGCCUUACACCGCAGCCGAACCAGUGAACCCUCGUACUUCUCUCCGCGUGGGCAUCCACUGCCGCGUCUUCCCCGGCUCCGCGUCGUCCCCUUCCUAGGCCUCGCCGUCGUCCACAACCCUGGUGCUCUCGGCGCGACGUGGUCAAUGUGGUCAAGGACCGACUUCCAUCGGAAGAGUAUUGUACGUGGAGAGGCUGACAGCUGGGUCCACAGCAGCCGCAAGGAAGUGCCUCCUUAUUACGCGCAAAAUAAUUAUUCCUCCACCUGACAGCAGGGACCCACCAGACGGGCCACCAGUAUUUCACGGAAAAAACGUUUCCCCCCUGACUGUUGUGACCCACCGGACAGGCCACCGUAUUUUGCAGAAAAAAUGUUUGCCCUUGACUGCUGGGACCCACUGGACGGACCACCAUAUUUCGUGAAAAAAAUGUUCCCCCCGCUGUCAGCUCGGACCCACCGGAAGUGCCUCCUUAUUACACACAGAAAAAUGAAUACUCCCCCUGCUAGCUGGGACCCACCAUGGUGGGAGGCUGACUUGUGGGCCUACUAAGUUGACGGGGACAGAGGGCUUUGUCAACUUAGUCAAUAUGAACGAUUCUAGCUCCAUUGACCGUAUGAUGUCCAUCCAACAGCCGUUGUGCUUCUUCAAUCUCUGCUCUUCCUGCUCCAGCCGCUCAAACAAGCGCCGGCGGGACUGCCUGCUCCCUCCUUCCCGCGACCGGCUGUGCUGCCGUGCAGGCCUCACUGCCCCACCGUACUCCCAUCGCUGGCCUAGCCAUCCCUCUACUCACCCACACAGCCACACCUGCUGUUAUUCUCCGGCGAGGGCAGACGAACCAGUUAAACCCUCGUACAGCUGUACUCCCCUCCGCGUGGGAAACAACUGCCGAGUCUUCCCUGCCUUCGUGUCGUUCCCUUCCUAGGCCUCGCCGUCGUCCACCGCCCUAGUGCUCUUGGCGCGGCGUGGUCAACGUGGUCAAGGAACGGCUUCCAUCGGACGUGGACUGUACGUGGAGAGGCUGACAGCUGGGUCCACGGUCGCAGCAAGGAAGUGCCUCAUUAUUACGUGCAAAAUAAUUAUUCCUCCACCUGACAUCUGGGACCCACCGGAAGGGCCUUUGUAUUUUGCAAAAAAACAUGCCCCCAGCUGACAUGUCGGACCCACCAGCUAUCUUCGCACACAAGGAAGUGCCUCCUUAUUACGCACAAAAAAAUGAAUACUCCCCCUGCCAGCUGGAACCCAGCAUAGUGGGAGGCUGACUUGUGGGCCUACCAAGUUGACGGGGACGGAGGGCUUUGUCAACUUAGUCAAUAUGAACGAUUCUAGCUCCUGUUACCAUACGAUGUUCAUCCAACGGCCGUAGUGCUUCUUCAACCUCUGGUCUUCUUGCUCCAGCCGCCCAAACCAGCGCCGGUCGUGCCGCGUGCUCCUGCCUCCCAUGGCCGGCUGUGAUGCCGCGGAGGCCUCACCGCCCCCUACUACUACCACCGCUGUCUAGGCCAUCCCUCUACUCACCCACCCCCCUGUUAUUCUGCGGCGACAGCAGCCUCACACCGCAGCCGAACCAGUGAAUCCUCGUACUCCUCUUCUGUUGGAAAUAUGCCCUAGAGGCAAUAAUAAAAGUAUUAUUAUUAUAUUUCCUUGUUCAUGAUAAUUGUCUUUUAUUCAUGCUAUAACUGUAUUAUCCGGAAAUCUAAUACACGUGUGAAUACAUAGACCACAAUAUGUCCCUAGUGAGCCUCUAGUUGACUAGCUCGUUGUGAUCAACAGAUAGUCAUGGUUUCCUGGCUAUGGACAUUGGAUGUCGUUGAUAACGGGAUCACAUCAUUAGGAGAAUGAUGUGAUGGACAAGACCCAAUCCUAAGACUAGCACAAAAGAUAGUGUAGUUCAUUUGCUAGAGCUUUGCCAAUGUCAAGUAUCUCUUCCUUCGACCAUGAGAGCGUGUAACUCCUGGAUACCAUAGGAGUGCUUUGGGUGUAUCAAACGUCACAACGUAACUGGGUGACUAUAAAGGUGCACUACAGGUAUCUCCGAAAGUAUCUAUUGUUUUAUGCGGAUCGAGACUGGGAUUUGUCACUCCGUGUAAACGGAGAGGUAUCUCUGGGCCCACUCGGUAGGACAUCAUCAUAUGCGCAAUGUGACCAAGGAGUUGAUCACGGGAUGAUGUGUUACGGAACGAGUAAAGUGACUUGCCGGUAACGAGAUUGAACAAGGUAUUGGAUACCGACGAUCGAAUCUCGGGAAAGUAACAUACCGAUAGACAAAGGGAAUUGAAUACGGGAUUGAUUAAGUCCUUGACAUCGUGGUUCAUCCGAUGAGAUCAUCGUGGAACAUGUGGGAGCCAUCAUGGGUAUCCAGAUCCCGCUGUUGGUUAUUGACCGGAGAACGUCUCGGUCAUGUCUACAUGUCUCCCGAACCCGUAGGGUCUACACACUUAAGGUUCGAUGACGCUAGGGUUAUAAAGGAAGUUUGUAUGUGGUUACCGAAUGUUGUUCGGAGUCCCGGAUGAGAUCCCGGACGUCACGAGGAGUUCCGGAAUGGUCCGGAGGUAAAGAUUUAUAUAUGGGAAGUCCUAUUUUGGCCACCAGAAAAUGUUCGGGAUUUUUCGGUAUUGUACCGGGAAGGUUCUAGAAGGUUCCGGAGUGGGGCCCACCUGCAUGGGGGGGCCCACAUGGACGUGGGUAGUGGGGGAAAGGCCCCACACCCCUGGUCAAGGCGCACCAAGAUCCCCCCUUAGAAGGAAUAAGAUCAUAUCCCGAAGGGAUAAGAUGAAGAUCCCUAAAAAGGGGGGAUAACAAUCGGUGGGGAAGGAAAUAAUGAGAUUUCUUUCCUCCCACCUUGGCAAACGCCCCAAUGGACUUGGAGGGCAAGAAACCAGUCCCUCCACCCCUAUAUAUAGUGGGGAGGCGCAUGGGAGCUACACACGAAGUUCUGGCGCAGCCCUCCCCCUCUCACAAGUACUCCUCCUCUCCCGCGGUGCUUGGCGAAGCCCUGCAGGAUUGCCACGCUCCUCCACCACCACCACGCCGUUGUGCUGCUGCUGGAUGGAGUCUUCCUCAACCUCUCCCUCUCUCCUUGCUGGAUCAAGGCUUGGGAGACGUCACCGGGCUGUAUGUGUGUUGAACGCGGAGGUGCCGUGCGUUCGACACUUGAUCAUCGGUGAUUUGAAUCACGACGAGUACGACUCCAUCAACCCCGUUCACUUGAACGCUUCCGCUUAGCGAUCUACAAGGGUAUGUAGAUGCACUCUCUUUCUACUCGUUGCUGGUCUCUCCAUAGAUAGAUCUUGGUGACACGUAGGAAAAUUUUGAAUUUCUGCUACGUUACCCAACAGUGGCAUCAUGAGCUAGGUCUAUUGCAUAGAUUCUUUGCACGAGUAGAACACAAAAUAGUUGUGGGCGUUGAUGUUGUUCAAUAUGCUUACCGUUACUAGUCCAAUCUUGUUUCGACGGUAUUGUGGGAUGAAGCGGCCUGGACCGACCUUACACGUACUCUUACGUGAGACAGGUUCCACCGAUUGACAUGCACUUGGUGCAUAAGGUGGCUAGCGGGUGCCAGUCUCUCCCACUUUAGUCGGAACGGAUUCGAUGAAAAGGGUCCUUAUGAAGGGUAAAUAGCAAUUGGCAUAUCACGUUGUGGUCUUGCGUAGGUAAGAAACGUUCUUGCUAGAAACCCAUAGCAGCCACGUAAAACAUGCAACAACAAUUAGAGGACGUCUAACUUGUUUUUGCAGGGUAUGCUAUGUGAUGUGAUAUGGCCAAGAAGAAUGUGAUGAAUGAUAUGUGAUGUAUGAGAUUGAUCAUGUUCUUGUAAUAGGAUUCACGACUUGCAUGUCGAUGAGUAUGACAACCGGCAGGAGCCAUAGGAGUUGUCUUUAUUUAUUGUAUGACCUGCGUGUCAUUGAAGAACGCCAUGUAAACUACUUUACUUUAUUGCUAAACGCGUUAGUCAUAGAAGUAGAAGUAGUCGUUGGCGUGACAACUUCAUGAAGACACGAUGAUGGAGAUCAUGAUGAUGGAGAUCAUGGUGUCGUGCCGGUGGCGAUGAUGAUCAUGGAGCCCCGAAGAUGAAGAUCAAAAGGAGCAAAAUGAUAUUGGCCAUAUCAUGUCACUAUUUGAUUGCAUGUGAUGUUUAUCAUGUUUAUGCAUCUUGUUUGCUUAGGACGACGGUAGUAAAUAAGAUGAUCCCUUACAAAAUUUCAAGAAGUGUUCUCCCCUAACUGUGCAUCGUUGCUACAGUUCGUCGCUUCUAAGCACCACGUGAUGAUCGGGUGUGAUGGAUUCUUACGUUCACAUACAACGGGUGUAAGACAGUUUUACACAGCGAAAACACUUAGGGUUAACUUGACGAGCCUAGCAUGUGCAGACAUGGCCUCGGAACACGGAGACCGAAAGGUCGAGCAUGAGUCGUAUGGUAGAUACGAUCAACAUGAAGAUGUUCACCGAUGAUGACUAGUCCGUCUCACGUGAUGACCGGACACGGCCUAGUUGACUCGGAUCAUGUGAUCACUUAGAUGACCAGAGGGAUGUCUAUCUAAGUGGGAGUUCAUAAGAUGAACUUAAUUAUCCUGAACAUAGUCAAAAGACCUUUUGCAAAUUAUGUCAUAAGCUCGCGCUUUAGUUCCACUGUUUAGAUAUGUUCCUAGAGAAAAUAUAGUUGAAAGUUGAUAGUAGCGAUUAUGCGAUCAGUAGAAAGCUUAUGUCCUUAAUGCACCGCUCAGUGUGCUGAACCCCAACGUCGUUUGUCGAUGUUGCGAACAUCGGACAUACACGUUUUGAUAACUACGUGAUAGUUCAAUUAAAUGGUUUAAGUAGAGGCACCAAAGACGUUUUCGAAACGUCGCGGAACAUAUGAGAUGUUUCGAGGGCUGAAAUUGGGAUUUUAGGCUCGUGCCCACGUCAAGAGGUAUAAGACCUCCGACGAUUUUCUUAGCCUGCAAACUAAGGGAGAAAAGCUCAAUCGUUGAGCUUGUGCUCAGAUUGUCUGAGCACAACAAUCACUUGAAUCGAGUGGGAGUUGAUCCUCCAGAUGAGAUAGUGAUGUUUCCCCAAAGUCAUUGCCACCAAGCUGCUAGAGCUUCGUGAUUAACUAUAACAUAUCAGGGAUGGAUAUGAUGAUCCUUGAAAUAUUCAUGAUGUUUGACACCGCGAAAGUAGAAAUCAAGAAGGAGCAUCAAUUGUUGAUGGUUGGUGAAACCACUAGUUUCAAGAAGGGCAAGGGAACAAAGGGAUACUUCAUGAAACGGCAAUUCAGCUGCUGCUCUAGUGAAGAAACCCAAGGUUGAACCCAAACCCGAGACUAAGUGCUUCUGUAAUAAGGGGAACAACCACUGGAGCAGCAUUACCCUAGAUACUUGGUAGAUGAGAAGGCUGGCAAGGUCGAUAGAAGUAUAUUGGAUAUACAUUAUGUUAAUGUGUACUUUACUAGUACUCCUAGUAGCACCAAGGUAUUGGAUACCGGUUCGGUUGCUAAGUGUUAGUAACUCGAAAUUAAAGCUACGGAAUAAACGGAGACUAGCUAAAGGUGAGCUGACGAUAUAUGUUGGAAGUGUUUCCAAGGUUGAUAUGAUCAAGCAUCGCACGCUCCCUCUACCACCGAGAUUGGUGUUUGCAUUGAGCAUAGACAUGAUUGGAUUAUGUCUAUCGCAAUACGGUUAUUCAUUUAAGGAGAAUAAUGGUUACUCUAUUUUUGAAUAAUACCUUCAAUGGUCUUGCACCUAAAGGAAUGGUUUAUUGAAUCUCGGUCGUAGUGAUACACAUUUUCAUGCCAAAAGAUAUAAGAUAGUAAUGAUAGUACCACUUACUUGUGGCACUGCCAUGUAAGUCAUAAUGGUAUAAAACGCAUGAAGAAGCUCCAUGUUGAUGGAUCUUUGGACUCACUCGUUUUUGAAAAGUUUGAGACAUGCGAACCAUGUCUAUUGGUGUAUAUGCAUGAAGAAACUCCAUGCAAAUGGAUCGUUCGGACUCACUUGAUUUUGAAUCACUUGAGAUAUGCAAAUCAUACCACAUGGGCAAGAUGACUGAAAAGCCUCAUUUUCAGUAAGAUGGAACAAGAUAGCAACUUGUUGGAAGUAACACAUUUUGAUGUGUGCAGUCGAAUGAGUGCUGAGGCAUGCAGUGAAUAUCAUUAUGUUCUUACUUCACAGAUGAUUCGAGUAAAUGUUGAGUAUAUUUACUUGAUGAAACACAAGUCUGAAUUAUUGAGUGGUUCAAGUAAUUUUAGAGUGAAGUAGCAGAUCAUUGUGACAAGAGGAUAAAAUGUCUAUGAUAUGAUCAUAGAGAUGAAUAUCUGAGUUACGAGUUUUGGCACACACUUAAGACAUUGUGGAUAUUGUUUCGCAAUUAAUACCGCCUGGAACACCAUAAUGUGAUGGUGUGUCCGAACAUCAUAGUUGCACCCUAUUGGAUAUGGUGCGUACCAUGAUGUCUCUUAUCGAAUUACCACUAUCGUUCAUGGGUUAGGCAUUAGAGACAACCACAUUCACUUUAAAUAGGGCACCACGUAAUUCCGAUGAGAUGACACCGUAUGAAUUAUGGUUUAGAGAAACCUAAGUUGUCGUUUCUUAAAAGUUUGGGGCUGCGACGCUUAUAUGAAAAAGUUUCAGGUUGAUAAGCUCGAUCCCAAAGCGGAUAAAAUGCAUCUUCAUAGGAAACCCAAAACAGUUGGGUAUACCUCCUAAUUCAGAUCCGAAAGCAAUAUGGAUUGUUUCUAGAAUCGGGUCCUUUCUCGAGGAAAAGUUUCUCUCGAAAGAAUUGAGUGGGAGGAUGGUGGAGACUUGAUGAGGUUAUUGAACCGUCUCUUCAACUAGUGUGUGACAGGGCACAGGGAGUUGUUCCUGUGGCACCUACACCAAUUGAAGUGGAAGCUUAUGAUAUUGAUCAUGAAACUUCGGAUCAAGUCACUCCCAAACCUCGUAGGAUGACAAGGAUGCGUACUACUUCAGAGUGGUACGUAAUCCUGUCUUGAAGGUCAUGUUGCUAGACAACAAUGAACCUAUGAGCUAUGGAGAAGCGAUGGUGGGCCCGGAUUCCGAUAAAUGGCUUGAGGCCAUAAAAUCCGAGAGAGGAUCCAUGUAUGAAAACAAAGUGUAGACUUUGGCAGAACGGCUCGAUGGUCGUAAGGCUAAUGAGUACAGAUGGAUUUCAAAAGGAAGACGGACAAUGAUGGUAAAUGUCACCAUUAAGAAAGCUCGACUUGUCGUUAAGAUGUUUUCCGACAAGUUCAAGGAGUUGACUACGAUGAGAUUUUCUCACUCGUAGCGAUGCUGAGAGUCUGUUGGAAUUAUAUUAGCGAUUACUGCAUUAUUUAUGAAAUCUUGCAGAUAGGAUGUCAAAACAUUGUUUCCUCGACGAUUUUAAUGAGGAAAGGUUGUAUGUGAUACAACCGGAAGGUUUUGUCAAUCCUGAAAGAUGCUAAUAAGUAUGCAAAGCUCCAGCAAUCCUUCUAAGGACUGGAGUGAGCAUCUCGGAGUUGGAAUGUAUGCUUUGAUGAUGAUCAAAAAUUUUGGGUUUGUACAAAGUUUAUGAGAAACUUGUAUUUCCAAAGAAGUGAGUGGGAGCACUAUAGAAUUUCUGAUGAGUAUAUGUUGUUGACAUAUUGUUGAUCAGAAAUGACGUAGAAUUUCUGGAAAGCAUAUAGGGUUAUUUUGAAAGUGUUUUUCAAUGGAAAGCCUGGAUUAAGCUACUUGAACAUUGAGCAUCAAGAUCUAUAAGGAUAGAUCAAAAUGCUUAAUAAUACUUUCAAAUGAGCACAUACCUUGACAUGACCUUGAAGGUGUUCAAGAUGGACCAGUCAAAGAAGGAGUUCUUGCCUGAGUUGUAAGGUACGAAGUUAAGACUUAAAGCUCGACCACGGCAGAAUAGAGAGAAAGGACGAAGGUCGUCCCCUAUGCUUAAGACGUAGGCUCUUCAGUAUGCUAUGCUGUGUACCGCACCUGAAGUGUGCCUUGCCAUGAGUCAGUCAAGGGGUACAAGAGUGAUCCAAGAAUGGCUCACAGGACAGCGGUCAAAGUUAUCCUUAGUAACUAGUGGACUAAGGAAUUUUCUCGAUUAUGGAGGUGGUAAAAGAGUUCGUCGUAAAGGUUACGACGAUGCAAGCUUGACACCUAUCCGGAUAGCUCUGAGUAGAGAGACCGCAUACAUAUAAUGGAGCAAUAAUUUAGAAUAGCUCCAAGUAGAACAGUUGUUUGGAAUAGCUCCAAAUAGAGCGUGGUAGCUGCAUCUAGGAGAUGACAUAGAGAUUUGUAAAGCACACACGGAUCUGAAAGGUUCAGACCCGUUGACUAAAACCUCUCUCACAAGCAACAUGAUAAAACAUAAAACUCAUUGAGUGUUAAUCACAUAGUGAUGUGAACUAGACUACUGACUCUAGUAAACUCUUGCGUAUUAGUCACAUGGCGAUGUGACCUGUGAGUGUUAAUCACAUGGCGAUGUGAACUAGAUUAUUGACUCUAGUGCAAGUGGGAGACUGUUGGAAAUAUGCCCUAGAGGCAAUAAUAGAAGUAUUAUUAUUAUAUUUCCUUGUUCAUGAUAAUUGUCUUUUAUUCAUGCUAUAACUGUAUUAUCCGGAAAUCGUAAUACACGUGUGAAUACAUAGACCACAAUAUGUCCCUAGUGAGCCUCUAGUUGACUAGCUCGUUGUGAUCAACAGAUAGUCAUGGUUUCCUGGCUAUGGACAUUGGAUGUCGUUGAUAACGGGAUCACAUCAUUAGGAGAAUGAUGUGAUGGACAAGACCCAAUCCUAAGACUAGCACAAAAGAUCGUGUAGUUCAUUUGCUAGAGCUUUGCCAAUGUCAAGUAUCUCUUCCUUCGACCAUGAGAGCGUGUAACUCCUGGAUACCGUAGGAGUGCUUUGGGUGUAUCAAACGUCACAACGUAACUGGGUGACUAUAAAGGUGCACUACAGGUAUCUCCAAAAGUAUCUAUUGUUUUAUGCGGAUCGAGACUGGGAUUUGUCACUCCGUGUAAAUGGAGAGGUAUCUCUGGGCCCACUCGGUAGGACAUCAUCAUAUGCGCAAUGUGACCAAGGAGUUGAUCACGGGAUGAUGUGUUACGGAACGAGUAAAGUGACUUGCCGGUAACGAGAUUGAACAAGGUAUUGGAUACCGACGAUCGAAUCUCGGGCAAGUAACAUACCGAUAGACAAAGGGAAUUGAAUACGGGAUUGAUUAAGUCCUUGACAUCGUGGUUCAUCUGAUGAGAUCAUCGUGGAACAUGUGGGAGCCAUCAUGGGUAUCCAGAUCCCGCUGUUGGUUAUUGACCGGAGAACGUCUCGGUCAUGUCUACAUGUCUCCCGAACCCGUAGGGUCUACACACUUAAGGUUCGAUGACGCUAGGGUUAUAAAGGAAGUUUGUAUGUGGUUACCGAAUGUUGUUCGGAGUCCCGGAUGAGAUCCCGGACGUCACAAGGAGUUCCGGAAUGGUCCGAGGUAAAGAUUUAUAUAUGGGAAGUCCUAUUUUGGCCACCGGAAAAUGUUCGGGAUUUUUCGGUAUUGUACCGGGAAGGUUCUAGAAGGUUCCGGAGUGGGGCCCACCUGCAUGGGGGGACCCACAUGGACGUGGGUAGUGGGGGAAAGGCCCCACACCCCUGGUCAAGGCGCACCAAGAUCCCCCCUUAGAAGGAAUAAGAUCAUAUCCCGAAGGGAUAAGAUCAAGAUCCCUAAAAAGGGGGGAUAACAAUCGGUGGGGAAGGAAAUAAUGAGAUUUCUUUCCUCCCACCUUGGCCAACGCCCCAAUGGACUUGGAGGGCAAGAAACCAUCCCCUCCACCCCUAUAUAUAGUGGGGAGGCGCAUGGGAGCUAUACACGAAGUUCUGGCACAGCCCUACCUCUCUCCCUACUCCUCCUCUCCCAUGGUGCUUGGCGAAGCCCUGCUGGAUUGCCACGCUCCUCCACCACCACCACGCCGUUGUGCUGCUGUUGGAUGGAGUCUUCCUCAACCUCUCCCGCUCUCCUUGCUGGAUCAAGGCGUGGGAGACGUCACCGGGCUGUACGUGUGUUGAACGCGGAGGUGCCGUCCGUUCGGCACUAGGAUCAUCGGUGAUUUGAAUCACGAUGAGUACGACUCCAUCAACCCCGUUCACUUGAACGCUUCCGCUUAGCGAUCUACAAGGGUAUGUAGAUGCACUCUAUUUCUACUCGUUGCUGGUCUCUCCAUAGAUAGAUCUUGGUGACACGUAGGAAAAUUUUGAAUUUCUGCUACAUUCCCCAACAUCUUCACGUGGGCAUCCACUGCUGCAUCUUCCCCGGCUCAGAGUCGUCCCCUUCCUAGGCCUCGCCGUCGUCCACGGCCGUGGUGCUCUCGGCGCGGCAUGGUCAACGUGGUCAAGGAACGACUUCCAUCGGACGUGGACUGUACGUGGAGAGGCUGACAGCUGGGUCCACGGCCGCCGCAAGGAAGUGCCUCCUUAUUACGUGCAAAAUAAUGACUCCUCCACCUGACAGCGGGGACCCACCGGACGGGCCACCGUAUUUCACGAAAAAAACGAUUCGCCCCCCUGACUGCUGGGACCCACCAGCUACAUCUUCGCACGCAAGGAAGUGCGUCCGGGCAAAAAACAAACGAUUCGCCCCCCUGACUGCUGGGACCCACCAGCUACAUCUUCGCACGCAAGGAAGUGCCUGACAGUCGGGACCCACCUGGUCGAAGCAUAUGUAGCGUUGUCAUUCUGGUCGCGAACGUGUACGUACAUACUGGUCGAUGUAGAGGCGCGCAUGUGUCGUAGAUGUAGAGGCGCACACGUGUCGUAGUAGAGGCGCACACGUAGCAUGUACACGUACGUACAUGGCGAGGGUGCAAGAAAGAAAAUACGGCCACGUACGUACAUACGGGCAGGGUCUCUAACGCCUAUCGCGCAUACGUACAUGGCUGGGUCAGAACGGAGAAACAUCAUCGUCGUCGUGUUUAUGGGGAGCCAACCGGCUGGGUCGGAACGGAAUGCGUGGUCGUGUUCAUCGGGAGGGCUUGGACGGAACAGGAGAUGGAAACGAGGCCUGGCGUACCGCACAACGGAGGAAACGGCCUUGUCUUCGACCGGCCACGUCGAAACGGGGUCCUGUUGAUCGGGAGGGGCCUGGCGUACCGCAAAACGGAGGAAACGGACCUCCUACGGUCGAAACGGGGGUCCUGUUGAUCGGGAGGGGUGUGGCGUACUGCAAAACGGACGAAACAGACUUGUGUUGGAGCGCUACGGUCGAAACGGGGUUCCUGUUCAUCGGGAGGGGUGUGGCGUACCGCAAAACGGACGAAACAGACUUGUGUUGGAGNNNNNNNNNNNNNNNNNNNNNNNNNNNNNNNNNNNNNNNNNNNNNNNNNNNNNNNNNNNNNNNNNNNNNNNNNNNNNNNNNNNNNNNNNNNNNNNNNNNNNNNNNNNNNNNNNNNNNNNNNNNNNNNNNNNNNNNNNNNNNNNNNNNNNNNNNNNNNNNNNNNNNNNNNNNNNNNNNNNNNNNNNNNNNNNNNNNNNNNNNNNNNNNNNNNNNNNNNNNNNNNNNNNNNNNNNNNNNNNNNNNNNNNNNNNNNNNNNNNNNNNNNNNNNNNNNNNNNNNNNNNNNNNNNNNNNNNNNNNNNNNNNNNNNNNNNNNNNNNNNNNNNNNNNNNNNNNNNNNNNNNNNNNNNNNNNNNNNNNNNNNNNNNNNNNNNNNNNNNNNNNNNNNNNNNNNNNNNNNNNNNNNNNNNNNNNNNNNNCGUACCGCAAAACUGGACUCCACGGGAUACUGUUCAUCUCCACCGUCGACCUCCUCCAGCCUCCACGGGCUACCGUCGACCUCCUCCAGCCUCCACGGGCUCCUGUUCAUCCAGCCUCCACCGCGCGCUACUCCACCGACUACUGUUCAACCACCCCUCCACGGGCACCCCUCCAUCGUCUACUGUUCAUCCAGCCCUCCACACCACGGGGUCCUGUUCAACCACCCCUCCACGGCCACCCCUCCACCGUCUACUGUUCAUCCAGCCCUCCACACCACGGGUUCCUGUUCAUCCAGAGGCAAUGCCACCGCUCACUAUUCAUCCACCCCCCGCAACACUCACUGUUCAUCCCAGAGGCAGCAUCGAUCGGCUUUAGUUAGCAGCAGUAGCGAAGGAAUCGCUCCAUCGGGUUCAGUUAACAGCCAUGGAUCGAUGGCUCGGGUUCAGUAACGCGUAGCCUGCAGUGCAAUCUCUCGGGUUCAGUUAGAGCCCAACGCCUCGCUCGGCUUCAGUUAGAGCCAACGCCUCGCACACACGCGCGUACGUAUGAGAGAAACGCACAUCGCUCCACCCCGACCUCCCACCGUAACCGGCAACUCCCCGAAAUUCCCCCCCUUGCUUCUACCAUGGUUUUUUCCGUCAUGGACGGCCCUAAGAAUGUCAUGCAACUGCAUCUCCAACCCGCCCAAGACGAAAAUCCCAUUUUCUGUCGUGAUUUUUUGUCAUAGAAGUAGGAGCCCACCACAUCUAUGAUGAUACCGGGUUUUGUCACAAUUAUCAUCAUAGAAGUGUCAUAUGUAUGACAUAAUUUUUUUUCGUUCAACCCAAAAUGUCACGGAUGUGUCUUUUUUUUGUAGUGCCAACACAACACCUUCAGUGACCAUGAAAUGACUCUUCUCCCAAUUCAUCACCAAACCUGUUUCCUCAUAUUCCUGCAAAAUCUUUGUGUGAUUAUAGAGACAACUAUCAAAGGAUGUGCCUUGAACAGAAAAAUUGUCCAUGAACACUUCAACAAUCUUUUCAAUAUAAUCAGGAAAGACUUUAGAUAUGCAUUUUUAAAACGAGGGUGAUCCAUUACAUUGACCAAAUGGCAUUCUAUGAUAUGCAUACCUACCAUACGGACAAGUGAAAGUGGUCUUUUCUUGAUCCUCAGGUCGGAUUGGUAUUUGAGAGAAACCAGAAUACCCAUCAAGGUAACAAAAAUAAGAAUUGUUGGCUAAUAUCUCCAAUAUCUCAUUUUUGAAUGGCAAUGGAUAGUGAUCCUUCUUUGUAUACUUAUUGAUGCCUGCUUGAACUACGUCGGUAUUUCCCCAAAGAGGAAGGGAUGAUGCAGCACAUCGACGGUAGGUAUUUCCCUCAGUGAUGAGACCAAGGUUACCGAACCAGUAGGAGAACCAGGCAACACAACGUAAACAGCCCCUACACACAAAUAACAAAUACUUGCAACCCCAUGUGUUAAAGGGGUUGUCAAUUCCUCUCAGGUAACGGUGCCAGAAAUUGGCGCGGAGAUGUGAUAAAGUUGUAAUAGAUAGGAUAAAUGGAGCGUAAAUAAAAUAAAGUGCAGCAAGGUACUUUUGUAUUUUUGGUUUAACAGAUCUGAAAAUAAAAGAAAAGGAAAAUAGAUCGCAAAGGCAAAUAUGAUAGACCCGGGGGCCGUAGGUUUCACUCGUGGCUUCUCUCGAGAAAAAUAGCAAACGGUGGGAAAACAAUUACUAUUGGGAAAUUGAUAGAACUUCAAAUAAUCAUGAUGAUAUCUAGGCAAUGAUCAUCAUAUAGGCAUCACGUCCAAGAUUAGUAGACCAACUCCUGCCUGCAUCUACUACUAUUACUCCACAUAUCGACCGCUAUCCAGCAUGCAUCUAGUGUAUUAAGUUCAUGAAAAAACAGAGUAAUGCAAUAAGAAUGAUGACAUGAUGUAGACAAGAUCUAUUUAUGUAGAAAUAGACCCCAUCUUGUUAUCCUUAAUCAACAAUACACACAUGUCAUUUUCUCUUCUGUCACUGGGAUCAAGCACCGUAAGAUCAAACCAUCACAAAGCACCUCUUCCCAUUGCAAGAUAAAUAGAUCAAGUUGGUCAAACAAACCCCAAAUAUCGGAGAAGAAAUACGAGGCUAUAACCAAUCAUGCAUACAAGAGAUCAAAGAAGACUCAAACAACUUUCAUGGAUAAAAACAUAGAUCUGAUCAUAAACUCAAAGUUCAUCGGAUCCCAACAAACACACCGCAAAAACACUUACAUCAUAUGGAUCUCCAAGAGACCAUUGUAUUGAGAAUCAAGAGAGAGAGAGAGAGAGGAAGCCAUCUAGCUACUAACUACGGACCCGUAGGUCUACAAAGAACUACUCAUGCAUCAUCGGAGAGGCACCAAUGGACAUGAUGAACCCCUCCGUGAUGGUGCCUAGAUUGGAUCUGGUGUUUCUAGAACUUGUGGCGUCUGGAAUUGAUUUUCGUCGACUCUCUUAGGGUUUCUAGAAUAUUGGGGUAUUUAUAGAGCAAAGAGGCGGUGCGGGAGGCCACCAAGGUGGGCACAACCCACCUAGGCGCGCCUGGGGGCCCAGACGCGCCCUGUGGAUUGUGCUCCCCUCGGAGCACCCCUCAGGUAAUUUCUUGGCCCAUACGGUGUCUUCUAGUCUAGAAAAAAUCCACAAAUUUUUUUGCUGUGUUUGGACUCCGUUUAGUAUUGAUUUCCUGCGAUGUAAAAAACAAGCAGAAAUCAACAACUGGCACUGGGCACUAUGUCAAUAGGUUAGUACCAAAAAAGAUAUAAAAUGACUAUAAAAUGAUUAUAAAACAUCCAAGGAUGAUAAUAUAACAGCAUGGAACAAUAAAAAGUUAUAGAUACGUUGGAGACGUAUUACUUAUUUAAUUCCCUGAAAUCAACACACAUCCCAUAUCCAACAACAGCCCUAGUGGGAACUAGGUCAUUGUUUUUGUUAGUUACCAAGGAAACUCCUCCUUUCUUUGGAAUGUAAUGGACCGGGCUUACCCAUUUGCUAUCAGAUAUGGGAUAAAUUACCCCUACAUCAAGGAGACGUAUUAUUUAUUUUCUUACCACAUUCUUCGACGCCAGAUGUAGUCUACUUUGGCUCUCAAUAACUGGCUUAGCCCCUUCUUCAAUAGGUAUUGCAUGAGAAUACAUAGAGAGAUGUAUCUCUUUUACAUAUCAUAUUGAAUAGCCAAAGCCUUUCGAUGCUUACUUAGUACUGCUAAGAGUUUUUCUUUCUCUUUUGCUGAAAGGUCAGCAUUAACAAUAAUAGGGAAAUCUCUCUGUAUUAUCCAUAAACUCAUACAUUAACCCCUUGGGUAGUGGUUUCGAAGUUGGAGGAGGUAAAUCCUCGUCUCCCUUUCGCUCGAGUGCUUCAUAAACUUUAUUGAGGCACGGGCAUACUAUUGGUGUAGCAUCCAUUAUCAUUUUGAUCUCCUCUUUCUCUUUCUCUUCAUCUUCAUAUAAGGAUCAUGGACUUACCAAUACCUGUUUGACCUCAUCCUCUGGUGCCUGGAGAUGGAUUUCAGCUAGUUGAUUUAAUUCCUGCUCCUCAUUAUCCCGAGCCUCCUCUUCAUACAGCUUACUUAAUAUAGGGGAAAAUGGGAAUUUUAUCAUUUCAUCUCCCCACUUCAUGGAGAUGGGUGUCUUCUUUACGUAGGCUCCUGCAACAUUCAAAAAAGAGGUUCUAAAAACAAUAGGACAAUCUUUAUCCUCAGAGAUCAUUAGUACAUAAAUAUAAAUGGGAUAAAUAAGAGAGUCUAUUAUUAUGUUGACAUCUUUAAGGAUGCCACAAGGUUUCCUUUCGGUUUUAUCUGCAAGCUUGAUAAUAACAUCAACAUGCUCAAGGGUGCAAGGAGCAAUAUCAUCAUAAAUCUUAGCAUAAAGACUAAGGAAUAAUAUUAAGCGGUGAACCGGGAUCACAUAACCCAAAAUAUGCCUUACAUCCAAAGGAGCAUGAUAAAAUUUGCUUACCUACCCUUUUACCUUAUGUACACCCUUUGAGAUAAGAAGUGGUAUCCCUAUCUAGAUAUACCUCUUUAUUCACCACCGAUAUAAGUACAACAAGUUCUUCCAUUAUAUUGACAUAGGGUGAUAUCCCAUAUUGUUCCAUCUUGUCCUUCUCUUCUCCUUUUCUAAGGGUGUUCCGUUCAGUAUUUUACCAUUGGGCUUGUGGUAGGCUUCUUUUCACCUUUCAGUCGGAGUAGUCUUGUUUCUUUAUAGCUUCCACCAUGCAAAUAACCUUAGACUCCCUGCUGAAUUUCAAGUACUUCUUCUCUGGCAAGUUCAAGAACUUAGAAAAAUCUUUCAAAACAUGCAACAUGGGUUCAAUUCCAAUAUUUAGCUCACGACGUAAUUUUUUUACUUUCGAAGUUCUAAGGAAAGAUUUAAUGCUAUCAUAGACAGGAUCAACUUUACUCUUUUCCUUCGAACAAAGGUACCAAUUCUCAGCAUUGUACCUCAUCAUGUCAAGUAAGUUCCAAGCAUCUGAUAUCCCGGUUCCCAAAAAGGAACCUUUAGAGGCAAGAUCUAAAGCUUGUUUACUUUGUCGAGUAAGCCCACCAUAAAAGAAGUUAACUACUAAAAAGUCGGGAUAAUGAUGUUCAAGGCAAGCGAGAAGUAUUUCAAGAUACCUUAUAUAUGCCUCCACUAGUUUCUCACCUUCCCUUUGUCCAAAACUGCUUAUCUUCCUCCUGAUUGUAUAUAGCUUUCCUUGAGGACAAUAAUAAGAGGAAAAAGCAGCCCGUAAUUUUGGCCAACUACUCAAGGCCAUCUUUAGCGGGUAUCGAACACUCAUCGAUCUCUCUCACAAUAAGCGAGAUACAUCUCUCACAGGCACAACCAGACAUUGCAAUGCAAUGUCUAUUGCCUAUGUUAAUGUUGUGGCGCUCACCUGGGUUGGCCCAUAAGAACGCUGAGUCGCCAAAGCGAUGUAUAUUUGUUCACUGAAAAAACUAUGAGUUUGUAAAAACAAAACCAGCCAAGACGUUGUAUUAGUACACAAAACCCAUCAAUGUCUACAUGUAUUUAUAUUUAAUAUAUAUCUUAGUUGUGUGCAUCUAACUAAAAGAGGAAUGUAAAUAGUUUUGAGAGUGCAUAUAGACCGUAAUUGUGUUUUGUUGUUUAUGAUGAUAUGUUUAGUAGGACUAAUGGCGUUUAUCGAAUUUAUUUUGACGACAUGUGUUCCUUGAUGAAUGGGAAGGAGAUGGUUCACCCGAAUGUGUCGGUUAGUCAAAGGACUCAAUGUUUUUUCUGGUUUAUUUAAGUCUUGGGAAAGUCGCACUAUUUAGAGGCGUUGAGGUUGAAUAAUUGUGGGGAUCAUGCCUAGUAAUAAAAACUGUUCUCAAAUGAAGUUGUUGCAGUACCCCCCCGGGUCCAUUGGAGAUGCUCUUAAAAGAUAACAAUGGGAGCUGGUUGAUAACCCACAAGUAUAGGGGAUUGCAACAGCUUUCGAGGGUAGAGUAUUCAACCCAAAUUUAUUGAUUCGACACAAGGGGAGCCAAAGAAUAUUCUUGAGUAUUAGCAGUUGAGUUGUCAAUUCAACCACACCUGGAUAACUUAGUAUCUGUAGCAAAGUAUUUAGUAGCAAAAGUGGUAUGAUAGUAAUGGUAAUAGUAGCAACAGAAAAGAUAAAUGUUUUUGGGUUUUCGUAGUAGUUGUAACAGUAGCAACAGAAAAGUAAAUAAGCGAAGAACAAUAUAUGAAAAGCUCGUAGGCAAUGGAUCAGUGAUGGAUAAUUAUGCCGGAUGCGAUUCCUCAUGCAAUAGUUAUAACAUAGGGUGAUAUAGAACUAGCUCCAAUUCAUCAAUGUAAUGUAGGCAUGUAUUUCGUAAAUAGUCAUACGUGCUUAUGGAAAAGAACUUGCAUGACAUCUUUUGUCCUACCCUCCCAUGGCAGCGGGGUCCUAGCAGAAACUAAGGGAUAUUAAGGCCUCCUUUUAAUAGAGAACCGGACCAAAGCAUUAACACAUGGUGAAUACAUGAACUCCUCAAACUACAGUCAUCACCGAGAAGUAUCCCGAUUAUUGUCACUUCGGGGUUGUCGGAUCAUAACACAUAAUAGGUGACUAUAGACUUGCAAGAUAGGAUCAAGAGCACACAUAUAUUGAUGAAAACAUAAUAGGUUCAGAUCUGAAAUCAUGGCACUCGAGCCCUAGGGACAAGCAUUAAGCAUAGCAAAGUCAUAGCAACAUCAAUCUCAGAACAUAGUGAAUACUAGGGACCAAACCCUAACAAAACUAACUUGAUUACAUGGUAAAUCUCAUCCAACCCAUCACCGUCCAGCAAGCCUACGAUGGAAUUACUCACGCACGGCGGUGAGCAUCAUGAAAUUGGUGAUGGAGGAUGGUUGAUGAUGACGACGGCAACGAAUCCCCCUCUCCGGAGCCCCGAACGGACUCCAGAUCAGCCCUCCCGAGAGAGAUUAGGGCUUGGCGGCGGCUCCGUGUCGUAAAACAUGAUGAAAGUUUCUCUCUGAUUUUUUUCUCUACGAGACGGAAGAUAUAGAGUUGGAGUUGAGGUCGGUGGAGGUCCAGGGGUCCCACGAGAUAGGAGGGCGCGCCCUAGGGGGGGCACCCCCUGUCUCGUGGACAGCCCGUGGGCCCCCUGGCCUUGAUUCUUUCACCAAAAAUUCUUAUUAAAUCUGAAAAGUGCUGUCGGUGUCAAAAUCGGCGGAUCUCGGGUAGGGGGUCCCGAACUGUGCGUCUAGGCGGAUGGUAAGAGGAGACAAGGGAAACAAUGUUUUUACCCAGGUUCGGGCCCUCUCGAUGGAGGUAAAACCCUACUCCUGCUUGAUUAAUAUUGAUGAUAUGGGUAGUACAAGAGUUGAUCUACCACGAGAUCAGAGAGGCUAAACCCUAGAAGCUAGCCUAUGGUAUGAUUGUUGUUCGUCCUACGGACUAAAACUCUCCGGUUUAUAUAGACACCGGAGAGGGCUAGGGUUACACANNNNNNNNNNNNNNNNNNNNNNNNNNNNNNNNNNNNNNNNNNNNNNNNNNNNNNNNNNNNNNNNNNNNNNNNNNNNNNNNNNNNNNNNNNNNNNNNNNNNNNNNNNNNNNNNNNNNNNNNNNNNNNNNNNNNNNNNNNNNNNNNNNNNNNNNNNNNNNNNNNNNNNNNNNNNNNNNNNNNNNNNNNNNNNNNNNNNNNNNNNNNNNNNNNNNNNNNNNNNNNNNNNNNNNNNNNNNNNNNNNNNNNUGCGUCUAGGCGGAUGGUAACAGGAGACAAGGGACACGAUGUUUUUACCCAGGUUCGGGCCCUCUCGAUGGAGGUAAAACCCUACUCCUGCUUGAUUAAUAUUGAUGAUAUGGGUAGUACAAGAGUUGAUCUACCAUGAGAUCAGAGAGGCUAAACCCUAGAAGCUAGCCUAUGGUAUGAUUGUUGUUCGUCCUACGGACUAAAACUCUCCGGUUUAUAUAGAUACCGGAGAGGGCUAGGGUUACACAGAGUCAGUUACAAUGGGAGGAGAUCUUCAUAUCAUAUUGCCAAGCUUGCCUUCCAUGCAAAGGAAAGUCCUAUCCGGACACGGGACGAAGUCUUCAAUCUUGUAUCUUCAUAGUCCGGGAGUCCGGCCAAAGGUCAUAGUCUGGACAUCCGGACACCCCCUAAUCUAGGACUCCCUCAGUAGCCCCUGAACCAGGCUUCAAUGACGACGAGUCCGGCGCGCAAAUUGUCUUCGGCAUUGCAAGGCGGGUUCCUCCUCCGAAUACUUCAUAGAAGAUGUUGAACACAAGGAUAGUGUCCGGCUCUGCAAAAUAAGUUCCACAUACCACCGUAGAGAGAAUAAUAUCUGCACAAAUCUAAUCUACAAAAUAAGUGUAUUGCCGGACAGGCCUUCCGAAUAGUUGGGUCCUGAAAGUAUAUAAAAAAGGAAACGGCAGAAUAGGGGAGCCCCUAAGUGCGGUUGAGCCGCAUUCUGGGCGUGCCGUGGUUGUGCCCCUCCCCUCAUGCCCAUGGUAUUUCCAAAGCGUAAUUACGUACACGUGGUACCAAUAUCGCCAUCUGGCGAGGGCUGGGGUUGGGGCCGCACUGCUAUGCUUGCUCGGAACGUGCCAGCCGGUUUUGUUGUAGGUUACUUCGGGCGCGCUUGACGCCGUCCGGACGUUUAACAUCCGGAUUGGAGAAUUGCCUUGAGAGGUUACUCUGUACUUCCGCCGCCAGGGCCGCCGUGUGCUCCUCUGUUCGGAGAGAGCGUUCAGUGUUUCCAUUUACCGUAAUGACUCCGCGAGGGCCUGGCAUCUUGAGCUUGAGAUAUGCAUAGUGCGGCACCGUAUUGAAUUUUGCGAAUGCGGUUCGUCCGAGCAGGGCGUGAUAGCCGCUGCGGAAUGGGACUAUGUCGAAGAUUAACUCUUCGCUUCGGAAAUUAUCCGGGGAUCCAAAGACCACUUCGAGUGUAACUGAGCCUGUACAGCUGGCUUCUACACCUGGUAUGACGCCUUUAAAGGUUGUCUUUGUGGGUUUAAUCCAUGACAGAUCUAUACCCAUUUUUCACACUGUAUCCUGAUAAAGAAGGUUCAGGCUGCUGCCGCCGUGCAUGAGGACUCUAGUGAGGUGAAAUCCGUCAACGAUUGGGUCUAGGAUCAAUGCGGCGAAUCCGCCGUGACGAAUGCUAGUGGGGUGGUCCCUUCGAUCAAAAGUGAUCGGGCAGGAGGACCAUGGGUUGAACUUUGGGGCGACUGGCUCCAAUGCAUAGAUGUUCUUGAGAGCACGCUUCCGCUCCCUUUUGGGGAUAUGGGUUGCGUAUAUCAUGUUCACCGUCCGCACUUGCGGGGAGAAGCCCUUCUGUCCUCUGUUGUUCGGUGGCCGGGGCUCCUCCUCAUCAUUGCUAUGCAGCCCCUUGUCUCUGGUUUUGGCACUUAACUUGCCUGCCUGCUUGAACACCAUACAAUCCCUGUUGGUGUGGUUGGCUGGUUGUUCGGGGGUGCCGUGUAUUUGGCACGAGCAAUCGAGUAUCCGGUCUAAACUGGAUGGGCCCGGAGGGUUUCUUCUGAAUGGCUUCUUCCGCUGACCAGGUUUAGAGCCUCUGAAUCCGGCAUUAACUGCCGUAUCCUCAGUAUUGUCGCUGUUAGUGUGGCGCUUGUGCUUGUUGCGACGUGACCUGCCAUUGUUGUCCUUGGUAUCCGAAUUGCCAGGGCUCUUGGUUAUGUUAUUGCUAUGAGAUAGCCAGCUGUCUUCGCCCGCGCAAAAGCGGGUCAUGAGUGUCGUGAGGGCUGCCAUAGAUUUUGGCUUCUCCUGUCCUAGGUGCCGGGAAAGCCAUUCGUCUCGGAUGUUGUGCCUGAAGGCUGCAAGGGCCUCUCCGUCCGGACAGUCAGAUUUUUCUUGGUUAGGAACCGUGUCCAGAAUUGUCUGGCCGAUUCCUCUGGCUGCUGGAUUAUGUGGCUUAGGUCAUCGGCGUCUGGUGGUCGCACAUAAGUGCCCUGGAAGUUGUCAAGGAAUGCAGAUUCCAGGUCCUCCCAGCAACUAAUUGACUUUCCUGGCAGGCUGUUAAGACAAUGCCAAGCUGGUCCUUUAAGCUUGAGCGGAAGGUAUUUGAUGGCGUGUAGAUCAUCACCAUGGGCCAUGUGGAUAUGAAGGAGAUAAUCCUCGAUCCAUACCGCGGGAUCUGUUGUGCCAUCGUAUGAUUCGAUGUUUACGGGUUUAAAACCCUCGGGGAUUUGAUGAUCCAUUACUUCGUCUGUGAAGCAUAGUGGGUGUGCGGCGCCCCUGUACUGGGCUAUAUCGCGACGUAGCUCGGAUGAGCUUUGUCUGUUCUGUUCGGCCUGGCCGUACUUAUCAUAUCCGGCGUGACGGUUAUCGUCACGUGACAUGGGGCGCCCACACGAUCCGUAGAUCGAUCUUGUCUGCCUUGCCUUAUCCUCCAAUAUGUCUUGCAGGUCUGUUGUGUUUCCCCGUGCUCUGGUAUUCUUGGAGCGGCGCCGGGGUGCGGCUUGGGUUGAGGGCCGAAAGGCCUCUCUGUCGCAGCCACGGGGUGGCCGAUCGGGCGCAUUGUACACUGGUGAUGUAGGUUUAGUUGCUUCCUCCUCUAGUUGGGGUAGGAGCCUGCGCUUUGGGUAACUCUUGGAGGGGCGUUCGAGUUUAUACUCUUCGGCCGCCAGGACUUCAGUCCAUCUGUCGGCUAGCAAGUCUUGGUCAGCUCUAAGCUGCUGCUAUUUUUUCUUGAGGCUGCUCGCCGUGGCCAUAAGCCUGCGUUUGAAACGCUCUUGUUCGACGGGAUCCUCUGGCACGACGAAUUCAUCGUCGUCGAGGCUUGCCUCAUCUUCGGAGGGAGGCAUAUAAUUGUCGUCCUCGACCUCCCUGUCUGCCGCUCUCUCAUGAGGGCCGGCUCCUUCGUCCUCCUGCGCUGAAUCCUGCUGGAGGGGGUUGUCUUCGGCACUGUCCGGGGUGUUGUUAUCUCCGAUGCCGGACUCGCCGUUUUUGCUUUGGCGGGAUUUAGAGCGGCGCCGCUGACGUCGGCGCUUGGGUUGCUUCUUGGAGGGGUCGCCCUCCGUUUUUUCAUCGCCAUCCCCUGCUUUGGGGGUGUCCACCAUGUAUAUGUCAUAUGAUGAGGUGGCCUUCCAGUGCCCUAUAGGUGCUGGUUCUUGGUCGUAUCCUUCAUCGGCGUCCAUACCGUCGAUGUCUUCGGAGUCGAAGUUGAGCAUGUCGGUUAAAUCGUCGACAAUUGCUACAAAGUGGGUGGUGGGUGGGUUUCGAAUUUCUUCGUCGUCCGCAUUCCAACCCUGCUGACCAUAGUCCGGCCAGGGCUCUCCUGACAAAGAGAGAGACUUUAGUGAAUUCAGGAUAUCGCCGAAGGGCGAGUGCUGAAAGACGUCUGCGGCGGUGAACUCCAUGGUCGGAGCCCAAUUGGGUUCGAUCAGAAGGGGUGCGGAAGAUUCGGAGUCCGAAAAGGAGUCCGGCACCUUGAAGUCACAGGCCUCGCGAAGGAUUAGACUGGUAUUCGACUCUAUCGCCAUAGAGAUUGCGGCUCCUGGGGCGGCGUCCAACCGUCCGUCCCAGACUGGCGCAGUCGGCUCCGAGCUAACGGUUGGAGCAGACACCUGAGCGGCGCUCUGGGCGCUGUCCGGCGGCAGAGCUAGAUCAUGCCCAUCGUGACAGUGCGGCGCGCUCAGCUGUGGCUCGAAUCCGUUGAAGAUUAAGUCCCCUCGGAUGUCGGCCGUGUAGUUUAAGCUUCCAAACCUGACCUGAUGGCCAGGGGCGUAGCUUUCGAUCUGCUCCAGAUGGCCAAGCGAGUUGGCCCGCAGUGCGAAGCCGCCGAAUACGAAGAUCUGUCCGGAGAGAAAAGUCUCACCCUGGACCGUGUCGUGGUUGACGAUCGAAGAAGCCAUCGGGCCUAAGGGUGACGACACAGAGGAACUCUCAAUGAAAGCACCAAUGUCGGUGUCAAAACCGGCGGAUCUCGGGUAGGGGGUCCCGAACUGUGCGUCUAGGCGGAUGGUAACAGGAGACAAGGGACACGAUGUUUUUACCCAGGUUCGGGCCCUCUCGAUGGAGAUAAAACCCUACUCCUGCUUGAUUAAUAUUGAUGAUAUGGGUAGUACAAGAGUUGAUCUACCACGAGAUCAGAGAGGCUAAACCCUAGAAGCUAGCCUAUGGUAUGAUUGUUGUUCGUCCUACGGACUAAAACUCUCCGGUUUAUAUAGACACCGGAGAGGGCUAGGGUUACACAGAGUCGGUUACAAUGGGAGGAGAUCAUCAUAUCAUAUCGCCAAGCUUGCCUUCCACGCCAAGGAAAGUCCUAUCCGGACACGGGACGAAGUCUUCAAUCUUGUAUCUUCAUAGUCCGGGAGUCCGGACAAAGGUCAUAGUCCGGCCAUCCGGACACCCCCUAAUCCAGGACUCCCUCAGUUACAAUGGGAGGAGAUCUACAUAUCGUAUUGCCAAGCUUGCCUUCCACGCCAAGGAAAGUCCUAUCCGGACACGGGACGAAGUCUUCAAUCUUGUAUCUUCAUAGUCCGGGAGUCCAGCUAAAGGUCAUAGUCCGGCCAACUGGACACCCGCUAAUCCAGGACUCCCUAAGUAGCCCCUGAACCAGGCUUCAAUGACGACGAGUCCGACACGCAAAUUGUCUCCAGCAUUGCAAGGCGGGUUCCUCCUCCGAAUACUUCAUAGAAGAUGUUGAACACAAGGAUAGUGUCCGGCUCUGUAAAAUAGUUUCCACAUACCACCAUAGAGAGAAUAAUAUUCGCACAAAUCUAAUCUGCUGACGCAUUCCGCAGCAUGACAUCAUGCCACAGCCAAGCCUUUAUUCGCUUUACUGUCCCACCUCAGCGUGUUUAGCGAGGCGGUUUCCUUGCCACGUCUUGUCAAAGCAGAGAUUGUGUCCCCUUAUUCCGGGAUUCUCAUCAAUACGGGCGUGGGUAACCCAACCGCGCCAUUAAUCGCGGCGCUUGGGAGAUAAGCGAGUUUUAUUAGGCUGGUGGGGGCUUAUAGUUUCGGCCGCCCAUAUAAGGGGAUAAGGAUCCACCCUUUCCAUCUACGCCUUCUUCCUCCUUCGCUUACCCAUUCCUGCGCACUCGAGCUCCAGCGCCCCAGUCUGCACUUCCCACCUCAACCUUCUCCAACCAUGUCCGGAGUGGGAGGUAGAUGGAUGGCCUCCACCAUCACGGAGGGGCACAUCAAAAAGUUGAGGAAGGCCGGAUACUUGUCUAACAACAUCGCACACCGACUUCCAGAUGAGGGGCAACUCAUCCCCACCCCUAGGCCCCAUGAGAGGGUCGUGUUCCUCCCCCAUUUCCUCCGCGGACUGGGUUUUCCUCUUCACCCGUUCGUCCGGGGGCUCAUGUUCUACUACGGCCUGGACUUCCACGAUCUGGCCCCGAACUUCAUCCUCAACAUCUCGGUGUUCAUCGUCGUGUGUGAGGUCUUCCUCCGCAUCCAUCCCCAGUUCGGCUUAUGGCUGAAGACAUUCAAUGUCAAGCCGAAGGUUGUGGGUGGCCGACAAGCGGAGUGCGGAGGCGCCAUGGUGGGCAAGAUAGCCAACGUUACAUGGCUCGAGGGCGCCUUCGUGGAAACCAUCAAAGGGUGGCAAUCGGGGUGGUUUUACAUCACUGAGCCGCGUGACCCUGAAUGGGCAGCGGCCCCUGAAUUCCGAUCUGGCAUCCCCACACGGCUCACCUCAUGGAAAGAGACGGGCCUGUCAUGGGAUAAUUCGGCAGAGGUGACCGGACUUCAAACCUGCAUCAAAGACCUGAUCGACAGGAAGGUUAAACUCGUCACCGUAGUCUAGGUCAUGCUCUUCCGCCAGAUUCUCCCGUGUCAACGACGGGCUUUUAAUCUGUGGGAAUUCGACCCGGCCCAGCACCAAACUUUGUCCAGGCUACCUCCCCCCGCCCUACAGACGAUGCCGAGGUGGAGUCCCAAGAGGGGCUAAACCAGGAGGAGGUGGUCCUGGAGGCGCCACAAGGCGACCUCCCGGACCCCAGGCCCAAAGGGGACGUAGCCCCAGAGGGAUCUAAGUCCGGCCUUGGGCCGGACACCGCUCCGGAACCUUCAGUGAUUCCGGAGUCCGGCAGGCGGCCCCCUCUCAAGAAGGGCAAGCCUACGACGCCGGCGGCCUCCGUCCAACCGGAGGCGCCGGACAACUUGCUGGAGGUGCUUAAUGGCGCCUCCAUCGAUGAAGAGCAUCGCACUGUUAUGAGUGCGGUGAUCCAGAAGGUUCAGUCCGCCAAGAGCGGACUGACGGAAGCCUGUACCAGUCUUCUAACCGGUUUCGAGGUAUGUAUUUAAAACAUGUAAAAAUGUUACCGCAUAGACAGUAGCCCCUGAUGCUCAGUGUGGUGUUCGGAAAGAAAAGCCGGACUGAGAAUCUAAAUAGAUAUACGCAGGAGUCUAACAUAAAUAUGUCAAUAUGGGAAUGCAGGCUGCGCUACUGACCUCUGCCGCACUAACUAUGGAGGUCGAUGCAUUGAAGCAGAGCCUUGAGCGGUCCGAGAACGAGCUCGACCUUGCCAAGAAGCAGCUCGAGGACAAAGAAGGUAUGUAGUACCUUAUGUAAUUGUAUAUAUAAGUACCUGGUUGCAAAUGAUGACAUGACCGACGUGAAUAUUACAGGGGCCACAACCGAGGUGGCGACCCUGAAGGAAGCGCUUUCCAAGGCCGAAGACAAUGCAGCCAUGGAGCGCUCAGAGCGAGAGAAGCGAGAGGCGCAGGUGGCGGAGGUGCGGCAAGAGCUCGAUGCUCUUGUGAAAAAACAUGAGAGGUUAGAGCUUGACUCAAAGACUCGAGAGUCCGAGCUUGCCUUGGCACUUGAAAGCGCCAGAUCUGCCAAGGCCGAAGCCCAAAAAGCCCUCCAGGAAAUUGAGGCGAUGAAAAGGAUUGCGGCGGGUAAGGCAUUGUUUAUGCAAAGCAAGCACGUGAAAGUAAAUUACCUGUUACUUACCCGAAUCCGGAGCUCUCCAGGAGCAUUCGCAGAUCUGCCCCAUAGUGUAUCCUCCGCCGCCGCAUUCUACCGGGCCGAGGAAGGGAGCUCGACGGAGAAGGUGUUCUGGUCCCAGUAUGCUGAGACCGAACCCCCGGUGCCCCUGAGCGACCAGCUGAAGCAGCUAGUCGAGCUUCAUAAGGCAGCCGAACAGGCCAUGAAGGGCCUGAUAGGCCGGCUGUGGCCUGGGGAGGUCAUGCCUUUGAGCUACUUUGGGCUGGUGCGGUGGCUGGUGGAUGCGUGUCCCCGGCUUGAAGUCAUCAAGCGCUCCGUAUGGAUCGAAGGCGCCCGUAGGGCUUUUGCCCGUGCUAAAGUGCACUGGGGCAAGCUGGAUGCUGAGAAGCUGGUGACAGAAGGGCCACCGGAGGGGAAGGAGCAUCGCAGGCCCGAGAUGUAUUAUGAGGGCGUCCUGAAGGGUGCCCAUCGUGUGGCGGAUGAAUGUACCAGGGAGGUAAUUUUUGAGUAAACUCGCUCGUGUUUGUCCUGUGCGCUGAAAACUUCUUCAUAUGCGCUAAGCAACGCUUUUUGAAUUUAAAAUAUUCUGUGCGGCCGUUUAUUAAAUCUGAGAGAUGCAAGUCGUCGGCUUCUACCCCCAUGCCACAAGUGCUGGGGUGUUUGGGAUAAACCUGAGUGCUCUUGUUCCCAUUUUUGGGUCCAUCGAGGGAGGCGCUCAGCACAACAAACAAGGCCAUCGGAUUUAUAAUGCUUUAUCACUCUCACUUAGCUAUAGAAUUCUAUAAUUUUAAAUUUCGGUGAAGCCCCUAGUAUUCGGAAGACCGAGUUCGGGGCGCUAUCCACGCCUAGGCUGGACAAAGCCAGCUCCUCGCUCUAAGCGGCAUAAGUCUUUAAGGACUCGAAAAACCUCUCGAACAGCAACCGGUCUCUCGCCCUAUCAUGACGGUCAGUUUUAGCUUUCUCUACUGAGGUGUUAACCCAGCUCAACUGGGGCAUAAUCGCAGUAGUUCUCCCAGCGCUACGUUAGCCGACAUAGCGGAACGUAAGGUACCAAAACAUGGGAGCCGGGCAAACCCAACUAUUGACCCAAGACAUGAUUCGGAGCCAAUGCAUAUAGUGCUAUAAGUUCGGGGUGCCGCACUCAUGAGAGUGUUCGGUCUUCUCACACCGUAUUAUGGGGUACUUAAGCCCCUGGUGUAUUGGCCGUACCAAAGUGUACGGUUGCAUAAUGUCAUGACUGAACAUAUUUAUAUAAAAAUAAAUGAAUACAAUAACAGACAAGAGCUAUGUAUUGUUUAUUAAAAGGGGCUGCUAUGAGAGCAGGACGAUACAAAUAGUGCAAUAUGCAAGAGAUGGGAUUAUUUGACCUGUCCCGGGCAAGCUGCGAGACUUUAAGUAAGACAGGUAUUUAGCUCGUUAUAGAGACCACCUGGACAUUUGACGUGGCUUGUUGUCUCCCUGGCUGUUGCAUCGUGUGUUCGGCGAUUGUAUUGCUGGACAUGCCUUCCGAAUAGUGGAGUCCUGAAAGUAUAUAUAUAAAAAAUAAGAAAUGGCAAAAUCGGGAGCCCCUAGUGCGGUUGAGCCGCAUUCUGGGCGUGCCGUGGUUGUGCCCCUCCCCUUAUGCCCAUGGUAUUUCCAGAGCGUAAUUAUGUAUGUGUGGUACUGCUAUCGCAAUCUCGCGAGGGCUGGGGUUGGGGCCGCACUGCUAUGCUUGCUCGGAACGUGCCAGCCGGUUUUGUUGUAGGUUACUUCAGGUGCGCUUGAUGUUGUCUGGACGUUUAACAGCCGGAUUGGAGAAUUGCCUUGAGAGGCUACUUUGUACUUCCGCCGCCAGGGCCGCCGUGUGCUCCUCUAUUCGGAGAGAGUGUUCGGUGUUUCCAUUGACCGUAAUGACUCCACGAGGGCUUGGCAUCUUGAGCUUGAGAUAUGCGUAGUGCAGCACCGCAUUAAAUUUGCGAAUGCGGUUCGUUCGAGCAGGGCGUGAUAGCCACUGUGGAAUGGGACUAUGUCAAAGAUUAACUCUUCGCUUCGGAAAUUAUCCGGGGAUCCGAAGACCACUUCGAGUGUAACUGAGCCUGUACAGCUGGCUUCUACACCUGGUAUGACGCCUUUAAAGGUCGUCUUUAUGGGUUUAAUCCUCGAGGGAUCUAUACCCAUUUUUCGCACUGUAUCCCUAUAAAGCAGGUUCAGGCUGCUACCGCCGUCCAUGAGGACUCUAGUGAGGUGAAAUCCGUCAAUGGUUGGGUCUAGGACCAAUGUGGCGAAUCUGCCGUGACGAAUGCUAGUGGGGUGGUCCCUUCGAUCAAAAGUGAUCGGGCAGGAGGACCAUGGGUUGAACUUUGGGGCGACUGGCUCCAACGCAUAGACGUCCUUGAGAGCACGCUUCCGUUCCCUUUUGGGGAUAUGGGUUGCGUAUAUCAUGUUCACCGUCCGCACUUGUGAGGGGAAGCCCUUCUGUCCUCUGUUGUUCGGCGGCCGGGGCUCCUCCUCGUCAUCGCUAUGCAGCCCCUUGUCUCUAUUUUCGGCACUUAACUUGCCUGCCUCCUUGAACACCCAACAAUCCCUGUUGGUGUGAUUGGCUGGUUGUUCGGGGGUGCCGUGUAUCUGGCACGAGCGAUCGAGUAUCCGGUCUAAACUAGAUGGGCCCGGAGGAUUUCUUUUGAAUGGCUUCUUCCACUGACCGGGUUUAGAGCCUCUGAAUCCGGCAUUAACUGCCGUAUCCUCAGUAUUAUUGCCGUUAAUGCGGCGCUUGUGCUUGUUAUGACGCGACCUGCCAUUGUUGUCCUUGGUAUUUGAGCUACCAGGGCUCUUGGUCAUGUUAUUGCUAUGAGCUAGCCAGCUGUCUUCUCCCGCGCAAAAGCGGGUCAUGAGUGUCGUGAGGGCUGCCAUAGAUUUCGGCUUUUCCUGUCCUAGGUGCCGGGCAAGCCAUUCGUCUCGGAUGUUAUGCCUGAAGGCUGCAAGGGCCUCUGCGUCCGGACAGUCGACCAUUUGAUUUUUCUUGGUUAGGAACCGCGUCUAGAAUUGUCUGGCAAGAUUCCUCUGGCUGCUGAAUUAUGUGGCUUAGGUCAUCGGUGUCUGGUGGUCGCACAUAAGUGCCCUAGAAGUUGUCAAGGAAUGCGGAUUCCAGGUCCUCCCAGCAACUAAUUGACUCUGCUGGCAGGCUGUUAAGCCAAUGCCGAGCUGGUCCUUUAAGCUUGAGCGGGAGGUAUUUGAUGGCGUGUAGAUCAUCACUACGGGCCAUGUGGAUAUGAAGGAGAUAAUCCUCGAUCCAUACCGCAGGAUCUGUUGUGCCAUCAUAUGAUUCGAUGUUUAUGGGUUUAAAACCCUUGGGGAUUUGAUGAUCCAUUACUUCAUCUGUGAAGCAUAGUGGGUUUGCGACGCCUCUGUACUGGGCUAUAUCACGACGUAGCUCGGAUGAGCUUUGUCUGUUGUGUUCGGCCUGGCCGUAUUUGCCAUAUCCGGCGUGACGGUUAUCGUCACGUGACGUGGGGUGCCCACGCGAUCCGUAGAUUGAUCUUGUUUGCCUUUCCUUGUCCUCCAAUAUGUCUCGCAGGUCUGGUGCAUUUCCCCGUGCCCUGGUAUUUUUUGAGCGGCGCCGGGGUGCGGCUUGAGUUGAGGGCCGAGAGGCUUCUCUGUCACGGCCACGGGGUGGCCGAUCGACCGCAUCAUACACUGGUGAUAUAGGUUUAGUUGCUUCCUCCUCUAGUUGGGAUAGAAGCCUGCGCUUUGGGUAGCUCUUGGAGGGGCGCUCGAGUUUUACUCUUCGGCCACCAGGACUUCAGUCCAUUUGUCGGCUAGCAAAUCAUGGUCAGCUCUAAGCUGCUGCAGUUUUCUUUUGAGGCUGUUUGUUGUGGCCAUAAGCCUGCGUUUGAAACGCUCUUGUUCGGCGGGAUCCCUAGGCACGACUAAUUCGUCGUCGUCGAGGCUUGCCUCAUAUUCGGAGGGAGGCAUAUAAUUGUCGUCCUCGACCUCCCUAUCUGCCGCUCUCUCAUGAGGGCUGGCUUCUCCGUCCUCCUGCGUUGAAUCCUGCUAGAGGGGGUUGUCUUCGGCACUGUCCGGGGUGUUGUUAUCUCCAGUGUCGGACUCGCCAUUUUUGCUUUCGCGGGAUUUAGAGCAGCGCCGCUGACGCCGGCGCUUAGGUUGUUUCUUGGAGGGGUCAUCCUCCGUUUUUUCAUCGCCAUUCCCUGCUUUUGGGGUGUCCACCAUGUAUAUGUCAUAUGACGAGGUGGCUUUCCAGUGCCCUAUAUGUGCUGGUUCUUGGUCGUCUCCUUCAUCGGCGUCCAUACCGUCGAUGUCUUCAGAGUCGUAGUCGAGCAUGUCGGUUAAAUCGUCGACAGUGGCUACGAAGUGGGUGGUGGGUGGGUUUCGAAUUUCUUUGUCGUCCGCAUCCCAACCUUGCUGACCACAGUCCGGCUAGGGCUCUCCUAACAAAGAGAGAGACUUUAGUAAAUUCAGGAUGUCGCCAUUGGGAGAGUGCUGAAAGACGUCCGUGGUGGCGAACUCCAUGAUUGGAGCCCAAUUGGGUUCGAUCGGAAGGGGUGCGGAAGAUUCAGAGUCCGGAAAGGAGUCCGGCACCUUGGAGUCACGAGCUCCGCGAGGGACAAGAUUGGUGUUCGGCUCGAUCGCCGUAGAGAUUGUAGCCCCCGAGGUGGCGUCUAGCCACCCGUCCUCGACCGGCGCAGUCGGCUCCGAGCUGAGGGUCGGAGCAGACACCUGAGCGGCACUCUGGGCACUAUCCGGCGGCAGAGCUAGAUCAUGCCCAUCGUGACAGUGCGGCGCGCUCGGCUACGGCUCGAAUCUGUCGAAGAUCAUGUCUCUGCGGAUGUCAGUCGUGUAGUUUAAACUUCCAAAUCUGACCUGAUGGCCAGGGGCGUAGCUUUCGAUCUGCUCCAGAUGGCCAAGCGAAUUGGCCCGUAGUGCAAAGCCGCUGAAUAUGAAGAUCUGUCCGGGGAGAAAAGUCUCACCCUGGACCGCGUCGUGGUUGAUGAUCGAAGAAGCCAUCAGGCCUAAAGGUGACGACACAGAGGAACUCUCAAUGAAAGCACCAAUGUUGGUGUCAAAACCGGCGGAUCUCGGGUAGGGGGUCCCGAACUGUGCGUCUAGGCGGAUGGUAACAGGAGACAAGGGACACGAUGUUUUUACCCAGGUGCGGGCCCUCUCGAUGGAGGUAAAACCCUACUCCUGCUUGAUUAAUAUUGAUGAUAUGGGUAGUACAAGAGUUGAUCUACCACGAGAUCAGAGAGGCUAAGCCCUAGAAGCUAGCCUACGGUAUGAUUGUUGUUCGUCCUACGGACUAAAACUCUCCGGUUUAUAUAGAUACCGAAGAGGGCUAGGGUUACACAGAGUCGGUUACAAUGGGAGGAUAUCUACAUAUUGUAUCGCCAAGCUUGCCUUCCACGCCAAGGAAAGUCCUAUCCGGACACGGGACGAAGUCUUCAAUCUUGUAUCUUCAUAGUCCGGGAGUCCGACCAAAGGUCAUAGUCCGGCCAUCCGGACACCCCCUAAUCCAGGACUCCCUCAACUGCCUCCGUGGAUUUCCAGGACAUUUCGAGAACUUUUCUUUUCUACACAUAAAAACAACAUCAUGGUAGUUCUGCGGAAAACAGCACCAAUCCGGGUUAGUUUCAUUCAAAUCAUGCAAGUUAGAGUCCAAAACAAGGGCAAAAGUGUUUGGAAAAGUAGAUACGUUGGAGACGUAUCAACUCCCCCAAGCUUAAACCUUUGCUUGUCCUCAGGCAAUUCAGUUGAUAAACUGAAAGUGAUAAAGAAAAAACUUUUACAAACUCUGUUUGCUCUUGUUGUUGUAAACAUGAAAAGCCAGCAUUCAAGUUUCAGCAAAUAUUAUGAACUAACCAUACUCACAAUAACACAUAGAUCUCACAAUUACUCACAUCAAUAGCAUAAUCAGCUAGCGAGCCAUAAUAAUAAAGCUCGGAUGACAACACUUUGUCAAAACAAUCAUAACAUGAUAUAACAAAAUGGUAUCUCGCUAGCCCUUUCUGAGACCGCAAAACAUAAAUGCAGAGCACCUUUAAAGAUCAAGGACUGACUAAACAUUGUAAUUCAUGGUGAAAGAGAUCCAGUCAAGUCAUACACAAUAUGAACCAAUAAUAAUGAACGCAAACAAUAGUGUGCUCUCCAGCGGGUGCUUUUAAUAAGAAGGUGAUGACUCAACAUAAAAGUAAAUAGAUAGGCCCUUCGCAGAGGGAAUCAGGGAUUUGUAGAGGUGCCAAAGCUUGAUUUUUAAAAAUAGAGAUUGAAUAACAUUUUGAGCGGCAUACUUUCGCUGUCAACGCAACACCUAUGAGAUGAUUGUAUCUUCCAUACUAUAUGCAUUAUAGGCAGUUCCCAAAUAGAAUGGUAAAGGUUUAUACUCCCCCAACCACCAACAAGCAUCAAUCCAUGGCUUGCUCGAAACAAUGAGUGCCUCCAACAUACAACAGCCCUGGGGGAGUUUUUUUUAAUUAUUUUGAUUUGCUUUGAUCUUUUUGGAUCAUGCGACUGGGCGUCCCGGUUACCGGCCCUUUCUCGUGAAUGAGGAGCGGAGUCCACUCCUCUGAGAAUAACACACCUAGCAUGGAAGAUAUAGGCAGCCCUAGUUGUUACAUGAGCUGCUCGAGCAUACAAAACAGAAUUUCAUUUGAAGGUUUGGAGUUUGGCAUAUACUAAUUUACUUGGAAUGGCAGGUAAAUACCGCAUAUAGGUAGGUAUAGUGGACUCAUAUGGAACAACUUUGGGGUUUAAGGUGUUUGGAUGCACAAGCAGUAUUCCCGCUUAGUACAGGUGAAGGCUAGCAAAAGACUGGGAAGCGACCAACUGAGAGAGCGACAACAGUCGUAAGCAUGCAUUAAAAUUAAUUCACACUGAGUACAAGCAUGAGUAGGAUAUAAUCCACCAUGAACAUAAAUAUCGUGAAGGCUAUAUUGAUUUGAUUCAACUACAUGCGUGAACAUGUGCCAAGUCGAGUCACUCAAUUCACUCAAAGGAGGAUACCAUCCCAUCAUACAACAUCAUAAUCAUUCUAAUAGCAUGUUGGCACGCAAGGUAAACCAUUAUAACUCAUAGCUAAUCAAGCAUGGCACAAGUAACUAUAAUCUCUAAAUGUCAUUGCAAAUAAGUUUACUUCAUAAUAGCUGACUCAGGAAUGAUGAACUCAUCAUAUUUAAAAAAACAAGAGAGGUCGAGUUCAUACCAGCUUUUCUCAUCCCAAUACAUCCAUCAUAUAUCGUCAUUAUUGCCUUUCACUCGACGACCGAAUGAUGUGUAUAAUAAUAAGAGUGCAUGUGCAUUGGACUAAGCUGGAAUCUGCAAGCAUUCAACUCAAGAGAGAAGACAAGUAAUAUGGGCUCUAAAUUAAAUAAACAAUCAUGCAAAUAAGAGCCACUAAGCAUUUUCAAUAUGGUCUUCUCGACCCCCAAAGGAAAGAAAAGAAAAUAAAACUAUUUACACGGGAAAGCUCCCAACAAGUAAAAGAAGAACGAGAAAUCUUUUUGGGUUUUCAUUUUAAUUCUACUACAGGCAAGGAAAUUAAACUAACUAAUUUUUUUGGUUUUUCUCAAGGUUUAUCAAACACACAAGAAGAAAACUAGAAAAAGGGAUUUAAACUAGCAUGGAUAAUACAAUGACUAGUGUGUGAACAUGAAUGUAUGAGCACCGACGACUAGUGUGUGAACAUGAAUGUAAAGUCGGUGAGAAAUACGUACUCCCCCAAGCUUAGGAUUUUGGCCGAAGUUGGUUAAAUACCAAGGACCGCCGCUACUAUCUCCGGUGUAAUGAGAGGUAUAAUAAGGAUACCACUAGCUGGUCAUCUCCGAAUCCCAUUGGACAGAUGAUGCGCGAUAAGGGUCCAGAUCAGGUUCCGACUCAGGUUCAGGUUCUGGAGUAAAAGCCUGAGCUCGAUGGUUGUUCACCGCCUCCGGUGUGACAAGAAAUUUUUCUGCAAGCAAAUCAAAUAACAGAGGCGCAGGCAAGAUAAUAAUCUCAAAGUGUUUCUUAUUGAAUAUAAGUUUAUACAAGAGCAUCCUAUCUUCCUUGUCAAUAAUAAACUUAUGUGCUACCAUGCUCUUGUAAUCUAAAAAUGUGAGGAGGCAAUAUUGUCUCCUUUUCCUCAUGGUGCCUAAAAUUCUCAAAUAUUCUAGAAAAAAUCAUACUAAAUUUGCAGGGCAUUUGGAGCACUUUUAUUUUCGGAUUAUUUUUUAAUGCAUGGAUAAUUCAGAAAACAGACGGAUAAUACUAUUUUUUUCUUUAUUUAUUCUAAUUAACAGAAAGUAAAAAGAGGGUACAGAAGGUUGUGCAUUCUAGUUUCAUCCAUCUCGUGAUCAUCAAAAUGAACCCGCUAACAAGGUUGAUCAAGUCUUGUUAACAAAGUCAUUCCGAAUAACACGGAACCGGAGAAAUUUCGAAUAACACUAAGUUACCUCAACGGGGAUAUGAAAAUCCCCAAAAAUAAGAAUAUCAUACUUUUUCUUGACAGUAGGGAGAGGAAAUUCAAAAUCUCCAAAAAUGAUAGUUGGAACUUUUUCAAUAGAAUUGAUGCUAUGAACUUGAGAUUGUUUCCUCGGAAAGUGUACCGUAUGCUCAUUGCCAUUAACAUGAAAAGUGACAUUGCCUUUGUUGCAAUCAAUAACAGCCCCUACAGUAUUAAGAAAAGGUCUACCAGGGAUAAUAGACAUACUAUCGUCCUCGGGAAUAUCAAGAAUAACAAAGUCCGUUAAGAUAGUGACAUUUGCAACCACAACAGGCACAUCCUCACAAAUACCGACAGGUAUAGCAGUUGAUUUAUCAGCCAUUUGCAAAGAUAUUUCAGAAGGUGUCAACUUAUUCAAUUCAAGUCUAGGAUAUAAAGAGAGGGGCAUAACACUAACACCGGCUCCAAGAUCACAUAAAGCAGUUCUAACAUAAUUUCUUUUAAUGGAGCAUGGUUGUCGGUGUCAAAACCGGCGGAUCUCGGGUAGGGGGUCCCGAAUUGUGCGUCUAGGCGGAUGGUAACAGUAGACAAGGGACAUGAUGUUUUUACCCAGGUUCGGGCCCUCUCGAUGGAGGUAAAACUCUACUCCUGCUUGAUUAAUAUUGAUGAUGUGGGUAGUACAAGAGUUGAUCUACCAUGAGAUCAGAGAGGCUAAACCCUAGAAGCUAGCCUAUGGUAUGAUUGUUUUUCGUCCUACGGACUAAAACUCUCCGGUUUAUAUAGACACCGGAGAGGGCUAGGGUUACACAGAGUCGGUUACAAUCGGAGGAGAUCUUCAUAUCGAAUCGCCAAGCUUGCCUUCCAUGCCAAGGAAAGUCCUAUCCGGACACGGGACAAAGUCUUCAAUCUUGUAUCUUCAUAGUCCGGAGGUCCGGCCAAAGGUCAUAGUUCGGCCAUCCGGACACCCCCUAAUCCAGGACUCCCUCAGUAGCCCCCGAACCAGGCUUCAAUGACGACGAGUCCGGCGCGCAAGUUUGUCUUCGACAUUGCAAGGCGGGUUCUUCUCCAAAUUCCAUAUACCUGUCGGAUAGUGUCCGGCUUCUGGUGCGUGUUGCUCUACUCAGCUUCUAUGCCCAAUAAUGACCAUCUUCCACGUGUCAAACGAAUUCGAAAAACCAGGUUUUUUUUCAUUUACCCCCCCCAGUCACGUAAAUGAGCCACCCAUAAAAGAGACGGGGGUUUAGAUCCAAUUCACACCACCUUCCCUCCGUGAGUAUUCAUCAGAGCGCUUUCAACAGAGAUCCAUUCCACCAUGGCCGGUCGAAGCAGCUCCUCCUCUCGCCUCUCCAGCCCUCGGCCCGGAGAUUGGGAGUGGUGUUUCGUCCCGCAUAGCAAGCUAGUAGUUCUUAAAUCCAAGGGGCUCCUCCCCCCAGCAUAUAUGGUCCCAGUUCGAGCCGGGAUCGCCACCUAUAGCGGCGGAGAGCAGGCGGAGAGCGUCCCCAAUCCCUCUCAAGGAGAGCGGGUAUGCCUAGUCCCUUAUUUAAUAAGAGGACUCGGAUUUCCAAUUCAUUCGUUUCUCCGAGGGCUACUGGAGUUCUACGGCCUCCAGCUACACAACCUCACGCCUGCCUCCAUUCUGCAUUUUGCGGGCUUUGUGGCCCUCUGCGAGCUAUUUUUGGGCAUCGAGGCCCAUUUCACGCUGUGGAAGAGGUUGUUCUGCCUUGUGCCCCGCUCUCAGGAGGGGUCAAUUUAUCAAGUGGGCAGAGCCGAACUAUGGCGCAUCGCUGGGACCGGAUAUCUAUCCAGUACCCCAAAGAAGGCGUCCGAGGACUGGCCUUCGGAAUGGUUUUAUAUGGAUGACGUCCCCCUGCCGGACCCUAUACGGAUCGGCCUCCCUGAGUUUAACAACGCUCCAUUGAAGAAACGCCUGAGCUGGCGCCCAUGAAACCCUCAGAGGGAAACUGAUAGGGACGUCCUUUACCUGAUGAGCCGGAUAAGAUUGUUGGCUCAUUCCGGAUUGACCAUGAUCGAGGUCAUGGCCACAUGCAUUACGCGGGGGGUGCAGCCGCUUCAGUACAGAGGCCACCCCAUGUGGGAUUUCAACGGGGAGGACGACACCACCCGGUGCGGUCGCAAGGGGCCAGAUUCGGCCGCCACUCUAACAAAGAUCUUAUCCGCUUUGUACAAGGGAGAAGAAGAGGAAUUCCUCUGUGUCAACCCACGGGGCGGAUUCUCUAUGCAUAGUCCUCCAAGAUGGGUGAGCGAACACUUUCACUUGUCUACCCGCUUUUGAAAUUCCCAUAAUUGAGUACUUAGUCUAGCUAUGUUAACGCAGGAGCUGCGCCAGACUGUGAAGGAGAUAAACAGCCCUCCUCCGUAACCCGAGGACCCUGAACGGUCCCUUGAUCUGGAAUCCCAAGAGGACCCGGACUUAUGUGUGGAGUUAAUUGAUGGGGUGUUUCAUCAAUUGAGUAAGGACAACACCUUAGUGGACUUUACGGCCGACUAUCCCAGACUACUUCUGGCCUCAAAGGUAACCGAGACCGAAGUCCCAGUACUUUCAAGAGGAUUCAUCCAUGCUUUAUUUUGAUUGCCGUAAACCAAUAGUGUUUUGCUUUGCAGGGGAAAUCUUUGAGGCGGAGGGCUGAGCCCGCGGUGGGUAGCCAACAAGGGCCAUUGAAGCCAGGCGGGCUAAAAAGAAGUGCAAAACGGAUCGAGAUUCCGUCGCAACGAUACGGCGUGUAAUUUUAACGCCUAGGGUUUAUGCCCUCAAGUCACACUAACGCCCAUGCUCUCCUUAGGAGGAAGAGCGCCCGCCGGACUAUAUCCACCGGCCAGGCUUCAAGGCUGGGUUCGGAAGCGGAGGCGAACACGGGGGGCACACCGGACGCUCCUCCGACAGAGGACGCGGAUGGGCUAUCUGCCACCAAUUCAGAGGUGGAGAGUGCCGUGAACCACAGGCGUCGCCGGGCUGUUCUUCGUGACGCAUGUUUUUCCCAAGAGGCGUUGGACGCCUUUAAUACAGGAGAUGCUUAUCUCCGUGCCGCUCAAAAUGGUCUAGCCAGAGCCACAGAGCAGUAUGUGAAAGACAUACGGGUGAGUAAAUAUGAUGGUUAUAUAUGUCAGUAGCCCCCGAUACUUGAAACAGUUAAGAUAACUGAUUUAAGGAUCAUAUGUUAUGCAGGAUCUUACAAAGAAGAACACGCAACUGUCCCAGGAGCUGGAAGAGUGCAAGGCCCAACUCGAGGCUGCACUGGCCGCUUCAGAGAAUGCCAAGGGGACCCCCUCAGGUAAUAUAUGCUUCGAAAGAUAAUUCUGCUGUGAAGUGCGACAUAUGUGCAAUUCUGACAAUAACAGUGCAGAUGGGGCCGGAGUGAAUCUGGACAAGCAGCAACUCCUGCGCCAGUUAAAGGCCGGCGAGAGCGUGCUGACGAGGGUGAGGCAAGAGAAGAACAAGCUUCAAGACGCCAAUACCCAGUUGGGUGAGGAACUAAAGGAUGUUCGUGCUCAGCUAUCUGAUUCCGUAAAGGAGAAUCAGUGACUUCAACGCGGCAUUUUUAGUAAGUGCUUAAACGAAUCUUCGAAAAAAGAAUUCGGCGAGGAAGUCGAUUGACAAAGCUAUGUCUGCAGAUGUGCUGACAGGUCGUCCUGCGGGGGAGAUGCCCGAUUCAGCGGGGGACCUUCUUCCCGAGCUAUUGCAACUGCAUGAACGAGUUCGGCAGGCGAUGCAAGGCGUCGUCCAGGCUAUGUGGCCAUCCCUCUCCGUGCCCGAAGGCCUUGGAGAGCUUGCAGAGAAGCUAGAGGGAGUGCGGCAGCGCUUCCGGUUGUGGAAGAUAUCGGCCUGCCGUCAAGGUGCCAGGGAGGCCUGGGCCAUGGUGAAGACUUGGUACACGAAGGCUGACCCGAACCACAUGGCCGAGGUCGGCCCUGUGGGGCCUGACGGAAAGGAGAUCCCUGUCAAUUUAGUGUAUGGCCAGGUAGAGCUGGCUGCCAAGUAUUCUCAACAGGACUGUAAAUUAGACAGCCUGUUGGAUGGUAUUGAAGAAGAAUAUACCGAGUCAAAUUGACUAUGUAAUUUAAAAUGAUAUGUAAAAUGCCUUCUAGCCGGAUUGUAGAUCGUUUGUCAUUGCGGACCUUUUCGCUUCGACCUCUAGACCCGAUAGUCCGGAGUGUGUCCGAAUACCCUCUCGGUUAUGUAAGAACCGGGGCAUGCAUGGAGACCAGGCAUAGGGGUCAUAAGUGCUUUAGCAGACAAGUGCCCAACUAGUUAUGUUAUAUUACAUGGUUAGUAAGAAACAUCUUCCAGGGAGAAUAGUUCCGUUAGGGGUUCCUUUCCUUGGGAGGCAUGCCCUAAAGUGCAUGUCCGGACUGCGAGAAAAAAGCAGAAAAGCAUCUGGGGGCAGAUAAAUAAACAACAAAAAUCAUCUUUUAGUUCACCGAUCGAAUAUUCCCUUAAGAACGCUAGCUUUCGGCUUCACCCAGUCUGAGGUACACAUCCGGCUGACCCGGCAGUAACAAUCGCAGAGGUGCUCCCUUUACCACCUAGCCGAACAAACGGGAACGUAGGGGUAAGCACAGGAGCCAGGCAACCCAGCUUGGCCAAAACUUAAGUCAUAUCGAUGCAUAUAAUGGUGUAUAAAAGGUUCAUGCGGAAGUGUCACACAUGUUUUGGGCAUGAGGCCCGUUUAUAUAAACUUCUGAUAAAGAAGCCCCCAGGUAUAAUGAGCGCGGGUGGCGCGUCAAGUAUGUGCGAACAACGCGCAGGCAAGCCCCUAAAGGCUUGGGAGAAGAAGGGAGGGAGAUGGAGAGAAAUACCAGGCAACUAAUUUGAAAGAAAUAAUAAAAAAAGGGACAGAGGAAGGAGACAAACACGGAGUCCGGCGCUAGGCGUAGAAUCUUCGUAGGCGCGCUGCAUUCCAUGGGUUCGGCUCGAGUCGGUUGUCCGAUGCGUUUUGCAGACGGUAUGCUCCACCAGUCAUGACUUGGUCGAUUAUGAAGGGACCCUCCCAUUUGGGCUUUAGUUUGUCCUUUUUCUUGUCCGGCAGGCGUAGAACUAGUUCGCCAAUGUUAUAAGUUUUGGCCCGUACUUCUCUGCUUUGAUAUCUUCGAGCCUGCUGUUGAUAGAAUGCGGAACGGGCUUUUGCCACGUCGCGCUCCUCCUCCAAUGCGUCCAAGCUGUCCUGCCGAUCGAGCUCGGCUUCUCUUUCUUCAUACAUGCGCACGCGAGGCGAGUCAUGAAUUAUGUUACAGGGCAGGAUUGCCUCUGCGCCAUACCAUAAAAAUGGUGUGAAUCCGGUAGUGCGAUUCGGCGUGGUCCGCAGCCCCCAGAGUACGGAGUCAAGCUCCUCUACCCAGUGCGUGUUAGAUUCCUUGAGGGAUCGCACUAGUCUGGGUUUGAUGCCGCUCAUGAUGAGACCAUUGGCUCGCUCGACUUGACCGUUAGUUUGUGGGUGAUAGAUUGAAGCGUAGUCGAGCUUAAUGCCCAUGUUUUUGCACCAGAGUUUAACUUCGUCGGCCGUAAAGUUUGUGUCGUUGUCAGUGAUGAUGCUGUGGGGGACGCCGUAACGGUGUACAACCCCGGAUAUGAAGUCUAUCACCGGUCCGGAUUCUGCCGUCUUUAUAGGCUUGGCCUCUAUCCAUUUGGUGAACUUAUCCACCAUGACCAGUAGGUAUUUUUGCUUGUGGGUUCCUCCUUUAAGGGGUCCAACCAUGUCAAGCCCCCAGACCGCAAAAGGCCAGGCUAUGGGUAUGGUUUGUAGGGCGGUAGGCGGCAUGUGGCUUUGAUUAGCGAAUAAUUGGCAACCGACGCAUCGCUGGACUAAGUCCUGAGCAUCUGCCCGGGCCGUCGGCCAAUAAAAUCCGGUACGGAAGGCCUUGCUUAGAAGGGCUCGGGCUGCGGCGUGGUGCCCGCCAAGUCCGGCGUGAAUUUCCGCCAGAAGGUUCCGCCCUUCCUCUUCGGAGAUACACCUUUGAAGGACUCCGGUGGUGCUUUUCUUAUAAAGCUCUCCUUCGUGGAAUUUAUAGGCUUUAGAUCGCCGCACUAUGCAACGUGCCUCAUUUUGGUCCUCGGGGAGUUCCUGCCUAGUUAAGUAGGCUAAUAAUGGUUCUGUCCACGGGGCAAUUACUGCUAUUAUUUCGUGGGCUGAGGGUGUGACUUCAUUGACGGAGUCUUCCGUUGUGUCAUGGUGUUCUGGGUCAGGCGAUGCGGCCUGGUCCGGUUUGUUAAUUCCGGUUUCCCCUUCCCACUGUACGGAUGGCUUGAAUAACCUUUCCAGGAAAAUGUUGGGGGGGACUGCAUCAUGCUUUGCGCCGAUGCGUGCCAGGAUGUCUGCUGCCUGAUUAUUUUCCCGGGCUAUAUGGUGGAAUUCCAGCCCUUCGAACCGAGCUGACAUAUUUAGGACGGUGUUGCGGUAAGCUGCCAUUUUCAGAUCUUUGGCGUCAAAGUCUCUGUUUAUUUGGGAUAUCGCAAGGUUCGAAUCCCCACGCACCUCUAGGCGUUGAAUGCCCAUGGAGACUGCCAUCCGGAGGCCAUGUAGAAGGGCCUCGUAUUAGGCUGCAUUGUUGGAGUCCGUAUACAUUAUCUGGAGUACAUAUUGGACUGUAUCUCCUGUUGGGAACGUCAGGACGAUGCCAGCCCCCAGACCUGCCAGCAUUUUGGAGCCGUCAAAGUGCAUGGUCCAGUUGGAAUAUGUGCCAUACUCUUUAGGGAGUUCGACUUCAGUCCAUUCCGCGGCAAAGUCAGCCAAGGCUUGCGACUUGAUGGCUCGCCGUGGCUUAUAUGUUAUGUCGAACGGGAGGAGCUCAAUGGCCCAUUUGGCAAUCCGACCUGUUGCGUCGCGGUUGUUUAUGAUAUCGUUAAGAGGUACUUCGGAGGCUACUAUUAUCGAACACUCUUGAAAGUAGUGUCGUAGCUUCCGGGAUGCCAUGAACACUGUGUAUGCUAUUUUUUGGUAAUGCGGGUACCGGGACUUGAAUGGAGUGAGGACAGUGGACACGUAGUACACUGGUUUUUGGACAAGGAAUUUGUGUCCGUCCGUUUCUCGUUCGACGACGAGGACUGCGCUUACAACUUGGUGAGUUGCCGCGAUGUAUAACAACAUUGGUUCGCCGAUGUUUGGCGCGGCCAGGACAGGGUUGGUUGCCAGUAUGGCUUUUAUUUCUUCGAGUCCGGCCGUGGCGGCAUCCGUCCACUCGAAGUGUUCGGUGCGUCGGAGGAGGCGGUAAAGUGGUAAUGCCUUUUCCCCCAAGCGGGAGAUGAAGCGGCUUAGAGCCGCCACGCAUCCAGUCAAUUUUUGUAUUUGCUUGAGAUCUUUUGGGAUAUCCAAUUGUGAUAGAGCUCAGAUCUUGGCUGGGUUUGCUUCAAUUCCCCUACCGGAUACAAUGAAGCCCAAGAGCUUUCCGGCUGGUACACUGAAAGCGGAUUUUUCCGGGUUAAGCCUAAUGUCAUAUGUUCAGAGGUUAUCGAACGUGAGCCUCAAGUCGUCUAUUAGAGUUUCGACGUUUUUGGUUUUGACGACCACGUCAUCCACGUAUGCUUCAACCGUUUUGCCGAUCUGGUUGGCCAAACAUGUCUGAAUCAUGCGCUGAUAUGUUGCGCCGGCGUUUUUGAGCCUGAAGGGCAUUGUGUUGAAGCAGAAUGGGCCGAGUAUUACGUCAUCCCUGUCCACCAUGGAGCCCAACACAGUUAGUUCCUCGGCCGCUAGGGCUUCGGACAAUGCCUCAAGGGCCAGUGCGGCUAUCUUGUUUUCUGCGCGGAGCGCUGUGUCCGAAUCACUAGCGAGAGUGAUGAUUCUGUUGGGUCCGGGCAUUUUGAGCUUCAUGUACUCGUAAUGGGGUAUAGCUUGAAAAAUUGUGAAUGCUUCUCACCCUAACAGAGCGUGGUAUCCGCUGCUGAACGGGGCCACUUGAAAUGUGACCUCGUCGGAUCUGUAAUUAUCCGGCGUGCCGAACACCACAUCCAGUGUGAUUUUCCCUGAACAGCAUGCUUCCCGGCUGGGGAUUAUUCCUCUAAAGGUUGUGUUGCUUCGCUCAAUGCGGCUCCAGUCUAUUUCCAUUUUUCGCAGGGUUUCCUCGUAGAUGAGGUUCAGUCCGCUACCGCCGUCCAUGAGUACCUUUGUAAGCCGAAAGCCGUCCACUAUCGGACUGAGGACCAGUGCGGCUGGUGCUCGGGCUGUCCAGAAUUUAGGUUUGUCACUGGCAUUAAAGGUAAUAGCCGUGUCACUCCAUGGGUUUAUUGUUGCUACUUGGUAGACUUCGGUAAGGCUGCGGAGCGUUCGUUUCCUUGCAUUGUUUGAUGCGAAAGUCUCAAAGACUGUUGACACUGUACUGGCGUUUCUGGGGUGGUGCUCUGCGGAUUCUAGAGUUAGAAGCUCCUCGCCACUUCUGGCCACCUACCGGAGUAUCCAACAUGCUCUAAGGCUAUGAGUUGGUGUGACUUCCCCUGAACUAUGAAUUUUAAAGGGUCCAAUGAGCCAUCCCUCCAGUACGGUUCCAUACCCUAUAGAGGGUUUUUGUUUUUUGCUGUUUGGCCCAGGUGCCUGGCAAUAAUGCGCCCCUUUGUUUUGGACUGGGAUUGUAUUCAGGGUCGGAUUGUCCCAGAAUUUUGUUUCGGUUUUUCGAACGCUUUCUGUUGCACAGUACUUUCGUACUACGGAUGUCAAGUCGGCGAAGCGUGUAAUAUCGCAGCGACUUAUGGCGUUGAUGAUUCCAAUGUCCGUGUAAUUGUUACAGAAGAAUGAAAUUGCAUCCCUCUCGCGGUAGUCCUUUAUCCUGUUUCUAACCAGGAGGAAUCUGGCCCAGUAAUGGUGUACUGUUUCCCCAGGCUCUUGCCGAAUUUGGGAUAGAUCCCUUGUAUUUGGGUGGGCGGGUGGAUUUAAAUUCGGAACCUCGCCCGAUCUAAGACUCAGGGGCCAAGAAAUUUCCAAAUUCUGAAUCUUGUUUUCUUGGACGUUAUUCAAUGAAUCAGGCCCGCUGCCUGACUUUAGGUUCAGGGCUUGGGCGAUGUCCUCCCCUCCACGGAUGUCUAGCUCGGAGGGAUCAGGAAUCCGGACACAUCUGGUCCUUAGGAUGGGCGAAGAUUUGCCGCAUUGUUCUUCCACCACUUAAACAUGGUGGGUGACCUGGGGAGAGUCAAUCUCUCUCUGAUCGGGUUUAAGCCCAACCUGGCCGUAAUCUGUAGCGACUCCCAGGGCGGCGAUGCGAUCCAAGAGCUCGUUUAGGGAAGAGAGCUCCAUCAGAUCUAACGGCUCCGCAAGUUCCGAGCUGAUGUGGAGAUUGCUUUCGAUGGCCCGAGAGGUCAUCGUCGGCGCGGUGGCCGAACAGGCGGUCAUCAAAAAACUGCCUAGCCGGAGAGUUUGGCCGACAGCCAAAGGUCCUUUAGCAACAGCGCCGUCUUUAAAGAUGGGGUGCGGCAUCCUUCCUGACGGUGACGACACAGAGGAACUCUAAAUGAAAGCACCAAUGUCGGUGUCAAAACCGGCGGAUCUCGGGUAGGGGGUCCCGAACUGUGCGUCUAGGUGGAUGGUAACAGGAGACAAGGGACAUGAUGUUUUUACCCAGGUUCAGGCCCUCUCGAUGGAGGUAAAACCCUACUCCUCCUUGAUUAAUAUUGAUGAUAUGGGUAGUACAAGAGUUGAUCUACCACGAGAUCAUAAAGGCUAAACCCUAGAAGCUACCCUAUGGUAUGAUUGUUUUUCGUCCUACGGACUAAAACUCUCCGGUUUAUAUAGACACCGGAGAGGGCUAGGGUUACACAUAGUCGCACACUGUGACACACAAUUUUUUUUGUGGUUUUUGUUUUCAAAAAAAGAAAACCCUCUUUUUUUGGUUUUGGGCCUUUAUUUGGUUUUGAUCUUUUCUUAAGUUUUACCAUGCCUCCUAUGGUAAAUUUUUUCCCAAAACCCCUCCUUCCACUUUGGUACAACCCAAACAUUCUAUCCAAACUAAUAAAAUCCAUUUUUGGAUUUUAUUCCAUUAAAUUCUUUCCCCAAAAUAAUUUUGUCCUUCAUUUGGAGCCUAGGUAGUUUGCAAAGCAAGUACCUUAAUGCAUUUGAUUUUUGACCUCAACCCAACUCCUCUGGAUAGUCCUUUGUACCCACAACCUAGAACCAUCUUGAUCCACUCUUCUUCUUUUCAAUUAUUUCAAAUUUCACUCUCUGGAAGUUUGGACCAGAUUUGCCAAAUUUGGUGAAAUUCAUAUCUACACUUCUCCAAAAAUUCCACCAAAAUUCAGGCAACCUCUAGUUGCAAUGAGAGACCUCUCCACCAAAAACCAGCUCAAGGAAAAAUCCCUACAUGCCAGAAUCAUUCUGUCGAACACUUGGCAUGCACUGUUUUUGUUCAUAUUCAGUAAAUUCAGAGUUUCAGUAUCAUUUCCCCGACACAACUUCAGUCACAUGCCCACUGUGCAUUUGGCUCGAUGCUCGCAGCCCCUCCCUCUUGUCCGGAGCUCCACACGCGCACUUGGCGCCUUCCUGGCGUUAGUGGUGCCCUGGCCCGCCUGCGCCGGCGUGCUUUGCGGCGGCAGAACCACCGUAACGGCCGACAGGGGGCAACACCACGGCAGAACGCCGUUCGGCACCGCCCAACCCUCCUGGUAGCUCCGCGUGGCCAUCUCCUUGCCAGCACACGCAUGUAGCACCGUUGCCGUGGCCUGGCACGCGCAGAGCGCGUUCUCUACCGCCGACGGGCCGUGCUGCCGUUCCGUCGAGGGCAGGCCGUAACCCUCCCUCCCGUGCUGAGUUGGAACCUGUAAUGGCACCACUGCUCCACCUAGACGAUGCUCAAGCACCUAAGCCGACCGUUCCGCCACAGCGCCGCCGUAAUCACCCGCCGGACUUAUUCAUCCAUGGCAACCGCCUCGGGCCGGCUAUAAAUAGCACCCCCUGAGCUUGCCCUCGCCCACGCACAACUCCACCACCUCACUAGACCCCGCCUAGGCACUGGGAGAGCCUCGAGGGGCCUUUCUUCUUCGACUCCGGCCACCUCCGUCCGCCUCGGGCUCCGGCAACAUUCUCUUCGGUGAGAACUCCUCCGCUGCCCUGCUCUUUCCCGUAGCCUCGUACCACCUCCAGUAGGCUAACCCCCACUUCAAUUUGAACACCGCAGCUCCCUCCGGCGAGAUCCACGACUGCCCGAACCGCCGUCCGCCGGAGCAAGGGCCUCCGUCGACACAGUGCUCACCGGCGACCACCACCACCACCCACAGACGCGGAAGGGUUCACUGAUCACGAAGGUAACUCCCAAUCACCUUGCCUCGCCGUGGAUCGCCGCCGGCGACCACCACACCUCUCGGGCGCCGUCGUGCUCUGUUUUCCUCAUUUGAAAUUUCCAACCUGACGGGUGGAGCCCGCCUGUCAGUCUCCCAGCCGUUUCUUUUAAACAAAACGUUUUUUGGACUUUUCCGCAGAGCCCCCUGGAAACUUUCUGUUUCAUUACAGAUGGGUCCUUGGACCAAAAUUCUUAUAACUUCUCAACAGAAGAUGGUUUUUGAUUGAUUCUUUUUCUGUCAUCUUUAUUUUUCUGUCUAGUUUUUUGUCAUGUUUAUUUGAAAAAUAUUUGGAAUACUUUUCUGUACACUCACGAUAUUUACGUUACGUACAUAUUUUUCUUAUACCGUAGAUUCCGGAGGAAGCAACGGAGCCGCAAACUUCGCACAGUUAGACUCCGACUACUCCGAACCAGGCAAACAUGUUUGAACUAUUGAUAUGAUGAAGUGUUUGUUGCAUGUUUGCAUUUUAGGAGUUUCAUGGCAUGUUAAUGAACACAUCAUAGAAUGUUAUAUUUCAUGCACAGAGUGGAAAGUAAGUUUCGGAAAGCCAUAUGUUGUUGGAUACAUAUUGGCAAGGCCAUGAGAUGGCAUAAGGAUGGGUAAGAUGGUAGUGUUGUGACAUGCCAGUCUUAUGCCAGUCCAUUUGACAGCAGUAUCAUCAUGAUCAAAUCAUAUUCCCAUUCACUUCCUUCCUAUGCUGCCACAUGUUUUCCGCAAGGAAUAUGGCGUAGUAAGUUGCAACCAUUUUCCUGGUACACACCAAGUAGAGAGGCCGGGAUGAGGGUUCCAUGGCCCUGGAUUAAAGCCCGUCAUCCGGUCAGGGGGCAUGGGUGUUUCCUGUUGGGACCGAGAGGGGGCACCCCUUAGAGCGCGCGUAUAGAAAUUUGAUCCCAUGCUAUUCGAGGUUGUGGCCUCCCCGUCUCAAAGUUUUUCUUGGACGUUGCCUAGGGUGAUUCCUGGCAUCGUGAGGUGGAAUGGGUGUGUACUAGUUAAAUGUGUUUCUUCCGAAAUACCGUAAACGGAACUAGUCCUUCGUGACUACGGAAAUCCGUUGGCUGUGGACAGUAGUACAAACUCUGCAGAGUCACAACUCCUUAAAUCAUCUUGUACUUGUCCAAGUACUGUAUUCAUCUUAUCUUGUCAGGUAUCUGUCUCAGUGACAAAACUUCGGUGGACUACCAGGGUGAUAAACCCGGCUAAAAGAUUAUUCUUGUGGAUGGACUAAUACUUGUUGUUUACAUUUGUCAUAAGCCCUAUCUGUGAUGUCGCUCAGACGUCCGAUGGUGGCAUACCUGUUAUCUACAUUUGUCACAAGCCCUGUCUGCGAUGUCGCUCAGACGUCCGAUGGUGGCAUUUCUUUUAAAGCCCUUUAUGUGAUGUCACUCAGACGUCCGACUGUGGCAUUUCUUUUAAAAGCCCUUUAUGUGAUGUCACUCAGACGUUCGACUGUGGCAUUUCUUUUAAAAGCCCUUUAUGUGAUGUCGCUNNNNNNNNNNNNNNNNNNNNNNNNNNNNNNNNNNNNNNNNNNNNNNNNNNNNNNNNNNNNNNNNNNNNNNNNNNNNNNNNNNNNNNNNNNNNNNNNNNNNNNNNNNNNNNNNNNNNNNNNNNNNNNNNNNNNNNNNNNNNNNNNNNNNNNNNNNNNNNNNNNNNNNNNNNNNNNNNNNNNNNNNNNNNNNNNNNNNNNNNNNNNNNNNNNNNNNNNNNNNNNNNNNNNNNNNNNNNNNNNNNNNNNNNNNNNNNNNNNNNNNNNNNNNNNNNNNNNNNNNNNNNNNNNNNNNNNNNNNNNNNNNNNNNNNNNNNNNNNNNNNNNNNNNNNNNNNNNNNNNNNNNNNNNNNNNNNNNNNNNNNUUUAAAGCCCUUUAUGUGAUGUCGCUCAGACGUCCGACUGUGGCAUUUCUUUGAAAGCCCUUUAUGUGAUGUCGCUCAGACGUCCGACUGUGGCAAUUCUUUUAAAGCCCUUUACGUGGUGUCGCUUAGACGCCUGACUGUGGCAUGCAUUUUACUUGUUUGCCCUUUCGAGGCGUCGCUCCAGACACCCGAUCGGUUUUCAGUUAUUUAUUUUACUUGUCAAAUCUUUGUUAUUGAGCAUUAUUAUUUUGCUCAUGACGCAUUCAUGCAUGCAUUUGUUAUAUCUUUUGUCUGAACUGUCUUGUGAGUACUUUCAAAGUACUCACCUGGCUUGUUGAUUUGGCCAGAUGUUGAUGAAGGUGGUCUCAUGGAUGAGGAAUUCAAUAGCGAGUCCGACGCCUAGAGGAGUCCCAGUCAGUCCCGAGCGAUCCUGUUUUGGUCACUGUAUCAUGUCCGCUUCCGCUACCCCAGAAUAAAUUCAUCGAGCCUCACCUCGACGCUCGAUGAGCCGCCAGUAGAAGUCAAGUUAUCCUCCACCACUUUCUAUUUCGAGCUAGUAGCAUGUCACCACACCCCCCUGUGCCAUAACCGCCUUUAUGUAAGAUAUUGGUGAGUUUGUAUUAAUUAGUUGAGCAGCCUCAGCUCAACCCUGUAAAAUAUUUGAUGCUACUGGUCCUUUGUUUAUCAAGUAUUUGUCUACCAGAAAGGAUGACUUUUCCUAUACUGGGUUUAAAAGGUCGGUUUUAUCAAUAAACAUUUUAUUGAAAAGCCGGUCGUGACAGACUUGGUAACCAGAGCCAGGCUGACUGUAGGAAGCCACUAGGUGCGAUCGCUAAUUGGUUAUUAGCAUGAUAGAGUUUAUUCAUGUUUUUACAAAUGUAGUCAUUUUUCUGACAGUCAGCAUAAAAAUUUUAUGAUCUGAUCAUGCAGAAUUUUUGCCUACUUUCGUAGAUGGCCGGCAACGACUGCGAGUCUCAAAUGUUUGCCAACGUGCUUGAGGGGUUCGUCAAACUACUCUCCUUCAUCGUUCAGGUCGCGAUGGAGCCAUCCGUGCGCCCAAUCUUCACACUUUAUCCACACAAGAUCAACAACAGUCUGACUAUGCACCAGGCCGUGGUGCAAUUCAGGGGAGGUCAUGCUGAGAUACGCCGCCUCCGAUUCUUGGGGAGAGCCAUGCCUACAGAGAGGCAUGCUAUGCAGAUGGCAGCCCGCGAGGCGAUAGCACGUCUUCGGGAUGUCCUACCUGCAAUGAAGACCCAUCGCUACCGCUACCUUCCAUGCCAUGUACCCUACACCUGUCACUACUCAUUCUCUUGCCCCAGAGGAGAGCGAGACGAAGCCUUUGAGAUGCUUGUCGAGUACCUCCGAGCCCUGGAGGCAGCCUUCGACAGCAUGGUGGACGACCUCAUAGCUGCACGCAUGGACUCAGUUCAUGGCUGUGCUGCUAACAGGAGGGAACUCCUGCACACCGCUCCACCACUAACUUUUGUCUCAUCCGUAGCUUCUCACUCACCUACCAUUCUCGCCACUGCUCGUUGUCUGCCUACCACUGAGGAAUUUGACCAAGCUAUUGCACCCACUCCCGUUUGCUCUGCACCACUUGUUGCACCCACUCCCAUACGUGUUACUCCACCUAUUCCACCCACUCGCAUUCGUGUUAUUCCGCCUACGGCACCUGCUCCGUCAGCUCAGCGCAGCGUUUCUCGUCUGGAACCUAUUAGCGAGGAGGAGGUUGAUUCCCCAGCGUCUCUGCGUCUCACCCUCGGCAGGCCAAAUGAGAUCCUCACCAUCUCCGACUGAGUACGCGUAGCCGCCAUGCGACGCAACGACUUGUGUGAUAUGUGUAUAUGUACAUAGGUUGUGAGAAGUAGCCUGUUUGCGCAUCAUGUAGGAUAUGGAGAAGUGCACUAGUUUUAAUAACAUGUCAGGUUUAUGUAUGCAUAUCUUGAGUGAUGUAAUGUAUAAUUAUGCUCGCGUGUAAGAUAUGUAAUAGUCAUUCUCCGCGCGAAAUCGUGUAUUUCUAAAAAUUAUCCUAGAGUUUCAAAAUUUUCUUUGUGUGUGAUUUUAUUGACUUUUGCGACUCUCUUGUCUUACGAGUUUCACAAAAUGUAUCCCCAGUGUCACAUCCCUAGCUUCUGGCAUUGCACUAUGAUAGUGUCAUGUGUGCAUCAUGUCUAAAUUUUUCUUAAACUUGAAAUGGGGACUAACAAACCCCAACACCCCCUUUUGAAAUACUAGGUUCCAACAAUUGGAAUUUCAAUGAACCCAAAAUGCCCUUCAUAAAUGUUUACCAUCUUUGGUCCUGGCUAAACCCUCUGCCAAAAAUGGUUUCAUAUUUUUGGAGGCUAUUCUGGAUUUUUGCACCAAGCCAUAAGUAUUUGCAUUUGGGCAAUUUAAAUCCUAUAAAUAUUUUAAAAUGCCCAAAUAAUCCUGAAGGUAUUUUUAGGCUGUUGAGAAUAUUUUCAAAUGUGCCUUUGAAUAUUUUCAGGUUUUUCCUAAAUGGAAUAGUAUUUCUACUAUUUCAAAACACAGAACAGAAACAAGUAAAAAGUAAAACAGAAAGCAGAGAGAGAGGGUUUUACCUGGCGCUCACCUGGCCUGGCCCAGCACGGCCCAGCCCACUGGCCUGUGCCAGUCGUCGCCCACCCCUGCCAGUAGGCAGAGGAGGGACAGCGCACGGCGCGCGCGUGGGCGCCACGCCACCAGGCUGCCUGCCUGCGUCACCUGGCCACCGCGACGCCUUGCGUCUUCUCCUCGGCGCUGCCUCGGCCCCCUGGUCACCACUCUCCCCUCCUAUGCUCCCCCCUCGUCCUCUCCCCCUCAUGCCCGAGCGAGUUCGUCGCCGCCGUUCACCAUAGCCGCGGCCACCGCCUCCCCCUCGACCCCUCGCUGUGCCUGCGAGCUCCGGCUCGACGUCCUCGACCUUCUCGACGACCCACGAGGCCCCGGACGCGCUGCAACGCCGCCACCGAUGCUUUUCCCCUCCUCGGCUGCCGGAGAUCGACCUCGCCGCCCCGCUCAGCUCCGGCCUUCCCCGAGCUCGCCGUCUGCACCGUUGCAACCGCCGUAAGCCUCUCCCUCAAACCCUCCUCUCUGUUGUCCCGUUUUCACGCCGUAGCUCCUAGUUCACUGACGACCGAAGCCCGCCACCGCCAUGGACGUUGAGCCACGCGCCCCCGAGCUUCGCUUGCUCGCCCUGGUGGCACAGACGUGCUCCUGGUGACCCGACGACGCCGUCUAUGCCCUUGGUUGAGCUCCUCGUGCUCCGCCACGCCGCGCCCGUACAAACCCGUAGCUGCGCCGCCGCCAAAACUCAUCGCCAGCGAAAUUCCGGCAGCCCUGCGACCCCCUGUCUGGCCCAUUGGAUGCGCCUGAGCAAGGGCUUCUCCCCGAUGCUUUCUGCAUGACAAACUGCGGCCCCUAGCGCUUUCCCGACGCACGUCCGCCGUGGCAAAUGGUCGCCGGCGGCUGAACGCCGGCAGGCCGACAUGGCAACGUCGUUAACUGCUAAUAACGGGGCUAACUAACUCCCUCUCUCACUGACUACUGGGCCCCACGCCCUUAACUAACACCAGUUUAAUUUAUGUUUAGUUUUAUUUAAUCACAGUGGCCCAUGCGUCGGCGUUGACCUCGCUGACGUGGCCAUUGACUGGCCCCACUUGUCUGUGACACUAACCAGCCCCGAGUCACUGACCAAUGGGCCCCACUGGUCAGGUUUGACCGGGUCAGCCGCAGUUGACCAGCUGACAUCACAGUGACGCAGAGCUGACGCAAUAAGUCAUUUUCUGGAUUUAAUUUAAUUCAGAAAAAUCCAGAAAAUUGCCUAAACUUCUAAAUAUCAUAGAAAAUCAACCGUAACCCCAAAUGAAAUAAAUUAUAUAUGAAAAAUGAUCAGAAAAAUCCAAUCUAUCCAUCUGUACCAUUUUCAUGCAUGUUAGAACAAGUUUUGUUCACUGUUUAGGUCAAAUCAAUUGAAUGACAUUUAAACCUUCACAUAUGGAGUUCGAAUUUGAACCUAGGGUUCAAACCAACUUCAUUUAACCUGUUGGUAGCUGCAUUAGCUCAAACCAAAGCAUAUUGCCAUGUCACAUCCAUGCAUCAUAUUGUCGCAUUGCAUUGAUUGUGUUUCCUCUCUCUUGCCGGUAAUUGUUCCCUCUCAGUAGACAACGUUCCGACGAUGAGUUCGAUGACACCGAUGAAGAACUAUAUUAUCUUCAGAAGUGCCAGGCAAGCAAAACCCCCUUGUUCAUUCCGAUAAAAUCCCACUCUCUCGCUCCUGCUCUCUUUUACUGCAUUAGGACAACACCGAUUCAUCUGUUACUUGCUGCGGUAGCUGAACCCCUUUAUCCUUUGCAUGACAUGUCAUUGCCACAGUAAAUAGAUGAAACCCACUAGCAUGAGUAGGAGUUGUUUGAGCCCUGAUGUGCCUACUCAUUCAUGCUUGUUGUCAUGCCUGCUAUUGCUUAGAGUUGUGUCAGGUCUGAUUCAUCGGGGAUGAAUCGGAGGUGUGUGAACAUGUCCUACUAUUGAGAGCUAAGUGUGUGAACACGAUUUGGUAAAGGUAGCGGUGAGAGGCCAUGUAGGAGUACAUGGUGGGUUGUCUCAUUGCAGCCGUCCUCAGAAACUGAGUUCUGUGUUUGUGAUCCAUGACCAGCUACUACCACGCAUUGGAAUGCUUAAGUGCCCCUCUCGACUUAUUAAUCAACUUGAUCUCUGUCCAGGAGUUGCAACUAGUUUCUGGUGUUUGUAGGUAGUGUUAGUAGUCUACCAAGUGGCACCCGGUACAGGUGGGCUUGGGACAGACUAGGCACAGUGGCCCGGUGUACCAAGUGGCACCCGGAUGGUGGACUUGGGAACCCUGCACACAUCGUUUGGGGCCGUGAGCGACACCCCGGCCGGAUCUCCUUGCGGAUGGAACCCGAAUAGGCGAUAAACCUAGACGAGAGACUUGUGUGGUUAGUCAGGUCGUGGCCGACACCCUCGCUGGGCUUUUGCUUGAAGGUUGCCGAGUACAUGUCGUGUAAACGGCGGUAAGUGGUGAGAGCGUGUGUGGAAAAGUACACCCCUGCAGGGUUAAUAUGAUCUAUUCGAAUAGCCGUGUCCGCGGUAAAGGACUUCUGGGUUGCCUGUAAAGUUCAUAGACAAGUGAAAGUGGAUACUUUAAAAUAUGCAAGAUAAGCGUGAGUGCUAUGGAUGGCGUUCUCGUAGGGAGACGGGAGCGGAUCCAUAGUGGUGUAUUGAUAUGGUGAAUAUGUGGACUCGUGUGCGCCACCUCAAAGAGUUACUUGCAGUCGUAGUUAGGAUAGCCACCGAGUCAAAGCUGGCUUGCUGCAGUUAAACCCCACCAUCCCCUUUGUUGAUAAUGAUGCAUAUGUAGUUAGUUCUGAUGUAAGUCUUGCUGGGUACAUUUGUACUCACGUUGCUUAAUUUAUGUUUUUGCAGAGAGACUUCAGUCUCGCUAGUAGUUCCACGUGGACUUCGACGUUUAGCUUGUUACCUCAGCUACGAUCUUGUGCCCUCGGCAGGAUCUGAUAGACAGUCAGGCUUCUCAGCCUUUUUCAUUUGUAGAUGUCUGUACUCAGACAUGUUAAGCUUCCGCUUGUGCUUUGACUUGAAUGCUCUGAGUGUUGGGUCAUGAGACCCAUGUUUGUAAUAUCUCGCUCCUCGGAGCCUAAUGAAUAAAUGCUUGAGUUGUAGAGUCAUGUUGUGAUGCCAUGUUGUAUUUGCACAUAUCGAGCAUAUUGUGUGUAUGUUAAUGAAAUGCUUGGUAUGUGUGGGACCUGACUAUCUAGUUGUUUAUCCUUAGUAGCCUCUCUUACCGGGAAAUGUCUCCUAGUGUUUCCACUGAGCCAUGGUAGCUUGCUACUGCUCCGGAACACUUAGGCUGGCCGGCAUGUGUCCUUCUUCGUUCCUGUGUCUGUCCCCUCGGGGAAAUGUCACGCGAUGAAUUCCGGAGUCCUGUUAGCCCGCUACAGCCCGGUUCACCGGAGUCCUGCUAGCCCAGUGCUACAGCCUGGAUUCACUUGCUGAUGACCGACACGUUCGUUGUUGGGUCAUGUAUGCCUGUCCCUGUAAGAUAGUGCCACUUAGGGUUUACGACUAGCCAUGUCAGCCCGGGCUCCUUAUCAUAUGAAUGCUAGCGACACUAUCAUAUACGUGUGCCAACAGGCGCAAACGGUCCCGGGCAAAGGUAAGGCGACACCCGUGGGAAUACCGUGCGUGAGGCUGCAAAGUGAUAUGAGGUGUUACAUGCUAGAUCGAUGUGGCAUUGAGUCGGGGUCCUGACACCCAGAGUGAAAGAUGUCUCGUCCUUGGACGCGCUCUAUGCCAAACCAGCCAGAAGAAAAUUUUGGCACACCACAAAACCACAAUUUCACUCAGGGACAGACAAGUCAACAGGACAGUGAAACAACAUUUACCAAAGUAUGUCGUCUGUAUGAACAGAGUCAGCAAUAACACCAGGAAAUGAUGAACCAAUUCAUCAAUAUGGGAAAUCACCAUGGUCAGUAUCAGCCGCAAUCCAAGUUGUCUGAGUUACAGAAGACGCGUCCCCCAACUUUUUCGCAUACUGAUAAGCCGCUUGAAGCCGACGACUGGCUUCGGGACAUGGAAAGAAAAUUAAUCAUUCCACAGUGUUCAGACCAGGAAAAGGUAUUGUACGCACCACAUUAUCUCACAGGAGCAGCUGCAUCGUGGUGGGAAAACUUCCUGCACAUGCACCCCAAUGAAAAUGAAAUCACCUGGGAAAAAUUCAAAGAAGGUUUUCGUGGGGCACAUAUUCCUAAGAGCGUCAUGAAAAUCAAGAAGAAAGAAUUUGAUGAACUCAAGCAAAGGACCAUGACGAUGUCAGAAUAUAACAGCCAAUUCACUUUGCUGUCUCGCUACGCUAAUGAAGAGCGCAUGACCGAGAGCAAGAAGAUGGAAAAAUUCUUGGAAGGCCUGGGACCCGCUCUUAAAUGCCAGCUGGUUGUGCAUACCUUCCCAGAUUUUAAGACACUGGUGGAUAAGGCCAUUACUCUGGAAAAUGAGCGACGUAGCCUAGAAGAUUUCCGCAAACGCAAGAGGGACCAAACUACUUUUGCUCGCAAUCACAGAAGCAAGAAGGAAUUUCAGAAGGGGGAAUCACACAAAACCGACAAAUAAUUCACGCCCAGCCAAGAAUUUCCAUGCAAGAGACAAGGAGUUCACAUAUCGCCCAGGCGUUACUUGUUACGCUUGUGGAGAAGAAGGGCACUACGCCAAGCAAUGUCCCAAGCCAAGAAAUUCAACCCCAAAGGCUAACAAUGGAGGCAAUAAUUCAGCGCCAAAGUGAAACAAUUUCAACCCCAAUAACAACCACCGGAAGGGUCACCUGAACCACGUAACAAAAGAGGAAGCAUAGAACGCCCCAGAUAUCAUACUCGGUACGUACCCCGUCAACACAAUACCUGCCAUGGUUUUGUUUGAUUCUGGAGCUUCUCACUCAUUUAUUUCGAAGAGUUUUUCUUUGCAAAAUAAUUUUUUGAUGCUUCCCUUGGAAAAGUCAAUGAUCAUCAAGUCCCCUGGAAUUAAGCAAAUGACCCAGAGUUACUGUCAAGGAGUGGUUAUUGAAUUUGAAGGGUUGGAGUUUUACGCCAACCUUAUUAUAUUGGAAAGCAAAGGACUGGAUGUCAUCCUAGGGAUGGAUUGGUUGACCACCAACAAAGGUUUUAUUGACUGUUUCAACCAGACCAUGAUUCUCACCCACCAUCAGGGAAAGACAAUAAAAGUUUCAGCCAAGGAGAGAUAAAUACCUCGGCAACCAAGAUUAAACAAGGUGGACGUUUCUGAACUGGACAAGGUUCCAGUAGUGUGUGAAUUUCUAGAUGUAUUUCUAGAAGAACUACCAGGCAUGCCACUAGACAGAGAGAUAGAAUUCAGCAUUGAGCUAGCACCCGGAACCGCUCCCAUUUAUAAGAAACCAUACAGAAUGGCACCAUCCGAAUUGGUAGAGUUGAAGAAGAAAAUAAAAGAAUUAUUGGAGAAAGGAUACAUCCGAGCCAGCUCCUCACCGUGGGGUUCUCCAAUUUUAUUUGCCAAGAAAAAGGAUGGAACACUAAGAUUGUGUAUUGACUAUCGAGCUCUUAACAUGGUCACAAUCAAGAACAAAUACCCAAUGCCCCGAAUAAAUGAUUUAUUUGAUCAGCUCGCACAGGCCAAAGUCUUCUCAAAAAUUGACUUGAGAUCAGGAUACCACCAGUUGAAAGUACGAACUGAAGAUAUUCCCAAGACAGCCUUCACCUCCAGAUAUGGGUUGUAUGAGUUCACAGUGAUGCCAUUCGGGCUGAGCAACGCCCCCGCAUAUUUUGUUCACCUUAUGAACAAAGUAUUUAUGAAGUAUAUGGACAAGUUUGUUGUAGUAUUCAUCGAUGAUAUUCUGAUAUACUCCAAAACACCAGAAGAGCACGCCGAGCAUCUCAGGAUUGUACUCGGAGAACUCAGGAAACAUCAAUUGUACGCCAAAUUCAGCAAAUGUGAAUUUUGGCUAAGACAGGUGGGUUUUCUGGGCCACGUGCUAACCCAAGAAGGUAUUGCAGUAGACCCAGAAAAAGUCAAGGCCGCACUUGGCUGGAAACCACCAGCUAACGUAACGGAAGUACGGAGUUUCUUGGGAAUGGCAGGCUAUUAUCAGCGAUUUAUUGAAGGAUUCUCCACCAUAGCAAAGCCCAUGACACAAUUGCUCAAGAAAGGCAAGAAGUUUGAAUGGAAGGAAGCAUGUGAGAAAAAUUUCCAAGAGCUAAAAAGCAAAUUAACAACGGCACCAGUAUUAAUUGUGCCAGACAUACACAAGAAUUUUGAAGUAUAUUGUGACGCAUCCCGGGAAGGCCUCGGAUGCGUAUUGAUGCAAGAAGGCAAGGUUGUUGCAUAUGUCUCCAGACAACUUCGCAAGCAUGAGGAGAAUUAUCCCACUCAUGAUUUAGAAUUAGCAGCGGUCAUCCAUGCACUCAAGGAAUGGAGACACUUUCUACUUGGAAACCACUGUGAAAUAUACAUAGACCAUAAGAGUCUUAAGUAUAUUUUCACACAGCCAGAACUAAAUUUACGGCAAUGACGCUGGUUGGAGUUAGUGAAGGAUUAUGAUGUUGGAAUCCACUACCAUCCCGGAAAAGCAAAUGUUGUGGCAGAUGCCCUGAGUCGGAAUCCCAGCACGGACGACGACAAUGUACCAAAGUUGAGACCCGAAUUUCAACAGGAAUUUGCCAUACUCAAUUUAAUAAUGAUUACCGAAGGCAAUGUGUCGAAUCUGGAAAUACAGCCUACCCUGAUGGAAAAGAUCAAGGAAGCCCAGCACGGACACCCCAGCAUUGAUGGCAUAAAAAGGAAAGUAAGUUUGGGCAAGACCUUGGAACUCAACGUAGAUGAGCAAGGAAUAUUAUGGUACGGAGAAAGAAUCUGCGUACCAAAUAUCUAGGACCUCAAACAUCAGAUUCUGUCUGAAAGCCACACCGCUCCGUAUUCAAUCCAUCCUGGAGGGACAAAGAUGUACAAAGACCUUCAGGAAAAAUUUUGGUGGCACGGUAUGAAGAGAGACAUAGCCACGUUCAUUGCAUGUUGCGACUCUUGUCAACGCAUAAAGGCCGAGCACGAGAAACCAGCCGGGCUGUUGCAGCCGAACAAAAUACCCGAGUGGACGUGGGACGAGAUUGGAAUGGAUUUCAUUGUUGGACUACCACGGUCACGACAUGGAAAUAAUGCCAUAUGGGUCAUAACCGACAGGUUAACUAAGGUGGCACAUUUUAUUCCGGUGAAGACAACUUACUCCACUCAGAGACUGUCCAGACUUUAUCUUGCCCGUAUCGUCUGCCUGCAUGGAGUCCCAAAGACUAUCAUAUCUGACAGAGGCACACAGUUCGUCUCUAGAUUUUGGGAUCACCUACAACAAGCACUGGGUACCCAACUAGCAUUCAGCACCGCAUACCAUCCCCAGACUGAUGGACAGACUGAACAUGUAAACCAAAUUCUAGAAGAUAUGCUGAGAGCUUGUGUCCUCACCUACGGAACCAGUUGGGAGGAGAGCUUGCCAUAUGCAGAGUUCGCAUAUAACAACAGUUAUCAAGCCAGCUUGCAAAUGGCACCCUUUGAAGCUCUAUAUGGCAGAAGAUGCCGUACCCCGCUAAAUUGGUCAAAGACCGGAGACAGCCAUAUCUUCGGCCCAGAUAUGCUCAAAGAAGCCGAAGAGAAAGUUAAGAUAAUUAGAGAUCGACUCAAGACAGCUCAAAGUCGGCAACAGAGUUAUUAUGAUCGAAAGCAUUGGGAAAUCAGUUUUGAACCAGGAGAAUCCGUGUACCUAAGAGUCUCUCCUAUGAGGGGUCUGCAACGAUUCAGGAUUAAGGGAAAGCUAGCACCAAGAUUCAUCGGACCAUUCCGUAUAAUGGCCCGAAGAGGCAUGGUAGCCUACCAGCUAGACUUACCCAGGGAUUUAUCCGAUAUCCACAACGUGUUUCACAUCUCACAAUUGAGAAAGUACGUGAGCAACCCAGAGAAGCAGGUAUCACAUGAAAAUAUUGACGUACAACCGGAUCUCACCUAUCGAGAGCACCCAAUAAAAAUAUUAGAAGAGUCUGAAAGGAGGACCCGAUAGAAAACCAUCAAAUUUUCAGAGUUCAGUGGAGCAACCACACCGAGAAUGAAGCAACUUGGGAGAGAGAGGAUUUUCUCCGAACAGAACACCCACACCUGUUUAAGGAUCAACUGAAAUCUCGGGGACGAGAUUUUUCCUAAGGGGGUAGGUGUUGUGACACACAAUUUUUUUUUGUGGUUUUUGUUUUCAGAAAAAAGAAAACCCUCUUUUUUUGGUUUUGGGCCUUUAUUUGGUUUUGAUCUUUUCUUAAGUUUUACCAUGCCUCCUAUGGUAAAUUUUUUCCCAAAACCCCUCCUUCCACUUUGGUACAACCCAAACAUUCCAUUAAAUUCUUUCCCCAAAAUAAUUAUGUCCUUCAUUUGGAGCCUAGGUAGUUUGCAAAGCAAGUACCUUAAGCAUUUGAUUUUUGACCUCAACCCAACUCCUCUGGAUAGUCCUUUGUACCCACAACCUAGAACCAUCUUGAUCCACUCUUCUUCUUUUCAAUUAUUUCAAAUUUCACUCUCUGCAAGUUUGGACCAGAUUUGCCAAAUUUGGUGAAAUUCAUAUCUACACUUCUCCAAAAAUUCCACCAAAAUUCAGGCAACCUCUAGUUGCAAUGAGAGACCUCUCCACCAAAAACCAGCUCAAUGAAAAAUCCCUACAUGCUAGAAUCAUUCUGUCGAACACUUGGCAUGCACUAUUUUUGUUCAUAUUCAGUAAAUUCAGAGUUUCAGUGUCGUUUCCCCGACAGAACUUUAGUCACAUGCCCACUGUGCAUUUGGCUCGAUGCUCGCAGCCCCUCCCUCUUGUCCGGAGCUCCACACGCGCACUUGGCGCCUUCCUGGCGUCGGUGGCGCCCUGGAUCGCCUGUGCUGGCGUGCUUUGCGGUGGCAGAACCACCGUAACGGCCGACAGGGGGCAACACCACGGCAGAACGCCGUUCGGCACCGCCCAACCCUCAUGGUAGCUCCGCGUGGCCAUCUCCUUGCUAGCACACGCAUGCAGCACCGUCGCCGUGGCCUGGCACGCGCAGAGCGCGUUCUCUGCCGCCAAUGGGCUGUGCUGCCAUUCCGUCGAGGGCAGGCCGUAACCCUCCCUCCCGUGCUGAGUUGGAACCUGAAAUGGCACCACUGCUCCACCUAGACGAUGCUCAAGCUCCUAAGCCGACCGUUCCGCCGCAGCGCCGCCGUAAUCACCCGCCAGACUUAUCCGUCCACGGCAACUGCCUCGGGCCGGCUAUAAAUAGCACCCCCCGAGCUUGCCCUCGCCCACGCACAACUCCACCACCUCACUAGACCCCGCCUAGCCACUGGGAGAGCCUCGAGGGGCCUUUCUUCUUCGACUCCGGCCACCUCCGUCCGCCUCGGGCUCCAGCAACAUUCUCUUCGGUGAGAACUCCUUUGCCGCCCUGCUCUUGCCCGUAGCCUCGUACCACCUCCAGUAGGCUAACCCCCACUUCAAUUUGAACACCGUAGCUCCCUCCGGCGAGAUCCACGACUGCCCGAACCGCCGUCCGCCGGAGCAAGGGCCUCCGUCGACACAGUGCUCGCCGGCGACCACCACCACCACCCACAGACGCGGAAGGGUUCACUGAUCAUGAAGGUAACUCCCGAUCACCUUGCCUCGCCGUGGAUCGCCGCCGGCGACCACCGCACCUCUCGGGCGCCGUCGCGCUCUGUUUUCCUCAUUUGAAAUUUCCAACCUGACGGGUGGAGCCCGCCUGUCAGUCUCCCAGCCGUUUAUUUUAAACGAAACGUUUUCUGGACUUUUCCGCAGAGCCCCCUGGAAACUUUCUGUUUCAUUACAGAUGGGUCCUUGGACCAAAAUUCUUAUAACUUCUCAACAGAAGAUGGUUUUUGAUUGAUUCUUUUUCUAUCAUCUUUAUUUUUCUGUCUAGUUUUUUGUCAUGUUUAUUUGAAAAAUAUUUGGAAUACUUUUCUGUACACUCACGGUAUUUACGUUACGUACAUAUUUUUCUUAUACCGUAGAUUCCGGAGGAAGCAACGGAGCCGCAAACUUCGCACAGUUAGACUCCGACUACUCCGAACCAGGCAAACAUGUUUGAACUAUUGAUAUGAUGAAGUGUUUGUUGCAUGUUUGCAUUUUAGGAGUUUCAUGGCAUGUUAAUGAACAUAUCAUAGAAUGUUAUAUUUCAUGCACAGAGUGGAAAGUAAGUUUCGGAAAGCCAUAUGUUGUUGGAUACAUAUUGGCAAGGCCAUGAGAUGGCAUGAGGAUGGGUAAGAUGGUAGUGUUGUGACAUGCCAGUCUUAUGCCAGUCCAUUUGACAGCAGUAUCAUCAUGAUCAAAUCAUAUUCCCAUUCAGUUCCUUCCUGUGCUGCCACAUGUUUUCUGCAAGGAAUAUGGUGUCGUAAGUUGCAACCGUUUUCCUGGUACACACCAAGUAGAGAGGCCGGGAUGAGGGUUCCAUGGCCCUGGAUUAAAGUCUGUCAUCCAGUCAGGGGGCAUGGGUGUUUCCUGUUUGGACCGAGAGGGGGGCACCCCUUAGAGCGCGCGUAUAGAAAUUUGAUCCCAUGCUAUUCGAGGUUGUGGCCUCCGCGUCUCAAAGUUUUUCUUGGACGUUGCCUAGGGUGAUUCCUGGCAUCGUGAGGUGGAAUGGGUGUGUACUAGUUAAAUGUGUUUCUUCCGAAAUACCGUAAACGGAACUAGUCCUUCGUGACUACGGAAAUCCGUUGGCUGUGGACAGUAGUACAAACUCUGCAGAGUCACAACUCCUUAAAUCAUCUUGUACUUGUCCAAGUACUGUAUUCAUCUUAUCUUGUCAGGUAUCUGUCUCAGUGACAAAACUUCGGUGGACUACCAGGGUGAUAAACCCGGCUAAAAGAUUAUUCUUGUGGAUGGACUAAUACUUGUUGUUUACAUUUGUCAUAAGCCCUGUCUGUGGUGUCGCUCAGACGUCCGAUGGUGGCAUACCUGUUAUCUACAUUUGUCACAAGCCCUGUCCGCGAUGUCGCUCAGACGUCCGAUGGUGGCAUUUCUUUUAAAGCCCUUUAUGUGAUGUCGCUCAGACGUCCGACUGUGGCAUUUCUUUUAAAAGCCCUUUAUGUGAUGUCGCUCAAAUGUCCGACUGUGGCAUUUCUUUUAAAAGCCCUUUNNNNNNNNNNNNNNNNNNNNNNNNNNNNNNNNNNNNNNNNNNNNNNNNNNNNNNNNNNNNNNNNNNNNNNNNNNNNNNNNNNNNNNNNNNNNNNNNNNNNNNNNNNNNNNNNNNNNNNNNNNNNNNNNNNNNNNNNNNNNNNNNNNNNNNNNNNNNNNNNNNNNUGUCGCUCAGACGUCCGACUGUGGCAUUUCUUUUAAAGCCCUUUAUGUGAUGUCGCUCAGACGUCCGACUGUGGCAUUUCUUUUAAAGCCCUUUAUGUGAUGUCGCUCAGACGUCUGACUGUGGCAAUUCUUUUAAAGCCCUUUACGUGGUGUCGCUUAGACGCCCGACUGUGGCAUGCAUUUUAUUUGUUUACCCUUUCGAGGCAUCGCUCCAGACACCCGAUCGGUUUUCAGUUAUUUAUUUUAUUUGUCAAAUCUUUAUUAUUGAGCAUUAUUAUUUUGCUCAUGACGCAUUCAUGCAUGCAUUUGUUAUAUCUUUUGUCCGAAUUGUCUUGCGAGUACUUUCAAAGUACUCACCUGGCUUGUUGAUUUGGCCAGAUGUUGAUGAAGGUGGUCUCAUGGAUGAGGAAUUCAAUAGCGAGUCCGACGCCUAGAGGAGUCCCAGUCAGUCCCGAGCGAUCCUGUUUUGGUCAUUGUAUCAUAUCUGCUUCCGCUACCCCAGAAUAAAUUCAUCGAGCCUCACCUCGACGCUCGAUGAGCUGCCAGUAGAAUUCAAGUUAUCCUCCACCACUUUCUAUUUCGAGCUAGUAGCAUGUCACCACACCCCCCUGUGCCAUAACCGCCUUUAUGUAAGAUAUUGGUGAGUUCGUAUUAAUUUGUUCAGCAGCCUCAGCUCAACCCUGUAAAAUAUUUGAUUCUACUGGUCCUCUGUUUAUCAAGUAUUUGUCUACCAGAAAGGAUGACUUUUCCUAUACUGGGUUUAAAAGAUCGGUUUUAUCAAUAAACAUUUUAUUGAAAAGCCGGUCGUGACAGUUACAAUCAGAGGAGAUCUUCAUAUUGAAUCGCCAAGCUUGCCUUCCAUGCCAAGGAAAGUCCUAUCCGGACACGGGACGAAGUCUUCAAUCUUGUAUCUUCAUAGUCCGGGAGUCCGGCCAAAGGUCAUAGUCCGGCCAUCCGGACACCCCCUAAUCCAGGACUCCCUCAAUGGUAUAGUUGGAACACACGGAUCUCCAAGUUUCUUUGGUAUUCCACCCUUAAAAGUGUAAUUAGCAAGCAUGGUGGAAAUUUCAGCUUCCGGUAUCUUUCUUUUAUUUGUAAUGAUAUCCUUCAUAUACUUAGCAUAAGGAUUUACUUUAAGCAUAUUAGUUAAGCGCAUACGUAAGAAAAUAGGUCUAAUCAUUUCAGCAAAGCGCUCAAAAUCCUCAUCAUCCUUUGACUUGGAUGGUUUAGGAGGAAAGGGCAUGGGUUUCUGAACCCAUGGUUCUCUCUCUUUCCCGUGCUUCCUAGCAACAAAAUCUCUCUUAUCAUAACAUUGAUUCUUUGAUUGUGGGUUAUCAAGAUCAACAACAGGUUCAAUCUCUACAUAAUUGUUAUUACUAGGUUGAGCAUCUACAUGAACAUCAUUAUUAGCAUUAUCAUCAGGUUCAUGUUCAUCUCCGGAUUGUGUUUCAGCAUCAGAGAUAGAAAUAUCAUUGGGAUUCUCAAGUGUUUCUACAUUAGGUUCACUAGAAGUUUGCAAAGUCCUAUCAUUCUUCUUUUUCUUCUUCUUAGAAGAACUAGGAACAUCUAGAUAUUCUGAGAAUCUUGUUCAAUUCUUUUAGGGUGGCCUUCAGGAUACAAAGGUUCCUGAGUCAUUCUACCAGUUCUAGUAGCCACUCUAAUGGCAAAGUCAUUCUUAUUAUUCAAUUCAUCAAGCAAAUCAUUUUGAGCUUUGAGUACUUGCUCAGCUUGAGUAGCAACCAUAGAAGCAUAUUUGCUAACGCGGUGAAGUUCAUCUUUAACUCUAGCCAUAUUAUCACCUACGCGUCCUAUCUCGAAAGCAUUAUUCUUUAACUCUCUACCAACAUAAGCAUUAAAACUUUCUUGUCUAGCCAUAAAGUCAUCAAAUUCAUCCAAGCAUGGGCUAUGAAAUUUAGUAGAGGGUAUUUCAACUUUAUCGUAUCUAUAGAGAGAAUUUACCUUUACUACGCGUGUCGGGUUAUCAAGACAAUGUGGUUCUUCAGGCGGUAAAUUAAGACCAUGUAUUUCUUCAAUAGGUGGUAAAUUCUUAACUUCUUCAGCUUUAAUACCUUUUUCUUUCAUUGAUUUCUUUGCCUCUUGCAUAUCUUCAGGACUGAGAAAUAAAACACCUCUCUUCUUCGGAGUGGGUUUAGGAAUAGGCUCAGGAGUUUACUCAAUUGGUUCAGGAAUUACUUCAGGAACUGGCUCAGGAAGAGUCCAAUUAUUUUCAUUAGUCAACAUAUUAUUCAAUAAUAUUUCAGCUUCGUCGACUGUUCUUUCCCUGAAAACACAACCAGCACAACUAUCCAAGUGGUCCUUGGAAGCAUCGGUUAGUCCAUUAUAAAAGAUAUCAAGUAUUUCAUUUUUCUUAAGAGGAUGAUCAGGCAAAGCAUUAAGUAACCGGAGAAGCCUCCCCCAAGCUUGUGGGAGACUCUCUUCUUUGAUUUGCACAAAAUUAUAUAUUUCCCGCAAGGAAGCUUGUUUCUUAUGAGCAGGGAAAUAUUUAGCAGAGAAGUAAUAAAUCAUAUCCCGGGGACUACACACACAACCAGGAGCAAGAGAAUUAUACCAAGUCUUAGCAUCACCCUUUAAUGAGAACGGGAAUAUCUUAAGGAUAUAUAAAUAGCGAGACUUCUCAUCAUGAGUAAACAGGGUGGCUAUAUCAUUCAACUUGGUAAGAUGUGCCACAACAGUUUCAGAUUCAAGGCCAUAAAAAGGAUUAGAUUCAACUAAAGCAAUAAUACCAGGAUCAACAGAUAAUUCAUAAUCCUUAUCAGUAACACAGAUAGGUGAAGUAGCAAAAGUAGGAUCGGGUUUCAUUCUAGCAUUAAGAGACUGCUGCUUCCAUUUAGCUAAUAAUUUUUUAAGAUCAUUUCUACCAUUUCAAGCAAGAAUAGCUUCAUCAGCUUAUUUGUUCAUAACAUAACCCUUAGGAACAACAGGUAAUACAUAAUCACUGUGGGAAUGUUCAUCAUCACUAUCAUCAAUAAUAGGUUCUUCAAUAUUUUCAUUCCCCCUAACUCUAGCAAGUUGUUCAUCAAGAAAUUCACCUAAUGGCAAAGUAGUAUCACGCACAGAAGUAGUUUCAUCAUGCAUAGCAGAAGUGGCAUCAUCGAUAACAUGCGACAUAUCAGAAUUCGUAGCAGUAGCAGGUUUAGGUGUCGCAAGCCUACUAAUAACGGAAGGAGAAUCUAGUGCGGAGCUAGACGGCAGUUCCUUACCUCCCCUCGUAGUUGAGGGCAAAAUCUUGGUCUUAGCGUCUUUCAAGUUCUUCAUAGUGAUCAACAGAUAUAAAUCCCAAGUGACUCAGAGAAUAGAGCUAUGCUCCCGGGCAACGGCGCUAGAAAUUAGUCUUGAUAACCCAGAAGUAUAGGGGAUCGCAACAGCUUUCGAGGGUAGAGUAUUCAACCCAAAUUUAUUGAUUCGACACAAGGGGAGCCCAAGAAUAUUCUUGAGUAUUAGCAGUUGAGUUGUCAAUUCAACCACACCUGGAUAACUUAGUAUCUGCAGCAAAGUAUUUAGUAGCAAAAGUGGUAUGAUAGUAAUGGUAACAGUAGCAACAGAAAAGAUCAAUGUUUUUGGGUUUUCAUAGUAGUUGUAAUAGUAGCAACAGAAAAGUAAAUAAGCGAAGAACAAUAUAUGAAAAACUCGUAGGCAAUGGAUCAGUGAUGGAUAAUUAUGCCGGAUGCGAUUCCUCAAGCAAUAGUUAUAACAUAGGGUGAUAUAGAACUAGCUCCAAUUCAUCAAUGUAAUAUAGGCAUGUAUUUCGUAAAUAGUCAUACGUGCUUAUGGAAAAGAACUUGCAUGACAUCUUUUGUCCUACCCUCCCGUGGCAGCGGGGUCCUAGCGGAAACUAAGGGAUAUUAAGGCUUCCUUUUAAUAGAGAACCGGACCAAAGCAUUAACACAUGGUGAAUACAUGAACUCCUCAAACUACGGUCAUCACCAAGAAGUAUCCCGAUUAUUGUCACUUCGGGGUUGUCGGAUCAUAACACAUAAUAGGUGACUAUAGACUUGCAAGAUAGGAUCAAGAACACACAUAUAUUGAUGAAAACAUAAUAGGUUCAGAUCUGAAAUCAUGGCACUCGGGCCCUAGUGACAAGCAUUAAGCAUAGCAAAUUCAUAGCAACAUCAAUCUCAGAACAUAGUGGAUACUAGGGACCAAACCCUAACAAAACUAACUUGAUUACAUGGUAAAUCUCAUCCAACCCAUCACCGUCCAGCAAGCCUACGAUGGAAUUACUCACGCACGGCGGUGAGCAUCAUGAAAUUGGUGAUGGAGGAUGGUUGAUGAUGACGACGGCGAUGAAUCCCCCUCUCCGGAGCCCCGAACGGACUCCAGAUCAGCCCUCCCGAGAGAGAUUAGGGCUUGGCGGCGGCCCCGUGUCGUAAAACACGAUGAAACUUUCUCUCUGAUUUUUUUCUCUACGAGACGGAAGAUAUAGAGUUGGAGUUGAGGUCGGUGGAGGUCCAGGGGCCCACGAGAUAGGAGGGCGCGCCCUAGGGGGCGCCCCCCUAUCUCGUGGACAGCCCGUGGGCCCCCUGGCCUUGAUUCUUUCGCCAAAAAUUCUUAUUAAAUCUGAAAAUUGCCUCCGUGGAUUUCCAGGACAUUCCGAGAACUUUUCUUUUCUAUACAUAAAACAACAUCAUGGUAGUUCUGGUGAAAACAGCGUCAGUACAGGUUAGUUUCAUUCAAAUCAUGCAAGUUAGAGUCCAAAACAAGGGCAAAAGUGUUUGGAAAAGUAGAUACAUUGGAGACGUAUCACUGGUCCGGAGAGUGGACUUCAUCAAACGGGAAACACGAUGGCAUUUGGCAAUCAGACGUAGCGAAGCCAACAUCAUAGUGGAAGUACACCGAGCUCGUUGUCGCUUUAGGGGUAGUUUGAUUUGUGACCUGGCAAAAUUUUGCCUGGCCCAGGACCUGCCUGGGACUAGCCUGGUGCAUGUUUGGUUGGUAUCCUGGAAAACGAGAUGCUAGCCUGGCCUAAAUGGUGAUUAGCCUGCUGAAGCACCAGGCACAAUUAUUAGCCUAGCCCAGGCAUAGCGAGUAGGUAGCCUGGCUCAUGCCUGGGUACUAAUCGAGCCUCUCCUUGCAUGUUAUCCCAUAUAGUCACAGGCCACCGAUUAUUUUAUUGCUGGAUAAUAGCUAUCCAGGCAUGGAUGCGUGCCAAACACAAUACACCCAGGCUAGCCUCACCAGGCAGAUUCUUUGAUCUUUUCAGGCGCACUCCAGGCUACAAAUUUAUCCAGGAAUGGAACUCAGGUAUUGAACCAAACUGACCCUUAAUGCAUAAAGAGGCCUGAAGCCGCUCUGUCUUUUGUAUUGGCAGUGGUUCCCAUUUGGUUGUUUGUUUUUGCGGAGAAUAUCUCGCUUGUUGCUAGAUAUACCAUGUACUUGCCUCUAGCAAUCUCGACAUGGGUCAUGGCUCACGCAACAUAUGGGGUUUUGCCUCUUGUCUUCUAUGGGAAGGAUGGCAAUGGGUAGGGUAUGUGGCAGAUAGGGCAAUACCAUAUCCAUACCCGUGUAGUCAAUGGGUACAAAAUUCUACUCAUACCCGUACCAAUGGGUAUGAUACUUUACCCAUAUCCAUACCCGACAGGUACCCAUGCCCAUUGGGUACCUAAUAGGUAGAUCAAAUGGUACAUAAGUUAUUCGCAAUUUUACAUUCAUAUAUAACACAUUUGAAAAAAAAACAUUGAUCUUAACUCAAUAAUAGAUAGCUGAGUACAUGACAAUUAUCUCAAUUCAAAUUGACAAUUGGUAACAACUUUAACAUAGGUUCAUAAGCUCACGGCACAACUUUAACAUAGGUACAUUUGUGAUUUUGAAUCAUGGGUAAGAUUCACAUGUGAGUAUAAAAUGCAUAGGGUAUGGGUAUAUCCAUGGGUAAAAGGCUAUACCCGUGCCCUACCCAUGACUUAACGGGUAGGAUAUGGGUACUACCCGUGGGUAUAAAAUUGUGCCCAUACCCUGGCCAUGCGGGUAUGAUAUCCGCGGGUACCCUUACCCAUGGGUAAAAUUGCCAUCCUUGAUGGGAUGGGUGGUUUAUGUGCAUAUUUCUUUCAAUUAAACUCCUGCUUCCUUUUUCUCAUGUUUUCUUUCACCUUAAUAUUUCUUUCCAUAUCUACUUUUUUUUUCUUUUUUUACAUUUAUUUUUCCCCUUUUUGGGUUUCCUUUCUCCUGUUUUUUCUUUUUAUUUUAUUUUUCCUUUUUCAUACCUAUGAAAUCGCUUACUAAAAAAUGGGCCCCAUGUUUCGAGAUAUGUUUUAUCAUGUACUCCCUCCAUUCCAUAAAUGCACUUUAUAUAGAUUUUUUGAGAAGUCAAACAUCAGCAAAAUUGACCAUUUUUUUAAGAAAAACAUUUACAUCUAGAUUGCCAAACAUGUAUAUCAUUAAACUCAUCGUAAGAUGUAGUUUCAUACUACCUAUGUCCAAAAUAACUGUCGCUCAAAGGACGGAUAUAUCUAGAUGUAUUUUAGUGCUAGAUAUAUUCGUUUGAGUGAUAGUUACUUUUGGACGGAGGGAGUAUUUUAUAUAUUUGAUAUUCUAGAUAUAAAUCGCUUUGUCUAUAAAUUUGGUCAAAAUUUGCAAACUUUGACCUUUCACAAAAUCUAUACGCACUACAUUAUGGAACUGAGGGAGUAUUAAAAAAUGUGUGUGUGUAUUAAAAACAUUCAACGCAUAUUAUUUUUAUCAUGUAUUAAAAAAAUAUUAGCUACAUAUUGAAAAUUUGUUCAUCGUGUAUUAAAGAAUCAUUUAUUGGUAUUGAAAAAAAAUGUUGUAUAUCAAGAAUGUUUUACCAUUUAAUUAAAAUGACCAUACUUUAUUUAAAAAUGUUCAUAGUGUGUAAAAAUAUUUAUAUUUUCCAAAAGAUAAUCCUUGUGUUUUUUAAAUAUCAUUUAGUAAAAAUGUUUUUCGUGUACUAAGAAAAGUAUUUUGAGUAUUAAAAAUAAUUAAACUUUAUUGAAAUUGUUCAUCCUGUAUUUAAUAAUAUUCAUCAUGAAUUAUCAAAUUGUCAUUGUUUUCUGGUCUUAUAUUUUCUUUAUUUUGCCUUAUAUUUUCUUCUUGUUUUUCAUUUUUAAUGUGAAAUAAGUUUUUUUAAAUGUGCAAGGUUUUUUUCUUCAAAAUACACAAACGAAGCAACUAUUUAGAAAUAGUUUUUCUUUUAUAAUUUAUUUGUUUCUUCAAAAGGUUGAGCAUUUUUUAAUUGUAUAAGAACAUAUUCCGACUACGUGGUCCAUGUUAAGCAAUUUUUAGUUACAUUUUGAACCUUAUUUCAAAUAGACAAUGCACAAUUUUUAAUACAUGAUAUUCUUUUUUGAAUUAUACUUAUUUGAAGCACAUUAUGGUAAUUGUUUCCAAAUACAAGAUAAGCAAUUCUUUUAAUACGAGACAAACUUUUUUUCAUACACGAGGGACCUUUUCUACAACAGAUUGAAAAAAGUCGUAUAUGCAAUGAACAUUUUUAUACAUGAUGAGCCUUUUCUCAAAAAAUGAUGGACAUUUUUCCAGACAUGAUGAACAUUUUGAAGUAUACAAAUUAUUGAAAGAACUCCAAAGCCCUUGUGUUGCCCUCCAAGGCGACUCGGGCGGCCACAGGGACUACCGCCGGCCACCCCUCCCUUCCUUCUCCGCGCUCAUCGUCGUCACCAUAGGGAGUCGCUAAGAAAGCCUACUCGACCCUCAAUGACGGCGGUGGCGGGGCUCGUGUUGCCCCUUCCCCUUUUCUCCCCUCCCUCAUGGUCCCUAACCUCUCUACGCCGUCAAUCGUGCUCCCUCCAUCGCCUACUCAACAGAUUUGACGGGAGGCUCAUCAAAUCUAGCCAUCUCUGUGUACGGCUGCUGUGGCGACGUCCAUGGCGCCAUCUUGCGUUGUUGUUCAUUGUCUCUUCUGCAUGGUGUGAGCCUACCAUCCUAGAGGUCGUGACCGUGGUCUGCCCAUGGGUGUCACGUCUCUUGGGGGUGUUGUUGUGGUCCCAUCCCCGCGCCAAGGCUUCAUGUGAAAAUUCUACAUUGUCUCUUCGGUCUCGACGGCGGUAGCGUGUAGCGCUCUCAAUCUCUUGGGGGUCCCAUCGUGGAGCUCUCAGGUUCCUUCCUGUCACGACGCAAUCAUCCUUGGCAGGCUAGUUUGGAUCCUAAGUUGAAGCUUCUUCGGCACUUGCGUGGAGCGAUCGCGCUUACCUCGUACUGUGCACACGUGUCUUGGUUGUCAUUGUUCUCGGUCUUACUGUUUUUUUUUGAGGGGCUCGGUCUUACUGUUUGCACAUAGAAUUAGCGCUCCAUAGCCCGGGGCGGGAUUGUAGGGGCCCACCCUGACGAUAACUAGAUAUGAGCGGUGCAACGAUAUCCCGGGGUUUUCCAAUGAGGCGUGGUUUCAUGUCAGCCGUCUUGGUCACUUUUUGACAGGGAGUGACUACUCAUGUACUUUUGUUUUCUUCCUUUUGAUCUUCUUCAUAGGAGGGUCAGAUGUCACCGUGUAUUGAAUCAGUUUCUUUAUAUACAAAGCAGGGUGAAAGCCUUUUGAUACAUUUUUAAGUACACGUUAAACAGUUUAAUACAUGGUCUAUAUUUUUCCGUGUAACAUUUUUAUGCUAUACAAAACCAAGACACGUGAACAUUUUUUUAUAUAGCGUCAUUUUAAUGUUGUUUUUAGACUCUAGAUGCGGACUUCAUGAUUUUAUCUAAAUUAUACUCCUAAGAGAAGGUCGGAAGUACUCUUUUGGUCCCGAGCUCAAAUGAGCUCGGGAUGAACAGUAGCACGGUCAUACAUGACAAAUGCCCACUCCUGCUAAGGGUGCUAGCGAGGGUGGCCUUGAUUGAGAAAAUCAUCAUAUGAAGCACCACCAUAAAUCAAUAUCGGCAUACAACAACAACAUGGUCAUACAUCAUGUGAAGUGAAAUUACCUUCUGUAAUAAGAGAUCGGAUGGAGAUGACAUGAAAGAUGGAGCCCAUCGUCUAGAGAUGGAGAUGGACGACAAAGGCUCGAUGAUCUAGAGGUGGGUUAAAUAGCAAAUCCUGGGUCAGGUGUAGGUUGAGUUGUUGACUGGUGGAUACAAAGUCAGGGAUGGGGAAGCUCGGGACCCGANNNNNNNNNNNNNNNNNNNNNNNNNNNNNNNNNNNNNNNNNNNNNNNNNNNNNNNNNNNNNNNNNNNNNNNNNNNNNNNNNNNNNNNNNNNNNNNNNNNNNNNNNNNNNNNNNNNNNNNNNNNNNNNNNNNNNNNNNNNNNNNNNNNNNNNNNNNNNNNNNNNNNNNNNNNNNNNNNNNNNNNNNNNNNNNNNNNNNNNNNNNNNNNNGGGGGUCGAACACGGACUUGCGGGUGUGGCGAAGGCUGAGGAACCAUGAGGCUCGAGGAGCAAUGGUGUCUUAGGAGCUUGUCGGAGUAAAUGACCACGGGUAGCCCAACCGGCUCCCCCUGACUCUUCAAAAAAUAUCGGGCCGACUGAGCCCUCAAACAUGCAAGACGCAGGGCCGCCUUCACUUGGCCAGCUAUCCCACCGACCGGCUGCUGGAAGGCGGCAACGCUCAAAGAGCUCUCUCGAAGAGGGCCGGCUCCUAGCAGUCAUCCACCAGAGUGGCUGACUCCUAGCAGGCGGCCUGGUUCAUACCCUCAAAGUUUGCACCCACAAAACCACGAUAAGAUGGGGCGUGGCUACAGUGAAGCCUGCCAACCCCGAAUCCCGGAGCAAGCAUGGCCACAGUGCACCGUCCGGGGCGGCCACUCCCCGUCCGGGGCGGCACUGUUGCCAUGUUGACCACGACAUCACCCACGGCAGGCUGUCAGUAUGACCCGCAGGCGACGGGCCCCUCCCACUAGAGAUAUAUCAGAAGACGGCCGAGCUUAACCAGUCGGUCUGGGGGAGGCCGGCUCCGAUCAGUCGGCCUUGUAGGAUCGAAAGUAUGUCUAGAGGGGGGUGAUUAGACUACUUGACCAAAUAAAAAUCUAGCCUUUUCCUAAUUUUAAUUCUUGGUAGAUUUUAGCAACUAGUAUAAGUCAAGCAAUCAACCUACACAUGCAAUUCUAAGAGUAUAGCAGCAGAAUGUAAAACAAUUGCAUAUGAAGGUAAAGGGGAGGAGUUUGAGGAGGCAAACGCAAUUGGAGACACGGAGAUUUUUGAGCCGUGGUUCUGAUAGGUGGUGCUAUCAUACAUCCACGUUGAUGGAGACUUCAAUCCACGAAGGGUAACGGUUGCGCGAGUCCACGGAGGGCUCCACCCACGAAGGGUCCAUGAAGAAGCAACCUUGUCUAUCCCACCAUGGUCGUCGCCCACGAAGGACUUGCCUCACUAGGGGUAGAUCUUCACGAAGUAGGCGAUCUCCUUGCCCUUACAAACUCCUUGGUUCAACUCCACAAUCUUGUCGGAGGCUCCCAAGUGACACCUAGCCAAUCUAGGAGACACCACUCUCCAAGAAGUAACAAAUGGUGUGUUGAUGAUGAACUCCUUGCUCUUGUGCUUCAAAUGAUAGUCUCCCCAACACUCAACUCUCUCUCACUGGAUUUGUAUUUGGUGGAAAGAAGGUUUGAGUGAAGCAACUUGGGAAGGCUAGAGAUCAAGAUUCAUAUGGUAGGAAUGGAAUAUCUUGACCUCAACACAAGUGUAGGUGGUUCUCUCUCAGAAAAUGUAAGUUGAAAGUGUAGGCAUGUUCUGAUGGCUCUCUCCAUGAAUGAAGAGUGGGUGGAGGGGUAUAUAUAGCCUCCACAAAAAAUCUAACCAUUACACACAACUUACCAAUCUCGGUGGGACCGAAUCCUGAAACUCGGUCGGAUCGAUUUAGCAAAUAAUGUGACCGUUAGGAUUUUCGGUGGGACCGACAUAUCAACUCGGUGGGACCGAUGUGAUUAGGGUUAGGGCAUAAUGUAAUCUCGGUGAGACCGAUUACACAAACUCGGUGGGUCCGAUUUUGGUAAUAAGCUAACCAGAGAGUUGGUCAGGCAAACUCGAUGGGACCGAUUCGCUCAUCUCGGUUAGACCGAAACGUUACGAAAGGGAAACAGAGAGUUUAUAUUGCAAUCUCGGUGGGACCGAUCGCUCAUCUCGGUUGGACCAAAGCGUUACGAAGGGAAACAGAGAGAUUACAAUCCCAUCUCGGUGAGACCGAAAAGACUAGGGUUUGUGGCAGUGGCUAUGACAUCUGAACUCGGUGGCGCCGGAUAGAAAGAAUCGGUGGGGCCGAGUUUGACUUUUGGUUUAGGUCAUAUGUGGAUGUGAGAAAGUAGUUGAGGGCUUUGGAGCAUCUCACUAAGCAUUUUGAGCAAGAACCUCAUUAAGCAACACCUCAUCCCUCCUUCAUAGUAUUGGCUUUUCCUAUAGACUCAAUGUGAUCUUGGAUCACUAAAAUGGAAAAUGUAGAGUCUUGUGCUUUGAGCUUGAGCCAAUCCUUUUGUCCUUAGUAUUUUGAGGGAUCCACUUUUCUCAUCCAUGCCAUGCCAAUCAUUGAGCUUUCCUGAAAAUAUUUAUCUUGAAAUAGCAUUAGCUCAAUGAGCUAUAUGUUGUUAGGAAUUACCAAAACCACCCAGGGAUAGUUGCACUUUCAAUCUCCCCUUUUUGGUAAUUGAUGACAACAUAGAGAUCAAAGCUUCGACAAAUGAUAAUAAGAUUGAAAAACAUUGUCGCUUUGAGAAGUAUGUGAAAAGUAAGAGCUCCCCCUAAAUUUGUGCAUUAUUUAAGAUUUGCUUUGGACUGCAAAUGCACAAUGAGUUAGGAUCAUGGGUUAGUCUUCCAUGUCACAUACAUCUUGGUGGAGCGAUCAAAAUGAUAAAAAUUAAACACAUGCACCCAUCACCAAGCAAAGUGAAUGAUCAUAUGAGAAUAUGAGAGAUAAUUGAAGGAAAUAUGCCCUAGAGGCAAUAAUAAAGUUAUUAUUUAUUUCCUUAUAAUCAUGAUAAAUGUUUAUUAUUCAUGCUAGAAUUGUAUUUACCGGAAACAUAAUACAUGUGUGAAUACAUAGACAAACAUGGUGUCACUAGUAUGCCUCUACUUGACUAGCUCGUUAAUCAAAGAUGGUUAUGUUUCCUAACCAUGAACAAUGAGUUGUUAUUUGAUUAACGAGGUCACAUCAUUAGUAGAAUGAUCUGAUUGACAUGACCCAUUCCAUUAGCUUAGCACCCGAUCGUUUAGUGUGUUGCUAUUGCUUUCUUCAUGACUUAUACAUGUUCCUAUGACUAUGAGAUUAUGCAACUCCCGUUUACCGGAGGAACACUUUGGGUACUACCAAACGUCACAACGUAACUGGGUGAUUAUAAAGGAGUACUACAGGUGUCUCCAAUGGUCGAUGUUGGGUUGGCGUAUUUCGAGAUUAGGAUUUGUCACUCCGAUUGUCGGAGAGGUAUCUCUGGGCCCUCUCGGUAAUACACAUCACAUAAAGCCUUGCAAGCAUUACAACUAAUAUGUUAGUUGUGAGAUGAUGUAUUACGGAACGAGUAAAGAGACUUUCCGGUAACGAGAUUGAACUAGGUAUUGGAUACCGACGAUCGAAUCUCGGGCAAGUAACAUACCGAUGACAAAGGGAACAACGUAUGUUGUUAUGCGGUCUGACCGAUAAAGAUCUUCGUAGAAUAUGUAGGAGCCAAUAUGGGCAUCCAGGUCCCGCUAUUGGUUAUUGACCGGAAAUGUGUCUCGGUCAUGUCUACAUUGUUCUCGAACCCGUAGGGUCCGCACGCUUAAGGUUACGAUGACAGUUAUAUUAUGAGUUUAUGCAUUUUGAUGUACCGAAGGUUGUUCGGAGUCCCGGAUGUGAUCACGGACAUGACGAGGAGUCUCAAAAUGGUCGAGACGUAAAGAUUGAUAUAUUGGAAGCCUAUGUUUGGACAUCGGAAGUGUUCCGGGUGAAAUCGGGAUUUUACCGGGUUACCGGGAGGGUUACCGGAACCCCCCGGGAGCCAUAUGGGCCUUCAUGGGCCUUAGUGGAAAGGAGAAAGGGGCAGCCCAAGGUGGCUGCGCCUCUUCCCCCUCCCCUAGUCCUAUUAGGACUAGGAGAAGGUGGCCGGCCCCCCUCUCUCCCUUCCCCUCCGAGGAAUCCUAGUUGGACUAGGAUUGGGGGGAGGAAUCCUACUCCCAGAGGGAGUAGGACUCUCCUGCGCCUCCCUCUAUGGCCGGCCAGCCUUCCCCCCUCUACUCCUUUAUAUACGGAGGCAGGGGCACCUCUAAACACACAAGUUGACACAAGUUGAUCCACGUGAUCGAUUCCUUAGCCGUGUGCGGUGCCCCCUGCCACCAUAUUCCUCGAUAAUACUGUAGCGGAGUUUAGGCGAAGCCCUGCUGCUGUAGUUCAUCAAGAUCGUCACCACGCCGUCGUGCUGACGAAACUCUUCCCCGACACUUUGCUGGAUCGGAGUCCGGGGAUCGUCAUCGAGCUGAACGUGUGCUCGAACUCGGAGGUGCCGUAGUUUCGGUGCUUGAUCGGUUGGAUCGUGAAGACGUACGACUACUUCCUCUACGUCGUGUCAUCGCUUCCGCAGUCGGUCUGCGUAGGGUACGUAGACAAUACUCUCCCCCUCGUUGCUAUGCAUCACAUGAUCUUGCGUGUGCGUAGGAAAUUUUUUGAAAUUACUACGAAACCCAACAAUAAUAUCAUCCAACAAGCAUUAAUAUAGCAUAGCAUAUGAUCAAACACAUGAUCAUCCAAGUAUCUCACAAAAGGCAUAAUGUAUCAAGCAAACACACGAAACACGAAGUUCAACCACCAAAAACAAGAGAGAAGAAAGCAACACUCUCUCUCGAAGCCUAUGAUCUAUACAUUUUUCUCCCCCUUUGGCAACAAGUUACCAUAAAGUUCAUAGAAAAUGUAUAGUGCUAAACGACUCUCAGGCUUGGUCUUCCGGUGGUGGUGUAGAGAUGACUCCAAGGACGAAAGCAUCAGUCGAUGUAGAUGGAGCUGGUGGAGUGGCUGCUGGAGCUGGUGGCACUGAAGCUGUUGCUGCCUUGCUGGUGCAGAUGAUGUAGCUCUGGUGUCUGGAAUAGGCACUACAACAGAUCUCUGUCCUGUGGGCACUCUAGCAAAUGCAUCUGUAGUAGACUUGCCCUUCUUCUCCUCCACUUCCUCCUGUAGUUGCUCAACAACUGAUUGGAUCUCAGUGACCUUCACAUCAAGAUCAUUGAACUUCUGCUCUAUGAUUCUCUCCAAGCUCUCCUGGUUUUGAGUCAGGGUGGCCAAGCCCUUCUCAAUCCUCAAGGUGGAGGCAAUCAAGUAGCCAAGCUGGUCUUGCUUGCUCUUCAGGAAAUUCUGAGAUGCCUCUUCAGCAGUUGGCAUCCUAAUAGCUUUCUCAGUCCUUGCUUUCUCUUUCUUCUCUUGUGCUUGCACAGAUGAUGGUUCAUUUUCAUCCAUCACAAUGGUGUUGUCCUCAAAGUCAGGGUAGAUGGGCAAGUGCUCUUUGUCCAAAAGAUAUGUGCCAGUGCCCAUCUUGGAGUUUAUGAGCUCCUGAAUGUGUGGGGCAUAUCCACAAGAUCUUUUCUGAUCAGCAGCAGUCCUUUUGAUUGUUUCCACAAUCAGACUCAUGACUUUGAAUUUCCAAGGCACAUUAAAUAUAUGCAGCAAGUUGAAUGCAUGGCCUCUGAUCAUCUUGUGAUCUCCUGACUUGGGCAACAGACUGUGCCUUAAGAUCCAGUUGAUAGUAGGCAAUCCUGACAACAUGUAAUCUACAAAUCCAAGCUUAUGUGUCUCUAGAGCAGCAUCUGGGAUCUCUCUGUACAUUUGAGCCAUAGAGUUGUGGUCUUUCUUCUUAGUGGCAUAGACAUCCAAGUCAUCCUCAUUCUCCUUUGGAGCAUUUAUCAAUUCAGACCAUCCCUCAAUUGUGGAUUGGUACCUUGUACCCUCAGACAUCCAGACAAUUCUCCCAUCUGGGUAGAAAUGAGCUGUGGAGUAAAACUGCAUGAUGAUCUCAUCAUUCCACUUGGUGAGCUUCUGGCCAACAAAGUCAUCUACUCCACAUGCAUUGAAACUAUCAUACACUCCUGGAUAGUGCUCUUCAUUCUUCCUGAUGUACUACCAGUCAACCCAUCUCAUGUCACAUACUAUGGGCUUCUUGUCAAGCAAAACUGUCUCAUAGAAAUCCUGUUGUUCCUUAGUGUGGAACAUGUAGUCCACUACAGUUCUUCUCCUGGCAGCAUAGGGAUUAGUCUGUCUCCACAGUCUCAGACCUGCAUCCUUCCUGAGCUUCAUAUCCUCUGCUACUAGAUGAGCAUCAUUAUGAUCAGGGAUCUUAGGCUUCAACUUUCUCAAAACGAGUGAAUCGUCAUCUUCUUCAUCAUUGGCUGCCUCGGGCACUGGGGCCUUGUUCUUUUCUUCAGCUAGAAUGCUCCUAGUGCUCCUCCUAGGUGCAAUCUUAGGCUUAGGAGCAGCAGCUUUGGGAGCAUAUUUGGGCUUAGAUGGAGCAGCCCCUGAUCUUAUAGCAUCUCCCAUCAGCUUCUGAGCUUUAGGUGCUGGUGCAGCAACCUCUUCCUCUUCUUCCAUCAUUGAGGGCUUUCCAACAACUCUGGCCACUGUCUUCUUGACCUUUUCUUCCCUUCUGGAGCAGCCUCUUUGGGUUCAGAUUCCACAGUUACUUGAGUAGAGGCUCUGGCUUUAGACAUGGGAACUCUUCUUGCAGGUGCUUUGGUCUUCAUACAAGGCUUAAUGGCACCAGUUGUGCCAUAUUCCUUCUUCAGCACCUUCUUCUUAGAUGUGGCCUCAUCAUCAACAGCCACAUAGUCCUCAUCUUUAGAUUCUGAGGUUCUCUUCUUCCUUGUCCUAGUAGCUGCCUUGGCAAGUUACUAGGUGUGCUCCUGCUACCCUCAUCUGAGGUACUGGAGGGACUAGUGCCCUCACUCAUCUGAACUUGCUCCUCAGACUUGUUCUGACUGUCACUCUGAUCUGACAUGAUGCAAACUCUGACAACAGACCCUGUGAAUAGAUGUAGAUGAGGUAGAGUAUAUGAACAUCACAAAGCACAAAGGUUUUUGCAAAACAAUGAAUCAAAGACUUAGUUUUAGUUUUCCACAGAAAGCAUUUCGGAGCUACCGAUUUGUAAACUCGGUGAUACCGAAGCAGUUUUUGGAACCUAAACUAGUGAACUUGGUUGGACCGAGUCACAUUUUGGUGGCACCGAGACUGCUAGGGUUUCAUAGAGAAUCGAUCUUGGUCGCACCGAUUUGCAAUUCUCGGUGGGACCGAGAAUCACAUGUGCAAUGGCCUAAGCCAAAUCGGUGAGACAGAUUUCUACAACUCGGUCAGUCCGAGAUGAAUUCAACGGAAACCUAACCCUAAAUUUUCAAUCCAAGAUUAAUCUACGGAGUAUUUUCGCUUGGAUAGGAAGAUUUCAAACGUGGUAAGAUUCAUGGAAAUGCAAUGUGCUAGGAAUCAGAGUUAGGAUAGCACAAAGUUCAAAUCCAUACCCUAAUGCGGCGAUGGACUUGCUACGGCGACAACGGCGGAGACGAAUCCCAUUGACAGCGGUGGAGACCAGCGGCGGGAGGUCGCUGUCGACGAGGAGGAUGAUCCGGAGACCUAAUGAGGCAGAGCAGUUUGUGCGUGGGCGAAGAGUUUCGAAAGAAUUUUCAAAAAUUUGACCCGUGAGUAUAUAUAGCCUGACCCCGUCGGUGUGACCGAGUGGAACAACUCGGUGGCACCAAGAUGCAAAACUGCAAGCAGUUGCUGCAACUCGGUGUGACCAAAAAGUUCAAAUCGGUUGCACCGAGAUUGAAAACCUAGAUCAACUUAGUGAUCUUGGUAUGACCGAAAUGGAAUCGGUCAGACCGAAACGCACAAAGAGAUUUUGGAAGUUUCAGUCUAUGACAAAUCGGAAACGCCGAGUGCUCCUCACACAGAGUGGUUUGAAUCUGACUUGAUCAAACUUUGUGAUAUAGCAUGAAUAGAGUUUGAGACAAGAAUAGCAUAGAUAGCUAGAGAAGGUUCUUAGGCAUUCUUGUCCAUCCACUUGGCAAAAGAAAAGGAACCAAACAAUCAAACUAUAAGUGGAUGUCCUCGAAUGAGUAAAAUAUGCAUUCAACAUGCUCACACAAUAAAAUGGCAAAUGAAAUAUGUGACAAAGCAUGCACACACAAUUCUAGCAUCUAUCAAGCAAUUGGCGAUGACUAGGUCAUCUAUAUAUGAGUAUUGACUUAGGAGUCAAAUGAGAACAUUUGAUCAUAGGUCAUACUCAUCGUUUAAGCACAAGUGGGGUUACCACUUUUACAUAAAGCAUUGUUAUGUUCACACCAUUAGAGUUGCUUUAGCUCAAUUCUUAGAGUAAAGCUCCCCCUAGAUGUGAGAUCCCCCCUAAGAGGGAUGAACUAACCUUGGGUUUUGUCGAUGAUGACUUCAUGUAGGUGUUGAAGAUGUGGAUGAUCUAUGUUGAUGUAGAUCAUUUGGAGCAAUCCUUUGGAGUGAGUUGCACUUUCAAUACCUACACGGGUUAGUCACACAAGGAACAAACAAGGAUAUCCAUAGACAUGGAGUGAUACACACACAAGAAGAUGUCCAUGAAAGCGUUCGGUUACCUUGUCCCUUGUCUUACCAACAAGAGGGUUUGUGACUCCAUGAACUAGUGCAAGAUGUGGAAGUUGAUUGCACUUGUCCUCGCCAAAAUGAUAAGAGUGAAGUAUGUUGGCGGAGUCACCCUCAAGAACUCUCUAGUUCUUCUUCUUCGGGAUACACACCAUCUUGAUGGGAAUCCUUGGGGUUGUAGUCGUACUUGAUGAAGUAGAACUUGAUGUAGUCUUGGGAACCCACUUGACCAAGGCCUUAGGAGCUUCUUAAAAUGCAUCAAUCUCCUCUUGAAGCUUGUCCUUGCCUUUCUGCUUGUGGUCUUGUGGUGGAAGAUCAUCUUGAGCUUGUGUCCCUUUGAAAGAAGUAGGAUCAUACUUCUCUUGUUAAGGAACAAACUUUGUCUUGGGGUAUUGAUCUUCUUCCCACUCAACUCCAUUAGCAUUGAACUUUCGUUCAAAACCAACACCUUGGUUCUUCUGGUGCCUUCCUUGCUUGCGUACAAUUUCCUCGAAUUGCUUACUCCCGGCAAGACUCUUGUAAACACCUUUCUAUAUGAUUCCCUUCAAUAAGCUAUUUUCUUGCUCAAGUGUAACUUGGCUAAGAGAAUCAUUAGUGGAAUCAAGAGAACUACUAGAAGCAACAACAUUGGAUUUAGCAUGAUGAUUGUUGUUACUACUAGAGUAAGAAUAUUUCUUGUUCUUGUUACUAGACUUGACUUGAGGCAUGUAAGCAGAUAAGAGUAAACGCUUGGCAAUGUAAGAAGAACUUUUCUUGCGAAGAUCAUCAUUCAUAGCCUUUAAGAACUCAUGUUCUUGCUCUAGGUUAAGCUUUUCAAAGCGUAACUUCUCAUGAGUCCUUAAAAGUUCUCAAUGAUCUCCUAAGAUAGUUUCAUGAGCUAACUUAAGAGUGUUUAGUUCUUUAGUUAGGAGCUCAAUCUUCUCCUUAUCAUUGUCAUUCGUUUCAUCUUGAUUAGCAUGAUUAUUUGACGUUUCAUCAUAGUAUUCAUCACUAGAGUUGUCAAUAAGUAAAUCAUCAUCACCUAACAAGUCAUCUUCAUCACUAUUAAAAUCAACAUACUUGGGGUGUAAUACCUUUGGGCCUUUAGCCAUGAAGCAUCUUCCAAGUACUUCAUUUGGUGAGUCAAAUAUGGCGUAGGAGUUGGUUGACACAAGUGCUAGACCGGAAACACCUUCAUCUUGAGUAUGUUCUGAGUCGGAGUGAUAGCUUCUCUCAGAGUAAUGGUCAGAGUCGGAGCCGGAUACCCAUUCACCAACAUGAGCUCGAUGUUUUCAUUUUGUAUAGCUCUUUGAUGAUUUGUCCUUCCUUUCCGAAUCCUUGCUUCUCCAGGAUGUUCUUCGUUCAAAACGAUCAUCUCUACUCCUUCUCUCUCUUGGUGGUGAUUAUUCUCUUCUACUUCUUCUCUUUGGAGAUUCUUCUCUUCUUUUGUAGGGAGCCGUACACUCAUUGGAAUAGUGUCCGGGUCUUCCACAAUUGUAGCAAUUACGCUCACGACUCGAAGAUCUUUUGUCAUUGUAGGACCUUGACUUGGAACUUCUUUCCUUGCUUCUACUCUUGUAGAACUUGUUGAAGUUCUUCACCGUUAGGCUCAAUUCCUCAUUGAAGGUUUUUUUGUCACUUGAUGAUGUGGGAGCUUCACAUGAGGCUUUGUAAGAACCACUUGACUUGUUGUGGAGCUCUUCCUUAUCCUUGAGUGACAUCUCAUGAGCAACAAUUCUACCAAUGACUUCCAUUGGCUUGAGAUUCUUGUAAUUGGGCAUCAUUUGGAUCAAUGUGCACACAGUAUCAUAUUUUCCAUCCAAGGUUCUUAGGAUCUUCUUGAUGAUGAAUUUGUCGGUCAUCUCUUCACUUCCUAAGCCAGCAAUCUCAUUUGUGAUGAGAGCAAGCCUAGAGUACAUUUCAGCGACGCCUUCACCAUCCUUCAUUUUGAACUUGUCAAGUUGACUUUGAAGCACAUCCAAUUUGGAUUCAUAGACGGAGUCGGUACCUUCAUGCAUGUCAAUCAAAGUAUCCCAAAUUUCCUUUGCAUUCUCAAGACGGCUGAUUUUGUUGAAUUCUUCGGGGCACAAUCCAUUGAAGAGGAUAUCACAAGCUUGAGCAUUGUAUUGCAGCAUCUUCAACUCUUCCGCGGUAGCUUCAAGGUUCGGUUCUCUCCCAUCAAAGAAUUCACCUUGCAAGCCAAUACACAGAAUAGCCCAAACGGCGGGGUUAUGUCAGGGAAUAUGCAUUUUCAUAUUAUGCUUCCAACUAGCAAAAUUAGUACCAUCAAAGUAAGGACCUCUACGGUGGUAAUUUCCCUUGCUAGACGCCAUACUCUCCUAGCUUGUGAAACCAAGGUAUGACUACCAAAAGCUAUGGAAAUCAAAGCAAAUGGAGACCAAAGCUCUGAUACCACUUAUAGGAUCGAAAGUAUGUCUAGAGGGGGGGUGAUUAGACUACUUGACCAAAUAAAAAUCUAGCCUUUUCCUAAUUUUAAUUCUUGGCAGAUUUUAGCAACUAGUACAAUUCAAGCAAUCAACCUACACAUGCAAUUCUAAGAGUAUUGCAGUGGAAUGAAAAACAAUUGCAUAUGAAGGUAAAGGGAAGGAGUUUUAGGAGGCAAAUGCAAUUGGAGACACGGAGAUUUUUGAGCCGUGGUUACGAUAGGUGGUGCUAUCGUACAUCCACGUUGAUGGAGACUUCAACCCACGAAGGGUAAUGGCUGCGCGAGUCCAUGGAGGGCUCCACUCACGAAGGGUCCACGAAGAAGCAACCUUGUCUAUCCCACCAUGGCCGUCGCCCACGAAGGACUUGCCUCACUAGGGGUAGAUCUUCACGAAGUAGGCGAUCUCCUUGCCCUUACAAACUCUUUGGUUCAACUCCACAAUCUUGUCAGAGGCUCCCAAAUGACAGCUAGCCAAUCUAGGAGACACCACUCUCCAAGAAGUAACAAAUGGUGUGUUGAUGAUGAACUCCUUGCUCUUGUGCUUCAAAUGAUAGUCUACCCAACACUCAAGUCUCUCUCACUAGAUUUGGAUUUGGUGGAAAGAAGGUUUGAGUGGAAAGCAACUUGGGAAGGCUAUUGGAUCAAGAUUCAUAUGGUAGGAAUGAAAUAUCUUGACCUCAACACCAGUGUAGGUGGUUCUCUGUCAGAAAAUGUAAGUUGGAAGUGUAGGCAUGUUCUGAUGGCUCUCUCCACGAAUGAAGAGUGGGUGGAGGGGUAUAUAUAGCCUGCACACAAAAUCUAACCGUUACACACAACUUACCAAUCUUGGUGGGACCGAAUCCUGAAACUCGGUCGGACCGAUUUACCAAAUAAUGUGACCGUUAGGAUUUUCGGUGGGACCGACAUGUCAACUCAGUGGGACCGAUGUGAUUAGGGUUAGGGCAUAAUGUAAUCUCGGUGAAACCAAUUACACAAACUCGGUGGGUCCGAUUUUGGUAAUAAGCUAACCUGAGAGUUGGUCAGGCAAACUCGGUGGGAUAGAUUCGCUCAUCUCGGUUAGACCGAAACGUUAUGAAAGAGAAACAGAGAGUUUACAUUUCAAUCUCGGUGGGACCGAUCGCUCAUCUCGGUUGGACCGAAACUUUACAAAGGGAAACAGAGAGAUUACAAUCCCAUCUCGGUGAGACCGAGAUCCCUAUCGGUGAGACCGAAAAGACUAGGGUUUGUGGCAGUGGCUAUGACAUCUGAACUCGGUGGCACCGGAUAGAAAGAAUUGGUGGGGCUGAGUUUGGCUUUUGGUUUAGGUCAUAUGUGGAUGUGAGAAAGUAGUUGAGGGCUUUGGAGCAUCUCACUAAGCAUUUUGAGCAAGAACCUCAUUAAGCAACACCUCAUCCCUCCUUGAUAGUAUUGGCUUUUCCUAUAGACUCAAUGUGAUCUUGGAUCACUAAAAUGGAAAAUGUAGAGUCUUGUCCUUUGAGCUUGAGCCAAUCCUUUUGUCAUUACUAUUUUGAGGGAUCCACUUUUCUCAUCCAUGCCAUGCCAAUCAUUGAACUUUCCUGAAAUACUUAUCUUGAAAUAGCAUUAGCUCAAUGAGCUAUAUGUUGUUAGGAAUUACCAAAACCACCCAGGGAUAGUUUCACUUUCAGGCCUGCUCUCACCCUGGAAGUUUGUGCGCCAUUAAGGAGAUAAGAUGGGGUAAGGCUACAGUGGAUGCCCGCCAGGCGGCGGCACAAUAGCCAUGCUUACCCCGACAAAGCCAUCGUCACCAAGAGUAAGGCUACAGUAACCAGCAGCCGACAAGACCCCCAGGCGGUGGGCCCAGCCUGUCGGCCAAGAGGCCAGCAGCCGGCAGGACCCACCAGUCGGCAAGCCCUAGCGUCCGGCGGAGAAGCCGACGGCUACAGACACUGACGGCUUGGACCUACAUCCAGCCGGAUUACCAUUGUACCCCUGGGGGGUAGGCCUAUAUAAACCCCCCAGGGCACCCAUGCAAAGGGUUGAUCUCUUAGAGUUUUAGACACCACAUAGAGAGAAGAGGAGAGCUAGCCUUGCCCUUCUUCUUCCUCUAGCGAAACAGCUCAAGGAGCCUCUUGCAGCUACUUGUUUUGAUCUAGUGAUCAUGCGGAGACCCCGCAGAGCAGGAAUAGGGGUGUUAUCUCCUAGGAGAGUCCAGAACCUGGGUAAGAUUCACCGGCGUGCAUGUCUUCGCCUUAUCCUGUUUCCAGGCACCGACGAUGUCUUACUGGCUCCCACAAUGAUAAGCCACCCGUUGGCAUAUGUCGCACCUACCACCCGACAUUUGGCGCCCACCGUGGGGCCAGGUGCACCGUCAUCCGGAGACCUGCUCUGGACGGAACCCUCUUCCUCCCCAACGAGCAUAGCCAGCCUGGCAUGCCCGAUGGCGCUUGCCCCGACAUGAUGCAUGGCAUCGACGACGCCUGUGCAGCGAGCUGCCUCGCCGAUCUUCUCGGCGAGGUCCACCUCUCCGAGGAGCCCGCACCAGACGCGGGUGCAGCCAGCACCGAAAGCUGCCUCGUCGACCUCCUUGGCAAGAUCGACAUCGCCAACGAGCCCGCCUCUGACCUGGAGUCCAUCGGCUCCACCGACCCGAUGCUUGUCGACUUGAACACGGCAUCGCUUGACGCCUUCCCCACAAACGUGGUGGUGAUCAACGACCCUCUCCCUCGAGCUGACAGUGAGGGCAGCACCGUCACCGAGGUAUUGGUCAUCAGCCACGGCGCCGCUUCGGGCAAGAACUCCCACGACACCCUGCGGACGGCGCUGCAUGACCUGUCCGCGCCCGUCCCGGCGGACGCCGACGCCAAGAUCUUGGAGGCACGCCGCCUCGCCCUCAUCGAGAACGGCAAGAAGAUAGCCACCAUGAGACGCCUCACCAAAGCUUACCAGCGUGAGGUCGAUCAUGCUGCCUCGGGCACGCCGGCUGCUGUGGGGCCUAGCCGGCUCAGUGCCGUCAAGAAGCACAGUGCGGCCAUCGCCAGCAUGCUGGGGGCCGACCGCCCCGUCUACGCCACACCACUUGAGAACCUGCGUGCCGCCCAGGCGGCAGCAGACGAGCUGGAAGGACUGGAGGGCAACGAGUUGUGCUACAUGACGAGACGCGUCCAGCAGCUCAUCGACGCGGCCGUAGAGCGGCAAGAAGCCAGCGCCCGCGCCGAGAAUUCCCCCCUUUGCCGAGAGCAUGGCGCGACAUUACAGACACCGACUGCUAACGGCGCCCACAAGCAAAACAACAAGGAGCCGGCUGCUAGCCGCAGUCGGACUCGCAUCACCAUCGAGCGUGACGAAGAUGGCCGCCCCCGAGCCGUGGAGCGGCAAGGUGAGAACCCGGACCCUCCUCCGCCCCGCAGUCGGUGAUAUCCCUCUCUACCGCCUGUCGGGCACCCAACACUCGGAGACCGGCUGGGCCACCGCGAAGGAGUCGGCGAGAAUGACGCCCGCCACCGGAUCGACUGCCUGGCGCGAUCCCUGGUGCUAGAAGAAGAAGACAAUGUCGGGCCACCCUGUUUUGGCCCCCGCAUCCGCGUCGAGCCAUUUCCCAAAGGGUUCUCGCUCCCGAGAGACACGCCAAAAUACAACGGCUCGGUGAAGCCAGAAGACUGGUUGAUAGAUUACUCCGCAGCAGUCACCAUAGCAAAUGGCAACCGGCGCGUUGCCGUGAAAUACGUCCCCCUCAUGCUUCAGGGCACGACACGCACCUGGCUGAACAGCCUCAAGCCCUACAGCGUAAACAACUGGCUUGAUUUCACAGAAGUCUUCAACCGCAACUUCACCAGCACGUAUAAACGGGCACCCAAGCCCUGCCAACUCUCCUUGUGCGUCCAAGGCCCGACCAAGUCCAGCCGCGACUACCUGACGUGCUGGGCCGAGCUCCGCAACUCCUGUGAAGGAGUGAACGAGGUGCAAGCAAUAGAGUACUUCACCACCGGGUGCCGAGAGGGCACCCUCCUCAAGCACCAACUUCUCUGCGACAAGCCGUCUACGCUCGACGAGCUGCUGAUCAUAGCAGAUAAGUACGCCACGGCCGACUCCUCGAUGAAGACCAAGCUCUGGGUGGACGCCUCUAGAAAGUUGCUCCCUCCGGCCCCAAAAAUACCAGCCGGCGACUCCAAUCGACGCCCACAUCAGAACGACAACAAUCACAAGGCCCCUAUGCCGCCUUCCACUAGUUGGCAGGUGGCCACGAUCGAAGACGAGCAGCCAGAGAGGCAGCCUCUGCCCAAGCGUCCGAAAGGCGGUAGGCCGGCUUGGCAGCCGGCUUUCUCCUACGAGCAAACCCUUGAUGCCCCCUGCAAGUUCCACAGUUGCGCGAAGCCGUCCAACCACACAACCCAAAAGUGCCAUUGGCUCACCCGAAUCUCCAAGGGCGAAGGACUGUUACCCCCUCCGCCUGUUGGCCAGCCACCUUCGGCUCCUCAGCAGCCAGCCGCCCGCCCAGCAGUUGGAGCCAUUUAAGAUGGGUUCCCUAACGAGCAUGCAGCCUACAUCGUCUUCACAAGCCAAGUCGAGGACAGGCGCAGCCAGCACCGACAGCACCAAGAAGUCAAUGCGGUCGCCUCCAAAGAUCCGAAGUUUAUGUAUUGGUCUGAAAAGCCUAUUAGCUGGAGCUGGGCCGAUCACCCAGAGGUGAUGCCGUCUCCAGGCUCCUAUGCGUUGGUGUUGGAUGCCACCUUCACAAUAGAAAGGCGAGUUGCCCGUUUCUCCCGAGUUCUGAUUUAUGGCGGAAGCAGCAUCAACAUCCUGUACCGAGACACCAUGGAGAAGCUGAACAUCAAGACAAAGAACCUUUUGCCCAGUCAGACCAUGUUCCAUGGCAUUGUACCCGACCUGUCAUGCUCACCAAUCGGCAAGAUCAAGAUAGAUGUCCUCUUCGGAGACAAGGAUCACUUCCAUCGUGAAGCAGUCUGGUUUGAAGUGGUGGAUCUAGAGAGCCCUUACCACGCUUUGCUUGGCCGACCUGCCCUGGCCAAGUUCAUGGCUGUGCCCCACUAUGCUUACCUCAAGAUGAAGAUGCCGAGCUCCAAGGGCAUCAUCACCAUAGUCAAAGACUACAAGAAAUCAUCUGCUUGUGUUGCUGCUAGAAGCUGGUUGGUCGAGUCCCUCGUGAUUGCUGCUGAGAAGAAGAUCCUUGACCGGGUUGUGGCUAUGGUCGGUAAGCAGCCGGACCUCUCACCUGAUCCCAAGGAGUUGGAAGCUCAGGGCUCCUUCCAGCCGGCCAAGGAAACAAAGAAGAUACCUCUGGAACCAGAGCACCCGGAGAGGUUUGCUGUACUAGGAACAAACCUGGACAGCAAAUAGGAAAGCGAGCUCGUCGAUUUCCUCCAUGAGAAUCGGGAUAUCUUUGCAUGGCCCCCCAAGGACAUGCCGGGUGUUCUGACGGAUUUCGCCGAACACAAGCUACACGUCCGAGCAGAUGCAAAACCAGUCAAGCAGCCCCUCCGCCGACUGUCGGAGAAGAGAAGAAUUGUUGGCGAAAGAUAGCCCGGCUUCUUGCAGCCGGCUUCAUUAUGGAAGUAUUCUUUCCAGAAUGGCUUGCCAACCCAGUCCUUGUACUGAAGAAAAACAAGAAAUGGUGCAUGUGUAUAGAUUAUACCAGCAUCAACAAAGCUUGCCCCAAAGAUCCAUUUGCCUUGCCCCGGAUUGACCAUGUGAUAGACUCCACAGCCGGAUGUGAGUUGUUGAGUUUUCUAGAUGCCUACUCAGGUUACCAUCAGAUCAAGUUGGAUCCAGCCGAGCGCCUGAAGACCGCCUUCAUAGCACCAUUCGAAGCUUUCUUCUACCUGACUAUGACAUUUGGCUUGAGAAAUGCCAGUGCCACUUUUCAGCGUUGCAUGCAGAAAUGACUCCUCAAGCAACUCGGCAGAAAUGCCCACGUCUACAUAGACGAUAUUGUGGUGAAGAUGGAGAAGCAUGGCACCCUGCUGGAAGAUCUCAAGGAAACAUUUGACAACUUGCGCUGAUUUUAGAUCAAGCUCAACCCUGAGAAAUGCAUGUUCGGAGUGCCAGACGGCCAGCUCCUAGGCUUCCUGGUCUCUGAAUGUGGCAUAGAGUGCAACCCAGUGAAGAUCAAGGCCAUAGAAAGGAUGGAGAUUCCUACCUGGCUUCGAGAUGUCCAAAAGUUCGCCGGGUGCCUGGCCUCCCUUAACCGCUUCAUUAGUUGGCUAGGGGAGAAGGCUCUCCCCCUGUAUCAGCUCAUGAGGAAAUCCACUCAUUUCGAGUGGAACGACCAGGCGGAUGAAGCUUUUCACAAGUUGAAGAAGAUGUUGACCAUGCCGCAUGUCCUGGCGGCACCAACUGAGAAAGAGCCCACGCUCCUUUACAUUGCCGCAACUAGCCGGGUGGUCCGCACUGUCAUUGUGGUUCAGCGCCCAGAAGAAGGUAGAGCUCAGCUAGUCUAGAGGCCGGUGUAUUACCUGAGUGAAGUGAUGUCAACCUCAAAGCAGAAUUACCCCCACUACCAGAAGAUGUGCUAUGGCGUAUACUUUGCUGCCAAGAAGCUCAAGCCCUACUUUCAAGAGCACCCCAUCACGGUCGUUUGCACUGCCCCGCUAGCCAAGAUCAUAGGCAGCUGAGAUGCAUCCGGUCAGGUGGCCAAGUGGGCCAUUGCACUGGCUCCUUACACCGUCUUCUAUCAGCCUCGCACCGCCAUCAAGUCCCAAGUGCUGGCCGACUUCCUCGUCGACGGGGCUGAAACCCACUACCUGCCACCAGCACCCGACUCCACUCAUUGGCGGAUGCACUUUGAUGGAUCCAAGAUGCGCACCGAGUUGGGAGCCGGCAUCAUCCUCACCUCUCCCAAGGGCGACAAGCUCAGAUACACGCCGUUGAUAACCCACAAGUAUAGGGGAUCACAACAGUUUUCGAGGGUAGAGUAUUCAACCCAAAUUUAUUGAUUCGACACAAGGGGAGCCAAAGAAUAUUCUUAAGUAUUAGCAAUUGAGUUGUCAAUUCAACCACACAUGGAUAACUUGGUAUCUGCAGCAAAGUAUUUAGUAGCAAAGUAGUAUGAUAGUAAUGGUAACGGUGGCAAAAGUAACAGUAGCAGUUUUGUAGUAACUGUAACAGUAGCAACGGUAAAGUAAAUAAAUAAAGCACAAUAUGUGAAAAGCUCGUAGGCAUUGGAUCAGUGACGGAUAGUUAUGUCAGAUGCAAUUCCUCAUGUAAUAGUUAUAACAUAGGGUGACACAGAACUAGCUCCAAUUCAUCAAUGUAAUGUAGGCAUGUAUUCCAAAUAUAGUCAUACGUGCUUAUGGAAAAGAACUUGCAUGACAUCUUUUGUCCUACCCUCCCGUGGCAGCGGGGUCCUAAUGGGAACAAAGGGAUAUUAAGGCCUCCUUUUAAUAGAGAACCAAACCAAAGCAUUAGAACUUAGUGAAUACAUGAACUCCUCAAACUACGGUCAUCACCGAGAAGUAUCCCGAUUAUUGUCACUUCGGGGUUAUCGGAUCAUAACACAUAAUAGGUGACUAUAGACUUGCAAGAUAGGAUCAAGAACUCACAUAUAUUCAUGAAAAGAUAAUAGGUUCAGAUCUGAAAUCAUGGCACUCGGGCCCUAGUGACAAGCAUUAAGCAUAGCAAAGUCAUAGCAACAUCAAUCUCAGAGCAUAGUAGAUAGUAGGGAUCAAACCCUAACAAAACUUACUUGAUUAGAUGGUAAAUAUCAUCCAACCCAUCAACGUCCAGCAAGCCUACGGUGGAAUUACUCACGCGCGGCGGUGAGCAUCCUGAAAUUGGUGAUGGAGGAUGGUUGAUGAUGACAACGGCGACGAAUCCCCCUCUCCAGAGCCCCGAACGGACUCCAGAUCAGCCCUCCCGAGAGAGAUUAGGGCUUGGCAGUGGCUCUGUAUCGUAAAACGCGAUGAAUCUUUUUCUCUGAUUUUUUUCUCUGCGAAAGAGAAUAUAUGGAGUUGGAGUUGAGGUCGGUGGACGUCCAGGGGGCCCACGAGGAAGGGGGCACGCCCAGGGGGAGGGGCGCGCACCCCACCCUCGUGGACAGGGUGUGGGCCCCCUGACGCUAUUUCUUUCGCCAAUAUUUUUUAUUAAUUCUGAAAAGUUGCUCUGUGGAUUUCCAGGACAUUCCGAGAACUUUUAUUUCUGCACAAAAAUAACACCAUGGCAGUUCUGCUGAAAACAAUGUCAGUCCGGGUUAGUUCCAUUCAAAUCAUGCAAGUUGGAGUCCAGAACAAGGGCAAAAGUGUUUGGAAAAGUAGAUACGAUGGAGACAUAUCAACUCCCCCAAGCUUAAACAUUUGCUUGUUGAGGGAGUCCCGGACUAGGGGGUGUCCGGAUAGCCGAACUAUCAUUAUUGGCCGGACUCCAAGACUAUAAGAAACAAGAUUGAAGACUUCGUCCCGUGUCCGGAUGGGACUUUCCUUGGCGUGGAAGGCAAGCUUGGCGAUACGGAUAUGUAGAUCUCCUACCAUUGUAACCGACUCUGUGUAACCCUAGCCCUCUCCGGUGUCUAUAUAAACCGGAUGGCUUUAGUCCGUAGGACGAACAACAAUCAUACCAUAGGCUAGCUUCUAGGGUUUAGCCUCCUUGAUCUCGUGGUAGAUCUACUCUUGUAACACACAUCAUCAAUAUUAAUCAAGCAGGACGUAGGGUUUUACCUCCAUCAAGAGGGCCCGAACCUGGGUGAAACAUCGUGUCCCUUGUCUCCUGUUACCAUCCGCCUAGACGCACAGUUCGGGACCCCCUACCCGAGAUCCGCCGGUUUUGACACCGACAUUGGUGCUUUCAUUGAGAGUUCCUCUGUGUCGUCACCGAUAGGCUCGAUGGCUUCUUCGAUCAUCAUCAACGAUGCAGUCCAGGGUGAGACCUUCCUCCCCGGAUAGAUCUUCGUAUUCGGCGGCUUUGCACUGCGGGCCAAUUCGCUUGGCCAUCUAGAGCAGAUCAAAAGUUACGCCCCUGGCCGUCAGGUCAGAUUUGGAAGUUUGAACUUCACGGCGGACAUCCGCGGGGACUUGAUCCUCGAUGGAUUCGAGCCACAGCCAAGCAUGCCGCACUGUCACGGCAAGCAUGAUUUCGCUCUGCAGCCAGACAGUACCCUAGAGGCCGCACUCGAGCCCGCUCCAAUCUUCAAUUCGGAGCCGGCUGCGCAGGUCGAGGACGGAUGGCUAGACACAGCCUCGGGGGCUGCAACCUCUACGGCGAUAGAGCCGAACACUGACCUUGUCCCUCAUGAAGCUCGUGACUCCGAGGAGCCGGACUCCUUGAAGGACUCCGAACCUCCCGCGCCCCCUCCGAUCGAAUCCGAUUGGGCGCCGAUCAUGGAGUUCACCGCGGCGGACAUCUUUCAACACUCACCUUUUGGCAACAUCUUGAGUUCGCUAAAGUAUCUCUCGUUAUCAGCAGAGUCCUGGCCGGACUGCGGCCAGGACGGUUGGAUGCGGACGACGAAGAAAUUCAAAGCCCACCCACCACCCACUUGGUAGCCACUGUCAAUGAUCUCACCGACAUGCUAGACUACGACUCCGAAGACAUCGACGGUAUGGACGAUGAUGCCGGAGACGACCAAGAACCAGCGCCUACCGGGCACUGGAAAGCCACCUCAUCAUAUGAAAUAUACAUGGUGGAUAUCCCAAAGGAUGGGAAUGGCGAAGGGGCAGUGGAGGAUGACCCCUCCAAGAAACAGCGCAAGCGCCAGCGUCAGCGGCGCCGCUCUAAAUCCCGCCACAGCAAGAACGAAGAUUCUGGCACCAGAGAUAAUAAUACACCGGACAGUGCUGAAGACAACCCACUCCAGCAAGAUCCAGCGCAGGAGGAUGGAGACGCCAGCCCUCAUGAGAGAGCGGCAGAAGAAGAGGUAGAGGAUUACAUGCCUCCCUCCGGAGAUGAGGCAAGCCUCGACGAUGAUGAAUUCGUCGUGCCUGAGGAUCCCGUCGAACAAGAGCGUUUUAAACGCAGGCUUAUGGCCAUGGCGAACAGCCUCAAGAAAAAGCAGCAACAGCUUAGAGCUGAUCAAGAUCUGCUAGCUGACAGAUGGACUGAAGUCCUCGCGGCCGAAGAGCAUGAGCUCGAACGCCCCUCCAAAAGCUACCCUAAACGCAAGCUGCUCCCCUGAUUAGAGGAGGAGGCGUAUGAACCCGCAUCACCAGGAGACAAUACGGCUGACCGACCACCCCAUGGUCGCGACAGAGAGGCCUUUAGGCCCUUCACUAAACCCGUACCCCGGCAUCGCUCCGGACUUGCGAGAUAUAUUAGAGGAUAGGGCAAUACAAUCAAGAUCGAUCUAUGGAUCGCGUGGGCGCCCCAUGAUACAUGACGACAACCGUCGCGCCGGACACAGUAAGUCCGGUCGGGCCGAACAAAAUAGACAAAGCCCUUUUGAGCUCCGUCAUGAUAUCGCCCAGUACAGAGGCGCCGCACACCCACUAUGCUUCACAGAUGAAGUAAUGGAUCAUCAAAUCCCCGAAGGGUUUAAACCCGUGAAUAUUGAAUCUUACGAUGGCACAAUAGACCCCGCGGUUUGGAUUGAAGACUAUCUCCUUCACAUCCACAUGGCCCGCGGUGACGAUCUUCACGCCAUCAAAUAUCUCCCCCUCAAGCUUAAAGGACCAGCCCGGCAUUGGCUUAACAGCUUGCCAGCAGAGUCAAUUGGGAGUUGGGAAGACCUGGAAGCCGCAUUCCUCGAUAACUUCCAAGGCACGUAUGUGCGACCACCAGACGCUGAUGACCUAAGCCACAUAAUUUAGCAGCCAGACGAAUCGGCCAGAAAAUUCUGGACACGGUUCUUAACCAAGAAAAACCAAAUCGUUGACUGUCCGGAUGCGGAGGCCCUUGCAGCCUUCAAGCAUAAUAUCCGUGACGAGUGGCUUGCCCGGCACCUGGGAUAGGAAAAGCCGAAAUCCAUGGCAGCCCUCACAUCACUCAUGACCCGCUUCUGCGCGGGUGAGGACAGCUGGCUAGCACGCAGCAACAACCUCAGCAAAAAUUCUGGUAGUCCGGAUAUCAAGUACCGUAAUGGCAGGUCGCGUCGUAACAAAAACAAACGCCGCAUUAACGGCGAUAAUAGUGAGGAUAUGGCAGUCAAUGCCGGAUUCAGAGGCUCUAAACUCGGUCAAUGGAAAAAGCCAUUCAAAAGAACUACCCCGGGUCAGUCCAAUUUGGACCGAAUACUCGACUGCUUGUGCCAGAUACACGGCACCCCCGAAAAGCCAGCUAAUCACACCAAUAGGGACUGUUGGGUAUUCAAACAGGCAGGCAAGUUAAUUGCCGAAAACAAUGACAAGGGGCCGCACAGCGAUGACGAGGAAGAGACCCGACCGCCGAACAAUAGAGGACAGAAAGGUUUCCCCCCACAGGUGCAAACGGUGAACAUGAUCUACGCAACGCACAUACCCAAAAGGGAGCGGAAGCGUGCACUAAGGGACGUAUACGCGCUGGAGCCAGUUGCCCCGAAGUUCAAUCCAUGGUCCUCCUGCCCGAUCACUUUUGACCGGAGGGACCACCCCACCAUCAUCCGCCAUAGCGGAUUCGCCGCAUUGGUUCUAGACCCAAUCGUCGAUGGAUUUCACCUCACCAGAGUCCUGAUGGACGGCAGCAGCAGCCUGAACCUGCUUUAUCAGGACACAGUGCGCAAAAUGGGCAUAGACCCCUCAAGGAUCAAACCUACCAAGACGACCUUUAAAGGCGUCAUACCAGGUGUAGAAGCCAAUUGUACAGGCUCAGUUACACUGGAAGUGGUCUUCGGAUCCCCGGAUAACUUCUGAAGUGAGGAGUUAAUCUUCGACAUAGUUCCGUUCCGCAGCGGCUAUCAUGCUCUGCUUGGACGUACCGCGUUCGCAAAGUUCAACGCGGUGCCGCAGUACGCAUACCUCAAGCUCAAGAUGCCAGGCCCUCGAGGGGUCAUCACGGUCAACGGAAACACUGAACGCUCUCUCCGAACGGAGGAGCAUACAGUGGCUCUCGCGGCAGAAGUACAGUGCAGCCUCUUAAGGCAAUUCUCGAGUCCGGCCGUUAAGAGACCGGACACGGAUAAACGCGCCCGGAGUAAUAUACAACAAGACCACCUGGCACGUUUCGAGCAUGCGUAGCAGUGCGGCCCCAACCCCAGCCCCUGUAAAACGUCAAGACAGAUCCUUCGUGUACACCAUUACGCUCUGAAGAUACCAUGGGCAUGGGGAGAGGGGCACGACCACGAUAGGCCCAGACUGCAGCUCAACCACACCAGGGGCUCUCAAGUGUGUCGUUCUUUUUUCUUUUUCUUUUUUUACUCACAGGACUCCGUUCGUCAAAGGCCCUGUCUGGCAGCAGACCUGCCGAACUCACGAUGCAACAGCCAGGGAAGGAUAAAGGCUACAACGAAUAUCCAGGUGGUCUCCAUUAUGAGCAUUUAAUCCGUUUUACGCACCAUUCCGUAGCCUACCCCUGGAGGGGGACAUGUUUAACAGUCCCAUCCCUUGCUUAUCGCACCAUUUGUAUCAUUCUGCACUUACAGCAGUUUUUCUUGAAUAAGUAAUGCAGCACCUUUUUGCUUCCAAUUGCAUUUAUCUUUUAUACAUAUGUUCAUUUGUGACAUUACGCAUCCGUACGUUUUUGGUACGGCUACAUACACGAGGGGCUUAUGUUUCCCGCAUCAUGGUGUGAUAAGUCUGAACACUUUCACAAGUGCAGCACCCCGAACUUAUAGCAUUAUAUGCAUCAGCUCCGAAUCAUGUCUUGGGUCAAUAGUUGGGUUUGCCCGGCUCCCAUGUUUUGGUACCUUACGUUCCGUUGUAUCGGCUAAGGUAGCACUGGGAGAACCACUGCGAUUGCGCCCCAGUUGAGCUGGGUUAACGCCUCAGUCGAGAAAGCUAAAACUGACUGUCAUGAUGAGGCGAGAACUGGUUGCUGUUCGAGAGGUUUUUUGCGAGUCCCUAAAGACUUAUGCCGCUUAGAGCGAGGAGCCGAUUUUUGUCCGGCCCAGGCGUGGAUAGCGCCCCAAAUUCGGCCUUCCGAAGACUAUGGGCUUCGCCAAAAUUUAAAAUUAUAGAAUUCUAUGGCUAAGUGAGAGUGUUCAAGCAUUAUAAGUCCGGUUGCCUUGUUCGUUGUGUUGAGCGCCUCCUAGAUGGACCCAAAUAUGGGAACAAGAGUGCUCAAAUUUAUCCCGAACACCCCAGCACUCGUGGCAUGGGGGCUGAAGUCGACGACUUGCCAUCUCUCAGAUUUGAUAAACAGCCGCACCGAAGGUAAUAUUUUAAAUUAAAAUGCGUUGCUUCGCGCAAAUGAACUAAGUUUUUAGCGCACAUGAUAACAAAAUGCGAGUCUACUCAAAUAUUACAUCUUUGGAGCACUCACCCGCAAUAGUGCGGGCGCCCUUCAGCACACUCUUAUAAUACAUCUCGGGCGUGCGAUGCUCCUUGCCCUCCGGUGGUGGGUCCGUCACGAGCUUUUGGGCAUCCAUCUUGCCCCAGUGCACCUUUGCACGGGUAAGGGCCCGACGGGCACCCUCAAUACAGGCGGAGUGCUUGAUGACUUCAACCCGCGGGCACGCAUCCACCAGCCGCUGCACCAGGCCGAAGUAGCUCCCAGGCAUGGCCUCCUUAGGCCACAGCCGAACUAUGAGGCCCUUCAUGGCCUGUUCGGCCGCCUUGUGGAGCUCGACCAGCUGCUUCAGCUGGUCGCUAAGGGGCACCGGAUGUCCGGCCUCAGCAUACUGAGACCAGAAGACCUUCUCCGUCGAGCUCCCCUCCUCGGCCCGGUAGAACGCGGCAGCAUCAGACACGCUGCAAGGAAGAUCUGCGAAUGCUCCUGGAGAGCUCCGAAUUCGGGUAAGCAACAGGUAAUUAACACUCACAUGCUUACUUUGCAUGAAAAAUGCCUUACCCGCUGCUAUUUUCUUUAACGCCUUGAUUUCCUGGAGGGCCUUGUAGGCUUCGGCCUUAGCGUCUUUGGCACUCUCAAGAGCCGUUGCAAGCUCAUACUCUCGAGUCUUCGAGUCAUGCUCCAGGCUCUCAUAUUUCUGCAUGAGAUCCUGGAGCUCUUGCUGUACCUCCGCCACCCGCGCCUCCUGCUUCUCUCGCUCGGUGCGCUCCGCGGCCGCAUUGCAUUUGGCCGCGGCCACCGCCUCUUUCAGGGUCUCCACCUUGUUAGUGGCCCCUGCAAUACCCACGUUAUCCUUGUCAUUCUUUUUGCAACCAAAAUCCUUUUCUGUAAGGUACAAUUUUAAUAAGGUGUUACUCACCUUCCUUGUCCUCGAGCUGCUUCUUGGCACGGCCGAGCUCGUUCUCGGACCGCUCGAGGUUUUCCUUCAAAGUAUUGACCUCCACAGUCAGUGCGGCAGAGGUAAGCAGCGCAGCCUGCAAUCCCAUAUCGACAUAUUUUUUAUGACUCCUGCGUAUAUCUUCUUAGAUCCUCAGUCCGGCUUUUCUUUCCGAACACCGAACCGAGCAUCAGGGGCUACUGUCUAUGCGGUACUAUUUUACAUAUCUCAAAAUUCUUACCUCAAAGCCUGUUAGAAGGCUGCUGGAGGCUUUGGUAAGCCCGCUCUUGGCGAGCUGCACCUUCUGAAUCACCGCACUCAUAACAGUGCGGUGUUCCUCUUCAAUGGAGGCGCCAUUGAGCGCCUCCAGCAAGUUAUUCGGCGCCUCCGGUUGGACAGAGGCUGCCAGUGUCACGGUCUUGCCCUUCUUAUGAAGGGGCCGCACGCCGGACUCCGGAGCCACUAUGGGAUCCAGAGCCGAGUCUGGUGCAAAGUCCGGGAGGUUGUCAUGCGACACCUCUGGGGCCUCCUCCUCCUGGCGGGUCCCUUCCCGGGAUCCCACCUCGGCAUCGUCCGUGUCACGGGGGGUGGAGGCGGUCGGAAGAGAAUCCAUAUCCGACGCACCUAAGGACCCGCUCGACGAAGCGGGAAGAUCGUCCUUGGGCGGACUGCAAGGUUGUAUGUGGCAUUAGAAAGACAAUGUGUGGCAAAAAAGAAAAACCAUGAAGUUAUUCGGGAGUCUGGAUACUUACGAUCUCGCCGGAGGCUUGGCCCUUGGAGGCCAGUCCUUGUCGUCGUCACUGGCGUUGGCAGAGCAGUCUGGGGAAAGAGUUUUUCCCUUCUUGCACCCUUCAGCCUCCCCCGUAGGGGAAGCCUUCCUUUUCUUCCCUCCCCCCGCUGGGGGAGAGGCUUUCUUCUUCUCCUCCUCACCCUUGUGGGAGGAUUCGGCCUCGGAGUCAUCGUUCGAUAACACCUGAAAGCGGGAACUCUUUCGAGUACCCGUGGCCUUCUACUUGGCCUUCUUCUCCGGCACCACGUGGGGUGCUAGAGCCAGCAGCCCCGUCAAGCGGGCGUCCGCUGGGUCCUCUGGCAACGGGGCCGGACAGAUAGUCUGUUCGGCCUUCUUCAGCCAGUCCUGUCAAAGGAAAGGGAGUUUAGAUCCCGCAUAGAGUCAAACUAUGGAAAACAAGCAUCCCAUAAAGGACAAAAUCACUUACCUCGUCAGCUGGACGCUGCAAGCUGAAUCCGCGAUCUUCGGUAGCGGAUGCGGGAGCCUCGGUGCCCUUGAACAGCACCUUCCAGACAUCUUCAUACGUAGUGUCGAAGAGCCCGCUCAAAGUCUGGUGCUACGCCGGAUCGAACUCCCACAUAUUGAAGCCCCGUCGUUGGCACGGGAGAAUCUGGCGGAUGAGCAUGACCUGGACCAUGUUGACAAGCUUGAGCUUCUUGUCCACCAGCUUUUGGACGCGGGCUUGGAGUCUGGUCAGCUCCUCCAAAUCACCCCAAGUCCGGCCACUCUCUUUCCAGGAGGUGAGCCGUGUGGGGAUGCCAGAUCUGAAUUCGGGGGCCGCUGCCCAUUCGGGGUCACGCGGCUCGGUGAUGUAGAACCACCCCAAUUGCCACCCCUUGAUGGUUUCCAUGAAAGUGCCCUCAAGCCAAGUAAUGUGGGACAUCCUGCCCACCAUGGCGCCUCCGCACUCCGCUUGGCUGCCCUUCACAACCUUCGGCUUGACACUGAAGGUCUUGAGCCACAAGCCGAAGUGGGGCUGGAUGCAGAGGAAGGCCUCACACACGACGAUAAACGCCGAGAUGUUGAGGAUGAAAUUCGGGGCCAGAUCAUGGAAAUCCAGGUCGUAGUAGAACAUGAGCCCCCGGACAAAGGCAUGGAGUGGGAAGCCCAGUCCGCGGAGGAAAUGGGGAAGGAAUACUACCCUCUCAUGGGGCCUAGGGGUGGGGAUGAGCUCUCCCUCGUCGGCGAGUCGGUGCGCGAUGUCGCUGGACAAGUAUCCGGCGCUGCGCAGCUUCCGGAUCUGCCCCUCCGUGAUGGAGGAGGCCAUCCACUUGCCUCCUACUCCGUACAUAUUUGGAGAAGGUUGAGGUGAGAUGUGCGGACUUGGGCGCUGGAGCUCGAGUUUGCGGAGAUGGAUAAGCCAAGGAGGAAGAAGGCGCAGGUAAAAGGGUUGGAUCUUUAUCCCCUUAUAUGGGCGGACGAAAACAUGCGUCCCCACUGGCCUGAUAAAACUCGCUUAUCUCCCAAGCGCCGCAAUCAAUGGCGCGGUUGGGUUACCCACAUCCAUAUUUAUGGGAAUCCCGGGAUAAGGGAAACACGAUCUCUUCUUCGACAAGACGUGCCAAGGAAACCGCUUCGCUAAACGCGCUGAGGUGGUACAAUAAAAACAAUUUAAGUAAAGGCUUGGUAGUGAUGUGACGUCACACCAUCAAAUACGUCAGCAGAUUGAACUUGUGUAAUGUUAUUUUCUCUACGGUGGUGCGUGGAAUUUAUCUUGCAGAGCCGGACACUAUCCUGGUGUUCACAUUCUUCUAUAAAUUAUUCGGAGGAGGAACCUGCCUUGCAAUGCCGAAGACAAUAUGUGCGCCGGACUCGUCGUCAUUGAAGCCUGGUUCAGGGGCUACUGAGGGAGUCCCGGACUAGGGGGUGUCCGGAUAGCCGAACUAUCAUUAUCGGCCGGACUCCAAGACUAUGAAGAAACAAGAUUGAAGACUUCGUCCCGUGUCCGGAUGGGACUUUCCUUGGCGUGGAAGGCAAGCUUGGCGAUACGGAUAUGUAGAUCUCCUACCAUUGUAACCGACUCUGUGUAACCCUAGCCCUCUCCGGUGUCUAUAUAAACCGGAUGGCUUUAGUCCGUAGGACGAACAACAAUCAUACCAUAGGCUAGCUUCUAGGGUUUAGCCUCCUUGAUCUCGUGGUAGAUCUACUCUUGUAACACACAUCAUCAAUAUUAAUCAAGCAGGACGUAGGGUUUUACCUCCAUCAAGAGGGCCCGAACCUGGGUAAAACAUCGUGUCCCUUGUCUCCUGUUACCAUCCGCCUAGACGCACAGUCCGGGACCCCCUACCUGAGAUCCGCCGGUUUUGACACCGACACUUGUCCUCAAGCAAUUCAGUUGACAAACUGAAAGUGAUAAAGAAAAACUUUUACAAACUCUGUUUGCUCUUGUUGUUGUAAAUAUGUAAAGCCAGCAUUCAAGUUUUCAGCAAAGAUUAUGAACUAACCAUAUUCACAAUAACACUUAGGUCUCAUGUUUACUCAUAUCAAUGGCAUAAUCAACUAGCGAGCAAUAAUAAUAAAUCUCGGAUGACAACACUUUCUCAAAACAAUCAUAAUAUGAUAUAACAAGAUGGUAUCUCGCUAGCCUUUCUGAGACCGCAAAACAUAAAUGUAGAGCACCUUUAAAGAUCAAGGGCUGACUAAACAUUGUAAUUCAUGGUAAAAGAGAUCCAGUCAAGUCAUACCCAAUAUAAACUAAUAGUAAUGCAUGCAAAUGAUAGUGUGCUCUCCAGCGGUGCUUUUUAAUAAGAGGGUGAUGACUCAACAUAAAAGUAAAUAGAUAGGCCCUUCGCAGAGGGAAGCAGGGAUUUGUAGAGGUGCCAGAGCUCGAUUUUAAAAUAGAGAUGAAUAACAUUUUGAGCGGUAUACUUUCACUGUCAACACAACAACUAUGAGAUCUCGAUAUCUUCCAUGCUACACACAUUAUAGGCGGUUCCCAAACAGAACGGUAAAGUUUAUACUCCCCCUCCACCAAAAACCAUCAAUCCAUGGCUUGCCCGAAACAACGGGUGCCUCCAACUAACAACAAUCCUGGGGGAGUUUUGUUUGAAUUUAUUUUGAUUUGAUUUAAUCUUUUGAUCAUGGGACUGGGCAUCCCGGUUACCAGCCAUUUUCUCGUGAAUGAGGAGCGGAGUCCACUCCUCUUGAGAAUAACCCGCCUAGCAUGGAAGAUACAAACAACCCUAGUUGAUACAUGAGCUGCUCGAGCAUACAAAACAGAAUUUCAUUUGAAGGUUUGGAUUUUGUCACAUACGAAUUUACUUGGAACGGCAGGUAAAUACCGCAUAUAGGAAGGUAUGGUGGACUCAUAUGGAAUAACUUUGGGUUUAUGAAGUUUGGAUGCACAAGCAGUAUUCCCGCUUAGUACAGGUGCAGGCUAGCAAAAGACUGGGAAGCGACCAACUGAGAAAGUGACAACAGUCAUGAACAUGCAUUAAAAUUAAUCAAUAUCAGGUGCAAGCAUGAGUAGGAUAUAAUCCACCAUGAACAUAAAUACCGUGAAGGCUAUGUUGAUUUUGUUUCAACUACAUGCGUGAACAUGUGCCAAGUCGAGUCACUCGAAUCAUUCAAAGGAGGAUACCACCCUAUCAUACCACAUCACAACCAUUUAAAUAGCAUGUUGGCGCGCAAGGUAAACCAUUAUAAGCUCCUAGCUAAUUAAGCAUGGCAUAAGCAACUAUAAUCUCUAAUUGUCAUUGCAAACAUGUUUAUUCAUAAUAGGCUGAAUCAUGAACGAUUGAAAGUGCAACUAUCCCUGGGUGGUUUUGGUAAUUCCUAACAACAUAUAGCUCAUUGAGCUCAUGCUAUUUCAAGAUAAAUAUUUUAGGAAAGCUCAGUGAGUGGCAUGGCAUGGAUGAGAAAAGUGGAUCCCUCAAAAUGCUAAAGACAAAAGGAUUGGCUCAAGCUCAAAGCACAAGACUCUACAUUUUCUAUUUUAGUUAUCCAAGAUCACAUUGAGUCUAUAGGAAAAUCCAAUACUAUCAAGGAGGGAUGAGGUGUUGCUUAAUGAGUUUCUUGCUCUAAAUGCUUAGUGAUAUGCUCUAAAGCCCUCAACUACUUUCGCACAUCCACAUAUGACCCAAACCAAAAGUCAAACUCGGCCCCACCGAAAUUAUCUAUCCGGCGCCACCGAGUUCAGAUGUAAUAGCCACUACUACAAACCCUAAUCAAAUCGGUCUCACCGAUAGGGAUCUCGGUCUCACCGAGAUGGGAUUGCAAACUCUCUGUUCCCCUUUGUAACGUUUCGGUCCAACCAAGAUGAGUGAUCGGUCCCACCGAGAUUGCAAUGCAAACUCUCUGUUUCCCUUUCGUAAUGUUUCAGUCCAACCGAGAUGAGCGAAUCGGUCCCAUUGAGUUUGCCUGACCAACUCUCUGGUUAGCUUUUUACCAAAAUCGGCCCCACCAAGUUUGUGUAAUCGGUCUCACCGAUAUUACGUUAUGCCCUAACCCUAACCAUAUCAGUCCCACCGAAAAUCCUAACAGUCACAUUAUUUGCUAAAUCGGUCCGACCGAGUUUCAUGAUUCGGUCCCAUCGAGAUUGGUAAGUUGUGUGUAACGGUUAGAUUUUGUGUGGAGGCUAUAUAUACCACUCCACCCACUCUUCAUUCAUGGAGAGAGCCAUCAGAACAUGCCUACACUUCCAACAUACAUUUUCUGAGAGAGAACCACCUACACUUGUGUUGAGGUCAAGAUAUUCCAUUCCUACCAUAUGAAUCUUGAUCUCUAGUCUUCCCCAAGUUGCUUUCCACUCAAAUCUUCUUUCCACCAAAUCCAAAUCCUGUGAGAGAGAGUUGAGUGUUGGGGAGACUAUCAUUUGAAGCACAAGAGCAAGGAGUUCAUCAUCAACACACCUUUUGUUACUUCUUGGAGAGUGGUGUAUCCUAGAUUGGCUAGGUGUCACUUGGGAGCCUCCGACAAGAUUGUGGAGUUGAACCAAGGAGUUUGUAAGGGCAAGGAGAUUGCCUACUUCAUGAAGAUCUACCCUAGUGAGGCAAGUCCUUCGUGGGUGACGGCCAUGGUGGGAUAGACAAGGUUUCUUCUUCAUGGACCCUUCGUGGGUGGAGCCCUCCGUGGACUCGCGCAGCCGUUACCCUUCGUGGGUUGAAGUCUCCAUCAACGUGGAUGUACGAUAGCACCACCUAUCGGAACCACAACAAAAACAUUCGUGUCUCCAAUUGUGUUUGCCUUCUCAAACUCCUCCCAUUUACCUUCAUAUGCAAUUGUUUUACAUUCCGCUGCUAUACUCUUAGAAUUGCAUGUGUAGGUUGAUUGCUUGACCUGUGCUAAGUUGCUAAAAUCUUCCAAGAACUAAAAUUGAGAAAGUCUAGAUUUUUAUUUGGUCAAGUAGUCUAAUCACCCCCCCCCCUCUAGAUAUACUUUCAAUCCUACAAGUGGUAUCAGAGCGUUGGUCUCCAUUUUCUUUGAUUUCCAUAGCUUUUGGUAGUCAUAGCCUUGGUUUCAGAACCUAGGAGAGUAUGGCGUCUAGCGAGGGAAAUUACCACCGUAGAGGUCCAUACUUUGAUGGUACUAAUUUUGCUAGUUGGAAGCAUAAGAUGAAAAUACAUAUUCUUGGACAUAACCCAGCCGUUUGGGCUAUUGUGUGUAUUGGCUUGCAAGGUGAAUUCUUUGAUGGGAGAGAACCAAACUGUGAAGCUACCAUGGAAGAGUUGAAGAUGCUGCAAUACAAUGCUCAAGCUUGUGAUAUCAUCUUCAAUGGAUUGUGCCCCGAAGAAUUCAACAAAAUCAGCCGUCUUGAGAAUGCAAAGGAAAUUUGGGAUACUUUGAUUGACAUGCACGAAGGUACCGACUCCAUCAAGGAAUCCAAAUUGGAUGUGCUUCAAAGUCAACUUGACAAGUUCAAAAUGAAGGAUGGUGAAGGUGUCGCUGAAAUGUACUCUAGGCUUGCUCUAAUCACAAAUGAGAUUGCCGGCUUAGGAAGUGAAGAGAUGACCGACAAAUUCAUCAUCAAGAAGAUCCUAAGAGCCUUGGAUGGAAAAUAUGAUACUGUGUGCACAUUGAUCCAAAUGAUGCCCAAUUACAAAGAUCUCAAGCUAACGGAAGUCAUUGGAAGAAUUUUUGCUCAUGAGAUGUCACUCAAGGAUAAGGAGGAGCUCCACAACAAGUCAAGUGGUGCUUACAAAGCCUCAUGUGAAGCUCCCACAUCAUCAAUUGAGAAACAAACCUUCAAUGAAGAAUUGAGCCUAAUGGUGAAGAACUUCAACAAGUUCUACAAGAGUAGAAGCAAGGAAAGAAGUUCCAAGUCAAGGUCCUACAAUGACAAAAGAUCUUCUAGUCGUGAGCAUAAUUGCUACAAUUGUGGAAGACCCGGACACUAUUCCAAUGAGUGUACGUAUCCCUACAAAAGAAGAGAAGAUUCUCCAAAAAGAAGGAGUAGAAGUGAAGACUCACCAUCAAGAGAAAGAAGGAGUAGAGAUGAUCGUUAUGAACGAAGAACAUCCAGGAGAAGCAAGGAUUUGGAAAGGAAGGACAAGUCAUCAAAGAGCUACAUAAAGCGAAGACAUCAAGCUCAUGUUGGUGAACGGGUAUCCGGCUCCGACUCCGACAAUCACUUCGAGAGAAGCUAUCACUUCGACUCCGAAUAUACUCAAGAUGAAGGUGUUGUCGGUCUAGCACUUGUGUCAACCAACUCCUAUGACUUAUUUGACUCACCAAAUGAAGGAAUUGGAAGAUGCUUCAUGGCUAAAGGCCCAAAGGUAUCACACCCCGAGUAUGUUGAUUUCAAUAGUGUUGAAGAUGACUGGUUAGGUGAUGAUGAUUUACUUGUUGACAACUCUAGUGAUGAAUACUAUGAUGAAACGUCAAAUAAUCAUGCUAAUCAAGAUAAAAUGACUGACAAUGAUAAUAAGAAGAUUGAGCUCCUAACUAAAGAACUAAACACUCUUAAGUUAGCUCAUGAAACUAUCUUAGGAGAUCAUCAAGAACUUUUAAGGACUCAUGAGAAGUUACGCUUUGAAAAGCUCAACCUUGAGCAAGAUCAUGAGUUUUUAAUGGCAAUCAAUGAUGAUCUUCGCAAGAAAAGUUCUUCUUACAUUGCCAAGCGUUUACUCUUAUCUACUUACAUGCCUCAAGUCAAGUCUAGUAAUAAUAACAAGAAAGAUUCUUCUUCUAGUAGUAACAAUAAUCAUGCUAAAUCCAAUGUUGUUGCUUCUAGUAGUUCUCUUGAUUCCACUAAUGAUUCUCUUAGCCAAGUUACACUUGAGCAAGAAAAUAGCUUAUUGAAGGGAAUUAUAGAGAAAGGUGUUUACAAGAGCCUUGACGAGAGUAAGCAAUUCGAGGAAAUUGUACGCAAGCAAGGAAGGCACCGGAAGAAUCAAUGUGUUGGUUUUGAACGAAAGUUCAAUGCCAAUGGAGUUGAGUGGGAAGAAGAUCAAUACCCCAAGACGAAGUUUGUUCCUCAACAAGAGAAGUAUGAUCCUACUUAUUUCAAAGGGACACAAGCUCAAGAUGAUCUUGCACCACAAGACCACAAGCAAAAAGGCAAGGACAAGCUUCAAGAGGAGAUUGAUGCAUUUGAAGAAGCUCCUAACACUACAAAAAAAAUACACUUCUGUGAUGAUACGUGUUUGUCAUAGUAGGUCGCGUUUUCUGUCAUGCAUGUACAUCCAUGAUGAUUUUAUGACAGAAUCAAGAUAGUCAUACCUGUGCUGUCGUAGAAGUGUUUCAUGAUAUUACCAAAAUUAUCAUCACGGAAGUGUCCACUUCCAUGACGAUAAAUCGUGCGUCACAGAAGUGCUUUCGUCAAGGGUGACCGACACGUGGCAUCCACCGUAACGGAACACCGUUAAGCUAUCGGGUCGGGUUUUGGAUCCGAUAACCCGUUAACAGCCCGGACCAAUGGGAAAUUUCCAUGUGUAAAAUUCUUAUUGGCCGGACGAAACACGUGUCAGCUCGUCAGUGGGUCAGAUAGGUGCCUAUGAUAUGUCGACACGUGCCACGGCCCACCACUGGCCCAUUUAGCUUACAAAGCCGGCCCGUUUGACUUGGUCAAAAGUUAACGGCUGGCCCAUGAAAAGCUUGUUAAUGGCCUCUUUGCAAAUAGCCCAUUUUACGGCCCGGUAACUCACGGCCUGUUAGGCCCUAAUGGAGAUCGGCCCAACAACGUCAUGUGGGUCGUCGAAUACAACACCAGCCCAUUUCACUUUCAGCCCAUGUAUGGCCCAUGAUGUCUUUCGGCCCACAUGAGGCCUUCGUAUCUUUAGGCCCUUUAGAGGCCCACGGUGACUCUAGCCCAUAAUGAAUAGUAAUUUUCUUUGUACCCAUUAACGGCCCGUGAUUCACAUGGGCCAUUUCUAGCCCGUGUUAGCUUUCGGCCUAUUAAUGGCCCAUACGUUCUUGGGCUCCUUUCCGGCCCUCGAUUACUUCCGGCCCGUUACUAGCCUGUUCCCCUAAUGGGCCAAAUUCGGCCCAUGGCAAGAGUCGGCCCGUUUCUGGCCUGUUAACCCGUUGCGCAGUUUCUAGCCCGUGUUAGCUUUUAGCCUAUUGACGACCCAUACGUUCUUGGGCUCCUUUCCGGCCCUCGAUUACUUCUGGCCCGUUACUGGCAUGUUCCCCUAAUGGGCCAAAUUCGGCCCAUGGCAAGAGUCGGCCCAUUUCUGGCUUGUUAACCCGUUGUGCCAUUUCCAGCCCGUCCUAUAUUCUGGCCCAUUAACGACCCGUUAUGCCUGUGACAGAAUUAAGCCUUUGCUGUCCUCCGGCCUGUUAACGGCCCAUUACCGUGCUGGGCCGGUACCAAUUACGCCCAUUUACGGCCCAUGUAGAUCCAUUUAUCCGACGACCCGAGGCCCACCGACUCUACGGCCCUGAUGGAGGCCCAUUUAUCGAUGGCCCGUAGGAGACCCAUGGAUCCUAUGGCCCGUAGGAGACCCAUGGAUCCUAUGGCCCGUAUAUGGCCCAUGGUUGUUGCGGCCACUAACAAACCAGGGAAAAGUAGACUAGGAAAUAAAUAAGGCCGAAACUAACGCUAGGCUACUAAGGCGAUUGCACAGAUUACAAGCACUCGGCAUCAAAGAUCGCCACCAGUGCAAAUAUGGGGAACACCCUACACUAUACAAAAAUGGCUUGUUGUUUUCUUCAGCCGGUGGCUGGACGUUAAGAACAAAUUUUGUAUCGCACCAAAACAAAUUACAACUAUAUAACAAAAGGAAGGUUGGCAUAAAACUUAACAGUCUAGCAGAUAAAUGCACCACCAGAAGUUCAGAAGCUCAGUUCAUUUGACUUGACUGUUACGUUUUCAUGUUGUAUUGUCUGAUGGAGCACCAUAACCCUCGCCUUCAUUUCUCCUAGGCUCCUGAACAACAUAGCAAAUGUCUGAUAGUAUGGUUUCAAAACCAUGCAUAUCUUGACGACAUCGAACAAUGUCUCCUUGUUUCACAAAGGGUCUUUGUUAGGGAUGGACUUGUGUCUGGAGCGCAGAUACAACAUUGCUUUGAGCUUGCAUAUCUUGAUCAUGAGGCAGUUUGGACGAGAUUGCCUUAACAACCAACCCAGUAUUACGCAGGAACGUGCUUUUGCUACUGUUAGUGGACAGGUACUGACCCACUGCAGCAAGAGCUGGCAUUGCGAUUAUAGUUGCCUCGCCACCUUCAGAAGGUGGCGGUUCCACCAUUUUUUCCAUAGCUAGCUGAAAAGUUGAAUUUUUACAUUAGUAGUACCAGAACAGAAGACAUUAAGGAGGCAGCAAAACCAAACAAAAUAGCUUUGGUCUAUAUACAGAAUUUAUUCUAGUGAACCCAUGUAAAAUAUUAGUUGUAUUUUAUUGCAAAGUACAUAAUAAAACCAGGUUCCAAACAUAUGACCAUGUACCAUCGCUAAUGUAUUGUCUAUUUCUUCACAUUGUAUUGAGGGUUAAGGAUAAAGAGACGAAGUUUAUAAUACGGUAAGCAUAGUAUGACAUCAUUCAUAUCACAAAACAACUGAGAACAGACAAACAGACAAUUGUAACAUUGUGUGGGCAAGUCCAGCACGGAACUAGAUUAUGGGUCAAGAUCAAAGGAACAUCACUCCUCUCUUUUAAACCUUGUAAGGUGCAAUGAUACGCUAAGACAAUUGUGUAUAAAAUUGAAAAGAGUAAUAGACAUUGGCUGCAAACAUGCAGUUCAAGGCACAAGUCAGAGUAAGUAGUAGUUAAAAGGCAUGAGGAUUAAGGACUUACAACAGCGGCUUUGACUGGUGUAGUCAUUCCCUUCCUCUUGCUGGUGUGACAGUCCUUGAAGAUUUCCACAACAUUUGGUUCAGAUACUUUUUGGUCCUUGCGGGCUUUCCUCUGCAUUUCUAACAAGUCAAUAUAGAUCUGAUAAUAUGGUGCAGCGAAAAGAGUGAAACAGCAGCUAAUUACAAGAGCCUCGUAGUGUGCAAUAUAGCUAUGAGAUCCUGUCAUGUGUUCAAAUUUCACUUUUGUACGGUUGGCCUUGUUCUUUGAACAGUUCACCUACAAGAAGAUAGAUUUGUGUGGAACAUGCGUAAAUAGGACCUCAACAUGUGAUCUGAUCACAUAUAUAUAAUGUACCUGAUACUUCGAAUUAGACCAGUGUUUAACAAGGCCCCUCCAGUCUUCAUCCGAUAUAUUUUCCACUGGAGAUGUUUGGGAAAGUUCACUGUUAGCCUUGCCUUCAAAGUGAGUUUUCCUCAAGUUAUACCGAUACUAUCGCAGAGCAGACUUGAAAACAUGGGUGCAAGCUUGUCUGGUUGCAUCAUCUUGGCUAUCCAACUUGAACCUCAUCUGUUGAAAAUUAUGGGAGUCUCAUUAUCAGCAACCUAGAAAGUAUGGGACAGAGCAAGACAAUAUUACUAGCUUCCAUACAUAACCAUACUUACAGAUAAAUGGUCGAGGAAGGCGUUGAACUGGGUUUCGUCUUUGCAUUCCUCUACAGAAUCCAUGUUGGGAGGAUACAUACAUGACACCUAACGGCAACCGCUGCCUCUGAUACUAACUUGGCUGACUCUGUAGCAUCACGUGGCCUUUUUAAACCUACCUCAAAACGGAUCUCCAUUCUUCCUCCUCUAGAUUUAGUUAACCUAUCGAGCAUUAUCCCUGAUGUUGUUUCCUCUUGCGCCUAGGUGCUAGUCCAACAACGAACAUAGGAAGUGUUAGUGUACAUAAAACUGUGAGACUACAUAUAAAGAAGCAUGCAACUGUAACUUGACUCCAGCAACUACCUUCUUGCUGUUGAAGCUCACAAGGUUCAUAUGAUAUUGCCAACUCUUCUUGUGUCAAGAGUGCUUAGGAAGUAGUGUCAGGUGGCAAGGGAGCUUGGGAACGUGCUGCUAGCUCAGUUGACGCACGAGUAACUCGUGCAGCUGGUAGUACUGUGGAAGGUGUUGCAAGAACUAGGGAUGUCUCUACUUGUUUGGUGGCAGCUAUUUGUUUCUGUUUGGCUUUUUUUGCAGCUCGUGUAGCAUGGGAUGCCCUAUUUGUAGAAUUUUCUGUUGGACUUUGACCUUCUAUUGCACCAUCAGUGCCAGCAGAAUCUGCAGGAUUCAUCCGCUUCUCAUUCCCUGCCAUUCUAUGCUUCUUCCUCUUUCUCUGUGCCAUGUUAAGUCAAGCCGACAAGAAAAACGAAUAACAAUUUAGUUCUUCAGAACAAAUUGAUGCGUGAUGCAGAUGAACUAAACUUUGAUGUUAGACAACCACAUGAUAGGAGGAUGUAAUAUGUACGAAAAACAGGACGGAAGAGAUAACCAGAACUAUGAUGUGUAAACUAAGCAGAAGACAUUUCACCAAAUUAGAAGCAAUGCAAUGGAAGGUAGACACCAUAUGAAAGAUGCUACAAAUAUCGCUUUGCCAAGUUAACAGUGUCUCAUUAUAAAUGGCGUUUAAACAAAUGUGAAGUAGUACAAGAAAUAAAUCAUAUGCAAGAUGCAAACAACAUCACACUACCAUGUUAGAGGUCUCUCGUCAUUAGUGCCAUUGCAUAUUCACAGCAGUGCAUAUUCACAACUUAUGAUGUGUAAACUAAGGAGAAGGCAUUUCAACAAAUUAGAAGCAAUGAAAGCUAGACACCAUAUGAAAGAUGCAACGGAUAUCACUCUACCAAUUUAAAUUGUCUAGUCAUAAGUGCCAUUUCAAUAAAUUAGUAGUACAAGCUAGAAAAGAAUGUGAGAUGUAACCUAUAUCACACUCCGAAGUCAAAUGUGUCUUAUGAUAAGUGAUUGUUGCAGGUUACAUAACAGUAGUAAUUUGAUGUAAGAACAUGGUGUGAUAGACAGAUAUUGUAUGUUCUAGAAACAGGAACACGUGUCUUAUUCAAGUAUAAUGUGUAAAGUAAGCAGAUGGAAUUCAACAAAAUUAGAAGCAAUACAAGCUAGACAUCACACAUAACAUGCAACCACAUAUAACAGUGCCAAGUUAGAGGGAGCGCCGGUGAUGGUGCACUAGGGGAGACAUGCUCAUCAUAAACACAGCUUUGUUGAGUGUAUAUGCAUGUGUUGUCUUGGAAAUCAUCUUGGGGGUGAGGAGGAGUAGAAACUAUAGAGGCACUCCGUUCGGAAGGAGCACCUUUAUCCUCUGCCUUGCUAACUUCCUUCCGCUUUAUUGAUUUUGAAUUGUCAAGUAAAAUCAACAAGAAAACGCAAUAAAAUUCUCUCUUCAGAACUCAUUCAUGCAUGAUACUGACAAUCACUACUUUGAUGUAAGGCAAACACAUGAUACCAGGAUGGUAUAUGUACGAAAAACAGGACGGCAUGGCAUGUUCACAAUUGUUUGUGUAAACUAAGCAGAAACCAUUCCAAGAAAUAUGAAGCAAUGCAAGCUAGACACCACAUGAAAGAUGCAACCAAUAUGACUCUGCCAAGUUAAAAGCGUCCCAUCAUAAAUGGAAUUUCAACAAAUUAGAAGCAGCGCAUGCUAUAAAUCAUAUGAAAGAUGCAACUAAUAUCGCACUGCAUAUACUAAAGGUGUCUCAUUGUAUUGAUUGAUGCGGGAUACAAAAAAAAACAAUAGUUUUAUGUAAGGACGUGCUUAAUAGAUAGAUGUACUGUGUACUAAAUACAGGAAGGCAUGUCACAUUAAUAGGUAUAAUGUAUAAGCUAAGCAGACUAGCACAUGUAGUUUAACCAGAUUGGAAGAAUUACAAUCUAGACACCAUAUGCAACAUGCAACCACAUAUCACGCUGCCAAGUUAGAGCAAGCACCUGCGAUGCUAGUGUAGGGAAAAUGCGGUAAUCAACUACAGAGCUACAUUCACUAUCUUCAUCUAGCCUUGUUGUUUCUUGAGAAUCAUGUUGGGAGGCUGACGCUGCAUUCUUUAAAUGAGGAUUAGUCCACUUGCCUGACUGGCUCAUCAUAAGUGACCGAUGAGGGAUACACAAGAACAUUAUUUUGAUGUAAGAACAUGGUUAAUAUACAGAUGUACUGGUAUGUACCAAAAACAGAAAGGCAUGUCAUAUUCAAAGGUAUAAUGUGUAAGCUAAGCAGAUGCAAUUUAACCAAAUUGGAAGCAAUACAAGAUAGACAUCCAGCUAGAGUGGUGAGCAUGAUCAUCUAGGACCUGAGAGCCUGGUGGGAGGCGGGCAGCUUCGCCACCAUCGCAGCUUUUUAGUUGGCUUCCAGGUGAUGCCCGUCUUUGCUGGGCUUGUCACUGGCUCGGCCAGUGCCCUGACUAGCUAUUUGUCUUCUGGUGCUCAUGGUAUGGUGGUUCAUGUAAAAAAUGUAUUUCCUUAUCUUAAUAAAGACUGACUUCGGCCUUUCAAAUACAAGCUAGACACCAUAUGGAACAUACAACCACAUAUGACACCGCGAAGUUAAAGCAAGCACCUGGGAUGGUGGUUCAUUGCGAGCGAGGUCAUCAACUCCAGAGCUAUGUUUACCGUCUCCAUCUGCUGACACUGCACCCUUUAUAGCGUUGUAAUGUGCCAUGCCUACCCGCAUAGCAAGCUGGAGCAACUUCUCUCUUUUCUUUUCUGCUUCCCUCAAGGCAGACUCUGAAAUACCCUUGCAUAAAAACACAAUAGUGAGAGUAUGGGUGAAGUGUGUGCAGAACUAGUGCACUGUAAAAGUAGCAGAUAGCAGGUGGCUGAAAUAUAAAUGACAGGAGACAUAUGAUAGCUCUACAACAUUGCAUGGAAAACAAAAUUAGAUUCUACUCCGUAUGAUUUUGUAAUAUAUGAGCACAGGAAAUGCAGGUACUCCUCGAGCACACCACCACAUGUGGUCAUAUCUAAGAUAACAGUCGAUUGAAAAUAAAUAGGUCAGUCGAUUUUUUUAAUGAAUCGUCCGAUCAAUAAGGAACGGGCAGAUGGCCUUCGUCCACCUCCCACCGGUCACUGUUGACGAUCUUUCUCGAACCGCCAGCGACCACCGUCCCAGACCCCUGCCUCCGCCGCCUCGCCCUCCCCUCGACCUCACACCACCGCUGUGCUUGGCAGCGCCCCCAGGCCAUCCCUUUAAUCCCAGCCGACCUCCAGUCUCCAGAUCGGGUGCCAGUAGCUCUAGGCCGCACACGCCCCUAAGAUAAACACCAAGGCGCUGCUUCCUCGGCGUAAUAGGCGUACUAGUGCCUGUUAUGCUGGGGAAUGCUUCCGUUAAUUGGGAAUCAACUGGACAGAAAUUGAAAUUCAGUGGGGCGACGGACCUCUAGCUAAGGUGAAAUAGUAUAUGAGGAGAAACCUUGUGCAUCGCGAGUUACUAGGAACAUCUAGUAUGAAGAAGAAGCGGUCAACUAGUGUCUUCUGUGGGAUGAAUAUCAUGCAAGCAGACACGUAAGAUUUGCACGAAUAAGGGAAGAGGAGUACUUGUAUCGGUUGCCAGUGUGGUGUCGAUAUGUUGCUGCGAUCUUCUUGUUUUUCCUAGGGGAACCGAUGUUUUGGAGAGCCGUGGUUCCUUGGAAAAACCCAUGGCCAAAUUGUUGACUGUGUUGUCGUGGCUGUAUAUCGGCAGAGGGCAAGUAGAUUCGAGGCGGUGAAGACGGCGUAGCAGGAAUAGCUCCGGUGCGGUGGACGGUCGCGAAGUUGGAGCGGCAGCGGUGAGGCGCAGGACGGCGUGGUUGAACUGGCUCGGGUACGGACUGCUCAGCCUCGGCUUCAACUACUAGCCAUGGAGGGCGUUGCAGUUGAGGUUGCGGUGGACGCUGACGUCGGGGUAUCGGCUCCGGCGUUAUGGAGGAGGGCAGCGGUUGAUGGGUGGGAUGGGGUGGCGGACGGAGGACGCUAGGGUUUCGCGGCUGGUGGAGAGGUAGUUUUGGCGCCCACAGAGUACAAAUGGGGAAUCGGACGGGUGGGUGGGGGGCGGGGGGCGGGGGACGGGGGGAGAACCAUGUUUCGGUCUGGGACGCGCUUGUUUUUGGCUUUUUUGAACGGGAGAUGGGACACGCUUGUUUGAAAUUUGGGGAAAGUACAAACUUUGCCCCCCUCUUAAAUUUCGGACCUACUGUGGGUUGGGGGUAGGACGGUAAUCCCAGGUGUCCCAAAUAGUGGGCGGGAGCGAUUUCGGCUGUCCGCAUGCGUGCUUAGGCGGACAUUGUGUAUGAAUGUUUUUCGGAGGCGGUUGCGUGGCGUCUAGAUGAAGCUACAAACCUACCCCGGUUUAGACCUUUGGACGUUGGGCCGUUAGGUUUCACGGGUCGGAGUUAUUAGAAAAGUAAUUUCCUUGUACUACCAAACAUUGGUCUCACGCGGUUUCGGGUGAGUAGAGGCUCUUUUGGUGCUUCGUUCAAAAUUUUGAAACACAAGCAUUCACGUUUAGAGUACUCUUGAACUAUGAGGAUUGACCUAAAUAGACAACGUUAUAUUUGACCUUGUAUGUUUGAAAACCUCAUUAAAUUAUCCGCUUCUUUUUGAAAUUUUGACAGUUGAAAAUCCUAUAACUACGAUUAUUUUGGAAUGGAGGAGCUAAAUUUGAAGCUAUUUUGUACACGACUACAUAUGCUAUUAUGUACAAAAUCAGAGCAAAGAUUGGUGCCCCCAUAAUUUAGGUAUGAUUUACAAAUGCCAUGAUAUCAAAUUCAAAUAAUUGAAUGGACUUCAUGUUGAAUUUGAUUUUUUUUAAACCACCUUAAGUUGAAUUCAAAUGUAUGCUAGUUCAUAGGUAGCUAUUUAUAAUGUUCAUUGUGUAAAUUACGUAUGUAUAAUGUGCUUUACACACACAACAUGAACUAUACUCAUGUUUAUAUUCGAUUUCUAAAGCGAUGCAUUGUCUGGAGUUCAAAAUACUAACUAUGUGGAUCAAUUGUGUCGAAUAAUAACAUAGACAUGCUCAAAUUCGAUAGAAUCUAGAUGUCUGAUGGAUCAAUGACCGUUCCUUACGUGAAUUGCAAAUAUCAUGAUCCCAUCCUAAUAUCUGGAUACAAUUUAUAUCUUUAAUCAAUGUGUACAACAGUCUUUUACGUGUAGUUUCACUCUUCAUCGGCGGUCUCUCACACAUGCUCACACACUCUCUCCCGAGGUGUCUUUCUCGCACACAUGCUCUAGAUAUAACCCUCCCUUCCUCUCGUAACCAUUUACAACUAUUUUCACUAACCUUUGUCACAAGCACUCUUCCUCUCGCAAGCAUACACACGCACAAUCCCCAUCGACCCUUUCUAUAUACAUGGACCUGCCUACGUGUCUCAUGUACGCACAUUAUCUUUAGGCAUGUCUCUCAUGCAUUGUCUCACACCUCUCUUCCUAAUCGAUGAGUAUGAUUCUAGCAGAGCAUUCUGUAGGAUGCCCCUUAAAGUUAGGUUGGAUGAAUAGUAAUAUCAGAGAUAAAGGGGAUACCUUAGUCCGAGAACCUAGGGUUACAAAUCCUAGCCGGCUUUGUCAGUGGACACGGAGUCCUUCACAAUUCUGCUAUCUUUGUCUUGUACGACUAGUCAUCCAUGGGUCUUCCUAAAUGCGUCACGGGGCGACCAAUGUGGCGCAGGACGGAAACGAACGAAGGGCCUCACCUCGACCCACCGGACCUCACGCGGUGACACACCCUCUGCCCCCACGUCUCAUUAUUUGCUCACACCCACACAUACCAACACAAACACCACACACACAAAACAUUUCUCCUGGUGCCUCUGUCCCCUCCCCCCUUGCAUAUACACACUCAAGGGAAGGGAAUCUCUCGUCGUGAUGUGAUAUGUGUCUCUCUCAAUGUAGACCACUCUCAUUCUCAUGCNNNNNNNNNNNNNNNNNNNNNNNNNNNNNNNNNNNNNNNNNNNNNNNNNNNNNNNNNNNNNNNNNNNNNNNNNNNNNNNNNNNNNNNNNNNNNNNNNNNNNNNNNNNNNNNNNNNNNNNNNNNNNNNNNNNNNNNNNNNNNNNNNNNNNNNNNNNNNNNNNNNNNNNNNNNNNNNNNNNNNNNNNNNNNNNNNNNNNNNNNNNNNNNNNNNNNNNUCUAUCCAUGCCUCUCUCGAAUACGUAAUACACACACAUACCUUUCUAGGCCCCGCCAAAUGCAUAAACUACACAUUCACACAUGUUACAUCACGUACCCCAUUGAUCUAAAAAGCCCCUUCUUCACGUUUAUUUCGCAUACAACAUUCCUUUUGAAUAAAGUGUGGCCAAAAAAUUAUUUUAGAGUUUCUACGUAUGUACAACAUUACAGAGUUAUAUGGAGGAGUACGAACGCUAAUUUGCAUUGCAUGGUGCCCACAAUGAUAUUUAUUCUGCACUGUGAAUUUGUAUAUUUCUAUACUAUAUACAAAGUUAGUCAUAAUAAAGAUAAACGAAGAGCAUCUCUCUCUCCAUCGCAUACCCCCGCCCCCUUGUAUGCCCCUUUUAGUAUGCACACAAACUAUUUCCAGGUCCUCUAAAAGUAAGCCCCCAGCACAUUCCCGCAUGUUUCAUCUUUCUCUCGCGAUAUAUACAAUGACGAUCAUUACAGUCACCAUUUAUGUUUAGUGGUUAUUAUACAGUCACGGGCUCACCGUACAACUCUGUAUUUGCUCAAGACAUGACCAGUUGACCAGUUAAACGCUCCACAUGGCACCUUUAGUGUUGCAUCACAUUAUCUCACUACCAUUGUGCCCACCUAUCGGCUUGUAUCUACUCUACAUCUACAUUCUUAUAAAAUACACUUAAAAUACACUCUUAUAAAAAAUAGAGUUGGUGAUGAUGGUGUGUCUGCCAUCCUGCAAUAUAGGCUGUCUGAUCUAUAUCUAACGGAUAGGAAAGAAACUAUGGCAAUUUUGCAAAAAGAUACCCACACACCUCUCCACAUUUGCAAAUAAGGCCUUCCCUCAUUCAUCCUUUUCUCUCACAAGAUAAACUAGUCAUACAAAUGCAUCUUGAUGUUACGUGCAACGCACAAGCAUCUUGCUAGUAAGAAUGAAAACAAAUGACAAAAAAAUAUAUGGACGGUGGUUCGAAGUCAUGACCACGGGCACAGCGUACAAGGUGACCUUGUAUUGGUAUACUGAGCCGUCUGUUUUAAGUUUUAACACACAGGAGCUGGUGUGGUGAUUAUACACACACGCACGCAUGCACACGAACUGCAUGCACGCAACACUCACACAAACACAUGCACCCACGCACCCACGCAACACUCACACGUACACACGCAGCCACACACGCACGCAACACUCACACGCACACACACAUGCACGCAUGCACACACCAGUACACCACACCACCAACACACACUAUCACGCUCAAGUGCUCAACCUACAUGUGCAUGCGCACACAUCAGGCCCUGACAGACACAUACACAACUAGGUGAUUCCCGCGCACGGGUUGGAGUCUUGUCGCGCUUGCGUAAAUUUGUGUUUAUCUGACCUUUUCCCUAUGUGAACUGAUAGGUGGGACCCACAAGGAACAUGGUCAAUUUAACUAGUCAACAUGGCACCACGCAGACUAUUUGGCUGGUCAACAGAGUGCAAUUCGACGAUGAACCGUGAGCAAGUGACCGUAUAAUCACCGCAAAACGUAUAUAGUGACCGUAAUCAGCUUAUUCUGAAGUUCGGUGACCGUAUUACGCUUUUCUCUCUGUAGGCCCUCCAAAACUACAUCUCUACACAAUCUCGCAUGUUACAUCUAACUAGCAAGAUGCCCAUGCGUUGCACGGAACAUCAAGAUGCAUUUGUAUGAGUAGUUUAUCUUGUGGGAGAAAAGGAUGAACGAGGGAAGGCCUUAUUUGCAAAUCUUGAGUGGGUGUGGGUAUCUUUUUGCAAAUUUUCCAUGUUUCCUUCCUAUCCAUCAACUAUUCAAUACAGCACUACUACUACACUCUAACACAAUAAAUCAUAUGUGUUUUUAGUUUUACUAGAUAUCAUAUUGUUACUUAAUUAUUCAGUUUGCAUACAUUAAAAUUGCCUUUGAAAUUUAUGGCCAGUAUCAUCUACCGCGCGGGAAAAAUCCCGCCCUUUCCUGUUUAAUCAGGUUUGUAUCGAUGGAUCGUGCGAAACAACAAAACUAUAGUACUAUACCGUACAAGUGACAGUUCAUUGGGCCGUCGUGUCGUGUACUCCUCCGUCAUAAGAGUGGAGCGCUUGCUUUCAUAAAUCUUCUAGUCCCUUUCGCCGACAUGUGGGACAUCAAGCUAUCGGGUCCACGUGCCAUACCGGAAUACAGUGCAGAGCAGCCGGGUGAAGCACCCCAGUCAUGGCGCCGGCAUAGUAAUGAGCAAUGAGGCGUCAAAUCACAAAGCUGCACCUUUCCAGCAGUUAAGUUGGGGGACGAAGUAAUAAUGCUAAAAAAGAAGUUGGAGGGACGAAGCAACCAUCAUUUCACUCGUUGUUGAAUUCGCUUCUCCCUCAUCUUCUUCAACUUAACCAUGUGUUGCUUUUGUCGUUGUUCUGCCUCAUGUGGGAUGCAAAUCGGCUUGGUAAAGCACUGACACGUGGGACCGCAUGUUACCAAACCGCUAGGACAACGUCCUCUAAAAAUAAGAAACCUCCCCUGCCAUCCACGCGGCAAAAUCACCUCCUUUUUACUAAUCUUGAUUCUAUAAUUUUUUAGAUCAAUAUAAUUGAGAUUUGUAUAGAAAGCACACAGGAGCAAAACCAAGUGGUACGGUUAAGGGCAUCCACAAUGUGUAGCCAAAUGUGAAAAUUAGCUUUUGGCAUCGUGGGAACCAUUGUGGACGGUGUUGCCAAAGCCAAAAAGAUGGAACUGAAGCUCCCUGAUUGAUUGAUUGAAGGAAUAGAAAACGUCUCUCCUCUUUCUCCCAUGCUUGGACGCAUGUAGUAUAGUAUAGAGCACAGAGUCUACUCCCUUGUCCCUUCUAUCACAAAUCACAAAGCAGUGAGGCGUCAAAUCACAAAAGCACAGACGAAGCAACCAUCAUUUCACUAUUCGCUGACUCCGCUUCUCCAUCGUUUUCUUCGAGAAACCAUCUCACCGCUCUAAGCUGGACGGACGACGCUAUUGUGUACUAGUAGUACUAGUACAUUUACAUGUCCUUUGGUUCAACGGACUUCCUGGAUGCAAAUAAGGUGGUUGUCUCAGCUUGCAGGCGCACUUGCGAACGACUUACCGUGGUCUCCCUCAAGGCCUCAAUGGUGUUCUCCGUUGAACGCACUUCGCCAAACCACAACGUUCGAGAUAUCGUCGACGUCACCGCAAUGGGGAAGGAAGUCAAAUAUAGUUACUACCUCCAUUUUUUGUACACAAGGCCAGUAUAUCAAAAUUACAAUUUGCAAAAGGCCACUAACACUAAUCGAGGCAAAAUUGAUGGGGUUUGCCUCGUACUAGCAACCAAGGACAUUAAUAUCCCCUGCAUGCAUGCGGAAGUGAGAAGGUUCGUUUGCAUGGCGCUGCAUUAAUCAAGCGAUGAGGAGUGAGAUGGUUAGCUCUUUGGUCUUUGGAGAAAAAAAUACGCAUUAAUUGACACGUAAAACGAGGAUUUGUAUCGAUUAAAUACCGCGAAGGAAAACCCCGCCUUUCUUUUUAACACUAGUACUCCUAGUACGUCCUGUUUGGAUCUAGGCCUUGCAUUGCCAUACUUCGCCACACAUUUUUGCAAGCUUGCCUAAAGUUUUCAAAAUGAGAAGGAGGUACACUUGCGCACGGUUGUCGCAGCCGCACCGCACCCUCACAUGGUCGCUCCUGCACGUCGCGGUCGCACCGCACCCUCACACAGUCGCUCAUGCACGCUGCAAACCCAACCAAGGGAACGCACCCUCACUGACACGUGUUGUCGCAUGUGAACAAGCCAAACUCAGCCAUCCUACCGCUGACACAUAAUUUUCAUUCAUAGAGUAUGUUUAUCCAACCGCAUGUUGGGGUGUAUCCGUAUGGCCCGUGCGGUGGUUUGUUGGCUAUUGGGGAAGAAGAAGAGGUGAGGAAGAAGGGUUAGGAGACGUAGGAUAUUCAUCCAACUGCCUGAAAUGGUAGACUGACCCAAGUCAGGCGACUUGCAUAACAAAUAUAUGUUUUUACACAGCAAAAGAUCCAUAAAAACAACAACAUAAAGAAAAACUAUCACUGCUCGCGGAACGAGACGGCCUCGUCGUCUUUGGCUGCCGGCGCGAACCAGCCGUAGUUGCCGACGUGUGUCUCCGCACCGUGGUUGUCCUUGGCCUCCAGCUACUCGUUCACGCGGAGCGUGCGGGCGCUCUGCACGGACGAGAGCACAGCCCGGUUCAAGUCGAGGACGUCUGGUUUCGCCUACAGGAGAGCCUCGAUGGCAGAGGCAUCCGUGCGCUCCGCGUCGAGUCGAGCCUCCGCCGCCCGGUUCAAGUCCAGGACGUCCGGUUCCGCCUGCAGGAGGGCGUCGAUGAGAGCGGCAUCCGCGCGCUCCACGUCGAGUCGAGCCUCUGCUGCUCGGUUCAAGUCCAGGAUGUCUGGUUCCGCCUGCAGGAGGGCCUCGAUGGCAACGGCAUCCGCGCGCUCUGCCUCAAGUUGAGCCUCCGCCGCCCGGUUCACAUCCACGACAUCCGGUUCCGCCUGCAGAAGAGCCUAGAUGGCAGCGGCAUGCACGCGCUCCGUGUCGAGUUGAGCCUCUGCCUCCCGCCUUUAGUAUCGCCAUGUUGAACCGCUAGUCCACCUGCACCAUGGGGGACUUGGACGCAGGCACGAAGUCGACGUCCAUUGUCUCAUACCCAUCAGGGGCCUUCUGUGCCGCGACCUCCGCCAUGAACAUUGGAUCGGCUUCCUCCUCCUCGUAGCUUGGCUCCAGAGAAUUCGGGGAUUGGCCCACCGCAAAGCAAGCUUGGGAACGGAGGUCUGUGGCGCCAACCGCCGCCGCGAUUUCUGCGUGGCGCUCCGGCGUCAGCAUCUUGUAGUAAGUGAUCUUGCGGUGCACCAUGGCUUUCCGGCGAACUAGGGGACGCUUGAUGCGGGCUAGGGGAUCGAAAGGUGGGGGAAUGGGCUGGAGAUUAGGUGUGGUUUUAGGGCAGUGGCUGGCGUAGGCCGAGCAGCGAAGGUUCUGGUGUGAAUAGUGGUUCCGAUGACGACCGGUCAAUCGAUUUUGACUAUACAUCGCUCUUGUCGCGUUCGCGUUGCAGCCCGGCACGCUGGACCCUCCACAUCGCUCACCGAAUGGAACGCGCUUCGUCUUGCAUUUUCGCUCGCUUGUGGGACCGCAGUUGAGAGCAAACCGACGUCCCUCCCCCUCCCCCGCCCGCGUCAUUUAUUAUACUACCACUCCCUCCAUUUUAUGCAGAGUAAAUAAAAACAGAGGGAGUUAUACUACGGAUGAGGAUCCCCUAACGUGGCUGAACCCAUUGAGUAACUGACAUGCGGGGCCUAGCAAGCAUGGGGUCCGCCAGUAAGUGACCGAAAGGGAGGGUAAGGCAGGGAUACCUACGUCAGAGGAUCCACUUCCACUACUACUCCCUCCUUCCAUUUACUAUACAGGGCCUAAUGCGUUUUUACAGGCUAACUUUGACCAAAUGUUAGAGUAAUAAUAUAUGACAUGCAACUUACACAAAGCAUAUGGUCAAAUUCGUAUGUGAAAGGAGUUUCCAAUGAUAUAAUUUUCACAUUAUACAUCUCAUGUACUAUUAAUCUUGUCAAUAGUAAAAUGCGGUUUUAAAAACGCAUUAGAGCAUGGUUAAUAAUAUAGCCAAUCGAUGGCUAUGAGGGACUGCCAUGUCAUCUAUAGCCAUCAUCUAUUAUAUGCACUCAUACGGUAGUGUGGGCUAUAAGGUUGGCUCUUUUCCGCAAAAAAAAGGUUGGCUAUUUUAUUAGCACUUUUUCCAUCUCCUCUCUAUCUCUUUCUUCAUAUUUAUUGUAUUUAACUAGGAAUGCACAUAUAGCUAGGCUCUUGCAUGAGAGCUCACUCCCCUUACUUUUUCACAUCUCUCUCCUCCACAUAGGCCCUAUAUAAAUGGAAGGAUGGAGUACUACUAUGAGCACUGCAUACUCUAGUACAGAUGUUGUCAGUACUCCACGUGUACUAUUGGACAGGGAGCUUAAAAAGUUACUAUUGGACUGGCUAUACGUGGCAAAAUCCUAGUAGGAAGAGCAUGUGCGAGAACAAGCACAUUCAUGUGGUUGAAAACAAAUUGGAAACCAUCUCGAGUACAAAUCUAGGAGUACGUACAAAUCUAACAAUAUUUAUUGGGCGUUGUUAAAUGUUGAUACUUUUUUGAUCAAAGUAGAGAUACUUUGACUACACACAAAACCUAUAUGUAAACUACAAAGGAUAGGAGGGAGUAUAUUGUACGUUCAAAAAUGAAACGAACAUUGAAUACCCUUUAUAUAUGAUUUGCGGAUGCUAUGAUCACCGGUUCAAAAUUUUGAAUCUGCCUUAGGUAUCACGUGCCCCCACUCGUUCUCUCUCGAUUUCAUCUCGGGGUCUGGAGAUCGAUUGAAAGAGGACUAGGGUGGGUAAAUGCAAAUGAUACUCGGCGGAAUGUUCAAAUGAGGCAUGCGGGAGGAUGAACUCGACCAGAGGGCGACACGAUCGACGGAGAAGAGGUUUGGAGAGGAAUGAGAAAUAAGCAAACGCCACAUGAUUAUACUUGAAUGGCUCAAAUAAACAACAAGUUGACAUGUGGGGCACACCCGUCGGGAUGACGUAGCGCAGACUAGUCCAAUGGAGGAGCCUCGCCAACCGACAACCAUUCAUGUGGGUCGUUGGGGCCAACAACGUGGCGCAGCUCCAGCACCGCCUCUGGACACGGCGACCGCGGUGAGCGACACGCUCAUAUUGUCGCUAGACACGGCCGGUUUCAGUGUGCCGAGGGUGGCGUUAGUGCUGUGGCACGACCAACAGUAUGUUUCGUUUGUGCCCAAGGUUACCCCAUCAAAGCAUUGGGUAGCCAAAAUUUUGGUUGAGGUAUUGGUUGCCCAUGAUUUAGCCGACAUUUGCAAGAAAAAUGAACUAGAGUUGGCUAGAGUUCAUUGGCAUGCCAAAAAAAUUGGCAACCAUCCAAACAAAGACCAAUCUUUGGGUCAUGACCAAACUUUUGGUAAGGUGCACUUUGGCCACAAUCCAAACACACCCCAACACCCGGCUCGUCGAGGAUGCACGGGGCGCCGCGACGCGUCCGCGGAGUGGUGUAGCAUGGCCAACUACAUCCUCAGGACCUGAGACCAUGCCGGGUCGUCUUGCUUUUUCAAUGACAUGCGGGGAUCGCAUGUGAGCAAACAGCAUCUCCAACGUUGCCACGACCGCAACUGACUACCCUGGCACACAAAAACCCUCGUCCCUCGCACCGUCGCGCGGUGCGUUCCCAGUCGGCGCCAGCUACCCGCAUUCAUGCCAUCUGUUCGUAUGUCGUUGUUAAGAGGCUCGGUGCCCGAGGAACUAACUCCGGUGACUUAAUGACGCACACGGAAGCUUGGCCUCACUGGAAUGCGCAACUUAAAGCGGCAACGCCCAGCUAACCUCCACACCCUAGCGCAUCGUCCUCGUACCUGGCACCACAUCCUCCAUGACCGCAAGUGCGAACGCUCUGCGGGAGAGCUUGUCUUCGGGGAUGAAGCUUGAGGUUGCGGCCCUCGCUCAAGUCGCCUCUCGCGACGCAAUAGCGGUGUAGCCAGACGCGGACGCGACCGCACAAGCGGUGGCCAUGCUGACAGCCGACGACGGGAGCACUGUCAGCCACGCGUCCUACUUGCCGAUGUCCAAUGUCCGGCACUGCCGAGGUCGGGGACUCCUCCGAGGAUGAGUAGGGCAUGGGAGGCAGCAGGGCCUGGUGUGCCAACUGGCCAAUCCGUGUCCCGUGUUCUACUCUUCCUUGCCGGAGACCGCACCUUCACAUCACGGGUCUUGAACCCCGCCCCCGUACAUAGAGAUCGCAGAUGGAGGACGUCGGUCACCGCCGUAGAAUAGGUUUAGGGUCGGGUUUCUUUUAUUUUUCUGUCCUGUAAAAGUUUGGAAUGUAAUGAAAAUCUGUCGUGUUUGCAUUAAUUUCGGCCGGUGUAUAUGAACUUUCACAAUAAUAUAGUAUAUUGUAGGAGUACUAGCAAGAUGCCCGUGCAUUGCACAAAAGAUCAAGAUCUUGUGGGAGAAAAGGAUGAACAAGGAGUGCGAGUAAAUUGUCAUAGUUUCCUUCCUAUCCGUUAGAUAUAGAUCGGACGGCCUAUAUUGCAGGAUGACAUGCACACCAUCAUCACCAACUCUGCUUUUUAUUGAACUGAGACAAAUCUAACAUGCGAAGUAAAAUAAACACAUAGGGUCUAUACAUACACAAUUUAUCCUAGGCAAUCCAAUAGUACGUCCACUACACAUUCACGCAUUUCACAUCUUUCUACAUCUACGGGAACCUACGAAAGGGUUAACGUAAAUUGCCUCUCUCUCUCCUCCCCUGAUUUUCAUGGUGGUGGGCCCUUCCCUCCCCCUAAUCUACAAUCAACAGCUCACACGUUUCACAUUACGUUAAUUACGUAACUGGGAUUACGUAGGUGUAGCAUUACUCGUCCUAAAAAACCCAACUAAGCCAACCUCCCAGCAUAUCGCGCGGGAAAAGACCCGGCCACGCCAUUUUAGUCAGGAUUACCGAAUUACUAGUACUCUAGUAUUAGUAUCGAUGGAUCGCGCAAAGCAACAAGUUUUUUUAGGGGGCGAAGCACCUAGUUUAAAAUGAAAAAAGGCGGUACACUCACAGCACUCCUGUCGCGGUCGCAUUGCACCCCACACACGUUCGGUCCUACACACGGCUCACGCAAAUGGAACGCGCUUCGGCUUGCCUCUUCACUGACACGUGGGACUGCACUUGGAGAAACCGACCAUGCGCCAAACUCCCCCCGCCCACCGCGAAAAAAUCCUACCCCCCCCACCCCACCCAAAAAUUCCCCUCGAAUCUGAUUCAACCGGCCUUCAGCCAACUAGCCAAUAAUAUUCCCCAAGCCACCCUCCCCGCCACGCUGAUACGUCGGCGCCGCGGUUCGUCGAGGGCACGCACGGCGAUCCUCUCUCUCCCACAGUACGCUCUCGUAGACUGCCAUCCUCUAGCCGCGCCGCCACCGUUGGCUACGUUCUUGUGGAGGUGCACGGCGGUCAGCACCGCCACCGCUGGCGACGUUCGUGUGGAGACGCGCGGCGGUCAGCUUCUCCCACGGUACGCGCAUUCUAGACUGAGGCCCCGUUCAUGUCGGUGUAGCACUGAAUGUUAGCUGAUAGACGCUGUUAAUCUCACUGUUUGCCAAAGUAGUUUACAGUCAAUAUGCUCUGCUUAAGAAGCUUCCUUGCCCUAUUCUGCACUCAAUCUGCUUAGCUCAGAUGGCAUGCCAAGGCCGAUUAGUUGCUAAAAUAUCCUGCCAUAUAUUUAUUGUGACGUAGAUUGCCAUGGUCUAAUAGCCAAUCUGUUAGGUGAAAUAGCUCUACACCGUUUUAUACUCGAUCUUUGUUGUUGCGAUGUCCUUCGAUAGUUUGAUGGUUGUGUGCUCGGCCCCAUUGACUGCUGAAAUAGCCUGCCAUAAUUUAGCACUCAAAUAUGUUUGCUGAAUUAGCUUUACAUAUAUUUCGUUACUUAUAUUUGCUCGUCCAAAUAUCUUGCCAUAGCUUUAGACAUCGACCUAGGUAUAUUUUUUUGGACUUCAUAAAAAAAGCAUAUAUGUUUUUCCUGUAAUAUCUAGUAGAAGAACUAAUUUGUAUGUCUAACAGAUGGACAGGACUUGGAUAACUGCUGCUCGAAGAUUCUCUGCUGCAUAUGUCGAGGGGGUUCAAAACUUCAUGAACUUUAUCAAAGCUGAGUACGGUGGUCCAAAAUCGGAUGUGCUCUGCCCGUGUAGCCCUUGUAUGAAUUCAGUUACAAGACCCCGAUCAACUGUGCAAAAUCAUCUACACUUGUAUGGGAUGUCGGUCACAUAUACUAGGUGGGUUCAUCAUGGUGAAACUGUGAACGUCAAUGUUAUUGACUACGUGGAAGUAGCAGAUCACCAUCUUGAUUUGCCUGAUGCUCAGGUGGAAGAGGAGGAGGAGGUGGUGGUGGCGGAGCCAGUGAGUUUGACCAACAUUGAAACAAUGCUACGAAAUGCUCGUGCAUUCUGCGAACUUUCACCUGCAGAAGAAAAAUGGUGGGCCCGUGUAGGACCUUGAGAAGAGGUGUCUAGAGGGGGGGAUUAGACACUAAGUACCAAAGUUGCAGUUUUUAGCAAUUUUAAGUUUAAGUGGAGUUUAGGCACAAGUUUAACAUUCACAAAACAUAGCAAGCAAGCAUGCAAAGAGUAUAUGAGCAGCGGAAAAUAAAGCAUGCAACUUGCAAGAAUGUAAAGGGAAGGGUUUUGGAGGAUUCAAACGCGGUGGGAGACACGGAUGUUUUUGGCGUGGUUCCGAUAGGUGGUGCUAUCGUACAUCCACGUUGAUGGAGACUUCAACCCACGAAGGGUAACAGUUGCGCGAGUCCAUGGAGGGCUCCACCCAAGAAGGGUCCACGAAGAAGCAACCUUGUCUAUCCCACCAUGGUCGUCGCCCACGAAGGACUUGCCUCACUAGCGGUAGAUCUUCACGAAGUAGGCGAUCUCCUUGCCCUUACAAACUCCUUGGUUCAACUCCACAAUCUUUGUCGGAGGCUCCCAAGUGACACCUAGCCAAUCUAGGAGACACCACUCUCCAAGAAGUAACAAAUGGUGCGUUGAUGAUGAACUCCUUGCUCUUGUGCUUCAAAUGAUAGUCUCCCCAACACUCAACUCUCUCUCAUAGGAUUUGGAUCUGGUGGAAAGAAGAUUUGAGUGGAAAGCAACUUGGGGAAGGCUAGAGAUCAAGAUUCAUAUGGUAGGAAUGGAAUAUCUUGGCCUCAACACAUGAGUAGGUAGUUCUCUCUCAGAACUGGUAAGUUGGAAGUGUAGGUUUGUUCUGAUGGCUCUCACCAUGAAUGAAGAGGAGGUGCAGGGGUAUAUAUAGCCUCCACACAAAAUCUAACCAUUACACACAAUUUACCAAUCUCAGUGGGACCGAAUCAACAAACUCGGUCAGACCGAUUUAGUAAAUCUAGUGACCGUUAGGAUUUUCGGUGGGACCGAAAUGCAACUCGGUAGGACCGAUAUGGUUAGGGUUAGGGCAUAACGUAAUCUCGGUGAGACCGAUUACACAAACUCGGUAAGACCGAUUUUGGUAAUUAGCUGACCAGAGAGCUGGUCAGGCAAACUCGGUGGGACCGAUUACUCAAACUCGGUGGGACCGAUUUUGGUAAUAAGUUAACCAGAGAGUUUGCAUUAUAAUCUCGGUAGGACCGAUUGCUCAAACUCGGUAAGACCGAUUUUGAUAAUGGACAUACACAGAGAGAUUACAAUCCCAUCUCGGUGAGACCGAGAUCCCUAUCGGUGAGACCGAUUUGCCUAGGGUUUGUGGCAGUGGCUAUGACAUCUGAACUCGGUGGCGCCGGAUAGAAAGAAUCGGUGUGACCGAUUUUGGCUUUAGGUUUAGGUCAUAUGUGGAUGUGAGAAAGUAGUUGAGGGUUUUGGAGCAUAUCACUAAGCACAUGAAGCAAGAGGCUCAUUAAGCAACACCUCAUCCCUCCUUGAUAGUAUUGGCUUUUCCUAUAGACUCAAUGUGAUCUUGGAUCACUAAAAUGUAAAAUGAAGAGUCUUGAGCUUGAAGCUUUAGCCAAUCCCUUGUCCUUAGCAUCUUGAAGGAGUUCCACAUCCUUUAGUCCAUGCCACUUUAUUGUUGAACUUGUCUGAAAUAUACUAGAUAAAAGUGUUAGUCCAACAAGAGAUAUGUUGACAUUAAUUACCAAAACCACCUAGGGAGCACUUGUGCUUACAAUCUCCUCCUUUUUGGUAAUUGAUGACAACAUACAUCAAAGCUUUAGAUAAGGAUAUAAAGAAUAGCAAGUAAAGCUUUGGAAAGACAUGUAACAAGCAUAGGCUCCCUCUACAUGUAUGCAAUCAUGUGAAAUAUAGAAUAUAGAAGCAUGUGAGAGCAUAACCAUGGCAGAGUAAGCAAUGUGUUACAUGUAUCUUGGCCAUAUGCAUUAGAGCAAAGAAUAUUAAAGAAAAUACCUUCAUGCUCAUGAGUCCUUCUUGCAAAUAGUUUGUACAUCAGCAAGAAUUCCUCAUACACAUGAUUAUGAUGCAUAUACUUACCUUGUAGUCUUGAGUUGGCUUAGGAUGGAAUGAACCUGCACAAACAGGGUUAGAUAACACAGGUACAUCCACUAACCAGGGCAAACAGAAGAAACCACAAGAAUACCAAGACUGGGAUGACAUGUAGAGAGUGAGUACUAAGUACCACAUUGGAUUAGAAAUGUCCCCAAGAGUAAAGAUAUGCAAUGAAUUUAAAUGAUUUCUUUCCUUUAGAUGUCUUGCUCCCCCUGAAUCUAGCAUGGGAUACUGGGAGAAGAUAGGGAACAGAAAAUCAGAGCUGAAGAAUAUGAAUGAACAGAGCUACUGCAAACUAAUGCAAGUAAGCACAUAUGAACAUGUCUUUCCCCCAAAAAUACAUGUGGCAUCUCUCCUCUUGAACACCAAGCAUCUGGGAUCCUUGAGAAAUACUUUCUACUUGAGUAUUUUCUCCCCCUGGAGAUCUCUCUCUCCCCCUGUGGAAGUGAUAUUCUCUGAUGUGAUCUCUCUCUAAAUGAUAAGCUUUGAUGUGAUAUCUCUCUCCCCCUUUGACAUCUAUUUCCAAGAAGGGCUUCUGGAAUUUGUAGUGAAUGGGUUUGAUCCUUGAGUCACAGCACAAAGCAUUUGUAAAAAUGUGAUGCUUGUAGAGGACAAAAUUCAUUGAGUGGAGCUAGAACAGACAAAACACAGAAUAAGUGGCAAACUGUUUUUCCUGUGGUGAAAUCGGUGGCACCGAGUUGUAUGCUUCGGUUGUACCAAAAGAAUUCGGUUGGACCGAAAAUAACUAAUCGGUGGAACCGAGUUCAUCGCAGAGAAAACACUUAUCACCUUAGCUCACUAGACUAAUAGGAUCUUACAAAGAUUUGCAAGGAAUUAACUAAAUGAUAUGCAAUGAAUUGGAUGCAUAAAACGCAGAGCAAACAAGAAGAAAAGAAAGAAAUCUAGAUGAAGUUUUUUUUUGAAAGGGGAAACAACUAUGCAUGAAACAAAUGCAAAAACACAGAUACGAACACAAGAGAACUUCAUCUAGAGAUGGUCGGCGACAAAGUCACCUAUGUUAGAGUAUAUUGACUUAGGAGUUGAGGGAGUCCUGGACUAGGGGGUGUCCGGAUAGCCGAACUAUCAUCAUUGGCCGGACUCCAAGACUAUGAAGAUACAAGAUUGAAGACUUCGUCCCGUGUCCGGAUGGGACUUUCCUUGGCGUGGAAGGCAAGCUUGGCGAUACGGAUAUGUAGAUCUCCUACCCAUUGUAACUGACUCUGUGUAACCCUAGCCCUCUCCGGUGUCUAUAUAAACUGGAUGGCUUUAGUCCGUAGGACGAACAACAAUCAUACCAUAGGCUAGCUUCUAGGGUUUAGCCUCCUUGAUCUCGUGGUAGAUCUACUCUUGUAACACACAUCAUCAAUAUUAAUCAAGCAGGACGUAGGGUUUUACCUCCAUCAAGAGGGCCCGAACCUGGGUAAAACAUCGUGUCCCUUGUCUCCUGUUACCAUCCGCCUAGACGCACAGUUCGGGACCCCCUACCCGAGAUCCGCCGGUUUUGACACCGACAUUGGUGCUUUCAUUGAGAGUUCCUCUGUGUUGUCACUGAUAGGCUCGAUGGCUUCUUCGAUCAUCAACAAUGACGCAGUCCAGGGUGAGACCUUCCUCCCCGGACAGAUCUUCAUAUUCGGCGGCUUUGCACUGCGGGCCAAUUCGCUUGGCCAUCUGGAGCAGAUCGAAAGCUACGCCCCUGGCCGUCAGGUCAGAUUUGGAAGUUUGAACUUCACGACUGACAUCCGCAGGGACUUGAUCUUCGAUGGAUUUGAGCCACAGCCAAGCGCGCCGCACUGUCACGACGGGCAUGAUUUAGCUCUGCAGCCGGACAGUACCCUGGAGGCCGCACUCGAGUCCGCUCCGAUCUUCAAUUCGGAGCCGGCUGCGCAGAUCGAGGACGGAUGGCUAGACACCGCCUCGGGGGCUGCAACCUCUACGGCGAUAGAGCCGAACACUGACCUUGUCCCUCAUGAAGCUCGUGACUCCGAGGUGCCGGACUCCUUGCCAAACUCCGAACCUCCCGUGCCCCCUCCAAUCGAAUCCGAUUGGGCGCCGGUCAUGGAGUUCACCACUGCGGACAUCUUUCAACACUCACCUUUCGGCGACAUCUUGAGUUCGCUAAAGCAUCUCUCGUUAUCAGGAGAGCCCUGGCCGGACUGCGGUCAGGACGGUUGGGAUGCGGACGACGAAGAAAUUCAAAGCCCACCCACCAUCCACUUAGUAGCCACUAUCAACGAUCUAACCGACAUGCUAGACUUUGACUCCGAAGACAUCGACGGUAUGGACGACGAUGCCGGAGACGACCAAGAACCAGUGCCUAUCGGGCACUGGAAAGCCACCCCAACUCACGAUGUAUACAUGGUGGAUACACCACAAGGAAGUGAUAAUGAGGAACAACGGGACGUGGCGAAGGACAACUCCUCCAACAAACAACCAAAACGGCGACGCAAGCGCCGCCCGAAGUCCCGCCUCGAUAAAAACGGCACCCAUACGGACCCGGCCCUAGAGCACGGUGAAGCAGUGGACGGCGAACAUGCCACCAAGCAACCAUCCGAACAUGAUGAACUGGACAAGCAACCCAUCCCCGGCGAAAACAAGAGCCUAGACGAUCUCACGCCGAACACAUCACCAGAGCAUAAGAACCUUCAUAAAAGGCUCGUCGCCACUGCAAGAAGUUUGAAGAAGCAAAAGCGGAAGCUCAAAACAGCGGAGGACGCACUCAGAAUGAGAUGGAGCAAAGUACUCAAUACCGCAGAUAAAUAUGGCGCUAGUCACCAGGCAAAGAGCUACCCGAAGCGCAAGCUGUUGCCCGAAUUUGACGAGGAGGCCUUAGAGCCCCCGCAAUCAAAAAAUAAAGAGGCCGCCUGGCCGGAUAGACGACCAGAUGACAGGCUAAGAGCAGCAUGGGGCGCCGCACACAAGCCGGCACACGAUCAUCAUAAAGAUCCUCGGAAAAAGGAUGACCCGGUCAGGUCUAUCUAUGGGCCAAAAAAGAAGACUCCAGGAAGCAACACAACCCGCCGAGCGUUUGAAGACAACGGCACACCCAAAUACAGGGGCGCCGCACACCCACUAUGUUUCACCGACGAGGUACUGGAUCAUGAAUUUCCAGCGGGAUUCAAACCCGUAAAACAUAGAGGCAUAUGAUGGAACAAUAGACCCCGGAGUCUGGAUUGAGGAUUAUAUCCUACACAUACAUAUGGCCAGAGGAGACGAUCUCCAUGCCAUAAAAUACCUACCCCUCAAGCUCAAAGGGCCAGCUCGGCAUUGGCUCAAAAGCCUCCCAGAAAAUACCAUUGGAAGUUGGGAAGAGCUCGAGGAUGCGUUCGAGCAAAUUUUCAGGGGACUUAUGUCCGCCCUCCGGAUGCAGACGAUUUAAGUCACAUAACUCAAUAGCCUGGAGAAUCAGCAUGCAAAUUCUGGAACAGGUUCCUCACCAAAAAGAACCAAAUAGUCGAUUGUCCAGACGUCGAAGCCUUAGAAGCCUUUAAGCACAACGUCCGAGACGAAUGGCUCGCCAGACACCUCGCCCAGGAAAAACCAAGAACAAUGGCCGCACUAACAAGCCUCAUGACCCGCUUUUGCACGGGGGAAGACAGUUGGCUGGCUAGAUGCAGCACCAGCGACCCGAGUACAUCCGAAGUCAGGGAUGGAAAUGGGAAAUCACGACGCAGAAAAGAUCAGCGCCGGAAUAAGGAAAAUGGCCCAAAUAGCACGGCGGUCAACACUGGAUUUAAAAGCUCUCGGCCGAACAAUAAAACACUACCCCUCAAGGACAAUAGUGACGAGCUAUCCAACCUAAACAAAAUUCUGGAUAGACUAUGUCAAAUACAUAGUACCCCCGGGAAGCUUGCAAACCAUACCCAUAGGGAUUGUUGGGUCUUCAAGCAGUCCGGCCGACUUAACAUCGAACGCAAGGGGCUCGACACACCAAGCGAAGACGACGACGAACCCCACAAGCAGCACGCCGGAAAACAAAAGACUUUCCCAUUAGAAGUCAAAACAGUGAACUCACUUCACGUGAUAACACGAAAACAUAGUGCGGCGCUUGCCAUACCAGGACACCGUCCGCAGAAUGGGGAUAGACCCUACCAAAAUUCACCAUAGCAGCACUUCCUUCAAAGGAGCGACUCCAGGCCUUUAAGCCAAUUGUACAGGCUCUGUACCACUAGAGGUUGUGUUCGGUUCAUCCGACAACCUCCGUCGCGAAAAGCUCACUCUCCAUAUCGCCCCAUUUAACAGUGGCCCUCAAGCACUACUGGGAUGUGAAGCUUUCGCCCGCUUUAACGCAAUACCACAUUACGCGUCUCUUACGCUUAAAAUGCCUGGUCCACGCGGCAUAAUCUCAUUAAAGAGUAACUCCGAGUGUUCCUCGACCACGGAGAACGUGAGACUGCCUUAACAGCCACACACUAAUCCGACCCUGCAGGUCAAAGCCCCUAAAAACAGGUCAUUCAGACCUCGGACACGGUUAGGCAAGUCCGGCGUAAAUAAACAAGGGGCUUCCCAGCCGCAUACCCCUUUACAAGGGGCCGCGCGUAUAAACGAUGAGAGCCAAUAAAGCUCAACUUUAUUCAUCUUCAAAAUUAUACUUUAUUUUAAAUACAUCUUUUGCACGAUAUUUCUUCCAAACUAAGUCCUUCUCUUUUACAGAUGAAACACGUGCUACACCCGUCCAGGAUACAGCACAACGGAGACACAGGCGCAGACGUGCAGCAGGGACCCGUUGCAAGGAUUCUUUUCAGAUUAAGACCCUGCGUAAACCUUUCUUACUAUCUCUUGUUGAUACACAUCCCCUGGUUUCCUACCAUAACCGAGGAGGAGGCUGGCGUUUUGGCAUCGGCCGCGUCAGAAGUUCCCGCCUGUACCUGGACACUAGGGGCUUAGGGCAUUAUUCUGCCCGGUAUCAUAAAGACCGGACACCUCAGGGAGUGUUCGGCGUCUCGAGUUAGGCCCUAUAUGCAUCAGCUCUGAAUCAUGUCUUUGGUCAAAUGUUGGGUUUGCCCGGCUCCUGUGUUUUGCUGCCUUACGUUCCGCUCCAUCGGCUAAUGCGGCACCAGGAGAACUACUGCGAUUGUGCCCCGGUUCGGCCGGGCGAGCACCUCAGUAGAGAAAGCCGAAAACUGACUGUCAUGAUAUAGCGAGAGACUGGUCAACCACUCGAUCGACUAUUGGAAUGUUUAGAAUUCCUCCGCUUUGUCGAAGGACCGCUUCCCAGUCAGGCACAUACGCGCCCCGAGUUCGGAGAGCGCGGUGCCUCUAGGGGCUAUAUAGUAGCCCCACCAUCGAGCUCCUAUGGCUAAGUGAAAGUGAUAAAGCAUUAUAGUCCGGAUUCCUAGUUUGCUAUGCUAUCACCUCCUUUAAAGGACCAAGACGUUGGAUUAAGUGUGAAAAAGUGCUUUUUUUUGCAAACACCCCCGCACCAUGUGCGUGGGGGCUGAAGCCAAAGACUGCCAUCUUUCAGGUUAUUCAUGCAUAUACAGCCGCACAGGAGAUAGUUCAAUACUUGAACGCACAAGUAUAAAAAGCCGUUGCAUUAUAAACAUGAUCUCAGAAAUCAUACAUGUCAUUUAAACAUAACAUCUUUCAAGCACUGCGACUCUAUUAAACGAGCGCCCUGCAGGACUUCCUCAAAAUAGUGCUCGGCGGGUAAUCGGCUUUUGUCCGAACCCCGGGAUGCAACAGCGGCGGCAUCCAUCUCCGCCCAGUAUGUCUUCACACGGGCGAGCGCCAUCUGUGCACCUUCUAUGCACGCCGACCGCUUCAUCGCCUUGAUAUGCGGCACCACCCCAAGGAAUUGCUGCAACAAGCCAAAAUAACUCUCAGGCUUGGUCCUUUCCGGCCACAGAUGAGUGAACACAUCCGUCAUGGCAAGUCCGGACAAUCUAUUCAGCUCAGCCCACUCAACCAGUCGAUCACUCAAUGGAAGUGGACGCUCCGGACUAUGGAAUUGAGACCAGAAAAGCUCUUCCAUUUCGUGAUCCUCCUGGCUUCAAAAGUGCACGACUGCGUCCGCCGCACUCGCUGCCAAAUCCAGAUAAGGAUCCUCCGCACCACACAAUCGGCCCAGCUGAGCAUACUUCGGAUCCGUGAACUUCCUACGCAACAUGAAGGGCUUUCCAGCCACAAUGUCUUCGGCCUGACGCAGCUCCUCCUUCAUAGCCCGCAUCGCACUACGGGCAUCCUUGGCUUCGGCGGCGGCCUUCUUCAGGUCCUCUUGCUCCGCUCGGCGUUCUCUUUCAAGAACCUCAUAGCGGUCGGCAGCAUCUUUUAAUUUCACGGCCAUUCCGGCCAUCUCUUCCCUGCUUCGGCAGUGAGCAGCCUUUUUGGCUUUUAGCUCUUCCGCUGCCUUCGAGGUAACCGCAUCACUUUUCCUGGCUUGCUCCUUGGCUCGAGCAAGCUCUGCUCGGAGGUCUUCCACAGCAGUGGCACCAUCUGCAUCAAGCAUACAAAUUGUAAGGAACGGGCAUCAGCUCCCUUACUAGGCAACCGCGGAGCAACCACCUACCUUGUGACUCAUUAAGUCAUUUAUUGACCAGCGCGAUGUCCGCAUCCGCAACAUCGAGUUGCCUCUUCAGCUUGGCAACUCCAUCAGUCCGGCUGGCCACCGAACAUUCCGCCACCUGCAUAGGAAAGGCGACUUUCUAUAACUGAGAUUAUGAUCCUUGGCAUGCUGUCGCUUUCAACAGCAUACCAAGUCUCAGGAGCUACUAUCUAUACAGGGCGCACUCCAUGUGCAAAACUGUCAAAAGGUAUGUCAUUUUUUGCGUACCUCAAACCCCGUCAGCAAACUUCCGCCGGCCUCAUACAACCCGCUCUCGGCGGAUGAGAUCGUUUCAAUCACCGUACUCAUUAAUGUGCGGUGAUCUUCUGAGAUAGACGCCCUCUUGAGCAAAUCCUGCAGCUCCACCGGCCGUACUCCAGUGGGUGCCGAACUCCUCGGCCCCACCGGACUAGGGGAGACCCUCCGUGACGACACCUCAGGGUCGUCCGCCCGCCCGACGGGGCGGCAGAUGGAGGCGUUUCGCUCUCCAUCAUCUCCGGACGAAGGUCCCCCGAAGAUGAGCUCAGCUGAGAUGGGCUGAGAUCCGAACUACAAGGCGAAAACUUCGGUUACCCUUAGAGAUAAAGCAGGGGUGUCCCCUAUUACAAAAUUCCCUCUUUUUACUUACGGCUCGCUGGAGGGUUGAUUCCUCUGAGGAGACAGUGCGGCCGGGGCUCUUCCCGGCACAGGACCUUCGCGUGCAGAUUUCUUUCCCCGCUUUGAGGCCUUGGCCUCCGGGUCUUCGGAAGCGGUCCUCUUCUCCCCUGGAAGGAGGGACUCUCGAUUCCCCCCUUACUGAAAUCCUCCUUGGCAGAGGUGGUAGUUUCCCUAUGCCCCCCUUCGCCCUCCUCCGAAGGUGCAACCUCCAACAUUUUGAUUAACACGGGAUCCGGCAUGGUCUCAAGGAGGGGGGCCGGACACCGUAUAAGUUUUGCUUGCGCUAUCCACUCCUGUCCAAGGGAUAGCUAGUUAAAAGGCAAACCCAUGAUAAAUAAAUGGACGAUGUGUCCGGACACGGGGCUACUUACUUGAGUAUCCGGGCGAUUGCAGCUUAGGCCAGCAUCCUUGGUCAAGUCCGGACGCAUCUCUUGCGAUCCGAAGAACAGUUUGUACAUCUCCGCGGGUGUCAAACCCAUGAAGUGUUGGAGAGCUCGUGGCCCCUUCGGAUUAAAUUCCCACAGGCAGAGGGGGCGACGUUUGCAGGGCAGUAGGCAUCGAAUCAGCAUAACCUGUGCCACUACGACCAGAUUGAUCUCCCUUCCUUGGAGGCCUCGAAUCCGGUCCUGCAACAGGGGUAUGUCUUUGGACGGCCCCCAGUCAAGCCCCUUGUUGACCCAUGACGUCAGCCGUUCUGGAGGGCCCGAGCGGAAGACGGGCGGCGGCCUCUGCCUGCUGCCCCUGGGAGCGGUGAUAUAGAACCACUCCUGUUGCCACAAGCCGAGCUCCUCCUGAAAAGAGCCCUCGGGCCAUGGAGCAUCGGCCCUCUUGCUUAUAACCGCCCCUCCGCACUCUGCCUGACGCCCCUCAAUCAUCUUCGGCUCUACGUUGAAGGUUUUGAGCCACAAGCCGAAGUGAGGGGUAGUGCGGAGGAAGGCUUCGCAGAUGACAAUGAAUGAUGAGAUGUGGAGGAUGGACUCCGGAGCCAGGUCAUGGAAUUCCAGCCCAUAGUAAAACAUGAGCCCCCUCACGAAGGGAUCCAUCGGGAAGCCUAAACCCCGACGGAGGUGAGACACGAACACGACGCUCUCGCCGAGCUCGGGAGUAGGAAUAACUUGCCCUUGGGCAGGCAACCUAUGCGAAAUCUCGUAGGUUAAGUACCUGGCGUCUCUCAACUUUAGCAUGUCCUCUUCCGUGACGGAGGAGGGCAUCCACCGGCCUUGUAGGUCGGAGCCGGACAUUGUCGAAGGUCGAAGGUACCCGAAUCUGGAGCCCUGGGUGUUGGAACUCGGGGCGAGGGGCGGAUUCGAUUGAGGAUUGAAGAAAAAGAACAGGCCUUGGUCUCAUUAUAAAGAGGAAGAAUACCAAGAGCCGUCCCCGUGACCGUUUGGAACCCGCCUCCGAUGGAGGGGGCGUGGCAACGGGCGCAGUUGGGUUACCCACGUCCGUAUUUAUGAGAAUCCCGGAAUAAGGGGAACACAAUUUCUGCUUCGACAAGACGUGCCAAGGAAACCGCUUCGCUAAACGCACUGAGGUGGUACAAUAAAAACAAUUCGAGUAAAGGCUUGGUAGUGGUGUGACGUCACGCCACCAAAUACGUCAGCAGAUUGAACUGGUGUGAAUAUUAUUCUCUCUACGGUGGCACGUGGAAUUUAUUUUGCAGAGCCGGACACUAUCCUGGUGUUCACAAUCUUCUAUAAAUUAUUCGGAGGAGGAACCCGCCUUGCGAUGCCGAAGACAAUAUGCGCGCCAGACUCGUCGUCAUUGAAGCUUGGUUCAGGGGCUACUGAGGGAGUCCUGGACUAGGGGGUGUCCGGAUAGCCGAACUAUCAUCAUUGGCCGGACUCCAAGACUAUGAAGAUACAAGAUUGAAGACUUCGUCCCGUGUCCGGAUGGGACUUUCCUUGGCGUGGAAGGCAAGCUUGGCGAUACGGAUAUGUAGAUCUCCUACCCAUUGUAACCGACUCUGUGUAACCCUAGACCUCUCCGGUGUCUAUAUAAACCGGAUGGCUUUAGUCCGUAGGACGAACAACAAUCAUACCAUAGGCUAGCUUCUAGGGUUUAGCCUCCUUUAUCUCGUGGUAGAUCUACUCUUGUAACACACAUCAUCAAUAUUAAUCAAGCAGGACGUAGGGUUUUACCUCCAUCAAGAGGGCCCGAACCUGGGUAAAACAUCGUGUCCCUUGUCUCAUGUUACCAUCCGCCUAGACGCAUAGUUUGGGACCCCCUACCCGAGAUCCACCGGUUUUGACACCGACAGGAGUCAAGUGAGAUCACUUGAUCAUAGGUCAUACUCAUCGUUUAAGCUCAAAAUGGGGUUACCAUUUUUCGUUUAAGCAUCUUGAUGUAUUCACAUCUUGUCGAGUUGCUUUAGCUCAUGUCUUGGAGUAAAGCUUCUCUAAGAUGGAAUAACAUACCUUGGUUGGUGGUGUUGAUCAUGUAGUUGAACUUAUGUGGGUUGCUCAAGGUUGAUGUGGCUCAUCAAGAGUUGGGAGCACCACUUGGAAUGAGUCCAUCUACCUACAUGGGUUAGUUCUUGCACGGAAGAGCACUUGUUUAUCCAGAAAUGACAAUCAUGAAGCUCAACUUGUCAAAGGAUAUGUUUGAAUGGUUCCGUGCUUCCUUGUCUUCAACCACCUUUGUAUAGAGACUUGGUGAUGUAGAGAUUGCUCAAGAUGUGAGUUGGUUACAGUCUCAUGGAAUUUGAUUCAACCAAGUACCUACAUGGGUUAGAUAACAUGCAAGAUGCAAAUAUGUCCAAGAUAUAAGAUUUUCAUCAUAAGAGAAAUAUCAAGGAUUAGUCAUAAGCUCAUGUCUUGCAUGUAUCCAAUGGAGUUUCUACUCCAAGUUUGAAGCAUCAAUGAUGUUCAAUUAUCCUCUCAACCUGCAAAACACUUUCUCAUCAAGAGGUUUAAUGAAUAUAUUCACUAAUUGCUUUUCGGGGCGAACAUGCUUAAGAUCAAUGUCACCCUUAGCAGCAUGAUCUCGAAUGAAAUGAUGACGAACUUCAAUAUGCUUAGUUCGAGAAUGUUGCACAGGAUUAUGUCCAAUUUUGAUAGCACUUUCAUUGUCACAAAGCAAUGGAACAUGUUUCACAUAUAUCCCAUAAUCUUUAAGAGUUUGGGUCAUCCAAAGUAAUUGAGCACAACAUGAACCAGCGGCAAUGUAUUCCGCUUCGGUGGUGGAUAAGGAUACCGAGUUUUGUUUCUUGGAGGACCAAGACACAAGAGAUCUACCAAGAAAUUGACAAGUACCUGAAGUGGACUUUCUAUCAACCUUGUCUCCGGCAUAGUCCGAGUCGGAGUAGCCAACAAGAUCGAAAGAGGCCCUCUUAGGAUACCAAAUGCCAAAAUUUCGUGUCUGAAUUAAGUAUCUCACUAUCCUUUUCAAAGCCUUAAGAUGGCAUUCUUUAGGAGCAGCUUGAUAUCUUGCACACAUGCACACGCUUAGCAUAAUAUCGGGACGUGAAGCACAUAGGUAUAACAAUGAACCAAUCAUAGAGCAAUAGACCUUUUGAUCAACCGGUUCACCAUCUUUGGUCAAAUCAAGAUGUCCACUAGUAGGCAUGGGUGUAGACAUACCUUUGCAUUCUUGCAUAUUGAACUUCUUGAAUAAGUCCUUAGUGUACUUCGUUUGAGAGACAAAAGUACCUUCCUUAGUUUGCUUGAUUUGCAACCCAAGAAAGAAUUUGAGUUCACUCAUCAUUGAAAUCUCAAACUUCUCCGACAUUAGCUUUCCAAACUUCUCACUAAAAUGAGGGUUAGUUGAUCCAAAUAUGAUAUCAUCAACAUAAAUUUGGCAUACAAAUAAUUCUCCAUUAACCGUUUUAGUAAAAAAGAGUAGAAUCGAUUUUCCCAAUUUCAAAUCCCUUUCCAAGAAGAAACUUAGUCAAGCAUUUGUACCAAGCUCUAGGAGCUUGUUUAAGACCAUAAAGAGCUUUACGAAGUUUAUAGACAUGAUUGGGUUUCUUAGGAUAGACAAAGCCGGGAGGUUGUUUAACAUAAACUUCCUCCUCUAUUUCACCAUUUAGAAAAGCACUUUUAAUGUCCAUUUGGUACAAUGUGAUAUCAUGGUGAUUAGCAUAGGCAAGUAAGAUGCGAAUAGACUCAAGUCUAGCAACGGGAGCAUAAGUCUCACCAUAGUCCAUACCUUCGACCUGUGUGUAGCCUUGGGCGACGAGACGUGCUUUGUUGCGAACUACUUGUCCAUCUUCAUCUUGCUUGUUGCGAAACACCCAUUUGGUACCGAUGAUGUUGUGGUUGUUGUCGAGCUUCUCAACCAAUGUCCAAACUUGGUUUCUCUCAAAGUUGUGUAACUCUUCAUGCAUAGCGUUUAUCCAAUCCAGAUCUUCCAAUGCUUCUUCGACCUUCAUAGGUUCAAUGCUAGAGAUGAAAGAAUAGUUUUCGCAAAAGUUAGCUAAACGAGUUUUAGAGCGAGUGAUUCUCCCGGUUUGAAUAUCAUUGUAGAUUUGCUCGACGGGAUGGUCUUUAGCAAUCCUUGCUCGAACUCGUGAAAGCUUUUGCUUGGGUCUUGGUUGAACAUAUUCUUCAUCUUCUUCUUCUUCUUGAUCUUCUUCAUUGUUGGUGUUGUCGUUCUCUUGUCGUGGUGGAGAAGGAGGUUGUUGACGUUCUUGAUGCACUUCCUCGUUUUCUUCAUCUUGGUGUGUCCCACUUGUGGAUGCUUCCGUAUCAACUCUUGGUUCACCUUGUCGUGAAGUAGAAGCUUCCACUUGGAUGGACGAGGUACUCUCCUUCACCUUCGUUGGACGAACCGUGCCAAUAGACAAGUCUUGGAUUGCUUCCGAUGGAUCCUUGUCUCCUACAUCAAUUGGCAAUUGCUCUACUUGCGAGCCGUUAGAUUCAUCAAACUUCACAUCUACCGUCUCUUCAACCUUUCGGGUGAAAUUGUUGUAGACACGGUAUGUGUGAGAGUUUGAGCCAUAACCUAGUAGGAAACCUUCAUGAGACUUAGAAGCAAAUUUAGAACGACGAUGCUUAUCAAGAAUGUAGCACUUUGAGCCGAAUACUCGAAAGUAUCCAACUUGGGGUUUGUUACCGGUGAGGAGCUCGUAUGCCGUCUUGCUGAGUAGCUUGUGAAGAUACAAGCGAUUUGUUGCAUGACAAGCUGUCUCAACCGCUUCUGCCCAAAAGUGCUUCGGCGUCUUGUACUCAUCAAGCAUCGUUCUUGCCAUUUCGAUGAGCGUCCGGUUCUUCCUCUCAAACUCCAUUUUGUUGAGGUGUGUACAUAGCCGAGAACUCGUGUGAAAUCCCUUCUUCAUCAAGAAAGAUGUCCACAUUUGCAUUCUUGAACUCCGUUCUAUUGUCGCUGUGAACCUUCUUGAUCUUCACUUCAAACUGAUUUUGGGCCUUCCUAGCGAAGUUUUUGAAGAUCUUUUGGACCUGCGAUUUAUCAUCGAGAAAGAACACCCACGUAAAUCUUGAAAAAUCAUCAACUAUAACUAGACCAAAAGAAUUUCCACCGAGACUCUUGUAAGAGUUGGGACCAAAAAGAUCCAUGUGAAGUAGCUCAAGUGGCCUCCUUGUGGUCAUGAUGUUCUUCACGGGAUGCCUUCCUCCAACCUAUUUACCUGCUUGAGAAGCACUGCAAAGUCUAUCCUUAUCAAAUAUGACAUCGUUAACACCAAGGAUAUGAUUCCCUUUAAUAAGCUUGUCAAGGUUUCUCAUGCCAACGUGACCUAGUCAUCUAUGCCAUAACCAACCUUUUGAGGAUUUAGCAAUGAAGCAAGUUUUAGGUUGAGCCUUUUUAGUGAAAUCAACAAUGUAUAGAUCACCUCUACGUAUGUCGGUAAAGACCAUUUUAUGAUUGUCUCGACGAAACACUUGGCAAUCUACUUCAGUAAAUAGGACAUUGAAACCGAAAUCAGCAAGUCUAGAUACUGAAAGUAAGUUGUAGCCAAGAGAUUCAACGAGCAUAACAUUCUGAAUGGAGCUGUCAUGUAAUAUGGCCACCUUACCGAGGCCAACCACCUUACCCUUUGAGUUGUCACCGAAAGUGACAUACUUUCGAGGACUAUCAUUUUCAGCAAGCUCACGAAACAUGUCUUUAUCUCCGGUCAUGUGAUCGGUACAUCCACUAUCAAGGACCCAUUCCUUUCCUCCUGCCAUAUAUCCCCGAAGGUUUGCCAUAAGACCAAAAUGUCUCAUUGCAUCAUCAAGAUCAAAGUCAUCAUCAUCAUCCGGAUCAUAGUAUCCAUGUUCAACAUCGUCAUGUGGUGGAUCAAUUCCUAGUGAGAGUGAUUCAUUAGUAUGAGUUUGACAAUAAUCUUGCUUAUGAAUUCUAGUGGCUUCGGAAAUAAUAUCGCUAAUAAUUCCAACAUUUCCUUUGGCACGCAUAAGAUUUGUAAGUUCAAAUAGACGAUCACCUAACAUAGGAUCAUUGGAAUUCAUCUUACUCAAGGCAAUAGACUUAUGAAGAAUUUCAUCAAGAUUUUUCAAAGAAUAAUCAGGAAAUCGUUCAUCAAGAAAUUUCCAUAUAGUGUAAGCACACUCAAGAGUAGGCAGUUUUCCAACCAAGUUUCUAGGCAAGCCUCUAGUGAUAAGAUUAACAGUUCUAACAUUCCUAAUCAUGUCAAUAGACUCAUCAAGGGUAGGAUGCAUAGGAUCAACAUAAGGUGCACAAGGACUAGCAAUGUACUUGUUCAAAUGAUAUUGAUUGAAAAUUACAAGCAUCUCAUUUUUCACUUAUGAAAGUACUCUCUAUCAAGAAUAGGCACUCUAUGUCUAAGACUCCCCAAAGUAGACUCAUACAUCUUCCUCCAAUGGUGAUUAAACUAAAGCAAUGGAGACCAAUGCUCUUAUACCACUUGUAGGACCUUGAGAAGAGGUGUCUAGAGGGGGGGGUUAGACACUAAGUACCAAAGUUGCAGUUUUUAGCAAUUUUAAGUUUAAGUAGAGUUUAGGCACAAGUUUAACAUUCACAACACAUAGCAAGCAAGCAUGCAAAGAGUAUAUGAGCAGUGGAAAAUAAAGCAUGCAACUUGCAAGAAUGUAAAGGAAAGGGUUUUGGAGGAUUCAAACGCAGUUGGAGACACGGAUGUUUUUGGCGUGGUUCCGAUAGGUGGUGCUAUCGUACAUCCACGUUGAUGGAGACUUCAACCCACGAAGGGUAACGGUUGCGCGAGUCCACGGAGGGCUCCAUCCAAGAAGGGUCCAUGAAGAAGCAACCUUGUCUAUCCCACCAUAGCCGUCGCCCACGAAGGACUUGCCUCACUAGCGAUAGAUCUUCAUGAAGUUGGCGAUCUCCUUGCCCUUACAAACUCCCUGGUUCAACUCCACAAUCUUUGUCGGAGGCUCCCAAGUGACACCUAGCCAAUCUAGGAGACACCACUCUCCAAGAAGUAACAAAUGGUGCAUUGAUGAUGAACUCCUUGCUCUUGUGCUUCAAAUGAUAGUCUCCCCAACACUCAACUAUCUCUCAUAGGAUUUGGAUCUGGUGGAAAGAAGAUUUGAGUGGAAAGCAACUUGGGGAAGGCUAGAGAUCAAGAUUCAUAUGGUAGGAAUGGAAUAUCUUGGCCUCAACACAUGAGUAGGUAGUUCUCUCUCAGAACUGGUAAGUUGGAAGUGUAGGUUUGUUCUGAUGGCUCUCACCACAAAUGAAGAGGAGGUGGAGGGGUAUAUAUAGCCUCCACACAAAAUCUAACCAUUACACAAAUUUACCAAUCUCGGUGGGACCGAAUCAACAAACUCGGUCAGACCGAUUUAGUAAAUCUAGUGACCGUUAGGAUUUUUGGUGGGACCGAAAUGCAACUCGGUAGGACCGAUAUGGUUAGGGUUAGGGCAUAGUGUAAUCUCGGUGAGACCGAUUACACAAACUUGGUAAGACCGAUUUUGGUAAUUAGCUAACCAGAGAGUUGGUCAGGCAAACUCGGUGGGACCGAUUACUCAAACUCGGUGGGAUAGAUUUUGGUAAUAAGUUAACCAGAGAGUUUGCAUUGUAAUCUCGGUAGGACCGAUUGCUCAAACUCGGUAAGACCGAUUUUGAUAAUGGACAUACACAGAGAGAUUACAAUCCCAUCUCAGUGAGACCGAGAUCCCUAUCGGUGAGACCGAUUUGCCUAGGGUUUGUGGCAGUGGCUAUGACAUCUGAACUCGGUGGCGCCGGAUAGAAAGAAUCGGUGUGACCGAUUUUGGCUUUAGGUUUAGGUCAUAUGUGGAUGUGAGAAAGUAGUUGAGGGUUUUGGAGCAUAUCACUAAGCACAUGAAACAAGAGGCUCAUUAAGCAACACCUCAUCCCUCCUUGAUAGUAUUGGCUUUUCCUAUAGACUCAAUGUGAUCUUGGAUCACUAAAAUGUAAAAUGAAGAGUCUUGAGCUUGAAGCUUUAGCCAAUCCCUUGUCCUUAGCAUCUUGAAGGAGUUCCACAUCCUUUAGUCCAUGCCACUUCAUUGUUGAACUUGUCUGAAAUAUACUAGAUAAAAGUGUUAGUCCAACCAGAGAUAUGUUGACAUUAAUUACCAAAACCACCUAGGGAGCACUUGUGCUUUCAGCCCGCAUGUUGGAACAAUGCAACGUGGCUGUCACCCCAGGAAAUAAGCUGUCAGUAUUCUCAGCUAUGGUCACCUUUCUUCAGGUGAAGACAUCUGAGUGGAUGACCAACAAAUCAUUCGAUGCGAUGUUGGCUGCUUUCCGCAAAUCUUUCCCAGAUGCGUCUGAGCUGCCACACACCUACAGUAAAAUGAAGAAUUUCCUUCGUGCAGUUGGAAUUGGAUAUGAUAUGAUCCAUGUUUGUAAGAAUAAUUGUGUUCUGUUCCAGAAGGAUUAUGCCAACUUAAGUGAAUGCCCGAAAUGCAAAUCGUCAAGAUGGAAAGAUGGCAAUGCUAUGAAGAGGAUUCCUCAUAAUGUUCUGAGACAUUUUCCAAUUAUACCAAGAUUGCAGAGGUUGUUUCAUGAUGUUGAAACAAGAGAGGAUGUAUUGUGGCAUUCUAGGAACCAGGAGUACAGAGAUCAGAAUAUAAUGAGCCAUCCAUCUCAUGGUAGUGAGUGGAAAAGCUUCAAUCAUAAACACAAAAAGUUUGCUGCUGACCCGAGAAACAUUAGACUUGGCUUAACUUUAGAUGGAUUUAACCCAUUUGGCCACCAGAGCGCCACAUAUAGCAUGUGUCCAGUGCUUGUUAUCCCUUACAACAUGCCUCCAAAUGCCUGCACCAAAGAAUCAAACUACAUGAUGGCCUUGCUCAUCCCAGGUCCAAAAAGUCCUGGAAAGGAUUUUGAUUUGUUCAUGGAGCCUCUUAUGGAGGAACUUCAACAGCUAUGGAGGGGUGUUCUCACUCGAGACCUAUAUAGCAACCCACCAGCUGAUUUCUUUCUGUGUGCUGUUAUAAUUUGGUGCAUCCAUGAUUAUCCGGCUUUGGGAACUAUGUCAGGGCGAACGACACAUGGUUACAAUGCAUGUGUUCGCUGUGACAGGAAUCCGCUGUCAUACGCAAUACUUACCAAGAUCUGUUACAUUGGACACCGCUAUUUCCUUGCCAAGGACAAGCCGCAUCCUAGAAAAUACCGAAGACAUGUGUUCAAUGCAAAGCAUGAAAACCAUGAUGCGCCAAAGAGGCUCACCGCCGAUGAGUUGCAAGUGGAAUUAGAGAAGGUCAGGCAUAUUACACCAGGAAACCAUCCUAGUAAUGGUAGCGGGAAAAGGAAGCGUGGUAGGGUAGAAGAGAGAUUAGUGUUUACCCGCAGGUCCACUUUGUGGGACUUGGAGUAUUGGAAAGAUUUGGAUCUGCGGCAUAAUCUUGAUGUGAUGCACAUCGAGAAAAAUAUAUGUGACAGCAUUAUCGGCACACUUCUUAAUAUUGAAGGCAAGACGAAAGAUACCUUAAAAUCUAGGGUUGAUUUGACACACCUGGGUAUCAGACAGGAUUUGCAGGUGUAAGAUGAAGGUAAACCACGGGAUAUGGCACCAGCUGUGUACAUCUUGGACAAGGUAAAAAGAAAAGAAUUCUGCGAGGUCCUAUCACGUGUGAGAUUCCCACAUGGAUUUGCUUCCAACCCUAAAAGGAGAGUCAGUGCAGAUGGAAACAAGGUACAAGGGUUGAAAACUCAUGACUGCCACGUCCUACUUCAAAGGGUUUUACCUGUUAUCCUUAGAGGAUUGGGCAGCCCUGACUUAUACAGAGCAGUUGCAGAGUUGGGACAAUUCUUCAGGGAACUCUGCAGUAGAAAUAUUAGGAUAGAUGCUUUGGAGCGUCUUAGAGACAAGAUACCAACUAUCCUAUGCGACCUUGAGAAGAUAUAUCCUCCAGCCUUCUUUGAUGUGAUGGUGCAUUUGGUUGUUCAUCUACCUGAUGAGGCACUACUUAGAGGUCCAGUACAGUAUGGUUGGAUGUACCCUAUUGAAAGGCGGCUAGGCACUUUCAAGGGUUAUGUUAGGAACAGAGCUAGACCCGAGGGUUCCAUUGCAGAGGCCUACAUUGCUACAGAAGCAUUGACAUUCUGCUCAAAAUACAUUGAAACAGCUGAUCAGCUUAGCAAAGAGGUGGGUGAAGACAAUCCCGGGCUCAAUGUUUUCGAUUAUUCUGUUCGAGUUACAGGGAAGAGUCGACAAGAGGACAAACCUAAAGAUUUGGACAAAAUGGUUUGGUAUGUGUUGAAUAACUAUCCUAAGAUACUACCUUAUAUCAAGUAAGUGCAAUACUGCAACUUAUACAUCAUAAUCUACUAAACUUGCAGCACAUUCUUAUAUAUUUAGAUGUUUGACGCGAUCACUAUGUUGUGUAGCAUCUACAAAAAGGAGUUACUGCCGCAAAAUCCAAGAAACAUUGACAAACUGGUUAUGGUAGGAUUUGCGAAAUGGUUCAAGAGCCAUGUAAGGUUUUGAAUUGCACUGUCAGUUUUUUUAAUAUAUUGAGUACAUAAGAUGAUCAGUUUGUCAAUUUCUAACCAUAGGUUAAGAAGAUGCGGGGGGAUGGGCAGGAAGUUGAUGAUGCCCUUUACUCACUAGCAAUGGGUCCUGAUACUCGGGUAAGACAUUAUGAAUCUUGCGUUGUUGGAGAUGUGCGCUACAACACCCUUGCACGAGACGAAGGCAGGAAGACACAAAACAGUGCCAUCAUGAGCACGGAUAUGUAUGACAAAGAGACAACUGAAAUGUAUGCUAACAUAACAGACAUUGUUUAGUUGCAGUAUAUCUCCAGUUUCGAGGAUCAUCGGUGUGUGGUUCUGUUGUGCUGUCGUUGGUAUAACCUGUUUUCCAGGAUCGCAAAACCCAGAGCUGAUGAUUAUUUCAAAUCCAUCAAUGUCAAGGUGGCAUACCAGACCAAUGAGCCUUUUAUUUUGGCAAAUCAAGCAACACAGAUAUUUUUCUUGGAAGACACAUUUGCAUGUAGCAAUGACUAGAGAGUAUUACAAAGGUUUGAGCAGAGGAAUUUGUUUAAUGAAAUUGCACAACAAGAUGAUGCUUACAUGGCUCCUGAUGUACAAGAUAACACAGAUGUUCCUAAUAUCUUUGAGAACCAUCACGUCAAUGACACCGGCAAAAAGAUUGCCUGUCGUGCUGUCGACAUACAAGAGUUGAUCAAGAAGAAGCCAAUGUUCAAGGACGUUGAGGACGAAGAAGAAGAUGACGCCGUGGGGAAUUAUGAUUCAGACUGAUACACAUGGCGAAGAUGUUGACGCUGCUGCUGCGAUGAUGAUUACAUUGCUUUUGUCGUAUUUGCCUGUCAGAAGACGUUUUUUAUCUACUAUGUGAAAUUGUGUUUGCUAUGACAACUGAAACCUGACGAACAUGUUGUUUAGUAUUUUGCUGUGAGAACAUCACUUGUUAUGUAUGCUGAUUUGUGUUUGGUGAUUGUAUGAUGACUAAAACAUGAUGACAUUGUUGUUUAGUUGUACUCAUAUUUGGCUGUGAAACUUGAAUUUGAUGACAUAGUUUGCUGUUGGACUGCAAUUUGCUCGACGUCUUCGAAUGAGAACAAAGCUGACCCGACAGGGCCUCUGCUAUUUAUUUAUUUAUGAGAAAAAGGGGAUAUCCCCUGAUUUCCGUUAAUAGAAAUCAUUAGAUGUUCACAACACUACGCCCAGCCUGCUACACAGGUUUCAUUCAUUACUAGUUUCAGCAAAAUGCUCAUGUCAUAGCCACUAAAUACAUCACGAGUGCUACAUACACUGCAAAUAAAGAGACAAUCAUCCUACAGAGCACAUCGAUUUUGCCCAUUAUCUUCACAAGCUCUUUCAUCUCCUCAUUGUUGUCAAGGCCGUUCAGCAGUUGUUGCUUGGCCAUGAUCAGAGGAACUACAUCUUUAACCUUCUGCUCUGCAUCUUCCUUUUCUGUCGUUCCUUCAGUUACUUGUCCAACACCCCAACCCGCUGGUAUUGGGAUUCCUCAGCUAACCAAAUAAUCAGCGUAGUUGCAUUCCCCCACAUCAACAACUUCCCAAAAAUACAAAUCACACGAAUCUUCCCUUUUCUGCACGAAUCAAAUUGGAAGAUCAUCAACCAAACUAUUAAAAAAUCAGCAACUGAAAGCAGCAGAACAACACUUAAACAUAUUAUUACCCCAUGAUUCGGGCAUUUGUAGAAGACUCGGCCAGGGUUGAAGAUUGUGGUUGAGACGCGACGGAUGACUGUGCGUGAUUUGCAGCAGUGGCACCAUACCACGGCAGUGGGUUGCGAUGAGUAAUCGGCUGCGGUCCGCGUGCCGGCAGGGGUGUGAUGAGACCCACAGGCGAUGGUACGGGUGGCGACUUGGCACAUAUCUGGUUGUUGCCUGCUGAAGAGCAGGUGGACGAGUAGCCAGCGAACAUGGUUGCUGCGGCCAGAGCUUCUGAUGCUAGGAAGAGUAAGUAGAGAAGAGGAGAAGCGAAUGUUGGAUAUGUCAGUUUCAUUACUUGCAGAGUAGCAUAGCACCAUAUAUAGUCAUAGUCUAGGUUUGGAUUCUAACCAGCUACAGGAGCACGUCUCUCUUUUUUUUUAAACUCGGCAACGUCUCUUUACUGGUACACUAGCUUGUUUUGUACGCCUUCCCAAGUCUUUGAUUUUCUUUCCCUUUUUUCCAAGGAAGGAAGGAGGACAAAAUUGAGAGUUCCUGGGACUUGAACCCAAGACCUCUCGGUUGAAAACCAAGGGUGCUAUUUUCCUGGGAGGAGGACGGCAGACGAACGCAUCUUCCUCGCGGUUUUAGUUGCAACACAAGAUCGAACGGUCGCAGUUUCGGGAAAGUUAUCAGGCCAACAAGCCCAGAUUUUCUUUUCUUCCUAUAUAUAAAAAAGUGUGCUACUUGGUGUCAGCUUAGUCAACAAACGAUUGUGCCAACCUUGACCGUUGGAUUGACAUUCAACGUCUAUCAUGUUUCUUCAGUCUCUUCUUCCUUGAGCCGCCAAAGCCAAAGCAGCGCCGGUGGGACCGCUUGCUCCCGCCUCCCACGGCUGGCUGUGCUGCCGCGCACGCAUUGUGGCCACAUCGCACCCUAAAACUCUGCGCGUCUUCCCCGGCUCCUAUUCGUUCCCGUCCGAGGCCUCACCAACGUCCUCCGCCUUGGUUCGCUCGCCGCGGCACCGCCCUCCGGUGUUGUCAACAUGGUCAACAACCGAGAGGAAUAAGGAGAUGACUGUACAUGGUGAGGAUGAUAGUAGGGACCCAGCAGCGCGCGCAGUAAUCUUGUUUUUCAGGAUGGAGAAGGGUAUCAACUGGGUUGUGCGGGACCCGUGGCCCAUCUAGCACAUGCUUUUAUUUCAUAUGUUUAGCACAUGACCAGCCCAGUUUGUUUUUUUCCUUUCUGAAAAUGGCUAGCCAGCUAUUUUGUUUUUUUUGCAAAAUAACCAACAUAGGCCUACUUGCUUUUCUAUGCCCUGCUGGGCCGGAAAUCUUUCAAGACGAGGAGGGAUGCAUUUUGCCCAGAAAAUGGGCUAUAAGUAAUAAGAAAUGGGCUAUAAGUAAUAAAAAUGGGCUGUAAAAUGAAAAAUACAGCAAACAGGCAAUUAGUUCCCAAAUACUGUUUUGUUUCGGAUUUUGAUAUUUUAAAUUUCAUUGUUUUUGUGCGGGUAAAAUUUCAUUGAAUUUAAAUUAAGGUAUAUUUAGAUUUAAAAUUAAUUUGAUUCUGGCUAGAAAUUUCGGAUUGUAUGCUGUUUGGGACAGAUUUGGAGGCUGACUUGUGGGUCUACUAGGUUGACAUGUACUUUGGCUUUGUCAACUUAGUGCACAAACGAUUCUAGUAGCAGUGAACCUUGGAUGUUAAUCCAAUGGCCGUGCUGCUUCUUCAAUAUAUGAUCUUCUUGCUCCAGCCGCCCAAACCAGCGCCGGUGGGACUGCCUGCUCCGGCCUCCCGUGGCCGGCUGUGCUGCCGCACAGGCCGCACCGCCCCACCCUACUUCAUUGCUGGCCAGGCCAUUCCUCUACUCACCCACACCUCCUGUUAUUUUCCGGCGAUGGCAGCCGGACCAGUAAACCCUCGUACUCCCCACCGUGUGGGCAACCAUUGCCGAGUCUUCCUCGGCUCCGUGUCAUUCCCUUCCUAGGCCUCGCCGUCGUCCACCGCCAUGGUGCUCUCGGCGUGUCCUGGUCAACGUGGCCAAUGAAUGACAUCCAUCAGACGCGGACUGUACGUGGAGAGGCUGACAGCUGGGUCCACGACCGCACACAAGGAAAUGCCUCCUUAUUACGCGCAAAAUAAUGAUUCCUCCACCUGACAGUUGGGACCCACUGGAAGGGCCUCUAUAUUUCGUGAAACAAAUGUUCCCCCCGCUGACAGGUCGGACCCACCAGCUAUAUCUUCGCACGCACGGAAGUGCCUCCUUAUUACGAACAAAAAAAUAAAUACCCCCUGCUAGCUGGGACCCACCAUAGUGGGAGGAUGACUUGUGGGCCAACUAAGUUGACGGGGACGGAGGGCUUUGUCAACUUAGUCAAUAUGAACGAUUCUAGCUCCAGUGACCGUAUGAUUUCCAUCCAAUGGCCGUAGUGCUUCUUCAACCUCUGGUCUUCUUGCUCCAGCAGCCCAAACCAGCGUCGGUUGUGCCACGUGCUCCUACCUCCCGUGGUCGGCUGUGAUGUCGCGGAGGCCUCACCGCCCCCUACUACUCCCACCGCUGGCCAGGCCAUCCCUCUACUCACCCACACCCCCUGUUAUUCUGCGGCGACAACAGCCUCACACCGCAGUCAAACCAGUGAACCCUCGUUAUCCUCUCCGCGCGGGCUUCCACUGCCGCAUCUUCCCCGGCUCUGCGUCGUCCCCUUACUAGGCCUCACCGUCGUCCACCACCGUGGUGCUCUCAGCGCGGCGUGGUCAACGUGGUCAAGGAAUGAUUUCCAUCGGACGUGGACUAUACGUGGAGAGGCUGACAGCUGGGUCCACGUCCGCGGCAAGGAAGUGCCUCCUUAUUACGCGGAAAAUAAUGAUUCCUCCACCUGAUAGCUGGGACACACCGGACGGGCCACUGUAUUUUGUGAAAAAAACGUUUCCCCCUGACUGCUGGGACCCACCAGCUACAUCUUCGCACGCAAGGAAGUGUGUCCGAGAAAAAAGCAAAAAUGAUUCACCCCCCUGACUGCUGGGACCCACCAGCUACAUCUUCUCACGCAAGAAAGUGCCUGACAGUCGGGACCCACCUGGUCGAAGCGUAUGUAGCAUUGUCAUUCUGGUCGCGAAUGUGUACGUACAUACUGGUGGAUGUAGAGGUGCGCACGUGUCGUACUAGAGGCGUGCACGUAGCAUGUACACGUACGUACAGCGGCCAGUGUGAAAGAAAGAAAAUAUGGCCACGUAUGUGUACAUACGGGAGGGGUCUCGAACGCCUACUCGCGCAUAUGUACGCCCAGGGCUCGUGUAAAUGGCUGGGUCGGAACGGAGAAACAGCAUCGUCGUCGUGUUCAUGUGGAGGCAACGGAAUGUGUCGUGUUCAUGGGGAGGCAACGGAAUGCAUCGUGUUCAUCGGGAGGCAACGGAACGCGUGGGAGCCAACCGGCUUGGACGAAACAGUUGAUGGAAACGAGGCCUGGCGUACCGCAAAACGGAGGAAACGGCCUUGUGUUCGACCGGCCAUGUUUGAAACGGGAUCCUGUUCAUCGGGAGGGGUCUGGUGUACCGCAAAAUGGAGGAAACGAACCUCCUACGUAAGCCGGCAGAUUGACCCAGUCGCCCUCCGGGAAGAUGCGCUUCACGUAGAAGUACGACUGCUGCCACAUCUUCACCGACUGGAUCAGCACGAUGGGAGGAAAUGGAUUGUCGGCCGCCGACCUCCGCAUUGCGACGAAGGCACCACAUUGAGCCGGCAAGCUCUUGACGACGGUGCCGAGCUUGGAGUAGAAGAAUUGCCCCCAAAGCUCGAUGGUGGGGAGGACGCCGAGGAAGCCUUCGCACAGGGUGACGAAGGCGGACAGCAACAACACCGUGUUCGGAGUGAGGUGGUGCGACUGGAGGUUGUAGAAUUCGAGGAAGGCCCGGAAGAAGCCGCUCGCCAACAGGCCGAGGCCGCGAAGGCAGUGCGAGCGGAAGAUGACACGCUCGCCCUCCUCCGGCGCCGGCGAGAUCUCCCGCUCCAGGCGCGAGGUAGACCCUCACGCAGCCGCCAUGUCUUGCGAAGGAAAUCUAUGUGGUCCUCAUGGAUGUUGGAGCCGUCCCGGGCUCCGGCGCGCGCCAUGAGGACGAGAGGAUGACGGAGAAGGCGCGGCGACGGCGAGAGCGACAAGCUGCGGUACAGCAAGGUGGCCUAUGGAGCGGCGCGGUGGCGUGCAGCAGCGGCGACAAAGAAGAGGAAGAAGAAGAGGAUCGCGGAGUGGGAGGCGAGCACGCGUGCGUCUGCCGCUCCCCCUCCUCCCCCUAUUUAUAGCCUCGGUGCGGUGAAGCCAAGGGGGUGAGACAUGGGGGGCGUGGGAUUAACUACGCCUACUCCCCCACGACCUGCGAUUAUUACGCCUUAACGGCAUGCGGUAACUGCCGCAGGAAUGCCAACCGUCCGCCUCGACCACAGAUGAUCCGCGCGUGGGCCGAGGCAUGAUAGUGGCAGGCCCCAGCCUGCAGCGACAUCCCGUCGCGCGCGUGGGCUGGCAGGCUGAUUCGUCAGUAGGGCCAUCCCACGGAUCGCGGCCCCCCUACUACGCCAAGAUCCAACGGCGAGCGCAGCAUGUCACACGGAUCGCUCCCUCCUCUGCUUCCCAAUAAAAGCCGCGCCCACGCCUGCGUUCCAACCCACAAACUCAGAGCAUUCCCAUCCAGCGCAACCGCCGCCAACACCACUCCUCGAGAGUCCUCGCCGCCGGAGAAGUAGCAAGCAGGAUGGCCGGAAGGAAGGGCGGCGACAGGAAGAAGGCGGUGACCCGCUCCGUGAAGGCCGGGCUCCAGUUCCCCGUCGGCCGCAUCGGGCGCUACCUCAAGAAGGGCCGCUACGCCCAGCGCGUCGGCUCCGGCGCCCCCGUCUACCUCGCCGCCGUCCUCGAGUACCUCGCCGCCGAGGUACGCGCCGAUGUUUGCCGUCCUUUCUUGUGCACUCCUGUUCUUUCCGUGCUCGACGGAUAACUGACAGAUUUCGUUUUUGAAUCCCAGGUCCUGGAGCUCGCCGGCAACGCGGCCAAGGACAACAAGAAGACCCGCAUCAUCCCGCGCCACCUGCUGCUCGCCGUCCGCAACGACCAGGAGCUCGGCAGGCUGCUCGCCGGCGUCACCAUCGCCCAUGGCGGCGUGAUCCCCAACAUCAACUCCGUGCUGCUCCCCAAGAAGUCCCCCGCCGCCGCCGAGAAGGAGGCCAAGUCGCCCAAGAAGAAGACGUCCACCAAGUCCCCCAAGAAGAAGACCGCCGCCACCAAGGAGUAACCGCCCCCAUAGCCUAGCCAGUGUUGCUUAGAUCCAUUUCUCAUGGACUAAGAUGAGACCCUGUAUGUAAUGCCUGCUAGUCUGUGAUUUCGUCGAGCAUGGGUGACAUUGUACCUGCUAGUCAUGGACUAAGAUGAGAUCCAAUCAUUUCAGUCUGUUGUUCUAUCUAUGGCUGCAGUCAUUCCAAUCUCUUGUUCUACCUAUGGCUGCAAUUGAUCUUGCGAAUGCUUGCUCCCUGCCUAUACGUCUGAAGGACGCUUUACUUGUAAAUUCUCUCUUGUGUCAUCUGAAAAUUUCCGUUGAUCUGUAAUUUUCAGUGAUUUAUCUUUACUUCCUUGUGAAGUUCACUUCAAGCUUAUUCCUAUCAAGCUGCGGGAAACUGAAUCUAAGAAGAGCUUAUAAAUCAUCCUGCACCUCUCCCUGCGUGGCAGCUUAUAAAUUGAGCUUCAGAAGUCCUGCGGUCAAACAUUUCAAAUUUAGAGCUUGACCAUGCCGAAACAUUUUGAAGAAAUGUAACCUUGAUCUUUCUCUCUGUAGUUGAGCUGGUUACAUGUUGCCAAAAUAUAAUAACUAGUUCAUGUUCAUGAGCCAAAAGAAUUCUUAGAGUUGGAGCUGAGCCGAAAACAUGCGAACUGAAGUUUUGGCUGAAGUUUUGACCUGACAACGUUUUGGCUGCUACUAGAUGCAAAGUAUAAUAACUAGCCAGGUGAGGUGCUCAUUUUGUAAUCAGCUAAAGCAGAAACAGAUAUUGAGAAAUUUAGAUACUAGGAUCAGUCAGGCCCCUUAAAAUGGUCCAGUACAAAAAUGUUCUUCACCGGAGUGCACAAGAUUUCCUGGAUAAAUAAGCAAGUUAAUGUUGCAUGGUGGGAACAAUAAUAAAAAAGAAUUUCAGUAAAACUGAUGAAUAGGAAAAAAAUAGGUUAAAUGCAGAAUGGGUAUUCCGUAUAUUCAUCAGUUAAUUUUUUAUGGCCCAGUGGCGGGUUAACUUUUCUCCAUUCCGCGUCCCCAUUGAAAUUUUAAAUUUAUUGGGGAAAACAGGCAUGUGGUAUUUUUGAAGUUCGGUGGAUGAUUGUUUAGAUAUUUUCCGCUUUAGAAAAACAAGCUAGGAAAAACAAUUUAGAUGUUUCAUUCUAGCUAAAAGUUUAUUAAAGGAGCUGAAGACUUUUCAAUAUUUCCGCAUAUACCAACUGGUAUAUUUGAUGCAUGAUGUAGACAUGUUCAAAUGAAACACUUUGUGAACCGUCAUGAACUGUGAUUCUGGUUCGAUUUGUGGUAUGAUUGAACGCGCUCAUACGACUGCUCGUCUUCGGUUUUGUUAAAUCUAUGGCUUGUGUCCGACUUCUGUUUUGUGGUAUGACUGGACAAGUUUGCAGACACACUCGUAUGAGUAUGAGUGCUUGUCAAUCCUUCUGAUAACUUGGUCAUGCAUGGUCUAUGGGGAUACGAGCUACGAUGCGACCAGGGGCUGUUGUAUCACUAGUCAAUUGAUGGUGUUAUGACCCAGGGGUGCCUCACCUUGUCGAUUACCAGUCCAAGUAGGACGGCCCGAGGCCCGCUAGGCCGGUUCCGCUUGGGCCAUCUUGCCAGCCCACUGGCCCUCUAGGAGAAAGAAUUUGAAGCCUUUUCAUUCAAGAGAAAGAAGUCGGAUCCAUGGAGGACUCCUCUCCAUCGACUUUGUCAACUAUGGCUCUUCUAACUCUAGGGCCCUCGAUAUCUUAUAUAAACCAGGUUUGGGCUAGUUGACAAAAUAUCUUAGACAUUACAAUCCUUCGGUAUUACAUGUACUUUGUACAUCCAGGUCGAAAUAUACACAAAGUAGGAGUAGGGUUUACCUCCAUCAUGAGGGCCUGAAACUUGGUAAUCCGCUUCUUCUUUCUCCUCUAACCUAAUCACCACACUGGGAUAUCCUACCGAGGGAUCUACCGGAAACAUCUCUGACACCAUUGAGGGAGUCCUGAAUUCGGGGGUCCUCAGGUGUCCGGCCUAUUCAAUAUGGGCCGGACUGAUGGGCCGUGAAGAUAAGGCAGAAGACUAUCCCCCCGUGUCCGGGUAGGACUCAUGUGUGCGUGGGCGGCAAGUUUGGUGUCCGGAUAUACUGUUUCCAUCUUUUGUAAACCGAUUCUGUACAAUCCUAGGCCCCUCCGGUGUAUAUAAACCGGAGGGUUUAGUCCAUAGAGGCUAUCAGAAUAAUCAUAGGCUAGACAACUAGGGUUUAGCCAUUACGAUCUCGAGGUAGAUCAACUCUUGUAACCCCUAUAAUCAUCAAAUACAAUCAAGCAGGACGUAGGGUUUUACCUCCUUUAAGAGGGCCCGAACCUGGGUAAACAUUGUAUCCCAUUGUCCUUUGUUACCAUUGAUCCUUAGGCACACAACUUGCCCCCCGCUACCCAAGAUCUGCCGGUUUUGACACCGACAUUGGUGCUUUCAUUGAGAGCUCCGCUGUGUUGUCAAUAGAGGAAUCGAUGGCUCGCCUCGUCAUCAAUGACGAUGCUGUUUCCGGGGAGACCUUUCUCCCCAGUCAACUCUUUGUGUUCGGCGGCUUCGUGCUACUUGCCAACUCGACUGUCCACCUCGAGAAGGUCGACAACUACGCCCCUGGUCACCAGAUCAGGUUUGGAAUCUUGAAUUACACUGCCGAUAUCCGAGGAGACAUGAUCUUCGAGGGGUUCACGGCCUCGGCCGCCGCUCCCCACCCAUACGAAGGAGGCCCUUCGGAUCUACUGUCAGAUCCCGUCCAGGGGUCGACACUCGUAUCAACCUCAGCCUUAGAUCCGGGGCAAACCACAUCAUCUGAAGACGGGAGGAUGAAGCCCGCCGGACUCUUUCCUAUCGCGGAGCUUCCUGCCGGAUACCCAGAUGCGACCACGUCGCCUGUGAACCCGAAGUCAAACGGGACUCUUCCCAUCAUCGAAAAGCCGGACUCGCCUCUGGAUGUCAACUCCGAACUAUCGAUGUUUACAUCCAUCGGGCUCAAUCAAGUGGUCAUCGCCGAGCCUGGUACUGCAGAUCCGCAUCCUCCUAUCCAGCUUUCGCUCUUAAACGAAACAUUGGACUUAAUACGAUCUCUCGCCAUCACAGAAGCGUUACCUCCGAACUACACCCAUCUUGGGCUAGGGACUGAGAGCAGGGAAUUUUAUGUUCCACCCACCACCCACUUAAUAGCCACUAUCGAGGAUUUAACCGACAUGCUAGACUACGCCUCCGAAGACAUCGACGGCAUGGACGAUGAUGUCGAUGCCGAACCAGGUCAAAACCCGCCUAUCACCGGGCGUUGGACGGCCACUUCUACCUACGACGUAUACAUGGUGAAUACACCUGAGAAAAAGGACGAUGAUGUCACUCAAGAUCUAGACAAGGACAAGCCCGUCGAUGAACCACCAAAGCGCGAGCGUUAGCGGCGCCACUCACUUUCGCACCAGAGGUAAUGACACUCCGGACAAUGCCGAAGACCACAACCACCCCGUCGAACCUGCGUUCGAGCAGGAUGAAACGGAAGAGGGUCAAUACAACCUCGAGCACGCCGAUCACGAGGAUUCGGAAGAUAGUAACUACUUACCUGUCUCCAAAGAGGAUGUUAGCCUUGGUGAUGAUGAUUUUAUCGUCCCAGAGGAACCCCUCGAACAAGAAUGCUUCAAGCGAUAGCUCAUUGCCACCGUGCGGAGCCUAAAAAAGAAAUAGCAACAGCUUCAAGCCGAACAGGAUACGCUCAACGACAGAUGGACCAAGGUCCUAGCUGUCGAAGAAUGCGACUUCGAGCGACCAACAAAGAGUUACCCCAAACACAGACUGCUGCCACAAUUCGACGACGAGGCCCUUGAGCCAAUACCGUCAAAGUACGAUCAUGCUGAUCAACCGGACCGACCACCACGUGGACGGGGCAAAACAACCCAUCAUGCCGAACACCGACACGUGCCCCCCCACCGUAGAGGCAAGGAGAGAGCGGCUCCGGACUACACAUACGACUUACGUCAGUACUUGGCCAAUGAAGCCGGCCAGACUCGAUCAAUCUAUGGAUUAAGAGGACAUGUUCCAACACGAGAUGACGGCCAUCAGGCCCGGCACGAUGAAUAUAAUCAAGUUCGGGGUCAGCACCAAACGCAGAUGUCAUCCAAACUCCGUCGCGAUGUUGCCCGGUAUAGAGGUGCCGCUCACCCUAUGUGCUUUAUCGAUGAAGUAAUGCUGCACCAAUUUUUGGAAGGGUUUAAACCCGUGAACAUCGAGAAGUACGAUGGAACAACGGAUCCUGCCAUAUGGAUUGAAGAUUUUCUUCUCCACAUACACAUGGCUCGCGGAGAUGACCUCCACGCCAUUAAAUACCUCCCCCUAAAUCUAAAAGGACCAACACAUCGCUGAUUGAAUAGCCUCCUAGAGAACUCCAUUGGAAGUUAGGAAGACUUAGAAGGCGCUUUUCGGGCCAACUUUGAGGGCACUUAUGUCCGACCACCGGAUGCUGAUGACCUAAGUCACAUAGUCCAGCAACCCGGAGAGUCAGCUCGCAAACUUUGGAAUUGGUUCCUAAUUAAAAAGAACCAAAUCAUGGACUGUCCAGACGCCGAAGCCUUAGCGGCAUUCAAACACAGCGCCCGUGAUGAAUGGCUCGCCCGACACCUCGGGCAGGAAAAACCAAAGACCAUGGCAGCUCUUACUACACUUAUGACCCGCUUUUGUGUGGGAAAAGAUAGCUGGUUGGCUCGUAGAAGCAACACUUCCAGCGACCCCGGCACUUCUGAGGCCAGGGAUGGCAAUGGUAGACCACGACGCCACAAAAACAAGCGUCAGAACAAUAACGAAGAAAUAGAUGAUACGACAGUAAAUGCCAGAUUCAGUGGUUCCAAACCCGCUCAGCGGAAGAAGCCUUUCCAGGGCAAUCAAGACAGUCCAUCCAACUUGGACAUAAUAUUAGAGAGACCUUGCCAGAUUCAUGACAUCCCUGACAAGCCUGCCAACCACACCAAUCGAAAUUGCUGGGUUUUCAAGCAAACCAGUAAAUUAAAUACCGAACACAAGGGGAAAGGACCUCCAAGCAAGGACAAUGAUGAGCCUCGUCAGCCGAACACUGGGGGACAGAAGCAGUUUCCUCCCGAGGUGAAAACAAUGAACAUGAUCUAUGUCACCCACAUCCCUAAGAGGGAGCGCAAACGCGCAUUAAGGGACGUCUACGCCGUAGAGCAUGUCACCCCAAAAUUCAACCCAUGGUUGGCUUGUCCGAUCACCUUUGAUCGCAGGUACCACCCAACCAGUAUUCGUCACGGAGGUUCGGCGACCCUAGUACUCGAUCUUAUCAUUGACGAAUACCAUCUCACUAGAGUCCUUAUGGACGACGGCAGCAGCCUUAACUUGAUCUAUCAAGAUAUUGUCUGUAAAAUGGGUAUCGACCCGUCAAGAAUUAAGCCUAGUAACACUACCUAUCGGCGGGUUAACUUUUCUCCAUUCCGCGUCCCCAUUGAAAUUUUAAAUUUAUUGGGGAAAACAGGCAUGUGGUAUUUUUGAAGUUCGGUGGAUGAUUGUUUAGAUAUUUUCUGCUUUAGAAAAACAAGCUAGGAAAAACAAUUUAGAUGUUUCAUUCUAGCUAAAAGUUUUUUAAAGGAGCUGAAGACUUUUCAAUAUUUCCGCAUGUACUCACAGAUAUAUUUGAUGUAUGAUGUAGACAUGUUCAAAUGAAACACUUUGUGAAGCGGCAUGAGCUGUGAUUUUGGUUCGAUUUGUGGUAUGAUCGAACGCACUCAUACCACUGCUCGUCUUCUGUUUUGUUAAAUCUAUGGCUUGUGUCCGACUUCUUCUGUUGUGGUAUGAAUGGACAAGUUUGCAGACGCACUCGUAUGGGUAUGAGUGCUUGUCAAUCCUUCUGAUAACUUGGUCAUGUGUGGUCUAUGGGGAUACGAGCUACGCUGCGACCGGGGGCUGUUGUAUCACUAGUCAAUUGAUGGUGUUACGGCCAAGGGGUGCCUCACCUUGUCGAUUACCAGUCCAAGUAGGACGGCCCGAGGCCCGCUAGGCCGGUUCCACCUGGGCCAUCUUGUUAGCCCACUGGCCCUCUAGGAGAAAGAAUCUGAAGCCUUUUCGUUCAAGAGAAAGAAGUCGAAUCUGUGGAGGACUUCUCUCCACCGAUGUUGUCAACUAUGGCUCUUAUAACCCUAGGGCCCCCGAUAUCUUAUAUAAACCAGGUUUGGGCUAGUUGACAAAACAUCUUAGACAUUACAAUCCUUCGAUAUUACAUGUACUUUGUACACCCAGGUCGAAAUAUACACAAAGUAGGAGUAGGGUUUUACCUCCAUCACGAGGGCCUGAACCUUGGUAACUCGCUUCUUCUUUCUCCUCUAACCUAAUCACCACACCGGGAUACCCUACAGAGGGAUCUACCUGAAUCAUCUCCGACACCAUAAAAGGACCACAUCACCCGUAGAACAACACCACAUCACCACUGAUACUGUAGUACCAUCAGAGGGGCCAACUUUCUGUUAAGGAGUACAUAUCCCAUAAGAAGCAGGAUUAACAAAACCCAACGAACAAGCUACGUAAGCGAUAAGGUAGGAGAUAAGGAUACUCUCACGUAGCAUAGAGGUGGAUGGCUGCUCCAGAUCCAGGUAGAGGCAUGGCGGGGCGUGGCGCGGUCCAGUUCCGGGCAUGGCAAUCAGGCGCAUGCAUGCGAGACUGGGCGCGACGAGAAGGUGUGUAUGGUCCAGAUCCGCACGGUGCAUGAUGAGUUGGGGCAGGCCGGUGUAUUAGGGCACGGACAUAAGGUAUUUGCGGCCCAGAUCUGCAUGGUGCAUGCUCCUAGUGGCGUGUUCUCGCGAGUGUGCACUUUUACGAUGCGAUGGAGGAGUUUGACGCAGGAUGCUAAUCGAGUGGUGCGACGCGUGGAUGGCUUGUUAGGGGGGUUGCUUGAGUCCUUGGGCUUGGAGGGUGAUGCAAGCGAAAGCUGUACUCUGACGAUGGCGCCUUCGAGCCCCUUUUCCUUGUUGGAGGUGUCAAGGUGAUAGUCCUUACUUUUCCUCCCGACAAGCUACGAUGGAAAACCUAGAUCCGGUUUACCGAAUUUGGCAAUGGCAGCAUUGUGUUGCUCGCAUUCCCUCUUGAUGGCAUCGUUUCGAAGGUGCCGGUCGGAGGGACUUGUGGGUUGUGGCUUGUGGAGUUGGCCGGUGACGACUAGUGUGUUUUCGGCCGUGUGGCGUGGUUACUGAAUUGGGCGGUGGGUACUAGGAGCAUCCUUCACAUAUGCGAGGUGCGUCGGGUGGGCCAUGUCAGCCAACCUCGUGGGAUCGAAGCGGCAUAUGUUUGAAUUUAUCAGACGUAUCAUUCCUCUCUGGCGCCGUCGUGGUUCGUGGACAAUCUUGUGACAAGCCCGGACUAAUGCAACGGUUCUCUCCUUUAUCCCGUUGCUAAUGAAUCAAUAGAGAGAGGCCUCCCUAAAAAAAAUCAAUAGAGAGACAUGGGGCUGCAAUGUAUUUCUUGAGCAUCCUCCAGCCAAAAAAACAAACUCUUGAGCAUCUUUUUGUGCUCUGCGACGUGCGGUAUGUACACGGUGCUGGAGCGUCCGUCGUCCCACAGCGCGACAUGGCCGGAGCGUACGUCCCACGAGUACGCGGGAGUCCACACGCUAUCGAUCCGCGCCGCGCCCGUGUGCGUUCUCGCCACGUCAUCGAUCCGCGUCCGAACGCAUCGGGUCCGUCCGUCCCAAGCAUCACCGAACGGCUGGAUCCACUCCACGGCAUCGAUCCGAGGCACCAUCCUCUCCGCCAACCACAGCCCACCUCCCUCCUUCCUCCUGCUCCCUACAUAACCUCGCCGCCCCCAUCCGUCUCUGCACACCACAGCAUCCGCAGCCCCCCUCACACCCCACCCCACCACACCCUCGAAUCACCACCACCAGCAGCACCCAUGGCACCCAAGGCGGCGGAGAAGAAGCCGGUGGCCACGGCCGAGAAGACGACGGCGGGGAAGAAGCCCAAGGCGGAGAAGCGGGCGCCGGCGUCCAAGGAGGCCGGCGGCGAGGGGAAGACGAGGGGCAGGAAGAAGGGCAGCAAGGCCAAGAAGAGCGUGGAGACGUACAAGAUCUACAUCUUCAAGGUGCUGAAGCAGGUGCACCCAGACGUGGGCAUCUCCUCCAAGGCCAUGUCCAUCAUGAACUCCUUCAUCAACGACAUCUUCGAGAAGCUCGCCGGGGAGUCGGCCAAGCUCGCCCGCUACAACAAGAAGCCCACCAUCACGUCCCGGGAGAUCCAGACCUCUGUGCGCCUCGUCCUCCCCGGGGAGCUCGCCAAGCACGCCGUCUCCGAGGGCACCAAGGCCGUCACCAAGUUCACCUCCUCCUAGGCAGCUAGGAUUGAUCCUCGUCGCUUCAUGCGUUCUGUAUGUACGUAGUUGGCAGUAUGAUGUUACAAUCUUUGUAAGGAUUGUGUUGCUUGCUCGCGGCCUUGAAAGAAAUAGUGAUGUUGUUGUUGUUUGAAUCAAUGUUCAUUGUGCUUGCGCGUCGCUUCAGUUCAGACUCUUCUUGAUGCCAUUUGUUUAUGUCAGCAAAUUUCUGUUUAUCUAAUUUUAAUUUGCUGCCAUUUUAUCUACUGCUGUAGUUUCUAAGCCUACAGACAGAAACCUCUAAUUUUAAGUCUAAUUUUGAACCUCUAAUGAACCUCUGGACUUGUCAUCCAUAUGGCAAGAAGCCAAGAACAGCUUGCCAACUAGUGUUCAGAAAUUCAGAAUGCAUUAUUCAGAUUAGCUUCUUGAGAUAAAUUAGAGGCUUUUCGCAAAAAGAAGAAGAGAUAAAUUAGAUGUGGUUCACCCACGUUUUUUUAGAGUCAAGGAACAUGCCAGAUGCAACCAUCAUCUUGAGUAUUGAGACAUGUGAGUUUUUCAUCUAUUAUGUUUUUAUACUACACUAGGUAAUUUUUCUUUGUAGCACUGCCACACUAGGUAAUUUUUCUUUGUAGUACUGCUACACUAGGUAAUUUGUGAUCACGAAGCGACCCAUUUUGUGAAGGCGCAAAGUUUUUCUAAUGAUUCAUCUAUGAUCAUGAAGCGACCAAUUGAUCUGCAUUCUGCAAGUAAUUAGGUUUUUGACAGCAAUUAGACUUUAUUCCUCAGAUAAUAGAUAAAUUGUUUACAAGAGAGUGAGAAAUAAAGCCAGGGAUCAUUUGCCGAGGGGACUGAAGCUCCACAAGCAGAAAAGGUGGAGUGGGGAAAAAGAAUUGUUUGUCUCAAGGAACAACUUGCAGCUAGCGCUAAAGAUGCAGUUGAGAUACAAGAGAACCAAUACAGUUUUUUUUUUCUUAUAUGCAAGAACCAAUACAACUUGAGGUAUACCUUAGUACAUUAAUUUUUCCUAGCUAAAUCCAGUAGUACAAAGCAAAUCAAUAACCUAAGAAACAACCAAGGCUCCAUGGACAUGUGGAGGAAACAAUCUGCUACAGCAACAUAUGCCUGCGUACAGACCAUGACUAUACAGAAGCAACAUAUACUCUGACGUGGAAUUUCUUACAAUGCAUAGUGGCCUUGCCAUUUCUUACAGUGGAGCUGGUAAAUCUCGUAGACGAUGACUAUACAGAAGUAACUUUUUGGCAAAGCUUGCCACCAAAGACAGAAGUAACUUUUUAGCAAAGCUUGCCACCAAAGAGAACUAGGGUCUACGAGUAUCUCCAUGGGAAUAGUUGGUACAAGUGGAGAUACAUUUUAGUGUUCCUGAUCACUUUUAUCAGCAAGAUCUUGCAAGAGAGUCCGUUGUUUUGGACCAUCAUCGUCUGGUCCAGGAUCAUGAGAUCUAACUACAAACAUAAUCUAUUUUCUUGACAAUAGAACGAUAACCCAUCACCCGUUUACUGACUUGGCAAAUUGGCAAUCCAUCAAAAACUGCAGCCUGAAACAUGUCUGCGCAUCAUUUGUUUGGCUAGGUAGAUUCUGCAAGGCAUCCAAGCUUCUGCCUAUUGUUUCUUCUAUCCAGGCAAGCCUCCUCUCAAGUUUUAGCACACUAGCAUGAAUAACCCUAAUAUCAACUUCCGCAAGCUUGGCAAAUGAGCGUACCAACAUGUAAUAAUCAGCGUGUCCAACACAAACAAGACUACCAGUUAUUGUUUUCUUAAGGUAGCCAUCUGAUCUCGUACACUUCCUUGGCGGCAUAUAACAAAAUCCUUGGUCUUCUAUUUCUGACUUGAUACUUAGUAUCCCUGAUGAUGAUGCAGAAAACCACCUUGCGCCGACAAAAGUUCCAUCCCAACCUCGUUUAUUCAGUCCAGUUGUGUUUCACAUUUCCUCCAUGUGCGGUUUUGGAUUCUCAUCCUGCAAUGCAACAAAUUUAGCCAUCAAGUCAACAACAUUCACCCCCAAAAGACGUGUAGUAAAUCCUCAAGGUGCUACAUUUGUACAAAUUUUAAGCUCAGAUACGCUGCGGAUAAAAUAGAGUUUUUUAACAAAUAAUAAUUGUUUUUCUCUCUAUCUUUUAAUUUUAUAAUUUGGCUGUUUCUCAAAAACAAAACCAGUUGCGUUUGGUUUCUAUAAUCAUUUAUGUUUUCUUUCAUGCUGAUUUUGCUCCUCAAAUAAUAUUCAUAGAUAGAAGGUUAUUAAUGGUUUGUACCCAAGGUUCGGAAAUGCUAGGUAGAGAUUGGAAGUUCAAAAUAAAUGUGUGAUUAGAGUACAACAGAAUUUUUUUUCUGAAUACAACUUCAUUGUUCUUAAUCUGUAAAAUUUAUAUUAUGGCAGUUCCUCAAAAUAUAACAAAAAUAUCAUUCAAACCAAUUGUGUUUGGUUUCUAAGUUCAUUUGUGUUUUUUGUGUGUGCUAAUCUGAUAAAUACAAAGCAUAAGACCAUCAAUACAAAGGAGCACUUACAAAGAAUCCGUAAACAAGAUGGCAAGUAGAAACACAACAACAUAAAAACAGAGGAAAAUGUAACCAUGACAAUAUAAAUUUACCACAUGAUAUUGUUUCCAGUAGUUUGCAAACUAUUGGAUGGAACUUUCUGUAAUUCUGCAGCUAUGAAAAGCUAACUGCAAGGCAUGAAAUUGACUAAUGGCACGAAGUGACGAGAAAAAGAGAAGCAAGUGCAGAAGUUCACCAACGAAACAAGCAAUGACCAGUAUCUGAAGAUGGCCCAUCAUUGGACAUUGAUACUUCCCAAAUUACUCUUAAAAUCUCAACAUGGGAAAAAAUGGAACUGACGACACAUAAUUCGUUCAACCAUGAUUUAGAAAAAUAUAAUUAGAUGAGACCAUUCAGCCAUGUCAUCCAGGCUGGCAAGGAGUUUGGCUUUUCACCGGUACAGGCACACACUUUGUUUUAUCAGACACUGCUCUGGCUCACCACCGAGGGGGUGACCCAGAUGAAUCAUGAACUACUACCCAUAGCCAUCAUGCUUGGCUUCUUCUCACACUGCGAACCCAACCUCCUCACCGCGCUCUCCCAAUCCCAGGGUGACAGAAGGUGGCUCCUUGUCCCCCAGAACCCGAUGCGUUUGUCAUCAACUUGUGCACCAGUCACUAGAUGGAGUCAUUGAGAUACAAUCACCAAUAGCAAUGGGGUCACCUCACAACAAGAAAAAGAAGACAGUAGCAUCCAGAAUAAUAGACAAUACAGUGUAUAAGGCAGAUCUCUGUGUGAUAGAGGCCAUAAAUAUAAGAAUACCAGUAAAGUGUUCUUGUGAGUCUAGAGUGUGGAACAGGGCCUUACAGACAAGUUGAUCCCUGGCUAUUGUUGGCACUAUUUGAUAACAUGAAGUCGGUAAUGAAAAUACUACUUGGAGGUGCAGGGCAUAAGAAACAUGAUGGCACACUGAGACUGUGUUUAUACCUGGAAAAUUGUCCAGCAGGUGUGUGCAGAGGCAUGGAUUCGACAGCUCCACCAGUUGAAUCUUGAUUAGACAGCAAAGAGUAUUGAUCUAGCGAGACCUUACAUAAUAUCACUGCAUAUUAGUAGAACAAAAAAAACUGAGCUAUUAUUUGCUUUUUGUUUCAUCUUCCAUUAAAUGUGGUAACUAUCUCAUACUGAAGUCCUAACUUCCUCUGUUCCAGAAUUAGUUACCUGGGUUACAAACUUACAAAAGAACCAGUUUGGUCAACUUAAUUAUUUUUAGGCGCGUGGAAUUGAAGUAUACUAUUAAUAUUAAAGGCAAUCAUAAGAAAAUGUUUGCAGUUCUCUGAAUACAACCACUCAGUCACAGGAUGGAAGAACCAUGUUUUUCCUCUAGUACACAACUAAAGUAUUUGUCCUUGUGUGGUACAUCAGUUGCAUCAAUGGAAAGUAGAUUCAUAUAUAUCAGAGGGACAUUAUGCUGAGUGGAGAACUGGCAUUACUCCCACUUCAGUAAAAUGCAUAUGGUCUACUUCAGUGGCAGCACCACAAGGACCAAGGAUGUAAAUUAAUGGAUAAAUUUGACAUACAUAAAUACAUAAACUUUAGUAAAUAUAGAUAAGAAUAUUUUAUAUAACUACCUAGCUGUCGAGCAUAUCCAUGGUGACAAGCUUUGUGCCAUUUUCUUUUGUUCCAGAUUAACAUGUCGAUUGAUCUCAGAAUGCAGUCUUCCCCUGACACAGCAACAUGCUCGACCAGACAGAACUGACCCCACAAACCAUAUAUGCCAACCAUGCAGAAGGAAUAUAAUAUAUGUGUAAAUAGAGUAAGGAAUUCUCUCUAUCUGCAUGCAGUGGCCUUCCAUGCAUAAUAUUCCUGAUUUGCUAAUACCAAUUUUUCUUCCUGUGAGUGCUUAGUAGAACUAAAACCGAGUACAUGAUGUGCGGUUUCAGUACUACUAGGUGUGAGGAGGAGGAGGUUAGCCUUGAUGGCCAGGUGGUACCUCGGAAGGACACCUUUCGGUAUUUGGGGUCAAUGUUGCAGGAGGAUGAGGGUAUUGAUGAAGAUGUGAACCAUCGAAUCAAAGCCGGAUGGAUGAAGUGGCGCCAAGCUUCUGGCAUUCUCUGUGACAAGAGAGUGCCACAAAAGCUAAAAGGCAAGUUCUAUAGGACGGUGGUUCGACCCGCAAUGUUGUAUGGCGCGGAGUGUUGGCCGACUAAAAGGCAACAUGUUCAACAGUUAGGUGUGGCGGAGAUGCGUAUGUUGAGAUGGAUGUGUGGCCACACGAGGAAGGAUCGAGUCCGGAAUGAUGAUAUACGAGAUAGAGUUGGGGUAGCACCAAUUGAGGAGAAGCUUGUCCAACAUCGUUUGAGAUGGUUUGGGCAUAUUCAGCGCAGGCCUCCAGAAGCUCCAGUGCAUAGCGGACGGCUAAAGCGUGCAGAGAAUGUCAAGAGAGGGCGGGGUCGACCGAAUUUGACAUGGGAGGAGUCCGUUAAGAGAGACCUGAAGGAUUGGAGUAUCGACAAAGAGCUAGCUAUGGACAUGGGUGCGUGGAAGCUUGCUAUCCAUGUGCCAGAGCCAUGAGUUGGUUGUGAGAUCUUAUGGGUUUCACCUCUAGCCUACCCCAACUUGUUUGGGACUAAAGGCUUUGUUGUUGUUGUUGUAGUGUGAGGAGUCUUGAAAGAUUGGCAUUUGUUGUUGUGACGGUUAAAUAGUAUGGAGAUACUCCUCAGAAAUAGUAUGGUGAAUAAGUUCUGUGCACAUGUCCAGCAGAAAAUUUACAUCAGAAUAAUUAGGUCUGUUUUUCUUUUAUUUCAGAGGUAGUUAGCUGGAAUUUCUGAGUAAACACAUAAGUCUAAUCCCAGUGAAAAAAAUCAAGCUAUCUUAACCUCCAAUUUUGAUCAAGUAAAACCUGUUUACGGAAGUUAUGAAUCUGAAGAGCAGAGUGACUUUUUCCUAGUGGCAAUAUGCUUAGAUAUAUCCCUCCUAUUUGAACAAAAUAUCCAAUGCAUUUGUCCCCACAUAAAUAUAAAGCACUGAUCAACACAAGCAUGUAUACGUCCCUCCUAGUGUUUCACCCCCCACCUUUUAAAUCCCUUAAGAUCUUCUCUGUUUUGGUCAUGAAAUUCAGGAAAAGCAAGUUAACUCAGCUCAGUUCAAGUCACUGAGCAGAACAAAAAAUAGCGACAGCAGCCCAGAUCUGCUGACGCUCUGCAGAAGCAACAGAACAGAGGCGCACUACAUUCAGUGGCUGACAAGCGAGUUGGAGUCACCGCACUGAUGUACACUUCAUUACCGAGGUAUAACCUUUACUAAUUCAUGAAUUAAUAUUUUUCUUUUACUGAAUAUAUACUAUUUUUCAUUUUUCUCUUCUUUUUCAGAUUGAUAUGAUUGCGAUCAUGUUUCAACAGGAAAAAUGUUUGUAUAUAAUGCCAUGGUAACAAUAUCCCUGUUAGUUAUCCCUGCUGCUCAUUAAACACAAUCAGAAUAGAUAUAUAAAUCAUUAAACACCAAGGAUUACAAGUACCCAGGUCACCGACUCGUGGACAUGCUAUGACACUAGUUUGGUUGCAAGACAAGUACUAGUCAAGCAACUCUUAAAUCUGAAUCCUUGCUAAACAAAACAAUUUGCAACUUUUUUGUUAGGAUGGACAACAGGUUGAAGGUCUCAGUGUCGGCUCAAGGCAGCAAACUAUGAUGAAUUUUGUUGCAAAAUAUAUUAUUAAAUCUAUGAUUUCACUCAAUUGUAGACAGAUAGAAGAAAACACUUUUGCCCUCAGUGCAAGCUGUAGGUUGUAGAUGGAAAAUCUCAUAUCAUUUUCUUCUUCAUAUGUUAACAAGAACAAAUGUUAGUUCAACCUUCAUUGGAUUUGCUUGUUAUACAUGGCACCUCCAUUCGUUUAUUCUGACAAUUAGUGGCGGAUGCAAAUGAUAAGACUGAUUCAUAUGUAGAAAUUUGAAAAUUGCCAAACUAAAAAAAGGUCAACUAUGGUAUUUAGGAACAAGUAAGGAGGAAGAAAACAAAAGGUUAAAAAAGAACAGACAUCCAUUAGAAUAUAUAUCUAAGCAAACUUUAGUACUAACUGUCACAAUAUUUGUAAGAAUAAUCCAAAUACUGAACAUUGAACUGCAAACUUAGUAGUAACUGAAAUAUGAUGCAACUCAAAAUACAAUGAAGUCAAAAGGGAACAUGCUAGAUAAACGUUGCCAUGAAAGCAGACCACACUGAUAUCUUCUCUAAGGAAUGACAACAACAUCAUAUCAGGGUUCAGGAAUCAAAUUAUCAGUUACAUCAAAAGUCAGCAAUGAGCAAACUGGCAUGUAAAAACCACACUACAAAAGAUAGCCCGCUUCCAGUUAGGCAUAGAACAAUGAGGCAGGAGUUACCAGCUUCCUACGCAGAGUGAAAACUUUGUUGCGCCAGCCAUACACACGUUAUGAAUUUUCAUAGCCUGUUCCUGGUUCAUCUAAACAAGAAAUUAGUUGGUAUAUCCCCUUUGCAAGCGGCUGCAUAGUCCUCAGCGAGGUGUGGUGCAGCUUUCUUGUGAGGGCAUAUGUACUUGUCCAUGAAAUACUUCUCAGGCGUACUAACUGCAGUAUAGAAGCUCAGCUUGCAAUCUACCAAUCCAUUUUCCUUGAGGAACUUGAGAACAUAGUACCGGGGCCUAACCCGGCCCUCCAGGCUAAGGCAAGUAAUUAUCGGUCAAUGAGCAAUGUACAUGGGCUCCAACCCCACCUCAGAUAGCAGGAACUCGGACUUGCGCUGUAGCAUGUCCUUAGAAAUCCUGAGCAGCAUCGGAGCCUUAGACAAAGCAAUGACCACCUCAGCAGCAGACCACCUGAAGGUGUUCUUCAAGUAGUCCACUUUGGCGGCGAUCUUGUCCUCACUGAGAAACGCGACAGCCUGCAGCGCUUGCCUGAACAUCCCAGAGCCACGCGGCACACCUAAUCUGUCAGCACAUGCCACCAUCGCACGGACGUGCUCCGGGUUGGUGGCCAGCAUCCUCGACACAGCGACACACGGAUUGACAAUAUCGCAGUCACCUAACCCGCAGCACUCUCGCAGGAACACGACAUUGGGCUUGAUCACCUUGCCGAGGUCCGACGAGAGUAGGCAGGAGGAGCGCUGGAGCGCCCGGAGGAAGUUGUCGAAGGAGCCGAAGAGGGGCAGGUAGUACUGCAUCUUGGAGACGAUGUGUCUGGAGCGGAAGCAUUGGGGGCCGAGGGAGACGAGGCGGGCGAUCUCAAGACGCGAGAGACCUAUGCCACUGAGCCCGACGGCCUUAGGGGCCAGGGUUCGGUCCACUUUGGCGCAAAGUAGCCGCGGGUCUUUGGCGACGACGGCUGCGGCGUCGGUGCCGGAUAGGCCGAGGCCAGAGAGGAAGACGAGGACGGCGUCGGGGUUGGCGAGGGACUUGAGGUGGGAGAGCUUCUUGGAGGCCUUGAGGGCUUGGGGCCGGGUGAGGCCGCAGGUGCCGACGAGGUAGUCCGUAGUCCUCGACGGUGAAGCUACUAGGGUUCGGAGAAAUGGGGUCUGCGGCAGUGGAGAGGAUGAGAUGGCUGAGGACGGAGCUUCGGAGGCGGAGCAUGGCGGCGACGGCGGACGGAGCAGAGCAGAGGUAUCUCCUCCGAUGGGUUGCAACAGGCAGCGUGUCUGUGGUUGGUGGUGGUGUGAAUGGGCUGCAAUCCUUCCGUUUGUCGUGUGUAUGUGGGCUCUAUUCGGCCGGAGUUUUGGUAGGCCCACAUAAAAUAUUUCUUACAUCUCAGAAAAAAAAACAUAUGAUGUUUCUUGGGCUUUUGGUCGUUGGUUGAAUAUUUCGAAAUCUCUGGUUAAACCAUCCCACUAAACUGCUACUCCUAGCCGCGGACAUGACAAAGAUAAAAUGUGUCCAGGAAUAAGGAGAAAGGAGAUGUUGGUGUCUUAUUAUGCCGUGACGGAGAUGGACGUUAUCGGGAGGACUCGACGGUCAUCUUCAGUGGCGACCCUGACCCUUGGGCUCUCGAGGUUGUGGCCUGCAUAGAAGCUUUCGCAUUGGCAGAAGCAGUAACGGAGCUAGAGCUAGACGGAUUAUGCUGGGGGCCAAUGACAAAAUACGAGUGUUUGGAGUCAAGAUGGGAAUGUGUUGGCAUGGACCUGGACCCAUGGCCGCAAGGCCAAUUUCAGGGGCCACGGGUCGACCCAUUCUGACAAAGUCAUGUGGCCUCGCUGGCCCAUUGGGUGCCCAGGACUGACCCGAAAUUCAGCUAGAAUUCCACAGCUUUUUAGCUAUGCAUGAAUACACUACUUUUGCAGACUACUUCCACAACAUUUAAGGCAUGUCCAGAACAGUUAAGAUACACACCAUGAUAGAGUAAAUUGCAUAAAACCACCACUUUGAGGACUAGUUUGCGAAAAACACUAGGAUACAGAAUCGUUGGAGAAAGCACCACGUCUAGCGUAAUUGUUUUGUAAAAAACCACUGAUCGGUGGAUCGGGCCGUGUUAAGUGAGUUUAUGAUAGGUCGGACCCGUUUUUCGACUACGUGGCACUCCAGGCUGUCCCGACAGCCGGCAGACGGCGUUAGACGACGCCGUUAGGGCUCGUCUUUAGUCAUCCACUCCCGCAUCCGUCUCUUUUCCCCAUUCUUCUUCCCCCUCCUCCUCACUCCCGCCACCGUCACCCUCCCCCAUUCUUCUUCCCCCUCUCCCUCACCCCUCGCUCCCGUCGCCCCUCGCACUGCAGAGAUGCGUAGUCCGACAAAAGGUGGAGAUGCUGGUGGCGGCGCUCCGCCCGGCAGCGCCGCACGCAUCGUACGUAGUGGAUGAGGACCCGCAGUGGAUCCAAGCGAGCUUUGCGGUAGCUCGAACCCUAGCAAGCCGACGGAGGAAGAGGAGGAGGAGAAGGACCGCAAUAUUCGACGAAAUACAGGGCGGCCAGAGCAUUCGCCGCGGCGGUGAGGGCCAAUCCGACGGGAAGCCAGCACAUCGCGUCAUCCUUCGGCGGUGUAUAGUGAGAUCCACAUUUCUUUGCUCUUCCCUUCCCGUUCUCCAUUCAAUUGCGUUGCCAGGGUACUCCUAGGGUUAGGGUUCAUAUUGUUCUAUCCUAUCAGAUGCAGUACAAGUGUUAGAUGUUGUGAUUUUGUUGUCAUGUGCCCUAGGACAUUAUUUAGAUUAGCUCAGAUUAUGUGCUUUGUUUGUCCUGUGCCUUAGGGUUGACAUUUUUAGAUUAGUUCUGAUGCUGUGCUUUGUUUGUCCUAUGCCCUAGGGUUGACAUUUGGUUAAUUUAGUUAUCCUAUUAUCUACUUUAUAAGUGACAAAGCAUUUAAACUAUGUAUUUUAUUAGUGUUAUUAGUGUUAUUCAGUUUUGGUUAUUAGUGUUAUUAGUGUUAUCCUGUUAUCUGCUUUAUUUGUUUGUCCUGUCCUGUGCACUAAUAUGAGUUGUUUCAUUAGUGUUAUUCAGUUUUAAUUAAGCACUCAUACUGCUAUGUAUUUUAUAUUAUUUGCAGUCUGGAUGAUGAGGUUUGAGAAUUGAGGAUGCAUUUCCAUGACAGAGACAACAUUGAGAGAUCUAUGAUGGUGUCAGACAUAACAUUUUACAACCUAGUAGCACUGAUAGAAACAGAAGGUUAUGGAUUUAAAGAUUACAUGUACUAUGUCAGGGAUCCUGGGCUAGGGAUAGAAGGAAUGGAAGAAAUAGAUGAUGAUGACAAGCUUGAGGAAAUUCUAGAUAACAUAGCAGUGCAAAAUCAAAAGAUAUUGAAUGUGACAGUUGUUAGGGCCAGUUCUCCCAAUGCUGCAAGUAUAAACACCAGCUCCAAUGUUAUUGAGCAGGAAAUCCCUCUAGAAGAAAUUGGAGAGCCCAAACUGUAUCAGAUAGAUAAAGAAGGAGUGUUGUUCAGUGCACCAAAUGUGCAUGUAGCAGCAGCAAGUUCAAAAGCAACAGAAGUGGAGCCAAUGCCCAUACAGUUUCAAACACAACAUAACACCAAUUUGGAGGAGCAACUUACUUUAGGUUAUGUACAAGUGGAAUAAAAUCAUGUAUACAAUUCAGAGGAGCAAAUGGAAAUUGAAAAGGUUAUGGAGGAGACAAGGAGGAAGGAAAUUGAAAUAUUUAGGAAGAAUAGGAAAAAUAAAGAGAAGGACACUUCUGUGAAGAGAAAAUCUGUAGUGAUGGAUAAUGAGGAGGACAGUGAUGAUGAUAAUUUGGAAGAAUAUGGUGAUAUCCUUGCUAGGCUUGAUGAGAUGAAAAGACAGAGGGAAGAUCCACUCCUUCAUUUUGAAGGGGACACAUAUGUUGAGGAAAUGUAUGAGAUAGAGGAGGAGGAGGAUGCACUAUAUGAGCCUGAAAGAAGAAGAUGAUGCAGAGGAGGAAGAGAGUACUCUGGAGGAAGAGGAGCAGGUAGGGCAAGAUGGACAGAAGAAGAAAAAGGAGAAGAAACACAGAAAAGUCCCAACAAGCAGAUCACAUGCAAGUGUAGAGGAGUUGUUUGAGGAGGACUGGAUACCAUCUUCUGAUGAAGACAACAAACCAAUGGACUUGGGUGUGGAAGAUGAUGAUGGUGCAGAGGCAUUGACAUAUGUUUUGCCCAAUGGCAGGAAAAACAGAGCUAAGAAGAUGAAGAAAAGGUUAUGGUAUGCUGAGAAGAGAGCUCACCGAGCUGAGCAACUUGUGAAGCAUCUUUGCUUCAUGAUGUGUACCAGUUCAGGAAUGCACUUCAAACAAUGCACAUUGCACAGAACAGGAACUAUGAGUACCAUAGAAAUUGCAGUGACAUGGUUAUAGCACAAUGCAUAGAUGAGACAUGCCCUUUUUAUGUAGCAUCUUCUCAGAUUGCAAAUGAGAAGACAUUUACCAUAAGGAAGCAGUAUGUGGUGCACACUUGCCCUUCUAUGUCAGAGAACACAAAAAUUACUGCUAAGUGGGUUGCAAAAUUUUGUGAGGAAGCAAUCAGAAAUGACCCAUGCACAACAAUCACUACUAUAGUUAACACUGCAACGAGCAAGUAUGGAGUGGAAAUAUCAACCCACAUGGCAUACAGGGCUAAGAAGACAGCAAAGAAUGUUGUGCUAGGAGAUCAGAAGGCCCAAUACACCAGGAUUAGGGAUUAUUUGCAGGUUGUGCUAGAUACUAAUCCAGGUUCAAGGUGUAUAGUGACAACAAGACAUCUGAGGGAGCAUACAAGCAAAAACCCUAGGUUUCAUGCAUUAUUCUUUUGCCUAAAUGGAUGCAAAGAAGGGUUUCUCAGUGGAUGCAGACCAUUCAUAGGUAAUUCCUUGGUGUAGGUCUAAUGUGUGUUUGCCUAAUGUGUGUUUUCAACUAGUUCCUGCUGACCUGUUAACUUGUUAUAGGUCUGGAUGGAUGCUUCAUAAAGCUCACUACUGGUCAACAGAUCCUUGCUGCUACUGGAAGAGACGGGAACAAUAACAUUUUUCCCAUUGCUUUUGGAAUUGUAGACAAGGAGGACACAAAUUCCUGGACAUGGUUUCUAUACCAGCUGAAGGUAGCAUUAGGUGGGGAAUCUGGCCAGUUUGGACAGUACACAAUCAUUUCAAAUAGGCAGAAGGUAAUGAAAUCCACUUGUGCUAGUUUUCAUUUAGCCCUUUCUAGUAGUUACUUACAUUUAGUUGUAGCUACUUUCUGUACACAAUCAUUUAGUUCUUUAUAGUAGUUAAUUUCAUAUAGAUGUAGUCACUAAGUUAGUCACUAAGCUUUACUUAAAUUUAGACAAGGCCUGCUGAAAGCCAUAAACAUAGUCUUUUCCAAUUGUCCACAAAGGUUUUGCCUCAGACACAUUUACCAGAACUUUCAAAAUGCUGGGUUUAGAGGGCCAGAAUUAAAGAAAUACAUGAAUGAAGCAAGUUACUCAUACACUGAACAUGGUUAUAAUAUUGCAAUGGAUGAGUUGAAGAGAGAGUGUGAGGCAGCAUGGGCUUGGCUUAGUAAAAUCCCAAAGCACACUUGGGCCAGACAUGCCAUGGACACAAAUUGCAAAACAGAUUUAGUAGUUAACAACUUAAGUGAGGUUUUCAACAAGUGGGUUCUAGAUGUCAGGGCUACGCCAAUAAGGGCCAUGGUUGAUGGAAUUAGAACAAAGUUAAUGGUCAAGUAUAAUACAAAUAGAACCAAGACUCAGACUGUCAGAUGGGAGAUUUGUCCAACAUAUGCACAGAAAUUGGAGGAAGCAAAGAAGUGGUCUAGAAACUGCCAAUCAUUGAUGGUUGGCCCCAACUUUUACCAAGUUACUAGUGGGGAGAGAACAUAUGCUGUCAACCUAGCACAUAGGACUUGUGGGUGUAAGAAGUGGGAUAUGACAACAGUUCCUUGCAAUCAUGCUGUUUCUGCUAUACACAAGGCUAAGCUUUAGCCAGAGGACUUUGUUGAUGAUUUCUUCAAAAAACCUAUGUACCUGGCAGCUUACAGUCCUAUAAUAUAUCCUGUACCUGGCCCUGACAUGUGGCCAAGGACAGAAAGUUUGGACAUUGAGGCUCCUGUUUUCAAAGAACACAAGGGCAGAGCACAGACUAAGAGGAGAAAGGGCCAAUUUGAGAAGCCAGCUCCCAAAGACACUUCAAGGAUGACCUCAAUUACCUGCCCCAAUUGUAAUAAGGUGGGCCAUAGGUACACCAAUUGCCAUGAUGCUCUCAAGCCUGCACUUGCUAUGAGAAAGAACAAACAUCAGGUAACCACUCUACUAUGAGAAAGACUAAAUUUGUUGUUACUUUGUUACUUACUAAUAUUAAACUACUUGUUUCAUUGCAGCCAAGCACCAGCUCUUACCCACCUGAUAGUAGAAGUACACCAGCACCGGCAAGGACUGCAACCUCUGCUGCUGCCACUUCUGGUGGAUCAUCAAGGAGGGCAACAUCUGCUGCCAGUCCAGCUCCAGCAAGGAGGGCAACAUCUGCUGCUGCUCCACCUAGGAGGCAGCCAGCUGCUCCAGCUGCUCCCAAGGGUAAGGCAGCAGCCAGUAAAUCUUCAUCAUCUGCUCCCAAGAGUAAGGCACCAGCUGCUCCCAAGGGUAAGGCACCAGCAACCAGAUUUUCAUCAGCUGCUGCAAAGGGACCAAGGUUAGCUUUCAUGCCUCCAAGACCAAGUGAUGGUUCCCAGAGAGUCAGGAAGCCCAGCAACAGAAUGAAGGAUUACUUGACUGCCACUGGUGCAGAAUGGUGAUGAUGGUGAUUUGGUUGUGUUGAUGCUGUAUCAAACUAUGGCAUUUUGGUUGUGUUGUGAAACUAUGUUGUGUUGGUACUAUUCUGCUACUCCAGUUAUGAUCCUUCUGUCAAACUUAGGAAUUCUAGUAGUCCUGUGAUGAUCAACUGUUAUGAUCAUUUUGUGUCAAAAACUAUGGCAUUCUAGUAGUACUGUGAUACUCUUGUGAUGAUGGUGAUGGUGUACUCUUCAUGCUACUAUACUCUUGAUGAUGUCAUACUCUUGAUGUUGUGAUAGUCAUGAUGUUGUGAUAGUCAUGAUACUGUGAUACUCUUGAUGCCUCGGCGUCGACAAAAAGCCAAAAAAACAUCACUUGACCCUACUUGAUGCCUCAACGUCGACAAAAAGCCAAAAACCCAAACUUGACCCUAAUUGAUGCCUCGGCGUCGACAAAAGGCAAAAAGCAUCACUUGACCCUACUUGAUGCCUCGGCGUCGACAAAAAGCCAAAAACCCAAACUUGACCCUAAUUGAUGCCUCGGCGUCGACAAAAAGCCAAAAGCAUCACUUGACCCUACUUGAUGCCUCAGCGUCNNNNNNNNNNNNNNNNNNNNNNNNNNNNNNNNNNNNNNNNNNNNNNNNNNNNNNNNNNNNNNNNNNNNNNNNNNNNNNNNNNNNNNNNNNNNNNNNNNNNNNNNNNNNNNNNNNNNNNNNNNNNNNNNNNNNNNNNNNNNNNNNNNNNNNNNNNNNNNNNNNNNNNNNNNNNNNNNNNNNNNNNNNNNNNNNNNNNNNNNNNNNNNNNNNNNNNNNNNNNNNNNNNNNNNNNNNNNNNNNNNNNNNNNNNNNNNNNNNNNNNNNNNNNNNNNNNNNNNNNNNNNNNNNNNNNNNNNNNNNNGAUGCCUCGACGUCGAUAAAAAGCCAAAAACCAUCACUUGACCCUACUUGAUGCCUCAGCAUCGACAAAAAGCCAAAAACCCAAACUUGACCCUAAUUGAUGCGUCAGGGUGGACAAAAAGCCAAAAGCAUCACUUGACCCUACUUGAUGCCUCUACGUCGACAAAAAGCCAAAAUCAUCAAUUGCAAACAUCUUACUUAAGAUAACAUUAACCAGCUCUAAAUACCAACACAUUCAACACUAGUUCAAAUCCAUACAUAACCAUAGCUUGACAUUCACCACUAGUUCAAAUACCACCACAUUCAGCACUAGUUCAAAUGCAAACAUCUUAAUUAAGAUUACAUAUCCAUAGUUCAGGAGUACUCAUAAUUAAUAGAAUUUAAACUACUAUCAUUACAGCAAAUGCCAAACCACACCCUGCAAAAGGUCAGCAAACGCCAAAUGAUAUUGCCCAUUCUUUCUCUUGCACUUCUUAUCCAUUUAUGAUGGCCUUGAUCCCAUCCAGCUUCACAUUGUUCUCUUCAACUGUCUUCUUGAGCUCAUCAAUGUGGAUCUGCAAAUUGUUCCUCUCUUCAGCUAGCUUCAACUUCACGUUCCUAAUGACAGUAGCCUGAGCAGCUGCUAUGUUCUUCACAGUGUCAUACUUCUCCUGCAACUUCGUGGUUUCAGCAUCUUUCCUUUGUAUCACUGCCCUCUGCUCCUGGGCAUCCAUAAGUGCAUUGACAUCUUCAACCAACUUCUCAUAGGCUGCCUGGAGUUUCUUCUUCUCUUGUGUCAGGUCAUGAACAACAAAUGAAUGCAUCAGACAUUCCUCAGUCCUGUCUAUCUUAGUCUGUUCAUACAUAGACCAUAAUUUGGACAGUGCAUUCUCAAGGGUAUUGGGCCAAGAUGGAUCAAUCCACUCUACUAGUCCACAGUUUUUACCUUCCUGAAAAAACAAUAUUAACAUAAAUAAUUACAUAACAGUGACUUGCUUACAAUUAUAGGCUAGAUUACUUUAUAAUAAAGAGUACUCUUAUAAUAAACAAUGCUCGUGUGCUAACGCAUGAAUCUUCUGUCCUAAAAUAAGCUAACAUGACAGAGUUAACAAAAUGACCUAACUAAACAAUAUUGCCAGAUCCAGACUAAAACAAUGCUGGUGUGCUAACCCAUGCAUCUUCUCUGUUAGAAUAAGCUAACCUGGCAAAGUUAACAAAAUGACCUAACUAAACAAUGUUGACAGAACCAGACUAAACAAUGCUGGCAGAGUAAAUAAUUAAUGAAUCCACUUCACAAUAUAAUACAAUGCCUGCUGGAGUACCACAUUACAUGUCCAUAGCAAACAAAUGACAGAUCUAUUAAGUUAAUCAACAACUUCCCCAAAUAUACACGCCUGCCAGUGCAAACAAAUGACAUAUAUGUCAUAGUUAAGUUGGAACCAUACCUUCUCUGCACAAAAAAGAAACCUCCUACCAGUGUGAAUCCCUUCGAAGGCAACACGCCUUUCUGCUGCCUUCCCCGUGUCCAUGGCACAAAACAUACAUAUCUGUCUCAGGGCCCUCGAAAUCUGAGUCUUCGGUGCUAGCAGGAACCUAGAGUGCAAAGGAAUGACAAAGAUUUGGUCCAUUGUUUGAAAAGAAGCCCAUUCAAGAAAUACCCAAAUAUCAAACCCUAAUCCUAACUUCGAGAACUGACCUUAAUGGUGCCGUUGUCGGAAGCUGAGCUCAUGUACUCCCUGGUGUGCUCGCUGCUAUCUGACCCAUCACUCCACGACACCAUGGCGCUGCGGCGGCGGCGACGGAUGCGGCGACCAAGAACAGAGUGAGAGCGAGAAGAGAGCGAGCGAGUAGAGUGGAGAAGGAGUAACGGUUCGCGCUUUUGACUGCUAGGACCGAACGGCGACCGUCUAACGCCGUCUGCCGGCUGUCGGGACGGCCUGGAGUGCCGCGUAGGUGAAAAACGGGCCCGACCUGUCAUAAACUCACUUAACACGGCCUGAUCCGCCGAUCAGUGGUUUUUGCAAAACAAUUACACUAGACAUGGUGCUUUCUGCAACAAUUAUGUAUCCUAGUGUUUUUCGCAAACCUAGUCCUCAAAGUGGUGGUUUUAUGCAAUUUACUCCACCAUGAUGCAACCAUCCUAGAUACAUAAGGCAGGACCAGAGCAUUAUGAAGAUGUCGGAUUUAGUAGCAGAAAUGCACUAUUGCAAACUCGGAUCAACUUCUAUACGCUAAGAAAAAUCAGAUCAACUUAUUUUACAAUACGGUUCUUCCAUGGAACAAAAUUAGCACUCCAAAUUGGAAGGCUGUGGGGGCAAGUUUCACCUGUGCUUGGCAGCGGCUUGAGGAAGGGUAAGCUAGAAAAAUGCACUACUGGACCGAUUCCUAUACGAGGCCGAUCCAACAGACCCAAUGUCUUGGACUCGAGAGUUUGCCGUGUGCUGUACUGAAACCGUGCAUGAAGUAUUUAUACUGACAGUGCACGCCAGGGACGUAAGCUAGAAAAAAAAAGCUUGAUGGGGUCAUAUCCAUGGCAAUGGGGUCAUCUUCUAUAAAUCAACAUUGAUUACUAUUAAGAUAAUGAAGGAUUUAGUAAUUUUAUUGGGGUCAAUUGAUCCCAAUGCCUACAUGUCAGCUCCGUCCCUGGUGCAUGCAGAGUUUGGCCUCUCGCAUGGAGACCAAACUCUGCAUCACUCAUGGACAGAUCAAACUCUGCAUCACUCAUGGACCCGACCAGUAACCAUCUUGAGUUUGGAGGGGCCAAAAGCUAAAAAAGUUUUUAUGUAAGUCCUCCUAAUUUUUUUCCUUCACAAUUUGGUUCAAAGCUGGGGGAGGGGGAGGGGGGGGGGGCACUGCCCCCCAACACAACACAUGGCUCCGCCAUUGGGCAGAUUUAAAAAAAAAGGCAAACGAUUUGCCAUUUCAUUGAUUAAGAAGGAAGUUUCAAACAAAUGCCUCAAAGCAGCUAAAAGGAAAAACAAUAAGGGGUCUACUCUCGCGGCAUUACAACACUCAUGUGCUUCGCACCAGCCAUCGCCCAAAGAGACACCUUCAGUUUGAUCUUACCGAUAAGAACCGUGGAAGGGAUGACCGUGUUUCUGAAGACCCUGGCAUUACGCCCCGUCCAUACUCCCAUGAGAUAAGUAUCAUCAGGGAGGCGAGCGCCUUAGGGGAUCCAAGGCGAAUCUGAAGGUUGUUGUUCCACCAUGCUCUCACCGAAGUUACUGUUUGCCAAGCCGCCGUAGAGAUGUGAUGCAUUCCAAGCCACAGAAGAAUAUGAUUCCAAAUGCGGGUGGUGUAGCGGCAUUGGAAAAGGAGAUGGGCGGCCGACUCUUGGCAUUGCUUACAAAGAGGACAGAGACCACAGUUUGGCCAACCGCGACGUAUCAGUCGAUCCGAUAUCCAAAUCCUAUUUUGAAGGACAAGCCACACAAAGAACUUGCACNNNNNNNNNNNNNNNNNNNNNNNNNNNNNNNNNNNNNNNNNNNNNNNNNNNNNNNNNNNNNNNNNNNNNNNNNNNNNNNNNNNNNNNNNNNNNNNNNNNNNNNNNNNNNNNNNNNNNNNNNNNNNNNNNNNNNNNNNNNNNNNNNNNNNNNNNNNNNNNNNNNNNNNNNNNNNNNNNNNNNNNNNNNNNNNNNNNNNNNNNNNNNNNNNNNNNNNNNNNNNNNNNNNNNNNNNNNNNNNNNNNNNNNNNNNNNNNNNNNNNNNNNNNNNNNNNNNNNNNNNAAGUGAGUCCCUCGAACUGAGACCUGUAGGCUGAGGAAGUAGAGUACACCCAUCCUUGGUGAACUUUCAAACGAUGGAAUCUUCUAUGUCAUCCAUCAAAGAGGUCAUGGAAAUCUUCUCCCAGAGGUUAGCAAACUGCUGAACAUGUGCGAGCGACAAGCCAUUGGAGGUGUCAAUAAGAGAAAUCCAGUUGUUGGCAAGGGCUUGCUGGACGGAGGAAUUCUUGUUGCGUGAAAUGGCAAAGAUGCUCGGUGCUAAGUCACGGGGGCACAAACCGUUUAACCAUGGCGAGUUCGAGAAUCUUGUUGUGCGCCCAUUUCCCACAGUAACCGUUGUAGCAACAGCAAAGAAGAUACGGUCGUCUCCAGUGCAUGGAGAUCCCAAGCAUAUCCAAGGCUUGCUUUUGUCCACCCACUCAAACCAAAGCCAUCGAAGAUGGAGGGCCUUAGCGAAUUUGUCCAGGUUGAGCACACCUAGGCCACCAAAUUGUUUAGGCUUGCAGAUGAAAUCCCAGUUAAUCUUGCAUUUUCACUUUGUCUAUACCCGCCCAAAGCUAUGCACGCCGAAGGCUGUCAAUAGCAUUCAGCACCUCCACGGGGAUGUCGAGAGGCGUGAGGUGAUAAAUCGUGAUGGCCGUGAGGACCGCUUUGACAAGAACCAUACGCCGAGCACUGGCAAUGUGUCUUCCCUACCAAGGGGGAGCUUGCCAACAACCUUGUCAAUGAGGUGUUGGAAGUGAAUAUUUUUGAGAUGCUUGAACGAUAGCGGAAGACCAAGGUAUCACAUUGGGAAAGCAGAGCGCACCGCCGGGAAGGCUUGUAGAAUGUCGUCCAGAUUUAUGUUGUCACAUCAGAUGGGAGCCACCAUACUUUUAGCACAGUUAGUAACCAGACCAGUCACUUCUCCGAAAGCGGUCAAGGAGGAAGCAGGAAAAUGGACGUCCUCCCUCAUGGGUCUAACAAAAAUGGCAGCAUCGUCUGCGUAUAAAGACGUCCUGAUGGUCGGCGCUCUUCCACCUAUAGGGUGGAGAUGCCCCUGUGAGGUGGCCUUGUUGAGAAGGUGAUGCAGAGGCUCGAUAGCCAGGACAAAGAGGAGCGGGGAUAGCGGAUCCCCCUUCCAGAGGCCACAACCGUGCUUCAUUGGGUCACCCACCACCCCAUUGAUCAAAACCCUCGAGGUGGCCGUGGAGAGGAGUGCUGAAAUCCAAUCUUGAAAUCUGGCCGGGAACCCGAGGUGUCUCAACAGGUCCAUAAGGAAGUCCCAUCUCACUGAGUCGAAAGACUUCUUGAUGUCAAGUUUGAACAGCAAGGUCGGUGUACCAUUUCUGUGGAGCUUCCUUGCCAAGUUUCUGACAUACAUGAAGUUGUCGUGGAUACUUAUUUUCUUUAUGAAUGCGCUUUGGGCAGGGGAUACAAGAUUGUUCAUAUGAUGAGCUAGGCAUGUAGCCCACACCUUGGUGAUGAUGUUCGCAAUGGCGUGGAUGAGGCUAAUUGGACGAAAGUCUGAGAUGCUCUCUGCCCCCUCUUUCUUAGGUAUGAAAGCAAUGUUGGCCGAGUUGAGCCAAUGAAGAUUGAACGUGUGCAAGUUUGGAAAGUGUCUCAUAGCAGUCAUGAUGUCAUCCUUGAUGAUCUCCCAACAUUCCUUGAAGAAGGCUCCAAAGAAGCCACCGGGGCCCGGGGCUUUAUCAUGGGGUAGAUAAAAAAUCGCCUUCCUGACCUCCUCCUUCAUGAAGGCCGGCCCAAGCACGGAAAGGUCGCCAGCAAGCACCGGAAUGUUAUUCUAGUUGAUGCCCUUGCAGCGUGGCGGGCCACGCUUCAUGACCUCGGCAAAGUGGUUUUGGAUGAUGGACUUUUUGUGAUCAUGAUCAACUACCCAGCCGUUGUUGUGCUUGAGCAGGUUGAUGAAGUUCUUCCUUCUUCUGUGGUUGACUUGCAAGUGAAAGAAGCGGGUGUUUGCAUCACCUUCUUUGAGAUUGGUGAUUCUCGAAUUUUGCCUCUUUCGAGCACGUUCCAUGACGGCCAGGGCGACAACCUUCCUCUUGAGCCUCGUACGCACAGAAUGGUGGUUGAUGAUAUCAAGAAUGGAACCCGAGGAAUUAUAUAGUGACAUGGUCAGCGAGAUUGAAUGGCGAUACAAGUGAGAACGGUGUUUUGGCUCCUAGGUGUAUAUGCACCCAUUAUCGAAAUACAUAUUUCAAAAAAUUGAAAAAUUCGGAACAAAAAUCCCACGUGUAUAUCCAGACAUUUUAUGUGCGUGCACAAGGUUUCCGUGAAAAACGACAUUUUGUGGCUUGUGUAAAAAAAGAUAAAGAAAUGCCUCAUGAAUAGUUAGAAUGAAGCAUCAGAAAUUGUCUUUUUUACACAAGCCACAAGAAACAUCGUUUUUCACCGAAACCUUGUGCACGCACAUAAAAUAUCCGGAUAUACACGUGGGAUUUUUGUUCCGAAUUUUUUAACUUUUCGAAAUGUGUAUUUCGAUAAUGGGUGCAUAUGCACCUAGGAGCCAAAGGCAAUUACCGGAUACAAGUCCUUUACGACCUGCACCUUUAUUCAUGAGCUGCGUAAUUUAAACUAUAAAGCCAUGAUUAUCAAAUUUUGCCACGAUUAUCUUCGCUGCUCGUGUUUUUAUCAUUGCACCACAUAUUCUAUGUACAUAGAGAUUCAAGUUAGCCUCAAUGGAGUGGUUAACUGACUGCCUGACAGUUUCGGACUGUCUUCAUUUUUCAAAGUACUCUCAAAGGUUUUUCUUCAUAUCACACCAUAUAAGGCCAGCAGCUGUUCAUGUGCAGCUCUCCAAGGUUUUUCUUCAUAUCACAAAUGAGAGACAGAAUGGAUACUAAGUGUGCAACAAUAUCCACAAAUAAAACUCUAGUUCUCACAACAGAAACUCAAAAGUUGAUGCACAAAAAAUGUCAUCGGACGAGUACUCUCAAAAUGAGGAACAAAAAUAAAUUAGCAUUGCAUAGAAACAAUUUUGAUAUUAAGUGUGCAACAAUAUCCACAAAUAAAACUCUAGUUCUCACAACAGAAACUCAAAAGUUGAUGCACAAAAAAUGCCAUCGGACGAGUACUCUCAAAAUGAGGAACAAAAAUAAAUUAGCAUUGCAUAGAAACAAUUUUGCGGGGCAUGAUGGUUGUUGCAGCUUGCGAGCAUAUAUCCGCAAAUAAAGCUAAACCGCUGAUGAGAAGCUACUGGGCAAGUAAUGUUUGUGAGCGCGAUGAAGGAAUCUCACACACACGUCUACUAUUUUGUUAGGACAAGGAAUUUUGUUCUGAGAAAACCAAACACUGCAGAGAAGCCAUCAUGGCUAGAUCAACAUCAUAUAAAGAAAAUAUAAAGGAAUACCUAAAAUAAAUUUGCUUCAAUAUCCCAGCUUAGCUUACAGAAGGCGCAACAUAUGUAGCAUGUUUCCCAAGAAUCCCAUGAAGGCACAAAAGAACUUUUCUCUUAAACUCCAGUAAUCACUGAUCUAUUUUAAGAGAAGAAAGUGAUAAGAAAGUGAUUUUUCAACAGAAUUAUUUAAGCUCAGUCCCGAUGCUCUGAAAACAUAAGAACUCAUGUCAUAAAUAUGCUGGUGUGGUAAAGGAAAUAUUGAUAAAAUACCUCUGGCUCUGUCUCUGUCUCUGAAGAGUAGCUGAAGCAUAUGAAAAAAUGGCUGAUAUUGCACCUUACUGUGGCCCUAAGUCACAAUUAAGUUUUCAAAGCCAAAGCAUGAGAAAACAGCAGACCAAAAAAUCUAGCUUGCAAAUUUAAAAUAUGGUUUGACAAAAGGCAUAUUACUUAUUUCAUGAUAUCAAACAACUUUCUCUUGAGUUAAGGCAGAUAACUUUUAAGCUAUGCCACUAAAGAAUAGGGACACCUAACAGAAUAUAGUCAGCUUCUGAUGUUCAUCCAUAUAUGAAUGUUUGCAACAGAACCCUGAACAUGACUCUGCAGCAGAUACAGAUGUCCCUGGAUAGUAUCUGGCUGCCACAAAUUCGAAGAAAAGGCUGAUUAUUCAUAUCCUCGCCGAUAAAGAUACAUGUAGUAUAAUAUUCUUCAGCGGCAGGCUUCCUACUGUGAUGUGCAUUCUACUUCUCCACUGAUUUUUCCUUUUUUGUAUGGGCAAACCUAGCCCUGUUUCACUGAACCAUGCAACUAAAAACACCAAACCGGAGUUUACAAUCAAAGACAGAAGAUUGCAUUAUGGCACUUGAGCAGAAACCAAUACAAUUAAUCAGGCAUUGGUGCGCCAGUGUUCUAUUCACGAGACCAUUUAUAGAAGCCAACAAAAUUAUGCAAGACAAAGUAUGUGGAGGCACAUGGAUAUUUUCCAUCUUCUGUAAGUAAAUGAGAUGUCGACAAACAAUCUAGGUGCUUCACAGUACUAAACUGCUAAUGGAUGACUGACUGAAUGUAGGUCUGAAAUAAAAAGCUGAGUACCCCAAAAAUGGAGCGAUAAAGGAAUUAGCAUUGCAUAGAAACAAUUUGUGGGACACGAUGGUUGCUGCAGCUCACAAGCAUAUAUAACUGCAAACAAAGCUAAGCUGCUAAGAAGCUUGUGGGCAACUAAUGUAUGUGAAACCGACAAAGGGAACAGAGGAGCUAUCAUGGCUGUAUCAAUAUCAUGUUAAGAAAGUGUAAUGGAAUACCUAGAGAAUAAUUACGCCCAGCUUAGCUUACAUAAGGCACCACAUAUGUUGCAUGUUUCCCUUGAACCCCGUGAAGGGCUUUGCCACAUCAUCCGGAAACAAUAAAAGGAAUGUUUCUCUUGAACUUCAGUAACCACCAAUGUAUUUAGGAUAAUAAGAAAGUGUUUUUUCAACAGAAUUAGUUAAGCCCAGACAGAGUGCUCUGAAACCAUAAGAACUCAUGCCAUACAGACGCGGGUGUGGUAAAGGAAAUUAUUGAUAAAAUAGAGAUUGCACCUUCUAUUAAUUAUGGCCCUAAGUCCUGAUGAAAAAUGAAAAGACAGAGCCUGAGAAACAAAAAUCCAGUUUGCAAAUUGCAAAUUUAGAAUAUGGUUUGACAAAAAGCAUGUUGCUUAUUUCAUGAUAUCGAACAACUUUGAUUUGAGUCAUACAAGGCAGAUAGUUUUGAACUUGGCAAAAUGAUUUUCUGAAUCUACAGUUCAUCGACAUUUUUGUUGCGAAAAGAUAGAUGCAGUUUUGUGAACAGCUGUAAUAUCACAUAUGCAAGCACUAAAUGGUAGACCCUGACAAGACCAGUUCAUGCCAUCUUCACUGGCUUAGUUCCACAAUUAAUCACAGAUGUUAAUGGUUUAGACUAAUCUACUGGUCAUGCUUUAGCAGGUUACAUUAUCAAAUUUGGAAGAAGAAAACCCAGCGAAAGUAAGGCCAUCUACAGCCUACAGGACUUGGGAACAAAGAUAAUCCAUCAUUAAGAUUUAAGAAUAAGGUGACAGAAACCAACAUGCAUAAUAAGCAUACAAAAAAUCAUAAUCUAAUGAUUGAAGACUGAACUGCCAUUUUAGAGAGGAUAACAAGCGUCUGUUUUGGCGAACAACACAGGAAGGGGACUAACCAGUUUACUGCACAGAAUGUAAACUUUGCUGUGCCAUACAGAGUUACACAUUUUAACAGCAGGAUCCUGGUUCAAUGAAAUAUGAACCUACUGGGUACUUCUCCUCGGCAAGCAGCCGCAUAGUCUUCANNNNNNNNNNNNNNNNNNNNNNNNNNNNNNNNNNNNNNNNNNNNNNNNNNNNNNNNNNNNNNNNNNNNNNNNNNNNNNNNNNNNNNNNNNNNNNNNNNNNNNNNNNNNNNNNNNNNNNNNNNNNNNNNNNNNNNNNNNNNNNNNNCAAGGUGCGGCGCAACUUCAAUGUGAGGGCGCACGAACUUGUCCACAAAAACAUUCUCGGUCAAAUCGACUGCAGAGAUGUAGCUCCGAUCGCGAUCUAGCAACCCAUUUGCCUUGACAAACUUUAGAACGUAGUGCCGGGGCCUGAGCCGGCCCUCCAGGCUGUAAGUGAGCAUUAUCGGGCGAUGAGCAAUGAGCGUGGGUUCCAACCCCACCUCAGACACCAGGAACUCUGACUUGCUCUGCAGCAUGUCCUUUGACCUCCACAGCAGCAGCGGAGCUUUAGACACAGCAAUGCUCGCUUCGGCAUCAGACCACCUGAGCGUAUUCUUCAAGUAGUCCACUUUGCCGGCAAUCUUCUCCUCGUUGAGAAACGCGACAGCCCGUAGCGCUUGCCUGAACAUCCCAGCGCCACGAGGUACACCUAAUCUUUCAGCACAUGCCACCAUUGCGCGGACGCGUUCCGGGUUGGUGGUCAGCAUCCUCGGCACAGCGAUACACAGCUUGGCAAUAUCACAAGCACCUAGCCCGCACUCCCUCAGGAAGGCAACAUUGGGCUUGACCAACUUAUCAAGGUCCGACGACAGAAGGCGGGAUGAGCGCUUGAGCAGCCGGAGGAAGCUGUGGAAGGAGCCGAAGAGGGGCAGGAAGUAGUGCAGCCUGGAGACUAUGGCUCUACGCCGGAAGCGGUCCGGGGUGAGGGAGACGAGGCGGGCGAUCUCAGGAGGCGAGAGACCUAGGCCAGUGAGCUCGACGACCUUAGGGGCCAGUGUUUGGUCCACUUUGGUGCAGAGUAACAGCGGAUCUUUGCCGACGACGGCGGCGACGUCGGCGCCGGAGAGGCCGAGGCCGGAGAGGAAGGCGAGGACGGCGUUCGGCUUGUCGGGGGUCUUGAGGUGGGCGAGCUUCUUGGAGGCCUUGAGGGCUUGGACCCGGGUGAGGCCGCAGGUGGCGACGAGGUACUCUUCCACGGCGAAGCCACAGGGAUUUGGGGAAAUGGGGGCCGACGCAGUGGCCGAGAGGAGACGGCGGAGUGGGGAGGUAGCAGAGUUGGAGGGUGAAGAGAGGAGAUGGGAAACGACGCACUCUCGGAGGCGGAGCAUGGCGCAGGAGCGGCGGCGACGGCGGACGGCGGCGGCGGAGAUGUGUUCGAUGGAUUGCAAAUGGUACUGCGUGUCGUCGUCGGAGUGAAUGGGUUGUCGUCUUUUUGGUGAUUGGACCAGAGUUUGAUGGGCCUGCGUGUGAAUGGGUUCGUAUCCACAUUUUUUUAUCUGUCAUCCAUUUUUCUGGUUCGCUUUAUAUUUAUAUUUUCAUUUUCCUUUAUUUUAUGUGAAAUAUGUUUUCUUGCAUUUUUUUGUUUUGUUUCUGCAAAUAAUUUCAUUUUAGGAUUUUUCACUAUAUACAAUGUACUAUCUUUUUCUUUACCGCUUGCUACAUAAAUGGAUAUUUUUCCUUCUAGUAUGUAUGUGAUAAUAGAUAACGGACGCGUAUAUCUGGCCGAGUUUACUGUUUUUUUAAAUGUCGUGGAUAAAAAAAUACAUAUCCAUGGUAUUAUAAAAAAUACCAUGUACCUGAAGGAAGACAUCUUGUAAUAAUAAAAAAUACCAUUUCUUAAUAUAAAAAUCUCAUCUCUUUAAAAUAAAAAUGUCAUCUCUUAAUAUAAAAAUUUAAUCUCUUUAAAAUAAAAAAUCCCAUCUAUUAAUAAUUUAAAGCGACAUCUCUUAAUAAAUAAAAAAUGUCAUCUCUUAAUCCAAAACGCCAUCUCUUUAACAUAAAAAAAAUGCUAUCUCUUAAAAACGUCAUCUCUUUCCUCAGUAACAGGCCAGGCGAACCAGUUCUGUGCACAAGUAUAGCAGAAAAUUCACAUCACACUAAUUAGGUUCAUUUUUCUUUUAUUUGAGAGAUGGGUAGUUGGACUUUCUAAGUAAAACAUAAGUCUAAUCCUAGUGAAAAAAAUCAAGCUAUCUUAACCUCCAAUUUAAAUCAAGUAAAACCUGUUUAUGGAAAGUUAUGAAUCUGAACAGUAGAGUGAUUUUUUCCUAGUGGCAAUAUGCUUAGAGAUAUCCAUCAUAUUUGAACCAAAUAUCCAAUUCAUUCGUCUCCAUGUAAAUAUAAAGUACUGAUCAAUACAAGCAUGUACAUCUUGCCAAAGUUUUUCAUUUUUCNNNNNNNNNNAACAUAAUAUAAGCUUGCACAAGUAAAGGUAAGAGAUAACCAAGAGUAGAUCCGGUGGAGACGAGGAUGUGUUACCGAAGUUCCUUCCCUUGAGAGGAAGUAUGUCUCCGUUGGAGUGGUGUGGAGGCACAAUGCUCCCCCAAAAGCCACUAGGACCACCGUAUUCUCCUCACGCCCUCACACAAUGCGAGAUGUCGUGAUUCCACUAUUGGUGCCCUUGAAGGCGGCGACCGAACCUUUACAAACAAGGUUGGGGCUCUCUCGACAACCGAAUUGGAGGUUCCCAACGAAACCACGGAGCUUCACCACAAUGGAAUAUGGCUCCGAGGUGACCUCAACCGUCUAGUGUGCUCAAACACCCUAGAGUAACAAGAUCCGCAAGGGAUUAGUGGGGGGGGGGAAUCAAAUUUCUCUUGGUUGAAGUGUAGAUCGGGGCCUUUUCAACCAAUCCCUAGAAAAGCAACAAAUUUGGUUGGCUAGGGAGAAAAAUCGGGCAAAAAUGAGCUUUUGAAUGGUAAUGGAGUUUUGAGGGGAAGAGGUCAAUUCUAGGAAGAAGAAGACCCCUCCUUUAUAUAGGGGAGCAAGAAUCCAACCAUUUUCUACCCAGGCCCGCAGCUAAGCGGUACUACUGCUCCUAGGAGGUACUACCGCUUAGGCGGUACUACUCCACACAAGUCUAAAAAUACACAGAGUGCAUCAACGGUAGUGCCGUAGGAGCGGUACUACUGCUGACCCAGGCGGUACUACCACCUGGGGUUUUAGACCUGAGAAGGCAGCCGUGGUAGAGGGUGCCGGGGGCGGUAGUACCGUGCGAAGCGGUACUACCGUUCUAGUGCCGCUCUACAACCGCUUGGGGCAAAGUGGGUACCGAACCUUGCACAGAGGAAAACCCCGCAAGCGGUAGUGGAGACGGUAGUACAGGCGGUACUACCGCGCUACUACUACCGUUAAAAACAAACCGAUAACAGAAUGUUGCACGCUCGGGGAAACCCUAAGCCGUAGUGCCACGGAAGUACCCAGCGGUACUACCGUGGGCAUUAGCGGUACUACCGCUGGCAAGAUGCAGAUAACACCACAGAAAAUAUUGGAAAAGCUCCAGAGAAGGGAAAGGAGGUUGUGGGUGCAUAUGGGGUUGUGUACGUGUUGAUUCACCCAUACCUUUCUAAAACGGACCCCCUCUUAAUAGUACGGCUUCCCUAUGACUCAAAUCCACGGAAAAGAAACGUAGAGAACUAUCAUCUUCGAUAGGCUUCGAGGGGCAUCGAAUCAUCAAGUGCCUAGACAUGAGAUAUCUGAAAUGCUCAAUGCAUACACGAUUAGUCCACAAAAGCAUUGUCAUCAAUCACCAAAACCACUUAGGGAGACAUAUGCCCUUACAAUCUCCCCCUUUUUGGUGGAUUUAUGACAAUACGGGAUUUGCACAUAGAGAUAUAUAAUAAGCAUAAGCAAACCCAAAAUCUAUAAAAUAUAGACAGGACCCCCCUAGAUGUGUGCAUUUUAUAGAUGUGCUUUGGACUGCACAACACACCCACUAGGAUCAACCCGCCCCCCUAUAUUUUAUAGACAAGGCAAUUCUAGCAACAAAAAAAGGGACACUAAGCAUGAGAAAUAAUAAGACAAGCAUAAUCUCACACAAAGGGACACAAUAAGGAUAACCAGGGUAGCAUAGCAUAUGUCUUACACCAUAUGAUAGAGUCUCACACAAAACCAAAGCGAACGAAGGAAAAGAGUUCACAAGCAAAAACACACAGAAGCAACAAGAACCAAUCUUGUGACUCAACAACACCAUACAGAAAGACAAAUCCCCGGUCCUAAACCUCUCCCCUUUGGCAUCAAGACACCAAAAGAGGCAAAGAGUGACCUAACGCAACUCCAGAUGGCACUAGUUUCCUCCCAUGGGCUUGCUAGACUCCUCAUAAGCAGACCCAUCAGCAGACUCCUCCUCAGACUCGUCGGUCUCCUCCUCGAUCUCUUGAUCCUGAGAUGGAGCAGAUGUAGCAGCAUUGGACUCAUCCGAGUCCGUCCAGUGAGAGUGCAAAGAAAUCCACUUGUCCUUCGGAGUGAUACGGUCCUUAGAGCCAUCCUGAACUAGGAUCUCAAGCUUCCUCAUGAUAGUAUUCCUCUCCCGACGAGCCUUCUUGGCAUCCACAUGUGCCAAGUACAUCUUGUGCUGAACAUCGGUCUGAAGGCAAAAGAGCUUCUUCACUUUGUGCUUGAGCUUAGCCCCCCAACCUGACUGACCAGAGGAAUGCACUGUGCGGGGAGCAAGACCAUCAUCAUCGCCCUGAUCCUCUCCAGAAGCAGACGACACUGGCGCUUCAGGACAAGUAGUAGAGGCCCAAGGCUCCUUCUGACGCAAGUUGAGUACGUCAUGAGGAGUCAAGGGUCCGGUCUCAAGAGGCACACCAGGGAAAGUGGAGCUCUAGGUAGACUGAAUCAACUUAAAGAUGAAUGGAGCAUAAAUUAGGCAAUGGUCUCCAUAGGUAGCAUUCACUAGCUCGUUCCACAUGACAUGAGAGACAUCCAAAACCACAUUUCUGCCCUUCUUAGAGUGGCACAACAGGAGCAUAUCCACAAGGUACCCAUGCACCAUGUCCAAGUUGCCAAUGCGAGGAAAGAGAGUGUGCCGGAAGAUGCGGUCCAUAAUGUCAAAGAAUGGCUUCAACUCCUUCAUGACUCCUUUCGCUGUCCUAGUGAUAAUCAUAUGAGGCAGCAGCUCAUCCUUGUGAGUAAGCCCCCCUCAUGGCGAGCACGAAGGCCAAGAGGCUUCCUCAGCCCCUCGUCAGGAUAUCCUAGAAGCGACAUAAAGGCACUCCAAGUGGCGCGCAACUGCCUGCCCUUGGUCAUCCAGAUCAAAGUGUGCUCUGGGUUUGUGCCAUACCAUAUGGUGGCAAAAACCUAAGCAACCAACUCUGCAUCGAAAUCAUAGUUGAAGGUCAUGAGGGUCACGAUGUUGAGCUGAUCAUAGAGGGCACGAGCUUCUCCAAAGUAUGCCUAGUACUUCUCCAUGUGAUCCAAGUUGGUUGACUUGGUCUUCACAAACAUGUUCUUCCUUCCCUUGAUCCGAUCAACUAGAUAUUGGUCCUUGUCCCAGAAUGGUGAUCCAACAAGAGAAGGAUCCUGAGAAAGGAUGUAGGGUUUUGCUCAUGGUAUUGCGAAUACUCAUUUUGCUUCAAUUCGGCNNNNNNNNNNCAAGGUGCGGCGCAACUUCAAUGUGAGGGCGCACGAACUUGUCCACAAAAACAUUCUCGGUCAAAUCGACUGCAGAGAUGUAGCUCCGAUCGCGAUCUAGCAACCCAUUUGCCUUGACAAACUUUAGAACGUAGUGCCGGGGCCUGAGCCGGCCCUCCAGGCUGUAAGUGAGCAUUAUCGGGCGAUGAGCAAUGAGCGUGGGUUCCAACCCCACCUCAGACACCAGGAACUCUGACUUGCUCUGCAGCAUGUCCUUUGACCUCCACAGCAGCAGCGGAGCUUUAGACACAGCAAUGCUCGCUUCGGCAUCAGACCACCUGAGCGUAUUCUUCAAGUAGUCCACUUUGCCGGCAAUCUUCUCCUCGUUGAGAAACGCGACAGCCCGUAGCGCUUGCCUGAACAUCCCAGCGCCACGAGGUACACCUAAUCUUUCAGCACAUGCCACCAUUGCGCGGACGCGUUCCGGGUUGGUGGUCAGCAUCCUCGGCACAGCGAUACACAGCUUGGCAAUAUCACAAGCACCUAGCCCGCACUCCCUCAGGAAGGCAACAUUGGGCUUGACCAACUUAUCAAGGUCCGACGACAGAAGGCGGGAUGAGCGCUUGAGCAGCCGGAGGAAGCUGUGGAAGGAGCCGAAGAGGGGCAGGAAGUAGUGCAGCCUGGAGACUAUGGCUCUACGCCGGAAGCGGUCCGGGGUGAGGGAGACGAGGCGGGCGAUCUCAGGAGGCGAGAGACCUAGGCCAGUGAGCUCGACGACCUUAGGGGCCAGUGUUUGGUCCACUUUGGUGCAGAGUAACAGCGGAUCUUUGCCGACGACGGCGGCGACGUCGGCGCCGGAGAGGCCGAGGCCGGAGAGGAAGGCGAGGACGGCGUUCGGCUUGUCGGGGGUCUUGAGGUGGGCGAGCUUCUUGGAGGCCUUGAGGGCUUGGACCCGGGUGAGGCCGCAGGUGGCGACGAGGUACUCUUCCACGGCGAAGCCACAGGGAUUUGGGGAAAUGGGGGCCGACGCAGUGGCCGAGAGGAGACGGCGGAGUGGGGAGGUAGCAGAGUUGGAGGGUGAAGAGAGGAGAUGGGAAACGACGCACUCUCGGAGGCGGAGCAUGGCGCAGGAGCGGCGGCGACGGCGGACGGCGGCGGCGGAGAUGUGUUCGAUGGAUUGCAAAUGGUACUGCGUGUCGUCGUCGGAGUGAAUGGGUUGUCGUCUUUUUGGUGAUUGGACCAGAGUUUGAUGGGCCUGCGUGUGAAUGGGUUCGUAUCCACAUUUUUUUAUCUGUCAUCCAUUUUUCUGGUUCGCUUUAUAUUUAUAUUUUCAUUUUCCUUUAUUUUAUGUGAAAUAUGUUUUCUUGCAUUUUUUUGUUUUGUUUCUGCAAAUAAUUUCAUUUUAGGAUUUUUCACUAUAUACAAUGUACUAUCUUUUUCUUUACCGCUUGCUACAUAAAUGGAUAUUUUUCCUUCUAGUAUGUAUGUGAUAAUAGAUAACGGACGCGUAUAUCUGGCCGAGUUUACUGUUUUUUUAAAUGUCGUGGAUAAAAAAAUACAUAUCCAUGGUAUUAUAAAAAAUACCAUGUACCUGAAGGAAGACAUCUUGUAAUAAUAAAAAAUACCAUUUCUUAAUAUAAAAAUCUCAUCUCUUUAAAAUAAAAAUGUCAUCUCUUAAUAUAAAAAUUUAAUCUCUUUAAAAUAAAAAAUCCCAUCUAUUAAUAAUUUAAAGCGACAUCUCUUAAUAAAUAAAAAAUGUCAUCUCUUAAUCCAAAACGCCAUCUCUUUAACAUAAAAAAAAUGCUAUCUCUUAAAAACGUCAUCUCUUUCCUCAGUAACAGGCCAGGCGAACCAGUUCUGUGCACAAGUAUAGCAGAAAAUUCACAUCACACUAAUUAGGUUCAUUUUUCUUUUAUUUGAGAGAUGGGUAGUUGGACUUUCUAAGUAAAACAUAAGUCUAAUCCUAGUGAAAAAAAUCAAGCUAUCUUAACCUCCAAUUUAAAUCAAGUAAAACCUGUUUAUGGAAAGUUAUGAAUCUGAACAGUAGAGUGAUUUUUUCCUAGUGGCAAUAUGCUUAGAGAUAUCCAUCAUAUUUGAACCAAAUAUCCAAUUCAUUCGUCUCCAUGUAAAUAUAAAGUACUGAUCAAUACAAGCAUGUACAUCUUGCCAAAGUUUUUCAUUUUUCCCCUCUGAAAGGAUCGAUAUGGUUGACUAGAGGGGGAGGGGGGGUGAAUAGACAACUAACAAUUUUUAGCUUUUCUUGACCAAAGUAAACUUAGCAUCGAAGUAGGUUGUCUAGAUGUGCAAUUAGGUGAACAACCUAUAUGAUGCAACAACAACAAGUACACAAGCAAGCAAUGAAUACAACAUAAUAUAAGCUUGCACAAGUAAAGGUAAGAGAUAACCAAGAGUAGAUCCGGUGGAGACGAGGAUGUGUUACCGAAGUUCCUUCCCUUGAGAGGAAGUAUGUCUCCGUUGGAGUGGUGUGGAGGCACAAUGCUCCCCCAAAAGCCACUAGGACCACCGUAUUCUCCUCACGCCCUCACACAAUGCGAGAUGUCGUGAUUCCACUAUUGGUGCCCUUGAAGGCGGCGACCGAACCUUUACAAACAAGGUUGGGGCUCUCUCGACAACCGAAUUGGAGGUUCCCAACGAAACCACGGAGCUUCACCACAAUGGAAUAUGGCUCCGAGGUGACCUCAACCGUCUAGUGUGCUCAAACACCCUAGAGUAACAAGAUCCGCAAGGGAUUAGUGGGGGGGGGGAAUCAAAUUUCUCUUGGUUGAAGUGUAGAUCGGGGCCUUUUCAACCAAUCCCUAGAAAAGCAACAAAUUUGGUUGGCUAGGGAGAAAAAUCGGGCAAAAAUGAGCUUUUGAAUGGUAAUGGAGUUUUGAGGGGAAGAGGUCAAUUCUAGGAAGAAGAAGACCCCUCCUUUAUAUAGGGGAGCAAGAAUCCAACCAUUUUCUACCCAGGCCCGCAGCUAAGCGGUACUACUGCUCCUAGGAGNNNNNNNNNNNNNNNNNNNNNNNNNNNNNUACCGCUGGCAAGAUGCAGAUAACACCACAGAAAAUAUUGGAAAAGCUCCAGAGAAGGGAAAGGAGGUUGUGGGUGCAUAUGGGGUUGUGUACGUGUUGAUUCACCCAUACCUUUCUAAAACGGACCCCCUCUUAAUAGUACGGCUUCCCUAUGACUCAAAUCCACGGAAAAGAAACGUAGAGAACUAUCAUCUUCGAUAGGCUUCGAGGGGCAUCGAAUCAUCAAGUGCCUAGACAUGAGAUAUCUGAAAUGCUCAAUGCAUACACGAUUAGUCCACAAAAGCAUUGUCAUCAAUCACCAAAACCACUUAGGGAGACAUAUGCCCUUACAAUCUCCCCCUUUUUGGUGGAUUUAUGACAAUACGGGAUUUGCACAUAGAGAUAUAUAAUAAGCAUAAGCAAACCCAAAAUCUAUAAAAUAUAGACAGGACCCCCCUAGAUGUGUGCAUUUUAUAGAUGUGCUUUGGACUGCACAACACACCCACUAGGAUCAACCCGCCCCCCUAUAUUUUAUAGACAAGGCAAUUCUAGCAACAAAAAAAGGGACACUAAGCAUGAGAAAUAAUAAGACAAGCAUAAUCUCACACAAAGGGACACAAUAAGGAUAACCAGGGUAGCAUAGCAUAUGUCUUACACCAUAUGAUAGAGUCUCACACAAAACCAAAGCGAACGAAGGAAAAGAGUUCACAAGCAAAAACACACAGAAGCAACAAGAACCAAUCUUGUGACUCAACAACACCAUACAGAAAGACAAAUCCCCGGUCCUAAACCUCUCCCCUUUGGCAUCAAGACACCAAAAGAGGCAAAGAGUGACCUAACGCAACUCCAGAUGGCACUAGUUUCCUCCCAUGGGCUUGCUAGACUCCUCAUAAGCAGACCCAUCAGCAGACUCCUCCUCAGACUCGUCGGUCUCCUCCUCGAUCUCUUGAUCCUGAGAUGGAGCAGAUGUAGCAGCAUUGGACUCAUCCGAGUCCGUCCAGUGAGAGUGCAAAGAAAUCCACUUGUCCUUCGGAGUGAUACGGUCCUUAGAGCCAUCCUGAACUAGGAUCUCAAGCUUCCUCAUGAUAGUAUUCCUCUCCCGACGAGCCUUCUUGGCAUCCACAUGUGCCAAGUACAUCUUGUGCUGAACAUCGGUCUGAAGGCAAAAGAGCUUCUUCACUUUGUGCUUGAGCUUAGCCCCCCAACCUGACUGACCAGAGGAAUGCACUGUGCGGGGAGCAAGACCAUCAUCAUCGCCCUGAUCCUCUCCAGAAGCAGACGACACUGGCGCUUCAGGACAAGUAGUAGAGGCCCAAGGCUCCUUCUGACGCAAGUUGAGUACGUCAUGAGGAGUCAAGGGUCCGGUCUCAAGAGGCACACCAGGGAAAGUGGAGCUCUAGGUAGACUGAAUCAACUUAAAGAUGAAUGGAGCAUAAAUUAGGCAAUGGUCUCCAUAGGUAGCAUUCACUAGCUCGUUCCACAUGACAUGAGAGACAUCCAAAACCACAUUUCUGCCCUUCUUAGAGUGGCACAACAGGAGCAUAUCCACAAGGUACCCAUGCACCAUGUCCAAGUUGCCAAUGCGAGGAAAGAGAGUGUGCCGGAAGAUGCGGUCCAUAAUGUCAAAGAAUGGCUUCAACUCCUUCAUGACUCCUUUCGCUGUCCUAGUGAUAAUCAUAUGAGGCAGCAGCUCAUCCUUGUGAGUAAGCCCCCCUCAUGGCGAGCACGAAGGCCAAGAGGCUUCCUCAGCCCCUCGUCAGGAUAUCCUAGAAGCGACAUAAAGGCACUCCAAGUGGCGCGCAACUGCCUGCCCUUGGUCAUCCAGAUCAAAGUGUGCUCUGGGUUUGUGCCAUACCAUAUGGUGGCAAAAACCUAAGCAACCAACUCUGCAUCGAAAUCAUAGUUGAAGGUCAUGAGGGUCACGAUGUUGAGCUGAUCAUAGAGGGCACGAGCUUCUCCAAAGUAUGCCUAGUACUUCUCCAUGUGAUCCAAGUUGGUUGACUUGGUCUUCACAAACAUGUUCUUCCUUCCCUUGAUCCGAUCAACUAGAUAUUGGUCCUUGUCCCAGAAUGGUGAUCCAACAAGAGAAGGAUCCUGAGAAAGGAUGUAGGGUUUUGCUCAUGGUAUUGCGAAUACUCAUUUUGCUUCAAUUCGGCNNNNNNNNNNNNNNNNNNNNNNNNNNNNNNNNNNNNNNNNNNNNNNNNNNNNNNNNNNNNNGCCAUCUUGACUGGUUCCUUCUUCUUCUUGCAAGCAGCGGUUGACAUGACAUUUGAUUUGCCCUUGUUCCUGGCAGCCUGACAACGAGCAAGCAACCGUGUGGGGGCAACCUCUUCUUCAUCUUAGGAAUACACAACUCUAGCAUGAUAGGUGCACCCACGCUUGGAUGGGGGAUUCACAUUCUUGCGACGAACCUUGGAGCUACUACCACCUAGAGAGGCACAAAACCGCAAGGGAAAGCAUGAAUACAAACGAUGCAUAAGCCAGGGAGAAACAAAAGUGAGAACGGAAGGCUCAGGGAGCAUUCUGAAAUUUGCGGACUAGAGCGGUAGUACCGCGGAACUAGGACAACUAGGACGGUAGUACCACCAGAGUGGUAGUACCGCUGCACAGGAGCGGUAGUACCGCUCUAGGAACAGACGCAUGGAACCCCCAGAUCCGGUAGUACCAGAGGUCACAAAUUCAAAAAUGCUCCUCUAAAUCUUUAAUCCUUCUAUCUAGCAGUCAUUCAACGUCCUACUCAAGCCCCGAUUUAGCCAAAAAUCGAGAAACCACCAUGCAUUGCCCUAGAAACCUAUAUUCAAAGGAGAGAACUAUAUGAGCAACGAACGAGGGCAAUACCGGGUUCCNNNNNNNNNNNNNNNNNNNNNNNNNNNNNNNNNNNNNNNNNNNNNNNNNNNNNNNNNNNNNNNNNNNNNNNNNNNNNNNNNNNNNNNNNNNNNNNNNNNNNNNNNNNNNNNNNNNNNNNNNNNNUGGCGAGAGGAGGUGGUGGGGAAUGAUUCCACCAGUCGGAAUCGUUGAAGACGGCACAGAAUCGGCCAGCCGGAGCGGCGGUCGGGGCUGUUCUUGGUUGCCUGAGAGAGAGAGAGAGACGUGAGAAGGGAGAAUCAAAGGGUAUGGGGGAGUUAGAACUCCCCCUGCUCGAUACUUACCCCCUCGGCGUCCCGCUAAGCGGUAGUACCACUAUGGGUAGCGGUAGUACCGCCCAGGUAUUACAUCCGGGCAGGAGGCCCAGUAGUACCGCUCAAGCGGUAAUACAGCUAGAUGGAACCGUAGUACCGCCGGUAGGGAGACAGAAUAGCCCAGAAAUAAGAGUGGAUUAUGCAAGACUAGGGUGGUUGAAGCAUAAAGAUAGGCUUGGGACGGAGACUCAAAUGGACAGCGAAGGGAAGAGAUACUCCAAGUUCGAAAAACCAAUAAACCAAGAGCAACUUGGAGUAACUCAAAGCGCAAACNNNNNNNNNNNNNNNNNNNNNNNNNNNNNNNNNNNNNNNNNNNNNNNNNNNNNNNNNNNNNNNNNNNNNNNNNNNNNNNNNNNNNNNNNNNNNNNNNNNNNNNNNNNNNNNNNNNNNNNNNNNNNNNNNNNNNNNNNNNNNNNNNNNNNNNNNNNNNNNNNNNNNNNNNNNNNNNNNNNNNNNNNNNNNNNNNNNNNNNNNNNNNNNNNNNNNNNNNNNNNNNNNNNNNNNNNNNNNNNNNNNNNNNNNNNNNNNNNNNNNNNNNNNNNNNNNNNNNNNNNNNNNNNNNNNNNNNNNNNNNNNNNNNNNNNNNNNNNNNNNNNNNNNNNNNNNNNNNNNNNNNNNNNNNNNNNNNNNNNNNNNNNNNNNNNNNNNNNNNNNNNNNNNNNNNNNNNNNNNNNNNNNNNNNNNNNNNNNNNNNNNNNNNNNNNNNNNNNNNNNNNNNNNNNNNNNNNNNNNNNNNNNNNNNNNNNNNNNNNNNNNNNNNNNNNNNNNNNNACACCCCUCUCAAAGGAGGGCGGUGGCCGAUGCCACCUAUGUUUGAGUCAAUUGGUAUGGCACCGUGAAGAUUUUAACCUUGGGCCCAUGACCAAAACUCGUCUUUGAAGCACAAGGACCAUCAACAAUGGCGAAUGUGAAAGAGAUGAUCAAUUUAUGCAUAAUGGGGGAGGGAGAGUUCACUGAGAGAACAACACUCCCCCUAUGCCCAUGCCUACAUCUAAACAAGACAACAUGAUGAGUGUGGUGGGGUGUGCAAAGGUUCAAACCGCAUUGCUCAAAUCAAUGAUAUUUAGCUCAUGCCUUAACUCGCGAAAUCUUGCUUCAUCCAAGGGCUUCGUGAAAAUAUCUGGAAGAUUAUCAUGAGCGUUGACAUAUUUGAGCUCGAUCUCCCCUCGCCUAAUGUGAUCCCGGAUGAAGUGAUAUCGAAUCUCAAUAUGCUUCGUCUUGAAGUGUUGCACCGGGUUGAGAGAGAUCUUGAUGGCACUUUCAUUGUCACACCAAAGAGGCACUUUGUCACAAAUGACACUGUAAUCCUUUAAAGUUUGCGUCAUCCAUAGAAGUUGAGCACAACAACUACCGGCGGCCACAUACUCCGCUUCGGUGGACGAGAGAGACACACAACUUUGUUCUUAGAAGACCAACUCACCAAAGAGCAACCAAGAAAUUGGCACCCUCCGGAGGUUAACUUCCUAUCCACUUUGUCUCCCGCCCAAUCCGAGUCUGAAUAGCCCAUAAGGUUGAAGUUAGCUCCUCUUGGGUACCAUAAGCCAAAGUUUGGGGUAUGAGCCAAAUAUCGAAAGAUUCGCUUGACCGCCACAUAGUGGCUUUCCUUAGGUGCGGCUUGAAACUGUGCACAAAUUCCCACACUUAACAUGAUAUCUGGUCUAUAUGCACAAAGGUAAAGUAAUGAGCCAAUCAUGGAACAAUAUACCUUUUGAUCCACCGCUUUACCAUUGGAUCAAUGUCAAGUUGGCAUUUGACGGGCAUUGGAGUGGCAGCCGGCUUGACAUCACUUGGCUUGAAUAUCUUGAGCAUAUCUUGGGUGUAUUUGGCUUGGUUGAUGAAAGUUCCUUUUCUUAUUUGUUUGAUUUCGAACCCGAGAAAGAACUUCAACCAUCCCAUCAUGGACAUCUUGAACUUCGAGGUCAUGAGAGCGGCAAACUCCUCAUUGAGAGCUUCGUUAGGAGAACCAAAGAUAAUAUCAUCAAUAUAUAGUUGGCAUACAAACAACUCCCCUUUGACCUUCUGUGACGCCCCCGAUUCAAUCAUACACUAAUCAUGCACGCAAAUGUGUACGAUCAAGAUCAGGGACUCACGGGAAGAUAUCACAACACAACUCUAAAAGUAAAAUAAGUCAUACACGCAUCAUAUUACAAGCCAGGGGCCUCGAGGGCUCGAAUACAAGUGCUCGAACAUAAACGAGUCAGCGGAAGCAACAAUAUCUGAGUACAGACAUAAGUUAAACAAGUUUCCAUAAGAUGGCUAGCACAAACGGGGAUACAGAUUGAAAGAGGCGCACACCUCUUGCCUGGGAUCCUCCUAAACUACUCCUGGUCGUCGGUGACCUGAACGUAGUAGUAGGUGCCAUCGGUGUAGUAGGGGUCGUCGUCGACAGUGGCGUCUGGCUCCUGGGCUCCAACGUCUAGUUGCGGCAUCCGAGAAGAAGAGGAAAGGGGGGGGGGGGGAAGAGGGAGCAAAGCAACCAUGAGUACUCAUCCAAAGUACUCGCAAGCAAGGAUCUACACUACAUAUGCAUGGGUAUAUGUGUAAAGAGGCAAUAUCGAUGGAAUGAACUGCAGAAUGCCAGAAUAAGAGGGGGAUAGCUAGUCCUAUCGAAGACUACAUUUCCGGCAGCCUCCAUCUUGCAGCAUGUAGAAGAGAGUAGAUGGUAAGUUCACGAAGUAUCAUCGCAUUAACAUAAUCCUACGCGGUGAUCCUCCCCUCGUCGCCCUGUGGGAAAGCUAUCAUCGGGACNNNNNNNNNNNNNNNNNNNNNNNNNNNNNNNNNNNNNNNNNNNNNNNNNNNNNNNNNNNNNNNNNNNNNNNNNNNNNNNNNNNNNNNNNNNNNNNNNNNNAGAUCGAGGGAGAGAUCAGAGGGGAAACAUCGAGGAGCUCACCGCGGAGUCAAAGGCGAGCUCGAGAUGGGUCGGGGAGGGCCAACAGUAGGAAUCUGGCGAUGGUGUCAUGGUGGUCGUGGAGGAGGAAGCGAUGUGGGCUUCGUCGUGGUGGCCUCCAGGCUCGAAUCCAGGGGCGUAGUCGAUGAAGAGAUGCCCGAGAAGCUUCUGGACACCGCCUCUCAGCGCCAGGAGGCUAGUAGACACGAGAUCGACACGGCGACAACGACGGUGGCGGCAGCGCUCGGGCACGAGCGAAUCUGAGAGGAGGAGAGGGAAAAGAGAAGCUAGGGUUGGUAGGGGGUCGAGGGCAUCCGUCUUAACCACCUAGGGGGCCAUGGGAUGGCCGGCACGUCCGCACCAGUGGCCAUGGUGGACGGAUGGCUGCCACGGUCCCCCUCCCAUGAAUAGGACGAAGGGGAUGGCGCCACUGGUGGGUUGGGCCUCCCGUGAGUACUUGAGCCCCAGAUGCUCAUUGCGUUUCUUUUUUUAUUUCUGUUUUUUUUUAAAAAAAAUUGGCACGGUCUGUAUUCAUUUAAGUUAUCAAAAGACUUUGCCAAAAAUGGAACUUGGCCAUAUCGAUGCCCUACAAUAUUUGGCACAGCCAAAAAAAUUUGGAGAGUUAAAUGAAUUCAUUUGAGUUUUUCUUAAAUACAAAUUAAUUAAAUAGGUUGUUUUGGGCAUUGUUUCAUAUAUGUUAGGGGCAAUUUAAUAAUUCAAAUAAUGCUUGUUUAUUUAUGACAAUUAGUUAGUGGAUUUUUUAACCCAACGAACAUUUUUGUUUUACCGUUUGAAGAAAUAUUUUUUUGGACUUUAUUUUAGAUCUGAAUUGAAUUCGGUUUGGCUCAAAUUGAGGUUUAGAAAAUAAUUGCGAAGACAUGACACCAUUACGGCGUGGUUACUGUAGCUUAACUACUAUGGUGUUACAAAUCUCCUCCACUACAAGAAAUCUCAUCCCGAGAUUUAAGANNNNNNNNNNGCGGCCAGGCAACGGGAGGGGCGGACGAUGGUGGGCGCGCGGGCCGGCUGCGGAGGUGGGCAGCGACAGGGGAGGGCGCUGGGAGUUGCGGGCACAGUGGCAGGAGCAGCCGGCGCGUGCGGUCAGAGGCAGCGACAGCAUGCUAGCAGCGGCGAGGCACGCAGCAGACAACAGCAAGUGCUGCGGUGGCAGAAGCUGGGGGCGCGGGCGACUGCAGAGAAGCGGCAGCACGGACAAGCAGCGGCCAGCGCGGCCAGGCGCAACGGCGCGCGCGGACAGCGGGGUUCGCGGACAUGCGUGGCCAAGCUAGGCAGGCACACAGCCGGGGAAGGUGCAGUGGCGAGCGACAGAGGCGGGGCGACCUUGAGCUCAAGCUCGCCGGCAGGGAUAGGGCUUCAGCCGGAGCAAAGAAUGACGACGGCGGUGCUAGUGUUAUAGAUCGAGGGAGAGAUCAGAGGGGAAACAUCGAGGAGCUCACCGCGGAGUCAAAGGCGAGCUCGAGAUGGGUCGGGGAGGGCCAACAGUAGGAAUCUGGCGAUGGUGUCAUGGUGGUCGUGGAGGAGGAAGCGAUGUGGGCUUCGUCGUGGUGGCCUCCAGGCUCGAAUCCAGGGGCGUAGUCGAUGAAGAGAUGCCCGAGAAGCUUCUGGACACCGCCUCUCAGCGCCAGGAGGCUAGUAGACACGAGAUCGACACGGCGACAACGACGGUGGCGGCAGCGCUCGGGCACGAGCGAAUCUGAGAGGAGGAGAGGGAAAAGAGAAGCUAGGGUUGGUAGGGGGUCGAGGGCAUCCGUCUUAACCACCUAGGGGGCCAUGGGAUGGCCGGCACGUCCGCACCAGUGGCCAUGGUGGACGGAUGGCUGCCACGGUCCCCCUCCCAUGAAUAGGACGAAGGGGAUGGCGCCACUGGUGGGUUGGGCCUCCCGUGAGUACUUGAGCCCCAGAUGCUCAUUGCGUUUCUUUUUUUAUUUCUGUUUUUUUUNNNNNNNNNNUCUUGUGUCCUUUGUCCUGUUUAACCCUUUUUAAGCUAAUCUAGUUGUGAUGGCUCCACGACUAAAUCCUUGCACUAGGACAUCUGCCGUGACUAUUCCACGACAGUUGGCGCCCACCAUAGGGCCAACGCACCGUGGUUUCGAGUUCUUAAAGGGCAGAUUCGAAGGGAUCAAGGGAUACGCUGUGGGCCGGAUGACCAAGAGUCAUUGCGGCAAGCUCUACAUCGACGAUGCAGGCUGGGGCCCCGAGGCCGGCUCAAUUGAGUACGGGUACCGGGUCCCCUUUGGCGGAAUUCACGUCUUCAUUGGCAAGAUUGGCGAGCCGGGCACUGAGCCGAACAUCUGCACUAACAUCAUCGAGACGGCUCAGCAUGCAAGACGCGCCCGAGCUCAACCCGCCAUAAAACGUGCCUUCAUGGGAUUCAUCCAUGGGGCGGAGUUUGAUGAAGGAUCUAUGUCUGGCGGUGAGACGACCAUCUAUUCUGACGGUGAGUCGUCCACGGGUGAGACUACUUCAUUAUAUCAAUUGCAAGAUGGCAGGCUUGGGGGUUGUUCCGAUGGCGACAAUAUUACGGACCCCUGCGAGCCGCCGAACAGGGUCACAAUCUUCAUGGCCGAAACACAGCCUGGGUAGAAUUCUUCGACGGCAGCAACAAUGAUUUCCAGGUCAAUAGCAGUGAUGGCAGCCGGGGCAAGAGGCCCUGUGCACCCGCCGGCUCAAGUUUUGACUGCAUUGCUGGAUAAUUUAACAGCUUUGUUGACAACAGAAGUUAACCCGGCAAAUCAAGCUCAGCACAACGCGGAAGUUGCAAACCUACGAGAUGAGAUAGCAGAACCCAGGGAGGGGUUGAAUGCACAGAACAUUAGGAUGGCUGUGGAACGGGCCGCCCUGGAUGCUCAAGCACAACGGAUUCAGUCAGAGGCCUUCCGGCUUACGAUGGAUCAAAACGCUUCAAAUGAAAUCAUGAGGAGGAGGCACAAGUCUCGUCUACCUCCGCUUUACGAGGCGAGAAACCUCUUUUGCACGCCUAGAGCGGGGACCAGUAACCCGCCAGAGAUAAACUGGGUUGCGGCGCCUGGGGCUGGAGCGCCGGCUCAACCGCGCAUGACGGAGCCACCUCGUCCGAAUAAUACUCCACCUCAGCAUGUGCCGACACCAUCGGGUCAUUAUUCUAAUCCUUUGGAUAAUAUGAUCAUUGUGGCGACACGUUUGGCGGCUCUCCCGGUGGAAGAAGAUUCUCGAGCGGCAGUUGAAACACGNNNNNNNNNNUCUCUAGAACUUGUUUGGGUGUGUUUUAUUAAGUAUCCGGUUCUAGUUGUCAUAAGGUCAAGGUACAACUCCGGGUCGUCCUUUUACCGAGGGACACGGCUAUUCGAAUAGAUAAACUUCCUUGUAGGGGUGCACCACAUUUCCCAACACGCUCGAUCCCUCUGGCCGGACACACUUUCCUGGGUCAUGCCCGGCCUCGAAAGAUCAACAUGUCGCAGCCCUACCUAGGCACAACAGAGAGGUCAGCACGCCGGUCUAAAUCCUAUGCACGCAAGGGUCUGGGCCCAUCACCCAUUGCACACCUGCACGUUGCAAGGGCGGCCGGUGAGCAGACCUAGCAACCUCCAGUACAAAGGAAGUUGCAUUACGUGGUCCAACCCGGCGCACACCACUCAGUCGCUGGCGUCAAGAAGGCUUCGGCUGAUACCACAACGUCGAGUGCCCAUAACUGUUCCCGCGUAGUUGGUUAGUGCGCAUAGGCUAGUGGUCAGACUCAGAUCAAAUACCAAGAUCUUGUUAAGCGUGUUAUUUUGAAGUAACUGCGGACGUCGACCAGGGCCAGGCCCACCUCUCGCCUAGGUGGUCUCAACCUGCCCUAUCCCUCCACCACAAAGUAACCAUCAAGGGGCUGUCGGGAACCCAGGCCCAUCACUACCUUGAUGGUACCACCUGCCCCUUCAGCCCCCAUCUCUGAAACACUUGCGGGUAUUCUAUGAGCCGACCCAACUUUAGUCACCAUCUGUAUAGCAUGUAUGUAUGUAUAUAUAUACCCGUGAUCACCUCCCGAGUGAUCACGGCCUGAUAGUACAGCAUGGAACACGGACAAGAAUGUAGAGGCCGCUGGUGGUAAACUAGCAUCCUAUACUAAGCAUUUAGGAUUGCAGGUAAGGUAUCAACAACUGUAGAAACAAUGACAGACUAUGCAACAAAAUAGGAUUAAUCAAAAACAGUAACAUGCUACACUAUAAUGCAAGCAGUAGAGGGAAGAAUAGGCGAUAUCUGGUGAUCAAGGGGGGGCUUGCCUGGUUGCUCUGCAGACAGAAACAUACCCUCGAAGGUGAAGUAGUCAAUCACCGGUUCAACCGCGGUCCCGGGGUCUACCAGAAAGAAGUAACGGAAGGGGAACACAAUAAAUAAUAGAGCAAACAAAGCAUCACAAAAUUUAACAAGGCAAUGCACAGUGCCAUGGGUGAUCUAAAGCGGGGAUAGGUGAUACCGGCGAAGGGGGAAAACAUCCGAGAAAGUAUUCCCAGUGUUAGGCAUUUUCGGAUAAAUGUAACGGAGGGGGCGGUUCCAUGUUUGCAGUGCCGGAGGGAUGUGACAGGUAUGUGGAUGGCAUAUUCGGAUUCAUCAUAUUUUUCUGAUCGAUUUUCAUAUAUAAAUUAUUUUCGUCGGAGCUAUAGUUGAAUUUAUAUGAAUUUCCGAAGUUUAAACAAUACUCUGAAAUUCCUAGGUUUUAUUUUAAUAAUAAAAAAUAAGGCAGAAAAGGCUAGGCGCACCCGGUGCAGCGCACCCAGAGGUGCACCAGUGGCCAACAGGUGGGGCCAGUCAACUGCUGACGCAGAAGUCGACUCGUCAGACGUUGACCGGUCAGCGGGUUCAGUGGGAUCCACGUGUCAGUGUCUCACAUUUAUUUUUAUUUUAUUUCCAUUCUCUUCUUCUUCUUCUUUUUUGGCUGGCCCCACUUGACAGUGGGCCAGCAAAUCACAGGGGUUGUGCCCAGGCACGGGCGCCCAUGGCCGGCCGAGGGGACGCGACAAGCAGCGGGAGGGGAGGCCCCGGUGCGGCAUCCGGCGCGGUCGGGUGCGGCCAAGCAACGGGAGGGGUGGCCCCGGCGCGGCCCCGGUGCGGCCUCCGGCGCGGCCAGGCGCGGCUGGNNNNNNNNNNNNNNNNNNNNNNNNNNNNNNNNNNNNNNNNNNNNNNNNNNNNNNNNNNNNNNNNNNNNNNNNNNNNNNNNNNNNNNNNNNNNNNNNNNNNNNNNNNNNNNNNNNNNNNNNNNNNNNNNNNNNNNNNNNNNNNNNNNNNNNNNNNNNNNNNNNNNNNNNNNNNNNNNNNNNNNNNNNNNNNNNNNNNNNNNNNNNNNNNNNNNNNNNNNNNNNNNNNNNNNNNNNNNNNNNNNNNNNNNNNNNNNNNNNNNNNNNNNNNNNNNNNNNNNNNNNNNNNNNNNNNNNNNNNNNNNNNNNNNNNNNNNNNNNNNNNNNNNNNNNNNNNNNNNNNNNNNNNNNNNNNNNNNNNNNNNNNNNNNNNNNNNNNNNNNNNNNNNNNNNNNNNNNNNNNNNNNNNNNNNNNNNNNNNNNNNNNNNNNNNNNNNNNNNNNNNNNNNNNNNNNNNNNNNNNNNNNNNNNNNNNNNNNNNNNNNNNNNNNNNNNNNNNNNNNNNNNNNNNNNNNNNNNNNNNNNNNNNNNNNNNNNNNNNNNNNNNNNNNNNNNNNNNNNNNNNNNNNNNNNNNNNNNNNNNNNNNNNNNNNNNNNNNNNNNNNNNNNNNNNNNNNNNNNNNNNNNNNNNNNNNNNNNNNNNNNNNNNNNNNNNNNNNNNNNNNNNNNNNNNNNNNNNNNNNNNNNNNNNNNNNNNNNNNNNNNNNNNNNNNNNNNNNNNNNNNNNNNNNNNNNNNNNNNNNNNNNNNNNNNNNNNNNNNNNNNNNNNNNNNNNNNNNNNNNNNNNNNNNNNNNNNNNNNNNNNNNNNNNNNNNNNNNNNNNNNNNNNNNNNNNNNNNNNNNNNNNNNNNNNNNNNNNNNNNNNNNNNNNNNNNNNNNNNNNNNNNNNNNNNNNNNNNNNNNNNNNNNNNNNNNNNNNNNNNNNNNNNNNNNNNNNNNNNNNNNNNNNNNNNNNNNNNNNNNNNNNNNNNNNNNNNNNNNNNNNNNNNNNNNNNNNNNNNNNNNNNNNNNNNNNNNNNNNNNNNNNNNNNNNNNNNNNNNNNNNNNNNNNNNNNNNNNNNNNNNNNNNNNNNNNNNNNNNNNNNNNNNNNNNNNNNNNNNNNNNNNNNNNNNNNNNNNNNNNNNNNNNNNNNNNNNNNNNNNNNNNNNNNNNNNNNNNNNNNNNNNNNNNNNNNNNNNNNNNNNNNNNNNNNNNNNNNNNNNNNNNNNNNNNNNNNNNNNNNNNNNNNNNNNNNNNNNNNNNNNNNNNNNNNNNNNNNNNNNNNNNNNNNNNNNNNNNNNNNNNNNNNNNNNNNNNNNNNNNNNNNNNNNNNNNNNNNNNNNNNNNNNNNNNNNNNNNNNNNNNNNNNNNNNNNNNNNNNNNNNNNNNNNNNNNNNNNNNNNNNNNNNNNNNNNNNNNNNNNNNNNNNNNNNNNNNNNNNNNNNNNNNNNNNNNNNNNNNNNNNNNNNNNNNNNNNNNNNNNNNNNNNNNNNNNNNNNNNNNNNNNNNNNNNNNNNNNNNNNNNNNNNNNNNNNNNNNNNNNNNNNNNAUAAUUGCGAAGACAUGACACCAUUACAGCGUGGUUACUGUAGCUUAACUACUAUGGUGUUACAAAUCUCCUCCACUACAAGAAAUCUCAUCCCGAGAUUUAAGAGGGAGAGUAAGGGGGGGGGGAGGGAUUUGGUCAUGAAAUUCUAACGAGUCUUUCCGGUCUUGGUUGCUUUUAUCGAAGAGGUCGAUCUAAUAUGUUUAUGUCUUCAUUCCUCUGUGUUGGGGAUAUAACUAUUAGGUAUGACCCGCCUAGGAGGGGCCGGGUUAUACCUAUGGCGGUUCAUCAAUAUGAAGCCCACUAGGAUAUUGAAGAUGGCGGUUCAUGGGGCGAAGGCCCAAGAGCAACUUAAGGCCCAUAGGGUAAACCGCCAUAUGUGUAUGACUUAUAUUGUAAGGCAAGUAUAUUUAGUCACAGAGCCGGACACAUUGUCUAUGAGCCGGCCGGGACUCCGUAAGCCGCUGGGCGUCAACCUGUGUAUAUAAACGGACGACCCGGCGGUGGUUCAGGGCAAGAAACAAGAGAUCGAAAGCUAGGUCAAGCGUAUUCGCUCCCUGGUAAUCAAGACAUAAGCAAUACCACCUCAAACUGGAUUAGGCCUUUACCUUCACCGCAAGGGGCCGAACCAGUAUAAACUCUUGUGUCCUUUGUCCUGUUUAACCCUUUUUAAGCUAAUCUAGUUGUGAUGGCUCCACGACUAAAUCCUUGCACUAGGACAUCUGCCGUGACUAUUCCACGACAGUUGGCACCCACCAUAGGGCCAACGCACCGUGGUUUCGAGUUCUUAAAGGGCAGAUUCGAAGGGAUCAAGGGAUACGCUGUGGGCCGGAUGACCAAGAGUCAUUGCGGCAAGCUCUACAUCGACGAUGCAGGCUGGGGCCCCGAGGCCGGCUCAAUUGAGUACGGGUACCGGGUCCCCUUUGGCGGAAUUCACGUCUUCAUUGGCAAGAUUGGCGAGCCGGGCACUGAGCCGAACAUCUGCACUAACAUCAUCGAGACGGCUCAGCAUGCAAGACGCGCCCGAGCUCAACCCGCCAUAAAACGUGCCUUCAUGGGAUUCAUCCAUGGGGCGGAGUUUGAUGAAGGAUCUAUGUCUGGCGGUGAGACGACCAUCUAUUCUGACGGUGAGUCGUCCACGGGUGAGACUACUUCAUUAUAUCAAUUGCAAGAUGGCNNNNNNNNNNNNNNNNNNNNNNNNNNNNNNNNNNNNNNNNNNNNNNNNNNNNNNNNNNNNNNNNNNNNNNNNNNNNNNNNNNNNNNNNNNNNNNNNNNNNNNNNNNNNNNNNNNNNNNNNNNNNNNNNNNNNNNNNNNNNNNNNNNNNNNNNNNNNNNNNNNNNNNNNNNNNNNNNNNNNNNNNNNNNNNNNNNNNNNNNNNNNNNNNNNNNNNNNNNNNNNNNNNNNNNNNNNNNNNNNNNNNNNNNNNNNNNNNNNNNNNNNNNNNNNNNNNNNNNNNNNNNNNNNNNNNNNNNNNNNNNNNNNNNNNNNNNNNNNNNNNNNNNNNNNNNNNNNNNNNNNNNNNNNNNNNNNNNNNNNNNNNNNNNNNNNNNNNNNNNNNNNNNNNNNNNNNNNNNNNNNNNNNNNNNNNNNNNNNNNNNNNNNNNNNNNNNNNNNNNNNNNNNNNNNNNNNNNNNNNNNNNNNNNNNNNNNNNNNNNNNNNNNNNNNNNNNNNNNNNNNNNNNNNNNNNNNNNNNNNNNNNNNNNNNNNNNNNNNNNNNNNNNNNNNNNNNNNNNNNNNNNNNNNNNNNNNNNNNNNNNNNNNNNNNNNNNNNNNNNNNNNNNNNNNNNNNNNNNNNNNNNNNNNNNNNNNNNNNNNNNNNNNNNNNNNNNNNNNNNNNNNNNNNNNNNNNNNNNNNNNNNNNNNNNNNNNNNNNNNNNNNNNNNNNNNNNNNNNNNNNNNNNNNNNNNNNNNNNNNNNNNNNNNNNNNNNNNNNNNNNNNNNNNNNNNNNNNNNNNNNNNNNNNNNNNNNNNNNNNNNNNNNNNNNNNNNNNNNNNNNNNNNNNNNNNNNNNNNNNNNNNNNGUUUUGACUGCAUUGCUGGAUAAUUUAACAGCUUUGUUGACAACAGAAGUUAACCCGGCAAAUCAAGCUCAGCACAACGCGGAAGUUGCAAACCUACGAGAUGAGAUAGCAGAACCCAGGGAGGGGUUGAAUGCACAGAACAUUAGGAUGGCUGUGGAACGGGCCGCCCUGGAUGCUCAAGCACAACGGAUUCAGUCAGAGGCCUUCCGGCUUACGAUGGAUCAAAACGCUUCAAAUGAAAUCAUGAGGAGGAGGCACAAGUCUCGUCUACCUCCGCUUUACGAGGCGAGAAACCUCUUUUGCACGCCUAGAGCGGGGACCAGUAACCCGCCAGAGAUAAACUGGGUUGCGGCGCCUGGGGCUGGAGCGCCGGCUCAACCGCGCAUGACGGAGCCACCUCGUCCGAAUAAUACUCCACCUCAGCAUGUGCCGACACCAUCGGGUCAUUAUUCUAAUCCUUUGGAUAAUAUGAUCAUUGUGGCGACACGUUUGGCGGCUCUCCCGGUGGAAGAAGAUUCUCGAGCGGCAGUUGAAACACGGAGGGCUAAGGAGCUUCUUCAAACAACAUUGGUGCAGCAGGAGGCGUACUCUUACAGUCAAGAUAGGAUUCAUUCGACCCCUCGCCCAAGCCGGAGCUAUAGCAGACACAUGGACUCACCAGCCAUUUCAAGCAAUGACUAGCACUGUAACCAGCCGCGCGGGCAUGACCUGACGCGUGAUGGUGCUCAUGCUUGGUCGAUCAGGACAGGGCACGUUGAGAAGCGGAACAGGUGGCUCAGCGGGCGGUUCAUCAAAAACUUUCGGUUUAUCCGACGGCUUCGGUGGAGCGGGUGUAACCUAUAGAACCACAGGUGUACCAUGCUUGGUGUCGGCUCUACGGAAUGAGCGUCCGCCUAAGGAUUUCAAAGGACCUUGCAAGGUACCUAAUUAUACAGCCGACUUACCCCCUGAGGCGUGGAUUGAGAGUUACGAGAUGGCCAUGGAACUGUUGGAAGUCAGCGAUGCUGCGUGUGCCAAAUACUUCACCAUGAUGCUGGAUGGGACGACCUGUACUUGGCUAAAAGGGCUGCCUGCCAAUUCCAUCGGGUCAUGGAAUGAGCUAAAGGCCCGGUUUAUCCAGAACUUUAAAGAUACCUGUAAACAGCCCAUGUCGAUUGUGGAUUUGGAUGCUUGCGUCCAGGAAGAGGGCGAGUCAACAACCCAUUGGGUGUGCCGGGUCAAGGCUAUUCUGCAUUCAUCGGACAACAUCAAUGCCGGCUCAGCAGUCCUAAUGCUAGCAAAAAAAUACCGUUUUUUGACUCUUAAGCGGAAGCUAGGGUGGAUGAAGCGUGAUUGCAAUAACAUGGGGGAGCUGAUGGCGGCUCUAAUGAAAUAUGCCGACUCUGAUGGUACCAAGGACCCCAAGUCUGAUGAUGAAAAACCGGGAAAGGGAAAGAAGAGUGGCAACACCAAGGGUCCACAACAUAACCCAGCGAGUCAGGGGGGCAACGGUAAGCGCAAGGCUAAUGGUAACUCAGAUUUUGUGGCUAAUACCAAUACACAGAAUGAUAGUCAGUGUCGUAAGGGGAGGUUGCCUCCUCGGACCAGUGGAUCAGGUCCCAAUCUUGAGCAGUUGCUGAAUGAGCCCUGCCCAAAGUAUGGCACGAAGGAGAGGCCAGCCACUCACCUUUGGAAAGAUUGUUCAAUUAUGAGGGCUUUCAAAAAUUCUAAUUUAUUCCAGAACAACCAUGGGCCGGGCGGCGGCUCAGGUUCUGGUAGUGGUGGUUCUCAUGGCCCGGGUUACAGUGGUGGCGGUUCUAAUUCCGGCUUCCAGGGUCACCAGAACCAUCAAGGUAAUCGGGGUGGUUACAAUCAACAAUCUGGUCAGGGGGGUCAACAGCAGCAGCAGUUUGGAUAUCAAAGUCAUCUGAAGCAGUUGAAUAGUGGCUAGUAUCACGUUUUCACCACAGGUUUAUGCAAGCGGGAUCAGAAGCUUCAUAAAAGGGUUGUGAACGCCAUUGAACCGGCAGUUCCCCAUUACUUGCGGUGGUCCGAGCAACCCAUUAUGUGGAGUCGAGAGGAUCACCCGCCACGGGUUGAUAAUCCGGGUCACUUGGCUUUGGUGGUAGCGCCUCAAGUUGGUGGAUACAAAUUCACUAAGGUACUCAUGGAUGGAGGUAGCAGCAUUAACAUCCUUUAUUAUGAUACUUUCCGUCGCAUGGGAUUGACUAACAAAAAUCUUAAGCCGUCCAAUACUGUUUUCCACGGAGUGGUGCCUGGUAAGUCGGCGUACCCUAUAGGCAAGAUUGAGCUGGAAGUAGCCUUUGGGGAUGAACAUGAUUCCAGGGCCGAGAAAUUAACCUUUGAAGUGGUCAAUAUUAGAAGCCCGUACCACGCCCUGUUUGGACGACCGGCUUAUGCCAAGUUCAUGGCACGACCUUGCUAUGUUUAUCUACAACUCAAGAUGUCAGGUUACAAGGGAACCAUCACAGUGCAUGGAAGUCGGAAGAUAGCUCUGGAGUGUGAAGAAGGUGAUGCUGCUUAUGCUGAGUCUAUCUGUGCAACAGAGGAGUUGAAGUUUUACAAAGACAAUGUUGAUCCGGCGGAUAUGACAUCUUUGAAAAAGACAACUGUAGAGAAUGAUCCGGUACUGAGUUUAAGUCAGCUGAUGACACUAAGCUAGUUGACUUUGUUCCUGGCGAUUCAUCCAAGCAGUUCAAUAUCAGUGCUAACCUGGAUCCUAAAUAGGAAAGCACGCUCAUCGAGUUCAUCCAUGAGAACGGGACAUCUUUGCAUGGAAACCUUCUGACAUGCUGGGUGUACCGAGGGAACUCGCUGAGCACACUCUUAAUAUUGAUCCAAAGUUUAAGCCGGUCAAGCAAUUCCUUCGUCGCUUUGAUGAGGAGAGGCGUAAAGCCAUUGGUGAAGAAGUGGCCCGACUCUUGGCGGCUGGGUUCAUUGUUGAAGUCUUUCAUCCUGAAUGGUUGGCUAAUCCGGUGCUGGUGCUUAAGAAGAAUGGUACUUGGCGUAUGUGUGUGGACAACACAGAUUUAAACAAGGCAUGUCCGGCUGAUCCUUUUACUCUCCCUCAUAUUGAUCAAAUCAUUGAUGCUACGAUGGGAUGUGAGUGUUUGAGCUUUUUGGAUGCUUACUCUGGUUAUCGUCAUAUCAAGAUGGCAGUUAAGGACCAGGAGAAGACAACUUUUAUCACUCCCUUUGGAGCCUUCUACUAUGUACCUAUGCCUUUUGGGCUCAAGAGUGCCCAGGCAACUUACCAGCGAUGUGUGCAGAAUUGUCUUCACGAUCAGAUUGGGUGCAAUGUUCAUGCUUAUGUGGAUGAUAUUUUGGUGAAAUCCAGAGAGAAGGAAACUUUAGAUGAUUUGAAGGAGACCUUCAACAAUCUCCGGGUCUACAAGAUGAUGCUUAACCCGACCAAGUGUGUUUUUGGUGUGCCAGCGGACAAGCUUUUGGGUUUCCUGGUUUCUAACAGAGGCAUUGAGGCUAACCCGGAGAAGAUCAAAGCCAUUACUUCCUUGGCAAAGCCGGCGUGUAUCAAUGAUGUUCAAAGUCUGGCAGGUCGUAUUGCUGCCUUAAGCCGGUUCAUAAGCUGGUUGGGUGAGAAGGCCAUACCUCUGUACUAGAUGAUGAAGAAAACAGAUGACUUUGUCUGGAGUGAUGCUGCUAAUGACGCGUUUGAAGCGUUGAAAAACAGCUAGCUGAGCCGCCAGUCCUUGCCGCUCUUAUUGAUAAGGAGUCGUUGUUAUUAUAUGUGGGUACUAAUGCCGAGGCUGUCAGUGUAGCCAUUGUGGUGGAACGGAAGGAAGCAGGCAAGGAAUAUCCGGUUCAACGCCCGGUUUACUAUAUCAGUGAAGUUCUUAUUGAGUCCAAGCAAAGGUAUCCACACUAGCAGAAGCUCGUAUACGGGGUGUUCAUGGCGAGUCAGAAGCUUAAACAAUAUUUUCUGGAUCAUCCCAUCACUAUGGUUAGUUCUGCUCCUUUGGGAGAUAUUAUUCAAAACAAAGAAGCCACAGGUCGAGUAGCCAAGUGGGUCAUUGAGCUUGGAACUCAUGGUUUGAACUAUAUGCCUCGCAUGGCCAUCAAGUCUCAAGCACUUGUGGAUUUCAUCAAUGACUGGAUAGAGCUGCAGAUGCCUGAAGAGAAGCCAGAUAACACAUAUUGGACUAUUCACUUUGAUGGUUCCAGGAAAUUGGAGGGCUCGAGGGCUGGAGUUGUCUUAGCUUCCCCUCAAGGUGAAAAGUUUUGUUAUGUCUUAAGGUUGAUGUUUCCCUGUACUAAUAAUGCAGCUGAGCAUGAAGCCUUGCUCCAUGGUCUUCGGAUGGCUAAGGAGAUGAACUUAAGCCGGGUGAGGUGUUUCGGCGACUCAGACUUGGUGGCUCAGCAAGUUUCAGGCACAUGGGACUCUAAGGACCCACUCAUGGUGGCUUAUCGCCGCGAGGUUGAUGCUAUUGCUGGACACUUCAAGGGUUAUCAAGUGGAACACAUUGAUCGCAGGAAAAUGAGGCGGUUGAUGCCUUAAGCCGGUUAGGGUCCCAGCGUAAGCCGGUGCCACCUAACACUUUCUUGGAUAUUCUGCAUAACCCUUCUGUCAAAUUGCCUACAGAGGAAGAUCUGGCUAUUCCUGACCCGGAAGCGCAACUGGUGGCGGCUAUUCACGCUAUUCCUGAUUGGAUAGUCCCGCAUUUGGCUUAUAUGAUCCGGGGCGAGUUACCUGAGGAUGAAACUUUGGCCAGGCAGAUAACCCAGCGGUCUAAGUCAAUGACAAUUUCUAACGGAGAGUUACACCAUCGCAGUGUCACUGGGGCGUUUCAACAUUGCGUUUCUCCUGAAGAGGGCCGUGAAGUUCUUCGCGAGAUUCAUGAAGGAGAUUGUGGUCAUCAUGCCGGCUCAAAAUCUCUUGUGGCUAAGGCUUUUCGUCAUGGGUUUUACUGGCUGACAGCUCAUGCUGAUGCAGAGGAUUUGGUCAGUAAAUGUGAUGGUUGUCAGAAAUUUUCACGACGAGCUCACGUGCCGGCUCAAGAAUUGAGGAUGAUUCCAAUUACUUGGCUGUUUGCAGUUUGGGGGCUUGAUAUGGUUGGGCCUUUUAAAAGGUCCAAGGAUAAAAAGACCCACCUUUUGGUGGCAGUUGACAAAUUCACAAAGUGGGUCGAAGCAGAGCCAGUCAGUAAGUGCGAUGCGGCAACAACGGUUCAAUUUAUCAAAAAGGUGAUUUUUCGCUUUGGUUUUCCUCACAACAUUAUAACUGAUAAUGGCACUAAUCUCUCCAAGGGUGCUAUGAAAGAGUUUUGUCAACGUGAGCAUAUUCGACUCGACGUCUUGUCAGUGGCUCACCCCCAAUCCAAUGGUCAAGCUGAAAGAGCCAAUCAAAAUUUUUUGAGAGGCAUCAAGCCCCGGCUUAUGGUUCCUUUGCAAAGGAUGCCAGGUUGUUGGGGUGGAGGAGUUACCUUCAGUGCUAUGGAGUAUCAAUACUACCCCCAAUAGAUCUACGGGUUACACGCCUUUCUUCAUGGUUUACAGAGUAGAGAAGGUUCUCCCUAGUGACAUCCGUCAUGACUCACCCCGUGUGGCGGCUUAUGUUGAAGCUGAUAAUGAACAAGCACGUCAGGAUGCACUUGACAUGUUAGACGAGGAGCGUGACCUUGCGGCGGCUCGCUCGGAGAUUUACCAACAAGAUCUGUGCCAUUACCACAGCCACCGGGUUAAGUCCAGAACCUUUCAAGAAGGUGACUUAGUGCUCCGGCUCAUCCAGAAUCAAACUGAUAUGCACAAGUUAUCCCCACCUUGGGAAGGACCCUUUGUGGUCAGCAAGAACUUGAACAAUGGGUCAUACUACCUUAUCGAUAUUCGAGAGCACAAGGACUAACGUAAGUCAGAGGAGGAGACCUGCCAGCCGUGGAAUAUUGCUCAUCUUCGUCCUUACUACACUUGAGCCAUCAGCUCUUAUGAUGUACAUAUUUUGACAAUGUAUAUAUUAUGAUGAUUAUAAUAAAGCCAGCAUCCCUGAUAAAGCAGGGCCUCUAUCAUUUCAUCUUCAAGAAUAAUGAGUCCUUUUCAUCAUAAUUUCAAUGGUUAUUUGGGGCUUCCUAUUCAAAGAUAGGUGUAUUCACAAAAGAGAACAUAGAUGUCGGUACCCUCUUGAUCGACGCAAUGCCAAAACUUAUGGUCACUUGGGGGCUUCCUGUUCAAACAUAGGUGUAUUCACCAAAGAGAACAUAGCUGUCGGUACCCUGUUGAUCGGCGCAAUGCCAAAACUUAUGGUCACUUGGGGGCUUCCCAUUCAAACAUAGGUGUAUUCACCAAAGAGAACAUAGUUGUCGGUACCCUCUUGAUCGGCGUAAUGCCAAAAUUUAUGGUCACUAGGGGGCUUCCUGAUCAUAUUUGAAUCAUAGCUGUCGGUACCCUUUUGAUCGGCUCAAUGCCACAAACCACUUGGGGGCUUCCUGAUCAUAUUCAAAUCAUAGCUAUAAAUAACCCUUUUGGUCCGGCUUCCUCUCGUAUUUGAAGCAUAGCCUCGUUUUCUCGUUUUUGCUUGGUUUUUUGAACAUUUUUUGGUUCAUCUUGAUGCCAGCUUGAUAUAUGGUUUAAAGUGAUUCAGGCCAUAUAGCCUCAAUUUUCAGAGCUCAUAUUUGAAGCAUAUCUGUGGUUUCUGUUAACCCGACCUGGAUUUGGAUGAUAAGUCGCCAACAUAUGACAAUAUUAAAUACUUGGAAGUAUUGGCUUAUAAAGUUUUGGGUUAUCACCCUUACUGCAUUGGUAUCAUAAGCCAGCAGUAUGAUUCAAUAUCACAGGUAUGAUAUUUUUGUUAUGAUUAUGUCUAAUUAUGACCGAACCGACCCCAUUUAUAAACUGUUUUACACAUCAGUUAUUAUAUAUGGGAUGUUAUGACCCGCCCUGCAGUAAACCGCCAGGGCUCUUGUGAUCUACUUGUGUGUAGACUAGGACUAAAUUUCAUCUGCAUAAAUCAACGCCAUCAUAAAGGAUAUAAUGAUAAUUUUCAAGUGGCGGAUCAAACAGUACUGGGCAAAACAUAAACGUGCAUGAUGGUACGACAGAGCAAAGUUUUACUAGCCUAUUACAUGACUCAAGGAGCCAAAUGAUUAAGUGUUUUCAGAAGACCAAAUAUAUAAACCGCCCGGCGGGUCAAUCUUCUUGGGUCUCACGGUUUGAAGCUUUUGGAUCGUCCUUCUCUGCUUCUUCGUCCUCUUCUACUGCCUGGAAGUUUGGUGAUGACCAGUCAAUGCCACUCAAGGCUUGGAAUUCAGCUUCAUCAUCUAUAAGCUCAGACGGGUCAACUUCAGGAGCAAAAGUGUGCUUACGGAUUGGGGGAAUUAGAUCCAUCACUUUAUAAGACGGUGUAGGGGGCUUAUGAUUUUCCAUGUCAUAAGCCGGUUGAUAUCUAGAAAGAUCCGUUUCAUUGGCAAUCAGGCUGGCCAAGGGACGUAUCUCCUUCACGCAGGCGGCCAAGUCCUUCUUAUCAAAGGGAGUGCCAUCUUCUUUCAAUCUUGGGUACCCGGUAGAUAUAUUGGUCGGGUCUAGCUCUGGUAGCCAUGCUUUGGCCUGGCUUAAAGCUGUCACAGCGCCGACUCUUGCAGAUGAUCGCUUCAUUUCACUAAACCUCUCAGGCAGAACAGAAAGCUUCCUCAAGACAUCAACCAAGAAAGUAGGUGCUUGAUUAGCCGGAGAAAUUGUGGCCAGUGCACGCUGAGUCCCAGUAUAGUGCUGCUCGACAAGUGUAUAAACAGCUUUUAGCUUCACAAGUAUCUCUUGGCUAAGAUUGGUGCUCCUGGGACCUGAAUAAUAACCAUGAGUUGGUUAGACACGGUUUAUACCAUCAAAGAAGAGAUUCAACUUUGAUAACUAGCAAGGCGACUUACCAAAGAUAGCAGACACCAUCUGAGCCACAUGGCAUUUUAAGCUGGUAAGCUCAGUGGUCACCUCCUGAAGAGCCGUCUCUGCCUUCUCAGCCCUCUGUAUCAAAGCGGUCUUUUCUUCAGCCCAGAUGUUUCCUUCAACCUCAAAACUGCUCUUCAUCUUUUCUGUUUCAACCAUGCUAAACUGGAAUUUUGAGUCGGCCUUCCAGGUCUCAGAUUCUUGCUGCUCAAGCCUAGCUUUCACUUCCGUUAAUUGUGAUUCAAGUUGAGCAGUGGUGGCCUAUAUAUACACCAGUUCAAAGUUAAGCUUAGAUUUAGAUUACAGAAAUAAAGUCCCAAGACUUUUGCAAGCAACAACACUUGGCACUUGGGGGCAAAUGCGUGCCGAAACAGUAUUCAUACAAGGGCUCAUGUGAAUAAGUCCCAAGCACUUUGCAAGCAAGAAUACUUGGCACUUGGGGGCUAAUGCGUAUUGCUUGUCUUUAUACUACUUUAUGAUGACCCGGUCGUGCCGCAAACGGUCACAACCGGUUCAUGAGGGCUACACAAGUAAGUUCUGCUUUAUACACAAAGGACCGGCUAGUUCAUGCUGAUUACACCGGCCCUUGGGGGCUACAGAUUUAGUGUUAAUCAUUAUAGAUCUCCUUUAACCCGGAGAGUGUAAGUCGGAUUUUGACGGGUUCUAUCAAAAGAUAUUAUUUAUACUCAUAGUUAAUCUAAGUCUACAACAUAUUCAAUUCCCUCAUAAACAGUAGACUUGGGAGCUGACAAGAAGUGCAUAACUCAAUAAAGGAGUUCAUACCUCAAAUUUUUGAUGCAUCUGCCUCACCAUGUCAACUUCAAGAUCACGGUUGGUGUGCGCUUGAUUGAGAUAGCCAGAAUAUACUUCACCAAUGCUCAGUUGAGAGUAGUUGGCUACAUCAAAUCUCACUUUUCGCCGUUCAAGGUGUUCUUCCUUGGCGGAGUGCUUGGCCAAGACAGUAGUUCUUCGCGGCUCUCUAAAGCCGGUGUUGGUAAUCACCACAUCAUCAUCAUGUGCCUCAGCCGUUUUAAUUGGGCUUGAGGAUUCAGUGUUCAAAGGAUCAUUAUUUGCCUGAUCAAUAGAAGGGUCAGGAGUCAUUGGUGGAACGUCAAGAACCGAUUCUUCUGGUUGAGGGAUGGAAGUUUCAGGUGCGGGAACUUGUUGCUCCGGUUCACUGACUUUGGGGUCUUCAGCCGGCUUUGUCACCCGUGCCUUCUUGCUAGGCUUGGCCUUUCCACUACAUGGGUUAUGACAGGUCAGUAAAAAUAUAAAGGAGCAUAAGAAGCAAAUAAUAAAAAUUUAUUAUUACCCAGGAGCACUUUUGAAAGCUGGCAGAUGGGAUUGUGAUGAGUCACCGGAAGAGGAGCGAGACGUCUUCUGGUAAUUUGAAUCAGAAGAAUUAAGUGGUCGGCGGAUGAGACCCGCCAGAGGUUAAGAAUAGUUUAAAUCAGGGAUGACCUCGUUUUAGCGUUUCCCUGGAGUGUUCAGUAAGCUGGAUAAUUCUCCAUCACCACUGGUCCGAGUCUGUCGCCAGCUCUCGUGUUGCUGUUGCUUCAAAAGAAAGUGAUGAUCCAGAUGAGCUAAGGGGUGUGAAAAGCUUACUUUCUGGGUUACUCUUCGAAUUUUCUGUCUUGGCUCAGAGUCAGAGGAAAUGAUAGUUACCUCUUCCUUGAUUGCUUGGCUGGCCCUUGUGUCAUCCUGAUGAUAAUCAAUAUCAAUAAGGUAGUUGAAAAAGGAGCCAAGAGAAUCAAGAGCUACCUCCGACUCAGAGCUGUCGGCCAGUUCAAACAGCUCAGAAGUACUGGUUUUCUUCCUAUUCUUCUUGGCAGUUUUCUUGGCGGCUUUCUUGGCAGCCCUGGCCCUCUUGGCAGCUUCAUGGUCAUACUUCUUCUUCCAAAAAUCAUCAUCAUCCUGUGAAAGUAAUAGAAGUUGAGCUAAUAGAAGAUUUGAACGAUGAAGGUAAAGUAAGUAAUUUAAAUACUCACCUUUGGUGUCGGGUUAAGUGAGCAGAAAGGGUUUAGACCCACUUUGCUACAGUCAGCCGGGUCUUCAUUCAAAAGGGACUUUGUCAUUUCAUUGAUGGUAGCAUCAGUUAAGCGCAUGGAGCUGUGGCGUAGGGGAUCCUUUUUACCACCCAUGUAAGUAUACAUUAAGCUGGUUCGGCGGCUCAAAGGUAUGAUCCACCAAGCAACCCAGCAUCAAACCAAAUCAAUGCAAGUUAAGCUGUUUCCCAGCAGAGCCUUGACCCUUGCAAUGGUGGGGGCGAGUUUUUUACGUUCAGUAGCGGUCAGCUUAUCAGGAAGUUGACGUUUUGAGUCAAUACGCUGGGUACGGUAACCCGACAAUGGAUUCUCGUUAGCCGGAGAAGUAUCUUGGCAAUAAAACCAUGUUUGGUACCAAUCUUUUGGGUGACUCGGCAAGCAAGCGUAGGGGAAGAUGGCAUCUCUUCUCCGUUGAAUUGAGAUUCCACCAAGUUCCAAGCUGGGUCCAUUCGUAUACUCAUUUUGGCGGUUCAAAUUAAAAUAUUCCCUGAACAGUUCGACACUAGGCUCCUCCUAAAGGUAUACUUCACAGAAAACCUGGAAGUUGCAGAUGUUUGUGAAGGAAAUAUGCCCUAGAGGCAAUAAUAAAGUUAUUAUUUAUUUUCUUAUUUCAUGAUAAAUGUUUAUUAUUCAUGCUAGAAUUGUAUUAACCGGAAACAUGAUACAUGUGUGAAUACAUAGACAAACUGAGUGUCACUAGUAUGCCUCUACUUAACUAGCUCAUUAAUCAAAGAUGGUUAUGUUUGCUAGCCAUGGACAAAGAGUUGUCAUUUGAUUAACGGGAUCACAUCAUUAGGAGAAUGAUGUGAUUGACUUGACCCAUUCCAUUAGCUUAGCACCUGAUCAUUUAGUAUGUUGCUAUUGCUUUAUUCAUGACUUAUACAUGUUCCUAUGACUAUGAGAUUAUGCAACUCCCGUUUACCGGAGGAACACUUUGUGUGCUACCAAACGUCACAAUGUAACUGGGUGAUUAUAAAGGUGCUCUACUGGUGUCUCCAAAGGUACUUGUUGGGUUGGCGUAUUUCGAGAUUAGGAUUUUUCACUCUGAUUGUCGGAGAGGUAUCUCUGGGCCCACUCGGUAAUGAACAUCAAUAUAAGCCUUGCAAGCAUUGCAACUAAUGAGUUAGUUGCGGGAUGAUGUAUUACAGAACGAGUAAAGAGACUUGCGGGUAACGAGAUUGAACUAGGUAUUGAGAUACCGACGAUCGAAUUUCGGGCAAGUAACAUACCGAUGACAAAGGGAACAACGUCUGUUGUUAUGCGGGUUUGACCGAUAAAGAUCUUCAUAGAAUAUGUGGGAGCCAAUAUGAGCAUCCAUGUUCCGCUAUUGGUUAUUGACCGGAGACGUGUCUCGGUCAUGUCUACAUAGUUCUCGAACCCAUAGGGUCCACACACUUAAAGUUCGAUGACGGUUAUAUUAUGAGUUUAUGUGUUUUGAUGUACCUAAGGCAGUUCGGAGUCCCGGAUGAGAUCGGAGACAUGACGAGGAGUCUCGAAAUGGUCGAGACGUAAAGAUCGAUAUAUUGGAUGACAAUAUUCGGACAUCGGAAAGGUUCCGAGUGAUUCAGGUAUUUAUCGGAGUACCGGAGAGUUACGGGAAUUCGUCGGGGAGAAGUAUUGGGCCUUAUUGGGCCAUAUGGGAAAGAGAGAGGGGCUGCCUAGGGCAGGCCGCGCACCCCCCCCCCAAGGCCUAGUCCGAAUUGGACUAGGGGGAGGGGCUGUGCCCCCUCCUUCCUUCCCUUCUUUCUUCCCUUUCCUUGACUCCUACUCCUACUACAUGGAGGGGGGGGAUCCUACUUUCGGUGGGAGUAGGACUCCCCAGGGCGCGCCAUAGAGAGGGCCGGCCCCUCCCCUCCUCUCGUCCUUUAUAUACUGAGGCAAGGGGCACCCCAUAGACACAACAAUUGAUCCCUUGGAUUUCUUAGCCGUGUGCGGUGCCCCCCUCCACCAUAAUCCACCUCGAUAAUAUCGUAGUGGUGCUUAGGCGAAGCCCUGCGUCGGUAGAACAUCAUCAUCGUCACCACGCCGUCGUGCUGAUGGAACUCUCCCUCAAAGCUCGGCUGGAUCGGAGUUCGAGGGACGUCAUCGAGUUGAACGUGUGCUGAACUCGGAGGUGCCGUGCGUUCGGUACUUGAUCGGUCGGAUCGUGAAGAUGUACGACUACAUCAACUGCGUUGUGCUAACGCUUCCACUUUCGGUCUACGAGGGUACGUGGACACACUCUCACCUCUCGUUGCUAUGCAUCACCAUGAUCCUGUGUGUGCGUAGGAUUUUUUUUGAAAUUACUAAGUUCCCCAACAGUGGCAUCCGAGCCUGGUUUUAUGUGUAGAUGUUAUAUGCACGAGUAGAACACAAGUGAGUUGUGGGCCAUACAAGUCAUACUGCUUACCAACAUGUCAUACUUUGGUUCGGCGGUAUUGUUGGAUGAAGCGGCCCGGACCGACAUUACGCGUACGCUUACGCGAGACUGGUUCUACCGACGUGCUUUGCACUUAGGUGGCUGGCGGGUGUCAGUUUCUCCAACUUUAGUUGAACCGAGUGUGGCUACGCCCGGUCCUUGAGAAGGUUAAAACAUCACUAACUUGACAAAAUAUCGUUAUGGUUUUGAUGCGUAGGUAAGAACGGUUCUUGCUCAGCCACGUAAAACUUGCAACAAUAAAGUAGAGGACGUCUAACUUGUUUUUGCAGGGCAUGUUGUGAUGUGAUAUGGUCAAGACGUGAUGAGAUAUAAGUUGUUGUAUGAGAUGAUCAUGUUUGGUUGAAGUUAUCGGCAACUGACAGAAGCCUUAUGGUUGUCUCUUUAUUGCAUAAGAUGCAAGCGCCAAAUAAUUGCUUUACUUUAUCGCUAUGCGAUAGCAAUAGUUGCAAGAGCAAUAGUUGGCGAGACGACCAUGUGAUGACACAUUGAUAUAGAUCAAGAUGAUGGAGAUCAUGGUGUCAUGCCGGUGACGAUGGAGAUCAUGACGAUGCUUUGGAGAUGGAGAUCAAAGGCACAAGAUGAUGAUGGCCAUAUCAUGUCACAUAUUUUGAUUGCAUGUGAUGUUUAUAUUUUAUACAUCUUAUUUUGCUUUGAUUGACGAUAGCAUUAUAAGAUGAUCUCUCACUAAAUUUCAAGAUAAAAGUGUUCUCCCUGAGUAUGCACUGUUGCCAAAGUUCGUCGUGCCCAGACACCAGGUGAUGAUCGGGUGUGAUAAGCUCUAUGUCCAUCUACAACGGGUGCAAGCCAGUUUUGCACACGCAGAAUACUCGGGUUAAACUUGACGAGCCUAGCAUAUGCAGAUAUGGCCUCGGAACACUGAGACCGAAAGGUCGAGCGUGAAUCAUAUAGUAGAUAUGAUCAACAUAGUGAUGUUCACCAUUGACAACUACUCCAUUUCACGUGAUGAUCGGUUAUGGUUUAGUUGAUUUGGAUCACGUGAUCACUUAGAUGAUUAGAGGGAUGUCUAUCUAAGUGGGAGUUCUUAAAGUAAUAUGAUCAAUUGAACUUUAAUUUAUCAUGAACUUAGUCCUGGUAGUAUUUUGCAUGUCUAUGUUGUUGUAGAUCAAUAGCUUGCAUUGUUGCUUCCCUAUGUUUUUAUAUAUGUUCCUAGAGAAAAUUAUGUUGAAAGAUGAUAGUAGCAAUGAUACGGACUAGGUCCGUGAUCUGAGGUGUAUCCUCAUUGCUGCAUAGAAGAAUUAUGUCCUUGAUGCACCGUUAGGUGACAGACCUAUUGCAGGAGCAGAUGCAGACGUUAUGAACAUUUGGCUAGCUCAAUAUGAUGACUACUUGAUAGUUUAGUGCACCAUGCUUAACGGCUUAGAAUCGGGACUUCAAAGACGUUUUGAACGUCAUGGACCAUAUGAGAUGUUCUAGGAGUUGAAGUUAAUAUUUAAAGCAAAUACCCGAGUAGAGAGAUAUGAAGUCUCCAACAAGUUCUAUAGAUAAAAGACGGAGGAGAAUUGCUCAACUACUGAGCAUGUGCUCAGAUUGUCUGGGUACUACAAUCGCUUGAAUCAAGUGGGCGUUAAUCUUCCAGAUAAGAUAGUGAUUGACAGAGUUCUCUAGUCACCAUCACCAAGUUACUAGAACUUCGUGAUGAACUAUAGUAUGCAAGGGAUGACAAAAACGAUUCCCGAGCUCUUCGUGAUGUUGAAACCGACGAAGGUAGAAAUCAAGAAAGAGCAUCAAGUGUUGAUGAUUGACAAGACCACUAGUUUCAAGUAAAUGGCAAAGGUAAAGAAAGGGAAACUUCAAGUAGAAUGGCAAGCAAGUUGUCGCUCCCGUGAAGAAUCCCAAAGCUGGACCAAAGCCUGAAACUGAGUGCUUCUACUGCAAAGGAAAUGGUCACUGGAAGCGUAAAUGCCCUGAAUAUUUGGUGGAUAAGAAGAAUGGCAAAGUGAACUAGGGUAUAUUUGAUAUACAGGUUAUUGAUGUGUACCUUACUAGUGUUUAUAGUAUCCCCUGUGUAUUUGAUACUUGUUCGAUUGCUAAAAAUUAGUAACUUGAAACAGGAGUUACAGAAUAAACAGAGACUAGUUGAGGGUGAAGUGACGAUGUGUGUUGGAAGUGGUUCCAAGAUUUAUAUGAUCAUCAUCGCACACUCCCUAUACUUUCAGGAUUAGUGUUAAACCUAAAUAAAUGUUAUUUGGCAUUUGCGUUGAGCAUGAAUAUGAUUUGAUCUUGUUUAUUGCAAUACGGUUAUUCAUUUAAAAGUCAGAGAAUAAUUGUUGUUCUGUUUACAUGAAUAAAACCUUCGAUGGUCAUACACCCAAUGAAAAUAGUUUGUUGGAUCUCGAUCGUAGUGGUACACAUAUUCAUAAUAUUGAUGCCAAAAGAUGCAAAUUUGAUAAUUAUAGUGCAACAUAUUUAUGGCACUGCCGUUUGGGUCAUAUCGGUGUAAAGCGCAUGAAGAAACUCCAUAAAGAUGGAUUUUUUGAAUCAUUUGAUUAUGAAUCAUUUGUUGCUUGCGAACCGUGCCUUAUGGGCAAGAUGGCUAAAACUCCGUUCUCCGGAACAAUGGAACGAGCUAGUGACUUAUUGGAAAUAAUACAUACUGAUGUAUACGGUCCAAUGAGUAUUGAUGCUCGUGGCGGGUAUCGUUAUUUUCUGACCUUCACAAGAUGAUUUGAGCAAAUAUGAGUAUAUCUACUUAAUGAAACACAAGUCUGAAACAUUUGAAAAGUUCGAAGAAUUUCAGAGUGAAGUGGAGAAUCAUUGUAACAAGAAAAUAAAGUUUCUACCAUCUGAGUGUGGAGGAGAAUAUUUGAGUUAUGAGUUUGGCCUUCAUAUAAAACAAUGUGGAAUAGUUUCAUAGUUCACACCACCUGGAACACCACAACAUUAUGGUGUGUCCGAACAUCGUAACCGCACUUUAUUGGAUAUUGUGCGACCUAUGAUGUCUCUUAUCGGUUUACCACUAUCAUUUUGGGGUUAUGCAUUAGAGACAGUAGCAUUCACUUUAAAUAGGGCACCAUCGAAAUCUGUUGAGACGACGGCUUAUGAACAGUGGUUUGGCAAGAAACCAAAGUUAUCGUUUCUUAAAGUUUGGGGCUGCGAUGCUUAUGUGAAAAAGUUUCAACCUGAUAAGCUCGAACCUAAAUCGGAGAAGUGCGUCUUCAUAGAAUACCCAAAGGAAACUGUUGGGUACACCUUCUAUUACAGAUCCGAAGGCAAGAUAUUCGUUGCUAAGAUGGAUCCUUUCUAGAAAAGGAGUUUCUCUCGAAAGAAGUGAGUGGGAGGAAAGUAGAACUUGAUGAGGUAAUUGUACCUUGUCCCUUAUUGGAAAGUAGUUCAACACAAAAGAUAGUUCCAGUGAUUCCUACAUCAAUUAGUGAGGAAGUUAAUGAUGAUGAUCAUGAAACUUCAGAUCAAGUUGCUACCUGAUACGUCUCCAACAUAUCUAUAAUUUUUGAUUGUUCCAUGAUAUUAUUUUACCUGUUUUGGAUGUUUAUGGGCUUUAUUUUAUACAUUAUUAUCAUUUUUGGGACUAACCUACUAACCGGAGGCCCAGCCCGUAUUGCUGUUUUUUUGCCUAUUUCAGUAUUUCGAAGAAAAGGAAUAUCAAAUGGAGUCCAAACGGAAUUAAACCUUUGGGAGCAUGAUUUUUGGAACGAACGUGAUCCAGAGGACGUGGAGUGCAAGUCAAAAAACAACCGGAGCCUCCACGAGAUAGGAGGGCGCCCCCCUGUAGGGCACGCCCCCUGUCUCGUGGGCCCCUCGGGCGUCCACCGACAUACUUCUUCCUCUUAUAUAAGUCUACGUACCCCGAAAACAUCCAGGAGCCACCUGAAGAAAUAUUUACGCCACCGUAACCUUUUGUAUCCGUGAGAUCCCAUCUUGGAGCCGUCGUCGGCGUUCUGCCAGAGGGGGGAUCCACCACGGAGGGCUUCUACAUCAACAUCCUUGCCCCUCCAAUGAGUUGUGAGUAGUUUACCACAGACCUACGGGUCCAUAGUUAUUAGCUAGAUGACUUCUUCUCUCUUUUUGGAUCUCAAUACAAUGUUCUUCCCCUCUCUUGUGAAGAACUAUCCGAUGUAAUCUCUUUUUGCAGUGUGUUUGUCAAGAUCCGAUGAAUUGUGGGUUUAUGAUCAGAUUUAUCUAUGGAUAAUAAUUGAAUCUUCUCUGAAUUCUUUUAUAUGAUUGAGUUAUCUUUGCAAGUCUCUUCGAAUUAUCGGUUUGGUUUGGCCUACUAGAUUGAUCUUUCAUGGGAGAAGUUCUUAGCUUUGGGGUCAAUCUUGCGGUGUUCUUACCCAGUGACAGAAAGAGUUGCAAGACACGUAUUGUAUUGUUGCCAUCGAGGAUAAAAAGAUGGGGUUUAUAUCAUAUUGCUUGAGUUUAUCCCUCUACAUCAUGUCAUCUUGCUUAAUGCGUUACUCUGUUCUUAUGAACUUAAUACUCUAGAUGCAUGCUGGAUAGCGGUCGAUGUGUGGAGUAAUAGUAGUAGAUGCAGGCAGGAGUCGGUCUACUUGUUGCGGACGUGAUGCCUAUAUACAUGAUCAUGCCUAGAUAACGUCAUAAUUAUUCACUUUUCUAUCAAUUGCUUGACAGUAAUUUGUUCACCCACCGUAAUACUUAUGCUCUCGAUAGAAGCCUCUAGUGAAACCUAUGCCCCCCGGGUCUAUCUCUUAUCAUAUUUGCUUUCAAUCUACUUUUAUUUGCAUCUUUAUUUUCUGCAUCUAUAUUAUAAAAUACCAAAAAUAUAUUUAUCUUAUCAUACUAUCUCUAUCAGAUCUCACUUUCGCAAGUGGCCGUGAAGGGAUUGAGAACCCCUUUAUCGCGUUGGUUGCAAGUUCUUUGUUUGUUUGUGUAGGUUCGUGGGACUUGUUGAGAAGCCUCCUACUGGAUUGAUACCUUGGUUCUCAAAAACUGAGGGAAAUACUUACGCUACUGUGCUGCAUCACCCUCUCCUCUUCAAGGAAAACCAACGCAAGCUCAAGACGUAGAAAGAAGGAUUUCUGGCGCCGUUGCCGGGGAGGUCUUUGCUCAAGUCAAGACAUACCAAGUACCCAUCACAAACUCAUCUCCCUCGCAUUUACAUUAUUUGCCAUUUGCCUCUCGUUUUCCUCUCCCCCACCUCACCCUUGCCGUUUUAUUCGCCCUCUCUUUCCCAAUCUCAUCUCUUUUGCUUGUCUUUUUGUUUGCUCAUGUCUCCAUAUGCCUUCUAUGUGCUUGCAUCUUUGCUUGCUAAAAAUCUAUUGAUAUGGAUCCACUUAAAGUGUUCUACUUGGAUCAUCUUCGAUCCUUAUGCGCUCGUGCUGAAACCCCAACUAGCCUAGUUGAUGGGAAAUCUUUAGAUGAGCAUGCUCAUUUUGUGCAUCAUCGUUUGUCUGAAAAAGGGAAGGUAUUAUGGUUUCAUAUAAACAGUUUGCUAUGCUAUGCUUGGAAUCUUUGUGAAAUUUGUGAUUUUUCUUGUUGCUCUAAGAACCCUAAAAAACACCUUCUCUACCUAUGUGAGUUCAAUGAUAAUGAAAUUUUAUCUUCUUAUGCAAAGGGUGUUUAUAGUUACUAUGAUAUCGAACAAAUUGAAGAAUUUGUCGUUUUUAAGGGUGCUCAUGAAGUUUCUUCUUUGAUUGAAAAGUAUGAUUUUACUCUUAACAAGUCUGAAAAUUCUGUCAUACUUAAAUAUUGCAAUGAAAACUUUGCUCAUAAUGUCCAUGUCCAAGAUUUUAUUGAAAGAAUGACCCUUGCUUUGGAAGAAAAUAAUGAUAUGCAUGAAUCUAUAGAUUAUGAUGAUUCCGAUGAUUUGGUUGAAAUAUACCUUGACGAACAUGAUGCUUGCUAUUCUUGUGGCCAUGAUGCCAAUAUUUAUGAAGACGAAUUUGCUAUAGUUCCUUAUGUUAAACAUGAGAUCGUUGCUAUUGCACCCAUACUUAGUAGUUCCUUCAAUGAAAAGCAUGAUUGCAAUGAUGUUACUAUAAAGUCUCUUGAUGUCAAUUGUGCUAAUAAUAUGCAAAACCCUAAGCUUGGGGAUGCUAGUUUUGCUAUGUCUACUACUUGUUGCAAUGAUCAUGAUUGGGGUGAUUCUUCUUAUGAUCGUGAAAAUUUAUUCAAGCCCCAUGAUGAAUAUGAGAUUGAUAAUAAUGUUUGCGAUAAUAUUGAAUGUGGGUUUGUAAGAGUGUCAACUUUAGAUCCCACAUAUUUGGAUAAUGUUUAAUCUUAUGAAGUUUUUGAUAAAAGUGGGUUUGGAGAGGUCAUGACUUUAGUUAACGUUAAUCCCACUAUUUUGGAAGAGUGACAACUUUGCAUGCAUGUGGAUUGUGUUGAGAAUAUGUUAUGUGAUAGCUAUUUUGUUGAAUUUUCUUAUGAUCCCGCAUGUAAUUAUUAUGAGAGAGGAAAAUAUGGUUGUAGAAAUUUUCAUGUUACUAAGUUACCUCUCGUUAUGUUGAAAUUGCUAUUGUUUCUUUCCGCUUCCUUGCAUAUGCUAGUUUUUGCUUGCUAUGAUAAUUUGUUUUCCUAUAAGAUGCCUAUGCAUAGGAAGUAUGUUAGACUUAGAUGUGUUUGUCACAUGUUUCAUGAUGCUCUCUUUGCGCUUCAACUCUUGUCUCUCAUGUGAGCAUCAUUGAUAUCUCAAUGCCUAGCUAGAGGCGUUAAACGAUAGCGCUAGUUGGGAGGCAACCCAAUUUUCUUUGUGUUCUUUGUUUUUGUUCCUGUUUAGUGUUAAAUUUUGUUUCUACUUUCUGUUUAUAUGUGUUUUCAUGUUUUAUUUAGUGUUUGUGCCAAGUAGAACCUAUAGGAUAACCUAUGAUGAUAGUUGAUUUGAUUCUGCUGAAAAACAGAAACUUUGCGCUCACGAGAAAAACUUCAAUAAAUCACAGGAACGAGAUUUUUCGUUGAUUCUUUUUUCUGCUGUUCAAUAAACAAAUUGGUUAGGACUUCCUAUUUUGGUAGGAUUUUUAUAGUUCCAGAAGUUUGUGUUAGUUACAGAUUGCUACAGACUGUUCUGUUUUUGACAGAUUCUGUUUUUCGUGUGUUGUUUGCUUAUUUUGAUGCAUCUAUGGCUAGUAAAAUAGUUUAUGAACCAUAGAGAACUUGGAAUAUAGUAGGUUUAACACCAAUAUAAAUAAAGAAUGAGUUCAUUACAGUACCUUAUGUGGUGGUUUUGUUUUCUUUCACUAACGGAGCUUAUAAGAUUUCCUGUUGAGUUUUGUGUUGUGAAGUUUUCAAGUUUUGGGUAAAGCUUUUAUGGACUAUGGAAUAAAGAGUGGCAAGAGCCUAAGCUUGGGGAUUCCCAAGGCACCCCAAGAUAUUCAAGGAUAGCCAAAAGUCUAAGCUUGGGGAUGCCCCCGGAAGGCAUCCCCUCUUUCGUCUUCGUUCAUUGGUAACUUUACUUGGAGCUAUAUUUUUAUUCACCACAUGAUAUGUGUUUUGCUGGGAGCAUCGUGUAUUAUAUUGGUCUUUGCUUGUUAGUUUACCACAAUCAUCCUUGCUGUAACACACCUUUUUGGAGAAUCCUAUUUGCUUAGGAUUUGAUAGAAUACUCUAUGUGCUUCACUUAUAUCUUUUGAGCUUGAUAGUUUUUGCUCUAGUACUUCACUUAUAUCUUUUAGAGCACGGUGGUAGAUUAAUUUUGAAGAAAUUUCUAGUCUCUCCUGCUUCGCUUAUAUUAUUUUGAGAGUCUUUUAUAACAGCAUGGUAUUUUCUAUGGUCAUAACAUUGGUCCUAGAAUGAUGAACAUCCAAGUUGGGUAUUAAUAAAAACUAUCAUAGAAAGUGAAUUGGAUGCUAUGAUCAAUUUGAUGCUUGAUAAUUGUUUUGAGAUAUGGAGGUAGUGAUAUUAAAGUCAUGCUAGUUGGGUGAUUAUGAAUUUAAAGAAUACUUGUGUUGAAGUUUGUGAUUCCCGUAGCAUGCACGUAUGGUGAACCGCUUUGUGAUGAAGUUGGAGCACAAUUUUAUUUAUUGAGUGUCUUCCUUAUGAGUGGCAGUCGGGGACGAGCGAUGGUCUUUUCCUACCAAUCUAUCCCACUAGGAGCAUGCGCGUAGUGCUUUGGUUUUUGAUGACUUCUAAAUUUUUGCAACAAGUAUAUGAGUUCUUUUGACUAAUGUUGAGUCCAUGGAUUAUACGCACCCUUUCACCCUUCCAUUAUUGCUAUCCUCUCUUGUAACGUGCAACCUUCACCGGUGCCAUACACCCACCAUAUACCUUCCUCCAAACAGCCACCAUACCUACCUAUUAUGGCAUUUCUAUAGCCAUUCCGAGAUAUAUUGCCAUGCAACUUUCCAUCGUUCCGUUCAUAUGACACGCAUUACUUUUGUCAUAUUGCUCUUUGCAUGAUCAUCUAGUUGACAUUGUAUUUGUGGCAAGGCCACCUUCAUAAUCUUCAUACAUGUCACUCUUGAUUCAUUGCAUAUUCCGGUACACCGCCGGAGGCAUUCAUAUAGAGUCAUACCUUGUUCUAGUUUUGAGUUGUAAAUCCAUAAAAGUGUGAUGAUCUUCAUUAUUAGAGCAUUGUCCUAGCGUGGAAAGGAUGAUGAAGACUAUGAUUCCCCCACAAGUCGGGAUGAGACUUCGGACUUUACAAAAAGAAAAAAAAAGAAAAAAAGAGAAAGGCCAAAAAAAAGGGGAAGGCCAAAGGAAAAAAAGGAAAAAAAGAAAAGGAAAAAAAGAAAAAGGAAAAAAAAUAAAAUGAGAGAAAAAGAGAGAAGGGACAAUGCUACUAUCUCUUUUUCCACACUUGUGCUUCAAAAUAGCACCAUGAUCUUCAUGAUAGAGAGUCUCAUAUUUUGUCACUUUCAUAUACUAGUGGGAAUUUUUCAUUAUAGAACUUGGCUUGUAUAUUCCAAUGAUGGGCUUUCUCAAAAUGCCCUAGGUCUUCGUGAGCAAGCAAGUUGGAUGCACACCCACUAGUUUUCUUUUGUUGAGCUUUCAUAUAUUUAUAGCCCUAGUGCAUCAGUUGCAUGGCAAUCCCUACUCACUCACAUUGAUAUCUAUUAAUGGGCAUCUCCAUAGCCCGUUGAUACGCCUAGUUGAUGUGAGACUAUCUUCUCCUUUUUUGUCUUCUCCACAACCACCAUUCUAUUCCACAUAUAGUGCUAUGUCCAUGGCUCACGCUCAUGUAUUGCGUGAAUGUUGAAAGAGUUUGAGAUUAUUAAAGUAUGAAACAAUUGCUUGACUUGUCAUCGGGGUUGUGCAUGAUUAAAUACUUUGCGUGAUGAAGAUAGAGCAACAGCCAAACUAUAUGAUUUUGUAGGGAUAACUUUCUUUGGCCAUAUUAUUUUGAGAAGACAUGAUUACUUUGCUUAGUAUGCUUGAAGUAUUACUAUUACUUUUGUCAAUAUGAACUUUUAUUUUGUAUUAUUUGGAUCUGAACAUUCAUUCCACAAUAAAGAAAAUUACAUUGAGAAUUAUGCUAGGUAGCAUUCCACAUCAAAAAUUUCUUUUUUAUCAUUUACCUACUCGAGGACGAGCAGGAAUUAAUCUUGGGGAUGCUUGAUACGUCUCCAACGUAUCUAUAAUUUUUGAUUGUUCCACGCUAUUAUUUUACCUGUUUCAGAUGUUUAUGGGCUUUAUUUUAUACAUUAUUAUCAUUUUUGGGACUAACCUACUAACCGGAGGCCCAGCCCGUAUUGCUGUUUUUUUUGCCUAUUUCAGUAUUUCGAAGAAAAGGAAUAUCAAACGGAGUCCAAACGGAAUGAAACCUUCGGGCGCGUGAUUUUUGGAACGAACAUGAUCCAGAGGACGUGGAGUGCAAGUCAAGAAACAACCGGAGCCUCCACAAGAUAGGAGGGCGCCCCCCUGUCUCGUGGGCCCCUCAGGCGUCCACCGACGUACUUCUUCCUCCUAUAUAAGUCUAUGUACCCCGAAAACAUCCAGGAGCCACCUGAAGAAAUAUUUCCGCCACCGUAACCUUCUGUAUCCGCGAGAUCCCAUCUUGGAGCCAUUGCCGGCGUUCUGCCGGAUGGGGGAUCCACCAUGGAAGGCUUCUACAUCAACAUCCUUGUCCCUCCAAUGAGUUGUGAGUAGUUUACCACAGACCUACGGGUCCAUAGUUAUUAGCUAGAUGGCUUCUUCUCUCUUUUUGGAUCUCAAUACAAUGUUCUUCCCCUCUCUUGUGAACAACUAUCCGAUGUAAUCUAUUUUUGCGGUGUGUUUAUCAAGAUCUGAUGAAUUGUGGGUUUAUGAUCAGAUUUAUCUAUGGAUAAUAAUUGUAUCUUCCCCGAAUUCUUAUAUGAUUGAGUUAUAUUUGCAAGUCUCUUCGAAUUAUCGGUUUGGUUUGGCCUACUAGAUUGAUCUUUCUUGCCAUGGGAGAAGUGCUUAGCUUUGGGUUCAAUCUUGCGGUGUUAUUACCCGGUGACAGAAAGGGUUGCAAGACACGUAUUGUAUUGUUGCCAUCGAGGAUAACAAGAUGGGGUUUAUAUCAUAUUGCUUGAGUUUAUCCCUCUACAUCAUGUCAUCUUGCUUAAUGCGUUACUUUGUUCUUAUGAACUUAAUACUCUAGAUGCAUGCUAGAUAGCAGUCGAUGUGUGGAGUAAUAGUAGUAGAUGCAGGCAGGAGUCGGUCUACUUGUUGCAGACGUGAUGCCUAUAUACAUGAUCUUGCCUAGAUAACGUCAUAAUUAUUCGCUUUUCUAUCAAUUGCUUGACAAUAAUUUGUUCACCCAUCGUAAUACUUAUGCUCUCGAGAGAAGCCUCUAGUGAAAUCUAUGGCCCCCUGGUCUAUCUCUUAUCAUAUUUGCUUUCAAUCUACUUUUAUUUGCACCUUUAUUUUUUGCAUCUAUAUUAUAAAAUAUCAAAAAUAUAUUUAUCUUAUCAUACUAUCUCUAUGAGAUCUCACUUUCGCAAGUGGCCGUGAAGGGAUUGACAACCCCUUUAUCGCGCUGGUUGCGAGUUCUUUGUUUGUUUGUGUACGUUCGUGGGACUUGUUGAGAAGCCUCCUACUAGAUUGAUACCUUGGUUCUCAAAAACUGAGGGAAAUACUUACGCUACUGUGAUGCAUCACCCUCUCCUCUUCGAGGAAUACCAAUGCAAGCUCAAGACGUAGCACUACCGAACCUCGUAGGUCUUCCAGAAUAAGAUCCGCACUAGAGUGGUACGACAAUCCUGUUCUGGAUGUCAUGUUACUAGACCAUCAUGAACCUACGAACUAUGAGGAAGCGAUGAUGAGCCCAGAUUCCGCAAAAUGGCUUGAGGACAUGAAAUCUGAGAUUGGAUCCAUGUAUGAGAACAAAGUGUGGACUUUGGUUGUCUUGCCCGAUGAUCGGCAAGCCAUAGAAAAUAAAUGGAUCUUCAAGAAGAAGACGAACGCUGAUAGUAGUGUUACUAUCUACAAAGCUCGACUUGUCGCAAAAAGUUUUUCGACAAGUUCAAGGUGUUGAAUACGAUGAGAUUUUCUCACUCAUAUCGAUGCUUAAGUCUGUCCGAAUCAUGUUAGCAAUUGCUACAUUUUAUGAAAUCUGGCAGAUGGAUGUCAAAACUGCAUUCCUUAAUGGAUUUUUUGAAGAAGAGUUGUAUAUGAUGCAACCAGAAGGUUUUGUCAAUCCUAAAGGUGCUAACAAAGUGUGCAAGCUCCAGUAAUCCAUCAAUGGACUGGUGCAAGCAUCUCGGAGUUGGAAUAUACACUUUGAUGAGUUGAUCAAAGCAUAUGGUUUUAUGGAGACUUUUGGAAAGGCCUGUAUUUACAAGAAAGUGAGUGGGAGCACUACAGCCUUUCUGAUAAGUAUAUGUGAAUGACAUAUUGUUGAUCGGAAAUGAUGUACAAUUUUCUGGAAAGCAUAAAGGAGUGUUUGAAAGGAGUUUUUCAAAGAAAGACCUCAGUAAAGCUACUUACAUAUUGAGCAUCAAGAUCUAUUGAGAUAGAUCAAGACGCUUGAUAAGAUUUUCAAUUAGUACAUACCUUGACAAGAUUUUGAAGUAGUUCAAAAUGGAACAGUCAAAGAAAGAGUUCUUGCCUGUGAUGCAAAGGUGUGAAGUUGAGUAAGACCCAAAAACCCGACCAUGGCAGAAAAUAGAAAGAGAAUGAAAAGUCAUUCCCUAUGCCUCAGUCAUAGGUUCUAUAAAGUAUGCUAUGUUGUGUACCAGACCUAUUGUAUACCUUGCUCUGAGUUUGGCAAAGGAAUACAAUUUUGAUCUAAGAGUAGAUCACCGGACAUCGGUUAAGAAUAUCCUUAGUGAGGACUAAGGAGAUGUUUCUCGAUUAUGGAGGUGAUAAAAAGAGUUCAUCGUAAAGAGUUACAUCGAUGCAAAGCUUUUACACCGAUCCAGAUGACUCUAAGUCUCAAUCUAGAUACAUAUUGAAAGUGGGAGCAAUUAGCUAGAGUAGCUCCGUGCAGAGCAUUGUAGAUAUAGAAUAUUUGCAAAAUACAUACGACUUUGAAUGUGACAGACCCGUUGACUAAACUUAUCUCACGAGCAAAACAUGAUCAUAACUUAGUACUCUUUGGGUGUUAAUCACAUAGCGAUGUGAACUAGAUUAUUGACUCUAGUAAACCCUUCGGGUGUUGGUCACAUGACAACGUGAACUAUGGGUGUUAAUCACAUACAUAUGUGAAUAUUGGUGUUGAAUCACAUGAUGAUGUGAACUAGAUUAUUGACUCUAGUGCAAGUGGGAGACUGAAGGAAAUAUGCCCUAGAGGCAAUAAUAAAGUUAUUAUUUAUUUCCUUAUUUCAUGAUAAAUGUUUAUUAUUCAUGCUAGAAUUGUAUUAACUGGAAACAUGAUGCAUGUCUGAAUACAUAGACAAACUGAGUGUCACUAGUAUGCCUCUACUUGACUAGCUCAUUAAACAAAGAUUGUUAUGUUUCCUAGCCACCCUGCUGCAUUGUCUUCAUCUCUCCCUCUUUGUAUAAAUAUUUCACAUUUCGGAUGCAAGUUUGAAAGAUUGCCCUGCUUUUUAUUUUUCUACACAAAAGAGCCCCCCUCCUAAUUCACUAAUUUGUAGGAAGGUACUGAACUUUUGGAUUUGAAAAAAGUUUCAGAAGAUAUAUCUAAUGUAGAUGGUGAUUGGAUCCCUUGAGAUAUGUUGGAUAUUGUGUAAAAUUAAAUUACAGAUGAUGUCACGGUGGGUUACCACAAUCACAGGAUAUGACGUCAUGGCGGGUUAUGAGAUCUCGUUCAAAUGAAGACAGAAGAAUUUUUUGUAAGUGGUGAAGAUUGACAUGAACAAAUUCAAAUCAAUCUGGAGCCUAAUGUUGGGGAUAUAACUAUUAGGUAUGACCCGCCCAGGAGGGGCCGGAUUAUACCUAUGGCAGUUCAUCAAUAUGAAGCCCACGAGGAUAUUGGAGAUGGCGGUUCAUGGGGCGAAGGCCCAAGAGCAACUUAAGGCCCAUAGGCCAUAGGGUAAACCGCCAUAUGUGUAUGACUUAUAUUGUAAGGCAAGUAUAUUUAGUCACCGAGUCAGAACGUUGUCUAUGAGCCGGCCGGGACUCCAUAAGCCGCUGGGUGUCAACCUAUGUAUAUAAAGGGACGACCCGUCGACAGUUCAGGGCAAGAAACAAGAGAUCGAAAGCUAGGUCAAGCGUAUUAGCUCACUGGUUAUCAAGACAUAAGCAAUACCACCUCAAACUGGAUUAGGCCUUUACCUUCACCGCAAGGAGCCGAACCAGUAUAAACUCCUAUGUCCUUUGUCCCGUUUAACCCCUUUUAAGCAAACCUAGUUGGGAUGGCUCCACGACUAAUUCCUUACACUAGGACAUCUACUAUGACUAUUCCAUGACACUCUGCUUAAAGUCAUCAUGAUGAAGUCGACAUCCUUUCUUCAGGAUCUCCAUCGUACUUACGAUAAGAUUAGGGGGAAACUUAGGAAGGACGGAGCUCAACACAAGUUAGGUACCUGGGGGCUAUCUCAGUGAACAAGGCCUGGAGGCAUCUCUCGAGUUUGAGGAUUUUAAUAACAUCAUUGAGAGCAAAGUACGAAGGAGCAAAAUAGAAGUUUCAAGUGGAUAGGCAAUCAUUCUUUGCCUGAAACAAAGUGUAAAAGGGGUUCAGAGCAACGGGAAUAAGUAUUGUGUCUGAUACUAGAAUUGUUGAGCUCUCGGAAGGUGGCUCGUGAAUUACAUAUAAAGCCAAGCAUGAGGAAUAACCUUGGGAACAGGGAUGUACAAAAGAGUCAGGUUUCAACCUGUGGAACUGUGGGUUAUGGGCCCACCAUGUGGUUAAAAGUAGGGAGGGCGAUGUCAUCUUGCACAAACAUGAUAGCAAGGUAUGUCAGAGAAUAGCCUGAUAGUUAUGUCAGCAACAACGUUGGUGUCGGUGUCAAAACCGGUGGAUCUCGGGUAGGGGGUCCCGAAUUGUGCGUCUAAGGCUAAUGGUAACAGGAGACUGGGGACACGAUGUUUACCCAGGUUCAGGCCCUCUCGAUGGAGGUAAUACCCUACUUCCUGCUUGAUUUAUCUUGAUGAUAUGAGUAUUACAAGAGUUGAUCUACCACGAGAUUGUAGAGGCUAAACCCUAGGAGCUAGCCUAUAAUUAUGAUUGUUGUUCUCCUACGGACUAAACCCUCCAGUUUAUAUAGACACUGGAGGGGGCUAGGGUUACACAGAGUCGGUUACAGAGAAGGAGAUCUAACAUCCGAAUCGCCAAGCUUGCCUUCCACGCAAAGGAGAGUCCCAUCCGGAAACGGGACGAAGUCUUCAAUCUUGUAUCUUCAUAGUCCAACCGUCCGGCCAAAGUAUAUAGUCCGGCUGUCUGGAUACCCCUAAUCCAGGACUCCCUCAGUAGCCCCUGAACCAGGCUUCAAUGACGAUGAGUCCGGCGCGCAGAUUAUCUUCGGCAUUGCAAGGUGGGUUCCAUCUCCAAGUACUCCAACAUGAAAUUCCGAACACAAGGAUUGUGUCCGGCUCUGCAAGACAAAUUUCACAUACCACCGUAGAGAGAACAAUAUUCCACAAAUCUAAUCCGUUGACAAUCGCGACAUCACACCAUGGCCAAGUCAUUAUUCGAGCCGUUUUCUCACAGCCAGCCACCGCACAUAUUGCAAGGCGGUUUCCUCGGCAUGUCUUGUCAAAGUAGAGAUCGUGUCCCCUUAUCACGGGAUUCUCAUUAAUACGGGUACGGAUAACCCAACCGAGUCAUUUAAUGUGGCGCUUGGAAAAUAAGUGAUUUUAACAGGAAAGUGGGGAGGCACACAGUUUUCGCCGCCUCUAUAAAGGGACAUGGAUCCCCCAUUCUUACCCACACCUUCUUCCUCCUUUGCUCAUCCAUUCUCGCACUCUCGAGCUCCAACGCCCAAGUUCUCACCUUCUCCGCAGAACCAUUCGUAGUAUGUCCGGAGCGGGAGGCAAGUGGAUGGCCUCCUCCAUCAUGGAGGAGGACAUUACCAAGCUUCGGGCGGCCGGGUACCUGGCCGAAAACAUCGCGCACAGGCUUCCAACAGAGGGACGGAUCACCCCCACUCCAAAGUCUCGGGAGAGAGUAGUGUUCCUUUCUCAUUUUGUCCGCGGACUAGGAUUUCCACUUCACCCCUUUGUCCGCGGGCUCAUGUAUUACUAUGGUUUAGAUUUCCAUGAUCUAGCCCCAAAUUUCAUCCUCAACAUCUCGGUGUUUAUCGUCGUGUGUGAGGCCUUCCUUCGCGUCAAGCACCACUUUGGCCUGUGGCUGCAAAUCUUCUGCAUGAAGCCGAAGAUCGUGAGCGGCCAGCAGGCGGAGUGCGGAGGCGCCAUGGUGGGCAGGAUGCCCAAUGUUACAUGGCUUGACGGCUCCUUCGUGGAGACCAUGAAAGGGUGGCAAUCGGGGUGGUUUUAUAUUACCGAGCCGCGCGACGCCAACUGGGCGGCAGCCCCCGCAUUCUGAUCCAGAAUCCCCAUGCGGCUCACCUCCUGGGAGAAGAAGGGCCUGGCCUGGGGCAUACCUGCCGAGCUGACCGGACUGCAGAACUGCAUCAAAAACAUGAUAGAGAAGAAGAUCAAACUCGUCAAUGUGGUCCAGGUCAUGCUCAUCCGCCGGAUCCUCCCGUGUCAAAGACGGGCGUUCAAUAUGUGAGAGUUCGAUCCGGCCGAACACCAGAUGCUGCGAGAGCUCUUAGACAUGAUGCAUAAGGAUGUCUGGAAGGUGUUGUUCAAGACCGGCGAAGUUCCUCCUCCCACUUCCGAGGACCGCGAACUCAGCACCGCGUGACUGCCAAUCCGGUAAGUUCUCUAAACAUCACAAGAUGUACCUUUCCCAACAUAUUCGUGGGAGGAUUUUGAGUCACCAUGCUUAUCCAAACAGGAUUACGUGUCGACGGAGGAAUGGAUCGACUGUCCGGCUCCGCUGCCGGAAGAUCCAACAACCGCACUCUUGACGGAGAUGCUGGUUCCGACGCCUUACAAGGUGCCGAGAAGAAGGCCGAAAAGAAGGCCACAGGGACUAGGAAGGGUCUCCGGCGCAAGGUUGCGCCAGACGCCUCGUCCAAAGACGACGAGGCACGCUCCUCCCACGAAGGGGAGGAGAAGAAGAGGAAGAAGGCCGCCCCAUACGGGGAGGCUGAAGGGUCCAAGAAAGCGGCCGCAUGGACCAGGAAGGGUCUCCGGUGCAAGGUCGUAAUAGACUCGGCGUCCGAGGACGGCGAGGCAGAUUCCUCCCACGGAGACGGGGGGGGGGGGGAAACAUGAAGACAUUCCCCGUCCCCGCAUUGGGGAGGAGAAGAAAAGAAAAGCUGCCCCACAGGGGGAGGCCAGGACGCCGAAGAAGGGAAAGGGGCCCCUUCUGGAUCACUCCACUACGGCCGCCUACAACGAGGAGGAGUGGCUGCCCAAGGGCAAGCCCCUGGCGAGAUCGUAAGUAUCCGCACUCUAUAAUAUUUUUCGUGCGACUUAACUUCAUAGUUUGUAAUAACGCCGAACACGUAUAUGCAGUACGACCGGGUCCCAUCUUGGGGUAUCUUCUUCGGAUGGGUCCUUGAGUGAAUCGAAGAUGAAUAGCGAUUCACUCCUGACGGCCACCUCCCCACGGCGUGCGGACGACACCGAGGUUUUGUCCCAAAGGAUACCAGGGCAAGGGACGAUAGUUCUAGAGACGCCCCAGGGUGAAAUCCCAGAUGUUGGGUACAUGGGGGGCAAGGUCCCCAUGGAUUAUACAGACAGGAGCCACAUCAAGUUUGGCUCCCAGCCGGUUACCGUGCCGGAGCCUCCAAAGGUUCCAGAUUCAAGUAGGCAGCCCCUCACUAAGGAGGGCGAGCCAGUCGUGCCGAUAACCUCCAUCUAGCCGGAGGCAUCGGAUAAUUUGCUGGAAGUGCUUCGCGGCGCUUCCAUUAACGAAGAGCACCAUACUCUUAUGAGUACGGUGAUUGAGAAAGUUUGGUCCGCCAAAAGCGGAUUGACCGAAACCUGCACCAGCCUCCUAACAUGCUUUGAGGUAAGUAAUGAAAAGUGUGAGAAAAUAUCACCCAAUAGACAGUAGCCCCUGAUACUCUGUUUGGUGUUCGGAAAGAAAAGCCAAACGGAGGGUCAAUAUGUAAUCCGCAGGAGUGUAACAAUGAAUGUCUACGUGAAUAAGCAGGCAUUGCUGCUGGCCGCUGCGGCCCGUACGGCGGAGGUCGAUGGACUCAAGCGGGACCUGAAGCCGGCCGAAGAAGAGCUCAGCCUCAUGAAGAGGCAGCUCGAAGAGAACAAAGGUAAGAGAUACCCCGUUCGUGUGUCAUCUAGAGGGGAAAAUAGGUGAUGCUAACAAAAAGCAUCAUGAUUUUUAAUAGGGGCCACGACCGAAGUGGCGGCCCUGAAGAAAGCGCUAUCCGAGGCCGAAGACAAGGCGGCCAUGGAGUGCACCGAGCGUGAAAAAGCAAGAUGCCCGAGUGGGAGAGGUACGGCAAGAGCUCCAGGAGUUCAGCAAGAGGUUCGAGUCCUUGGAGCAUGACUUCAAUACGCAAGAGUCCGAGCUUGCCAAGGCCCUCCAGAGCGCGAAAGACGCCAAGGCUGAAGCCCAAAAGGCCCUCCAGGAAAUCCAGGCGGCCAAGAAGAUAGCGGCGGGUAAGGCAUUCAUUAUGCAGAGCAAGCUUGUGGAGGAGGCAUUUCUUUUACUUAACCGAAUUCGGAGCUCUCCUGGGCAUUUGCAAAUCUGCCAUGCAGCAUAUCGGAUGUCACAGAGUUCUACCAUGCCAAAGAAGGGAGCUCAAUGGAGAAGUUGUUCUGGUCCCAGUAUGCCGGAGCCGAACACCCGAUGCCUUUGAGUGACCAACUAAAGCAAUUGGUCGAACUCCACAGGGCAGCCGAACUGGCCAUGAAGGGCCUCAUAGUCCGGAUGUGGCCUGGUGAGCCCCUGCCUGACAGCUACUUUGGCCUUAUAAAGCGGGUGGUAAAUGCCUGUCCGUGUCUUGAAGUUAUCAAGCAAUCCGUCUGUAUUGAGGGUGCCCGCCGAGCCUUUGCCCGUGCGAAGAUGCAUUGGGCCAAACUGGAUGCAGAGAAGCUGGUGAAGGAAGGACCGCCAGAGGGUAAGGCGCAUCGCUACCCCGAGAAAUAUUAUGAUGGUGUUAUGAAAGGCGCUCGCCUCGUGGCUGAUGAAUGUACCAAGUACAUAAUCUCUGAGUGAAUGUACUCAUGUCGUUUCUGUAAGAUGAAAACGAGUUAGUUUGCGCUUAUAUGACGCUUUGUUGAUUUAAAAAUAUUACCUUUUGUACGGCCGUUUAGAAAAUUCUGAAAGUAGGCCAGUCGUCGGCUUCUGCCCCCGUGUAACUAGUACUGGGGUGUUCGUGGAAAACCCAAACACUCUUUAUCCAAAUUUUUGGUACUUUAAGGAGGUGUUCAGCGCAGCGAACAAGGUAAUUGGACUAUGCGGCUUUAUAACUCUCACUUAGCCAUAGAAGUCUAUAAUUUUAAAUUUUGGCGAAGCCCCUAGUAUUCAGAAAGCCUAAUUGGGGCGCUAUACACGCCUAAAUUGGACAAGGCCGAUUCCUCGCCUGAAGCGGAAAAAAAUCUUUAAGGAUUUUAGACCUCUCGAACAGCGACCAACUCUCGCCGCAUCAUGACAGUUAGUUUUCGGCUUUCUCUACUGAGGUGCUUGUCCGGAAGAACCGGGACACAAUCGCAGUAGUUCUCCCUGCGCUACCUUAGCCGAUAUAACGGAACGUAAGGUACCAAAACAAGGGAGCCGGGCUAACCCAACUAUUGAACCAAGACAUGAUUAGGAGCUGAUGCAUAUAAUGCUAUAAGUUCGGGGUGCCGCACUGUCGAAAGUGUUCAGACUUUUCUUGCCAUAUUAUGGGGCGCAAUAGGAAGCCCCUGGCAGACUAAACGUACCAAAGUGUACGGAUGCAAUAUUAAAUAAACAUUCCAUGAAGAUAGAAAUAACAAGCUAACGUUGUAUAUUGUUUCCCGAUGUUAUUUAAAUAAUACGUCGAAGCGUAUGUGUACAACUAAUGCGUUUAAGCAAAAAUAGGAUUAUUUGACAUGUCCCAUCCAAGGGAGGGCCGCAUGUGGGUAUGUAAAACAGGUAUAACGAUCGUUAAUCAGAGACCACCUGGGUAUUCCCUUGAGCACGAUGCCUCUUGCCUCCUUGGUUUUCCCUCAUGUGAUGAGUCCGAUGAUCAGGCUCUCUGAAGGGGCUGCCCGAAAGUGGGGUCCUGAAAGAAAAGGAAAGUUACAAAGGCAUGUGGGCCUCGUGGCGGUUGAACCGCACUGUGGAUCGCCUCGUCAUCGCGCCUCCGCCUAUGCCCAUGGUAUUUUGAGUGCGUAAUUGUGUACACAGCGGCACGAAUGCCGCCUGAACGGGGCUGGGGCAGAAGCUGGAUUGCUAAUCAUGCUCUUGGCGUGCCUGGCGGUCCUGUUGCGGGGUGCUCCGGACUCUCUUAGCGGUGUUCGGGGUUGUCAUCGCUGAAUUGGCGGUCUGCCGAAGAAGGCUUUGUACUUCUGCCGCGAGGGCCGCAGUGUGCUCUUCCAUACGGAGAGAGCGGUCUGUGUUUCCAUUGACUGUUAUAACCCCGCGAGGUCCUGGCAUCUUGAGCUUCAGGUAUGCAUAGUGUGGUACCGCAUUGAAUCAAGCGAACGUGGUUCGUCCAAGUAGUGCAUGAUAGGCACUACGGAAAGGGACGAUAUCAAAGAUUAACUCCUCGCUGCGGAAGUUAUCCGGAGAUCCGAAGACCACUUCCAGUGUUAUUGAGCCCGUACAACGGGCCUCUACCCCUGGAAUACACCUUUAAAGGUGGUUUUGGUGGGUUUGAUCCUUAAGGGAUCGAUGCCCAUUUUGCGCAUCGUGUUCUGAUAAAGCAGGUUCAGGCUACUACCACCGUCCAUAAGGACUCGCAUGAGGUGGAAUCCGUCAAUGAUUGGGUUAAGGACCAAUGCGGCUGAACCGCCAUGACGUAUGCUGGUAGGGUGGUGCCUACGAUCGAAAGUGAUCGGACAGGAUGACCAUGGGUUGAACUUUGGGGCGACUGGCUCCAUCGCAUAGACGUCCCUUAGUGCACGCUUUCGUUCCCGCUUGGGAAUGUGGGUGGCAUAGAUCAUGUUUACCGUUUUCACCUGGGGAGGAAAUUUCUUUUGUCCCCCAGUGUUCGGACGCUGGGGCUCCUCGUCAUCAUCGCUGUGCACCUUGUCCUUGUCUUCGGUAUUUAGCUUGCCGGCCUGUUUGAACACCCAGCAAUCUCUAUUAGUGUGGUUGGCUGGCUUAACAGGGGUGCCGUGAAUUUGGCACGAGCGGUCGAGUAUGCGGUCCAGACAGGACAAUCCCGGGUUGUUCCUUUUGAACGGCUUUUUCCGCUGACCGGAUUUUGAGCCACGGAAUCCGGUGUUGACUGCCGUGUCUUCGGCAUUGUCGCCAUUGUUGUGACGCUUAUGUAUGUUGCAUUGUGGCUUACCGUUACUGUCGCGGACGUAUGAUGUUCCGGAAUUUCUUGACGUGGUGCUACUACGAGCCAGCCAGCUGUCCUCGCCCAUGCAAAAGCGGGUCAUGAGUGUCGUGAGGGCUGCCAUGGACUUCGGUUUUUCUUGACCGAGGUGUCGGGCGAGCCACUCGUCGCGGAUAUUAUGCUUAAAGGCCGCCAGGGCUUCGUCAUCCGGACAGUCGAAAAUUUGGUUCUUUUUAGUUAGGAACCAAGUCCAGAAUUUCCUGGCUGACUCUCCGGGCUGUUGGGUAAUGUGACUUAAUUCAUCAACAUCUGGUGGUCGCAUGUAGGUUCCUUGGAAGUUGUCGAGGAACGCGUCCUCCAGGUUUAAGGGGAAGAUACUUGAUGGCGUGUAGGUCAUCACCAUGGGCCAUGUGAAUGUGGAGAAGGAAGUCUUCGAUCCACACUGCAGGGUCUAUUGUGCCAUUGUAUGAUUCAAUGUUUACGGGUUUAAACCCUUCUGGGAAUUCGUGAUCCAUUACUUCAUCAGUGAAGCAGAGGGGGUGUGCGGCACCUCUGUGCUGGCUAUGUCGCUACGCAGUGCGACUAAGUCUGGCCAGUUAUGUUCGGCCCGGCUGGACUUGUUGUAAGCGUAUCCGGCAUGACGGUCAUUGUCAUGUGUUGGGGCGUGCCCCCAUGAUCCGUAGAUCGAUCUUCGCUGUCUUGUUUUGUUUUCCAAUAUCUCUCGCAGGUCCUGCGUGUUGCCCCGGGCCGUAGUGAAUUGGCGUGGGGGUGCGGGCUGGUAUUCGGGAUGAUACACCGUUUUAUCUCGGCCACGAGGUGGCCGGUCAGCCUCGUCCUGUGCUGGAAGUGUAUGCUCUAUGGCCUCCUCCUCGAAUUGAGGUAGCAACUUGUGCUUUGGGUAACCUUUGGUGGGGCGCUCGAGUCCGUAUUCCUCGGCCGCCAGGACCUCGGUCCAUCUUUCUCUGAGCAGAUCUUGAUCAGCUUGGAGCUGCUGCUGCUUCUUUUUCAGGCUUCUAGCAGUGGCUAUAAGCUGGCGCUUGAAGCGCUCCUGCUCUAUGGGAUCCUCAGGCACGCCGAAUUCAUCGUCGCCGAGGCUCACCUCAUCUUCGGAAGGAGGCAUGUAGUUGUCAUCCUCCAAGUAUCCGUCCAUCGCCUGUUCAACUGGGCUAACCUGCCCAUAUUCCUGUUCGGCCUGCUCGAAGGUAGGCUAAUCGGAAUUGUCUUCUUCUUCGGCAUCGUCCAGAUUGUUUUCGUCUCCUAUGCCGGUAUUGUUGUGGUGGGGCUUAGAGCAGCGCCGAUGACGCCCAUGCUUUGAUUUCUUCCCUAAGGAUUUAUCUUCUAUUGCCUCAUCGCCAUUGUUUUCUUUGGGAGUACCCACCAUAUAUAUAUCAUAUGAGGAGGUGGCUGUCCAGCGCCCUGUGGGCAGUGGAUCCUGUUCUUCUCCUGCAUCGUCAUCCAUACUGUCGAUGUCCUCGGAGUCGAAGUCAAGCACGUCGGUCAAAUCAUCGACAGUGGCAAUGAAGUGGGUGGUGGGUGGGUAACGAAUUUCUUCGUCACCUGCUUCCCACUCGAGCCGGACAUAGUUCGGCCAAGAGUCUCCUGACAAAGAGAGAGACCUUAACGAAUUCAGCACGUCGCCGAAGGGGGAGUGUUGAAAGAUAUCCGCAGCGGUGAACUCCAUUACCGGAGCCAAAUCAGACUCGGUGAGCCCGGGCGCGCGCGGUUUGGAACCCACAUCCGGACACAAGUCCAGGGGUCCGGUGACACAUAUUUCCUUAACGACAGAAUCUGUGUUCGGCUCUACCGCUGAAAAGUGUGCAGCCUCUGUGGCGGGGUCCAUCCACCCGUCCUCGGACAACACGAUCUGCCCCGGAUUUAGGUCCGGAGCUGCUGCAGGUGCGAUAUCUCGAAUACUGUCCGACAACAGAUCUAAGUCGUGCUCGUCGUGACUGUUCAGUGCUCCUGGUGUAGGCCCGAAUCCAUUGAAGAUCAAGUCUCCGCGGAUAUCGACCAUGUAAUUCAAGUUUCCGAACCUGACCUGAUGGCCAGGGGCGUAGCUGUCGAUCUGCUCCAGAUGGCCAAGCGAGUUGGCUCGCAGUGCGAAGCUGCCGAACACGAAGAUCUGUCCUGGGAGAAAGGUCUCACCCUGGACCGCGCCAUUGUUGAUGAUUGAAGGAUCCAUAAAGCCUUAUGGUGACGACACAGAGGAACUCUCAAUGAAAGCACCAAUGUCGGUGUCAAAACCGGCGGAUCUCGGGUAGGGGGUCCCGAACUGUGCGUCUAAGGCUAAUGGUAACAGGAGACUGGGGACACGAUGUUUACCCAGGUUCGGGCCCUCUCGAUGGAGGUAAUACCCUACUUCCUGCUUGAUUGAUCUUGAUGAUAUGAGUAUUACAAGGGUUGAUCUACCACGAGAUCGUAGAGGCUAAACCCUAGGAGCUAGCCUAUGAUUAUGAUUGUUGUUCUCCUACGGACUAAACCCUUUGGUUUAUAUAGACACGGAGGGGGCUAGGGUUACACAGAGUCGGUUACAGAGAAGGAGAUCUAACAUCCGAAUCGCCAAGCUUGCCUGCCAUGCAAAGGAGAGUGCCAUCCGGAAAUGGGACGAAGUCUUCAAUCUUGUAUCUUCAUAGUCCAACAGUCCGGCCAAAGUAUAUAGUCUGGCUGUCCGGAUACCCCCUAAUCCAGGACUCCCUCAGUUGGUACCAAGGGCGAUGGACGCAGAGAACCAUUUUCCUGCUCGUUGAACGAGGCAGACCCAUAGGCAAAGUUCUCGUCCAUCGGUGGUUACCGGAAUUUUAUCAACAAUAGUAACAGGGCCUUACUGACAGAUUUAUACACGGAGGUGUUCACAUAAGUAGGGAAUCAUUAAUGCUUAUAUUAUAUAGAUCACAAGAAGGGUUAAACAAACCAAUGGAAAGGAAAAUGUGAUUAUGGGUUAAAUAGAUCAAUGGAAAGAAAAUUGUGUUUAAACACAUGUUCCAGGCGUAUAUCCUUCCUAAGGACAAACAGAGGAUGAUAUCCGUGUCAGGAUAUAAAGUAGAAAACCCUUUAGGUAAGGGGAGAGAAACUUCAUGACAUUACCCAUACAACGAUAUUCGGAUAAUUGAUAAGGAAAAUCUAGCAUUGUGCUUCAAGUGUUCUUAUUCAAACUCGGAGUACCACAGACAUGCUUCGAGAUAGCAUUGACAUGGUCUCCAGGCAAAGGUCAGACUUUGGAUACACCAAGGAUCCAUCAGAGACAACUUAUUGAAUAAAUAUUACUAUUUCCUCAUGGAAGAAUAGCUAACCUUGCAAAAAAUGAAACCAUAACAAAAAGUCCUCCGACCAGGUGUGCUAGGCAUGACAUGACCUUAACGGGUCAAAGACCAAUGUUAUAAAUCUUGGGCAUAUGUUCCAACCAUCAUCUGUGACCGAGAUUCAAAUCUGAUUGGUGUCAGGAUAACUCAGACUCAUGAUACCUGAAAAGCAAGGUGAAACACAAAUUGUCGAGAUGACAUUGUAAGAUUCUCGGGAAUUGAACUAUGGAAGCGAGUUCCGAAACAAGAGUUCGUCAUUAAAUCAAGGAGAGGUGAGGAGGUGGCCGAUUGACUCAGCGACAAUUCAUUGAGAUUUCUAAAAGAGAUGGGUUUCCACAAUUAUGUGAACAAGGAGAUAACAUUAGUCAGGUUAAAUGAUACAAUGUUGUAUGCUCGAGGAAAACAUACACAAUUUAACAAUGAUAGAAGGGUGCACCCGAAAAUCUGGACUAGGUAGCAUGAUUAAUGUUUGAAUGAUGAUUCAAUAAGAAAUAGACUUAGAAUGAAACUAUCGACCAUUAACUUCAAAGCAAUAGGGUUGCUAGGAGUACAGAUUCCAUGCAACAUCGUUCACUUGUUGAUAUUCCCGAUUAAUCAAUACAUGGACCAAGAAGAAAGGUGCUUGUGAGAAGUAUCACUGUACUAAGAAUUAUUAAGAGGUGGAGCAAUCCUUGCAACAUCCUUGACAUAAGGACAGUAAUACUUCAUGGUGAUGAAGGAAUGAUGAAGAGGAAUGAUGAAGGAAUGAUGAAGCGAAAGGUUAAUGGAUCCAAGGGUACGACACAAACUCCAAACCAAUCUUGCUAUCCAAAGCGAAAUGAUAUGAUGAGGAAGAUCGACGUAAGCUUAGCUCAUCAUCAAAAAUUGUGCUCCGGGAAGAAGGACCAGGUAGCACAGUUAAAAUUUGGCACGAUAAUGAUAUAGCCGAUCAUGCUUGGGAUGACUUGAAGGAUUAUUAAACUCGUAAGUGAUAUGUCUCCAACGUAUCAAUAAUUUUUGAUUGUUCCAUGCUGUUAUAUUACCUGUCUUGGAUAUUUAUGGGCUUUACUAAACACUUUUAUAUCAUUUUUGGGACUAACCUAUUAACCGGAGGCCCAACCCAAAUUGCUAUUUUUUUGCCUGUUUCAGUGUUUCGCAGAAAAGGAAUAUCAAACAGAGUCCAAACAGAAUGAAACCUUUGGGAGAGUUAUUUUUGAACAAACGCAAUCCAGGAGACUUGGGGUGGACGUCAAGAAGUAGACAAGGAAGCCACGAGGCAGGAGGGCAUGCCCUACGGGGGUGGGCGCGCCCCCACCCUCGUGGGCCCCUCGUGGCUCCCCUGACCGACUUCCUUCGCCUAUAUAUAUCUACGUACCCCGAAAACAUCUAGGAGCACCACGAAACCCUAUUUCCACCACCGCAACCUUCUAUACCUGUGAGAUCCCAUCUUGGAGCCUUUUCCGGCGCUCGGCCGGAGGGGGAAUCGAUCAUGGAGGGCUUCUACAUCAACGCCAUUGCCUCUCCGAUGAGUUGUUAGUAGUUUACCACAUACCUCCAGGUCCAUAGUUAUUAGCUAGAUGGCUUCUUAUCUCUCUUUGAAUCUCAAUACAAUGUUCUCCUCGAUCUUCUUGGAGAUCUAUUCGAUGUAACUCUUUUUGCGGUGUGUUUGUCAAGAUUCGAUGAAUUGUGGGUUUAUGAUCAAGUUUAUCUAUGAGAAAUAUUUGAAUCUCCUCUGAAUUCUUUUAUGUAUGAUUGGUUAUCUUUGCAAGUCUCUUUGAAUUAUCAGUUUGGUUUGGCCUACUAGAUUGAUCUUUCUUCCAAUGGGAUAAGUGCUUAGCUUUGGGUUCAAUCUUGCGGUGUCAUUUCCCAGUGAUAGUAGGGUCAGCAAGGCACGUAUUGUAUUGUUGCCAUCAAGGAUAAAAAGAUGGGGUUUAUAUCAUAUUGCUUGAGUCUAUCCUUGUACAUCAUGUCAUCUUGCCUAAUGUGUUACUUUGUUCUUAUGAACUUAAUACUCUAGAUGCAUGCUGGAUAGCGGUCGAUGUGUGGAGUAAUAGUAGUAGAUGCAGGCAGGAGUCGAUCUACUAAUCUUGGACGUGAUGCCUAUAUACAUGAUCAUGCCUAGAUAUUCUGAUAACUAUGCACUUUUCUAUCAAUUGCUCGACAGUAAUUUGUUCACCCACCAUAAUACUUAUGCUAUCUUGAGAGAAGCCACUAGUGAAACCUAUGGCCCCCGGGUCUAUUUUCCAUCAUAUAAGUUUUCUAUCUACUUUAUUUUGCACUCUUUACUUUCCAAUCUACAUCAUAAAAAUACCAAAAAUAUUUAUCUUAUCUUAUUAUCUCUAUCAGAUCUCACUUUCGCAAGUGGCCGUGAAGGGAUUGACAACCCCUUUAUCGCAUUGGUUGCGAUGUUCUUGUUUGUUUGUGUAGGUACGAGGGACUUGGAGUGUAGCCUCCUACUGGAUUGAUACCUUGGUUCUCAAAACUGAGGGAAAUACUUACGCUACUUUGCUGCAUCACCCUUUCCUCUUCAAGGGAAAAACCAACGCAUGCUCAAGAGGUAGCAAGAAGGUUUUCCGGCGCCGUUCCCGGGGAGGUCUACACGCAAGCCAAGACAUACCAAGUACCCAUCACAAACUCUUCUCCCUCGCAUUACAUAUUUGUCAAUUGCCUCUCGUUCCCCCCCCCCACUUCACCCUUGUCGUUUUAUUCACCCUCUCUUUUCCGUUCGCCUCUUUUCGCCUUCUUCUUGUGUCAUUGCUCGUCGUCAUGGCUAGUCCUCCUAUCAUCGUUAGUACUCCCGAUCAUGAAGUUCUUAAUUUUAAACAAAGGAGGGAGAAAAUCUAAAAGAUGCUUGGCAUAGAAUUUGCAAUGCUAAAAAUAGAUCUACUAGGAAGCAAUCUACUUCCAUUCUUCUUUGCAAUUUUUAUGUAGGCAUUACUCCUUGGAAUAAAUGCAUUCUUGAUACCAUUACCAGUGGGAAUUUUUGGGUAGCCAUACUUUUGAUGCUUAUAAUGCUAUGUUAGAUUUGUUUGGUCCACCACCUCUCUUGGUUAAUGGAAUUGUUUUAACUUUAGAACAUGUAAUGCAAAGGCUCGAAAUUAUUGAAAAUAAAGUUGCCACUGUUGAGUUAAUUGAAAAUUUGGAUAAUAAGAUCCACCACCAAAUUACCCAAUAUGAAUCUAAGGUUGGAGUCACUCUGAAAUUUUUUAACGAGAAGGAACACAUAGUUAAUGAAAGAAUAGAUCAAGAUUUUACAAGAAUCGGUAAACUUGAGGACAUUAUUACCAACUUAGGGUCUGCCUUUUUCAUCCGUGAAAAAUACUCCAACUCCUCCUACCAAAAUUGCCAAAUUAAUGUACGUUCCUAAAAAUAAGGGUGAAUUUUCUAGUAAGGAAAAUGCGGAUCUCAAAUCAAUAAGUGUUCAUCCCAACUUUUUCGCUUUCAUUAAGGAACCUUUUGCUAUAAAUGUAUAUUGAUUUCUUGCCUAGGAGUUGAAUCAUUACUAAAAAGAAAGAAACUCCUAAGGGUUAAGUGUUCCAUUGAAGAAUUGAAUACCAAAUAUGGCAAUACUUAAAUCUAUUAUCGCUUUUAUGCCUAGCUAGGGGCGUUAAACGAUAGCGCUUGUUGGGAGGCAACCCAAUUUUAUUUUUGUUCCUUGAUUUUUGUUCCUGUUUAGUAAUAAAUAAUUCAUAUAGCCUAUGUUUAUAUGUGGUUUUAUGUUUUAAUUAGUGUUUGUGCCAAGUAGAACCUUUGGAAAGACUUGGGUGAAGUCUUUAUGAUCUUGCUAUAAAAAAACAGAAACUUUAGCGCUCACAAAAUUAGUUGCCAUUUAUUACUGGAGAGUGCUUUUAGGUUGAUUAUUUUUGCAGAUGAUUAAUAGACAAAUUCCUCAAGUCCAAAAUUUUAUUUCAGAAUUUGUGGAGUUAUAUAAGUAUUCUAAAGUUACAGAUUUCUACAGACUGUUCUGUUUUUGACAGAUUCUGUUUUUCGUGUGUUGUUUGCUUAUUUUGAUGAAUCUAUAGCUAGUAUCGGGGGGUAUGAACCAUAGAGAAGUUGGAAUACAGUAGGUUUAACACCAAUAUAAAUAAAUAAUGAGUUCAUUACAGUACCUUAAGUAGUGGUUUUUCUUUCUUACACUAACGGAGCUUAUGAUAUUUUCUGUUGAGUUUUGUGUUGUGAAGUUUGCAAGUUUUGGAUAAAGAUUUGAUGGACUACAGAAUAAGGAGUGGCAAGAGCCUAAGCUUGGGGAUACCCAAGGAACCCCAAGAUAAAUUCAAGGACAACCAAAAGCCUAAGCUUGGGGAUGCCCCGGAAGGCAUCCCCUCUUUCGUCUUCGUCUAUCGGUAACUUUACUUGGGGCUAUAUUUUUAUUCACCACAUGAUAUGUGUUUUGCUUGGAGCGUCUUGUAUGAUAUGAGUCUUUGCUUUUUAUUUUACCACAGUCAUCCUUGUUGUACACACCUUUUGGGAGAGACACACAUGAUUCGGAAUUUAUUAGAAUACUCUAUGUGCUUCACUUAUAUCUUUUGAGCUAGAUAAUUUUGCUUUAGUGCUUCACUUAUAUCUUUUUAGAGCACGGUGGUGGUUUUAUUUUGUAGAAAUUAUUGAUCUCUCAUGCUUCACUUAUAUUAUUUUGAGAGUCUUUUAGAACAGCAUGGUAUUUGCUUUGGUUAUGAAAUUAGUCCUAAUAUGAUGGGCAUCCAAGUUAGGUAUAAUAAAAACUAUCAUAUAGAGUGCAUUGAACACUAUGAUAAAUUUGAUACUUGAUAAUUGUUUUGAGAUAUAGAGGUGGUAAUAUUAGAGUCAUGCUAGUUGGGUAAAUAUGAAAUUGAGAAAUACUUGUGUUAAAGAUGGAAAGUCCCACAGCAAGCACGUAUGGUAAAAGUUGUGUAACAAAUUUGUAGCAUGGGGUGCUCUUUGAUUGCCUUCCUUAUGUGUGGAGGUCGAGAUCGCGCGAUGGUUAACUCCUACCAACCCUUCCCCUAGGAGCAUGCGUAGUAGUACUUUGCUUCUAGGGCUAAUAAACUUUUGCAAUAAGUAUAUGAGUUCUUUAUGACUAAUGUGAGUCCAUGGAUUAUACACACUCUUACCCUUUCAUCAUUGCUAGCCUCUACGGUACCAUGCAUUGCCCUUUCUCACCUUGAGAGUUGGUGCAAACUUCGCGGGUGCAUCCAAACCCUAUGAUACGAUACGCUCUAUCACACAUAAACCUCCUUAUAUCUUCCUCAAAACAGCCACCAUACCUACCUAUUAUGGCAUUUCCAUAGCCAUUCCGAGAUAUAUUGCCAUGCAACUGUCCACCGUUCCAUUUAUUAUGACACGUUCCAGCAUUGUCAUAUUGCUUUUGCAUGAUCAUGUAGUUGACAUCAUAUUUGUGGAAAAGCCACCUUCAUAAUUCUUUCAUACAUGUCGCUCUUGAUUCAUUGCAUAUCCCGGUACACCGCCGGAGGCAUUCACAUAGAGUCAUAUUUUGUUCUAAGUAUUGAGUUGUAAUUCUUGAGUUGUAAAUAAAUAGAAGUGUGAUGAUCUUCAUUAUUAGAGCAUUGUCCCAAGUGAGGAAAGGAUGAUGGAGACUAUGAUUUCCCCACAAGUCGGGAUGAGACUUCGGACUUUAUGAAAAAUAAAAGAGGCCAAAGAAGCCCAAAUAAAAAAAGAGGACAAAGAAGCCCACCAAAAUAAAAAAAUGAGAGAAAAAGAGAGAAGGGACAAUGUUACUAUCCUUUUCCACACUUGUGCUUCAAAGUAGUACCAUGAUCUUCAUGAUAGAGAGUCUCCUAUGUUGUCACUUUCAUAUACUAGUGGGGAUUUUUCAUUAUAGAACUUGGCUUGUAUAUUCCAAUGAUGGGCUUCCUCAAAAUGCCCUAGGUCUUCGUGAGCAAGCAAGUUGGAUGCACACCCACUUAGUUUCUUUUGUUGAUCUUUCAUAUAUUUAUAGCUCUAGUGCAUCCGUUGCAUGGAAAUCCCUACUCCUCAUGUUGACAUCAAUCGAUAGGCAUCUCCAUAGACCAUUGAUUAGCCUCGUCAAUGUGAGACUUUUUCCUUUUUUUGUCUUCUCCACACAACCUCCAUCAUCAUAUUCUAUUCCACCCAUAGUGCUAUAUCCAUAGCUUACGCUCAUGUAUUGCGUGAGAGUUAAAAAAAAGCUGAAGCGCGUUAAAAAGUAUGAACCAAUUGCUUGGUUGAAACCGGGGUUGUGCAUGAUGGGAGUAUUUUGUGUGACGAAAAUGAAGCAUAGCCUAACUAUAUAAUUUUGUAGGGAUAAGCUUUCUUUGGCUAUGUUAUUUUGAUAAGACAUGCUUACUUGUUAGUAUGCUUGAAGUAUUACUAUGUUUAUGUCAAUAUUAAACUUUUAUCUUGAAUCAUUUGGAUCUGAACAUUCAUGCCACAAUAAAGAAAAUUACAUUGAGAAAUAUGCUAGGUAGUAUUCCAUAUCAAAAAUUCUGUUUUUAUCAUUUACCUACUCGAGGACGAGCAGGAAUUAAGCUUGGGGAUGCUUGAUACGUCUCCAACGUAUCUAUAAUUUUUUAUUCUUCCAUGCUAUUAUAUUACCUGUUUUGGAUGUUUAUGGGCUUGACUAAACACUUUUAUAUCAUUUUUGGGACUAACCUAUUAACCGGAGGCCCAGCCCAAAUUGUUGUUUUUUUGCCUGUUUCAGUGUUUCGCAGAAAAGAAAUAUCAAACGGAGUCCAAACGGAAUGAAACCUUUGGGAGAGUUAUUUUUGGAACAAACGCAAUGCAGGAGACUUGGAGUGGACGUCAAGAAGCAGACGAGGAAGCCACGAGGCAGGAGGGCGCGCCCUAGGGGGGUGGGCGCGGCCCCCACCCUCGUGGGCCCCUCGUGGCUCCCAUGACCUACUUCCUUCGCCUAUAUAUAUCUAUGUACCCUGAAAACAUCCAGGAGCACCAUGAAACCCUAUUUCCACCGCCGAAACCUUCUCUACCGGUGAGAUCCCAUCUUGGAGCCUUUUCUGGCGCUCUGCCGGAGGGGGAAUUGAUCAUGGAGGGUGAGGGAGUCCUGGAUUAGGGGGUAUCCGGAUAGCCGGACUAUAUCCUUUGGCUGGACUAUUGGACUAUGAAGAUACAAGAUUGAAGACUUCGUCCCGUGACCGGAUGGGACUCUCCUUUGUGUGGAAGGCAAGCUUGGCGAUUCGGAUAUGUAGAUCUCCUCCUCUGUAACCGACUCUGUGUAACCCUAGCCUCCUCUGGUGUCUAUAUAAACCGGAGGGUUUAGUCCGUAGGACAACAACAGUCAGAAUCAUAGGCUAGCUUCUAGGGUUUAGCCUCUACGAUCUCGUGGUAGAUCAACUCUUGUAAUACUCAUAUCAUCAAGAUCAAUCAAACAGGAAGUAGGGUAUUACCUCCAUCGAGAGGGCCCGAACCUGGGUAAACAUCAUGUCCCCAGCCUCAUGUUACCAUUAGCCUUAGACGCACUGUUCGGGACCCCCUACCUGGGAUCCGCCAGUUUUGACACCGACAUUGGUGCUUUCAUUGAGAGUUCCUCUGUGCUGUCGCGAUAAGGCUUGAUGGCUCCUUCAAACAUCAGCAGCGAUGCGGUCUAGGGCGAGGUUUUUCUCCCCGGAUAGAUCUUCGUAUUCGGCGGCUUCGCACUGCGGGCCAAUUUGCUUGGCCAUCUGGAGCAGAUCGGCAGCCACGCCUCUGGCCAUCAGGUCAGGUUCGGAAACUUGAACUACACGGCCGACGUCCGCGGGGACUUGACCUUUGACGGAUUCGAGCCUGUGUCAGGAGCACUGAACAGUCAUGACAUGCAUGACUUAGAUCUGCCCUCGGACGAUAUUCGGACUAUCGCACCUGCAGCUGCCCCGGCCUUAAAUCUGGAGCAGAUCGCGCCAUCCGAGGACAGGUGGAUGGACCCCGCCACGGAGGCCACACACCCAUCGGCGUUGGAGCUGAACACAGACUCCACCCCUCAAGAAAUCUGUGUCACCAGACCCCCGGACUUGUCUCCGGCCUUAGGAUCCGGACCGCGUGUAUCCAUGCCUAUCGAAUCUGAUUGGGCCCCGAUCAUGGAGUUUACCUCUACGGAUAUCUUUCAACACUCACCCUUGGGUGACGUGCUAAAUUCAUUGAGGUCUCUCUCUUUAUCAGAAGACUCUUGGACGAACUAUGUCCGGCUCGAGUGGGAUACGGACGACGAAGAAAUUCGCUAUCCACCCACCACCCACUUAAUAGCCACUGUCGAUGACUUAACCGACACGCUGGACUUCGACUCCGAAGACAUCGACGGUAUGGACGUCGAUGAGGGAGAUGAUCUAGAACCACCGCCCACGGGGCGCUGGACAACCACCUCAUCAUAUGAUAUAUACAUAGUGGACACAUCCAAGGAGAACAACGGCGACAAAAAGGACGCCACCGAGGAUAAUCCCCCAGGGCAGAAACAAAAGCGACGGCGCAGGUGCCGCUCUAAGUCCAGCCGCAGUAAAAAUAGCAAUAACAGCGCAAGAAAAAUUGACACCCCGGUCGACUCCAAAGGAAACGACGACCCCAUGGACCUAGCGAUGGAGCAGGAUGAGCCAGGGCACGCCGAACAUAGUCUGGAGUAGACGUCUGAUCACGGCGACCCCGAGGGUAAAACUCAUCAACCUACCUCCGGAGAGGAGGACAGUCCGGACGACGACGCAUUCAUCCCGGCAAAACACUUGGAACAAGAGAACCUCCACAAAAGGCUAAUGGCCACCGCAAGGAGCCUGAAGAAGCAAAAGCAAAGGCUUAAGGCCGCGCAGGAUACGCUCAACCGCAGAUGGAACAAAGUGCUAGACACUGAAGAAAAAUAUGGCGAUGAUCGCCACACAAAGAGCUACCAAAGCGCAAGCUGCUUCCCGAAUUUAACGACGAGGCCAUAGAGCCCAUCCCGCCGAAGAAUAAUACGGCCGAUCUGCUGGACCGACCACCUCGUGGCCGCGACAGAGCAGCUACUGACGCCGCACACAAGCCAGCACACGAUUUACGUGAGCUCCUGGACAAAAAGGCUGGUGCGACCAGGUCCAUCUAUGGAUCUAGAGGACGUGCUCCGGCGCAAGAUCAUUGCCACCAAAAUGAUCAUAUUGAUCGAAUACCAGUUCGGAAUCAACACCAAUCACAACAGCCGUCAACAGCAUGCCACGACAUGUCCAGAUACAGAGGUGUUGCACACCCCCUGUGCUUCACCAACGAAGUGCUAGAUCACGAAUUUCCACAGGGAUUCAAACCCGUACAUAUAGAGGCAUACGAUGGUGGAACAACAGACCCUGGGGUCUGAAUUGAGGAUUUUAUCCUCCAUAUCCACAUGGCUCGUGGAGAUGAUCUCCAUGCCAUUAAAUACCUGCCCCUCAAGUUGAAAGGACCAGCUCGGCAUUGGUUGAAAAGCCUCCCUGAAAACUCAAUUGGAAGUUGGGAGAAACUCGAGGAUGCUUUCAGGGCCAAUUUUCAAGGGACAUAUGUCCGACCUCCGGAUGCAGACGAUUUAAGUCACAUAAUCCAACAACCCGGAGAGUCAGCCCGUAAGCUUUAGGACAGAUUUCUCACUAAGAAGAAUCAAAUGGUUGAUUGUCCGAAUGCCGAAGCCUUAGCGGCCUUCAAGCACAGUAUUUGAGACGAAUGGCUCGCCAGACACCUCGGCCAAGAAAACCCGAGGACAAUGGCGGCCCUUUUUUUGCGGGAUAAAGGGAGUUUUUAUUGCAAGGCAAUAGUGUUACAAUCAAGAGGCCACAACUCCUCAAUACAAGGUGGAGCCGACUGUAACCACACAGCUGUGGUUCUCUCUAAUCGGCUAUAAGUGGCCAAACGAUCUGCGACACAAUUCUGACUACGGUGAAUUUUCUAUGGUAAAAACUCCCUAUUACUCAUCAACUCCUUAAUCUCAAGCACCAACUGCCCAUAAGCUGACUUCAGCAGACCAUUGUUAGACAAGAUCAAUAGUGCUUCUGCGGAAUCUGACUGAACGACCACCGGAAGUGACGUAUUCUGUAUAGCCAGUGCCAUGCCCUGCAUGAGUGCGUGUAUUUCCGCUUCCAGAGAGUCGUUGCAGUGAAAGAUAUAGCGGUAUGCUGAAAAAAUGAUCUUGCCUUCCUCGUCACGUAGAAUCAUAACGAGCCUUAUGACCCACUUUUGCGCGGUGAGGAUAGCUGGUUGGCCCGUAGAGGCACCAGCGACCCAGGCACAUCCGAAAUAAGGGGUGGCAACGAGAAGCCACGACGCAAUAAAAACAAGCGUCGAAACAAUGAAGAGAGUCCGGACAACACGACGGUCAAUGCCGGAUUCAGGGGCUCUUGACCCGGUCAAUGGAAGAAGCCAUUUAAAGGCAGCAAAGAUGGACCGUCCAGCCUGAACAAGGUCCUGGACAGAUUAUGUCAAACCCAUGGCACUCCCAAAAAACCUGCAAAUCACACUCACAGAGAAUGCUGGGUCUUCAAGCAGGCCGGCAAGCUAAAUGCCGAACACAAAGAAAGGGAGACGCCAAGUGAGGACGAGGAAGAACAUCGUCAGCCGAACACUGGGGGACAGAAAAUAUUCCCACCAGAAGUCAAAACAGUGAAUAUGAUCUACAUAACUCAUAUACCUAAGAGAAGGCGCAAACGCGCACUCAGAGAUGUAUACGCUGUAGAGCCCGUCGCCCCCAAAUUCAACCCUUGGUCGGCCUGUCCGAUCACUUUUGAUCGCAGGGAUCACCCGACUAGUAUCCGGCAUGGAGGAUCGGCUGCCUAAGUUGUAACAUCCCGAUUCUCGGAAUGUUUAUGAAAAAGUUUACCAAAAAUCAGGUCGACAAAAUUUCAUUUGCUUUAUUUGGUAACAAAGCUUAAAUUGGGCUUUUAUAAUUUGGAGGAUUUAACUUGAUCUAAUGUGAACUUAAAUUUAACAUGAGUUUUGUUCUUCUCUUCUAGUUGGGUUUUGUUUUUCUCCCUUCAGCAUAUUAAAAUAUGCGCAUUUUUAUUUUGGAACUUAUGUUGAAUUUGCUAGCUUUUGUUCCUUUUCUAGAUUUUCCUAAGAAGGAAAAUCUAUCUAUCUAUACCUCUCUUUAUAUAUAUAUAUACCUAUACUAAUUACAGACUCCCAAAAAAUUACCACGUUAAUCAGUAAUUAAGAGCCGUUAAUUACCAACGCUGCUGCUUCCUGCGAUUCUUUAUUCUUUCAUGCUUGCAUGAUCUCCCGGUGCUUCAUGUUCCAUCCCAUCCCACUUUUGUGCGCCUCCCGGUGGCCACUUCACCUUGCGCAGAUUGUGCGCCUUGACGGCGUGGACUGUCACCCUCCACAACAAUGGCGAGGUGCCUCACCUUGCAUCUAUUGCCAGUUUUUCCCCUGACGUAGGUAAACAACCUUGCUUCUUUCACAUAAUUAUAAACGUGCUUCCCCUUUUAACCCAUGUGCUGCUUGAACAAUGAGUCUGCUAAGUACGUCAUGACUCAUGAGUUAUGAUUUUAUACUAUAUGGAGAACGGGUAACUGUAAAGCAUGUAAUCUAUAUGAAAACAUUACCGAGUGUGAUAGCUGGCAAGAGUAUGUCAUAUGUACUGACGUUCAUACACCAAUAUAGCAUGUAAUCUAUAUGAAAACAUUACCGAGUGUGAUAGCUGGCAAGAGUAUGUCAUAUGUACUGACGUUCAUACACCAAUAUUGUGUACUGAAUUAUUAUUAUCAAUUGUUAGCAAACACUUGAGACUGAUUAUGCAUCUACCUAGAUCGAAAUUUCAGUUGAAUUGUUAUGUUGUACGAGUUGGUGUCAGAUCUAACUGAGAGGUAACAUAAGGUCAAGAUUGAAGGCGGUGUCCCUUUGUGAAACCAUUACGGGGUGUGAGAGAUGGCAAGAGUAUGUUGUAUGUACUGCUAUUCUUGCACCAAUACAGUGUAUUGAAUUAUUCCUAGGAAUUGUAAAGAAACAAGAAUAUCACAUGGGAUUGAUUAUGCAUCUACCUAGAUCGUGAUUUCAGCUGAAAUUGUUCUGAUGUACGAGUUAGUGCCAAAUCUACAUGAAAAGCAAUAAAAGAUCAAGACUGAAGGUGUUAUGUUGCUUACAUUUUUCUAUGAAGCCAUAUAUGUAUGCACAUGUUUAUGCUCAUAUAUAUGCUGAAACAAGUGUUCAUACAUAGUGAUAUAUCUUCAAAAAUAUUCUAGGGAUAUUUGCAGCAUGGUCACACAAGGCAAGCACGAGCUCUCUCCAUAUGCCAGGUUUCAGUACAUCUGUUGCAGUUUUACUAGAAGCUCCAGUCUUCUUUUAACAUAUCUUCAUUAUUUGUCCUUAUUUUAUUCAUAUCUUCACAAUCUUAAAUAUUUAUCUAUUGUAGGUAGCCUUAGUUUCUAACUUCCAGAUUUAAUUUACAGUCCCCACCCCCCUCUCUAUUAUGAAUUGAUAAGUCUACCAUGGCGUUUUGUGCACUUCAUACAUGACACCCUUGAAGGUAUAAAAUUUUAGCUCAUAUGAUCUGCUAAAUGUAUGAUAUGGCCAGGGGAGAAGAGACAUGGAAUACUUGCUAUGUUCAUUGAUUUUUUUCACGCAUGGUCAAGUGCCUUAAGCCUUUGUCUCUGUUUAUAGUAGUCCUACAUCUAAAAAAAUUACCUUACAUGGAAGUUAUUUCAAUUGUCUCUUUUGUACCAAACCCUUAUUAUUAUGAUGGGUUUCAUGAAUAAAUGGUUUUAAUAAAGCUAAUUAUUGGCCUCACUACUCUCUCAAAUAAAUGCAAAUGACUUUUUGUUUCCUGAUUCAUUCACAUAAUUUCACUGCGCCCUGCAAAAUAUGUGACAGAACUUAAGGCCUUUUAGAUUUAGGGAAGUGAUAGAGCCGCCCUGAUGACUAAAUCCAGUGGAUUCUUACACCAUAUGUUUGUCCUUUUCAACCAAUUUAUCCUUUGUUGAUAACUACAUAAGUAAUCGCAUUUGGUAACUUCAAUGGAUCCUAUUAAGGAGAGAUUGUUUUUCAACCUAUUGAAUUUUCUUUCAUGGAAGUCGUUUUUCCAACUGUCACUUGCUGUGGAUUUGCCGGCAAUGAGUAUAAUAGAUCCCAUCCUCAUAUUUGUUAUAACGAAGUUUACGUAAUGUUAUCCCAUUUUGUAUUCUAUGUCUGCAGAGGGGUGGAGACGCUCUUGCCAAUAAUGGAGUUGAAUUGGAAUUUGUUAGUUUGGUCACAACUGGCUUUAAAUUUAGUCUACAUUUGGCAAAUUACCAAUCCUGCAAAGUAGGAAGCUUAGAAGAAUUUGUGUCUUAUUCCUUUAUGUCAUCUGGAUAGCAAUUUAUAUUUAUGAUGAAUUUUGCAGAUCAUGUGUUCAUAAUAAUAGUUUGUGUCAUGCUUCACAUGUCUGCUACAAAUUGUAGAUUUCCGAUGUAGAUAAUUAUUACUUGCAGGUCCUAUGCUUCAGUCUCAGUAUGUAUUUAUAUGGUUUCCCUAGCAGUAAUUUGGUAACCUCAGUCAUGUCAUAUACAUAUUAGCACUUAGCAAAAAGAAAUCACACACGUGACGCCUGUAUAAUGUUGUUGAAGUGUGGAACAAUGUGCGUUAUGGAAUUCUGUUAUUGGAAUAAUUUUUGUUAUCAUUUCUACUAUGUUGAGAAAUAUGAUUAGUAUUUAAACACUUGAUUCUAAUUUUUCAGGUUUUAAACCAUAAAUCAUGUAGUUGUGCCCUCUUUAAAAUGCUAUUGCACUUAUCUUGCGAUCUGAAAUGUUUUUUUUCUGUUGCUGUUAUCAGGGAAGUGCAUAGCAGCUAUCCAGAAAACAGAAAAGAAUCUUGGCCAUGGUUGGAUGUAUUCUGACAUUACUUCUACCAGUAAAAGGGAUAAAACUUAAACCCAUCAAAAUGGGAUGGGACUGAACAAGGCAACAACCCCCAUGAAAGUGGAAACAAGAUAACAUCAUUGGUGCCUAAUGCCCGUUUAUCUUUUUCAUUAGCUGCAUUUGGUGUUGCAGCGCUGCACUCAACUUGGUUUCCUCGAGUGAACUUCACAAAUUAUAUAUGAUACUACUAUAUAAUCUCUGAGUCGGCCCUGCCAAGAAGUUUAAUAACAAACUAUAGAAACACGUUUGAUUGUAUUGGUUCCUACAAAUGACAUAGAUAAACGACACUGUACGUAGAACACACUUCUUGACAAAAAUGAUUUUGUUGUUUCCUAGGACUUCAAUAAUUGCUAUAUCUAAGUCAAGCAAGAUGUGGCACGAAAAAUAGAGUUAUCCAAAAAGGCUGUACAAUUCUUGGUAUAAAAAUGUGCAACGCCUUGCACACGAUUCUGAAUAUUUUAACUGUCCAAUUUUCAUUCGAUAAAGAAUCAGGGGGCGAAAUCAUUGACUAAUAGAUAAGAAUACCUAUAUCUAACGAAGAGUAAGGCAAUUCGGAUCUAGGCUCUAGGGAGACUAAUAUUUUUUAAAUCGAAAUGUCUAUUUGGAGUAUAGAACUACACAUACAUAUAUAUGAUUUCUCUACAAACAUGUCAAGUUACAUUAAAUAAUAAGAUGAUUUGUAGGCCAUACAGAAAAAGUUAAAUUUCUAACCCAAUACAAAAUGUUAGCUAAGUUUAAUAUGUGUGCACGUACUACACAUGUGGAAACAUAUUGAUAAAAAUAUUUGUGCACAUACUACACAUCUCUAUGUGUAUGUACAAUUUUGUCUCGGUAACUUUUUAGUAUCAAAAUAAUGUUUAAAAAAUUUGGCAAUAAAAUAGGACUCGAAUUUAGAAAAAAGCAUAUAAGUAGGCAUUGCGAAUAGUAUUCCAAUGUUUUCCUGGCAAAGUAUAUUAUUCAUUAACUGGCAUCUACUCAACAUCUAGCCCAUGCAUAUGCACGGGUUGACGACUAGUAUACCUACCUAUACUAAUUCUUGACUUCCUGUAAAUUCCCACGUUAAUCAGAUUUUACGAGCCGUUAAUCUGGUGGGACCGAAUUAUAACGGUGUAGAUUCAUCCUUAUAAUUCUGGGCAAAAAAUAAAAAAAUACCUCAGAUUUUACGAGCCGUUAAUCUGGUGGGACCGAAUUAUAACGGUGUAGAUUCAUCCUUAUAAUUCUGGGCAAAAAAUAAAAAAAUACCUCCAAAAACUAGCACGUAAUCCAGUCUCACGUAUCUCUCUCCAACGAUAGAAAAAAAACUCCUACAUAUCUCCCACGACCCAAAACUGUCUCCACCUUUCACGUAUCUCCACCUAAAAAAAAGAUAAGUUCAGGCAUCUCUUCAAAAAUCCUUCGCAAUAUAUCUCUCCAAUAAGGAAAAAAUACAUCUAAAAAAUCUCUCAUGCAUCUCUCUCCAAUGAGAAAAAAAAACACUCUCCGUACAUAUCUCUCCCAUAAACUCCCGAAGACUUCGCCGCCUCCAACAUGAUCCGCUUCCUCACCCCAGUACUGCCUCCUCAAUAUCCACAUCGAAUCCAACUUCGGCCAGUACAUCACCAGCGUCAAGGCAUGUCCUCUCCUGGCCAAGAUCUCCGCUGCCUUAUUUGUGCAAGAUCGGCCAUGAUGUUGCCGCUGGUUUAUUCUCCAAUAUGACUUACAAUCCUAUCUCAACAAAUUUGAGAUCCCAGGUUCCUUCUGGCAAAAGCUCGAUUCAAUCCCUAACCAAUUGCAGAUGUACAAAAUACUAAUUCUUGACUUCCCGUAAAUUCCCACGUUAAUCAGAUUUUACGAGCCGUUAAUCUGGUGGGACCAAAUUAUAAUGGUGUAGAUUCAUCCUUAUAAUUCUGGGCAAAAGAUAAAAAAAAUACCUCCAAAAACUAGCACGUAAUCCAGUCUCACGUAUCUCUCUCCAACGAUAGAAAAAAAACUCCUACAUAUCUCCCACGACCCAAAACUGUCUCCACCUUUGACGUAUCUCCACCUAAAAAAAAGAUAAGUUCACGCAUCUCUUCAAAAAUCCUUCGCAAUAUAUCUCUCCAAUAAGGAAAAAAUACAUCUAAAAAUUCUCUCAUGCAUCUCUCUCCAAUGAGAAAAAAAAACUCUCCGUACAUAUCUCUCCCAUAAACUCCCGAAGACUUCGCCGCCUCCAACAUGAUCCACUUCCUCACCCCAGCACUGCCUCCUCAAUAUCCACAUCGAAUCCAACUUCGGCCAGUACAUCACCAGCGUCAAGGCAUGUCCUCUCCUGGCCAAGAUCUCCGCUGCCUUAUUUGUGCAAGAUCGGCCAUGAUGUUGCCGCUGGUUUAUUCUCCAAUAUGACUUACAAUCCUAUCUCAACAAAUUUGAGAUCCCAGGUUCCUUCUGGCAAAAGCUCGAUUCAAUCCCUAACCAAUUGCAGAUGUACAAAUUUUUAUGUCCAAAGCUUAUUAAAUAUGUUGGCGAGCAUACGUUUGAGGCUACAGGACAGCGUUAGAUCAGUUUAGUUCAAUUCAACCUACCCGAAUGCUAUUGUACGCAGCUAGGGGGGACUGGUUGCAGAGGAGGCAGUUGAAGGAGGAUGGCCAUGAUAUGUUACGGGAGAGUGAAUAGGGGUGCCUUCCUGCGCUAUGAGACAAUAGUUUAUCCCUCUCCAAUCUGACCAGGUACUUCUUUCUACCUCUUCAUAGUCAAAUCUGAGUGCUUAUGAACUCCUCGAUUGUACGCAGUUGUGCUGUGGCAGCUAUUUAUUUGACGGAAGAUUGGAGCGGGCGGUUUGUCAUGAAUCAUAUGGUUUGUUUCUAUUCAAUCUUACUGAGAAAUAUGAUAUAUUUUCCUUUUCGUUCUCAUUAGAGGGAACAAAGUCGAACAUAAAGAGACUAUCAGUUUGUGGCUAUAAGCCCAUAAUUAUGUGAUUUAUAACACAAGGUGUGUGUAUUUAGUUGAGUGGGAUGUGCUAAUUAUCUGGCAUCUCUUUUUUUGGUUCUCAGAUAAUUAGUAUAAUCGGUUGACAUAUGAGAUGCCUUAUGCCGCCUGACACUGACACUGACAUUAUACUGCAAUAUACCUGCAGUAUAAGAAAUUACCAGAAGUAAAUACCAUCGAAAUGAUUGUUGCUUUUUUGGGGCUAGAAAUACGUGAGAUAUAUUAAGCAAUAAGAGGGCAAGGAAUGAUGGUUGCUGAUAACUAUACAUUUUUAUGGAUAUUCAUCUACCUGGAUGACCUUCAAGCAUGAAUGGUAGAUACCUUCUAGCACAAAUACUUGAAUUCUUACCAUAGUAUAAAAUCGCGGGCGAACAGAAAUUGCAGCAGAGAUUUUAGCCACGAUGUGUAAGGAAGAAAUGGCGCAAUCUCCGGCGAUAGCGCCACGAUCUCCGGCCAUUUCCAUUCCAUGCAGAUUUCGCAUCCGUUUCAGAUCCGUGAUAGCGCCGAAAUAGAGGCAGUUUCACCCGAGAUUGUUUAUUCUUAUAGUACAUAAACGAUAUUGUUUGCCAGUGAUUAUUUCUUAUGUAGUUUUCCUUUCCUGAGUUCGUAUGUUUGUGUCAUAGUAUAUCUUUCCAUGAGAAUGAUACUCGGAAAAUCCAUCUGUAACAUGCAUGGCAGAAUAUUAUCAUUGUAUCGUAACACCCGACAGUUAAACUGUAGCAACAUACAAACAGGGAUGGGCAAAUCAGCUUGAUUACAGUGGAUGGACAAAAGAGCAUUGGAUUAUUGUUUCACAGAGCUAGCUCUUGCCGCAUUAUCAUCUAUCUCUAUAGCUUUCAAGGAACAGUAAUUGUAUGAUUGUAUGUGAUUGGUACAACAAAAUUGACAAUCUUUGUUUAUCACCAUCUUAAUUUCAGGAUGAAUUGGAGAAGGGAGUCUGUACUACGUUUUCUAAUCUGCCACAGUCAAUGUGAAUUUCUGGUAUAUUGAUGUACAGUUAUUAAGGAUGUUUUAUUUUCCAGAUAUUCUGCUAAUGAUAGGAAGCAUGGUUGAAACUUGCUCUAACUGGAGUUGUAUGCUUUGUAACUGAAGACUAGAGACUGGUCACUGGCGCCACGGCGACUUGCAGCCACUCCUGAUGGUCCUACCACCCAGCUUCCACUCUCUUGAUUUUUUUUAUUUUCAUAUUAACACUGCUAUUGGGGUCAAACUAUGUUGUUUACUGAUCUGACUAUCCUCAUGUCCUUUAGGCAGUUUUAACUAUCACUCCUUCAUCUAUUCUUGGACCUGCUCGCUGUGUAUUAGGUAUUGUGGGAACAAAAUAACCAUUGUGAUGGUCAAGACACUCGAGGCGUCCAACUGGAAGUGUGUAAAGAAAUGUAAUUAGCAUUUUUUAACCAGACUAUGCUACACAUACGAUGCAUUAUCCUUCACCAGCGAGGGGUCAGACAUACUGAGGUUUUUCAAGUCUCACAUAUAUUCUCUUAUAUUGGCUCUUUCCAGCACGUCAUUAAUAUCUGAUCCUGUAUAAUAUAGGUCAGCACAUAUAUAUGCAAGGUUCAUUGCUAUUCAACAAAAGCUCUUUCCAUGUUGUGCCUUUCUUCAAAUUCCAACACUAUCAUGUUGCCGGUUUGUCUAAUGCAAAGUUAUUGGUUCUAUAAUUGCCUGAUUUUGUAACUCACAACAUCCCAUAUGAGGUUUCAAGCAUAUCAAAUAUCUGAGAGUACUCUUAUUGUUUUACAUGGAAUGAUUUAAUUUGCAGGAAAAAUAGUUUCUAUAGAUAAGGAAAUAAAUUAGCUUCGCACUCUUUAUUUCAAUAUAAUAUAAUGUUUUCAUAGAUGACUAUAGUAUGUAAAAAUGCUAAUAUUUCCAAAUAGUACACAUAUAAAUACCAAGCAUAUACAUAUACAGAUUAGACCUAAGAAAGUAAGAAGUAUAUACUAGGCUACUCUGCAUGCUUUUGAAGUAGUUCUAUCAAUCUCGGUGAGCCUCUAUAAAAUUCCUUUAGCACGUGUACUCAUCAUUAUCUACUCUAUCUCAUAGACAUCAUUGUUCAACCUAUCUAUGUCGUUGCUCGCGCCGAUGCAUGAAUCGAUGCCAUCCAAUGGCAUCAACAUGUCCUCGUACUUUAUGUCCCUCGGAUGACUUUGUGCCUAAUAGAUGAAAUGUUUUCCAUGGCCAUAGUAACCUCAUAGUGGAGUUAGAUCACUAGUUCCGUCAAUCAUUUUUGUUUAUAUAUUUUUAGUUGUUUGACCGAGUUCGAUGGGUUUUUUUAUGUACAGUGGACUUUUGUGUUAGUAUAUUUGUUAUUUUCAUAUGUUCUUGAUAUGCCUAGGAGUGCAGGGUAUUCGCCUCGUAAUUUUAGUGUGUCAUGUCACUUGCUUGAUUUAUUUACCAAUUAUAGUCAUUUGAUAAUCGUUGAACGUGUUAUACCAUGUGACAUUUUUCUUUGGUGCGGCACAUGGUCAUAUCAUAUGUGUGUGUACAGGUUUUUGUGAAUGAUUACCAUGUGCAGAACUUGCUUGGUGUACCGGAUUAUCAUUGUUCAUACAUGUGUGGCGAGUGUUAUUAUUUCAAUUAGAUUUGGAUCAUCAUUAGGAUAAUCUUAUUAUUAUUAUUGUUUUGGCAAUGUUUGAUACUUAUUGUUUGUGUGCGUACAAAUUUUGGUGAAUGUUGUCAUGUUUAUAAUUCUUUAGAAUUGUUUUAGGAGUUGCUUUUAUUUAUCUAAUCAUGGAAGAAUUAAAGUUUGAUUCUUUAGUUUUUUGUUUAGCAUGACUAUACCUUAGGUUUGUUGCAUGGAUAAUUCUAUGCCAUGUUGCACAUGUGCUGAUAGACUAGAAUCAUGCGAUGUCUAUGAUAUAUGUGUAUCUACUUAUAAUACAUGUUGUUGCAUAAUUUUCUUUAUGCCAGGUUCUAGAUGUCAAAUGAAGUGUUAUGUUACCCUAGAACAAAUCCAGUAUAGUUCCAUGUUGCAUAACACAUUAUGGUGUAGUUGUUCCUCUGGUUUGGUAGAUCUCACCAUCCAUUACCUAGUUGGUUCAUAUUUAAGAUAUAUAUUGCUGCAUAUGGUUUAUGCUUCUAGCAUAUAACUUUGUUUAUUAUUUGUCAGUUAUGCUAGGUGUUUUGUUUACCUAGGAUGAUAGUUGUGCAUACUUAGUUGAUUGACAUGCCAUGUUAGUACUUACUCAAAGUAGAAUGCAUAUUUUGGUUAUAUGCCUACCAUGUGUUAUACUGUCGCUAGUUUUUAUCUUGUAUUCAUGCUUUUGGUUAUACCUUACUUGGUAGAUAUACAUGAUAGUAGUUUGAUGAUAUCAUGCGUAGUUAUGUAUUCUAUGUCAUUGCAUGUGUAAGUGGUACUACAUAGGUAAUACAAGUCAUCUUUGUUAUUCAUGCUAUGAUAUUUCAUUGCUUUAUGUUUUUGAUGCCAUGACAUAGAUGUUCACUUGCUUACAUGCUAAUUGCUUACUAGAUGUGCUUAUGUGUUAUAACUAUUAUGUAUGCUUGUGUCCUAUUGCCAUGCUUGAUCGCCAUGUUAGUUGAUAUCAACUAUGUUGUAUCAUUGUUCUGAGUUGUAUUCUAUUAGUAUCAUACUUUGGCAUCUAGUUUGAUGUUCAUUCAAACUUAGCAUUAUACAUUCAUAUCUAGCUGUUGCAUUGCCGUAUUUAGAUGCCAUUCACGCAAGUGAUCUUUCAUGUCUUAUGAAGUUCUAUGUGUGAUAAUUGCCUAGUUUAGUUCUUCAUUGUAGAUGUUUAACUUCGUUACAUCUUGGCCUUAUGAGUGUUUGAAUACUUGUAGCUAUGACUCGUAUACUUAGGAUGAGUCAUAUGUCAUGUUAGUAGAGUUGUGCUUUGAUCACACACCGAGUGUGUGUGUGUGUGUGUGUGUGUGUGUGUGUGUGUGUGUCGUGCUUUAUUAUUGCAAGCAUGUGGUGAUAAUAUUGUUGCUGGUGGUCAUUAGUAUUAGUUGUUCUUUAUUAUUAAGACCAUGACCUAGUUUAGAAUCUCCUCACGAUCACUCGUAUGUCUGAUGCUUGUGUUAUUUGUUAAGACCUCCAGUUAUUUUCCAUUCACAUGCCUUGUAUGAUGUGUAUCUUACUAUUAAUGGUUUGAUUACCUUUCACCUUAGUGUUAGUUUGGCUUUUGUUGUGGAAUGCUUGCUAUUAGAUGUUGCGUGGGUUCAUAUCCUUUAGUUAAUGUUUGUCCAUUAUAAAUAUUUAGAGUUAUCAAAUAUUUACUUGUGGUUAAUUAUUGAUCUUAAUCAUAUCAUGUCUAGGAUAGUUGUUCAUCCUUUUGUUCUAUUUCUUGUAUAGUUUCUUGUUAAUUGUUUGAUAUACUUGAUUGCAUUUUCUUAUAGUAAUGAUUUAUGUCUAGACCUAGAUCAAUUCAAUUCAUUUUAUUGAAUUGUGUUUGAUUGCUUGACUACUAUGGUUUAUAAUGUUGGUUUGGUUAUCUUAGGGAAUGCUUCUUUUUGAACUAUCAUAUAGUUGAUGUAAAUAUUUGUUGCUAUUGACCAUUAUAAAUAUUUAGAUUCCAUCUAAAUAUUUAUAUGUGGUUAUCUUUUACAUUUAUCAUGCCAUGAUGUGAUCGUGUAGUUAAAUGCAUAUGGUGGUUCCAUUCCAUGUGUGUUGAUGCCAUUGCGUAGUUUCCUAUAUAGUUAGUUGAGAUGUGUAGUGGGGACUACUAGUGGUUAGUAUCGUAGAUCCUAUUAGAACGACAGUCUUGAUCACCAAGUCUUCCUUAGCUUUGUCAACCUAAACCAUGUCACUUCAUUGAAUCAUCUCUCUUACCUCCUUACCUCAUUUCAGAAUCUCCAUCUUGAUCAAUAUCUUGCUACCAGUCCACUCUUAAUUUGUUUUGGGUGUUAUUCAGAUUUACUUUUACUUUGGCAUUUAUUUGAUUUUCGUUUGCUAUCGUUACGACGAGUAGGGAGUGACGAUGAUGUUGGACAAGGACAAAUCAGGUUACCGAAGAAGGACUCAACAACGAAGGCAUGCCUCCUUCUUGAUCACACUUAUCCUAUCGUUUACAAAAUUGCAUUGAGUUUUAUUGUUACUAUAUGCAUGCUAUUUUAAUUCUCGUAGCCAGCAUGUCGAUUGACACAUCACCCUGAUCCGCUUGUCGCCUAUUUACUUGACACCUGUGUAGAAGUAUAUAAUUCCGGUAGAGUAGAAAUGCUUAGCCAUGCUUAUCACCCUAUAGGUGCUUUGUUGAAUGACCUCUAAGUCAUUGACAUUUGAAACUUAUCGCAGAGCUAGGCCAGUUGGCCCUUGUUGACCUUCUCUAUCCUCUUCUACUCUGGAUGAAACUUACCAUCUAAAUACUGGUGCGGGCGACAGCCGAAUCAAGGAUUGAAGGAGCGAUUGGCUGCCCUUCAUAAGUUGAAGGGGGCAAUCAGUCGUCCGUGCCGCAUGAGGCCUAAUAAGUCUUGGAUUUGAAGAUUGUGAUAAUAGUACAGCCACAUGCUAUAUGGGCACUGGCUUGGUCAAGUAAGCUAGUCAGCCUUAGGUGUCGAUGUCGACGUACCGCAGAUGGGAUAGCUGCCUUGCGAGGAGUAUCCUCGGCACAGAUGGGGGGACCGGUUUGAGGACGUACUCUCAGUUCCGUGCACCAGACCCGGUGGGCAUGUCACAUCUUUGGGGGAUCUAGUCCAAAGACCUCGUCACAAUCUCCCUGCUGGUAUACCAGAUGGUGUACUACGCUAGCGACGGCUAGUGGCAACAAGGCGGGAUUGUGUCAUGUGGGUAAAGUGUACAACCUCUGCAGAGUGUAAAACUAUUCGAAUAGCCGUGUCCACGGUCAUGGACAACACAUGAAUCUUUCUUGACGUACAAGACCUGUCUUUCUUAUUCCCUCUUUGCCCCUAUUCUUGGAACCUAUGAAGAGUGUGAGUUGAUCGAGGAUCCUCACUUCGAUGAAAAUUAUUAUGGAGAUAAAACAUGUUUUCAUUAAAACUGCUUUCGUCCAACUGCUAUAUUAACAAAAUUAGCUUUUAUGCAAAUGAGCCAUACAACCUUCCUUUGAAGCCACAUGUAGCUAUUAGGUCCUUCCUUGAGGGAGGCAUGUUGAGUACGUAAUGUACUCAUGGCAAUAAUUUUGUUGACAACAGAGUUCCAUGAAGACGAAGGUGAUGACUAUGACAACUAUGGCGAUCCGUAGAAGUGAGAUCACGUGGACUACAUCGACUACCUGUGGCUGAGAUGGAGUCGCUAUGCAUUGUACUUUCCGUUGUUUUUCUGAAUGUAAUAAAUGGCAUGAGAUAUUUAUCUAGGUAUGCCUUGUGGCAAGACAUAUUUAAAUUUGUAAUACCUUUUACAUACUGUGCAAUGAUAUCAUUUCGCUGUGUUGUCAACAAUGAUCCUGGGGUUGAUAAAUAUACACAGGAGGGUCUGGAAGUUAAUUCCAGGUUCUCACAUUGGUGCUCGAUCCAAUAAUUGAUGGAUACCAUCUCGCUCGAGUCCUUAUGGACGGCGGUAGUAGUCUUAAUCUGAUAUAUCAGGACACUGUCUGCAAGAUGGGGAUAGACCCUCCUGUGGCAAGAUAUAUUUAAAUUUGUAAUACAUUUUACAUACUGUGCAAUGAUAUCAUUUCGCUGUGUUGUCAACAAUGAUCCUGGGGUUGACAAAUAUACACAGGAGGGUCUGGAAGUUAAUUCCAGGUUCUCACAUUGGUGCUCGACCCAAUAAUUGAUGGAUACCAUCUCACUCGAGUCCUUAUGGACGGCGGUAGUAGUCUUAAUCUGAUAUAUCAGGACACUGUCCGCAAGAUGGGGAUAGACCCAUCAAGAAUCAGCCAAAGUAACACUACCUUUAAAGGAGUAAUACCAGGCGUUGAGGCCCGCUGCACGGGCUCCCUCGUAUUAGAGGUUACAUUCGGUUCUCCCGACAACUUCAGAAGCGAAGAAUUAAUCUUUGACAUCCUCCCUUCCGAAGCGGCUAUCACGCACUACUCGGAAGAGCGGCCUUCGCUCGCUUCAACGCAGUACCGCACUGCGUCUAUCUUAAACUCAAGAUGCCCGGUCCACGUGGCGUCAUCACAGUUAGCAGAAACACAGAGUGUUCCUUACAUGCGAAUAUGUGGCAGCUCUAGCAGCCGAACACUAAGUGCCCUCUCCAACCAGAAUACAUGGACACGGUUAGACGAGUCCGGUACACCACCGGUGGUAAUAGCCCAGAUAAACCUGAGCCGGGGUCUAUAGAUAUACCCCCAUAGGUGGUGCUAGGGGUUGCAAACAUGUAACAAUGCCCACAGUUCGGCUUGACCCUAUUAAUAUAACAAUAUAUUGCACUUUCAUGAUUCAUUGAGAAUAACCAACUUCUCGCACGAUUACACUAGACUCUUUUACCUGAGUUUUCCUUUUUUACAGAUACCAAUCAAGUGACACCCUUCCAGGAUAUGGCACAACGGAGACAAAGGCGCAGACGUGCAGCAGGGCCCCGCUCAAAGGUUUCUCUUUAGAUUAAGCCCCUGCGUAAACCUUCUUUAAUGUCUCUUGUUGCUUGACAUCCCAAGGGUACUUAAUACACCCACAAGGUAUACAGGCGUUAUUGGCAUUUCGCCACGACAGAUUAAUGCACGUACCUGGAAAUUCUGGGUUCAUUAUCGAGGGCGUUACUCAGCCCAGUAUAUGUUAUAAAGUGUGAAUACCUUCAGGAGUGUUCGGCGUCGCGAGUUUGGCCUUAUAUGCAUCAGCUCCGAAUCAUGUCUUUGGUCAAAUGUUGGGUUUGCCCGGCUCCUGGGGUUGCUACCUUACGUUCCGUUUUAUCGGCUAAGGCGGCCAAAGGAGAACUACUCGAUUGUGCCCUGGUUAUUCCGGAUGAGCACCUCAGUAGAGAAAGCCGAAAACUGACUGUCAUGAUACAGCGAGAGACUGGUCAACCACUCGAUGACUUAUCGGAAUCUUUGAGAUUCCUCCGCAUUAACGAAGCACCGUUUCCCGGUCAUGUACAUAUGCACACCGUAUUCGGAUGAACGCGGAAGUACCAGGGGCUAUAUAGUAGCCCCACCGUCAAACUCCUAUGGCUAAGUGAAAGUGUUAAAGCUAUAUAGUUCGGUUGCCUAGUUCGACGUGUGAUCACCUCCUUAAUGGGCCAAGACGUUAGAUCAAGUGUGAUUACGUGCAUUUUACGAACACCCCCGCAUUAUAUGCAUGGGGGAUGAAGCCAACGACUGCAAACUUUCAGGUUAUAUACAUACAUAAACGGCCGCACAGGAGGCACUACAAUACUUUCGGGCAAAAGUAUAAACACAGCCUUUAUAAUUAAAAUAGGAUUGUCUUUACAAUCGAGAUAUUUGUCACUCGAACAUGAUACUCUGCGAGCAUUGAGCCUCUAUUAAACGGGCGCCUUCUAGAACUUGCUCAAAAUAGUGCUCGGCCGGGUCCUGGCCUCCUGCCGAACCCCGGGUUGCAAUACCGGUGGCCUCCAUAUCUGCCCAAUAUGUUUUAACAUGGGCAAAAGCCAUCCACGCACCCUCUAUGCACGCCAACUUCUUUACAGCGUCGAUAUGCGACACGACGCCAAGGAAUUGUUGCACUAAACCAAAAUAACUGUUCGGCCUUGGUCCCCUCGGCCAAAGAUGGUCUACCACAGACCUCAUGGCAAGUCCGGACAGCCUAUGGAGCUCGGCCCAUGCGGCCAUCCUUUCAUUUAAGGGCAGCGGACGCGUCGGGGAACUAAAUUGCGACCAGAAUAACCUUUCCACCUCAUUAUCUUUCUAGUCUUUGAAAAACUUAGUCGCAUUAGCAGUACUUUUUGCCAGGUCCGCAUACGCAUCUACAGCACUCCAUAGCUGAUCCAGAGGGGCAUACUUCGGAUCUCCAAACUUCAUCCGCAACAAAAAGGGCUUCCUAGUCGUGAUAUCUCCGGCUUGUCGAAGCUCCUCCCGCGCAGCUCUGAUUUCAGAGCGCGUUUCCUUGGCUGCCCCCAAGGCCUUCUUCAGGUCAGCCACUUUUGCUUGGCUCUCCUUUUCAAGGAGCUCGUAUCGGCCGGCGACAUCUUUUAGCUCCACAGCCAUCUCGGCUAUCUUAUCUUCGCUACGGCGAUGAGCAGCUUGUUCGGCUCUCAACUCUUCGGCCGCCUUUAGGGCGGCCGCAUUGCUUAUCCUAGCUUGUUCCUUGGCUAGGGCAAGUUCCGCCCUUAGAGCCUCCAUGGCAGCAGCUCCAUCUGCAGCCACAGCACAUUAUAUUAGCAUCAUGCUCCUCUUAAUAUUUGCUAACAAUUUAGGAAAAGAACACAUACCCUGUGACUUGUCAAGCCGCUUGUUCACAAGCGCGAUGUCGGCAUCCGCCACAUCAAGCUGUCGCCUCAGUUCAGCGAAUUCAGCAGUCCCGUCAACCGCCGGACCCUUAGCCAUCUGCACAUAAUACAGUGCGAUCAUUACUUGGGAGUGUGAUCCUCCAUUUGCCGCCUAGGGCUGGCAACCAGAGUCUCAGGGGCUACUAUCUAUAGGGAGCACACCUGGCGUGUGCGAUACAACCAAAAGAUUAUGUAUUUCUUUACGUACCUCAAAGCCUUUGAGCAGGCUCGUAAAAGCUUCAUUCAACCCGCUUUUGGCGGAUGAAAUCUUCUCAAAUACCGUGCCCAUUAAAGUACGGUGAGCCUCUAAGAGAGCAGCUCGCUCCAGAAGGCCCGUCAGUGUGUCCGGCUGAGUGCCGGACAUUCCCGGACUCUUCCUAUUACCCUCUUUGGGAGCCGAACACUCCGGGCUUCGGGUGGCCGAAGCAUUGACUUCUGGCCUUGACGGAUCAGGAAUCCUCCAUGACGACACCUCGGGGUCGCCCUCCCGUGGGGCGGGGAGGCAGGUGGAGUUUCACUCUCCAUCAUCUCCGAAAGAAGAUCCCCCGAAGACGAACUCUGUUGAGAAGGGCUACAAGUCGGACUGCAAGAGAUAGAUCAUGGUUAUUGUUCUCGGAGGAGAAGCAGUAUAUAUUUAUUAAAAUAUUUUUAAUUCACUUACAGCUCGGUCGAGGACUGGCCCAUUUUCGUGCGUUGUGCGGUGAGGACGCCCUCUGGGGUAGGGCUCCCUGGCGAAGGUUUCUUCCCUAGUUUUGACGCCUCCACUUCUAGGUCUUCGAAGGCAGCCCUUUUCUUCCCAUGGAGGGAGGGAAUUUGAGAUUCACCUCCUCGAUUAUCCUCCUUCGUGGAGACAUUAAUUCCCGCGGUUUGGAUGUACAAUGUAUGAAGCCCGCUUUUGGCUUCUCUACUCCUCCCUUCGUCCUUCCCCGAUGGCACUUGAUUGGGUGCGUGUUUAAGCAUCCGGGUUAGUACCGUAUUCGGCGAUCCUUCGGGAAGAGGGGACGGACACCUGAUCCUCUCCGCCUUUCUUAGCCAAUCCUGGUCGCAGAUAGUUUUUAGAAUAAAGUUAUGAUAAAAAUGAACAGUGAGUUCGGUUGCAAAGUUACUUACUUGGGUAUCUCGAUGAUUGCAGUUCAAGCCCGCAUCCUCGGUGGUAUCCGGACACUUUAUUCGUGGUUCAAAGAAUAACCGAUACAUCCCUUCAAGCGUCAUGCCGAAGAAGUGCUGAAUAGUUCGCGGUCCCUCUAGGUUGAACUCCCACAUUCGGAGGGGUCGACGUUUGGACGGCAGGACCCGUCAAACUAGCAUUACCUGAAUUACUUUGAUGAGGCUGACAUCCCUCUCAAGAAGAUCCCGAAUGCGGCACUACAGUGUCGUUAUUUCACUAGCGGGCCCCCAGGCCAGUCCCUCGUUGACCCAGGAUGCCAGUUGGGGUGGAGGGCCCGAGCAGAAGGCAGGGGCUACCGGCCACCUUGUGCCUCGAGGAGCAGUGAUAUAGAACCACCUCCAUUGUCAUAAAUCGGACACCUCCGGGAAGGAUCCCUCUAGCCAUGGGGCAUCGGCACUUUGGCUUAUUAUAGCGCCUCCGCACUCCGCAUGUCUCCCGUCGAUCACCUUCGGCUUUAUAUUGAAGGUCUUGAGCCAUAAGCCGAAGUGUGGGGUGACGUGGAGGAAAGCUUCGCACACAACAUAAACGACGAAAUGCGAAGGGUGGAAUCCGGAGCUAGAUCGCGAAAAUCUAGCCCGUAGUAGAACAUGAUCCCUCUCACAAAGGGAUCAAGACUAAAGCCUAAGCCUCGGAGGAAGUGGGAAACAAAUACAACGCUCUCAUUGGGUUCGAGAGUGGGGAUGACCUGCCCUUGGGCAGGUAGCCUGUGCUGGAUUUUGGUGGUCAGAUACCUGGCCUCCCUGAGCUUCUCGAUGUCCUCCUCUGUGAAAGAGGAGGCCAUCCAAUGACCUUGAAGGUUGGAUCCAGACAUGAUUGAAGGUCCGAAGUGCUUAAGCCUGAGCUUUGGGUGUUGGAACUCGAGGUGUGGGAAGAGGCAAGCGUGGGAAGAAAGGGACAGGUCUCGGUCCCUCUAUAAAGGGGGAGAAUACCAAGCGUCCUCAACGUGACCGUUCGGGACUUGCCUAAAAUCGAGGAGUUAUACCAACUGGCAUAGUUGGGUUACCCACACCCGUAUUGAUGACAAUCCCAUGAUAAGGGGGACACGAUCUCUGCUUCGACAAGACGUGCCAAUAAAACCGCCGUGCAAUACGUGUAGUGGCAGGCUGGGAAAAUGAUUCGUAAUAAACAGGGCCACGGUGUGAUGUCACGCUAGGAAAAGUUGUCAGCAGAUUAGAUUUGUGGAAUAUUAUGCUCUCUACGGUGGUAUGUGGAAUUUAUUUUGCAGAGCCGGACACGAUUCAUGUGUUCAAAAUUUACCAUGGAGUAUUCAGAGAUGGAACCCACAUUGCAAUGCCAAAGACAAUCUACGCGCCGGACUCAUCGUCAUUGAAGCCUGGUUCAGGGGCUACUGAGGGAGUUCUGGAUUAGGGGGUAUCCGGACAGCCGGACUAUAUCCUUUGGCCGGACUGUUGGACUAUGAAGAUACAAGAUUGAAGACUUCGUCCCGUGUCCGGAUGGGACUCUCCUUUGCGUGGAAGGCAAGCUUGGCGAUUCAGAUAUGUAGGUCUCCUCCUCUGUAACCAACUCUAUGUAACCCUAGCCCCCUCCGGUGUCUAUAUAAACCGGAGGGUUUAGUCCGUAGGACAACAACAAUCAGAAUCAUAGGCUAGCUUCUAGGGUUUAGCCUCUAUGAUCUCGUGGUAGAUCAACUCUUGUAAUACUCAUAUCAUCAAGAUCAAUCAAGCAAGAAGUAGGGUAUUACCUCCAUAAAGAGGGCCCAAACCUGGGUAAACAUCGUGUCCCCAGCCUCCUGUUACCAUUAGCCUUAAACGCACUGUUCGGGACCCCCUACCCGAGAUCCGCCGGUUUUGACACCGACAUAGGGCUUCUACAUCAACACCAUAGCCUCUCCGAUGAGUUGUGAGUAGUUUACCACAGACCUUCGGGUCCAUAGUUAUUAGCUAGAUAGCUUAUUCUCUCUCUUUGAAUCUCAAUACAAUGUUCUCCUCGAUCUUCUUGGAGAUCUAUUCGAUGUAACUCUUUUUGCGUUGUGUUUGUCAAGAUCCGAUGAAUUGUGGGUUUAUGAUCAAGUUUAUCUAUGAGAAAUAUUUGAAUCUCUCUGAAUUCUUUUAUGUAUGAUUGGUUAUCUUUGCACGUCUCUUUGAAUUAUCAGUUUGGUUUGGCCUACUAGAUUGAUCUUUCUUGCAAUGGGAGAAGUGCUUAGUUUUGGGUUCAAUCUUGCGGUGUCCUUUCCCAAUGACAGCAGGGGCAGCAAGGCACGUAUUGUAUUGUUGCCAUCAAGGAUAAAAAGAUGGGGUUUAUAUCAUAUUGCUUGAGUUUAUCCUUCUACAUCAUGUCAUCUUGCCUAAUGAGUUACUCUGUUCUUAUGAACUUAAUAAUCUAGAUGCAUGCUGGAUAGCGGUCGAUGUGUGGAGUAAUAGUAGUAGAUGCCUAUAUACAUGAUCAUGCCUAGAUAUUCUCAUAACUAUGCACUUUUCUAUCAAUUGCUCGACAGUAAUUUGUUCACCCAUCGUAAUACUUAUGCUAUCUUGAGAGAAGCCACUAGUGAAACCUAUGGCCCCCGGGUCUAUUUUCCAUCAUAUAAGUUUUCUAUCUACUUUAUUUUGCAUUCUUUACUUUCCAAUCUACAUCAUAAAAAUACCAAAAAUAUUUAUCUUAUCUUAUUAUCUCUAUCAGAUCUCACUUUCGCAAGUGGUCGUGAAGGGAUUGACAACCCCUUUAUCGCGUUGGUUGCGAUGUUCUUGUUUGUUUGUGUAGGUACGAGGGACUUGGAGUGUAGCCUCCUACUGGAUUCAUACCUUGGUUCUCAAAACUGAGGGAAAUACUUACGCUACUUUGCUGCAUCACCCUUUCCUCUUAAAGGGAAAAACCAACACAUGCUCAAGAGGUAGCAGUAAGCAACAAAAAUUACUUAGGGUUAUCGACCGAAAUGUGAAAUCGAUUCACAUAUAGGUGUUCUCGGUUGACGAAAACCCAGAACCCGGGAAAAUUGGAAUCGGUGGGAAAUAAUAGUUGGUGAAGAACACAUAAGAAGUUAUGCAGUUCCAUGAUAUUCUUGAGAUACCAUAGUGUAAUACUCAACGGUAGAUCAAAGUAAAGGUCGGAUAGGUUCAAUGAUCUGCAGAAGAUAAGUACUUCAACUUGUCCGAGAAAUGGUAUUUAAGGGAGAACAUGGCUGGAGCCAUGAUUGCAAAAGGCCAGAUCCUAGAUAUAAGAUGAACUUAUACCAAGGGAAUAUUUAAUUGAAGAGGAGCUUUAAUGAUACGAUCUACAUCAUGUCCAUGGGCAUGAACACAAGUUCAAGGUCGACUCCCACUUCUCCAAUGCAUAACCUUUCAUUCACUUUUCAUUCUCGAAGAGUUGUAGUGUAGAAAUUUUAUCUAGCAAAAUACCAAAAGAGUAUGAUUCAUGGAAACUUUUGAGUUCACACAUAUUAAGGAAGGCAUAGGUUCAACCCAUUGGGGUAUUGCGAAAACAUAUACCACAAGCUUCAAUAGUAAAUAUCACCAGCUUAAAAGGAGAGCAUGGUUGGGCAACCAGAGGAUAAGAUUUACCAACGGCAUUACAUCAUAGAGAAAGAACUUCCAAAGUGAUUGAGUAUGAAGGACGCUGUCGGACAAAAUCCAACAAAGGAUCUGGUGGUCCUCAAGGGAUCUGAUGUGAGCAUCAGUACUCAACCAGAGGCAGAAGGAAUGCAAGGAGAUUAGAUUAUAGAAACAACUGACUAAUUCAAAGCUCUAAUGUAAAGGAAUUAUGAUCUUCAAAUCAAGGGAUCUGAAAGCAAACACUUUGGUCAAGGAUCGAUAAGUUGAGUAAGCUUAGAGGUACAAUCAAGGACAAUUUGAUUGGUCGAGAUCCAACUCAUGUUUAAAAUUGAGCCGGAAGGACGAAUUCUAGGAUCUUAUUGAGGAUUGUGAGCAUCCGCAACAUAUUGAAUUCAACAGACCCAAAAUGAUAAUGGAAAAGGAUGCUAAUAAGAUUACCAGACUUAUGGGAUUAUUCAUAAUGCAAGCAAGGAGCAAUAGGCUGCUUAGGAUUUUUGGAAGAUCGAAUGGUAUUUCAGAGACUUUUGUGAAACACAAGAACAACUGGGAAUGAGCGGAUACUCGAUAAGUGCGAGGAAUUAUCCGUAGGGGUGUUCAUGUGGCAAGGAACUGUAAGGCAGUAGGCACAAAGUAUUCUCGUAACAAUAAAGAGGAAUUUCAGGGUAUCUUGUAAUAACAAGAUCAACAGGGAGUGAUUGUAAGAAUGGCAAGUGUACAUGGUUAUCCAUAGGGGUUUAUCGUUGGAAGGGAAUUGCAAUAGCGAUGGCACAAAGUCUCAAGAGAACAGCAAUCGUCUGGAGUGAGGGUCUCUCCGGGAGGAAGUAAUUACGAGAACCUAGAGUUAGAGUUAGCAAAUUCAUUUAACCCAAGAAGAGAGAUCAGAGUCCCAGAGUAUAGAUGAGGAGUAAAAGAUCCUAAUACCAUCCAAUCGCAAUGUGGGGCCGUAAGCCACACAGUCAUGUUAGUAAAAGUUUUGCAAUUGACUAGACUCGACUUUGGCCAAGGAGUGUCGAAGGGGGAUUCCUACAGGCAGUCGGCUCUGAUACCAACUUGUGAUGCCCCUGAUUCAAUUGUACACUAAUCAUGCACGCAAAUGUUUACGAUCAAGAUCAAGGACUCACGGGAAGAUAUCACAACACAACUCUAAAAGUAAAAUAAGUCAUACAAGCAUCAUAUUACAAGCCAGGGGCCUCGAGGGCUCGAAUACAAGUGCUCGAACAUACACAAGUCAGCAGAAGCAACAAUAUCUGAGUACAGACAUAAGUUAAACAAGUUGCCAUAAGAUGGCUAGCUGAAAGUGCAACUAUCGCUGGGUGGUUUUGGUAAUUCCUAACAACAUAUAGCUCAUUGAGCUAAUGCUAUUUCAAGAUAAAUAUUUCAGGAAAGCUCAAUGUUUGGCAUGGCAUGGAUGAGAAACAUGGACCCCUCAAAAUGCUAAGGACAAAAGGAUUGGCUCAAGCUCAAAGCACAAGACUCUACAUUUUACUUUUAGUGAUCCAAGAUCACAUUGAGUCCAUAGGAAAGCCAAUACUAUUAAGAGGGGGUGAGGUGUUGCUUAAUGAGUUUCUUGCUCAAAGUGCUUAAUGAUAUGCUCCAAAAACCCUCAACUACUUUCUCACAUCCACAUAUGUCCCAAACCAAAAUUCAAACUCAGCCCCACCGAAACUUUCUAUCCGGCGCCACCGAGUUUAGUUGACAAAGCCACUGCCAGAAACCCUAGUCUUUUCGGUCUCACCGAUAGGGAUCUCAGUCUCACCGAGAUGGGACUGUAAUCUCUCUUUUCCCUUCGUAACGUUUCGGUCAAACCGAGAUGAGCGACCGGUCCCAUCGAGAAUGCAAUGGAAACUCUCUGUUUCCUUUCAUAACAUUUCGGUCCAAUCGAGAUGAGCGAAUCAGUCCCACCAAGUUUUCCUGACCAACUCUUUGUUUGUCUAUUACCAAAAUCGGUCUCACCGAGUUUGUGUAAUCGGUCUCACCAAAAUUACGUUAUGCCCUAACCCUAACGAUAUCGGUCCCACCGAGUUGACAUGUCGGUCCCACCGAAAUGCCUAACGGUCAUAUUGUGAACUAAAUCGGUCUGACCGAGUUUCACGAUUCAGUCCCACCGAGUUUGGUAAGUUGUGUGUAACGGUUAGAUUUUGUGUGGAGGCUAUAUAUACCCCUCCACCCACUCUUCAUUCAUGGAGAGAUCCAUCAGAACAUGCCUACACUUCCAACAUACAUUUUCUGAGAGAGAACCACCUACACUUGUGUUGAGGUCAAGAUAUUCCAUUCCAACCACAUAAAUCUUGAUCUCUAGCCUUCCCCAAGUUUCUUUCCACUCAAAUCUUCUUUCCACCAAAUCCAAAUCCUGUGAGAGAGAGUUGAGUGUUGGGGAGACUAUCAUUUGAAGCACAAAAGCAAGGAGUUCAUCAUCAACACACCAUCUAUUACCUUUUGGAGAGUGGUGUCUCCUAGAUUGGUUAGGUGUCACUUGGGAGCCUCCGUCAAGAUUGUGGAGUUGAACCAAGGAGUUUGUAAGGGCAAGGAGAUUGCCUACUUCGUGAAGAUCUACCCUAGUGAGGCAUGUCCUUCGUGGGCGAUGGCCAUGGUGGGAUAGAGAAGGUUGCUUCUUCGUGGACCCUUCGUGGGUGGAUCCCUCCGUGGACUCGCGCAGCCGUUACCCUUCGUGGGUUGAAGUCUCCAUCAACGUGGAUGUACAAUAGCACCACCUAUCAGAACCACGACAAAAACAUUCGUGUCUCCUAUUGUGUUUUCAAUCUCCAAACCCCUACCUUUACAUUCUUGCAAGUUGCAUGCUUUACUUUCUGCUGCUUAUAUACUCAUUGCAUGUUUGCUUGAAUUGUGUUAAGAUUGCUUGACUUGUGCUAAGUUGUUAAAAUCUACCAAGAACUAAAAUUGGGAAAAGGCUAGAUAUUUUAUUUGGUCAAGUAGUCUAAUCACCCCCCCCCCUCUAGACAUACUUUCGAUCCUACAAUUGGUAUAAGAGCUUUGGUCUCCAUUUGCUUUGAUUUCCAUAGCUUUUGGUGGUCAUAGCCUUGGUUUCACAACCUAGGAGAGUAUGGAGUCUAGCGAGGGAAAUUACCGCCGUAGAGGUCCUUACUUUGAUGGUACAAAUUUUGCUAGUUGGAAGCAUAAGAUGAAAAUGCAUAUUCUUGGACAUAACCCCGCCAUUUGGGCUAUUGUGUGUAUUGGCUUGCAAGGUGAAUUCUUUGAUGGGAGAGAACGGAACCGUGAAGCUACCACGCAAGAGUUGAAGAUGCUGCAAUACAAUGCUCAAGCUUGUGAUAUUCUCUUCAACGGAUUGUGCCCCGAAGAAUUCAACAAAAUCAGCCAUCUUGAGAAUGCAAAGGAAAUUUGGGAUACUUUGAUUGAUAUGCACGAAGGUACCGACUCCGUCAAGGAAUCCAAAUUGGAUGUGCUUCAAAGUCAAUUUGACAAGUUCAAAAUGAAGGAUGGUGAAGGCGUCGCUGAAAUGUACUCUAGGCUUGCUCUCAUCACAAAUGAGAUUGCCGGCUUAGGAAGUGAAGAGAUGACCGAUAAAUUCAUCACCAAGAAGAUCCUAAGAGCCUUGGAUGGAAAAUAUGAUACCGUGUGCACAUUGAUCCAAAUGAUGCCCAAUUACAAAGAUCUCAAGCCAACGGAAGUCACUGGAAGAAUGUUGCUCAUGAGAUGUCACUCAAGGAUAAGGAAGAGCUCCACAACAAGUCAAGUGGUGCUUACAAAGCCUCAUGUGAAGCUCCCACAUCAUCAAGUGAGAAACAAACCUUUAAUGAAGAAUUGCACCUAAUGGUGAAGAACUUCAACAAGUUCUACAAGAGUAGAAGCAAGGAAAGAAGUUCCAAGUCAAGGUCCUACAAUGACAAAAGAUCUUCCAGCCGUGAGCGUAAUUGCUACAAUUGUGGAAGACCCGUACACUAUUCCAAUGAGUGUACGGCUCCCUACAAAAGAAGAGAAGAUUCUCCAAAAAGAAGAAGUAGACGAGAAGAAUCACCGCCAAGAGAGAGAGGAAGAGUAGAGAUGAUCGUUAUGAACGAAGAACAUCCCGGAGAAGCAAGAAUUCAGAAAGGAAGGACAAAUCAUCAAAGAGCUACACAAGACAAAGACAUCAAGCUCAUGUUGGUGAAUGGUUAUCCGGCUCCGACUCUGACAAUCACUCCGAGAGAAGCUAUCACUCCGACUCUGAAUAUACUCAAGAUGAAGGUGUUGCCAGUCUAGCACUUAUGUCAACCAACUCCUAUGACAUAUUUGACUCACCAAAUGAAGGAAUUGUAAGAUGCUUCAUGGCUAAAGGCCCAAAGGUAUCACACCCUGAGUAUGUUGAUUUCAAUAGUGAUGAAGAUGACUUGUUAGGUGAUGAUGAUUUACUUGUUGACAACUCUAGUGAUGAAUACUAUGAUGAAACGUCAAUUAAUCAUGCUAAUCAAGAUAAAACGAAUGACAAUGAUAAGGAGAAGAUUGAGUGCCUAACUAAAGAACUAAACACUCUUAAGUUAGCUCAUGAAACUAUCUUGGAAGAUCAUCGAGAACUUUUAAAGACUCAUGAGAAGUUACGCUUUGAAAAGCUCAGCCUUGAGCAAGAGCAUGAGUUUUUAAAGGCAAUCAAUGAUGAUCUUCGCAAGAAAAGUUCUUCUUACAUUACCAAGCGUUUACUCUUAUCUACUUACAUCCCACAAGUCAAGUCUCGUAACAAGAACAAGAAAGAUUCUUCUUCUAGUUGUAACAAUAAUCAUGCUAAAUCCAAUGUUGUUGCUUCUAGUAGUUCUCUUGAUUCCACUAAUGAUUCUCUUAGACAAGUUAAACUUGAGCAAGAAAAUAGCUUAUUGAAGGGAAUUAUAGAGAAAGGUGUUUACAAGAGCCUUGCCGGAAGUAAGCAAUUCGAGGAGAUUGUAUGCAAGCAAGGAAGGCACGGAAGAAUCAAGGUGUUGGUUUUGAACGAAAGUUCAAUGCCAAUGGAGUUGAGUGGGAAGAAGAUCAAUACCCCAAGACAAAGUUUGUUCCUCAACAAGAGAAGUAUGAUCCUACUUCUUUCAAAGGAACACAAGCUCAAGAUGAUCUUCCACCACAAGACCACAAGCAAAAAAGGCAAGGACAAGCUUCAAGAGGAGAUUGAUGCAUUUGAAGAAGCUCCUAAGGCCUUGGUCAAGUGGGUUCCCAAGACUACAUCAAGUUCUACUUCAUCAAGUAAGACUACAACUUCAAGGAUUCCCAUCAAGAUGAUGUGGAUCCCAAAGAAUAAGAACUAGAGAGUUAUUGAGGGUGACUCCGCCAAUAUACUUCACUCAUAUCAUUUCGGCGAGGACAAGUGCAAACAACUUCCAUAUCUUGCACUAGUCCAUGGAGUCACAAACCCUCUUGUUGGUAAGACGAGGUACAAGGUAACCUAAUGCUUUCAUGGACAUCAUCUUGUGUGUGCCUCACUCUAUGUCUAUGGAUAUCCUUGCUUGUUCCUUGUGGGACUAACCCGUGUAGGUAUUGAAAGUGCAACUCACUCCAAUGGAUUGCUCCGAAUGAUCUACAUCAACAUUGAGCAUCCACAUCUUCAACACCUACAUGAAGUCAUUAUCGACAAAACCCAAGGUUAGUUCAUCCCUCUUAGGGGGGAUAUCACAUCUAGGGGGAGCUUUACUGUAAAGAAUUGAGCUAAAGCAACUCAAAUGGUGUGAACACAACAAUGCUUUAUGUAAAAGUGGUAACCCCACUUGUGCUUAAACGAUGAGUAUGCCCUAUGAUCAAAUGUUCUCAUUUGACUCCUAAGUCAACAUACUCAUAUAUAGAUGACCUAGUCAUCGCCAAUUGUUUGAUAGAAGCUAGAAUUGGUUGUGCAUGCUUUGCCACAUAUUUCAUUUGCCAUUUUAUUGUGUGAGCAUGUUGGUUGCAUAUUUUACUCAUUCGAGGACAUUCAUUUGUUGCUUUGAUUGCUUGGCUUUUUAUCUUUUGCCAAAUAGAUGGACAAGAAUGCCUAAGAACCUUCUCUAGCUAUCUAUGCUUUUCUCGUCUCAAACUAUAUUCAUGCUACAUCACAAAGUUUGAUCAAGUUAGAUUCGAACCAAUCUGCGUGACAAGCACUCGGAGUCCCUGAUUCAUCAUAGACUUAAACUUCCAAAACCUCUUUGUGCAUUUCGGUUUGACCGAUUCAUCCUUUUCGAUCACACCGAGAUCACUAAGUUGAUCUAGGUUUUCAAUCUCGGUGCAACCGAUUAGAACCUUUUGGUCACACUGAGUUGCAGUAACUGCUCGCAGUUUUGCAUCUCGGUGCCAUUGAGUUAUUCCACUCGGUCACACCGACAGGGUCAGGUUAUAUAUACUCACGGGUCAAAUUUUGGAAAAAAUUAUGAAACCCUUCACCCCGCGCGUAACCUGCUCUGCCUCUUCGGGUCUUCAAAUCGUCUUCUCACCGCCAGCGACCUCCCGCCGCUGGUCUCCGCCACUAUCAACGGCAAUCUGCCCUGCCGUUGCCGCCGUAGCAAGUUCACCGCCGAGUUAGGGUAUGAACUUGAUACUUUGUGCUAUUCAUUAACUCCGAUUCGUAGCACAUUGCUUUGCCAUGAUUCUUGCCAUGUAUGAAAUCAUCAUGUCCAGCGAAAACAUCUUGUAGAUUAGAUUUGAUUUGAAAAUUUAGGGUUAGGUUUCCGCCGAACUCAUCUCAGGCCGACCGAAUUGUUGAAAUCGGUCUCACCGAUUUGGCUUAGGCCAUUGCGCAUGCGAUUUUUGGUCUAACCGAGAAUUCCAAAUUGGUGUGACCGAGUUCGAUUCUCUGUGAAACCCUAGCAGUCUCGGUGCCACCGAACUAUGACUCGGUCUGACCGAGUUCACUAGUUUAGGUUCCAAAAGCUGCUUCGGUAUCAUCGAGUUUACAAAUUGGUAGCUCUGAAAUGCUUUCUGUGGAGAAUUAAAACUAAGUUUUGAGUCAAUUGUUUUGCAAAACAUCUGUACUUUGUGAUGCUCAUCUACUCUACCUCAUCUACAACCUAUUCACAGGGUCUGUUGAUAGUUUGCCUGAAGAUGUCUGAUAGUGAUAGUCAGAACAAGUCAGAGGAACAGGUUUAGUUGAGUGAGGGCACUAGUCCCUCCAACAGCUAUGAUGAGGGCACCAGGAGCACACCUAGUAACUUGCCAAAGGCAGCUACCAGGACAAGGAAGAAGAGAACAUCUGAUUCAGAGGAUGAAGACUAUGUUGUUGUUGAGGAUGAGGCCACUUCAAAGAAAAAGGUGCUGGAAAAGGAGUAUGGCACAGCUGCUGCAAUAAAGCCAGGAAUGAAAACAAAGGCUCCAGCAAGAAGAGUUCCUAUGUCUAAGGCUAGAGCCUCUACUCAAGAGAUAAUGGAAUUCACUCUUGAACCCAAAGAAGGAGGUGAAGGCAAGAAGAGGAAAGAAAGGGUCAAGAAGACCACUGCCAAAGUUAUUGGGAAGCCCUCCAUGAUGAGAUGAUGAUGAAGAGGAAGAGGAUGCUGCUACAGUACCCAAAGCUCAGAAGCUUAUGGGAGAUGCUAUCAAGUCAGGGGCUGCUCCUAAGCCCAAGUCUACUCCCAGAGCUCCAGCUCAAAAGUAUGCACCCAAGAGGAACACUAGAAGUAUACCUGCUGGGGAGAAGAACAAGGCCCCAGUGCAUGAAGCUGCUGAUGAUGAGGAAGAUGAUUCACUUGUUCUAAGAAAGUUGAAGCCCAAGAUCCCUGAUCAUAAUGAUGCACAUUCUGUUGCAGAGAACAUGAAAAUCAGGAAGGAUGCAGGAUUGAGACAGUGGAGAAAGGCUGACCCCUAUGCUGUCAGGAGGAGAACUACUAUGGACUACAGGUUCCACCACUAAAAAAAUACACUUCCAUGAUGAUACGUGUUUGUCACAGUAGGUCACGUUUUUUGUCAUGCAUGUACAUCCAUGACGAUUUUAUGACAAAAUCAAGAUAGUCAUACAUGUGCUGUCGUAGAAGUGUUCCAUGACAUUACCAAAAUUAUCAUCACAGUAGUGUCCACUUCCAUGACAAUAAAUCGCGCGUCACAAAAGUGCUUUCGUCAAGGGUGACUGACACGUGGCAUCCACCGUAAUGGAACACCGUUAAGCUAUCGGGUCGGAUUUUGGAUCCGAUAACCCGUUAACAGCCCUGACCAAUGGGAAAUUUCCACGUGUAAAAGUCUGAUUGGCCGAAGGGAACACCUGUCAGCUCGUCAGUGGGCCAGAUGUCGCCCGUCCAUUGGAGGAGACAUGCCUAUGAUAUGUCAACACGUGGUUGGGCCCAACAGAGGCCCAUAUAGGUUAAAAAGGCCGGCCCAAUCAAAGGUCAGUAGUACUUAAUCAGGUACUAGUAUGCCAGCCCAAUAACGGCCUGCUUAAUAAAGGCCCAUUUAUGGCCCGAAGCCAGAUCUGGCCCGUUAAUUGUUCGCCCAAUAUUUGGGCCCAUUUACGGCCCGAAGCCAGAUCUGGCCCGUUAAUUGUUCGCCCAAUAUUUGGGCCCAUUAGCGGCCCGAAGCCAGAUCUGGCCCGUUAAUUGUUCGCCGAAUAUUUGGGCCCAACUACAGCCCAGUGACUUUCGGCCUGUUAGAGGCCUGAUGUAGACAUGGGCCCAUUUCAGCCCGGUGGGACUUUCGGCCUAGGAAUGGCCCGUGCUGCCCAUGUGCCAUAUAUGGUCCGGCGGGACAUCGGGCCCACUAACGGCCCGUGCUAAAGGUGGCAAAAGUUAAGCCCAACGUGACUUUGGGCCUGUUAAAGGCAUGUCACGUAAUUCGGCCCGUUGAUGCCUGUACUAAGCUUUCGGCCUCUUAAAGGCCCAUGAUAUCAGUGGGCCAACUAAGGCCCGAGAUAUGUUUCGGCCUGGUAACGGCCCGUGAGCUAACUGGGCCCAAAAAGGCCCGGUCUACAUUUCGGCCUACUGAAGGCCCGUCGACGACUAGUGAAAAUUGAGGCCCAACAUGCAUUUUGGCCUGCUAAAGGCCCGUGGUUUCAUCUCGGCUGUAACAUGCCAGUACAAUAUUCAGCCUGUUAAUGGCCCAACGCUACCUGGGCCAAACUAAGCGCUGGGUCGACAAAAGCCCAACUAAAAUAUAGGUCGGUGUAAGUUUGAGCCUGGCGCAAUGUGUGAAGGCCCCAAUCAUUCGGGCCCAAGAAAGACGCAGGCCGGCCCAAUUGUGGCCCGCUAAAAACCUAGCCUGUUAGAGUCAAAUGUUUCGUCUCGGUCGACUACAUCUGAUUUUUUUUCCAGAUAGAGAAUGGUGGCAGUAACUAGUAGGAAUUAAGAACAAACCUACUCUAUACAAUAAAGAAAUUACAGCACAGUAACUAAGAAUAAACCUACACUAUACAAUAAAGGAUUUAAGGUAUAUUACAUCCACUGGGCAUCUAAGUUCGCCACCAGUGAUCAUAAAGCGCAACAAAGAAGCAGAUUACGAAAACUGGGCACCGUUGCAGCGUAACAAAAUAAUACUGAACCGAGACCACUUCCAAGACAAUUCAAGAAAGGUUAGCCUUGCGGGGGAACUGUUGCGCAAGCUGCUGAGCAAGCCUGUGAGACCGGCCUAGCAUGUCGGUCAUAGCUUCCAGGUGUAGUUGUUUAGCGAUGAGGUUCUCAUUGGUGUUCUCCGCAAUCUUUCUUAGAGAUAGGACUUCAAGUCGAAGUUGAGUUGCAGAAUGCCUUUCUGCUAGAACUUUGGACUGAAGAAGUCAAACUGAUUCAGACAACGAAUUUUAUGAGCUUGUCUGACUGUUAGUCUCGAGUAACUUGAAUACUGCAUCAAGACAAGACUUUGGGGUUGUCUCGCUAUCUUCAAGAUGUUUUGCCUUCUUUGCUACAAUAUAUGUUGGGUUUGUCUCACAGCCUUCAGCAGACUUGUGCAUGCCAUCAGGCAUAUCACCCUGAAACAAAGCAGAGAGAUGACAGGUUUUGCACGUGUAUAAACAAAGAUGAUAACUGUGCUGUCAAUUCCAUCCAAUUUCAAAUUAGAAAAUAAAGAGUAAGUUCAAAAUAUCAAUAGCAUAAUUUGGCAUUGUUCAUAAUGCGGGGAGCUUUACCACACUACUGGAUUACAAUGUCAACAUAACAAGCAUAGAUGAAGGGCAAAGAAAAUCAUUGUAUCUACUUUGGAUAAUGUGCAUGGCAUGUUGUUCAUAUCAUCAGCCACAUCAGUAAGAUAAAACGGGAGAUGACAAGGUGCAAACAUGGGCUGCUUCACCACACACUGGAUUAUAGAUACACAAAAACAAGCAUACAUAUAGGGAGUAUUAAGUAAUGUGCAUGGUAUGAAUAAGGAAUUUGGUUUUACAAGUAAAACUUAGAACUUACAGUUCUUGCGAACAUGCAUUUUGGUAGAAAUAGCAAACUAAACAGCAAUAAACGAUAGGGAGUAUGAGAAAAUUAAACAGCAGUUGAGGAUAAAGGCUUUAGAAGGACUGACUUACAUUAACAGUUAACACCGGCUUUAUAAUGCCCUUCUCCAUGUCAAGGGAAGGAUAACUCAAGAAUUUCAGCACAGAAUCUUCUUCAUAAGCAUUGCAUGUACUCUACAUUUUGUAGAGAGUAAUUAUAGAUAUGAUAAUACUGGAAGGGAUAGAGGAUAAUGAAGAUAAGAUGCAGAUUGAUGCUACAUAAUCAACUACCAAUCCCUGGAAGUACAAGCAUUACAGGACAAAAUGUACUGACAAGAGCAAUGGGCUACACUUCUGCACUGGCAUUGUCUGUGUAUUCUACUUGUUGGAAAGAUUAAAUAUAGAUCUGAUCUUUUUUAGUAAAUAGUGGGCGAGGGAGAUAAGAUGCAGAAUGCUACAAAAUGAACCAAUCCCUCUUCCCAUAAUACAAGAGUGUUUUUAACACUGGUGUACUGUACAAAACGUUCUUAUGUUAUGGGACGGAGGGAGUAGCUGUUAAUGUAAGUACAGUGAUAGACCACGUUCAGUCCUUACAAGAGGACUGCAGAGCUAAACCUCUUCAAAAGCAUUGGGUUGAUUCUAAAUUUAUGUAAGAGUCCAUACAGAUCUUAUAAUGUCCACCAAAUGUACGAUUAUGAGGCUAACAUGUGCAGUGAUGCUACAUAAUCAAACAGCUAUGAAAGUAAGUAUGGUCAUAGAGGGCAAGAGGUACUCACAAGAGCAAUGCAGUGCGCAGUAUAGUUGCGAGAUUCUGUGGUCCCUUGAGAACGAAUGUUCUUCUGCUAACAGUUUGUGACAACCUGAUUUUUGGCCCUUUCUUUUUCUUUUGUUUUUUCGAGGUUUUUGCCUGAGUUUUUCUUUUUCGUGGCUUUGUGGCCUAGAAACUAAAGAAGAUGCCCUCUUCUUUGCUUCCAGAGUGGAUUGUCAUAUCCAAAUAUUUCCCUAGACCCUGUCAUUUCCAUCCUAGCCCAAAUCCCAAUAUUCUUUUUAUUGGGAAUAUUCCUUUUCUAUUAAAGGAAUAACUCAAAUUGCCCUAGGUUGUGAAGCAACCUAUAUUUCGAUCACUCCAAAAAUUCUCAAAUAAUUCUCAUAAAUUGUUUGGGUCAUAUCUUGAUCAAAUAUGGCAAAACUUUUCAUUGCCAUGUUCAAAAAUAAUUCCCCAAUAAUUAUUCUUCAUUUUUGUCCAGUGUGGUUUUCUGUGAAGGAAGUGCCACCUAUAUUUUCCUGAUUGCUCCCCAACUCCUUGGGCAUGCUUAUAUGUCCAAAUAAUUGCCUCGUGCACAAUUUCAAAUUUAUUUUCCUAGCCAAUAUUCCUCAGUGAAUUUUCAAAGUUUCUGUCAAACAGAAGCCAUUGUGGAGGAAGUACUAGCUAGGAGUAGCCAAAUGAGUUGAACUCUUGCACACUCCUUAAUGUGCUCCUAUUAACCUCUUCUACCCAUUUGAAGCUCCAUACAAUCAUCUAUGUGAGCACAGGAGCAAAUCUUUGUUUCUGGCAAUAUUUUCAGGUUGUGAAGCAAGUGCAUUUUAUAUUGCUUCAAAAAUCCUGAUAAAUUACCAGAUCAUUCUUAUAUCCAUAAAACAUCUCUCCACCCAAUUUGUCAUCAUUUAAUUAAGCCAUUAUCCCUCUAGAAUAUUUCAAAGUUUCUGGCCAGCAGAAAUAUUUGUGAAGCAAGUACCAUUUUGGCUUUGCCAAAUGGUAUGAUACUUGGUGAGAAUCUUCAUAUGAUCAAAUAACCUUGCCUUGCUCAAACUCAGCUCAAUCCAAUCAACCAUGUGAGUGCAUCAUCAUAGUCUUCAUUUCUGACCAGAUUAUGUGGUUGUUAAGCAACUGCAGUAAAUAUUGAUCCAUUGACCCUCAAAACCUCCAGGAUGAAAGUCCUUCAAUAGAUAAACCUCCCAACCAAGCUAUUUACUGAGUUACCUAGCUGGUGUCCCCACUGCAUAGCACAAACACUUGGUUGCUGGUUUACUUUGGAGCUAAGUGCAAAUCUCUUCUUUGCCCCUAGACUGAUUUAUUUCCUUAUUUAGACUAAGGUCACUAGGGUCAAUCCACUGGACAUGGUCGUCCUGGCCAAAACGAGCAAUUUGCACCAGUGCGCGUGGUGAUCACGCUUGCGUCAUGCAGAUUGCCCGCUCUGGCUUCUUCUUGUCCCUGUUCUCGUCGGCUCCCUCCUCGUCUCGACCUCCAUUCAUGUCCUGGAGCUCCUUCGUGAUGCCCUGCAUCGCCCUGCAUCGAUGGCUCGUCGUGGUUCGCCAUGAAUGCAUCGCUAGGUCCAUGCCCGUGCCAUGCCUAGCCACUACCCUCCAUUAAUGCUUGGUCGGGAGCUCGUCCGUGAGCUCUAGAGCUUUCUCCCGCGGCUAUUUAAAUACCCCCGACCUCCUCCGCAGCCCCCAAGUCCCUCCCUCGCCUCUCUAGUCCACCGGAGUCCUCGGCCCCCUCCUCGUUUCGCCGGAGUUCGCCUCGGUUGCCGGGGUUCCUCCUUGGUUCCGGCGAGCUCGAGCCUCCUCUCCUCCCCUGGUGUUGUCCAUGAUCUCCCCCACCUCCUCGCGGUUCGCCUAAACCGCUUGCCCCUCACGGGAAAGUUCUGUGGCCGCGUCGCCCGGUCCGGCCGUCGUCUCUGUCCUUCGGCCACCGCAUCCUCCGGCCGUCCCGAGCCUCCUCGUGCCUCCCCGACCUCACCACGGCCUCCCCCUUGUCCCCGCAAGCCGCCCCGACUCCUCAGCCCUCGCCAGAGCGCCUUGCUCCGACGAACACCACCUCUGCCGAGCCGCCUCUGCCCUCCCAUGGAGCCGCCUCUCCCCUCCAACCCUCUCCUCCCCGACGGUCGUGCUCCCUCUGGACGGGUGCGGCGCAGCCCCUCGGUCCCGCCGGUGCCCUCAGCCAGGCCGGGGAUCGCCGGAGCUGGCCGGCCCCUUGGCCGCCUCCCUCCUCUGCUUCCGUUCUGUUCUGCUCAGGAACGAACAGGAGCGAGGGAAGGAGGAAGACGACGCCUUGCCAACUGGCCAGGCGGGCCCCAUCCCCUGCGCAUGGACCCCACCAGUUAGCCACCUAGCCGCCAGCCCCGCGUUGACCGGUCCAUGCUGACGUGGAUAAGUGGAGAUGCAUUCGGGCGUCUACGUUUUCAUCCACCGAAAACGUAUUUCAUCAAAUGCGCUUUCCGUUUUUCUGUCCAGGCCCCUGGUUGAAAAUAUUUUCAUUACAGAUGGGUCCCUGGUAGUAAAACCCUUAUAUCUCCGCAACCGUAACUCCAAAUGAGGUGAUUCCAAAGCCUACUUCUUUGGUUCAUUGAGCCCGUUCUGUUGGUUUCAUCUUCACUAUGGUUUGACACUGUGAAAAUGACCUUUUUGACCUUGUGCGUAAACAGCCCUUCCCUGAGAGAAUUGUUUCCGGCAAAUCUUUCUGCGAGUUUCUCGCACUUUCUCCCGGUGAUUUAUUCCACCCCAGACAAGCCACAAUACCCACUUGCAUGAUAGUCAUGUUGUAGCCAUGGUUUUGAACUUGAAUCUUUAUUAAAUGUUUGCUUGUUGAAAAGAUGGUUAUUGUUGUUCCGGUGAUGUUUAGAUUUGCAUGUUCCCUUUUGAGCUAUGUUGUCUUGUACUCGGUUAUCAUGUUCUACCUGCUAGUAUUACCUUUCAUAUGUUUAUGCUUGCUAGUAGUACAUGUUUAUGUUGGUGAUGGUCAUGCUAGUCAGUAUGCCAUGCUAAGUGGAUAUGAUUUAUUAUUGAUAUGGUGGAUAGUUAUGUGAUACCCUCAUGAUUAUGUUGAUAUCAUCUUCAUGCAUUUUAUCAUGGCUCAGCAUAUUUGCAUUCAAGUUAACCAGAUUAAAUUGAACUUGAACAACUGUUGGUUGAGUCAUGGUGCCGCUGAAUCGAUGCUGACCAGUGCAACCACGCUUACCGGUAUAGGACGGUUUUGUCGGAACGCCGUUGGUCCACCUGAAUAGGAGUGCGAGGCCAUGGGUUCCGUAGUGUGGGUACAGUGUACUAACCUCUGCAGAGUGUAUAUUAAAUCUAUCGAUAGCCGAGCCCGUGGAUAUGGGCCCAGGUCGAAAGUAGGUCACACCAUGAGUCAACAGUAAUAAGAAUAAUGUGCUUAAUAACAAUGAGAUAAGUUGGUUGUGAUCGCCGUAAGGGUCACAGGCCAAGUGUUGGUCGGGUUGUGAUCGCCAUAAGGAUCACCGUGGUAUCGAGGAUACCGAGUUGUUGUAUAUUCGUGAGGUUGUACGAGAAUCAUGGGUAAAGGUCAAGCUCCUUGUGGUCAUUUACUGAUCGUUGCGGUAUUGUUCAUACCAAGCUUGAUUUGAUCCUAACAUGAUCGUGUGAUGUCCGAGGUUGGUAAGUGAUGCAUGUGUUGGUUACGAGGUAACCCGAGCAGGAUAAGUGGUGCAUAUGGUGUCAUCAUGUUGCAUGCUAGUAUUGUCGGACUAAUAUGCUCAUAUUGUUCAAGUUGUAUCAUGUUAAUUCCUGUUUAACCUGUAAUUGCCAUGCUGUUGUCUGUCUUGAAUGCUUCUGGUUAUUGUGAGCUUGGAAGUACAUUCAAUGUACUGACCUGGCGUGUCAUGCCAGUUUGCAGGUUAUGCCGGAUUUGAUUGCUUGCUUGUCGUGGUUUCCGUUCGUGCGAGCUAGAAAGCGUUCCAGCCAGAGUCCCUGCGGAGUGGAGUUCACCACCGUCACCGUUGUUCUGCUGCUAGAGUUCUUCUGCUGCAUCAUGUUGUUCUGCUGCUUGCAUAAAGCAACAGUGGAUGGCGUAGUGUCGCCGUACCGAUGUUAUUCAUUGUAAUAUCGGAAGCCUUGUAUUCAUAUUCGAGUAAUAAUAGAAGGUUGGUUUGUUCUAUGCUAAGCAGUGCCGUAUUCCAGAAGACUUCAUCUUGAUCUCUAGGCUGGAAUACGGGGCGUUCCAGUUUUCUCUGAGCCGGGGUGCCACAGGCUUGGUAUCAGAGCAGGUCUGGCUGUAGGACGCCCUAGACCGUGUGAACGUUAGAAAGCGAUAGUAUAGACCCCAGUUGGUUUGUUGCAUAGCAUGCAUAUAGCCUUAGUAUUUGUGAUAACGGUUUAUCUGGUGAGUGUAGCUGGCAUCGGUUUGGAUCCACUACAACUCAACCUUUGCAUUUCUCCAGUUCUUUUUUCGUUCGGUGUUUGGUGUCAUUUCUAUCCCAGCAGAGUGAUGCCAAGUGAUCCUGACACUAUUUGCAAAAAUGGUGCUCAUGUAUCGCGUCGAUGUCUUUCUUUCAGUCAUGUCUAUCAUUUCAGUGAUGGACAUGUUUCUAUCCCAUAUCGUUCUUUUGUCGUGUUGGCAACCCUUAAUGAUCUUAGUUAUCAAGAAAGGGCAAUGUCAGCAGCCUCAGUUUUUCUCCGCUAUCCUAUUUCUUGGACUAGUACGGAUCUUUUUCCGUCCGCUUGAUAAUAAUGUGGUUGCGACCUUCGUGUCCCACUGCAUGAUUACCGAGUGCGUCCUCGCCUCCGAGCUAGUUUAGGCCGCCACCUGGCUAAGCUAGCACUUGGUGUAGCGCUGUUUACACCAAUUCUUCCACACAUUUAAUUGUCCUCGUGCACAUCAUCACAGCAUGCUAGAUCGUAGAACCGGAGAUCCCGCGAGAUUUGUGUGCUUAGGUGUGCAUGCAUAUUAUUGUGUGAGUAGCAGUAAUAUGUGAUGAUUGCUUGAUUAAUUAUAUUAGUGGUCUGCUUUUGUGCUUUUGUUUUAGUCGUUUCUGUUGUUCUUUUUUUUGGGCCUUCGGUGUUACAAAUUUUUUUCCCCUAUUAAAGUUGCUCGUCAACCGACACCGGACCAGAAGAGUCAACAAGAAAUGCAUAUAUUUGGAAAUUCAGCUAAACAAAAUGGAAUUAUCAGCAGACUGCAGUGAAAUUGGGAAUAUCUUGUCGAGAUGCAAAAGAAAUCCUGGAUGGACCGUCAGUAUCAAGUUUGCAUUAGCAUGCACUCAUCACAACAAAAUGAUUAAAUCAGCAAGAAGAUAAAUUGUGUGCAAGUUGACAGAAUAUUAUCAAAGGUAUGGCUCAGAUACAAGUUUAAUUUUUCAUUGAGGAUGAUUUUGGAACUUGAUGUACCUGGAAGUAAGAAAAAAUAUGGCAUAUACUCAGAAAGGAGGAUAGUCUAGUAAAACCAUGUUUCAUGCAAGAAAUCAAUAGCAAAAAUAUUCAGAUGGUUAUAUAUGUGGAAAUCGGUCUACAUAUCACAAUAAGAAGCUUCUGGUGAAAGCAACCCAAUCUUCCCUCGCAAGAUACCCGAGAAGCUUCCAAGACAAGAUUCAUCUAUCUUCCUCAGUAUGAUACGUGGAUGAUUCCCCGUGCAAGGUACUCUGUCUUCUUCAGUAAGCAACCGCAAAAGCUUCCAGCAUAAGGUAUCGAGUCUUUCCCCAGCAAAGUCUUUAAGGGGGUAAGCUUCUGAAGCACGAUACCCAGUCUUCUUCAGCAAGCUGUCCUAGGAAAGUUUCAAGCACAAGACAGCCCAUCUUCCUCAGUAAGACAUUGGUACAAGGUAGUAUGAUGUGAAUUGAUAGCAUAUGGCAGUGAAUCCCAACAAUCAGAACUUGAGAGGUGUUGAACCUGCCAUUUAAUGGGUUACCUUAUCAGAAAAAUGAGGAUAAACUUCAUUUGCCGAAAAAUUGCACCGACAGUACCUAUGGUCAAACAAAGAAACAAUAUGGCCCAACUCUUUCAGCCAAGGAUAUAGACCAAGAAAACAAUAAUGAAGGAGCAAGACCAGUGAGGCAGGUAUGAAAAUUGUACAGGACCCCCAUGGUGCAGAUCCCCCGGAUAGUCUAAGUUAGUAUUGAUCCACAUGGAUAUGCCUACAGCAUGAGUAAUCAGCAUGAGGAGUAAUAGUCUGGAAGCCUGAGUCCUCACUUAUAUGAAUCAUUCUGGAUAGCCUGUUGUGAACAAAAUUUUUCCGACAGAACCACCGUCAGUCAAGUCUGCAGAUAUUAUCACACAGGCCAAACCCUUUAUGCUGGCCACGAUAGGAGACAAUCAAAUAUUUGGUACGGAUCCGAUACUGAUGACAGUGGAACCGGUUAAGAUGAUUCAGAAACUUCUGCGAUGAAUCAGAAUCUGUCAGGAAAUGGUUAUGUUUUAACUCAUUGUUUGGAACCCAAAGGACCUGCAUUUAGUGGAGAAACCCAAUGCAAUGAGUCAGAGCUUGAGUUUUCAUUAGGAAAUUCUGAUCAUCAUUACAUGAAAGGUUGUCAGUGCCGGGUGGCACACCCAGCGGAAAUCACUUUUGGAUUUGUGAGACGGACGUAUAUUUCAGUCAUGAUAAUUAAAUCACACUCGGCUAGUCAGUAGAUCUAAAAAGAAACAAGUAAGGUAAGAUCUGUCAGAAGGAGGAUACAAUGAAUCAAACCACCCCAGGGCCAGUCAGAUAAAAAUUUAGUUGGGAACAUCAAUAAAGGAAAAAGGAUACCCGAGUUGGAAACAGUUUGCUUAAGUCAGAAUAUUCAUACUAGUUCCCUGAGCAACCAAAUCUCGAGGAUGAGAUUUCUUUAAGGGGGUAAGGUUUGUGACAGCCUGAUUUUUGGCCCUUUCUUUUUCUUUUGUUUUUCUGAGGUUUUCGCCUGAGUUUUUCUUUUCCGUGGCUUUGUGGCCUGGAAACUGAAGAAUAUGCCCUCUUCUUUGCUUCGAGAGUGGCUUGUCAUAUCCGAAUCUUUCCCUAGACCCUGUCAUUUCCAUCCUAGCCCAAAUCCCAAUGUUCUUUUUAUUGGGAAUAUUCCUUUUCUAUUAAAGGAAUAACUCAAAUUGCCCUAGGUUGUGAAGCAAUCUAUAUUUCCAUCAAGUACCAUUUUGGCUUUGCCAAAUGGUAUGAUAUUUGGUGAGCAUCUUCAUAUGAUCAAAUAACCCUGCCUUGCUCAAACUCAGCUCAAUCCAAUCAACCAUGUGAGUGCAUCAUCGUGAUCUUCAUUUCUGACCAGAUUAUGUGGUUGUUAAGCAACUACAGUAAAUAUUGAUCCAUUUACCCUCAAAACCUCCAGGAUGGAAGUCCUUUGAUAGAUAAACCUCCCAGACAAGCUAUUUACUGAGUUACCUAGUUGGUAUCCCCACUGCACAGCACAAACACUUGGCUGCUGGUUUACUUUGGAGCUAAGUGCAAAUCUCUUCUUUGCCCAUAGACUGAUUUAUUUCCUUAUUUAGACUAAGGUCACUAGGGUUAAUCCACUAGACAUGGUCGUCCUGGCCAAAACGAGCAAUUUGCACCAGUGCGCAUGGUGAUCACGCUUGCGUCAUGCAGAUUGUGCGCUCUGGAUUCUUCUUGUCCCUGUUCUCGUCGGCUCCCUCCUCGUCUCGACCUCCAUUCAUGUCCUGGAGCUCCCCCGUGAUGCCCUGCAUCUCCCUGCAUCGAUGGCUCAUCGUGGUUUGCCAUGAAUGCGUCACUAGGUCCAUGCCUGUGUCAUGCCCAGCCACUGCCCUCCAUUAAUGCUUGGUCGGGAGCUCGUCUGUGAGCUCUAGAACUCUCUCCCGUGGCUAUUUAAAGACCCCCGACCUCCUCCGCAGCCCCCCAAGUCCCUCCCUCGCCUCUCUAGUCCACCGGAGUCCUCGGCCCCCUCCUCAUUUCGCCGGAGUUUGCCUCGGCCGUCACGGUUCCUCCUUGCUUCCAGCGAGCUCGAGCCUCCUCUCCUCCCCUGGUGUUGUCCAAGAUCUCUCCCACCUCCUCGCGGUUCGCCCAAACCCCUUGCCCCUCGCCGGAGAGUUCCGUGGCCGCGUCGCCCAAGUCCGGUCGUCGUCUCCGUCAUUCGGCCACAGCAUUCUCCAGCCAUCCCGAGCCUCCUCGUGCCUCCCCGACCUCACCAUGGCCUCUCAUCCCCACGAGCCGCCCCGACUCCUCAGCCCUUGCCGGAGCGCCCUGCUCCGACGAACACCGCCUCCGCCGAGCCGCCUCUGCCCUCCCAUGGUGCCGCCUCUCCCCUCCAGCCCUCUCCUCCCCGGCGGCCGUGCUCCCUCUGGACGGGUGCGGCGCAGCCCCGCGGUCCCGUCGGUGCCCUCGGCCCCUGGUUGAAAAUAUUUUCAUUACAGAUGGGUCCCUGGCAGUAAAACCCUUAUAUCUCCGCAACCGUAACUCCAAAUGAGGUGAUUCCAAGGCCUACUUCUUCGUUUCGUCGAGCCCGUUCUGCUGGUAUCAUCUACACUAUGGUUUGACACUGUGAAAAUGACCUUUUUGCCCUUGCGCGUAAACAGCCCCUUUGAGAGAGAACUGUUUCUGGUAAAUCUUUCCGUGAGCUUCUCGCACUUUCUCCUGAUGAUUUCUUCCACCCUAGGCAAGCCACAAUACCCACUUGCAUGAUAGUCAUGCUGUAGCCAUGGUUUUCAACUUGAAUCUUUAUUAAAUGUUUGCUUGUUGAAAAGAUGGUUAUCGUUGUUCCGGUGAUGUUUAGAUUUGCAUGUUCCCUUUUGAGCUAUGUUGUCUUGUACUCGGUUAUCAUGUUCUACCUGCUAGUAUUACCUUUCAUAUGUUUAUGAUUGCUAGUAGUACAUGUUUAUGUUGGUGAUGGUCAUGCUAGUCAGUAUGCCAUGCUCAGUGGAUAUGAUUUAUUGUUGAUAUGGUGGAUAGUUAUGUGAUACCCUCAUGAUUAUGUUGAUAUCAUGUUCAUGCAUUUUAUCAUGGCUCAGCAUAUUUGCAUUCAAGUUAACAGGAUUAAAUUGAACUUGAACAACUGUUGGCUGAGUCAUGGUGCCGCUGAAUCGAUGCUGACCAGUGCAACCACGCUUACCGGUAUAGGACGGUUUUGUCGGAACAUCGUUGGUCCACCCGAAUGGGAGUGCGAGGCCAUGGGUUUCAUAGUGUGGGUACAGUGUACUAACCUUGCAGAGUGUAUAUUAAAUCUAUCGAUAGCUGCGCCCGCGGAUAUGGGCCUAGGUCGAAAGUAGGUCACACCAUGAGUCAACAGUAAUAAGAAUAAUGUUCUUAAUAACGAUGAGAUAAGUUGGUUGUGAUCGCCGUAAGGGUCACGGCACAAGUGUUGGUCGGGUUGUGAUCGCUGUAAGGAUCACAGUUUGGGGCCAAGUGUUGGUCGGGUUGUGAUCGCCAUAAGGAUCACGGUGGUAUCGAGGAUACCGAGUUGUUGUAUAUUUGUGAGGUUGUACGAGAAUCGUGGGUAAAGGUCAAGCUCCUUGUGGUCAUUUACUGAUCGGUACGGUAUUGUUCAUACCAAGCUUGAUUUGAUCCUGACAUGAUCGUGUGAUGUCCGAGGUUGGUAAGUGAUGCAUGUGUUGGUUACGAGGUAACCCGAGCAGGAUAAGUGGUGCAUAUGGUGUCAUCAUGUUGCAUGCUAAUAUUGUCGGACUAAUAUGCUCAUAUUGUUCAAGCUGUAUCAUGUUUAUGUUGGUCAUACCAUGUUAUUCUAAUGAUCUCAUGUUAAUUCAUGUUUAACCUGUAAUUGCCAUGUUGUUGUCUGUCUUGAAUGCUUGUGGUUAUUGUGAGCUUGCAAGUACAUUCAAUGUACUGACCUGGCGUGUCAUGCCAGUUUGCAGGUCAUGCCGGAUUUGAUUGCUUGCUUGUCGUGGUUUUCGUUCGUGCGAGCUAGGAUAAGCGUUCCAGCCAGAGUCCCUGCGGAGUGGAGUUCACCACCGUCGUCGUUGUUCCGCAGCUAGAGUACUUCCGCUGCAUCGUGUUGUUCUGCUGCUUGCAUAAAGCAAUAGUGGAUGGUGUAGUGUCGCCGUACCGAUGUUAUUCAUUGUAAUAUUGGAGACCUUGUAUUCAUAUUCGAGUAAUAAUAGAAGGCUGGUUUUUUCUAUGCUAAGCAGUGCCGUAUUCCAGAAGACUUCAUCUCGAUCUCUGGGCUGGAAUACGGGGCGUUCCGGUUUUCUCUGAGCCGGGGUGCCACAUAGUUUUCGUACAAGUGAGACAUUAAGGCAAAUGCAGAAUUGUAGUUCAAAUUGUGAUGUGAUAUCAUAGAUAGUACCUUACGCUACAGCCGAGACCAAUGUGUAACAAGAUUAUUCCAGUCACCAUUGGAUAAAUGUAGCAUCGGAGACUUUAUAGAGAUUUUGUUCAGAGGCUUGCCAUCGAAGUGCGCUUGCCUCAGGUAGGAAUGAUACUUCAUCAAUGAGUGCUUGAAAAGUGCAACCAACCCUUGCUUGUCAUCACAGUAUAGUUUACUCCUCGCCUAUUUAAAAGAAUGAAAUCGUAUGUCUUCUGUCAGUAGAAACAUAUGCAGUAAUGACCAUGAAUAACAAUAGUAUAUUACUUACGUGUAAGUUGCGGAGGAAGACUGGAAAUUGUUCUGUGUCUGCGGUAUAAUCUUUCCAUGAAGGAAAGAUGCACACAAAGUUCCUGACAACAACAUAAGCUUCGUCUUCUAAACUGGGAAGAAAUGGAACAGGGGUCCUAUUUGCUGCAAUUAGGGCUCCCUCUGGUUCGAAAAGGGAUUUGGCAACUGGAUUUGGUGUACUCUUUGCUGGAAUGGGGGUUUUGCGUCGUACAGCUGGUGCUAUGUCAACUGGCAUAAUCAUACUGUUUGCUGCAGUUGGGGUCUGCUGAGUUGGGGCAUCAGAAAUGACCAGUGUAGUAGGGCUAGAGUCUGCUAGAGUUGGGGUGUUUUGUGGGUCAGGUGAUAUUGCAACUACACCUAAUGGGCUAUUUGAUUUAUCAAGUGCCACUACCUUUUCCAAAUACUUUGCUUGUGCUCCUCCACGAUCAGCAAUUGCCCUCUUCCUUUUGAACGUCGGAUACACAAGAACAACAUUUGAAAUGAUAAAUAUGGUAUGAUGACAGAUGGAAUAUGUACUGAAAAUGGAUAGGCAGGACGUAUUCACAUACACGAUGUGUAAACUAAGCUAAUGGCAGUUCAACAAAGUAGAAGCAAUGCAAAGCAUCAGUUGCAAGAUAUGUGCAAGCAAUGUAACCUUGGAAAGUUAGAGCAAGUACCUUGAUGGGUGAAUAAGAUAGGGCAUCUUCCUCUGGCUCCUCCACUAGGGAGCUACAUUGACUUAGGUCUCCCUCUAGCUCAGAAUCACUGCUAGGAUCAUAUUCUGAGCAUGAAUCUGCAGGUGGAGAGCAUUUGCAUUGCAUUGCAUCCAGACUUGAUUUCAGUCCCUUAAUGCCAAGUUUGACAGCCAUGGCAUUGUUCUACUUUAUUCUUUUCAUGCGCGCAAGCUCAUAAUCAUUAUGAUGCUGUUCAGAAUCUGAGAUUCAUGAAAACAUAAAAAGUAGUCAGGUUAUCUAUGGAAUGCAUUGCGGAUUCCACUCGGAGAGUGUCUCCCUAUAAACCCCUGCAUAUGCAAAGUUCACCUCCCCAACCAUGCUGACCAGACCACACACAGAAAUACAAACCCAUUAUGUCUCUAUAACAGGCAGGCACACAUUUCAAAACUAAAGUAGGAACAUUAGCAUAUGAAAUUCGUAUUUGAACAAAUAAACUAAGCAAUUAUGAGUGGCAUAAUGUUUAGCUUCAAGGGUGGAGUAUUGGUAGUGCGACACAAAGCAAGUAGGCAGAUUGUAUUCCAUGUAAAAGAUCGAAACCUAUGUAAAAGCUGGAAAUGACACUUUCUUUCUAUACAAUGCAGUGUUCGUCGCCCACACAUGAUGGAAGAAAUCACAUAGAGAAAUACUAUUCACUCAUGUCUACGGUUCCAGUAUUUAGAAACAGGGUGGUCCACCCUAAAAGAAUAUUGACAACUAAUAUGACAAGGCAAGCAUAGAUGUAGUGAAUCAAUCAUUUACUUGCAAGCUUACUAGGACAAGUAUGAAGAAUUGUAACUGCAGUAAGAGACCGUCCAAAAUCUGAAUGAGGAACUUUGUCUAGCACUUAUUGUUUGCAACUAAUCGACGUGAAUAAUUGGAUAUUAUAUCGAAUGAGUAAGAAAGACAAGUAAAAUUGUCAACAAACCUAGCUUGCAGUAGUAAUCUGGGUCAAUGUCACUAUGACCAACAGUCCAAAAUGACUAGUGUCUGUUCCGAGGGCCGGAAUUUUGAAAACCUUGUGAACUUUAGAGGUACUAAAGAUUACCGAAAUACAUCUAAACCAUUAAGUGUAGGUAGCACUGAGCACACAACAAACCCUAAUGACAAUCCUGCCUAAUGAGUAACGAAUCAAUUAGAAAAUGGGUGAUGAGGAGUGGCUGCUGAGUGUUGAGGACGUAUCUCAGGAUAAAUCGGGUUGGCUUGGUGGGUGUUGCACGCCUGAGCCCUGAACGGACUGGGAAGGUAGGCACAACGGCGCGCCUGGGUAGCGGUGACGCUAUUGGGCGAGUGGCUCCUGGCCUCCUGUUAGUCCAGCGUCUCCUCCUAGAGUCAUGCCGUCUGGGGAUGGCAAGUCACCGGCGAGGCAGGCGGCUGGGGGCGAGUAGAGAUCGGAAGCACGCAGCAGAACAGAGGGGAAUCGGGGCCUGGGAUGACCCAAAAUCCCAGGGUGGGCCGGCCCACCGUGGGCACCUAUAGAGAUACACACCCGAGCGGCGAACAUGCAUUUUCGAAACUAAUUUAGGAACAUUUAGCUGACCAAUUAAACAACUCUAUUUUAAUAAUAUCAGAUUCGUAUUUGAACAACUAAGAUUGUUUAGCUUGAUGGGUGGAGCAGUGUUAUUAUGACACGAAGCACGUAUUCUGACGUAUAGUGAUCAUAAAAGGGGGAAACUCUAAGCAUAUUUUUUUUAGCAAAAGAGGGUUUCCCCUUCGAUUUUUAUUAAAGAAACCACCACGGAACCUAUAUGAUCAAUUAAACCUUAAGCAUGAUCAAUUAAACCGUAUUAUGGCUGUGCCAUGGCAGAUUUGAAGCUGCAAACCGGAGAAAUGAUAUUUAGCAUCCAUUGUUUGCUUCGAACUAAGAACUAAAUUCUAAGAGCUGAAAAGAAAGUAUAGUAACCAAGUUAAGAUCUAUUUUCUGGUUGAGAUCAAAAAGUUGAGGAGAUAUGAAGUACCACCUCUCUUGCGGCGCCGUGUAGGCAUCGAGGGUGCGAUGGCUGUCGGUGGCGUUGAAGCAGAUCUGCGACGGUAGACGGGUGCAUCGGGGGAUAAGUCCCGUUGCGGUGGAAGAGAAGGUCGUGUGAGCGGCCCCGGCAAAGAGGACAACGGCGCCGAUGAAGCGAGGGGACGCAAUGCAAGGCUAUUGGUCUAUUGCUAUGGAUGAGAAACGUCCAUCUCUAGAAGUGGACGACACGGUCUUGGUAGGCGCUCUGGCAUGGUGGAGGACAGUGGCGAUGGAUGUGGUGGAGGACGGCGGCGAUGGAUGGGGUGGCGGAUGGAGGCUGGUGUGGGGAUGGGGUGUUCUAGCGCGGACAGUGUAUGAAUGGGAAAAUGGAGGGAGAGGUACAGGGAACCAUGUUUUUGGGACGCGCCUGUCUGAAAUAUGGGAAAGGUGCGAACUUAGCCACCGUUUAAAAUUUGGACAUCUCGUCGGUUGGGGAUAGGAUGGUAAUCUCGCAUCUCGCCAAUAUUUGCCCAGAGCGAUUUCGGGCGAGGAGAGGGUGGUUGGCGCCCAUGGUUGGCGCCCACGGUGUAUGAACAGGGCUGGCAGGUAGGGCGGUUGUGUCACGUAUGAGCGAAGUUACAAACCUGCCCCUAUUGAAAAUAUUUGCCUACAUCGAUUUCGUCUGAGUCGAGUUUGUUUUGUCGCCCACCGUAUAUGAAUGGGGAAUGAAGGGAGAAACAAAGGUCUUUCGGACGAGCUUGAAACAAAUGUGUUUAGCCGCCCAUGUUUGACAUCCACCAUGUCGGAAUGGGCUCAGAGGCGGUCGUGUCACGUCUAAUUGAAGUUACUAACCUACCCCUAUUUAGAGCAGUGGAAAUCGGGCCAAUGUAUUGUCCGCGCAAUGGGUAGACAGUAAUUUCCAUCUCCCAAACACUUUGCUUCGGGCAGCCAACGUGGGAGUGGACAUUUUGCCGCUUCUUUCGAAUUUUGGGACAAUAAGCAUCCACGUUUACCCUGGCAACUAAAUUCGAAUCCAUUUUGUAUUCCUAUAUGAAUCUUUAUAAAUCAUUUUGUGUGUUUUUAUAUAUCUUCAAAAGGACGACAAAGAUGUAUUCCACUGUCAUAUAUGAAUAUGGUUUACAAAUGCCGAUACUCAAAUUCAGAAGCUAGAAUCCAGUUUAAGGUGAAUUCGAAUAUUUGGAACACUUCAUGUCUAACUCAAAUGUCACAUGCAGCUUAAUGUGUACUCCCAUUUAGAUAUGUACACAAGCGAUGUAUCAAGAUUCAAAUACGAGUCAAUCAACCAAGAAUGUACAGAAAUAACAGACAUAUAAACACUUAUAGAGUAUAUGGAUCAAUAAUAUCAACUAAUAUACAUAAGCCAGGCCGCUGUACUUUUUUUCGCUACAACAGUAUCCUAUUUUUAGCCAGCAUCUUGGCCCUUUCCGAUGCGUGCCACUUAUGGUCCAUCUAUACUACUACUAUUGUUGAAUGCACAGUCAGCCCGAUUGGCAUAUUUGUAGGUCUGGCACAGCAAUCCAAAUGAAAUGUCUCUGAGUCUUAUCAAUUAAUACAAACUUGUGCUCAAAUAAAAUUACAAACCAAAAAACAAAAAAAAAACAAUUAUUACAUGAUCUCUAAAACAAAUGGUUUGAUUGGUUACAUGAACAGACAACUCAAAGGUUAUUCAACGAUGGAAAGAACAUUUCACCUAUGAUUUACCAAGUAGGAAUUUAAUUUCCUUUUUUCCUCCAGGACCUUACCAAUCUGGUCAGUCUCAGCUUGCUUCGUUUUUAAAUCCACCAAAUAUUUAAUGGUUGUCUUGAGUACUGCUUGUGAUUGUGUUGUUUGCUUCCUCAACAUGUCAACUUCAUCUCUAAGUACAGAAGCAGAAUCUCUUUCUACCACUAGUUUAGCCUCUAGAGCAUCAGCAGUUGGCAAUUCAUAAUGCACGAUUGGGCCAGUGCCACUGCUGUGGGAUGAUGCAACGUCCAUGGGGACCUCGCUCUUUGAUCUUGGGCUAACCUAUUUUGCCAUUAAAGUUCCGAUUGGAUUCAGAAAAGUUGAAGUUAGCAAAACAUAUCAGCUGGGAGUUAUAACAGCAAACCAAUUAAACAAACAAGGAAUUAAAAAGUUUCAAUUGGAUGUUGAAAAGUAGUUAUUAACAUCAUUGUAACCCGUUGUUGCAGCAGCAAAGCAGUUAAACAAACAAGUAGAUAUUUAAGUUAAGGCAAACAGGUAAUUCUUAACAGUAAGUAUCAAACACAUAGAUAGGCGCAGUCUACAAUAUGAUUAACAGGCUGUGGCAUUAUGUAAUCAGUAGCAAACUAAAUUAAGCCGAGCAACAUAAUUGAACAAUUUUGCAAUAAGUGGCUAACUAAAAUUCCGAGAAGCAGGUAACUGAACUUAUGCUAGUUCUUUGUACAGGCACACUGCAACUUCUUUUUUGCUUACAAGGUUGUACGAAGGAGUCCAUGGCAUCAAUUGCUUGGAUACGCAGUCCCAAUACUUCUUUCUUCCCACACUGCAUGGGUAAUUCGAAUGGUUAAUCUAGUAAGAUGGUGCGUCCUUGAUAUGUUAUAUGAGGACGUGUAGUCAGACUAGUUGUAGCCACACACAUCACACUGGCUUUUACUGUAUAUUUCAUGCGAUUACUUUUGGCAUAUCAAGAUCUAAGCAAUCUACAAUAGGAUGAAAAGACUGGCAUCCUUCACAUUAUUGGCGAACUUAGUUCAUAGAAACAAGCAAUUCAACCAUUCUGUGGGUAAAUCAAAAGCGCCACUGGAAUAUUUUUCACUAUCCAAUCAUACACGCAAAAAGGGGCGUUGCCACCAUAGGGGCUGGUAUGGGCGGCCGCCUCAGGUGGCUGGAAAAUGUGCACCUGGUUUGAGUCGUCCAGGUUGGCCCAUGCUAGUUUUUUUCAUCCCAACGCACGAGUAGGCAAUGUAAAAACUAAACAAAAAUGUUUUAAUUUGGAUGGGCCAAUAACAUAAGUGCAAGGCAGGCCCUAUAGCAGGCUCGCGGCCCAAACGAGCGCCUCCCAUAUCGAUCAACAGCAGGAAAAAUCCCAAUUCAUUCGCUCCAGCCUCCCGUCUGGUUCGCUCCUAACCUAGCCGCCGCUGGACAGACCGACAUUGCACUUGCUUGCGCCCUUGUUGGGGGCGGUCGCCGGGCUUCAAGCGAACAGAAGGACAAGAAGAUGAAGAUCCAACCUUGGGUGUAGCCUGCGUGGGAGGCAGCGGUGGCAGCACGGGGAUGGCAUCGAGCUUGCGCAAACGGACAGUCACAGCUUGCAAGAGUAGCAUGUGCAACGAGCAGGUACAUCACAUUCCUGAUUAUAUCUAAUUCAACUCUUCAAUUUUUGGCCAAUAGUUAAAUCUGACGGUGUUGUAAAACUGCUUGUAUGUAGGGAAUCUAUGAGAAAUUGAAACCAACUUCUACUUAUUUUAUAACUCCCCCAAUCAAUACUGAACUGACUGAAUAUGAUGUAUCUAAUCAAGUUUUUGGUGCAAACAUACAAGUUCAUGUUGUUCUUGAGCCUGAAGUGUCUAAUGAAAAGACUGCUAAUGAAGGAUUUGAUGCAAACAUUUUACAUGCUCCUGGUGAUGAACAUAUAGUGUCUAAUGAGGGAUCUAAUGCAAGCAUUUUGCAAGCUCAUUGAAGGAUUUAGUGUCUAAUGAUGAUCUACUAUGUUGAGAGAGACAGAGAUUUGCAGGCAUUGAUGACAAGCAAAUUAUAGUGCAUUUUCAUAGCUUGAGGAAACGUCGAGGCCAUCUACCAGAAAGUCCCCGUAUCAUGACAACAUAGCAUAAAUACUUUUGUAAUCUAUUGUUUGAAACUAUUGGCAUGUUGGGGAACGUAGCAGAAAUUCAAAAUUUUCUACGCAUCACCAAGAUCAAUCUAUGGAGAUACUAGCAACGAGAGAGAUGGGAGUGCAUCUUCAUACCCUUGAAGAUCGCGAUGCGGAAGCGUUACAUGAACGCGGUCGGUGGAGUCAUUCACGAAGCGAUUCAGAUCGUGGCCGAAUCCGAUCUAAGCACCGAAGAAUGGUGCCUCCGUGUUCAAGACACGUGCAGCCCGGUGACGUCUCCCGUGCCUUGAUCCAGCAAGGAGAGAGGGAGAGGUUGGGGAAGACUCCGUCCAGCAGCAGCACAACGGCGUGGUGGUGAUGGAGGAGCGUGGCACUCCAGUAGGGCUUCGCCAAGCACUGCGAGAGACGGGGAGGGGGAGGGGUAGGGCUGCGCUAGGAGAGAGGGAAACUCAUGUGCUUGGCAGCCCCAAACCCCCACUAUAUAUAGGGGAAGGGGAGAGGGAGCCGUCCCCCUCCAGAUCCCAUCUAGAGGGGAGGGGCGGCGGCCAGGAGGGGAGGCUUGCCCCCCAAGCAAGGUGGAGGCGGCCCCCUCCCCUAGGGUUUUCAACCCUAGGCGCCUUGGGCCCUUGGGGAGGGGCGCACCAGCCCACUAGGGGCUGGUUCCCUCCCAUAUUCAGCCCAUCAAGUCCCCCGGGGCAGGUGGGCCCACCCGGUGGACCUCCCGACACCUUUCGGUGGUCCUGGUACAAUACCGAUAACCCCCAAAACUAUUCCGGUGACUGAAACUGGACUUCCCAUAUAUAAAUCUUUUACCUCCGAAACUCCUCGUGACGUCCGGGAUCUCAUCUGGGACUCCGAGCAACAUUCGGUAACCUUAAGUGUGUAGACCCUAGCAUCAUCGAACCUUAAGUGUGUAGACCCUACGGGUUCGGGAAUCAUGCAGACAUGACCGAGACACCUCUCCGGCCAAUAACCAACAGCGGGAUCUGGAUACCCAUGUUGGCUACCACAUGUUCCAUGAUGAUCUCAUCGGAUGAACCACGAUGUCAAGGAUUCAAGCAAUCCCGUAUACAAUUCCCUUUGUCAAUCGGUACGUUACUUGCCCGAGAUUCGAUCGUCGGUAUCCCAAUACCUCGUUCAAUCUCGUUACCGGCAAGUCACUUUACUCGUUCUGUAAUGCAUGAUCCCGUGACUAACUACUUAGUCACAUUGAGCUCAUUAUGAUGAUGCAUUACCGAGUGGGCCCAGAGAUACCUCUUCGUCAUACGGAGUGACAAAUCCCAGUCUCGAUUCGCGCCAACCCAACAAACACUUUCAACGAUACCUGUAGUGCACCUUUAUAGUCACCUAGUUAUGUUGUGACGUUUGGUACACCCAAAGCACUCUUACGGUAUCCAGGAGUUACACAAUCUCAUGGUCUAAGGAAAUGAUACUUGACAUUAGAAAAGCUUUAGCAGACGAACAACACGAUCUUGUGUUAUGCUUAGGAUUGGGUCUUGUCCAUCACAUCAUUCUCCUAAUGAUGUGAUCCCGUUAUCAAUGACAUCCGAUGUCCAUGGUCAGGAAACCAUGACCAUCUGUUGAUCAAUGAGCUAGUCAACUAGAGGCUCACUAGGGACAUGUUGUGGUCUAUGUAUUCACACAUGUAUUACGGUUUCCGGUUAAUACAAUUAUAGCAUGAACAAUAGACAAUUAUCAUGAACAAGGAAAUACAAUAAUAACCAUUCUAUUAUUGCCUCUAGGGCAUAUUUCCAACAGUCUCCCACUUGCACUAGACUCAAUAAUCUAGUUCACAUCACUAUGUGAUUGUAAUGAAUCAACACCCUUGGGGUUUGAUCAUGUCUCGCUUGUGAGAGAGGUUAUUAGUCAACGGGUCUGAACCUUUCAGAUCCGUGUGUGCUUUACAAAUCUCUAUGUCAUCUUGUAGAUGCAGCUAGCACGCGCUAUUUGGAGCUAUUCCAAAUAACUGUUCUACUAUAUGAAUCCGGUUUACUACUCAUAGUCAUCCAGAUUAGUAUCAAAGUUUGCAUCGACGUAACCCUUUACGACGAACUCUUUUACCACCUCCAUAAUCGAGAAAAUUCCUUAGUACACUAGUUACUAAGGAUAAGUUUGACCGUUGUCCUGUGAUCCAUUCCUGGAUCACUCUUGUACCCCUUGACUGACUCAUGGCAAGGCACACUUCAGGUGCGGUACACAGCAUAGCAUAUUGUAGAGCCUACGUCUGAAGCAUAGGGGACGACCUUCGUCCUUUCUCUCUCUUCUGCCGUGGUCAGGUCUUGAGUCUUACUCAAUACUCACACCUUAUGACACAGCCAAAAACUCCUUUGCCGAUCUAUUUUGAACUCCUUCAAAAUCUUGUCACGGUAUGUGUUCAUCUGAAAGUACUAUUAAGCGUUUUUUGAUCUAUCCUUAUAGAUUUUGAUGCUCAAUGUUCAAGUAGCUUAGUCCAGGGUUUCCAUUGAAAAACACUUUUCAAAUAACCCUAUAUGCUUUCUAGAAAUUCUACAUCAUUUCUGAUCAACAAUAUGUCAACAACAUAUACUCAUCAGAAAUGAUAUAGUGCUCCCACUCACUUCUUUGGAAAUACAAGUUUCUCAUAAACUUUGUAUAAACCCAAAAUCUUUGAUCAUCUCAUCAAAGCGUAUAUUCCAACUCCGAGAUGCUUACUCCAGUCCUUAGAAGGAUUGCUGGAGCUUUGCAUACUUGUUAGCAUCUUUCAGGAUUGACAAAACCUUCUGGUUGUAUCACAUACAACCUUUGCACAAGAAUAUCAUUGAGGAAACAAUGUUUUAACAUCCUAUCUGCAAGAUUUCAUAAAUCAUGCAGUAAUUGCUAAUAUAAUUCUAACAGACUCUUAGUAUCGCUACGAGUGAGAAAGUCUCAUCGUAGUCAACUCCUUGAACUUGUCGGAAAACAUCUUAGCGACAAGUCGAGCUUUCUUAAUGGUGACACUUACCAUCAUUGUCCGUCUUCCUUUUAAAAUCCAUCUGUACCUAACAGCCUUACGACCAUCAAGUAGUUCUUCCAAAGUUUAUACUUUGUUUUCAUACAUGGAUCCUCUCUCGGAUUUUAUGGCCUCAAGCCAUUCGUCGGAAUCCGGGCCCACCAUCGCUUCUCCAUAGCUCGUAGGUUCAUUGUUGUCUAGCAACAUGACCUCCAAGACAUGAUUACGUACCAUUCUGAAGUAGUACACAUCCUUGUCGACCUACGAGUUUGGUAGUGACUUGAUCCGAAGCUUCAUGAUCACUAUCAUCAACUUCCACUUCAAUUGGUGUAGGUGCCACAGGAACAACUUCCUGUGCCCUGCUACACACUAGUUGUAGUGACGGUUCAAUAACCAUAUCAAGUCUCCACCAUCCUCCCACUCAAUUCUUUCGAGAGAAACUUUUCCUCGAGAAAGGACCCGUUUCUAGAAACAAUUACUUUUGCUUCCGGAUCUAAAUUAGGAGGUAUAUCCAACUAUUUUGGGUGUCCUAUGAAGAUGCAUUUAUCCGCUUUGGGUUCGAGCUUAUGAGCAUGAAACUUUUUCACAUAAUCAUCGCAGCCCCAAACUUUUAAGAAACAACAGGUUAGGUUUCUCUAAACCAUAGUUCACACUGUGUCAUCUCAACGGAAUUAUGUGGUGCCCUAUUAAAGUGAAUGUGGUAGUCUCUAAUGCCUAAUCCAUAAACGAUAGUGGUAAUUCGAUAAGAGACAUCAUGGUAUACUCCAUAUCCAAUAGGGUGCAUCUAUGAUGUUCGGACACACCAUCACACUAUGGUGUUCCAGGCGGUAUUAGUUGUGAAACAAUUUCCACAAUGUCUUAAUUGUGUACCAAACACAGAACUCAGAUAUUCAUCUCUAUGAUCAUAUCAUAGACAUUUUAUCCUCUUGUCACGACGAUCUUCAACUUCACUCUGAAAUUACUUGAACCUUUCAAUAAUUCAGACUUGUGUUUCAUCAAGUAAAUAUACUUAGCAUCUACUCAAAUCAUCUAUGAAGUAAGAACAUAACGAUAUCCACUGCGUGCCUCAGCACUCAUUGGACUGCACACAUCAAAAUGUAUUACUUCCAACAAGUUGCUUUCUUGUUCCAUUUCAUUGAAAAUGAGGCCUUUCAGUCAUCUUGCCCAUGUGGUAUGAUUUGCAUGUCUCAAGUGAUUCAAAAUCAAGUGAGUCCAAACGAUCCAUCUACAUGGAGUUUCUUCAUGCGUAUAUACCAAUAGACAUGGUUCACAUGUCUCAAUCCUUUCAAAAACGAGUGAGUCCAGAGAUCCAUCAACAUGGAGCUUCUUCAUGCGUUUUAUACCAAUAUGACUUACAUGGCAGUGCCACAAGUAGGUGGUACUAUCAUUACUAUCUUAUAUCUUUUGGCAUGAACAUGUGUAUCAGUACGAUCGAGAUUCAAUAAACCAUUCAUUUUAGGUGCAAGACCAUUGAAGGUAUUAUUCAAAUAAAUAGAGUAACCACUAUUGUCCUUAAAUGAAUAACCGUAAUGCGAUAGACAUAAUCCAAUCAUGUGUAUGCUCAACACAAACACCAAAUAACAAUUAUUUAGGUUUAACACCAAUCUCGAUGGUAGAGGGGGCAGGCGAUGCUUAAUCACAUCAACCUUGGAAACACUUCCAACACACAUUGUCGUCUCACCUUUAGCUAGUCUCCGUUUAUUCCGUAGCUCUUUUAUUUCGAGUUACUAACACUUAGUGACCGAACCGGUAUCUUAAUACCCUGGUGCUACUGCUACCUCUUGAGCAUUGCGUUGGAUUUUCCCGAAGAGGAGAGGAUGAUGCAGUAAAGUAGCGUAAGUAUUUCCCUCAGUUUUUGAGAACCAAGGUAUCAAUCCAGUAGGAGAUCACGCACGAGUCCCUCGUACCUACACAAAAUGAUAGCUACUCGCAACCAACGCGAUUAGGGGUUGUCAAUCCCUUCAUGGUUACUUACAAGGUGAGAUCUGAUAGAGAUGAUAAAUAAUAUUUUUGGUAUUUUUGAUAUAGAGAUGCAAAGUGAAAAGUAAAAGGCAAAGUAAAAACAAAGCAAAUAAAUAAAGUAAUUGAGAUUGAUAUGAUGAGAAUAGGGGCAUAGGUUUCACUAGUGGCUUCUCUCAAGAGCAUAAGUAUUCUACGGUGGGUGAACAAAUUACUGUUGAGCAAUUGAUAGAAAGCGAAUAAUUAUGAGAUUAUCUAGGUAUGGUCAUGUAUAUAGGCAUCACGUCCAAGACAAGUAGAUCGAAAUGAUUCUGCAUCUACUACUAUUACUCCACUCAUCGACCGCUAUCCAGCAUGCAUCUAGAGUAUUAAGUAAAAUAGAGUAACGCCUUAAGCAAGAUGACAUGAUGUAGAGGGAUAAAUUCAUGCAAUAUGAUAAGAACCCCAUCUUGUUAUCCUCGAUGGCAACAAUACAAUACGUGCCUUGCAACCCUUUCUGUCACUGGGUAAGGACACCGCAAGAUUGAACCCAAAGCUAAACACUUCUCCCAAUGCAAGAACUACCACUCUAGUUGGCCAAACCAAACAGAUAAUUCGAAGAGACUUGCAAAGAUAACUCAAUCAUACAUAAAAGAAUUCAGAGAAGAAUCAAAUAUUGUUCAUAGAUAAGCUGAAUCAUAAACCCACAAUUCAUCGGUCUCAAAAAAUACACCUCAAAAAGAAGAUUACAUCGAAUACAUCUCCACAAGAGAGGGGGAGAACAUUGUAUUGAGAUCCAAAAAGAGAGAAGAAGCCAUCUAGCUAAUAACUAUGGACCCGAAGGUCUGAAGUAAACUACUCACACUUCAUCGGAGAGGCUAUGGUGUUGAUGUAGAAGCCCUCCAUGGUAGAUGCCCUCUCCGGCGGAGCUCCGGAACAGGCCCCAAGAUGGGAUCUCGCGGAUACAGAAGGUCGCGGUGGUGGAAUUAGGUUUUUGGCUCCGUUUCUGAUUUGACGGGGGUACGUAGGUAUAUAUAGGAGGAAGGAGUACGUCAGUGGAGCAACAGGGGGCCCACGAGGCAGGGGGUGCACCCAGGGGGGCAUGCCCUCGACCCUCGUGACCGCCUCUGGCACUUCUUGGAGUAGGUUCCAAGUCUCCUGGAUCACGUUCGGUGAGGAAAUCACGUUCCCAAAGGUUUUAUUCCGUUUGGACUCCGUUUGAUAUUCUGUUUCUUCGAAAUACUAAAAUAGGCAAAAAAACAGCAAUUCUGGGUUGGGCCUCCGGUUAAUAGGUUAGUCCCAAUAAUAAUAUAAAAGUGGAAAAUAAAGCCCAGUAUAGUCCAAAACAGUAGACAAAGUAGCAUGGAGUAAUAAAAAAUUAUAGAUACGUUGGAGACGUAUCAAGCAUCCCCAAGCUUAAUUCCUGCUCGUCCUCGAGUAGGUAAAUGAUAAAAAAGAAUUUUUGAUGCGGAGUGAUACUUUGGCAUAAUUUCAAUGUAAAUCUUCUUAAUUGUGACAUGAAUAUUCAGAUCCGAAAGAUUCAAGACAAAACUUCAUAUUAACAUAAAAGUAAUAGUACUUCAAGCAUACAAAUUAAAGCAAUCAUGUCUUCUCAAAAUAUCAUGGUUAAAGAAAGUUAUCCCUACAAAAUCAUAUAGUCUGGAAAUGCUCUAUCUUCAUCACACAAAGUAUUUAAUCAUGCACAACCCCGAUGACGAGCCAAGCAAUUGUUUCAUACUUUAGAAAUCUCAAAAAAAUUCAACUUUCACGCAAUACAUGAGCGUGAGCCAUGGACAUAGCACUAUAGGUGGAAUAGAAUGGUGGUUGUGGAGAAGACAAAAAAGGAGAAGAUAGUCUCACAUCAACUAGGUGUAUCAAUGGGCUAUGGAGAUGCCCAUUGAUAGAUAUCAAUGUGAGUGAGUAGGGAUUGUCAUGCAACGGAUGCACUAGAGCUAUAAGUAUAUGAAAGCUCAACAAAAGAAACUAAGUGGGUGUGCAUCCAACUUGCUCGCUCACGAAGACCUAGGGCACUUUUGAGGAAGCCCAUCAUUGGAAUAUACAAGCCAAGUUCUAUAAUGAAAAAUUCCCACUAGUAAAUGAAAGUGACAACAUAUGAGACUCUCUAUCAUGAAGAUCAUAGUGCUAUUUUAAAGCACAAGUGUGGAAAAAGGAUAGUAGCAUUGUCCCUUCUCUCUUUUUCUCUCAUAUUUUUUCUUUUUUCUUUUUCUCUUUUUUUUGGUGGGCUUCUUUGGCCUCUCUUUUUUUAUUUGGGCUUCUUUGGCCUCUUUUAUUUUUCAUAAAGUCCGGAGUCUCAUCCCGACUUAUGGGGGAAUCAUAGUCUCCAUCAUCCUUUUCUCACUAGGACAAUGCUCUAAUAAUGAUGAUCAUCACACUUAUAUUUUUCUUACAACUCAACAAUUACAACUCGAUACUUAGAAAAAGAUAUGACUCUAUAUGAAUGCCUCCGGCGGUGUACCGGGAUAUGCAAUGAAUCAAGAGUGACAUGUAUGAAAAUUAUGUAGAUGGCCUUGCCACAAAUACAAUGUCAACUACAUGUUCAUGCAAAGAGCAAUAUGACAAAAGUAAUGUGUGUCAUAUGAACGGAAUGGUGGAAAGUUGCAUGGCAAUAUAUCUCGGAAUGGCUAUGGAAAUGCCAUGAUAGGUAGGUAUGGUGGCUGUUUUGAGGAAGGCAUAUGGAGGGUGUAUGAUACCGGUGAAAAGUGUGCAGUAUUAGAGAGGCUAGCAAUGGUGGAAGGGUGAGAGUGCGUAUAAUCCAUGGACUCAACAUUAAUCAAAAGAACUCAUGCACUUACUACAAAAAAAAUUGGAAGUCAUCAAAAACCAAAGCAUUAAACGCAUACUCCUAGGGGGAUAGAUUGGUAGGAAAAGACCAUCGCUCGUCCCCGACUGCCACUCAUAAGGAAGACAAUCAAUAAAUAAAAUUGUGCUCCGACUUCAUCACAAGCGGUUCACCAUACGUGCAUGCUACGGGAAUCACAAACUUCAACACAAGCAUUCUUUAAAUUCAUAAUCACCCCAACUAGCAUUGCUUUGAUAUUAUCACUUCCAUAUCUCAAAACAGUUAUCAAGCAUCAACUUAUCUUAGUAUUCAACUCACUCAAAAGAAAGUUUCACAUAUGUUGAAUACCAAGUAUAUUAACAUUAAGAAAAUUACCAUGCUAUCAAUAACUCUCAAAAUAAUCUAAGUGAAGCAUGAGAGAUCAAUAGUUUCUUUAAAACAAAUCCACUACCGUGCUCUUAAAAGAUCUAAGUGAAGCACUAGAGCAAAAAUUAUCAUGCUCAAAAGAUAUAAGUGAAGCACUAUGAGCAAAAACUAUCAAGCUCAAAAGAUAUAAGUGAAGCACAUAGAGUAUUCUAGCAAAUUCCAAAUCAUGUAUGGCUCUCUAAAAAGGUGUGUACAGCAAGGAUGGUUGUGGCAAACUAACAAGCAAAUACACAAAUAAUACAAGACGCUCCAAGCAAAACACAUGACAUGUAGUGAAUAAAAAUAUAGCUCCAAGUAAAUUACCGAUGGAAGUAGAUGAAAGAGGGGAUGCCUUCCGGGGCAUCCCCAAGCUUUGACUUCUUGGUGUCCUUGGAUUAUCUUGGGGGUGCCAUGGGCAUCCCCAAGCUUAGGCUCUUGCCACUCUUUGUUCCAUAAUCCAUCAAAAGAAUUCACCCAAAACUUGAAAACUUCACAACACAAAACUCAAUAGAAAUCUCGUGAGCUCCGUUAGUGAAAGAAAACAAAAGACUACUUCAAGGUACUCUAAUGAACUCAUUCUUUAUUUAUAUUGGUGUUAAACCUACUGUAUUCCAACUUCCUUAUGGUUUAUAAACUAAUUUAUUAGCCAUAGAUACAUUGAAAUAAGCAAACAACACACGAAAAACAGAAUCUGUCAAAAACAGAACAGUCUUUAGCAAUCUGUAACUAACGUAAACUUCUGGAACUCUAAAAAUUCUACCAAAAUAGGAAUUACUGUAAAAUUUGUUUAUUGAUUAGCAGAAAAAAGAAUCAAUGCUAAAGCAAGUUCCUGUGAUUUAUUGAAUUUUUGCUCGUGAGCGCAAAGUUUCUGUUUUUCAGCAGAAUCAAAUCAACUAUCAUCAUAGCUUAUCCUAUAGGUUCUACUUGGCACAAACACUAAUUAAAACAUAAAACCACAUCUAAACAGAAAGUAGAAACAAAAUUUAACACUAAACAGGAGCAAAAACAAAGAACACAAAAUAAAAUUGGGUUGCCUCCCAAUAAGCGCUAUCGUUUAACGCCCCUAGCUAGGCAUAAAAGCGAAGAUAGAUCUAAGUUUUGCCAUAAUAAUAGGAAAGAUCUUGAAAACUCAUCUCAUAUGCUCUACGUUCGGCAGCAAGCUUCCUUUGAGGCAAGCAAAAGUAAUCAAAAGGGCUAAAAUUGGUAGGACAAAGGUCCCCAAGAUCAAUAAAGGGAGGAAUAGGAUCCUCCUUCGGCCCUUCAGAGUGCACAACUAUUUCAUCACUAAAAGCAUUCUUUUGGCAAAAUUUUGUGAGCCUAUACUCAAGAGAGUAUCCUAGCUCAUCGUUUCAAAGAGCAAAGUCAUUAUUAAGUUCGUUAAUACAAUCAAUCAAGACUUUGGUAGGAACCUUUUUUCUAAGGUUUUCAUUAAAAGGGACAUAGUCGGAAGAUUGAAAGCGUCUAAAUUCCUCUUGAUCAUAAAGGAUUGCUUCUAUGGGAGGACGACCGGCGUCCACCCUAUAGUGCGCAAAGAUUUCUUUGGCUUCUCUAAUGAUAAAUCUAAACUCAUGAGCCAAAAAGAUAGUAAUAGCGCACUUAACAGAGGAGUUCUCAAUAUUAGAAAAUUCCAAGAAAAUUCUUUGUAUGCAAGGAUGCAUGUGCAUAAAUUGUCUUUCAAGUUCAACUACAAGCAUAGCGAUAGCAUCCGCAAGACUACUAGUUUUAUGAAGUAUAGAACAACCCAAGGAAGGUAAAGCACCGGUACAAGUAAAGAAAUCUUGAAUAACACCUUUGACAAUAAUGUUACCACUGCCGAUUCGAAACUUUUUAGUAUGCAAGAUAUGGGGUUCAUCGGCUGGAGCCUCAGGAUUUUCUAUACCAUUAUUAUUGUCCAUAUCGACGAUAAUCUCCCCAGUUUCAGACAUAGCGGCAAACAAAAAGGCGAAGAGAAAAAGGCAAAGGAGAAAAGAGAGGAGGAGAUUGGGAGAGAGAGGGCGAAUAAAACGGCAAGGGUGAAGUGGGGGAGAGGAAAACGAGAGGCAAAUAAUGUAAUGCGAGAGAUAGGGAUUGUGAUGGGUACUUGGUAUGGUUGACUUUUGCACAACUCCCCGGCAACGGCGCCAGAAAUUCUUCUUGCUACCUCUUGAGCACUGCGUUGGAUUUCCCCGAAGAGGAGAGGAUGAUGCAGUAAAGUAGCGUAAGUAUUUCCCUCGGUUUUUGAGAACCAAGGUAUCAAUCCAGUAGGAGAUCACGCACGAGUCCCUCGUACCUACACAAAACGAUAGCUACUCGCAACCAAUGCGAUUAGGGGUUGUCAAUCCCUUCACGGUUACUUACAAGGGCGAGAUCUGAUAGAGAUGAUAAAUAAUAUUUUUGGUAUUUUUGAUAUAGAGAUGCAAAGUGAAAAGUAAAAGGCAAAGUAAAAACAAAGAAAGUAAAUAAAGGAAUGGAGAUUGAUAUGAUGAGAAUAGACCCGGGGGCCAUAGGUUUCACUAGUGGCUUCUAUCAAGAGCAUAAGUAUUCUACGGUGGGUGAACAAAUUACUGUUGAGCAAUUGAUAGAAAAGCGAAUAAUUAUGAGAUUAUCUAGGUAUGAUCAUGUAUAUAGGCAUCAUGUCCAAGACAAGUAGAUCGAAAUGAUUCUGCAUCUACUACUAUUACUCCACUCAUCGGCCGCUAUCCAGCAUGCAUCUAGAGUAUUAAGUAAAACAAAGUAACGCCUUAAACAAGAUGACAUGAUGUAGAGGGAUAAAUUCAUGCAAUAUGAUAAGAACCCCAUCUUGUUAUCCUCGAUGGCAACAAUACAAUACGUGCCUUGCAACCCUUUCUGUCACUGGGUAAGGACACCGCAAGAUUGAACCCAAAGCUAAACACUUCUCCCAAUGCAAGAACUACCAAUCUAGUUGGCCAAACCAAACGGAUAAUUAGAAGAGACUUGCAAAGAUAACUCAAUCAUACAUAAAAGAAUUCUGAGAAGAAUCAAAUAUUGUUCAUAGAUAAGCUGAAUCAUAAACCCACAAUUCAUCGAUCUCAACAAACACACCGCAAAAAUAAGAUUACAUCGAAUAGAUCUCCACAAGAGAGGGGGAGAACAUUGUAUUGAGAUCCAAAAAGAGAGAAGAAGCCAUCUAGCUAAUAACUAUGGACCCGAAGGUCUGAAGUAAACUACUCACACUUCAUCAGAGAGGCUAUGGUGUUGAUGUAGAAGCCCUCCGUGGUACAUGGCCUCUCCGACGGAGCUCCGGAACAUGCCCCAAGAUGGGAUCUCGCAGAUACAGAAGGUUGCGGUGGUGGAAUUAGGUUUUUGGCUCCGUUUCUGACCUGACGGGGGUACGUAGGUAUAUAUAGGAGGAAGGAGUAAGAAACUUGUCGGAGGUCUCACACCUCUUGUCCGCUUUUCUCCCUUAGUUUGCAGGCUUAAGAAACUUGUCGGAGGUCUCACACCUCUUGACGUGGCACUAGCCUGAAAUACCAAUUUUAGCCCUUGGAACAUCUCAUAUGUUCCGUGACGUUUCAAAAAUCGUCUUCGGCGCCUCAAUUCUAAACUGUUUAACAUUAUUGAACUAUCACAUAGUCAUCAAAACGUGUAUGUCAGAUGUUCGCAACAUCCACAGACAACGUUCGAGGUUCAGCACACUGAGCGAUGCAUUAAGGACACAAGCCUUCUGUGUAGCAAUGAGGAUAAUCCUCAGUUUACGGACCCAGUCCGCAUAAUUCCUACUAUUAACUUUCAACUAAAUUUUCUCUAGGAUCAUAUCUAAAAUAGUAGAACUAAAGAGCGAGCUACGACAUAAUUUGCAAAAACCUUUUGACUAUGUUCAGGAUAAUUAAGUUCGUCUUAUGAACUCCCACUCAGAUAGACAUCCCUCUAGUCAUCUAAGUGAUACAUGAUCCGAGUCAACUAGGCCGUGUCCGAUCAUCACAUGAGACGGACUAGUCAUCAUCUGUGAACAUCUUCAUGUUGAUCGUAUCCACUAUAUGACUCAUGUUCGACCUUUCGGUCUCUUGUGUUCCGAUGCCAUGUCUGUACAUGCUAGGCUCGUCAAGUCAACCUAAGUGUUUCACGUGUGUAAAUCUGGCUUACACCCGUUGUAUGCGAACGUUAGAAUCUAUCACACCCGAUCAUCACGUGGUGCUUCGAAACAAUGAACUUUCGCAACGGUGCACAGUUAGGGGGAACACUUUCUUGAAAUUAUUAUGAGGGAUCAUCUUAUUUACUACCGUCAUUCUAAGCAAAUAAGAUGCAUAAACAUGAUAAACAUCACAUGCAAUCAAAUAGUGUCAUGAUAUGGCCAAUAUCAUUUUGCUCCUUUUGAUCUCCAUCUUUGGGGCUCCAUGAUCAUCAUCGUCACCGGCAUGACACCAUGAUCUCCAUCAUCAUGAUCUCCAUCAUCGUGUCUCCAUGAAGUUGUCUCGCCAACUAUUACUUCUACUACUAUGGCUAACGGUUUAGCAAUGAAGUAAAGUAAUUUUGGAAUUAUUCAGUGACACACAGGUCAUACUAUAAAUAAAGACAACUCCUAUGGCUCCUGCCGGUUGUCAUACUCAUCGACAUGCAAGUCGUGAUUCCUAUUACAAGAAUAUGAUCAAUCUCAUACAUCACAUAUAUUUCAUUCAUUACAUCCUUAUUGGCCAUAUCACAUCACACGGCAUAUGCUGCAAAAACAAGUUAGACAUCCUCUAAUUGUUGUUGCAAGUUUCUACGUGGCUGCUAUAGGUUUCUAGCAAGAACGUUUCUUACCUACGCCCAACUUGAUAUGCCAAUUUCUAUUUACCCUUCAUAAGGACCCUUUUCAUCGAAUCUGGUCCGACUAAAGUGGGAGAGACUGGCACCCGCUAGCCACCUUAUGCAACAAGUGCAUGUCAGUCGGUGGAACCUGUCUCACAUAAGUGUACAUGUAAGGUCGGUCCGGGCCGCUUCAUCCCACAAUACCGUCGAAACAAGAUAGGACUAGUAACGGUAAGCAUAUUGAACAAAUCAUCGCCCACAACUACUUUGUGUUCUACUCGUGCAUAGAAUAUACGCAUAGACAUAGCUCAUGAUGCCACUGUUGGGGAAUGUAGCAGAAAUUCAAAAUUUUCUACGCAUCACCAAGAUCAAUCUAUGGAGAUACUAGCAACGAGAGAGAGGGGAGUGCAUCUUCAUACCCUUGAAGAUUAUGAUGGGGAAGCGUUACAAGAACGUGGUCGGUGGAGUCGUUCACGAAGCGAUUCAGAUCGCGGCCGAAUCCGAUCUAAGCACCGAAGAACGGUGCCUCUGCGUUCAACACACGUGCAGCCCGAUGACAUCUCCCAUGCCUUGAUCCAGCAAGGAGAGAGGGAGAGGUUGGGGAAGACUCCGUCCAGCAGCAGCACAACGGCGUGGUGGUGAUGGAGGAGCGUGGCACUCCAGCAGGGCUUCGCCAAGCACUGCAAGAGACGAGGAGGGAGAGGGGUAGGGCUGCGCCAGGAGAGAGGGAAACUCAUGUGCUUGGCAGCCCCAAAAAACCCACUAUAUAUAGGGGAAGGGGAGAGGGAGCCGGCCCCAUCCAGAUCCCAUCUAGAGGGGAGGGGUGGCGGCCAGGAGGGGAGGCUUGCCCCCCAAGCAAGGUGGAGGCGCCCCCCUCCCCUAGGGUUUUCAACCCUAGGCGCCUUGGGCCCUUAGGGAGGGGCGCACCAGCCCACUAGGGGCUGGUUCCCUCCCAUAUUCAGCCCAUCAAGUCCCCCGGGGCAGGUGGCCCCACCCGGUGGACCUCCGGACACCUUUCGGUGGUCCCAGUACAAUACCGAUAACCCCCAAAACUAUUCCGGUGACUGAAACUGGACUUCUCAUAUAUAAAUCUUUACCUCUGGACCAUUCCAGAACUCCUCGUGACGUCCGGGAUCUCAUCCAGGACUCUGAACAACAUUUGGUAACCACAUACAAACUUCCUUUAUAACCCUAGUGUCGGUGUCAAAACCGGCGGAUCUCGGGUAGGGGGUCCCGAACUGUGCGUCUAGGCGGAUGGUUACAGGAGACAAGGGACACGAUGUUUUUACCCAGGUUCGGGCCCUCUCGAUGGAGGUAAAACCCUACUCCUACUUGAUUAAUAUUGAUGAUAUGGGUAGUACAAGAGUUGAUCUACCACGAGAUCAGAGAGGCUAAACCCUAGAAGCUAGCCUAUGGUAUGAUUGUUGUUCGUCCUACGGACUAAAACUCUCCGGUUUAUAUAGACACCGGAGAGGGCUAGGGUUACACAAAGUCAGUUACAAUGGGAGGAGAUCUACAUAUCGUAUCGCCAAGCUUGCCUUCCACGCCAAGGAAAGUCCUAUCCGGACACAGGACGGAGUAUUCAAUCAUGUAUCUUCAUAGUCCGGGAGUCCGGCCAAAGGUCAUAGUCCGGCCAUCCGGACACCCCCUAAUCCAGGACUCCCUCAGUAGCCCCUGAACCAGGCUUCAAUGAUGACGAGUCCGGCGAGCAAAUUGUCUUCGGCAUUGCAAGGCGGGUUCCUCAUCCGAAUACUUCAUAGAAGAUGUUGAACACAAGGAUAGUGUCCGGCUCUGCAAAAUAUUUUCCACAUACCACCGUAGAGAGAAUAACAUUCGCACAAAUCUAAUCUGCUGACAUAUUUCGUAGCAUGACAUCAUGCCACAGCCAAGCUUUUAUUCGAAUCGUUUUACUGUCCCACCUCAGCGUGUUUAGCGAGGUGGUUUCCUUGGCACGUCUUGUCAAAGCAGAGAUUGUGUCCCCUUAUUCCGGGAUUCUCAUCAAUAUGGGCGUGGGUAACCCAACCGCGCCAUUAUUCGUGGUGCUUGGGAGAUAAGCGAGUUUUAUUAGGCUGGUGGGGGCUCAUAGUUUCGUCCGCCCAUAUAAGGGGAUAAGGAUCCACCCUUUCCAUCUACGCCUUCUUCCUCCUCUGCUUAUCCAUUCCUGCGCACUCGAGCUCCAGUGCCCAAGUCUGCACUUACCACCUCAACCUUCUCCAAUCAUGUCCGGAGCGGGAGGUAGAUGGAUGGCCUCCACCGUCAUGGAGGGGCACAUCAAAAAGUUGAGGAAAGCCGGAUACUUGUCUAACGACAUCGUGCACCGGCUCCCAGAUGAGGGGCAACUCAUCCCCACCCCUAGGCCCCAUGAGAGGGUCGUGUUUCUCCCCCAUUUCCUCUGCGGACUGGGCUUUCCUCUUCACCCGUUUGUCCGGGGGCUCAUGUUCUACUACGGCCUGGAUUUCCAUGAUCUGGCCCCGAAUUUUAUCCUCAACAUCUCGGCGUUUAUCGUCGUGUGCGAGGCCUUCCUCCACAUCAAGCCUCACUUCGGCCUAUGGCUGAAGAUCUUCAGCGUCAAGCCGAAGGUCGUGGGCGGUCAGCAAGCGGAGUGCGGAGGCGCCAUGGCGGGCAAGAUGCCCAACGUCACAUGGCUCGAGGGCUCCUUCAUAGAAACCAUCAAAGGGUGGCAAUCAGGGUGGUUCUAUAUCACCGAGCCGUGUGACCCUGAGUGGGCAGCGGCCCCCGAAUUCCAAUCUGGCAUCCCCACCUGGCUCACGUCCUGGAAAGAGACGGGCCUGUUGUGGGGUAAUCCGGAAGAGGUGGCCGGACUCCAAACCUGCGUCCAAGACCUGGUGAACAAAAAGUUAAACUUGUCAACGUAGUCCAGGCCAUGCUCUUCCGUCGGAUCCUCCCGUGUCAACAACGGGCUUUCAACUUGUGGGAGUUCGACCCGGCUUAGCACCAGACUCUGUCCAGGCUCUUUGACACAAAGCAUGAGGACGCCUGGAAGGUGCUAUUCAAGAGCUCUGAGGUCUCCCCUCCCGUCACCGAGGAUCGUGGAUUUUGCGCCAAGUGCCAAGCCACCGAAGUAAGCUUGUUUUUAUCCUUUACAGGAUACUUGAUUUUCAUAGUUUGACUCUAUGCAGGAUCUAAACUCCCGCUCCUUUAACAGGACUGGAAGAGGACGUCCGAACAGUUUGACUGUCCGGCCCCUUUGCCCGAAGGCCCAGCAGAUGCACGCUUGACGAAGCUGCUAAUUCCGGCACCCCACGUGGUGCCGGAGAAGAAGGCCAAAAAGAAGGCCACGGGGACUCGAAAGAGUAGCCAACGCCUGGUGGUGUCGGAUUCAUCGCCCGACGACCCCGAAGCACCCUCCGCCUCCAAAGACGAGGAGGAGGAAGAAGAAGCCUCUCCCCCUCCAGCGGGGGGAGGAAAGAAAAGGAAGGCCUCCCCAACUGGGGAGGCCGAAGGGUCCAAGAAGGGGAGGACCCUUCUACCGGACUACGCCUCCGACGCCAAAGACGGCGGAGAAGAAUGGCCAUCUAGGGUCAAGCCCCUGGCAAAAUCGUAAGUAUCCAGAUACCAGAAUAACUUAUGGCGCUCCUCUAUUGUACAGUACCUUCUAACGCCGAAUUCAAUCAUGUAGUCCGCCCAAGGCUCAGCUCGGCGAUUCGUCGAGCGGCUCCCUGGAUUCGUCGGAUGUGAAUAGCAAUUCACUCCCGACGGCCUCCACCCCUCGCCCUACGGACGAUGUUGAGGUGGAGUCCCAAAAGGGGCUAAACCAGGAGGAGGUGGUCCUGGAGGCGCCGCAAGGCGACCUCCCAGACUCCAGGCCCAAAGGGGAUGAAGCCCCAGAGGGAUCUAAGUCCAGCCCUAGGCUAGAUACCGCUCCGGAACCUUCAUUGGUUCCGGAGUCUGGCAGGCGGCCCCUUCGCAAGAAGGGCAAGCCUACAACGCCGGUGGCCUCCGUCCAACCGGAGGCGCCGGACAAUUUGCUGGAGGUGCUUAACGGCGCCUCCAUCGACGAGGAGCACCGCACUGUUAUGAGUGCGGUGAUUCAGAAGGUUCAGUCCGCCAAGAGCGGGCUGACAGAAGCCUGUACCGGCCUGCUAAGAUGCUUUGAGGCAUGUAUUUAAAACAUAUAAAAAUGUUACCGCAUAGACAGUAGCCCCUGAUGCUCAGUUUGGUGUUCGAAAAGAAAAGCCGGACUGAGGAUCUUAAAAAUAUAUACGCAGGAGUCUAACAUAAAUAUGUCAAUUGGGAAUGCAGGCUGCGCUGCUGACCUCUGCCGCACUGACUGCGGAGGUCGAUGCAUUGAAGCAGAGUCUCGAGCGGUCCGAGAAUGAGCUCGGCCGUGCCAAGAAGUAGCUCGAGGACCAGGAAGGUAUGUAAUACCUUAUGUAAGUAUAUAAAAAAUACCUAGUUGCAAAUAAUGACAGGACCAACGUGAAUGUUGUAGGGGCCACAUCCGAGGUGGCGACCCUGAAGGAAGCGCUAUCCAAGGCCAAAGACAAUGCGGCCGUGGAGCGCACUGAGCGAGAAAAUCAAGAGGCGCGGGUGGCGGAGGUGCGGCAAGAGCUCGAUGCUCUCGUGAAAAAACAUGAGAGUUUAGAGCUUGACUCAAAGACUCGAGAGUCCGAGCUUGCCUCGGCACUUGAAAGCGCCAAAUCUGCCAAGGCCGAAGCCCAGAAAGCCCUCCAGGAAAUUGAGGCGAUGAAAAGGAUUGCGGCGGUUAAGGCAUUCUUUAUGCAAAGCAAGCACGUGAAAGUAAAUUACCUAUUACUUACACACAUCCGGAGCUCUCCAGGAGCAUUCGCAGAUCUGCCCCAUAGUGUAUCCGACGCCGCCGCAUUCUACCGGGCCGAGGAAGGAAGCUCGGCGGAGAAGGUGUUCUGGUCCCAGUAUGCUGAGGCCGAAUCCCCAGUGCCCUUGAGCGACCAGCUGAAGCAGCUGGUCGAGCUUCAUAAGGCAGCCGAACAGGCCAUGAAGGGCCUGAUAGGCCGGCUAUGGCCUGGGGAGGUCAUGCCUUUGAGCUACUUUGGGCUGGUGCAGCGGCUGGUGGAUGCCUGUCCACAGCUUCAAGUCAUCAAGCGCUCUGUGUGCAUCGAGGGUGCUCGUAGGGCUUUUGCCCGUGCUAAAGUGCACUGGGGUAAGCUGGAUGCUGAGAAACUAGUGAAGGAUGGGCCACCGGAGGGGAAGGAGCAUCGCAGGCCCGAGAUGUAUUAUGAGGGCGUCCUGAAGGGUGCCCGUCUUGUAGCAAAUGAAUGUACCGGGGAUGUAAUUUUUGAGUAAACUCGCUCUUGUUUAUCCUGUGCGCUGAAAACUUGUUCAUAUGCGCUAAACAACGCUUUUUGAAUUUAAAAUAUUACCUGCUAUGCGGCCGUUUAUGAAAUCUGAGAGAUGCAAGUCGUCAGCUUCUACCCCCAUGCCACGAGUGCUGGGGUGUUCGGGAUAAACCUGAGCGCUCUUGUUCCCAUUCUUGGGUCCAUCUAGGGAGGGGCUCAGCACAACGAACAAGUCCAUCGGACUUAUAAUGCUUUAUCACUCUCACUUAGCCAUAGAAUUCUAUAAUUUUAAAUUUUGGCGAAGCCCCUAGUAUUUGGAAGACCAAGUUCGGGGCGCUAUCCACGCCUAGGCCGGAUAAAUCCAGCUCCUCGCUCUAAGCGGCAUAAGUCUUUAGGGACUCGAAGAACCUCUCGAACAGCGACCGGUCUCUCGCCCUAUCAUGACGGUCAGUUUUAGCUUUGUCUACUGAGGUGUUAACCCAGCUCAACUGGGGCACAAUCGCAGUAGUUCUCCCAGUGCUACCUUAGCCGACAUUGCGGAACGUAAGGUACCAAAACAUGGGAGCUGGGCAAACCCAACUAUUGACCCAAGACAUGAUUCGGAGCUGAUGCAUAUAGUGCUAUAAGUUCGGGGUGCCGCACUCAUGAGAGUGUUCGGUCUUCUCACACCAUAUUAUGGGGUACUUAAGCCCCUGGUGUAUUGGCCGUACCAAAGUGUACGGUUGCAUAAUGUCAUGACUGAACAUAUUUAUAUAAAAAUAAAUGAAUACAAUAACAGACAAGAGCUAUGUAUUGUUUAUUAAAAAGGGCUGCUAUGAAAGCAGAAUAAUACAAAUAGUGCGAUAAGCAAGAGAUGGGAUUAUUUGACAUGUCCCCCUCCAGGGGCAAGCUGCGAGACUUUAAGUAAAACAGGUAUUUAGCUCGUUAUAGAGACCACCUGGACAUUUGACGUGGCUUGUUGUCUCCCUGGCUAUUGCAUCGUGUAUUCGGCGAGUGUAUUGCCGGACAGGCCUUCCGAAUAGUUGGGUCCUGAAAGUAUAUAAAAAAGAAAUGGCAAAAUCGGGAGCCCCUAGUGCGGUUGAGCCGCAUUCUGGGCGUGCCGUGGCUGUGCCCCUCCCCUUAUGCCCAUGGUAUUUCCAGAGCGUAGUUAUGUACGCGUGGUACCACUAUUGCCAUCUUGCGAGGGCUGGGGUUGGGGCCGCACUGCUAUGCUUGCUCGAAACGUGCCAGCCGGUUUUGUUGUAGGUUACUUCGGGCGCGCUUGACGUUGUCCGGACGUUUAACAGCCGGAUUGGAGAAUUGCCUUGAGAGGCUACUUUGUACUUCCGCGGCCAGGGCCGCCGUGUGCUCCUCUGUUCGGAGAGAGCGUUCGGUGUUUCCAUUGACCGUAAUGACUCUGCGAGGGCCUGGCAUCUUGAGCUUGAGAUAUGCGUAGUGCGGCACCGCAUUAAAUUUUGCGAAUGUGGUUCAUCCGAGCAGGGCGUGAUAGCCACUGCAGAAUGGGACUAUGUCGAAGAUUAACUCUUCACUUCGGAAAUUAUUCGGGGAUCCGAAGACCACUUUGAGUGUAACUGAGCCUGUACAACUGGCUUCUACACCUGGUAUGACGCCUUUAAAGGUUGUCUUUGUGGGUUUAAUCCUUGAGGGGUCUAUACCCAUUUUUCGCACUGUAUCCUGAUAAAGCGGGUUCAGGUUGCUGCCACCGUCCAUGAGGACUCUAGUGAGGUGAAAUCCGUCAAUGAUUGUGUCUAGGACCAAUGCGGCGAAUCCGCCAUGACGAAUGCUAGUGGGGUGGUCCCUUCGAUCAAAAGUGAUCGGGCAAGAGGACCAUGGGUUGAACUUUGGGGCGACUGGCUCCAACGCAUAGACGUCCUUGAGAGCACGCUUCCGCUCCCUUUUGGGGAUAUGGGUUGCGUAUAUCAUGUUCACCGUCCGCACUUGUGGGGGGAAGCCCUUCUGUCCUCUGUUGUUCGGCGGCCGGGGCUCCUCCUCGUCAUCGCUAUGCAGCCCCUUGUCUCUGCUUUCGGCACUUAACUUGCAUGCCUGCUUGAACACCCAACAAUCCCUGUUGGUUUGAUUGGCUGGUUGUUCAGGGGUGCCGUGUAUCUAGCACGAGCGAUCGAGUCCGGUCUAAACUGGAUGGGCCCGGAGGAUUACUUUUGAAUGGCUUCUUCCGCUGACCGGGUUUAGAGCCUCUGAAUCCGGCAUUAACUGGCGUAUCCUCAGUAUUAUCGCCGUUUAUGCGGCGCUUGUGCUUGUUACGACGUGACCUGCCAUUGUUGUCCUUGGUAUCUGAGUUACCAGGGAUCUUGGUUAUGUUAUUGCUACAAGCUAGCCAGCUAUCUUCUCCCGCGCAAAAGCGGGUCAUGAGUGUCGUGAGGGCUGCCAUAGAUUUCGGAUUUUCCUGUCCUAGGUGUCGGGCAAGCCAUUCGUCUCGGAUGUUGUGCCUGAAGGCUGCAAGAGCCUCUGCGUCCGGACAGUCGACUAUUUGAUUUUUCUUGGUUAGGAACCGCGUCCAAAAUUUUCUGGCUGAUUCUUCUGGCUGCUGGAUUAUGUGGCUUAGGUCAUCAGCGUUUGGUGGUCGCACAUAAGUGCCCUGGAAGUUGUCAAGGAAUGCGGAUUCCAGGUCCUCCCAGCAACUAGUUGACUCUGCUAGCAGGCUGUUAAGCCAAUGCCGAGCUGGUCCUUUAAGCUUGAGUGGGAGGUAUUUGAUGGUGUGUAGAUCACCAUGGGCCAUGUGGAUAUGAAGGAGAUAAUCCUCGAUCCAUACCGCAGGAUCUGUUGUGCCAUCGUAUGAUUCGAUGUUUACGGGUUUGAAACCCUCGGGGAUUUGAUGAUCCAUUACUUCGUUUGUGAAGCAUAGUGGUUGUGUGGCGCCCCUGUACUGGGCUAUAUCGCGACGUAGCUCGGAUGAGCUUUGUCUGUUGUGUUCGGCCUGGCCGUAUUUGUCAUAUCCGGCAUGACGGUUACCGUCAUGUGACGUGGGGCGCCCACGCGAUCCGUAGAUUGAUCUUGUUUGCCUUGCCUUAUCCUCCAAUAUGUCUCGUAGGUCUGGUGCGUUUCCCCGUGCUCUGGUGUUUUUUGAGCGGCACUGGGGUGCGGCUUGAGUUGAGGGCCGAAAGGCCUCUCUGUUGCGGCCACGGGGUGGCCAAUCGGCCGCAUCAUACGCUGGUGAUGUGGGUUUAGUUGCUUCCUCCUCUAGUUAGGGUAGCAGCCUGCGCUUUGGGUAGCUCUUGGAGGGGCGUUCGAGUUUAUACUCUUCGGCCGCCAGGACUUUAGUCCAUCUGUCGGCUAGCAAAUCUUGGUCAGCUCUAAGCUGCUGCUGUUUUUUCUUGAGGCUGCUUGCCGUGGCCAUAAGCCUGUGUUUGAAACGCUCUUGUUUGGCAGGAUCCUCUGGCACGACAAAUUCGUCGUCGUCGAGGCUUGCCUCGUCUUCGGAGGGAGGCAUGUCAUUGUCGUCCUCGACCUCCUUGUCUGCCGCUCUCUCAUGAGGGUUGGCUUCUCCGUCCUCCUACGCUGAAUCCUGCUGGAGGGGGUUGUCUUCGGCACUGUCCGGGGUGUUGUUAUCUCCAGUGCCGGACUCGCCAUUUUUGCUUUGGCGGGAUUUAGAGCGGCGCCGCUGACGUCGGCGCUUAGGUUGCUUCUUGGAGGGGUCAUCCUCCGUUUUUUCAUCGCCAUUCCCUGCUUUUGGGGUGUCACCAUGUAUAUGUCAUAUGACGAGGUGGCUUUCCAGUGCCCUAUAGGUGCUGGUUCUUGUUCUUCUCCUUCAUCGGCGUCCAUACCGUCGACGUCUUCGGAGUCGAAGUCGAGCAUGUCGGUUAAAUCGUUAAUAGUGGCUAUGAAGUGGGUGGUGGGUGGGUUUCGAAUUUCUUCGUCGUCCGCAUCCCAACCUUGCUGACCAUAGUCCGGCCAGGGCUCUCCUCACAAAGAGAGGGACUUUAGUGAAUUCAGGAUGUCGCCAAAGGGCGAGUGCUGAAAGACGUCUGCGGCGGUGAACUCCAUGAUCGGAGCCCAAUUGGGUUCGAUCGGAAGGGAUGUGGAAGAUCCGGAGUUCGGAGGAGUCCGGCACCUUGGAGUCACAGGCCUCACAAAGGACUAGGCUGGUAUUCAGCUCGAUCACCGUAGAGAUUGCAGCUUCCCGGGCGGCGUCCAACCGUUCGUCCCCGAUUGGCGCGGUCAGCUCCGAGCUAAGGGUCGGAGCGGACACCUGAGCGGCGCUCUGAGCACUAUCCGGCGGCAGAGCUAGAUCAUGCCCGUUGUGACAGUGCGGCGUGCUCGGCCGUGGCUCGAAUCCGUCGAAGAUCAAGUCCCCGCGGAUGUCGGCCGUGUAGUUUAAGCUUCAAAAUCUGAACUGAUGGCUAGGGGCGUAGCUUUUGAUCUGCUCUAGAUGGCCAAGCGAAUUGGCCCGCAGUGCGAAGCCGCCGAGCACGAAGAUCUGUCCGGGGAGAAAAGUCUCACCCUGGACUGCGUCGUGGUUGAUGAUCGAAGAAGCCAUCGAGCCUAAAGGUGACGACACAGAGGAACUCUCAAUGAAAGCACCAGUGUCGGUGUCAAAACCGGCGGAUCUCGGGUAGGGGGUCCCGAACUGUGCGUCUAGGCGGAUGGUUACAGGAGACAAGGGACACGAUGUUUUUACCCAGGUUCGGGCCCUCUCGAUGGAGGUAAAACCCUACUCCUACUUGAUUAAUAUUGAUGAUAUGGGUAGUACAAGAGUUGAUCUACCACGAGAUCAGAGAGGCUAAACCCUAGAAGCUAGCCUAUGGUAUGAUUGUUGUUCGUCCUACGGACUAAAACUCUCCGGUUUAUAUAGACACCGGAGAGGGCUAGGGUUACACAGAGUCGGUUACAAUGGGAGGAGAUCUACAUAUCGUAUCACCAAGCUUGCCUUCCACGCCAAGGAAAGUCCUAUCCGGACACGGGACGAAGUCUUCAAUAUUGUAUCUUCAUAGUCCGGGAGUCCGGCCAAAGGUCAUAGUCCGGCCAUCCGGACACCCCCUAAUCCAGGACUCCCUCACCUAGCGUCAUUGAACCUUAAGUGUGUAGACCCUACGGGUUCGGGAAUCAUGUAGACAUGACCGAGACACCUCUCCGGCCAAUAACCAACAGCGGGAUAUGGAUACCCAUGUUGGCUCCCACAUGUUCCAUGAUGAUCUCAUCGGAUGAACCACGAUGUCAAGGAUUCAAGCAAUCCCGUAUACAAGUCCCUUUGUCAAUCGGUACGUUACUUGCCCGAGAUUCGAUCGUCGGUAUCCCAAUACGUCGUUCAAUCUCGUUACCGGCAAGUCACUUUACUCAUUCUGUAAUGCAUGAUCCCGUGACUAACUACUUAGUCACAUUGAGCUCAUUAUGAUGAUGCAUUACCGAGUGGGCCCAGAGAUACCUCUCCGUCAUACGAAGUGACAAAUCCGAGUCUCGAUUCGCGCCAACCCAACAAACACUUUCGGAGAUACCUAUAGUGCACCUUUAUAGUCACCCAGUUACGUUGUGACGUUUGGUACACCCAAAGCACUCUUACGGUAUCCGGGAGUUAAACAAUCUCAUGGUCUAAGGAAAUGAUACUUGACAUUAGAAAAGCUUUAGCAGAUGAACUACACGAUCUUGUGCUAUGCUUAGGAUUGGGUCUUGUCCAUCACAUCAUUCUCCUAAUGAUGUGAUCCCGUUAUCAAUGACAUCCAGUGUCCAUGGUCAGGAAACCAUGACCAUCUAUUGAUCAACGAGCCAGUCAACUAGAGGCUCACUAGGGACAUGUUGUGGUCUAUGUAUUCACACAUGUAUUACGAUUUCCGGUUAAUACAAUUAUAGCAUCAACAAUAGACAAUUAUCAUGAACAAGGAAAUACAGUAAUAACCAUUUUAUUAUUGCCUCUAGGGCAUAUUUUCAACAUGGCAUACUUGUGCAGGAUAGAUAUAUUGAUAAGCAGUUUGCGCACUGGUUAUACGUGCAAUUACACUUCGAUAUUUUCAGCCAGAGAAUGAAUAAUUCAAGCAGGUACAGACCAUGUUUUUAGUCCUUGUACACCAUGUUGCAUUUUUGUUUUUUGGUGCUUGCAUCAUUUAGUGUUUAUAAUCUAAACUACUUUGGAUCAUUAGCUGGUUUUCAAAGUGCAUGUAGCUUCACAUUUCUCAAGUUAUGUUGAUUUCCGGAGUGCAAGUGCCUUCGUAUUUUUUAAGUUAAAUGUUCGCCCCUGGUAACUUGAAUUCAUGGAUCAGCCACUGCACACAAAUCAUACACGAAGGCCAGUACGGAUUAAAUGAAAUGCAGGGACUUACGCUAGCUCGUUGUACGGGCUCACCGCAGCUCUGCUUGCGCUUGGGAUGUUCCAUGUACAAGUCCAUGUUACCACUUGCUUGGAUGUGCAGGCCUUGUGCUCCUUGCAUCCCCCUCUGUAUUUUUGACACGGCGAAUGGUUGAUCAAAUAAGAGGAAUCGACCUUGAUGUUGUACCGGAGGAUAGAUACUUACAAGGUUAUACGGGUGUGCAGGAUGUGUACCAAAUCCCGUAGCGCCGUCAUGCUUCGCUAAAAAUGGAUUUGCUUGUUUCAGAUGAUAUCUCCAGAAGAAAUAAGAGUUAAAGUCAGAGUUGCAUAGGCGUGUAAGCUAAGAGAGCGGUGAAAGGAUAUCCAAACAUCGUCGGAACAGUGCACAAGGGAGUGAUGUGUGGGCAUGCUCGCCUAGCUAGAGUGCGGGUCACUUCAGAGCCAUUGAGAGUGAUGCGCUGGCGUUGGCUGGCCGUGCAUGGAUGCAGAUCUUGAGUGGCAGCGGAGUGCAACGAUGCAGUGGAUGAGACCGUUGGUGAAGCCCCAACGGCCUCGGGGAGAGAAGGUGCGACGAUGUGCUCGCUGAAGUAGCCCCGGUGAGCUGGGAGAUGGCGUCGGUGAAGCGCACCUGAUGCGGUGGAACUCGGUGUCUGUGAGGCACGUCGGUUGCGGCGGCCGACGUUGUCGGUGGACCACCCGGUGCGGUGGACGAGGGCGUAGAUGAGGUAGCUCCGGUGCGGUGGUGAAGCGCGAUCGUCGUCUUCGUCGUCGUUGUCCGGCCCAGAGGUGGGGAACGGUGGGGAAAGAGAUGAGACGAGGGGCGAUUCGAAUUUGCUUGGGUUGACGGCGAAUUAGGGAUUUGAGCAAUCUAGGCGCGGAAGGGGACGGUGGAGAAGAGAGAUUUUGCAGGGCUGGAAUUGGGGCCGCCAGAUAUUUCAAUCCGAAACAUGGAAGCGCGAACUUAUUUUGUCGUCGUCCUUUUCUUUGGGGGGGUGGGUGGCUGGGUGCUAUGCAUCCGUCCGACACACGCAACCACCCCGACAGAACUAUGCUUCGGUGCCUUAAGGCACCUGCCUUUGUGUCCAUGACAUGUGGGCCCAACAGGUGGCUGGCUCACAUGUCAGUGACCCAAAGGCAGUUGCCUUUAAGGCACCGAAGCAGCGUCCACCCCGACACGACCCUGGUCUGCCUGGUGCGCCUACAUUUGAGAAUGCAAACGAAUCUUCUUUCAUUUGCAAACGAAUCUGUAUGUAUUACCAUGCCNNNNNNNNNNNNNNNNNNNNNNNNNNNNNNNNNNNNNNNNNNNNNNNNNNNNNNNNNNNNNNNNNNNNNNNNNNNNNNNNNNNNNNNNNNNNNNNNNNNNNNNNNNNNNNNNNNNNNNNNNNNNNNNNNNNNNNNNNNNNNNNNNNNNNNNNNNNNNNNNNNNNNNNNNNNNNNNNNNNNNNNNNNNNNNNNNNNNNNNNNNNNNNNNNNNNNNNNNNNNNNNNNNNNNNNNNNNNNNNNNNNNNNNNNNNNNNNNNNNNNNNNNNNNNNNNNNNNNNNNNNNNNNNNNNNNNNNCAGAUAUUUCAAUCCGAAACAUGGAAGCGCGAACUUAUUUUGUCGUCGUCCUUUUCUUUGGGGGGGUGGGUGGCUGGGUGCUAUGCAUCCGUCCGACACACGCAACCACCCCGACAGAACUAUGCUUCGGUGCCUUAAGGCACCGAAGCAGCGUCCACCCCGACACGACCCUGGUCUGCCUGGUGCGCCUACAUUUGAGAAUGCAAACGAAUCUUCUUUCAUUUGCAAACGAAUCUGUAUGUAUUACCAUGCCCGUGUUUUCUUUGCAAUAAUUAGUUAUUCGAAACGAGAUACUCCCUCCGUUCACUUUUGUAAGUCGUUUCAGAUAACUUAAAAUGAACUGUUUUGCACAUUGUCUGAAAUGUCUUCAAGGUCUUGUAAAAGUGAACAGAGGGAGUACUAUAAAUUAAUUAAUGAGGAGUUAUUUGAAAAAAAAUCAAAACGGUACCCACGCUAAUGUGGAUUAGAGUGUGUGUGUGUGUGUGUUACAUAAUUAGUUAUUUGAAUUAGAGUGUGUGUCACGUAGUUAGUUAUUUGAAUUAGAGUGUGUGUCAUGUAGCGAUCUCCAAUUCUAACGUGGAUUUUGCAUUUCACUGUAUCCAUGCUACUUUUUUAAUACAAAUUCAUAUGUAUAUGAUGAACACCAUGGUAGUGAGAAAACUUUUGGAUGGAUUCAAACAUAUGACCUACAAAAAAGCACAAAAAAUUGAGUCAAUGUCAACUUUUCGAAACUUAGUAUGGCACGAAUUCAAAAUAAUUACCCGUAUGCCUCAUCCUCGGUUCAAAUCUUACAAUGUACACCGAAUUGAGACAUUGAUAUUAAGUCUCGUACUAUGUACAUUCAAAUGUUAUUUUUNNNNNNNNNNNNNNNNNNNNNNNNNNNNNNNNNNNNNNNNNNNNNNNNNNNNNNNNNNNNNNNNNNNNNNNNNNNNNNNNNNNNNNNNNNNNNNNNNNNNNNNNNNNNNNNNNNNNNNNNNNNNNNNNNNNNNNNNNNNNNNNNNNNNNNNNNNNNNNNNNNNNNNNNNNNNNNNNNNNNNNNNNNNUCUCCAUGUUUCGAUCUCUAAGUCUCUCAACUACACAACCCCAUUUUCCAUUCUGUUACCAAAUGUAUUUACCUCACACACCCGCCAUUGCACCCCAUGCCAAGCUCUUUCUCCCUCCCCCCUCUCCCUCUCACCCUCUCACGCUAAAUACAUGCAUUGCCUAUCUAUCCCCCCAACCUCUCGUGCGCACGCAUGCACGUUGUAUAUCUAGGUCACUCCCUCGAGACUGUCUCACUCUUUCUUCCGCACGGCGGGACACACUCGCUCAAUCUCGCUCUCUUUAUCUGAGUCUCGUUUAACCUCGUUUUCUUUCACACACAAAUGAUAUAUCUCCCUGUUCAGGCCUCGAUCGACACACUCUAUACUCACUCACGCAGAUUGUCUAUCUAUGCCAGUCCAUCCAAGCCGCCGCCACUCCUUCGACCUCAUGGUGGGCCACGCUCACUCAAUCUCUCUCUCUCACUCACUCUCUCUCUCUCUCUCUCUCUCUCUCUCUCUCUCUCUCUCUUUGUAUGUCUCGAUUUACCUCGCUCUUUCUCGGACAAAAACGAUAUAUCACCAUGUUUGAGCCCAAUUCGACCUAUUCACAUUGUAUACUCUCUCACGCACAUUGUCUAUCUAGGUCACUCUCUCCAACCCGUCUCACUCUUUCGAUCGCACGGCGACCCUAUGUGAUCGGUUGACCUUGCUUCCUCCCACGCACAAAAUAUAUCUACACAUUUGUGACUGGAUCUUCUCUCAAGCUCUAUCUUACAACCCUCACCCUUGCCAAAAGCUCAAUCGGACAAUAUCUCUCCAGAGCAUAUAUAUUUGUUCAAUGAAUGUCGGACCACACUCACUUUGUCUCUCUAUCUAUAUGUCUCUCGAUUGACCUCGCUUUCUCACACCGUAUCUUCCACGCGUUGAAGCUACUACCUCUCCACCCCUUGCAAAGCCAGAGCUAUUUACAUUGCGAGGGGCACUACAACCUUGGAUUAAUUUGUGUAGGCAUUUAUUCCGGUCGGUUUAGAUUAUAUUAUCGUAGCAUUCGGUCCACAACUACUCCAAACACCGUUGCAACCCACACUACUCCCCUAGUUGAUUUCCCUCUGGCUCAGUCAUCGCUCUCUCACACGUCCUUUCUCGCCUUCAACGUCGCACCAUGGUAUUAUUGAAAAAACUAUGUUGGUCUCUUUAAUUAUUAUAAAUAAGCUACAAAACUACACACCGAUAGUCCACUUGGAAUGGAACAAAUUUCGACCCACAAAUUAAAGUGCUAAAAACUACACAACGAGGGGCCCACAUGUCAUGAAACAAAUUUGGACCCAUAUACAAAUUAAAAAAUAAAGGACCAGGAUCGAACAUGCGACCGGGCCUUCAAGCCACACGUCAAUAGGCAACAUACACGUAGAAUAGCAAUGUUUGCUGUACCCCCUUUGUUCACAUAAUGUUUUUAUAUUACCACAGCCUAAUUAAUGGAUAACAUGUAAUAUUAUUUUUAGUACUAUUCGCCUUCACUUACUGGUGGGUUCCAUGUGUGCUCUCUCUCUCCUCACCUUUUGCGUUUAGACGCACGGGCAAACAGGAAGAACUCGCAGACGAUGUUGUCGUUGACCAUAUCUGGACGCGUUCACAAGUCACGGCACCAGUUUCACGUACUAGCAGCACUAGUCAGUGUGUACAUGCAAUGCACGUUAAUUUGUAAGUAUAUUAAGUGCAUGCGGAUAUUAAGUACUAGGAUAUUAUUUGCGUGUUGUUAUGUGAUUAGCACUAUUUUUGGCAUGAAAUUAACUACACGCUAAACGUGUUGAGCGCUCGACAUUGAAGCAGUCUAGGUCGUUGGAUGACAAGGAAUACAUGUGGCUUGAUGACGUUUUAUAUUUAAUUUGAUACGGCUCUAGCAGGACAUUCAAUCGAUCAAAUCAUAGAUUUCGUUCAGUCUGACUCCGACUUUAAAUUAUACGAUGAUCGAUAUAAAAUAAACGGAAAUGAUAAACGUUCGGAUUUUAAGCAUGGCAAUCCGAACGGUUUUCAUGGCAAAUUUAGAUUACGCGACGGCGGGGGGGGGCGUCUCGCGGUGGGAAGCGGCUCCUCUGUCGUGCUAUGUGUGUCGUCGGGCCACUGGCCGACGGUGAUGGCGGCGUCUUGCGCCGUUGUUGGCGUACUCCUGGACGUUGGCCUAGCUUCAAGGAAGGCCAAAAUGUUCUGGACUUCGGAGCGAGUCAACUGGCUGGAGGACGCAACUGACGUUGGUGCAAGGAAGCGGUCGACGGCGGCCAUCUAUGCCGCUGAGGGGGGCACUGGCACAUGUACGGGGACAGGCGCUGUCAACGGCGCGGCGGAGACAUUCGUGAGCACAGGCGCGCACGUAAAUGCACGCGCAGGCGCAUGCGCUGGCAGGUGCACGGGCACCGGCACGGGCGUGCGCGUCAGCACACGCGCAGGCGCAUGCGUUGGCAGGUGAUGGGCGCGUGAAAGUCGGCGGGGACCUCGUGGAACCCCGUGGGAUCAAGCUCGGCGACAAUAUGCGACUCCCAGCCCAUCAAUGCCAUGGGGAUGGGUGCUGGCGCAGUCGCGGCGACGGGAGCCGGAAAGGGAGCAGGGACAGGCGCGGCAUCUUCCCGCAAGGCCAGUUCAAGUGCGUCCCAAAGCACCUUAUGUUCUUGAGACUCCGGCUGGGUGUCUUCCUCAGGAAACUGGAACACUAAGGGCAGACCAUCGUGAUGCGGCAUGGCGUACGUUUAGGUCAGGCUAGUUGGAGGUAGACGACAGGAGAAUCGGAGAGGAAGAGAGAAGAUUGUAGCGAUACCGGGUAGUGCAGGGUUGAUUUUAAAUUGCGGCACCGGCGACAUUAAAAAAGUGGGAGCAGUUGGGACGACAGUGGGCGGCGGAGCCUGGUCAAAGGGCUCGCCUCCUGGUGAGCCUUCACAGCAGUCUGCUCGCACGCCUUCCUGACAGCCGGCACAGCGGUCUGCUCGCACACCUCCCAUCGACCCACACGCUUGCUCGGACGGCACCUGCCGAUGAGAAGCGGGGACUCGUGGCGGCACGUAAAUGCCCAUGGUUUCAAUAGUGAAAGCGUUCACCUUAACGUGACAGGUCUUUGUUCCAGAAUACCUUGGCUCUUCAUUUGUGCAACUUGUCAUAAGCAGCUUGUCUCAAAUUGAAGAAAAAACUUACGAAGUAAUAUUUGUGCUAUAUCAUGUGACCAUGCUCAGUUUCAAGAAUUUAUGCUCACUUUUGGAUUUUCUGAAAUUUAAGAUCCAGGAUUCGAAACAAUAUCAUAACCCGCAUCAUGCAAUAAAUUUUCAAGCCGUACAUCUGUCAUGUUGUAUUUCUUAAGAAAGGAUUUGGUUAAACAUUUUGCUUAGUUAGACUUCAGACAAGUUAUAUAUGCAGAGUAACAGGAUAAUCCCUCCAUACCAGUGCAUGCCUGAUAUAUUAACUCAAGUACUAGGCACGAACAAACAGGCUCAAUUCUGUGCUCAUCCUGGUGUAGUAGUAGUAGUACUAGGCAAUGCAGUUGAUGGGUGACCUUGACGAGCGGCGACCGAGGGAAUUGAACUGUGCUCGGCACGGUAGGUAACGUUGUCUAGUUACUAAAGCAUCCCUCCGUAGUUCAUCGGUAGUCAUUAUGGACCGGGGACAUGAGGGGAAUUUCCUAGGGCUAGAAUUCUGGCUGCCAGAUAUUUCGACUUGAAACACUGAGGCUCGAGUGGUUGGGGUUGCCUAAUGUGCGUACCACGCAGGCCACCGAAGGACACGAGCCCGGUUUUUUUUAGGAUCAACGCGAGCCAAAGUCUGGUUGGUACGCCGUUGGGUCCUACCAUUCGAGAAUACGAAAGGAACCUUUUAAAUUGCCGAACGAAUCUAUGUGUAUUACAAUACCCAUAUUUUCCUUGCAAAUACUAAUCUCAACGUGGUAAUUGAUUUAUGACGAGUUGUUGAAUUAGAGUGAGUUUGUGAUAUAAUGAUCUCAAUGUGGAUUUCACAUUUCAUGGUAUCCCUAAUAAGUUUUCCAAUGCAAAUUCAAAUUUAAAAGAUGAACAAUAUGGAGGUGAGAAAACUUUGUAUGUAUCAAGCAUAUGACCACACACACACACGCACGAACACAACAACAAUCUAAUAAGUAUAGUGCAUCUAUUUUUCCAAACCAUGCAUGUAUGACACGAAUUCAAAAAUACUCCUUCUAUUCCUAAAUAUUAGUUUUUUAGAGAGUUCAACAGGUGACUACAUACGGAACAAAAUGAGUGAAUCUAGACUCUAAAAUAUGUCUAUAUACAUCCGUAUGUGCCAGUCCAUUUGAAACCUCUAAAAAGACUAAUAUUUAGGAACGAAGGGAGUAAAAUGUAAGACAUCCAUGGUCCUCAGUUCAAUAUUUAAAAUGAACAUGAAACUGAAACAUGAAUAUUAAGUCUAGUACUACAGUACAUGCAAAUGUUGUGUUAAGGCGGAGCCACGAUUGUCGGGGAUCAACCCCUCGACCUUAGAUAAAAUUGUGGAGCUCUGUUUAGGGUUGUUUAGAUUAUAUUUGUCCUCACCCUCCCAACCACCGAUUGGUUGUGCACCCCCACCCCUCCUCCCCGGGGGAAUAUCAUGUGCCCCCAUACCUUAGAUGCUAUAUGCCGAUACGAGUUGCUUGGAGCCUGUAGAUCUGAGAUAUAGCAGCUCACAUGAUGUGUCUCAAUUUUUUUGCAGGAAACCUUGAUGAGUUUGAGAAUUGCACACAAUUUGUACAAAAACUACUUAGAUGCCCUUUGAUCCCAUAUCUAAUGACCUCGAAGCUCGUAUCAUCGUAGCAUCUAAGAUGAAGGAGGACAUCAUAUUCUCCUGUAUGUAAGAAUAUCAUGUGCUACCACACCUUAGAUGCUUUGGUGAUACAAGCUCUUCGGAGGCGUUGGAUUUGUGACCCAACACCUCCUCGGUGGUUCAAAUGGUUUUUUGCAGAAAAGCCCCAAAAGAGUUCGGCCACUGCUUACAAGCACAAAGACUGCUCAGAUGCCAUUGGAUCUCAGAUCAAACGACCUCCAAGAUCGUAUCACCGUAGCAUCCAAGCUGUGAUAGCACCUUAUGUUUUCUCGCAUGGGAGAAUAUGAGGUGCUCCCGCACCGUAGAUUCUAUGGUGAUACGAGUUCACUGAGAUCUAACGGCCCAUAGUAGGAGGUUUGAAUGUUUUUGCAAUAUACGGCUGAUAGAGUUUGGGAAAUGUGCAGAAAGUACAAGUACUACGCAUGUGCCAUCUGAUCACUGAUCAUACGACCUAGAUGCUCAUAUCACCGUAGCGGGUAAUUAAGCUACGGGGAGCACCUAAUAUGAGCAACGGGGAGCCGUUGGAUCGAAGAUGCAGCGGCACACACGAGGCCUGAAUGUUUUAUUUGCAAAAAAAACCUUUGGAGAGUUUGGAAAUUGUGCAUAAUUACAAAGACUACUCCCAAGCCAUUGGAUCUCACUUCCAACGGUAUAAAAACUCGUAUCACCAUAGUAUCUAAGCUGCGGGGUGGAUGUGAUAUUCUAUGCGGCUGACAUUUUUGUUCGUAAACUUGCAAAAUACGUGUAACUCGUGCCGUUACUUGUCUAACCGCACAAAGUGUUUGUUCAAAAAAACAUCCUACACUGAAAUAUCAGAACAACACAUGGGGGUACCACUUGUCAUUAAUCAAAUUUGGACCUAAAACUAACAAAUCUGAAAGACGAGAUUCGAACUGGCAAUUUGUACUACAAAACGUAAGUCGAUAGCCUGAAAAAACAAACGGUUGUUGGCUUUGUCCCAUAACUUGAUUUUAUACAGUACUUGCGUUGAGUAGAGUAGAGGGAGUGCCUCGUCAACACGUGCAGGACCGUUGUCUCACUUACUGGUGGGUCCCAAGUCUGCGAUCUCAAUCUCUUUUCUCUCCAUCAUCUAACCUUUGCACGGGCACACAUGAAGAGCGGCGCUAGCUUGCCGUGGUGUUAUUACAACUAAAAAAAAGCUUGGAAAAUAGAAGAAUCGCCUAGAACAAGAGACGUUGUGGCUGGUCGAGACGGAGCUAACCACAUCUAUCCUCUGUGCCAUGUUUGCAUGAUGAAGCUGUGUGGCUAGUGGGGUGUUUUCGACCGACUGGUUGGGUCCCGAGGUCGAACCAUAAGUACUACGUCUGAUACAGUAUAUUUUUACACGCACAUUUUUCCUCCGUGCUGAGACGUGGCACACCCUACCGCAUGGUUUCGGGGUCCUCUCGGGUGGUGCACGCAUAUAUUCUUCCUGACGUGGGACGCCCUAUCGCGCGUUUUCUAGGUCAUCCUCGGGCAUAGCGCCGAAGCAAGUAAAUGAGUCGUCAAAUCACGAAAGACCACCUUUCCCGCCGAGUACAUCAGUGAAGCACGGUGGCUAGCUAGUUGGGCUAGUUCGACCGAUUAGCUAGGCCGCCGCAACAUUUGUUUUUUCACCCCCUUUUUUAUCUACUUGCCGGCAGGUAAAUUUAAAUAUCCACCGCGGUGUUGCUCUGGUGUUUGGGUGUGGCAGGAUUUUUAAUUUUUUGAUUGACGGGAGUAGGCGUGGCAGGAUUUUUAAUUUUUUGAUUGAUGGGAGCAGGCGCGGCAGCAAUUAGUCACGAUGACUCCGCAUGUAAAACCCACUGCUCCCUGAUGUGAGAAGUCGUCAACUGGUGUUUUACCAUGGUGAAAACCAAAAGAUUCCCCGCUCCUCGGCUGGCUCCCUCCGCCUUCCCGUAGAUUGCAUUGCCUUUCAGCCGUUUCGCCCCCUUUGCUUCCUCUCCCCAUUGCUUCUACCUGGUGCCAUGGCAGCGCAGCAGAUCACGGAGUCCGAGGUGAGGCGCCUGACACAGGAGCUCCAUGCCAAGGAUAUGGAGCUCAGGGCCAAGGACGUGGAUCUCCGUGAGCUCGAGGAGGAGAGGAGUGCCAUGCUCCUCCGUUAUGUGCUGGAGUUCAUGGAGCUUCAUAAGCGGCAGGCGUACACCACAAAGAUGCUCGAGGCGUCAACGGCGUUGCUGCAGAAAGCGGGAGAUAUGAUAGGCCGUCAGGGGAGCCGGCUGGAGCGCGAGUGGGCCAAUCGUGACGUGGUCCGGGAUCGCCUCAGCCACUUGGUGAACCAAGUUGCCACGCACGUGUUGCAGCUGCGCGAUGCCUACCGUCGUGCCAGCGCAACCAUGCCGGCCGUCGGGCUAAACCCGUUCGACCACCCAGUCGACUUCAACGAGCUGCAGCUUCCUGACCUGGUCUCCUUCUUCACCUAUAUCUCCGAGGAGCUGAGCCGUCUCCGCGCGAUGGUGGGGGCUGAGCUGGACAAGGAGGGGUUGUGGGCUGCCGUCGCCAUUGUCGGGUGAAUCCUUUCAGGGCUCCAUCACUGGAAUCCAUUCGUGCCAUUGGACGCCGUCUUUGACGAGCUGGCUCCCGUCAACCGGGAGCGGGCUCUACGGGCGGUUGCACCCUGCAUCACCAACGUCGUGCGCCUCGAGAAGCAGAGGGACUUCGGUGGUGUUUAGGCGCCUUCUGCAUGGGCAUGUCCAUGUCUCGGCGCAACAUAACCGUUGGAUCAAACUCAGACGGUGCAGAUCAGUCACUGUAGCACAAAGCAUGUGGGUGUGUUUGGUUGCAUUCUCAUCUCAAUAUAGUUGUUUCCUCUUCGUGUAUUUUUGUCAACCUACUAGUGUGGACUCAUGCACCCUUCAUGCACUCUGCCAAACACCCAAAAGUGGGUCGAGAAGGGAACUUUUGCUCCCAUCCUGUGCACCCUUCAUACACCCUGCCUAACACUAUUUGUGCUUCAUAUGGUUCAUGUUUCGUGGAGUACUGUAGCAUCAUACUCUCCGUACGCUGUGGACCUAGUUCUGUUAACAUUGAUCUCACCUUCCAUUCUCGACCGGACAGUCGAAAAAGCGGUACUAUGUUACAUAUAGGAGUAGUUGACAUGCGCACAACAUCAUUUGUUAUCGUCAUAUCUUACUACACUAGCAACAAGAUUGUGUAGUACUGACGUAUGAACCGCUGCACAUGCCUAGUAGUAGGAGCACUGUGUAUGUUCAAGUGGUUGCCGUGUUUCGCACUCCUCCGUCGUAAGAGUGGAAACGCUUGCUGUAAUCAUUUUUUUUCUUCAAAAAACAGUGGACACGCUCUACCGUGCGGAUCCUCCUCCAGCCAUGCACUAAAUUACUCACUUUCACCGACGUGUGGGACAGCCAGCACCUGGGUCCACCAGCCAUGCACUAAAUUACUCACUUUCACCGACGUGUGGGACAGCCAGCACUUGGGUCCACCAGCCAUGCACUAAAUUACUCCGUAGUAGAGUGACGGUAGACUACCUCGAUCGAACCGUGAUAGUAAUGCCUAAUGAGCCGUCAAAUCACAAAACCCCCUCCUUUCCAGCAGUAAGUUGGACGGACGAAGCAACCAUCAUUUCACUCUUCUCUCUCAGCUUCCUCUCUUGAAGAAAACCCCCACUCGCUUUGCUUCUCCCUCAUCUCGUUCCUCCUUUCACUCUUCUCUCUCAGCUUCCUCUCUUGGAUGGAUGCCGGUGCACCGGCCGAUGUGAUGUCUAUGGCUCUGGCCAAAACCAUCGAGGCUCAUGGUACGAAGAAGCGCAAGCACCCCACCGAGACUACCGCAGACAAGCUCAAAGCCAUCGCCCUGUCCAAGCCCCCCUCUCCGGGAUCCCUCAUUAAGCAAGUCCAGGUAAUGUCUCUUGUUGACGUCUUUUUCUAGAUCUUGAUCGUGUUUUUUCAUCUAACACGCAGUACUAGUACUGGUAGUAUAACUUUCUGGGUGAUCUUGCAUGUGAUUUUAGUGUGCUAAAUGACGGUUCUAAAUUCUUCUUUUGACCAAAACAUGCGAGAGGUUGACACUGAUUUCUUAUAGAUUACUUUCAACUAGUACUUUAUGAACAUCAAUGCAACCUUUGAAGAGGGUAUAUUUGCCUCAGUAACUUGUGUUAUGGAUAUUGCAAGUAAUCCCUCUGCUCUCAUGCCUUUGAAGACAUGUUCUAGUGUCUUUGUUCGCUCAUUUUUGUGCGUAUAUGUAGUCAUAUAUGGAGUAUAAUAUCGAAAAUCAUCUUAUAUUUCUGAAUGGAGGUAGUAAUAAAAUAUGGUUUCUGUUUGAAUUAGAACCAGGUCCACGAUGGAGAUGAAGUUAUCAAAGUCAUGUUGUGUGAACUGGAAGACCUGAUGAUGAGUUCUACUACUGAACUAUCCAGCUGUUGUGUCCUUGUCGCCACGUGUCCUGAACUAGUGUUUUACUGUAGCUUUGUUGUCAGGCAUGUUCUCGAGGCUGUACUUGACCACAACAAUUUCCUGGUUGUGCCUUUGAUUACGAAGGGUGUGGUUCUUGUAAAGCUUCCCAACAAAUCUGAUGCGGCAUGUCUUCAUCAUCAUGUUUAUGAGUGGAAAGACCACUCUGUUAGGUUCUCCAAGGUUGACAAGAUGGUGAUGGUGCAUGUAGACAUCUCACACGAAGUCCAUGGCCUAGUCAGUUAUGCGGGGUUCAUCCCGUAGGUCGGUGGCAAGAAAUAGUCUGCAGAGUUUAGUUAGUGCAACUUUGCUUGUCUGUAGUAAGUACUAUUGUUCAAUACUUGAUUUGUGUUUGUGAACCCUGUAUUGUUUAUUAGUACUGGCGCUUUUGGUGUGUGGUCAGUCUUGAGAACGGUCUAUGUUAAUGUCUGUCCACUCAAUUCAGUCUGUAUAUUUUGAAGUAUCCAGAUCAUAUUUUUUGUGAGGACGGUUUAUCAAUUAUGGUUACACUCCAAUAUCUGUAUGCAUUGCAGGGUUUAUCGCACCCACCAGGAUUUCCAGUCCCAUGGAUGUUCGGUCCAUACGAUUUGUCACGACCUUUGGAUUGUCCUGCUUGUGGGAGUAGGUGGGGCCCCUACAUGCCACGCGUAGUUGGACGAUCAAUCUUCUGUUUAGUACUUCAACAUAGUGAUUUCUCGGUAAGGAUUCAAUCGUGUCACAUCAAGUAAAUCUUAUUGAUUUACUGUCUAAAUCUUAUUGAUUUAAUGUCAUGUUUUCUUUCUUUUCUUGCAAUUUUACGAUGCAGGUUUUGCCAUGUGACAUUCAUCACAGAAUAAACUGUUUGGUUUGCUCUACGAUGGCUAUUUUUGCAGGUUUCAUUUCUUAUGUCAUGUCAGUAACGAAGGCACUGUCCAUCACUUAUAUUACUGGAAAAAAUUGGAUCAGUCUGUUGUCUGAGUACAAACUGAAUCCCUAUGGAGAACUGAAGUUUGGUUUAACAAAAACGCCACAAUUAGUCCUUCUCGCGUUUAAAAGAAAUGAAGAAAAAAACUGGAUCACGGUCACGGAUCCUAGUCAAGUUAGAAAGCUGAUCAUAGCAGACCAGACACGAUCGCCGUUGUCUCGCACAUCGGUACCACCUUCAACAACGGAUCAAGCACUGGCAGUUUGCUCUAGCACUGACAGCGGCAGUAGCUCAGUCUGAUCCAGCUGAGGAUUGGGCACCGACCGCGUCAGUGGAUCAGUCUGAUCUAUCAGAGGAUCGGGCAUCGACACCGGCACCAGCUCUACAAGGAGCACCAUCUCUGGCAGCAGCGACGGCUUCGGCACCUGCACCAACACUUGCACUUGCAUCUGCUCCGGCCCGUGCAGUUGCACCAGCAACAGACUAGGCUGCAGUUCGCACUUCAUAUACCAAAGUCCUUACAAAAACCGACAUGUCCACCUUCUUGGUAAGCAUUGGCCGCCCAAUUGCUUCGUUCUUUUUUCUUUCCAUGUUGUUUCACAUGAUUCACUAUGUUGAUCUAACUAUUUGGGUAUGUCUUCUUGUUUGCAAACAGAGAAUUCCUAGAGCAACGAGGGAGUCGUUCAACAAUCCGGGCGACCGCGGCCAAGUUUCUCUUACCAUGCGCAGCCUUGGUGUGAAUGAACCUGCUUAAUAUACCGUAAGUACAAAGGAUGGUCGCAUGAUGAUUGAUGCUAAAGGAUGGUCAAGGUUCAAAUCUAAAUCAUAUCUUGCGGUAGGGGAUGAUGUCAAAAUCGAACUUUCUCGGCAAGGAGAGCUGGUCCAAAUCAACUUUGAAAUUCUUCAGUAGCAGCACGCAACUGCCGAACUGAUCUAUCCUCCGAGAGAUUUUGAUGUAAUAAUAUGGCAUGGUGAAACAAGUGUCCUAAGUGUAUAAGUAGUACGACAGUAUUAUUUGUCACAUGGUAUAUCGUUGAUAGAAUUGCAACUCUGAUUGCUGGUUAGGAACUGUCGUUCGAUUUCAUUCCUGCCGUGCUUUAUUCAAUUUUGUGUAUUCGCCUUGCGACAGCAUCUAAAACUAGCGCCAUACCGAUCGCUUGCAAUAUGAAAAGCGCUGAGGUAGAACACAUGGGCCCCCAAACAUGCAGGGUUGGCCUGCGGCCCAAAGUCCAGAACCGUGAGCAUAUCUGAGUAUUAUAUUCUCAGUUGAACCCCCAUAAUGCAUGUGCGUUGCAGAUGGAGUAUAUUUCUCGGCAAGGUGAGCCUGUCUGUGAUAUAAAAGAUUUGUAUAUUUCUUUACAGAGGGAGUAUCUCUCUAUCAAAAAAUAUAUUUAUGUGUAACUAGUUACUCAUGUCUUUCUACUUCCUUUCACUGAUAUGUGGGGCAACCGGCAAUGGGGUCCACGUGCCAUAUGCACAAAUUAGAGUGCACAACUUCACGGUAGACACACCCCGGUCGUAGUGCCGCAGUAAUGCCCAAUGAGCCGUCAAAUCACAAACCCCCCCCCCUUUCCAGCUUUAGCAGUAAGCUGUACGGACGAAGCGGCAAUAUUUCACUGGGCCUGAAUCCCCUUCUCCCUCGUCUGCUUGCUCAGAGAAAAAACCCUCUCGGCGAUUGCAUAGGGUUUUCUCAUGGAGAACCAGGUACGAAUUCUUCACCCAUCCCCGAUAUAUCCAAGUCCCUUGGUCGCAGGUAAUCCUAGGAUGGCAGCUGCCGCCGUUGAUGCAUUUUUCUUCCUACUGAAUCUAGUGUGUUUCAUUUGCAGUACCCAAAGUGCAAGUACCCUACAGGUUUCUGCACCCUCGGUGAGACGCCACACUUGUUCCUUCUCAUCCUAACACAGCAUUUUGAAACGUGCAUAGUAUGCUCCUAGAAUCCUCUUUUCUAUCCGGGAGGGUGGGGGUUUUUUGAACAUGCUGUGUUCUCAUAUUAUUUUUCCUGCAGUGUAUUAUUUGCUCUGCCAGAACACAUGUACUCAAGAUGCCUGGCCUUGCCAUAACUGAAUACACUAGUUUAAUGGUCAAAGUGAAGACAAGCCAUGGAUAUAAGUUCCGAGUUGGGUUCAUGAACCAAGAAGAUCGCUGCUUUUUUUAUGGCCGAACUUGGAUAAACUUUUUCAAGUGUUACGGACUGAAAGUUGGCGCACGAAUGUUGAUGGAAAUAGCAGAACCUAGUCUCAUCUUCACUACGAUCUUCCACCCCGACGUCGUUCCAAUUGUUCAUCCAUGUUAGUUUUGUAUCUGGUUCUUGCUUGUUGCCUCGAUUACUUCUUAAUCCACCUAAUCUGUCUAACUAAUCACAAUUUAACUUUAGAAGUAGCAUCGAAUCUCUCACGAAGAUGCUACUUCUAACUAAUAUUUUCUUAUAAUUGGUGGCACGUGUAUAUUUUUUCAGAGUUAAGCAGUCUGCCCAUUUGUUACUCUGUAAUAACUCGGCUGUUACUGAUGGCACUGAAGUUGACUGGAUCGACAUCCACAAGUUCCUACACUUUAUUGAUCGUCUUGAGGUCCUUGUGGGGCGUUUCAAUGGUGGAAGGCCACGUGGGAUAUGUGUGCCACUGCUGCACUUGUUGAACAGGUCCAACUGUGUCGAGAAACUUAUGGUACGAGUUGUUUUCUGUUAUAUAUGUUGUUUAUAAACUAUUGCUUAUACACAGUUUUACAGUUGUGAUCUUCUUGAAACAGGAACUGCCCAGUUCUAUUGUUCCUAUACAAAUGCCUGAUCAUGGUCAGGUAAGACUUGCGCUUGGUCACAACAUGAUGUUUAUGUCGACCUAUUCAAUUCCCCUUGGAGGUGAAAAGAUACUUAUUUAUGGGUGGUCUCAAAUAAUGAAGACCCGUCCAUCUUGGAGAAUAGGACAGAAGAUUAUGUCCAUGCUUUUCCAUGGCUCUAAAGCGAAUAUCCUGUUUAUUGACCACGUUGCAAGAUGAAGCCGCUUUCAGAAGGUUGUGGAUGCGCGGGGUGGCGCCUGGGCCUUGUCCUGGGGCUUGGCGGCCUCACCCUUGGUUAACUGUAGGCAAAGUAGCACUGUUCGAGGCGUGCUUUGUACGGUUGAACUUGUAUAAGUACUCAUACUGCUUUCAGCUUUGGUUGUUAAGUGCCCCUGCUGGUUUCAGUUAAGGUUGUUAAGUACUCCUGCUGCUUUUACAGCCUGUCGUGUUUCUUCAGUCCUAUCUUCCUCCAGCCGCCAAAACCAAACCAGCGCCGGCGGGGCCGCCUGUUUCCGCCUCCCACGGCUGGCUGCGCCUCAGCGCACGUAUCGCCGCCCCACCGUCUCCUAAAUCGUUAACGCCGACGUCCUCCGCGCGCUUUGCUACGCUCGCCGCGGCGCCGCCCUCUCGCGUUGUCAACAUGGUCAACAAACAACAGGAAUCAGCAGAAGUACAUAGAGAGGAUGACAGUAGGGGCCCACCACAUCAGCGUAUGGAAAAAUAAAAUGCUUCCUCCUAGUGUUUUCCUGACAUCUGGAACCCACGACAUUGUGAGCGUAUAUAGUCAAUUAAGAACAGUAAAAUUGGACCUAAUACCUGCCAUCCCGUGAAUUAGGCUUUCCUGGCCAUUUGAUUUUGUGUGAUGCACAUUCCUGGCCGUUGGAUCUUCGUUUAAUGUUAUGUUUACCACGAACUGGGCUAAACUUCGUAUGGGCAGCUACUCCCUUAGCUUUUUUGGAGCCAUGUGGUUAAUUGGGCCUGUUUUUGGUGCUUAGCCCAAAGCAGAGAACUGACCGCAGUCCACGAGCAGCCCUAGGCGAGAGGCAUUCUCUCGACGCCUCCUCUCUCCUCGACAUAUCCUCUUUCUCGUCGCUGCAGCCAGAUGCGCCAUCCAGCAGCGGUUCCCCUCUCCUCCCUUCUACCUCUCUCUCACGAGCGAUGGCGACAAGGUGCUGCUGGCGGCCACCCCUCGAGCGAUCAGCCCUUCUUCCCUACUGGCAAGCCCUCGUGUCUCACCCAGAAAACCAUGGUCAGGCACCGCCUUCAGUGACCCCGCAAUCUAUUCCUCCUGGUCACACAGGCCAUCGCGCUCAACCAGCGUUGACCUCAAGUGGCGGUGACAACCAUGAGUAGCCAUUAAGUCCAGCGGUGACGCCGCAAGAAUCAGUGUCGCCAUGUGUGUUACCGUCCAAGACGGUGGCUGCCCUUCCACACUACAUCCACGCCGGUCGUUCCUGCCUUACAGGUUUUGAUAUAAGGUUGGGAUUCUUUGCUGGUACGACUGUUGGCCUCUAUAACGUUAUGUAUUGUUUGUUUAUUGGUUCAUGGAUUUGGGUAUGGAGAUGCUUGGGCACGUACACAUGUUGAUUCUUUGUUUGGAGGAAUUGGCGUAAUUCUAAGUCAAUAAUUUGCACACUGUCAAGACCUGAAUCUAAUUGGCUUCAUACCAUGGUAUUGUAUUGUAUCUUUUUACGGGUUAGUUCUUGAUGCAACAACUGGCAUCAUCAGAUUGUGUGUGGAUCAUUCAGUGCUCACAUGAAUUAUUGAUUAAUCUUGAAUGAACCUUCAGUUCUGAGAAGUCCAAAGACAUUGUGCACCACCAUGGUACCAUCGACAGCAAGAAACAACUCAUGUAGCUGUGACUUCACAAUAGAUGAUCUAGGUCCUUCUAGCACAAAUCUUGUCUAUAAAUUGAAGAAGGGAGCGUAUUUUGAUUUUUGACAAACAGUUUAGCAACUUUAUUACUCCAUUCCCAUCACAUGGAUAAAUAGCAUACAGAGAUAUAUACUUACUGUAGCAUACAAAGAGACGAUUCUAAUUUUCCACCCUUCAAUUAUCUUCUCUGAUGAUGUGUUCCUCAAUUUGUAAAUGAGUGUGGUUUCUAAUCAUUCUUACGUGACUAGGCUGCAGAUGGGUGUUAUGGCUUCAGAUCAGACACUAAAUGCAGACACACCCUGAAAAUAUAAACAUGUUGAACCGUGUGAGAUCCAUAGUAUAUUUAAUUAUUUACACUAUUUUGUAUGUGAAGGUUAUUGCAGAAUGGAGCAGAAAGAAAAGAACAUCGCUUUUCUCUUAGCUUAACAUGGAAAGACUUCAAGACAUUUAAUUUUGAGGGGAAAUCAUGUCCAGGGAAAAAACAAGAAUCAGUUGUCUAACCAGGUUAAUUAGCUAACCACCUAUGCAUUUUUUUAUCCUAUGUAUUCAUUACUCGAUUUUAGCCACUCUCUUCAUCUAUUGGAAUUAUUACGGAAACAAAUAUAUUUUUCAUCUGUUCCGCAGAAACCAUGUUUGAAGUUGGCAUGCACGACAAGGAGGAUUAUGUGCCUCUUUAAGUCAUCCACGAUCACAUUCAUUAUUGUCAAAUAUCCUCUUUGAAAAUGAUGUUAGUCAGAAACUAAAAAAUAAUUUUGUAUUUUUUAGAAAAAGUCGAGUUUGUUAUGUAGCAUUAUAUUUGGCUGACAUAGUUUUUGGAUGCCUUCCACAGUUCAACGGGAUGUUGGGAGAUUUGCUCUUAAAAAGUAAAGGCAGUGAAGAAAUUUCUAAGGUGUGAAGACUCAAAAUUCCACAGAGUUAAGUGUGCCAUGCUAUCCCUUUUUCGAUAUCAAACUUGUUGCUCAUGUGGUUUUUAAGAUUGUAUAUUCAUCUUCAAGCAUGGAGGAAGCUUUGGCAUAAACGAUGCCACUUAUAAGCUGCAAGGAAGGAGGGCUUAAGUGCUUAACUAUCGAGGUUUAUUUAUACAUCUUAAGAUGGUUUCUACUUGCAAACCUAGAAUGAUCCCCUCAUGGAAAACAUUCACUAAUUUUACUUUUUGUCCCUCAUUGUUGUACAUAAUGAUCCCCUUCAUCUUGUGCGUUCACAAAUAUCAUUUCUCUUUAUUUGUGUCCCUCAUUGUUUUAUAUUAUAUGAAAGUUGAACAUAUCAGUACCUUUUUGCAGAGAGGACUGUAUACACUGGACACUUGAGUGGAGGUUUAGUUCAUCAGAUAUUGUCCUGACUGGCGUGAGUGAAUUUACAUUAAUCUAUCACUACACAAUGUUUUCUGUUUUCCCAGUCUGCAUCUUUGUGAAUUUACCACUUUUCCAAGAUGGUAAUAUAUCUGCCUGAGACUGUUCUAAUUGCUCUCAUGUUACAAUAGCUACUUUAAGCUUCCAUCCAAAAACAAACAACACUUGCUUUAAGCCAGAUGUAGACCCUUUUUACAUGAAAUGUUCUGGUUUUAUCACUUUUUGUUGUUCAUAGAUGAGUUGAACCAUGUACAUGUCUUGAGAUUGUCCCAUGGGUGAGCCCAGGUUCAUGACUGAUAUUUUGUUUGUAGGUCCAAUGUUUUGCGAUUAAUCUUUUUUUUUUGUUAUAGGACUCUUUCCUCUUUCACUGUAACUAGCUUUGCCAGCCAUGUACAGUUUUCCCCCUGCUUUAAUGAUAUAUGGCAGAGCUCCUGCCUUUCCAGUAAAAAAAGAAUGAUAUUUUGUUCCACUAGCACAUCAUGAGCUUAUUAAUAAGAAAAUAUUAAGCCUUUUUGAGAAAUACUGAGAGAACAUAUUAUUACAAGCGAACUACUUGUAGCUCUUCACUUUGCUGGUCAAGUAAUUAUCAAAUAAAACCACUCUCUUUGUUCUGCCUCUCUUAUGCACACAAACUGUUCCGUCCACACCUAUGAUUAAACGUAAGAGUAGGAGUACGAUAGUUCUUUUUUAUUUCAAUACAGCUCAUAUGAGCUAGGAUCGUCUUCAUUUUUUCUGAAACAUCUAAGAUAAUUGUCAUUAGUAAAUAUGCAUAUCUUUUCAGAUGAGAUUGCUAUUGCAUCCAUACUUCCAUCAAAAGAUCCAUCUUGGGAAGACACAUCUCGAUGUGACAAGCACAACUCAUUGAAGGUACAAAGGAUCCAGGAUAGGAAGGCAUGUUUUGAAGGUACAAGCAUAAGUCAUGGAAGUAUUUCUAUUGGUGGUUGCAAAAUCUAUGUAUCUACAUGUGAUGUUGAUGAAAUAUGUUAAAUCUGCUUGCUCUAUAUGUCUAAUCUUUAUGCUGGCAUCCUGGUGGAUGUUGGUUGGCUUAACAUUUGUGUUCCCUGUGCAUGUCAAAAAAAUGAAAAUAAUGUGCAAAUGUAAUGACAUGAGCUAAUGGUCUUUGCUUUUUUUUGUUGCACAAGCUUGUGGUAAUCAUCUCUCCCUCACGUAAGUGUACUUUUUCUCUUGUUCACGGUUUCGUACUAUAAGCCACUUAUCACAAUAUUUCUUUUUGCAUCAUGUUGUUGACAUGUGCUACAUGAUAACCAGUGCAGCUUCUUUUUUGUCUUUGCUUUAUUAAUAUCCAUUGCUGAAUUGAUGCAAAAAUGGGAUGAAAGAUCGUGCCACUGGUAAGAAUAACAUUAUCUUUGAAUUUAUUGAUCAAAUAAUCUACAUAUUUACAAAACUCCCAAUAUUACAUUCAAAUGGACGGGCGCCGCAACGCAUGCCAUCAAUGAUCUAGUAGACAAGAGAACAGCGCAAGAUUGGCUGACACCUGGGACGUAGCUACUCGAGCAGUAUUUUUUUUUGUUAUUGUUGAGACGGAGCAGAGUUUGAACUGGGAUGUGGCCCGUCUAGCCCAGGCUUAUAUUUUAUGUUCACCAUGUGACCAGCCCAGUUAUUUUUUUUCUUUGUGAAAAUGAGCCUAGUUUAUUUUUUCUAAAGAAUACCCAAUCCAGGCCUACUUAUUUUUCUACGCCCUCAUAGGCUACAACUCUUUCAAGACGCCUGCAAAUCUUGAAAAUAAUAUGAAAUGGGUUGUAAAUAUAAAAACAGAUGGCAAAUUGGCAGUUACUUUAUAAUUUCUGAAUUUUUUCACAUUUUCAGAUUCCUAUUUCACUGGGCAUUAACCUAAUUUAAAUAUAUCUUCAAAGUACUUUAAAUCUGGCUUGACAUUUCGGUAUUAAAAAUAGUUUGGAACCCACAGAAAUAUGCGAAAUUGGCCCUGGCCAACCAAAAAAAACGGCUGCAAUAAAUUGCAUAAGAAGUUGCCAUGAGCUAUAUAUAAAUUAUUAAAAAAAGAGGGAGUGGUCUGACUUGUGGGCCUGUUUAGUUGACGCGUAUGCAAGAUUUUUUUAGUUAUUAUAUACGUCAACAAACGAUUCUAGCAGACGUAACCAUUGGAUGUCAAUCCAACGGCCGUCGUGUUUCUUCAAUCUCUGAUCUUCUUGCUCCAGCCGACGGGACCGCCUGCUCCCGCCUCCCGUGGCCGGCUAUGCUGCCGCGCAGGCCUCAGCGCCCCCUACUAAUCCCACCACUGGCCAGGGCAUCCCUCUACACACCCACACCCCCUGUUAUUCUGUGGCGAUGGCAGCCUCACACCGCAGCCAAACCGGUGAACUCUCGUACUCCUCUCCGUGCGGGCUUCCACUGCCGCAUCUUCCCCGGCUCUGCGUCGUCCCCUUCCUAGGCCUCGCCGUCGUCCAUCGCCGUGGUGCUCUCGGCACGGAGUGGUCAAUGUGGUCAACGACCGACUUCCAUCGGAAGAGUACUGUAUGUGGAGAGGCUGACAGCUGGGUCCACGGCAGCCGCAAGGAAGUGCCUCCUUAUUACGCGGAAAAUAAUUAUUCCUCCACCUGACAGCAGGGACCUACCAGACGGGCCACCAGUAUUUCAUGAAAAAAACGUUUCCCCCUAACUGCUGGGACCCACCGGACGGGCCACCGUAUUUCGUGAAAAAAACAUUUCCCCCGCUGUCAGCUCGGACCCACCGGAAGUGCCUCCUUAUUACGCACAAAAAAAUGAAUACCCCCUGCUAGUGGGACCCACCUUGGUGGGAGGCUGACCUGUGGGCCUACUAAGUUGACUAGGAUGGAGGCCUUUGUCAACUUUAGUCAAUAUAUGAACGAUUCUAGCUCCAGUGACCGUACGAUGUCCAUCCAACGACCGUAGUGCUUCUUCAACCUCUGGUCUUCUUGCUCCAGCCGCCCAAAGCAGCGCCGGUCGUGACGCCUGCUCCUGCCGCCCGUGGCCAGCUGUGAUACCGCGGAGGCCUCACCGCCCUCUACUACUCCUACCGCUAGCCAGGCCAUCCCUCUACGCACUCACACCCCCUGUUAUUCUGCGGCGACGGUAGCCUCACACCGCAGCCCAACGAGUGAACCCUCAUACUCCUCUACGCAUGGGCAUCCACUGCCGCGUCUUCCCCGGCUCUGUGUCGUCCCCUUCCUAGGCCUCAUCGUCGCCCACCGCCCUGGUGCUCUCGGUGCGGCGUGGUCAACGUGGUCAAGGAACGGCUUCCAUCGGACGUGGACUAUACAUGGAGAGGCUGACACCUGGGUCCACCGCCGCAGCAAGGAAGUGCCUCCUUAUUACGUGCAAAAUUAUUAUUCCUCCACCUGACAGCGGGGACCCACCGGACGGGGCACCGUAUUUCACAAAAAAACAUUUCCCCUGACAGCUGGGACCCACCAGCUACAUCUUCGCACGCAAGGAAGUGCGUCCGGGCAAAAAAACGAUUCACCCCCCUGACUGCUGGGAUCCACCAGCUACAUCUUUGCACGGAAGGAAGUGCGCCCGGGCAAAAAAAUGAUUCACCCUCCCUGACUGUUGGGACCCACUAGCUACAUCUUUGCACGCAAGGAAGUGCGCCCGGGCAAAACAGGACUCCACGGGAUACUGUUCAUCUCCACUAUCGACCUCCUCCAGCCUCCACAGGCUACUGUUCAUCCACCGUCGACCUCCUCCAGCCUCCACCUGCGACUGUUCAUCCACAGGCUCCUGUUCAUCCAGCCUCCACCGCGCGCUACUCCAUCGGCUACUGUUCAACCAGCCCUCCACGGGCUCCUGUUCAACCAUCCCUCCACGGGCUACUGUUCAUCCACCCCUCCACUGUCUACUGUUCAUCCAGCCCUCCACGGGGUCGUCCUGUUCAUCCAGCCCUCCACGGGGUCCUGUUCAUCCAGCCCCAACCAGCUCGAUCAAUCGGGGUCCUGUUCAUCCAGAGGCAACGCCACGGGUCCUGUUCAUCCACUCCCACCACUCACUGUUCAUCCAAACCCCCCGCAACACUCACUGUUCAUCCAGAGAGGCAGCAUCGAUCGGCUUCAGUUAGCAGCAGUAGCGAAGGAAUCACUCGAUCGGGUUUAGUUAACAGUCAUCGAUCGAUCGCUCGGGUUUAGUAACGCAUAGCCUGCAGUGCAAUCGUUCGGGUUCAGUUAGAGCCCAAUGCCUCGCUCGGGUUCAGUUAGAGCCAACGCCUCGCACGCAUCGCUCAGACCCCGACCUCCCACCGUAACCGGGAACUCCCCGAAAUUUUCCUCACCCUCGCUUCUACCACGGUUUUUUCCAUCAUGGACGGCCCAAAGAAUGUCAUGCAGCUGCGUCUCCGGCCCGCACAGGACGAAAAUCCCAUUUUCUGUCAUGAUUUUUGUCAUAGAAUUAGGAGCCCACCACAUCUAUGAUGAUAUCAGGUUUUGUCACAAUUAUCGUCAUAGAAGUGGCAUAUGUAUGACAAAAAAAAUUCGUUCGGCCCAAAAUGUCACGGAUGUGUCUUUUUUUUGUAGUGCAUACAAAGGACCAACAAGAUUUCUAUGAGACAAUCCUGCUUGACAAGAUGUCCAUAGUGUGUGACAUGAGAUGGGUGGACUGGACCUACAUAAGAGAGAAUGAAGAGCACUUCCUAGGUGUAUAUGACAGCUUCAAGGCAUGUGAGGUUGACAAGUUUGUUGGCCAGAAGCUUACCAAGUGGAAUGAUGAGCUGAGCAUGCAAUUCUAUUCAACUGCUCAUUUCUAUCCAGAUGGAAGAAUAGUGUGGAUGUCAGAGGGUACAAGGUACCAAUCUACAGUUGAUGAGUGGGCUAGAUUGAUCAAUGCCCCAGAUGCUCAUGAAGAUGACUUGGAUGUCUAUGCCAAGAAGAAGAAGGAUCACAACUCAAUGGCUAGCAUGUAUAAGGAGAUUCCUGAUGCAGACCUAGAGACUCACAAGUUUGGCUCAGUGAACCACCUACUGUCAGGGAUGCCAACCAUCAACUGGAUCCUAAGGCACACAUUGCUACCCAAGUCAGGUGAUCACAAAAUGAUCAGAGGACACUCCAUCAACUUGCUGCAUAUAUUUGAUGUGCCUCUAAAGUUCAAGGUGAUGAGUCUAAUUGUGGAAACAAUCAAGAGGACUGCUGCAGAUCGGAAGAGAUCUUGUGGGUAUGCUCCACAGAUUCAGGUGCUCAUCAACUCCAAGAUGGGCACAGGCACAUAUUUGUUGGACAAGGAGCAUCUACCCCUCAAGCCAGACUUUGAGGACAACAUUGUUGUCAUGAAUGAAGAAGAUCCAUCAUAUGUGCAAGCACAAGAGAAGAGAGAGAAGGCAAGGGCAGAGAAAGCUGCAAAGAUGCCAACAGCUGAAGAAGCAUCUCAGGUAUUCUUGAAGAGCUAGCAAGAUCAGCUUGGAUAUCUGAUUGCCUCCACCUUGAGGAUUGAGAAGGGCUUGGCCACCCUGACUCAAAACCAUGAGAGCUUGGAGAGGAUCAUUGAGCAGAAAUUCUAUGAUCUUGAUGUCAAGGUAACUGAGAUCCAGUCAGUAGUUGAGCAACUUCAGGAGGAAGUGGAGGAGAAGAAGGGCAAGUCUACUACAGAUGCUUUCACUAGAGUGCCCAGGAGUCAGAGAUCUACUGCAGUGCCUGUUCCAGACACAAGAGCUACGACAUUUGCACCAUCAGCCACAGCUUCAGUACCACCAGCUCCAGCAGCCACUCCUCCAGCUCCAGCUACAUCAACAGAAGCUUUUGUCCUUGGAGUCAUCUCUACGCCACCUCAUGAAGACCAAGCCUGAGAGUCGUUUAGCACUAUGUGUUUUUUAACUUUUUGGUAACUUGUUGCCAAAGGGGAAGAAAAUGUAUAGAUCAUAGGCUUCGAGAGAGAGUGUUGCUUUUUAUCUCUCUUGUUUUUGGUUGAACUUCUUGAUUGUGUGCUUGUGAGCUACUUGUUUACUUGUUCGAUCAUGUGUUUGAUCAUAUGAUAUGCUUAAUGCUUGUUGGUUGAUAUUAUCUCUUAUAUCCUUAUAUGAUCAUUCACUUGCUUUUGAGUGCAUGCUUUUAACUUCUAUCUUUUUGAGCGCUCCACCAAGAUGUAUGUGACAUGAAAGAGUAACCCAUGAUCCUAACACAUUGUGCAUUUUCAGUCCAAACCAAAUUUUAAAUAAUGCACAAAUUUAGGCGGAGCUCUUGCUUAUCACAUACUCCCUCCGUUCCAAAAUAGAUGACUCAACUUUGUACUAACUUUAGUACAAAGUUGGGUCAUCUAUUUUGGAACGGAGGGAGUACUUCUCAAAGCGAUAAUGUUUUUCAAUCUUAUUAUCAUUUGUUGAAGCUUUGAUCUAUAUGUUGUCAUCAAUUACCAAAAAGGGGGAGAUUGAAAGUGCAACUAUCCCUGGGUGGUUUUGGUAAUUCCUAACAACAUUUAGCUCAUCGAGCUAAUUCUAUUUCAAGAUAAAUAUUUGAGGAAAGCUCAAUGUUUGGCAUGGCAUGGAUGAGAAACGUGGACCCCUCAAAAUUCUAAGGACAAAAGGAUUGGCUCAACCUCAAAGCACAUGACUCUACAUUUUACUUUUAAUGAUCCAAGAUCACAUUGAGUCCAUAGGAAAGCCAAUACUAUUAAGAGGUGGUGAGGUGUUGCUUAAUGAGUUUCUUGCUCAAAGUGCUUAAUGAUAUGCUCCAAAAACCCUCAACUACUUUCUCACAUCCACAUAUGUCCCAAACCAAAAGUCAAACUCAGCCCCACCGAAACUUUCUAUCCGGCGCCACCGAGUUCAGUUGACAUAGCAACUGCCAGAAACCCUAGUCUUUUUGGUCUCACCGAUAGGGAUCUCGGUCUCACCGAGAUGGGAUUGUAAUCUCUCGGUUUCCCUUCGUAGCGUUUUGGUCAAACCGAGAUGAGCGAUCGGUCCAACCGAGAUUGCAAUGCAAACUCUCUGUUUCCCUUUCGUAACGUUUCAGUCCAACCGAGAUGAGCGAAUCGGUCCCACCGACUUUGCCUGACCAACUCUCUGUUUGUCUAUUACCAAAAUCGGUCUCACUGAGUUUGUGUAAUCGGUCUCACCGGGAUUAUGUUAUGCCCUAACCCUAAUGAUAUCGGUCCCACUGAGUUGACAUGUCGGUCCCAUCGAAGUGCCUAACGGCCACAUUAUGAACUAAAUCGGUCUGACCGAGUUUUACGGUUCGGUCCCACCGAGUUUGGUAAGUUGUGUGUAAUGGUUAGAUUUUUUGUGGAGGCUAUAUAUACCCCUCCACCCACUCUUCAUUCAUGAAGAGAGCCAUCAGAACAUGCCUACACUUCCAACAUACAUUUUAUGAGAGAGAACCACCUACACUUGUGUUGAGGUCAAGAUAUUCCACUCCAACCACAUAAAUCUUGAUCUCUACCUUUCCCCAAGUUGCUUUCCACUCAAAUCUUCUUUCCACCAAAUCCAAAUCCUGUGAGAGAGAGGGAGUUGAGUGUUGGGGAGACUAUCAUUUGAAGCACAAGAGCAAGGAGUUCACCAUCAACACACCAUCUAUUACCUUUUGGAGAGUUGUGUCUCCUAGAUUGGUUAGGUGUCACUUGGGAGCCUCCAUCAAGAUUGUGGAGUUGAACCAAGGAGUUUGUAAGGGCAAGGAGAUCGCCUACUUCGUGAAGAUCUACCCUAGUGAGGCAAGUCCUUCGUGGGCGAUGGCCAUGGUGGGAUAGACAAGGUUGCUUGUUUGUGGACCCUUCGUGGGUGGAGCCCUCCGUGGACUCGCACAACCGUUACCCUUCGUGGGUUGAAGUCUCCAUCAACGUGGAUGUACGAUAGCACCACCUAUCAGAACCACGACAAAAACAUCCGUGUCUCCUAUUGCGUUUGCACUCUCCAAACCCCUCCCUUUACAUUCUUGCAAGUUGCAUGCUUUACUUUCCGCUACUUAUAUACUCAUUGCAUGCUAGCUUGAAUUGUGUUAAGAUUUCUCGACUUGUGCUAAGUUGUUGAAAUCUACCAAGAACUAAAAUUGGGAAAAGGCUAGAUAUUUAUUUGGUCAAGUAGUCUAAUCACCCCCCUCUAGACAUACUUUCGAUCCUACACUAGCACAAACGGGGAUACAGAUCGAAAGAGGCGCAGGCCUCCUGCCUGGGAUCUUCUGAAACUAUUCCUGGUCGUCGGCGACCUGAAGGUAGUAGUAGGCACUGUCGGUGUAGUAGGGGUCAUCGUCGAUAGUGGCGUCUGGCUCCUGGGCUCCAACAUCUGGUUGCGGCAUCCGAGGAGAAGAGGAAAAAGGGGUAAAAGAGGGAGCAAAGCAACCGUGAGUACUCAUCCAAAGUACUCACAAGCAAGGAUCUACACUAAAUAUGCAUGGGUAUAUGUGUAAAGAGGCAAUAUCGAUGGACUGGACUGCAGAAUGUCAGAAUAAGAGGGGGAUAGCUAGUCCUAUCAAAGACUAUGCUUCUGGUAGCUUCCAUCUUGCAACAUGUAGAAGAGAGUAGAUGGUAAGUUCACCAAUUAUCAUCGCAUGGCAUAAUCCUACCCGACGAUCCUCCCCUCGUCGCCCUGUGGGAAAGCAAUCACCGAGACGCCUUUGGAACUUGUCUGGGUGUGUUUUAUUAAGUAUCCGGUUCUAGUUGUCAUAAGGUCAAGGUACAACUCCGGGUCAUCCUUUUACCGAGGGACACGGGUAUUAAAAUAGAUAAACUUCCCUGCAGGGGUGCACCACAUUUCCCAACACGCUCAAUCCCUCUGGCCGGACACACUUUCCUGGGUCAUGCACAGCCUUCGAAGAUCAACACGUCGCAGCCCUACCUAGGCACAACAGAGAGGCCAGCACACCAGUCUAAAUCCUAUGUGUGUAGGGGUCUGGGCCCAUCGCCCAUUUCACACAUGCAUGUUGCGAGGACAGCCGGUGAGUAGACUUAGCAACCUCCAUUACAAAGGAAGUUACGUUACACGGUCCAACCCGGCGCACGCCGCUCAGUCGCUGAUGUCAAGAAGGCGUCGGCUGAUACCACGACGUCGAGUGCCCAUAACUGUUCCCGCGUAGUUGGUUAGUGCGUAUAGGCCAGUGGUCAUACUUAGAUCAAAUACCAAGAUCUCGUUAAGCGUGUUAUUUUAAAGUAACCGCGGACGCCGACCAGGGCCAGGCCCACCUCUCGCCUAGGUGGUCUCAACAUGCCCUAUCGCUCCGCCACAAAGUAACCAUCAAGGGGCUAUCGGGAACCCAGGCCCAUCACUACCUGGAUGGUACCACCUGCCCCUUCAGCCCCCAUCUCUGAAACACUUGCAGGUACUCUACGAGCCGACCCGACUUUAGUCACCAUCUGUAUAGCAUGAAUGUAUGUAUAUAUAUACCCGUGAUCACCUCCUGAGUGAUCACGCCCGAUAGUAUACCAUGGCAAACGGACAAGAAUGUAGGGCCGCUGGUGGUAAACUAGCAUCCAAUACUAAGCAUUUAGGAUUGCAGGUAAGGUAUCAGCAACUGUAGCAACAAUGAUAGGCUAUGCAACAUGAUAUGAUUAACCAAAAAUAGUAACAUGCUACACUACUCUAAUGCAAGCAGUAGAGGGAAUAAUAGGUGAUAUCUGGUGAUCAAGGGGGGGCUUGCCUGGUUGCUCUGCAAACAGAAACGGACCCUCGAAGGUCAAGUAGUCGAUCACUGGUUCAACCGCGGUCUUGGGGUCUACCGGAAAGAAGUAACAGAAGGGGAACACAAUAAAUAACAGAGCAAACAAAGCAUCACAAAAUAUAAUAAGGCAAUGCAUGGUGCCAUGGUGACCUGACGCGGGGAUAGGUGAUACACGCGAAGGGGGAAAACAUUUGGGAAAGUAUUCCUGGUGUUAGGCAUUUUCGGACAUAUGUAACGGAGAGGGUGGUUCCAUGUUUGCAAUGUUGGAGGGGUGUGACAGGUAUGUGGAUGGCAUACUCGGAUUCGUCGUAUUUUUCUGAUCGAUUUUCAUAUAUAAAUUAUUUUCAUCGGAGCUAUAGUUGAAUAUAUAUGACUUUCCAAAGUUUAAACAAUACUCUAAAAUUCCAAGGUUUUAUUUUAAUAUAAAAAAUAAGGCAGAAAAGGCUAGGUGCACCCGGUGCAGUGCACCCAGAGGUGCACCAGUGGCCGACAGGUGGGGCCAGUCAACUGUUGACGCAUCAGUUGACUGGUCAGACGUUGACCCGUUAGCUGGUCUAGUGGGGCCCGCGUGUCAGUGUCUCACUUUUAUUUUUAUUUUAUUUCUAUUCUCUUCCUUUUUUUGGCCGGCCCCACUUGGCAGUGGGCCAGCAGGUCACAGGGGUUGUGCCCAGGCACGGGCGCCCAUGGCCGGCUGAGGGGACGUGACAAGCAGCGGGAGGGGCGGCCCCGAUGCGGCAUCCGACGCGGCCAGGCGCGGCCAAGCAACGGGAGGGGUGGCCCCAGUGCGCCCCCGGUGCGGCCUCUGGCGCGGCCAGGCAAUUGGAAGGGCGGACGGUGGUGGGCGCAUGGAUCGGCUGUGGAGGUGGGCAGCGGCAGGGGAGUGCGCUGGGAGUUGCGGGCGGAGGCGGGCGCAGUGGCAGGAGCAGCCGACACGUGCGGUCAGAGACAGCGACAGCGUGCUAGUAGUGGCGAGGCGCGCAGCAGAUAGUAGCAAGUGCUACGGCGGCAGAAGCAGGGGCGCAGGCGACUGCAGAGAAGCGGCAGCACGGGCAAGCAGCGGCCAGCGCGGCCAGGCGCAACGGCGCACGCGAACAGCGGGGUUCGCGGGCAUGCGUGGCCAGGCUAGGCAGGCACACAGCCGAGGAAGGCACAGUGGAUACUUUAAGAGUCUUGCUUCACAAGAGGGCCACGGUAUCAAUAUCAAAGAAAGUGGCAAGGCCCAUGAGUGCAAGUUGACGAACGGAAAGGUAAGUUGUAUGCAAGGGACUCAACAAGCAUGACUUUCUCGAUCGUGAGAUCAUGAGAAAUGACAACCUUGCCAAGCCCCCAAUACCUUAGAAGAUGAAGCAUCACCCCAUUCGACAUUGGUGGGCAUAGAUGAAACUUUAUGCACGUCCACCACCAAGUCCUUGCUUCCGGUCAUAUGAUUUGUGGCUCCACUAUCGAGCAACCAUGAUCCCCCACCGGAAGCAAACACCUACAAGAGAUCAAUGCUUGGUUUUAGGUACCCAUUUUGUAAUGUCCUUUGAUGUUAGCAACAAGGUUCUUAGGAACCCAAAUAGACCAUUCAAUUUACUCAUAAGAAGAACCAGCAAAUUUGGCAUAAACAUGCCCAUCACUAACACGUCACAACACAUAAGAAGGGUUAAAAUCGCCGGUUUUAUUGGAAGGGGUGGCAUUGCCCUUCUUGACACCACCACCCUUCGUGUUCUUCUUCUUCUCCUUAUUAGUACCCUCUCCCUCCUUCACAAAGGUUUGCUUGAGAGGAGGAGGUUGUGUGGUCUUGUCAGUCUUCUUCUUCUUCUUGGACUUGGGUGCAAACCCAAUCCCCUCCUUGGCCACAACUUCCUUUUGAUUGCUCAAAAGGUCGUUGAGGUUCUUCUCUCAUUGUAUGCACGACACAGGGCCCUUCUCAAGUUGCUCCUUCAACUUGGCAUUCUCCUCCACAAGAUGCACAUGCUUACAACACGGGUUAGUAGAAUUUGCAUUAUCAAUUAAAGCCAUAUGAGGAAACGUGGCUUUCUCCUUGGUUAGCUUCACUUGGAGUUGAUCAUGAGACUCUUUGAGGCUUGCAUGAGCACCCUUCAAGGCCUUGUGAGCCGUGUCAAGUAUGUCAAACUCCUCCUUGAGUCUAGCAUGGUCAACCCCAAGUUUAGCUAUCUCGGAAUUGAGCACACGAGAUACAACAAGAGCAUGAUCAAGAUCUUUCUUUAAUUUAGCACGAUCAUCAUUCUGUGACUUCUCAAGAGCCAAACGAUGACCACGCUCUUCCUCAAGCGCAUUAGAGGGAUCUGAUAUCUCAUCGGCAUAGUCACGACUAUGCUCUUCCAUCUUAGAGAUGGUUUCUUCGUGAGCCUCAAUCAUGUCAUUGGCUUCACCAAGUUGUUCCAAGAGAGCAACGAAGUGCUUCUUGGUUUUACCCUUGAGCUUACUCAUAAAAGAAUCAAAUUCAUUUUCUUCCUCCUUCGACCCCUCACUUUCAUCAAUGCAAUCUAUCAAGGAAUAAUUAGUAGCGAUGGUGGUUUUGAUGUUGGGGUUUACCUUGUUGGUGGCUUUAGCCAUGAGGCACUUGGCGGUGAUGUUCUCGUUGGGUGAGUCAAAGAGGGACACUCAUGGAGUUGUUGCAAUGGCGACGGAGGCCAUGGCAACCGUCUUCAUCAUCAUCCUCAUUGUACUCUUCUUGUGCCACCAACCCCUUGGGAGGAGUCUUCUUGGUGAAGUUGUUCUUGUUGGGGAAGGACUUGGCCUUGUCUUUUCGGAUAAGCUUGCCUCCAUUGUCUUCCCUCUUCUCGUACGGGCAUUCUGCAACAAAGUGGCUCACAUUGCCACAAUUAUAGCAUGUCCUCACACGUUGCUUGCCCUUGGUGCCACUUGAGUUGUUCUUGUUGAAGUUGGGCCUUGUGUUCUUCUUGCUCCAAAAUUGCCGUGACGCAAGAGCCAUGUGCUCAUGAUAGGCAUACUUGGUAUCUUCGGGACAACAUUCCUCUUCUUCCUCUUCACUCUCUUCUUCCACACUAUCCUUGCCCUUUAAAGCAAGGUUGGGCUUCUUUGAUCACUGAGAAUGCAACACCGCAUUGUCAGCGGUCUUGUCCAAGAUCCUCAUAGCAACAAAUUCAUCCAACACUUCACUUGAGGACAAGGCGUGAAAGUCCGGCCUUUGACGGAUGAUAGAUGACAUGGCCUUGUGAUAGGGCAUCAUGGCCUUGAGAAACUUGCGCUUGAUCCGAUUGUCAUCUGUAUCCUUGCUCCCAUGAUCUUGGAGUGAGACCGCGAGAGUGGUUAAUCUCCGGUAAAGCUCACGUGGUUCUUCAUCUUCAUUCAUAGCAAACUCACCGGCUUCGUCUUGUAACACUUAAAAGUUAGAGUGUUGAAUGCUAGAACUUCCCUUGUAAAUGGAAACAACAUGUUGCCAUGCUUCCUUGGCCACGGUGAAAGGUCGGAGGUGUGCAAUAUCUCCGGGAGGGAUUGCUUCUUGGAGAAUGAAAAGAGCGGACUCAUUGAAUUGAUGAUCUACGACUUCUCUAGGAGUGAAGUUUCUUGGGUCAUGCAGGUAGAAAUCUUGCUCAAUAAUUCUUCAAAUAUUAGUAGAACUAUGAUUUAAAUGGCGUUUAAAGCGAUAUACCCAAGAAGCAAAAUCCUCAUUUUUCACAAGCUUAGGAGGAGUACCAACAUGAUUCAUAUGUGUGGAAGGAACCGAUCCUCCAUAAGUAAGUGGAGGUUCAACAUGGGCAAAGAUGCCACUUCCACUUCUACCACUAGGCAUGGGAGCAUGCUCACUACUAGCUUCCCCCUUUUUGGAGUUAGCAUACGUCACCUUGUUAGCGGGAUCAACCACUUCCAAAGGUCCGGUGGAUAAUUUAAGCUCAUCAAGAAACUCCUUAAACAUGCCUUUAAUCUCGGCCAUCAUGGAGGUUUCAAUGUGUCCAUAGCCACAUUGAACUCCUCACGAGAGACCAAGGAUCCCGCAUCGCCCGCGGACAAAGUGGGAUUUGCACCGGGGUGACCCUCCACCUCAUCCGUGGUGUCAAUCAUACUCUUCGGACGGCAAAGUCCUUAAUAAAGAGACGAGGCUCUGAUACCAAUUGAAAGGAUCGAUAUGGUUGACUAGAGGGGGGUGAAUAGGCAACUAACUAUUUUUAGCUUUUCUUGACCAAAUUAAACUUAGCAUCAAAGUAGGUUGUCUAGAUGUGCAACUAGGUGAACAACCUAUAUGAUGCAACAACAACAAGUACACAAUAAAGCAAUGGAUACAACACAAUAUAAGCUUGCACAAGUAAAGGUAAGAGGUAACCAAGAGUGGAUCCGGUGGAGACGAGGAUGUGUUACCGAAGUUCCUUCCCUUGAGAGGAAGUACGUCUCCGUUGGAGCGGUGUGGAGGCACAAUGCUCCCCAAGAAGCCACCAGGGCCACCGUGUUCUCCUCACGCCCUCACACAAUGUGAGAUGUCGUGAUUCCACUAUUGGUGCCCUUGAAGGCGGCGACCGAACCUUUACAAACAAGGUUGGGGCUCUCUCCACAACCGAAUUGGAGGCUCCCAACGAAACCAUGAAGCUUCACCACAAUGGAAUAUGGCUCCGAGGUGACCUCAACCGUCUAGGGUGCUCAAACACCCAAGAGUAACAAGAUCCGCAAGGGAUUGGUGGGGGGAAUCAAAUUUGAACCUUCUCAACAAAUCCCUAGAAAAUCAACAAGUUUGUGGUUGGCUAGGGAGAGAGAUUGAGCAAGAAUGAGCUUUUGAAUGGCAAUGGAGCUUUGGGGGGAAGAGGUCAAUCUAGGAAGAAGAAGACCCCUCCUUUAUAUAAGGGAGGAAAAAUCCAACCAUUUUCUGCCCAGGCCCGCAGCUAAGCGGUACUACUCCGCACAGGUCUAAAAAUACACAAAGUAUAUUGAUGGUAGUGCCGCAGGAGCGAUACUACUGCUGACCCAGGCGGUAGUACCGCCUGGGUUUAGAUCUGGGAAGGCAGCGGUGGUAGAGGGUGCUGGGGGGCGGCAGUACCAUGUGAAGCGGUACUACCAUUCUAGUGCCGCUCUACAACUGCUUGGGGCAAAGUGGGUACCGAACCUUGCACAUGAAAACCCCGCAAGCGGUAGUGGAGACGGUAGUACAUGCGGUAGUACCACUCGAGCGGUACUACCGCGCUACUACCGCGCUACUACCACUCAACUACCGUUAAAAACAGACCGACAACAGAAUGUUGCACGCUCGGGGAAACCCUAAGCGGUAGUGCCACGGAAGUACCCAGCGGUACUACCGUGGGCACUAGCGGUACUAUCGCUGGCAAGAUGCAGAUAACACCAUAGAAAAUAUUGGAAAAGCUCCAGAGAAGGGAAAGGAGUUUGUGGGUGCAUAUGGGGUUGUGUACAUGUUGAUUCACCCAUACCUUUCCGAAACUAACCCCCUCUUAAUAGUAUGGAUUUCCUACGACUCAAAUCCACGGAAAAGAAACGUAGAGAACCGCCGUCUUCGAUAGGCUCUGAGGGACAUCGAAUCAUCAAGUGCCUAGACAUGAGAUAUCUGAAAUGCUCAAUCACACGAUUGGUCCGCAAGAGCAUUGUCAUCAAUCACCAAAACCACUUAGGGAGACAUAUGCCCUUACAUCCUCUUGUGUCCCUUAAGUUCUUCUCUGUUUUUGAUCAUGAAAUUCAGGAAAAGCAAGUUAACUUACCUCAGUUCAAGUCAGUGAGCAAUAGCAGCCCAGAUCUCCUGACACGUUGCAGAAGCAAUAGAACAGAGGCACACUGCAUCUGACGUGUGACAAAGCGAGUUGGAGUCACUUUUUCUACAUGAAUUAAGUUACACAUUAGAAAUAAUUUCAACUUUCUAGGUUUUUCAUAUUUGAUUUGCUACUUUUAGGUUUUAAAUGCAAUUUUGGCAUUUUCAUCCAAAAAUUAGGAAUGAACCAAUAUGGUUGAAAAAACGCAAAAGUUUGCAUGGGCUCAUAUUAUGGGAUUAGGAGAUAGGUGAAAAAUUCUCACGAGAUUUGACAAUUUUUUAUUAUACUUUUCUUUACCAUGGAUGGAUCUUCUACGAUGUUGAUUAUAUAUUCAAGACACAUGUAUGCAUUGUUGAGUUUAUUGUUUUUGUCAUGAUGCAUAUGGGAUGAAUGGGACCAAUACAUACCUUAAUGCUAUGAUUGAGUUUACUUUAAUGAACGUGUUAGUUUUUGCAGAUGCUUGCUAGUAGUUCUAAUCAUAAGCACGUAUGCUUCCAGGUACGAACCGUAUGUUAGCAGAGGCCUCUCCCACAUAUCAAACUGCAAUGAGCACGAUCAGUCUAGUAAUUUAGCCAAUUGCCUAGGAACAAUUUCCCAUAUCCUAUCACCGCUUUUUCACCCUCGCUAUCUUUGUUUUAUUGUACUUUUACUCAAACAACACUGACCUUUAUUUUCUAGUUAUCCGUUACCUUGCAAAGCUAUCCUUUUAUACCUAGAAAGUAGUUAUAGUUCAUUUCCUAGGUGAAGCAAAGGUUUAGUGUACGUGGGGUUGUACCAGUGUCAGAUAGGACCUGACAGAAUAUUAACCUACCUUUAGCUCCUUGUCAAUUCCACACUCCAUACUAAUCACAUCCACCUUUGGAAAUUGCUAAGGCAAUUCCUUGUACUUGGGGAAUAUCAAGCUCUUUUCUGGCGCUGUUGCUGAGGAGCAAUAUCAUAUGGUGGAUAUCUUGUGUGCGCUUGUUGGCUUUAUCACUAAAUAGUUUUUUUUUUCAUUUCUUAGUUGUUUUCCACCUAUAGUUAUGGAUUGGUGACACAAGUUAGUAUAAAAAUAGUUGUACCUGUUACUCUCAAGGUUGUGGAACCCUCCAAAAUCCUCACCUCUGAAAAUCACAUGGGUUAUCUUCAACCCAUGAAUCCUUGUGUUGGAACCUCAACAUACUUGAUAAGGGGAAAACAUUGGAUCAAUGCAAAUACUUUCUACAAUACCGCUUGUACUAAAAUGGGAAACACUUGUGGGAUCUUAUAAAUAUCUUGAAUUACUUUGCUAGAAAUUUGUGUAAUCAAUGCAAUACAACUUGUUGCUUUAGGAAGAAUAAAUACUAGACACCUCCCAUUCCAAUGUUAGUACAAUGAUAAUGACAAUGACACAUUAGCUCCUCAUGCCAAUGGUUAUCAAAAUAUACUACUCCCACCGUCCCAAAAUAAGUGUAUCAAUGUUGGUACAACUUUGUACUAAAGUUAGUACAAAGUUGAGACACUUAUUUUGGGACAGAGUGAGUAUUUGAUAGUACUAAAUCUUCUUACGAGUGCUGCUAAACCCUAAUGAUCCAUCAUUGUUGUGAGAUGGUGAAUGUUCUCUGCAAAGGCUCGCAUUUAAGAGGAAUAUUGUAAAACAUAAACAAUGAUAAAAUAUACUCAAGGAUAUUUAUUAUAUGAGUUUUUAACCACCGAUUUGCUUAAUACCGUUAUUCAUCAUGAGUUCUUCAAAAGUCACACUUUUUCGAUAUAAUUCAUACCAUAUCUUUAAGUCCACAUGUGAACUCAUGUUUUCUCGACCUUUUCUUCUACUAGACCAACUUAGGUUCCUAUGUCUUCGACUUUUCUUUUUCAUCCUACUGCCAUGUAGAGGCUAGAUGGAUAUCGACGAUUUGUACAUAUGUUUUUUCCCUUCUUGGAAUCUUUACAUAUACACAAUUGCACAAUUAUGUGUCUAAAAUUCAAAGUGUGUGGGUGACAGUGGAAGGGGGAUUUUGAUCAGAUGAGCCAUCAACAUAGGUGGUAAGACUGGAUUGGGGAGACAGAGGUGAUGAGUGGAAGAUAGGCAUAGUUGACAUGAACCAAAAAAAAAAUGAAGCCGGAUCCUCUAACUUGCAAGAGGCAAGCCAGAGAGCUACCGCGCGUCUUUACAUAGAACGGAGAAGAGGAAUCAGAAAGAUUGCACCGUUCUACAAAUCAUUGUAGAUGUAUUACUGUUCACGAAUCACUGUUUGUGAUUACUAUUAGUAAAUCACUUGUUAAAUCAUAAUUUUCGAAAGGCCAGCAAAGGGAAGUUAGGGUGCUGUACUAUCCUCUGACUUCCCUCCUAAAGUUAGAAGAUCUCAAUCCAGAAUAUGUAUGCCACUUAAUACCAAUUAGCAAUUUUAUAUACGACCAAACAACAAAAUCAGAACCGAAGCCCAUUUCAACACAUAGGCUGAUCUCAGCUCUCUGAUUGGUUCAUCUGGACCUCCCACGGAUCGCUCCCCCUGCCCUCCACGCUCCCCUCAGAUCCAACGGUGGGCGCAGCACGUCACGCGGAUCGCUCCCCCCUCCCGCGAAGCUCCCCGCCUCCAAUAAAAUCCGCGCCCCCGCCGCCGUCCAAACCCACAAACUCAGAGCACUCCGAUCCACCACCGCCGCCGCACAGACCACAACAUCUCGAGUAGUUUCCAGCUCGCCGGAAAGCAGCAAGCAAGAUGGCCGGCAGGAAGGGCGGCGACAGGAAGAAGGCGGUGACCCGCUCCGUGAAGGCCGGGCUCCAGUUCCCCGUCGGCCGCAUCGGGCGCUACCUCAAGAAGGGCCGCUACGCCCAGCGCGUCGGCUCCGGCGCCCCCGUCUACCUCGCCGCCGUCCUCGAGUACCUCGCCGCCGAGGUAUGCGCCGAUCUCUCCACUCCUCGAGCCUCUGUUACUCUGUUCUUGCCCUGUUCGACGGAUGGCUGACCGAUCUGGUUCCUGGUUGAAUUCUCAGGUGCUGGAGCUCGCCGGCAACGCGGCCAAGGAUAACAAGAAGACCCGCAUCAUCCCGCGCCACCUGCUGCUCGCCGUCCGCAACGACCAGGAGCUCGGCAGGCUGCUCGCCGGCGUGACCAUCGCCCACGGCGGCGUGAUCCCCAACAUCAACUCCGUGCUGCUCCCCAAGAAGUCCCCCGCCGCCGCCGAGAAGGAGGCCAAGUCGCCCAAGAAGAAGAGCACCACCAAGUCCCCAAAGAAGAAGGUCGCCGCCAAGGAGUAGCCGUCCCCAUAGCCUAGCCAGUGUUGCUUAGAUCCAAUUCUCAUGGACUAAGAUGAGAUCCUGUAUGUAAUGCCUGGUAGUCUGUAGUUCCCGUCAGAUUCGUCGAGCAAGUAUGACAUUGUAUCUGUGAUUUCUGUGACAAUGUCGAAAGAUGCAAUCAUUUCAAUCUUGUACUGCGAAAUUCUCUCUUCCAGCAUCCGAAAUUUUCCGUUGAUCUGUCUGAAUCUAUGAAGAACUAGCUCUCCCUGCAUCGCAGCUUAUAAAUUGAUGAUGGUGCUAAUUGAAUUGGAUAAGCAAGAUGCAUCAGAAGUCCUGCAGUCAAACAUUUCAAAUUAGAUCUUGACCAUGCCGAAGCAUUUUGCAGGCAACGUAACCUCUGUAGUUGAGCUGGUUACUGCUCUCUUUGACAAACCACAGACUACAUGCGAUCUGAAGUUCGGAUAGUUUGAUGUAGGUUACAAACCACAGACCUGAGAACGUUUUGGCUGCUAGAUGCAAACUAAAAUAACUAGCUCCAACAUAAAAAAUAUUGAGAAAUUUAGAGUAAGCAAGUAGAACAAGAUUCACCGGAAUGCCUUCAAAGAGUAAAGUAGAAAAAUGUUCUUCACCGGAGUGCACAAGAUUCCUGGGUAAAUAAGCAAGUUGAUGUUGCAUGGUGGGAAAAAUAAUAAGCAAGAAUUUCAGUAAAGCUGAUGAAUGAAAAAAAAAUGUUAAAUGUAGAGUGGGUAUACCGUAUACAUUUUUUUUUAUCAAGGAAUGAGUUUUUUUUAGCCACUGCACUACCUGCGACUUCAUGUCUAAGAAGGUAUCCGAGUUUAUAUGAACUAUCAGCCGCGAUACAUUUCAACUUAUUUUGAAAUUUCAACCGUGAUUUUUUUUAAGUUUUAAAUAUUUGCUGCAAUACUACAUUUUUGGAGGAAAGAGGAACAACAUUGAAUAAUUCAAUAUUGUUUGAAUUUACAAACAUUUUUAGAAACGUGAACAUUUUUUGACAAACAUGAAAAGACUUGAAAACAUGGCAUUUUUUUAAAAUAACAAACACUGUUUCCAAAUCAUGAACAUUAUUGUAUUUGCGAACGAAUUUUGAAAACAUGAUUUUAUUUAAUUUGUGAACAAAUUUGGAAAGCUGAAACAUUAUUUGAAAUUCCUAAACAUUGUUUAGAUUUCAGAACAAAAAAUAAAAGUGUGAACUUUUUUAAAAUUACUAGACCUUUUUUUGAAUUUCAGAACAAAAUUUUAAAACAUGAACAAAAUUUGAAACCGGGAACAUUUUUUAAGUUCGCGAUCAUUUUUUGAGUUUACAAGCAAAAUUUCAAAACAUUAACAUCUUUAAAAUUUGUGCAGAAAUAUUUGCAAAUGGGAACAUAUUUUGAAUUUCGCAAAAUUACUGGAAUUUGUGAAUAAAUUUAAAAUGCAAACAUUUUAAAAUUUCUGAACAUUUGUUAAAAAGGAAAUAAAAUAAAGGGAAACGAAAGGGGGAAAGAAAAAAGGAAAAUGAAAAAAAUAGGGAAAAAACCUUCUGGGAGGUUCCGAAAAUAGAUAAAACCAGAGAUGAACAUUCUUGAAGGUUCCUAAAACCGAAAGUAACAAAUCACAUAACUAGGUCGGUCAAGUGCACUAGAUCCCGCUCGAUUCCCGUGCGUUUGCUCGUCAUUAUGAAUUUCAGAAAUACCACGACCGUCCAAUAGGGGUUUCCCUCUAGUUUAUCCCUCAUAUUUUGGCUGGUGAAUUUUUCUCCAAUUUGCUUCCCCGUUCAAAUUUUAAAUUUGUUUGGAAAAACAGGUGUGUGGUAUUUCUGAAAUUCGGGGGAUGAUUGUUUAGAUAUUUUCUGCUUUAGAAAAAUAAGCUAGGGAAAACAGUUCAGGUGUUUCAUUCUAGCUAAAGAGUUAAGGGGGGAUCUAAAGACGUUUUAAUCUUCCAGCAUAGACAGACAGGCACGUUGACGCGUGAUGUAGACAUGUUCCAAUAAAAUACUUUUGUGAAUCGGCAUGAGCAGUGAUUCUGGUUCAAUUGUGGUAUGAUCGAAUGCGCUCAUACCACUACUCAUCUUCUGUUUUGUCAAAUCUAUAGCUUGUGGCCGACCAUCGGUACAAGUGGACAAGCUUGCAGACGCGCUCAUAUGAGUGCCCGUCCAUCCUUGUGAUAACUUGCUAUGGUGCAACCGAGGGCUUUUGUAUCAGGGAAACGUUUGGGAACAGCGCAUCGGUCGAGCGUUCGGCCGGUCCACGCACGCGCCACGUGGUCAAAGGGGCCCACACGCAUACAUCCCUCCUAUCCUUCUCUUUUUUUUCUUCUUUACCGCUCAUCUCCCUCGCUCCUUCUCUGCUUCCUUCUCAGGCCCUGCCGCCAUGGUUUACCAUCACUGCCUGCAGGCCUCCCAGGGUGCCGCGACCACGGGAAUCAGCCGAUCUGGCGGCCCUCGGCCAGAUCUGCUUGGAUCCGCCCCACCGGAGCUCUGCCUCGCCGAACCCGGCCACGCCGGAGCUGCAACCGACCACGCCGGAGCCGCAACCGUUGAACCUUUUUCCAUAGCCGCUUGUAGCUCUCAUCAACGCUCGUUGCAGCUUUCGCCGUCGCCCCAUAGCUCUCACCAAUACUCGUUUUUUGAAAGCUUCAUGGUGGAAGCUUUUUUCCAUACCGAUUGAAGCUUUUUUCCACAUCGGAUGAAGCUUUUCUGUCAUGGCUGAAGCUUUUUCCUAUUCAGAUCGAAACAUUUUUUCACACCGGUUGAAUCUUUUCUUGAUGCCGCUUGAAGCUUUUUCCCACACCGGAUGAAGCUUUUCUGCCAUGGCUGAAGCUUUUUCCCAUUCAGAUCGAAACAUUUUUUUCACACCGGUUGAAUCUUUUCUUGAUGCCGCUUGAAUCUUUUCUUGAUGCCGCUUGAAGCUUUUUUCCAUGCUUUGAAGCUUUUCUGCCAUGGCUGAAGCUUUUUCCCAUUCCGAUCGAAACAUUUUUUCACAUUGGUUGAAUCUUUUCUUGAUGCCGCUUGAAGCUUUAUUCCAUGUUUGAAGCUUUUUCUUCGACGCCGGUUGUAGCUUUUUUCAUGGUUGAAGCUUUCUCUAAAUCUGUUGUAGCAGGGGGGUUGUAGCAGGGGGUUGGGUGCUCGUCGGUCGCACGCCAGGACUGGACGGUUCCAGCAUCCCCGGACGCAGCCGGGUCGCACGGCUUCGGGAGCUUGAGGACCAUAGCAUGGCCUGUCAUAGGAGCCAUGGCAGGUCUGCGAUGGCGGCGAGCCUGCGUGUGCGGCAGCGCUCUCAUCUCCGGCGAGGGGAAUACACCGAGGGUCGCUGGCGCACGCCGCAACUUUUGUUCCCCCGACGCCCGGCUAUUGCUCCCUUUUUUUCCGAUUGAUGAUGCGGGAGAAGAAGGCAGACAUGAGGAAGAAGAAGGGGAUGAUNNNNNNNNNNNNNNNNNNNNNNNNNNNNNNNNNNNNNNNNNNNNNNNNNNNNNNNNNNNNNNNNNNNNNNNNNNNNNNNNNNNNNNNNNNNNNNNNNNNNNNNNNNNNNNNNNNNNNNNNNNNNNNNNNNNNNNNNNNNNNNNNNNNNNNNNNNNNNNNNNNNNNNNNNNNNNNNNNNNNNNNNNNNNNNNNNNNNNNNNNNNNNNNNNNNNNNNNNNNNNNNNNUUGAAUCGUGCGGCCCGAGGCGCACGCAUCAUGGGGCUGCGAUGCGACCGGCCCAAAUUUGGGCCGAUGAGCCGACGCCUAGCAGUGGCCUUUGUAUCACCGGUCAACCAAUGGUGUUACGGCCACGGGGUACCUCACCAUGUCGGUUACAGGUCCAGGUAGGAUGGCCCGAGGGCCCCUAGGCUGAUUCCACCUGGGCCAUCAUGUCAGCCCAUUGGCCCUCCAGGAGAAAGAAUUUGGAGGCCUUUUCAUUCAAGACAAAGAAGUCGGAUCCUUGGAGGACUCCUCUCCACCGACAUAGUCAACUAGGACUGUUAUAGCCCUAGGGGCCGUGUUAUCUUAAAUAAGCCAGGUUUGGGCUAGUCGACAAAACAUCUUAGGCAUUACAAUCCUUCGGUAUUACAUGUACUUUUUACACCAUAAUCAAAAUAUACACGUAGCAGGAGUAGGGGUUUACCUCCAUCGCGAGGGCCUGAACCUUGGUGAACUCGGUUCUUGUUUUCCCUCUAACCUAAUCACCACGCUGGGAUACCCUACCGAGGAAUCUGCCAGAAUCAUCUCCCACACCAUAUAAGGAACACAUCAACCGCAAAACAACACCACAUCAACACUAAUACUAUAGUGCCAUUAGAGGGACCAACUUACUGCUACUAAUCAAGCUACAAUGAGGAGUACACAUCCCAUAAGAAGCAGGACUAAGAACCCAAACAACGGAUGGGAACUUGGUGCUCUCGGGUUCUGGCGCACCCUAUAUGCGCCAAAAAAUUUAGUAAUCCAAAAAAAAAAUCAAAAAAUUAUAAAUCUUUUUUGAAAUCAAACAUGAUUAGGUAUUCUACUCGUAUAAAAAGUGUGGACAAGAAAUUAUUCGUUUUGACUUCGGGGCAAAAAAGAGAAGUCUAUGACGACAUUAUAGCGUGUAUAGUACUUGUAUAUAGUGUUUUUUGCCGAAUCUUCGACUCAGAAUACAACAAAAGUCUUUCGCUGACGAAUCUUUUUAUACGACUAUAAUAUUUGAUCAUGUUUGAUACCAAAGAAGUUUCGGGACUUUUUGAACUUUUUUUGAAUUACUAUUUUUUUUGCAUAUAGGGUGCGCGGGUACCCAUGUUCUCCUUUGUAUUUUCCCCCAAACAACAAGCUACCUAAACCAUAAGGUAGGAGAUAAGGAUACUCUCAGGUAGCAUAGAGGUGGAUGGUUGCUCCAGAUCCAGGCAGAGGCACGACGGCGCGGUCCAGUUCCCGAUGUGCCAAGCGAGCAUUUGCAUGCGAGACUGGGCGCGAUGAGAAGGUGCACGUGGUCCAGAUCCGCACUAUGCGCGAUGAGCUGGGGUAGGCCGGUGCAGUAGGGAGUGAACAGAAGGUAUUUGCGGCCCAGAUCCGCGUGGUGCGCGCUCCUAGUGGCGUCUUGUCGCGCGUGCGAACGUUGCGGCGCGAUGGAGGAGCCGGACGGGGAUGCUAAGUGAGUGGUGCGAUGCGUAGUGGCUUGUUAGGGGGCUGACAGAGUCGUGGGGCUUGGAGGGUGAGGUUGCCGGCGAAAGUUGUACCCCGACGAAUGCACCUUCGAUCGUCAUUUCCUUGUUGGAGGUGUCAAGGUGGCAGUCCUUACUUUCCCUUCUGACAAGCUCCGGGAGAAAACCUAGAUCUGGUUUACCGAAUUGGGCUAUGGCAAUGUUGUUAGCUUUGCUUGGUGUUGCGCGCAUUCCCUCUUGAGGGCAUCAUUUUGGAGGUGCCGGUCGGAGGGACUCAUGGCUUGGGGAGUUGGCCGGUGAUGACUAGCGUGGUUUCGUGUUGGGGAACGUUGCAGAAAAUUAAAAUUUUUCCUACGGUUUCACCAAGAUCCAUCUAUGAGUUCAUCUAAGCAACGAGUCUAGGGAGAGAGUUUGCAUCUACAUACCACUUGUAGAUCGCGUGCGGAAGCUUGCAAGGUGAUGAUGUAGUCGUACUCGACGUGAUCCAAAUCACCGAUGACCUGCGCCGAACGGACGGCACCUCCGCGUUCAACACACGUACGGAACAGCCACGUCUCCUCCUUCUUGAUCCAGCAAGGAAGGGAGGAGAGGUUGAGGGAGAUGGCACCAGCAGCAGCACGACGGCGUGGUGUUGAUGGAGCUGCAGUACUCCGGCAGAGCUUCGCUAAGCACUAUGGAGGUGGAGGAGGUGUUGGGGAGGGAGAAGGAGGCAACCAAAGGCCAGGGCGUUCAGGUAUGAAGUCCCUCCUCUCCCCCACUAUAUAUAGGGGUGCCAAGGGGGGGUGGCCGGCCCUAGGAGAUCCAAUCUCCUAGGGGGUGCGGCGGCCAAGGGGGGUUUUCCCUCCCCCCAAGGCACCUAGGAGGUGCCUUACCCUCCUAGGACUCUUGCCCCCUUGAACCCUAGGCGCAUGGGCCUAUGUGGGGCUGGUGCCCUUGGCCCAUUAGGCCAAGGCGCACCCCCUUACAGCCCAUGUGGCCCCCCGGGACAGGUGGACCCACCCGGUGGACCCCCGGGACCCUUCCGGUGGUCCCGGUACAAUACCGAUAACCCCAAAACUUGUCCCGAUGCCCGAAACAGGACUUCCCAUAUAUAAAUCUUUACCUCCGGACCAUUUCGGAACUCCUCGUGACGUCCGGGAUCUCAUCCGGGACUCCGAACAACAUUCGGGUUACUGCAUAUACAUAUCCCUAUAACCCUAGCGUAACUGAACCUUAAGUGUGUAGACCCUACGGGUUCGGGAGACAUGCAGACAUGACCGAGACUCUCUCAGUCAAUAACCAUCAGCGGGAUAUGGAUACCCAUGAUGGCUCCCACAUGCUCCUCGAUGUUGUCAUCGGAUGAACCACUAUGUCGAGGAUUCGAUCAAACCCUGUAUGCAAUUCCCUUUGUCAAUCGGUACGUUACUUGCCCGAGACUCGAUCGUCGGUAUCCCAAUACCUUGUUCAGUCUCGUUACCGGCAAGUCACUUUACUCGUACCGUAAUGCAUGAUCCCGUGUCCAACACCUUGGUCACAUUGAGCUCAUACGGAGUGACAAAUCGCAGUCUCGAUCCGUGUCAACCCAACAGCUACUUUCAGAGAUACCUGUAAUGUACCUUUAUAGUCACCCAGUUACGUUGUGACGUUUGGUACACCCAAGGCACUCUUACGGUAUCCGGGAGUUACACGAUCUCAUGGUCGAAGGAAGAGAUACUUGACACUUGCAAAGCUCUAGCAAAACGAACUACACGAUCUUUUAUGCUAUGCUUAGGAUUGGGUCUUGUCCAUCACAUCAUUCUCCUAAUGAUGUGAUCUCGUUAUCAACGACAUCCAAUGUCCAUAGUCAGGAAACCAUGACUAUCUGUUGAUCACAACAAGCUGGUCAACUAGAGGCUUACCAGGGACAUUGUGUGGUCUAAGUAUUCACACGUGUAUUACGAUUUCCGGAUAAUACAGUUAUAGCAUGAAUAAAAGACAAUUAUCAUGAACAAUGAAAUAUAAUAAUACUUUUACUAUUGCCUCUAGGGCAUAUUUCCAACAGUCUCCCACUUGCACUAGAGUCACUAAUCUAGUUACAUUGUGAUGAAUCAAACACCCAUAGAGUUCUGGUGUUGAUCAUGUUUUGCACGCGAGAGAGGUUUAGUCAGCGGAUCUGCGACAUUCAGAUCCGUGUGCACUUUGCAAAUCUCUAUGUCUCCAUCUUGAACAUUUUCACGGAUGGAGUUGAAACGACGCUUGAUGUGCCUGGUCUUCUUGUGAAACCUGGGCUCCUUUGCGAGGGCAAUAGCUCCAGUGUUGUCAUAGAAGAGUUUGAUCGGCCCCGACGCAUUGGGUAUGACUCCUAGGUCGGUGAUGAACUCCUUCACCCAAAUCGCUUCAUGUGCUGCCUCCGAGGCUGCCAUGUACUCCGCUUCACACGUAGAUCCCGCCACGACGCUCUGCUUGCAGCUGCACCAGCUUACUGCUCCACCAUUCAACAUAUACACGUAUCCGGUUUGUGACUUAGAGUCAUCCAGAUCUGAGUCGAAGCUAGCGUCGACGUAACCCUUUACGACGAGCUCUUCGUCUCCUCCAUAAACGAGAAACAUGUCCUUUGUCCUUUUCAGGUACUUCAGGAUAUUCUUGACCGCUGUCCAGUGUUCCUUGCCGGGAUUACUUUGGUAUCUUGCUACCAAACUUACGGCAAGGUUUACAUCGGGUCUGGUACACAGCAUGGCAUACAUAAUGGAUCCUAUGGCUGAAGCAUAGGGGAUGACACUCAUCUCUUCUUUAUCUUUUGCCGUGGUCGGUGACUGAGCUGAGCUCAGUCUCAUACCUUGUAACAUAGGCAAGAACCCCUUCUUGGACUGAUCCAUUCUGAAUCUCUUCAAAAUCUUAUCAAGGUAUGUGCUUUGUGAAAGACCUAUGAGGCGUCUCGAUCUAUCUCUAUAGAUCUUGAUGCCUAAUAUAUAAGCAGCUUCUCCAAGGUCCUUCAUUGAAAAACACUUAUUCAAGUAGGCCUUAAUGCUGUCCAGAAAUUCUAUAUUAUUUCCCAUCAGGAGUAUGUCAUCUACAUAUAAUAUGAGAAAUGCUACAGAGCUCCCACUCACUUUCUUGUAAACGCAGGCUUCUCCAUAAGUCUGCAUAAACCCAAACGCUUUGAUCAUCUCAUCAAAGCGAAUGUUCCAACUCCGAGAUGCUUGCACCAGUACAUAAAUGGAUCGCUGGAGCUUGCAUACUUUGUUAGCGUUCUGAGGAUCGACAAAACCUUCCAGCUGCAUCAUAUACAGUUCUUCCUUAAGAUGCCCGUUAAGGAAUGCUGUUUUGACGUCCAUCUGCCAUAUCUCAUAAUCAUAGUAUGCGGCAAUUGCUAACAUGAUUCGGACGGACUUUAGCUUCGCUACGGGAGAGAAUGUCUCGUUGUAGUCAAUCCCUUGAACCUGUCGAUAACCCUUAGCGACAAGUCGAGCUUUAUAGAUGGUAACAUUACCAUCCGCGUCCGUCUUCUUCUUAAAGAUCCAUUUGUUUUCUAUCGCUCGCCGAUCAUCGGGCAAGUCUGUCAAAGUCCAUACUUUGUUUUCAUACAUGGAUUCUAUCUCGGAUUUCAUGGCUUCAAGCCAUUUGUUGGAAUCCGGGCCCGUCAUUGCUUCUUCAUAGUUCGAAGGUUCAUUGUUGUCUAACAACAUGAUUUCCAGGACAGGGUUGCCGUACCACUCUGGUGCGGAACGUGUCCUUGUGGACCUACGAAGUUCAGCAGUAACUUGAUCUGAAGUACCUUGAUCAUUAUCAUGGUUUUCCUCUUCAGUUGGUGUGGGCAUCACAGGAACGGUUUCCUGUGCUGCGGCACUAUCCCGCUCAAGAGGUAGUACUUCAUCGAGUUCUACUUUCCUCCCACUUACUUCUUUCGAGAGAAACUCUUUUUCCAGAAAGCAUCCGUUCUUGGCAACAAAGAUCUUGCCUUCGGAUCUUAAGUAGAAGGUAUACCCUAUAGUUUCCUUAGGGUAUCCUAUGAAUACGCAUUUUUCCGACUUGGGUUCGAGCUUUUCAGGUUGAAGUUUCUUGACAUAAGCUUCGUAUCCCCAAACUUUUAGAAACGACAGCUUAGGUUUCUUUCCAAACCAUAAUUCAUACGGUGUCGUCUCAACGAAUUUAGACGGUGCCCUAUUUAAAGUGAAUGUAGCUGUCUCUAGAGCGUAUCCCCAAAAUGAUAGCGGUAAAUUGGUAAGAGACAUCAUAGACCGCACCAUAUCCAAUAGAGUGCGAUUACGACGUUCGGACACACCGUUUCGCUGAGGUGUUCCAGGCGGCGUGAGCUGUGAAACGAUUCCACAUUUCUUUAAGUGUGUACCAAAUUCGUGACUUAAGUAUUCUCCUCCACGAUCUGAUCGUAAGAAUUUUAUCUUUCGGUCACGUUGAUUCUCCACCUCAUUCUGAAAUUCCUUGAACUUUUCAAAGGUCUCAGACUUGUGUUUCAUUAAGUAGACAUACCCAUAUCUACUCAAGUCAUCUGUGAGAGUGAGAACAUAACAAUAUCCUCCGCGAGCCUCAACGCUCAUUGGACCGCACACAUCGGUAUGUAUGAUUUCCAACAAGUUGGUUGCUCGCUCCAUUGUUCCGGAGAACGGAGUCUUGGUCAUUUUGCCCAAGAGGCAUGGUUCGCACGUGUCAAACGAUUCAUAAUCAAGAGACUCUAAAAGUCCAUCGGCAUGGAGCUUCUUCAUGCGCUUGACACCAAUGUGACCAAGGCGGCAGUGCCACAAGUAUGUGGGACUAUCGUUAUCAACUUUAAAUCUUUUGGCAUCUACACUAUGAACAUGUGCAAUAUUACGCUCGAGAUUCAUUAAGAAUAAACCAUUGACCAUCGGAGCAUGACCAUAAAACAUAUCUCUCAUAUAAAUCGAACAACCAUUAUUCUCAGACUUAAAUGAGUAGCCAUCUCGUAUUAAACGAGAUCCAGAUACAAUGUUCAUGCUCAAACUUGGCACUAAAUAACAAUUAUUAAGGUUCAAAACUAAUCCCGUAGGUAGAUGUAGAGGCAGCGUGCCGACGGCGAUCACAUCGACUCUGGAACCAUUCCCGACGCGCAUCGUCACCUCGUCCUUCGCCAGUCUCCGUUUAUUCCGCAGCUCCUGCUGUGAGUUACAAAUAUGAGCAACGGCACCGGUAUCAAAUACCCAGGAGUUACUACGAGUACUGGUAAGGUACACAUCAAUCACAUGUAUAUCAAAUAUACCUUUGGUGUUGCCGGCCUUCUUAUCCGCUAAGUAUUUGGGGCAGUUCCGCUUCCAGUGACCCUUCCCCUUGCAAUAAAAGCACUCAGUCUCAGGCUUGGGUCCAUUCUUUGACUUCUUCCCGGUAACUGGCUUACCAGGCUCGGCAACAUCUUUGCCGUCCUUCUUGAAGUUCUUCUUACCCUUGCCCUUCUUGAACUUAGUGGUCUUAUUGACCAUCAACACUUGAUGUUCUUUCUUGAUUUCAGCCUCUGCUGACUUCAGCAUCGAGAACACUUCAGGAAUGGUCUUUUCCAUUCCCUGCAUGUUGUAGUUCAUCACAAAGCUCUUGUAGCUUGGUGGGAGCGACUGGAGGAUUCUGUCAAUGACCGCCUCAUCUGGGAGGUUAAUGUUCAGCUGGGUCAUACGGUUGUGCAACCCAGACAUCUUCAGGAUGUGCUCACUGACAGAACUGUUUUCCUCCAUCUUACAACUGUAGAACUUGUUGGAGACAUCAUAUCUCUCGACCCGGGCAUGAGCUUGAAAAACUAGUUUCAGCUCUUCGAACAUCUCAUAUGCUCCGUGAUGCUCAAAACGCUUUUGGAGCCCCGGGUUCUAAGCUGUAAAGCAUGCCGCACUGAACGAGGGAGUAAUCAUCAGCGCGAGACUGCCAAGCAUUCAUAAUGUCUUGGUUCUCUGGGACGGGAGCGUCACCUAGCGGUCCUUCUAGGACAUAUUGUUUCCUGGCAGCUAUGAGGAUGAUCCUCAGGUUCCGGACCCAGUCCGUAUAGUUGCUGCCAUCAUCUUUCAGCUUGGUUUUCUCUAGGAACGCGUUGAAGUUCAUGUUGACAUUAGCGUUGGCCAUUGAUCUACAAGACAUAUUUGCAAAGGUUUUAGACUAAGUUCAUGAUAAUAAAGUUCUAAUCAAAUUAUGAACUCCCACUUAGAUUAGACAUCCCUUUAGUCAUCUAAGUGUUACACGAUCCGAGUCGAGUAGCCCGUGUCCGAUCAUCACGUGAGACGGACUAGUCAUCGUCGGUGAACAUUUUCAUGUUGAUCGUAUCUUCUAUACGAUUCGUGUUCGACCUUUCGGUCUCCGUGUUCCGAGGCCAUGUCUGCACAUGCUAGGCUUGUCAAGUUAACCCUAAGUGUUUUCGCUGUGUAAAACUGUCUUACACCCGUUGUAUGUGAACGUAAGAAUCCAUCACACCCGAUCAUCACGUGGUGCUUAGAAACGACGAACUGUAGCAACGGUGCACAGUUAGGGGAGAACACUUCUUGAAAUUUUAUAAGGGAUCAUCUUAUUUACUACCGUCGUCCUAAGUAAACAAGAUGCAUAAUACAUAAUAAACAUCACAUGCAAUUAUAUAGUUGUGACAUGAUAUGGCCAAUAUCAUAUAGCUCCAUUGAUCUUCAUCUUGGGGGCUCCAUGAUCAUCUUGUCACUGGCUUGACACCAUGAUCUCCAUCAUCAUGAUCUCCAUCAUCGUGUCUUCAUGAAGUUGUCACGCCAACGACUACUUCUACUUCUAUGACUAACGUUUAGCAAUAAAGUAAAGUAGUUUACAUGGCGUUAUUCAAUGACACGCAGGUCAUACAAAAAAAAUAAUGACAACUCCUAUGGCUCCUGCCGGUUGUCAUACUCAUCGACAUGCAAGUCGUGAAUCCUAUUACAAAGAACAUGAUCUCAUACAUCACAAUUCAUCAUUCAUCACAACUUCUGGCCAUAUCACAUCACAUGAUCAAUCGCUGCAAAAACAAGUUAGACGUCCUCUAAUUGUUGUUGCAUCUUUUACGUGGCUGCAAUUGGGUUCUAGCAAGAACGUUUUCUUACCUACGGAUCACCACAACGUGAUUUUGUCAACUUCUAUUUACCCUUCAUAAGGGCCCUGUUCAUCGAUUCCGCUCCAACUAAGGUGGGAGAGACAUACACCCGCCAGCCACCUUAUGCAACUUGUGCAUGUCAGUCGGUGGAACCGGUCUCACGUAAGAGUACGUGUAAGGUUGGUCCGGGCCGCUUCAUCCCACAAUACCAUUGAGCAAGAAAAGACUAGUAGAGGCAAGUAAGAUGACAAAAUCCACGCCCACAACAAAGUUGUGUUCUACUCGUGCAAAGAGAACUACGCAUAGACCUAGCUCAUGAUGCCACUGUUGGGGAACGUUGCAGAAAAUUAAAAUUUUUCCUACGGUUUCACCAAGAUCCAUCUAUGAGUUCAUCUAAGCAACGAGUCUAGGGAGAGAGUUUGCAUCUACAUACCACUUGUAGAUCGCGUGCGGAAGCUUGCAAGGUGAUGAUGUAGUCGUACUCGACGUGAUCCAAAUCACCGAUGACCUGCGCCGAACGGACGACACCUCCGCGUUCAACACACGUACGGAACAGCCACGUCUCCUCCUUCUUGAUCCAGCAAGGAAGGGAGGAGAGGUUGAGGGAGAUGGCACCAGCAGCAGCACGACGGCGUGGUGUUGAUGGAGCUGCAGUACUCCGGCAGAGCUUCGCUAAGCACUAUGGAGGUGGAGGAGGUGUUGGGGAGGGAGAAGGAGGCAACCAAAGGCCAGGGCGUUCAGGUAUGAAGUCCCUCCUCUCCCCCACUAUAUAUAGGGGUGCCAAGGGGGGGGGUGGCCGGCCCUAGGAGAUCCAAUCUCCUAGGGGGUGCGGCGGCCAAGGGGGGUUUUCCCUCCCCCCAAGGCACCUAGGAGGUGCCUUACCCUCCUAGGACUCUUGCCCCCUUGAACCCUAGGCGCAUGGGCCUAUGUGGGGCUGGUGCCCUUGGCCCAUUAGGCCAAGGCGCACCCCCUUACAGCCCAUGUGCCCCCCGGGACAGGUGGACCCACCCGGUGGACCCCCGGGACCCUUCCGGUGGUCCCGGUACAAUACCGAUAACCCCAAAACUUGUCCCGAUGCCCGAAACAGGACUUCCCAUAUAUAAAUCUUUACCUCCGGACCAUUCCGGAACUCCUCGUGACGUCCGGGAUCUCAUCCGGGACUCCGAACAACAUUCGGGUUACUGCAUAUACAUAUCCCUAUAACCCUAGCGUAACUGAACCUUAAGUGUGUAGACCCUACGGGUUCGGGAGACAUGCAGACAUGACCGAGACUCUCUCAGUCAAUAACCAUCAGCUGGAUCUGGAUACCCAUGAUGGCUCCCACAUGCUCCUCGAUGUUGUCAUCGGAUGAACCACUAUGUCGAGGAUUCGAUCAAACCCUGUAUGCAAUUCCCUUUGUCAAUCGGUACGUUACUUGCCCGAGACUCGAUCGUCGGUAUCCCAAUACCUUGUUCAGUCUCGUUACCGGCAAGUCACUUUACUCGUACCGUAAUGCAUGAUCCCGUGUCCAACACCUUGGUCACAUUGAGCUCAAUAUGAUGAUGCAUUACCGAGUGGGCCCAGAGAUACCUCUCCGUCAUACGGAGUGACAAAUCCCAGUCUCGAUCUGUGUCAACCCAACAGCUACUUUCAGAGAUACCUGUAAUGUACCUUUAUAGUCACCCAGUUACGUUGUGACGUUUGGUACACCCAAGGCACUCUUACGGUAUCCGGGAGUUACACGAUCUCAUGGUCGAAGGAAGAGAUACUUGACACUUGCAAAGCUCUAGCAAAACGAACUACACGAUCUUUUAUGCUAUGCUUAGGAUUGGGUCUUGUCCAUCACAUCAUUCUCCUAAUGAUGUGAUCUCGUUAUCAACGACAUCCAAUGUCCAUAGUCAGGAAACCAUGACUAUCUGUUGAUCACAACGAGCUGGUCAACUAGAGGCUUACCAGGGACAUUGUGUGGUCUAAGUAUUCACACGUGUAUUACGAUUUCCGGAUAAUACAGUUAUAGCAUGAAUAAAAGACAAUUAUCAUGAACAAUGAAAUAUAAUAAUACUUUUAUUAUUGCCUCUAGGGCAUAUUUCCAACAUUUCGCCCAUGUGGCGAACAUGGGGUCAACGAUGAUAAUUCGUCGUCGGUGGGCAGUAGGAGCAUCCUUCACAUGUGAGGUUCGUCGGGUGAGCCAUGUCAGUCAACCUCGUUCGAUUGAAGCGGCAUAUGUUCGAUUUAUGGGACAUACCAUUCCACUCUCGUGUCCUCAUGGUUCGCGGACAAUCUUGUGACAAGCCCGGACUAAUGCAACGGUUUUCUGUGUGCAGCGAAGGCGCCCGAGUCUCUGGCUAGGUGUGGUAUAGGUGUUGUCUUCCCUGACAUGUUGUAUGUAUUGUGGUGCUUCACGCCCAAUCUAGCUAGGCCUUAAGAGCAACUCUAAUGGGGCGACCCAAACGGACAUGGAUUUUGUCCGUUUGGGUUGCUCGUCCGCCUAGCAGACAUGAGGGGUCGCUCGUUCGCCUAGCGGAUAUGAGGCGGACACGAGUGGCCGGUGGAUGAACCCAACACACAAGAUGCAAAAAGCGGACAAGCUUUCCUCUCGCGCCGCCGCGCUCCUCCGCGGNNNNNNNNNNNNNNNNNNNNNNNNNNNNNNNNNNNNNNNNNNNNNNNNNNNNNNNNNNNNNNNNNNNNNNNNNNNNNNNNNNNNNNNNNNNNNNNNNNNNNNNNNNNNNNNNNNNNNNNNNNNNNNNNNNNNNNNNNNNNNNNNNNNNNNNNNNNNNNNNNNNNNNNNNNNNNNNNNNNNNNNNNNNNNNNNNNNNNNNNNNNNNNNNNNNNNNNNNNNNNNNNNNNNNNNNNNNNNNNNNNNNNNNNNNNNNNNNNNNNNNNCACCAUGGCCGACGACCCCGCCUCUGCCGCGCCCUACUGCUCCUUUGACGAAGACGAGGAGGGCACCGAUGGGGACGCCUCCAACAACGAUUCCCACUAAGCCGCUGACUAGGAUGCCCCGCUCCCGACUGCCCGACCCCUCCUCCUCCAGCGCCCGCUGCCGCUGCCUUCCCUGAACCAGCCGGUCCAGUUCCGCCGCCUCCGCCACAUCUGGCGCCCGGCCUUCAAGGGCGACGGCGAGCACCGCAGUGCCCUAUGCUGGUAGCCUCGCCGGUGAGCUAUGCGGUGGCCUGCGUCGUUGGCUUCUUCGCGGCGGGUGCGGAGGAAAUACGACGCGACGGUUGCAGACGAAGUGCGGGUCACUGAUAGGUGGGACCAGGACAGACACGAGAGGGGAGGAGCGGACGAGGGGAGUGCCCAGUUUUGUCUGUCACGUACCCAUUUUUGUCCACUUUUGCGCCCAGUUUGGGUCGGGAAGAACACUACACGGACAGUAGGCGGACACCCGCAUCCGUUUAGGUCGCCCCGUUGGGCCAAAUUUUAUGUCUGAAUGACCCAAACGAAUAAAAUGGGUCGCCCCGUUGAAGUUGCUCUAACUAAACAGAUUUUCGCACGUCUUCUCUCGAUAAAGUGAGCGGCCCUCCGGCGCAUCUUCUUGUUUUGAGCAUCUUUUCAUGCUCCCACACAGCGCGACAUGGCCGGAGCGUACGUUCGACGAGUGCAUGGGAGUCCACAGCCACAGGCCAUCGAUCCGCGCAGCUCCAGCGGGAAGUCGUCUACCUGCCGCCCCACCACGUCAUCGAUCCGCACGCAAGCGCAUCAUGUCCGUCCAUCCCAAGCAUCACUGAACGGCCGGAUCCACUCCACGGCAUCGAUCCGAGGCACCAUCCUCUCCGCCAAGGCGCCAACCACAUCCCACCUCCUUCCCGCUCCCUACAUAACCUCGCCGCCCCCAUCCGUCUCUGCACACCACAGCAUCCGCAGCCCCCCUCACACCCCACCCCACCACACGCUCGAAUCACCACCACCAGCAGCACCCAUGGCACCCAAGGCGGCGGAGAAGAAGCCGGUGGCCACGGCCGAGAAGACGACGGCGGGGAAGAAGCCCAAGGCGGAGAAGCGGGCGCCGGCGUCCAAGGAGGCCGGCGGCGAGGCGAAGCAGCGGGGCAGGAAGAAGGGCAGCAAGGCGAAGAAGAGCGUGGAGACGUACAAGAUCUACAUCUUCAAGGUGUUGAAGCAGGUGCACCCGGACGUGGGCAUCUCCUCCAAGGCCAUGUCCAUCAUGAACUCCUUCAUCAACGACAUCUUCGAGAAGCUCGCCGGGGAGUCGGCCAAGCUGGCCCGCUACAACAAGAAGCCCACCAUCACGUCCCGGGAGAUCCAGACCUCCGUCCGCCUCGUCCUCCCCGGGGAGCUCGCCAAGCACGCCGUCUCCGAGGGCACCAAGGCCGUCACCAAGUUCACCUCCUCCUAGACAACUUAGGCUUGAUCCUCGUCGCUUCAUGCGUUCUGUAUGUACGUAGUUGGCAGUAUGAUGUUACAAUCUUUGUAAGGAUUGUGUUGCUUGCUCGCGGCCUUGAAAGAAAUAGUGAUGUUGUUGUUGUUUGAAUCAAUGUUCAUUGUGCUUGCGCGUCGCUUCAGUUCAGACUCUUCUUGAUGCCAUUUGUUUAUGUCAGCAAAUUUCUGUUUAUCUAAUUUUAAUUUGCUGCCAUUUUAUCUACUGCUGUAGUUUCUAAGCCUACAGACAGAAACCUCUAAUUUUAAGUCUAAUUUUGAACCUCUAAUGAACCUCUGGACUUGUCAUCCAUAUGGCAAGAAGCCAAGAACAGCUUGCCAACUAGUGUUCCGAAAUUCAGAAUGCAUUAGAUUCAGAUUAGGUUCUUGAGAUAAAUUAGAGGCUUUUCGCAAAAAGAAGAAGAGAUAAAUUAGAUGUGGUUCACCUACGUUUUUUUAGAGUCAAGGAACAUGCCAGAUGCAACCAUCAUCUUGAGUAUUGAGACAUGUGAGUUUUUCAUCUAUUAUGUUUUUAUACUACACUAGGUAAUUUUUCUUUGUAGUACUGCCACACUAGGUAAUUUUUCUUUGUAGUACUGCUACACUAGGUAAUUUGUGAUCACGAAGCAACCAAUUUUGUGAAGGCGCAAAGUUUUUCUAAUGAUUCAUCUAUGAUCAUGAAGCGACCAAUUGAUCUGCAUUCUGCAAGUAAUUAGGUUUUUGACAGCAAUUAGACUUUAUUCCUCAGAUAAUAGAUAAAUUGUUUACAAGAGAGUGAGAAAUAAAGCCAGGGAUCAUUUGCCGACUUCCGCGAAGUCUAUUGCAAGCUGCUUUUUCAGCACUAAAGAAAAACAAAAGUCGGAACGAGAGAAAUGAUCAGAGGGGACUGAAGCUCCACAAGCAGAAAAGGUGGAGCGGGGAAAAAGAAUUGUUUGUCUCAAGGAACAACUUGCAGCUAGCGCUAAAGAUGCAGUUGAGAUACAAGAGAACCAAUACAGUUUUUUUUAUGGAAGAACCAAUACCACUUGAGGUAUACCUUAAUACAUUAGUUUUUCCAAACCAAAUCCAGUAGUACAAAACAAAUCAAUUACCUAAGAAACAACAAAGGCUCCAUGGACAUGUAGCAAAAAUAAUCUGGUACAGCAACAUAUGCCCAUGUAGAAACCGUGACGUGGAUUUUCCAUUAAUAAUAAUAAGAAUGAAUGAGAGCUUGUAAACUAAAGUGAACUUCAUAGUGGCCUUGGCCAUUUCUUACAAUGGAGCUGGUAAAUCUCGCAGACAAUGACUAUACAGAAGUAACUUUUUGGCAAAGCUUGCCACCAAAGAGAACUAGGGUCUACGGGCAUCCCCAUGGGAAUCGUUGGUACAAGUACAGAUACAGUUUGGUGUUCCUGGUCACUUUUUCAGCAAGAUCUUGCAAGAGAGUCCGCUAUUUGGACCCUUCUGGUUCAGUAUCAUGAGACCCGAACUACAAACAAAAUCCCUUUUCUCGACAAUAGAACGAUAACCCGUCACCAGGUUACUGACUUGGCUAAUUGGCAAUCCAUCCAAAACGGCAGCCUGAAACAUGUCUUUGAGCAUCAUUUGCUUAGCUUGGUAGAUUCUGCAAGGCAUCCAACCUUCUGCCUAUUCUUUCUUCUAUCCAGGCAAGUCUCCUCUCAAGUUUUAGCACACUGGCAUGAAUAACACCAAUAUCAACCUCUGCAUGCUUGGAAAAUGAGUGUACCAACAUGUAAUAAUCAGCGUGUCCAACACAAACAAGACUACCAGUUACUGUUUUCUUUCCAUAGUGAAGAUAGCCAUCUGAUCUCGGGCACUUCCUUGGCGGCAUAUAACAAGUCCAUGGUCUUACAUUUCUGACUUGAUACUUAGUAACCUUGAUGAUGAUGAAGAAAAGCACCUUGCGCCAACAAAAGUUCCAUCCCGACCUCAUUUAUUCACUCCUGUGGUUCGCAUUUCCUCCAUGUGUGCUUUCGGAUUCUCAUCCUACAAUGCAACAGAUUUAGCCAUCAAGUCAACAACAUCACCCCAAAAGAGAUGUAGCAAAUCCUCAAGGUACUACAUUGUACAAAUUUUAAGCUCAGAUACGUUGCGAAUAAAUAGAGAUUUUUUACAAUUAACAAUUGUUUUUCUAUUUAUCUUUUAAUUAUAUAAUUUGGCUAUUUCUCAAAAAGAAAAACCAGUUGUGUUUGGUUUCUAUAAUCAUUUAAGUUUUCUUUCAUGUUGAUUUUGUUCCUGAAAUAACAUUCAUAGAUAGAAGGUUGUUAAUGGUUUGUACCCAAGGUUCAGAAAUGCUACAUCCGUAGAGAUUAGAAGUUCAAAAUAAAUUUAUUGUUCUUAAUCUUUCAAAUUUUUAAUAUGGCAGGUCCUCAAAAUAAAACAAAAUAUCAUUCAAACCAAUUGUGUUUGGUUUCUAAGAUCUUUUGAGUUUUUUGUUCUGAUUUUGUUCCUGAAAUAGUAUCCGCACAUAGAACCUUGUUAAUGGUUUGAAUUAAAGGUCCAGAUCAAAGGCACUAGGCACUAGGCUGGCAUUUUGUGAUAAUUCAUGAUGAAUGUUAUUAAAUAUAGGAUGAAUAAUUCCAAUAAAGUUUAAUUAUUUUUAAUACUCCAAAACACAUUUUCUUAGUACACGACAACAUUUUUAGUACAUGGUCUUCUUUUUAAACACAUGGAUUAUUCUUAGUGAAAUACAACUAUUUUUUACACACUAUAAAUAUUUUUUAAAUAAAGUUUUGUUAUUUUUAAUAAUUUGUAAAACAUUCUUAAUAUACAUCAAAUAUUUUUUAACCAAUAAAUGAUUCUUUAAUACACAAAGAACAUCUUUUAAAUAAGUAGCUAUUAUUUUUUUUAAUACAUAAUAAUAAAUUAAUACAUGUUGAAUGUUUUUAAUACACGUACACAUUUUUAAUACUCCCUCUGUUCCAAAAUGUAGUGCGUAUAGGUUUUCUGAAAAGUCAAACUUUGACCAAAUUUAUAGAGAAAUAUAGUUAUAUGUAGAAUACCAAAUGUAUAAAAUAGUCCCUCCGUUCAAAAAUAACUAUCGCUCAAACGAAUAUAUAGCCCUAAAAUGCAUCUUGAUACAUCCGUUUGAGCAACAAUUAUUUCUGGACGGAGGUAGUAUGAAACUACAUCUUAUGAUGAGUAUAAUGAUAUAUAUGUUUGGCAAUCUAGAUGUAAAUGUUUUUGUUUAAAAAAUAGGUCUAAGUUGGUGAGGUUUGACUUCUCAAAAAAUCUAUAUGCAUUACACUAUGAAACGGAGGGGGAGUACAUGACAAAACAUAUCUCGAAACAUGGGGACCAUUUUAUGGAAAGUGAUUUCAUAAAUGAUAUGGGAAAAGGAAAAAAAGAAAUAAACAAAAAAACAGGAGAAAGGAAAUCCCAAAAGGGAGAAUUAAAUGUAUAAAAAUAAAAAAAUAAUAGAAAAGUUAAUACGAAAGAAAAAAAAUAUAAGGAUUUAGUAAAAAAAAUAAAAAUUAAGGUGAAAGAAAUAGGAAAACAAGAAAAAAAGUUGGAAACGAGAGUUAAACGGAAAAAAUAUGCACAUAAACCACCAUCCCAAACCCCCAUACAUUGCCCGAGCCAUGACCCAUGUCGAGAUUGCUAGAGGCGAGUACAUAGUAUAUAUAGUAAUAAGCGAGAUAUUCUUUGCAAAAACAAACAACCAAAUGGGAACCGUUGCCAAUACAUAACAAAGCGGCUCCAGGUCUCUUUAUGCAUUAAAGCCACGACGAUCUCGGCGUACUUUCGCUAUGAUGCUGCCUUCGUUGCAUCUGAAUUCCAAAUGCCAUCUUGUUUCCCGAUUGAUGAAGUUCACUCUCCGAACCAACUCCCAUCGUUGUCUUUUAAGAGCAUCUGCAAUGGACCCCGAAGAUGGGGAGAUGGGAGGGGUACUGAACGGUUUUUACUAGGCAUGAUCCCCACAGUGAUGCAACCUCAACCCCUCUUAAUAACGCGACUUUCCUAAGAUUUAAAUAAACCAAAAAAUACUUACCGGCACAUUUUGGGGGAAGGGGGAGGGGUGAACCAUCUCCUUCCUUUCCAUCAAGGAACCAAUGUCAUCAAAUAAAUUUGAUAAACGCUGUUAGUCCUACUAAACAUAUCAUCGUCACAACAAAAUACAAUUAGGGUCUAUAUGCACUCUCAAAACCGUUUACUUUCCUUUUUUUAGUUAGCUGCACACAACUAAGAAAUAUAUUAAGAUAAGUACAUGUACACAUUGAUGGGUUUUGUCUACUAGUAACAACCACUUGGCUGGUUUUAGGUCUACGAACUCAUAGUGUCGUGGUGUUUCCUCGACAUAUGCCAAGGGAUGGCUUAUCAUGUGUGGGGACAGGAGUAUGUUGCCGGGCUCUAGAAGCGGGAAUAGGCAAGACCUCGGACGCUGACGAGUCUUACCCAGGUUCGGGGCUCUCCGUGAAGAUAACACCCUAGUCCUGCUCUGCGGGGUCUCCGCACGAUGGCUAUGAUCGAUAGAGGGGCUACAAGGUUGUUCAUUGAGCUGUUCGGCUAGAGGAAGAAGGCAGGGCUUGCUCUAUCUCUUCUCUAGCUAUGGGUGGAGGGAAAUGGAGUGGGAACCCUUUGCAUGGGUGACCCUAGGGGGUUUAUACAGGCCUACCGGGUACAAUGGUAAUUCGGUCGGGUGGUAGGUCCUGGCCGUUAGUGACUAAGGAGGCCGGGUUCUCCGCCGGCUGCUGGGGCCCGUCUCUUGUGGGCCCUGCCGUCUGCCGAGGAAUCGACCGACAAGUGGGACCCGCCACCUACGGGUCCCACUAACGGCUCUUCACUGUUGCACCAUCCGUGCUGACGGAAGCCGUGUCGGGCGGGCCAUGGUUACAGUGCCGCGCCGGCGGGGUCGGCGACCGCCUGGCGGCGGUCACUGUAGCCAUAUGUCCGGGAUUUGGGGGAAGCAUGGUGCACUGUAGCCAUGCCCCAGCUUGUCUCUUGGUCGGGCUCAGACUCCAAGGAAGGGGACGGGCCGCCUUCUGGAGCGCGUCGUCUUCUUGGGGUCUGCCACCUUCCCGGGAUCCGCCGCCUUCUAGGAGGCGGCGCUCUGGUUCCAGUCGGCCCAGAGGACCAGCCUCGUGACCAGCCGGACUGAGGGGCUCGACCAGCCCCGAUGUCUUGAAAUGUGGAGAAGUGCUGAUGAGGCUACCCGGGGUCUAUCCCCCAGUCAGUAGUCCCCGAAGCUGGUGAGGUUCUAUGGCUUCCAACAGCCGGAGGACCUCAGUAGUUUCCCUCUCAAGUGAUCCUCCGCCUUCUGCCCCGUCCGUCUGAGAGGAGCCGGACGUGGCCCCAGCCGUUAGGUGGAAUUGGAAUCGACGGGCGGGAGUCGGGGCGGCGCCGCCCGCCAAGCACACACCACGUGGUGCCCGCAGGCCAGGCCGGCUUGCCAGCCCAGACGCGCGACGGGACAUCGCCACAGGCCGAGACCCGCCGCUAUAGNNNNNNNNNNNNNNNNNNNNNNNNNNNNNNNNNNNNNNNNNNNNNNNNNNNNNNNNNNNNNNNNNNNNNNNNNNNNNNNNNNNNNNNNNNNNNNNNNNNNNNNNNNNNNNNNNNNNNNNNNNNNNNNNNNNNNNNNNNNNNNNNNNNNNNNNNNNNNNNNNNNNNNNNNNNNNNNNNNNNNNNNNNNNNNNNNNNNNNNNNNNNNNNNNNNNNNNNNNNNNNNNNNNNNNNNNNNNNNNNNNNNNNNNNNNNNNNNNNNNNNNNNNNNNAAAGAGGAGGGAGGGGGAGGGGGAGGAGCAGAACGCUCGCGCACCCACUCCCCACUCCCUAUUUCCCCCUCUCCCUUGCUGUCGCCACGCUGCUCCGCUCCAUCACUGCCGUCGUGCCGCUGCGGCUGCCUCCCUCGUUGCCGUCGCCUUGCCGUGGUCGUCGCCCAGUAGAAGCAGCCGCUCCGCCACGGUCUCCACCGCGGCUUCGCUACAGCGCGGCACCGUCGUAUUCAUCCCUGUCGCAACGACGCCCUUCAUUUUUCUUCUCCGACAAGCUCUCCCUCGCUGUCCUUGCGUCAUGAUGGAGAGUGGAUGGAUGGGAUCCAUCAUUCAUCAAGACCACAUCGACUUCCUCCGCACGAUGCGGAGGAUACCUCACUCCGACAACAUGGGCGUACACAUCCCCAGGCCGGAGGUCUCGCCGCAGCCAGAGCCCGGUGAGUACGCCAUCUUCCGCGCCCACUUCCUUUGUGGCUUCGCGUUCCCUGCCUCCGGCUUCUUCCGAGAGUUCCUGCGUUACUACCAACUGCGGCCGCACCACCUCACCCCCAACACAGUGGUUUGCCUCUCUGCCUUCGUCUCCUUCUGCGAGGGGUACCUUGGCGUUCUGCCUCAAGCUUGGUAUGGCGGCGAAGGACGAGCCGGCCCCGUGCAAGGCUUGCGUGGCCGUGAGGCGCUCAGGAAGCGGUACGCACUUCCCUCUGAUUCCUCUACACGAGUCGGCCAAACUCUGGUAGAGGUCAUACUUCUAUGUACGGAACCUCUGGAAUAUAGACUACAUCAACCUGCCGCCUUACGUGCCCGGGUCGCCUGCUGGAUCACGCGGCAACUGGCAGAAGCAGCCGCCCAAGCACCCACUGCUGCUCAACAUCGUCAGCGUCCUCAUCCGGCUGGAGGAGAUGACCAGCCGAGAGGGUCUCCACCCGGCCGACCGGCUGGCCAGCUUCAUCAUGCGCCGGGUGUCACGGCUCUAGCUCCGACCGCACCUCAUCUACAAGAUGAGCGGCCGCCGGGAUCCGUGCUGGAUGUCGAUGAAGGAUAUGCCGAGGGUGCAGGUGGCCCGCCACGUCAACGACAUCACCAACUGCAAGCUCGACGAGGCAGAGUGGCACAUCGGCAAAGAGCCUUACAACCGGGCCAACCCUCUUCCUGCGGUAAGCAAUAGAUCCGACUGCUCCAUCUGCAAUACUUCUUGUCCUUCUGACUUGACCAGUCGGCUUUUGUGGCAGCGCUUCGUGAGGCAGGGUGCACCGUCUCCUGGUCAUGAAUGGAUGCUGGACCGCGAGGACAGCGACACCGAGGAUCCUAAGCUGGGGGCGCCCGGCAUGGAGGAAGGCGGCAAGGAGGAGGUCGCUGGAGGAGGAGGCGGCGCUGAGGCAGGCCGCUUUGCAGGAGGCGGCAGAGGAUCAGGCGGCCCCGGAGCGGGCGGCUCUGCAGGAGGCGGAGGUGGAGGAGUCGGCGACGUCCUAUCUUGGCCGGACGAUGACGAAGGCGACGACGAGCAGCGCCCGCCUAAGGGAGGCACGGAGAGAGGAGCCGGCACUUCUACAUCGCAGCCGGCGGCCGCACCUAGCGGGCACAAGCACCGCAAGGGGGGCAUGUACGGCAACCACCCGACCAAGAGGACCAAGAAGGCGGACGCCACCAGGCGGCAAGAGGCCUAGAAGGUGGCCGCCAGCCGGAAGGGGCCCAAGCCAUUGACGCUCACAUCCGGGUAAGCAUGCCUGCCUUUUUGACUUUGCGUUUUUCUUCUUUCUUGGGGUGUUUCUUGAUCUUUGCUUUCCUGUUGAACAGGGCAGCCUGUGCCACCUCGUGGGCCUCGUCUGCCUUAGUGAUGCACCCGGUGGAUGGCUCCAUGGAUGCUCGGUGUCCGGAUCCGGCAGCCGCCAUCCAGGAGGCGUGGCGUGGGAGGCGCAGGAGGCCGCGGAGAAGGCGCAGGCUGACGCACAGGCGGAGGUGGCGGCGCAGGCAGAGGCCCGAGCUGCGGUGGAGGCAGAGGCAGCAAGGAAGGCCCAGGCAGAGGCCGAGACCAAGGGCACGGCUGAUCCAGACAAUGGCGGGGUCCUGGAGACCAUCCCCCUCGAUCGGCCGAAGGUGGAGACGUCAGAGAACCAGACGCCGCCUGGAGUGGCCGAGGCCGGUUAGUCGGCGCCGAAAGUGGAGGUUCCCGACACCGUCUUUCCUGAGGUGGAGAGGAUCCAGCGCGAGCCGGCUGCCGACGGGCAAGGAAGCGGCGAGCCCACCCAGCCGUAAGCUCCACCAGCCGGUGCCGGCCAGCCGGUAGGUCGGGCCCUGGUGGUGCGCACUCCUGCACGCCAGUGUGCAGUAUGGGCGGCGUCGGAGCCAAGGCGGCAGGUGGAUGCCGCGUCCUCAAGCUCGCGAAGGGCCGGUGCUUUGGCCACGAGUGUCGUUUCCUCACGUCGGGCGAAACAAGCCGGCCCCACCGCCUUGAACCUGGCGGUGCGAGAGAUGGAGGACCGGUUCCUCGCCCAGAAUGCCUCCAUUCUGAAGACGAGGGAGGACAUGCUGGCGACGCGGUCGGCUGUCCGGGUAUGUACACCUUAUCUUUGCUUUGUUGUUUCGUAGUCCUCCGUGGGGGCGCGCCAGCACACCCACUGGGUGUGGCCCCCAAGUUCUGAGCCAGCUUCUAAGUAGGCGGGUUGGAACUCCAAGGCGCUUUGUUCAUUUGCUGAAAUAAUUGCGACUGUUGUAGGACCUCCACAACAUGCUAGUGGCCGCGUACAACGCGUAGAAGCAGACGCUCUCCACCCAGACUUCUGAGCUUGCUCAGAGCCGAAGUGAGUAAGCCGCCUUCUAGUGGGGGCGCGCUAGUGCACCCACUGGGUGUAGCCUCCGAGAUUCGGGACGACCGCUGAGCAGUCGGGCCAGAUCUUCUCUGGCAGCUUGUUCCUUAGUUUUGUUGAAGUAGAUUGUGAUGUCGCUUGCUCAUUUUUCUCUUGCAACGGCCGCCACCCAGUUGGUCCAGCACGUGGCCGACCUUGAAGGACAACUCCAGGUCGUGAGGCAGGAGCGCUACCAGGCGGCCUCCGAGCGGGAGUGAUGUCUACUACACAACCUUCUUCUUGUAGACGUUGUUGGGCCUGCAAGUGCACAUGUUUGUAGGACAGUAGCAAAUUUCCCUCAAGUGGAUGACCUAAGGUUUAUCAAUCUGUAGGAGGCGUAGGAUGAAGAUGGUCUCUCUCAAACAACCCUGCAACCAAAUAACAAAGAGUCUCUUGUGUCCCCAACACACCCAAUACAAUGGUAAAUUGUAUGGGUGCACUAGUUCGGCGAAGAGAUGAAGAUACAAGUGCAAAAUAGAUAGUAGAUAUAGGUUUUUGUAAUCUGAUAAUAAAAACAGCAAGGUAACAAGUGGUAAAAGUGAGCGUAAACGGUAUUGCAAUGGUAGGAAACAAGGCCUAGGGUUCAUACUUUCACUAGUGCAAGUUCUCUCAACAAUAAUAACAUAGAUAGAUCAUAUAACAAGCCCUCAACAUGCAACAAAGAGUCACUCCAAAGCCACUGAUAGCGGAAAACAAACGUAGAGAUUAUGGUAGGGUACGAAACCUCCUCAAAGUUAUUCUUUCGGAUCGAUCUACAAAAGAGUUCGUACUAGAAUAACACCUUAAGACACAAAUCAACCAAAACCCUAAUGUCACCUAGAUACUCCAUUGUCACCUCAAGUAUCCGUGGGCAUGAUUAUACUAUAUGCAUCACACAAUCUCAGAUUCAUCCAACCAACAUAAAAGUACUUCAAAGAGUACCCCAAAGCUACUACCGGAGAGUCAAGAACGUGUGCCAACCCCUAUGCAUAGGUUCCCAAUGUCAGAAAACCCGCAAGUUGAUCACCAAAACAUACAUCAAGUGGCACAUGAUAUCCCAUUGUCACCACAGAUAAUCAUGGCAAGACAUACAUCAAGUGUUCUCAUAAAAGACUCAAUCUGAUAAGAUAACUUCAAAGGGGAAACUCAAUUCAUCACAAGAGAGUAGAGGGGGAGAAACAUCAUAAGAUCCAACUACAAUAGCAAAGCUCGGGAUACAUCAAGAUCGUGCCAUAGAGGAGCACGAGAGAGAACACGAGAGAGAGAGAGAGAUCAUACACAUAGCUACUGGUACAUACCCUCAGCCCUGAGGGUGAACUACUCCCUCCUCGUCAUGGAUAGCGCCGGGAUGAUGAAGAUGGCCUCCGGUGAUGGGAUCCCCCUCCGGCAGGGUGCCGGAACAGGGUCCCGAUUGUUUUUUCGUGGCUCUGGAGGCUUGCGGCGGCGGAACUCCCGAUCUAGGUUCUGUUCUGGAAGUUUUAGGGUACAUAGGUAUAUAUGGGUGCAAGGGGUACGUCGAUGGACCUCCGGGGUGCUCACGAGGCAUGGGGGCGCACCCAGGGGGGUGCGCCCCCUACCCUCGUGGGUAGCCCGGGACUCCCCUGACGUGCACUCCAAGUCCAUCAGGUGGGUUUCCUUCCAAAAUUAACUUCUCCGGUUGAUUUCGUUCCGUUUUGACUUCGUCUGAUAUUCCUUUUCCUCGAAACACUAAAAUAGGCAUAAAACAACAAAUCUGGGCUGGGCCUCCGGUUAAUAGGUUAGUCCCAAAAAUAAUAUAAAAGUGGAUAAUAAAACCCAAUAUUGCCUAAAACAGUAGAUAAAGUAGCAUGGAGCAAUCAAAAAUUAUAGAUACGUUGGAGACGUAUCAAGCAUCCCCAAGCUUAAUUCCUGCUCGUCCUCGAGUAGGUAAAUGAUAAAAAAGAAUUUUUGAUGCGGAGUGAUACUUUGGCAUAAUUUCAAUGUAAAUCUUCUUAAUUGUAGCAUAAAUAUUCAGAUCCGAAAGAUUCAAGACAAAAGUUCAUAUUGACAUAAAAGUAAUGAUACUUCAAGCAUACUAACUAAGCAAUUAUGUCUUCUCAAAAUAACAUGGCCAAAGAAAGUUAUCCCUACAAAAUCAUAUAAUCUGGCUAUGCUCUAUCUUCAUCACACAAAGUAUUUAAUCAUGCACAACCCCGAUGACGAGCCAAGCAAUUGUUUCAUACUUUAGUAAUCUCAAACUUUUUCAACUUUCACACAAUACAUGAGCAUGAGCCAUGGACAUAGCACUAUAGGUGGAAUAGAAUGGUGGUUGUGGAGAAGACAAAAAGGGAGAAGAUAGUCUCACAUCAACUAGGCGUAUCAACGGGCUAUGGAGAUGCCCAUUAAUAGAUAUCAAUGUGAGUGAGUAGGGAUUGGCAUGCAACGGAUGCGCUAGAGCUAUAAGUAUAUGAAAGCUCAACAAAAGAAACUAAGUGGGUGUGCAUCCAACUUGCUUGCUCACGAAGACCUAGGACACUUUUGAGGAAGCGCAUCAUUGGAAUAUACAAGCCAAGUUCUAUAAUGAAAAAUUCCCACUAGUAUAUGAAAGUGACAACAUAUGAGACUCUCUAUCAUGAAGAUCAUGGUGCUACUUUGAAGCACAAGUGUGGCAAAAGGAUAGUAGCAUUGUCCCUUCUCUCUUUUUCUCUCAUAUUUUUUUUAAAUUUUGGUGGGCUUCUUUGGCCUCCUUUUUUUUAUUUGGGCUUCUUUGGCCUCUUUUAUUUUUCAUAAAGUCCGGAGUCUCAUCCCGACUUAUGGAGGAAUCAUAGUCUCCAUCAUCCUUUCCUCACUGGGACAAUGCUCUAAUAAUGAUGAUCAUCACACUUUUAUUUUUCUUACAACUCAACAAUUACAACUCGAUACUUAGAACAAAAUAUGACUCUAUAUGAAUGCCUCCGGCGGUGUACCAGGAUAUGCAAUGAAACAAGAGUGACAUAUAUGAAAGAAUUCUGAACUGUGGCUUUGCCACAAAUACAAUGUCAACUACAUGUUCAUGCAAAAAGCAAUAUGACAAAAGUAAUGUAUGUCAUAUGAACGGAACGGUGGAAAGUUGCAUGGCAAUAUAUCUCGGAAUGGCUAUGGAAAUGCCAUGAUAGGUAGGUAUGGUGGCUGUUUUGAGGAAGGUAUAUGGUGGGUGUAUGAUACCGGCGAAAAGUGCGCGGUAUUAGAGAGGCUGGCAAAGGUGGAAGGGUGAGAGUGCGUAUAAUCCAUGGACUCAACAUUAAUCAAAAGAACUCAUGCACUUGUUGCAAAAAAUUAGAAGUCAUCAAAAACCAAAGCACUAAACGCAUACUCCUAGGGGGAUAGAUUGGUAGGAAAAGACCAUCGCUCGUCCCCGACUGCCACUCAUAAGGAAGACAAUCAAUAAAUAAAAUUGUGCUCUGACUUCAUCACAAAGCAGUUCACCAUACGUGCAUGCUACGGGAAUCACAAACUUCAACACAAGCAUUCUUUAAAUUCAUAAUCACCCCAACUAGCAUUGCUUUGAUAUUAUCGCCUUCAUAUCUCAAAACAAUUAUCAAGCAUCAAACUUAUCUUAGUAUUCAACGCACUCAAAAGAAAGUUUCACAUAUCUUGAAUACCAAGUAUAUUAUCUUUAAGCAAAUUACCAUGCCAUUAACAACUCUCAAAAUAAUCUAAGUGAAGCACUAGAGCAAAAAUUAUCACGCUCAAAAGAUAUAAGUGAAGCACAAAGAGUAUUCUAGCAAAUUCCAAUUUGUGUGUGGCUCUCUCUCAUUAAAGAAUUUCAGAUCUUGGUAUUGUAUUCAAGCAUCAAGCAGAACAAAAUAAAAUUACAUUGCAAGUAUAGCACAACUCAUGUGAAGAAGCAAAAACUUUGGUUGAACCGAUACUAACCGAUGAUUGCCGAAGAAGAAAGGUGGGAUGCCUACCGGGGCAUCCCCAAGCUUAGAUGCUUGAGACUUCUUGAAAUAUUAUCUUGGGGUGCCUUGGGCAUCCCCAAGCUUGAACUUUUGUGUCUCCUUAAUUCCUCUCAUAUCAUGGUUUCUCUUUUUAUCAAAAGCUUCAUUCACAACAAACUCAACAAGAACUCAUGAGAUAGGUUAGUAUAAACCAAUGCAAAACCAUAACAUAUUCUACUGUAAAAAAUCACUAACAUUAUUAUUCAACAUUGAAUAAUAAAUGCCUCUGCUUAUUUAAUACUCCUAUCCUCAAAUAGAAUCAUUAAACAAGCAAACAUAUGCAAACAAUGCAACCAUAACAGCAAUCUGCCAAAACACUACAGUCUGUAAAGAAUGCAAGAGUAACAAUACUUCCCUGACUCCAAAAAUUAUGAACUAAAAUUCCCACUGUAAUAAAUUUAUCAGAGCUUAAUAUGCAAAAAGAUUCAACGUUAUAACAUUCUCUAACUUUUCUAGGGAAUUUUUGCAACAGCGGUAAACUUUCUGUUUACAAACAACAACAUGUAUACUAGCAAAACAAGCAUGGCAAAGGCUAUCCUUGACUUUUUUUAUUGAAACUAAAUAUGCAAAAAAUUAUUCUAACUAACAUCAAGCAAAAACUAGCAAAAUAAAAUGACGCUCCAAGCAAAACACAUAUCAUGUGGUGAAUAAAAAUAUAGCUCCAAGUAAAGUUACCGAUGAACGAGGACGAAAGAGGGGAUGCCUUCCGGGGCAUCCCCAAGCUUAGGCUCUUGGUUGUCCUUGAAUAUUACCUUGGGGUGCCUUGGGCAUCCCCAAGCUUAGGCUCUUGCCACUCCUUAUUCCAUAGACCAUCAAAUCCUUACCCAAAACUUGAAAACUUCAACCACACAAAACUCAACACAAAACUCGUAAGCUCCGUUAGUAUAAGAAAAUAAAACCAACACUUAGGUACUGUAAUGAACUCAUUCUAAAUUUAUAUUGGUGUAAAACCUACUGUAUUCCAACUUCUCUAUGGUUCAUACCACUUAAUACUAGCCAUAGAUGCAUCAAAAUAAGCAAACAACACAAUGAAAACAGAAUCUGUCAAAAACAGAACAGUCUGUGGUAAUCUGUAUCAAACGUAUACUUAUGGAACCCCAAAAAUUAUGAAAUAAAUUUAUGGACCUGAGAAAUUUGUAUAUUAAUCAUCUUAAAAAAGAAUCAACCUAAAAUCACUUUCCAGUAAAAAAUGGCAGCUAAUCUCGUGAGCGCUAAAGUUUCUGUUUUUCACAGCAAGAUCAUAUAAACUUCACCCAAGUCUUCCCAAAGGUUCUACUUGGCACUUUAUUGAAACAAAAGCUAAAAACAUGAUUAAUACAGUAGCAUAAUCAUGUGUACACACAAAAACAGUAAUGAUAAAUAUUGGGUUGUCUCCCAACAAGCGCUUUUCUUUAAUGCCUUUUUAGCUAGGCAUGAUGAUGGCAAUGAUGCUCACAUAAAAGAUAAGAAUUGAAACAUAACGGGAGCAUCAUGAAGCAUAUGACUAGCACAUUUAAGCCUAACCCACUUCCUAUGCAUAGGGAUUUUAUGAGCAAACAACUUAUGGGAACAAUAAUCAACUAGCAAAGGAAGGUAAAACAAGCAUAGCUUCAAAACUUGAAGCACAUAGAGAGGAAACUUGACAUUAUUGCAACUCCUACAAGCAUAUGUUCCUCCCUCAUAAUAAUUUUCAGUAGCAUCAUGAAUGAAUUCAACAAUAUAACCAGCACCUAAAGCAUUCUUUUCAUGAUCUACAAGUAUAGAAAAUUUAGUACUCUCCACAUAAGCAAACUUCUUCUUUAUAGCAUAUGUAUCAUCACAAUAAUCAUCAUAAAUAGGAGGCAUGCUUUCAUCAUAGUAAAUUUGCUCAUCAAAGCUUGGGGGACAAAAAAAUAUCAUCUCCAUCAAACAUAGCUUCCCCAAGCUUGUGGCUUUGCAUAUCAUUAGCAUCAUGGAUAUUCAAAGAAUUCGUACUAACAACAUUGCAAUCAUGCUCAUCUUUCACAUAUUUUAUGCCAAGAAUUCUAUGUAAUUCUUCUUCUAGUACUUGAGCACAAUUUUCCUUUCCAUCAUACUCACGAAAGAUAUUAAAAAGGUGAAGCGUAUAAGACAAACUCAACUCCAUUUUUUUUGUAGUUUUCUUUUAUAAACUAAACUAGUGAUAAAAACAAGAAACAAAAAGAUUUGAUUGCAAGAUCUAAAGAUAUACCUUCAAGCACUCACCUCGCCAGAAAAGAGCUUAGUGACGGAGUGUGAGUACCCUUUACCUAGCCUCCCCGGCAACGGUGCCAUAGAAGAGCUUGAUGUCUACUACACAACCUUCUUCUUGUAGACGUUGUUGGGCCUGCAAGUGCACAGGUUUGUAGGACAGUAGCAAAUUUCCCUCAAGUGGAUGACCUAAGGUUUAUCAAUCCGUAGGAGGCGUAGGAUGAAGAUGGUCUCUCUCAAACAACCCUGCAACCAAAUAACAAAGAGUCUCUUGUGUCCCCAACACACCCAAUACAAUGGUAAAUUGUAUGGGUGCACUAGUUCGGCGAAGAGAUGAAGAUACAAGUGCAAAAUAGAUAGUAUAUAUAGGUUUUUGUAAUCCGAAAUAAUAAAAACAGCAAGGUAACAAGUGGUAAAAGUGAGCGUAAACGGUAUUGCAAUGGUAGGAAACAAGGCCUAGGGUUCAUACUUUCACUAGUGCAAGUUCUCUCAACAAUAAUAACAUAGAUAGAUCAUAUAACAAGCCCUCAACAUGCAACAAAGAGUCACUCCAAAGCCACUGAUAGCGGAGAACAAAUGUAGAGAUUAUGGUAGGGUACGAAACCACCUCAAAGUUAUUCUUUCGGAUCGAUAUAUAAAAGAGUUCGUACUAGAAUAACACCUUAAGACACAAAUCAAACAAAACCCUAAUGUCACCUAGAUACUCCAUUGUCACCUCAAGUAUCCGUGGGCAUGAUUAUACGAUAUGCAUCACACAAUCUCAGAUUCAUCCAACCAACAUAAAAGUACUUCAAAGAGUGCCCCAAAGCUACUACCGGAGAGUCAAGAACGUGUGCCAACCCCUAUGCAUAGGUUCCCAAUGUCACGAAACCCACAAGUUGAUCACCAAAACAUACAUCAAGUGGCACAUGAUAUCCCAUUGUCACCACAGAUAAUCAUGGCAAGACAUACAUCAAGUGUUCUCAUAAAAGACUCAAUCCGAUAAGAUAACUUCAAAGGGGAAACUCAAUUCAUCACAAGAGAGUAGAGGGGGAGAAACAUCAUAAGAUCCAACUACAAUAGCAAAGCUCAGGAUACAUCAAGAUCAUGCCAUAGAGGAGCACGAGAGAGAACACGAGAGAGAGAGAGAGAGAGAGAGAGAGAGAGAUCAAACACAUAGCUACUGGUACAUACCCUCAACCCCAAGGGUGAACUACUCCCUCCUCGUCAUGGAUAGCGCCGGGAUGAUGAAGAUGGCCUCCGGUGAUGGGAUCCCCCUCCAGCAGGGUGCCGGAACAGGGUCCCGAUUGGUUUUUCGUGGCUCUGGAGGCUUGCGGCGGCGGAACUCCCGAUCUAGGUUCUGUUCUGGAAGUUUUAGGGUACGUAGGUAUAUAUGGGUGCAAGGGGUACAUCGGUGGACCUCCGGGGUGCUCACGAGGCAGGGGGGCGCGCCCCCUACCCUCGUGGGCAGCCCGGGACUCCCCUGACAUGCACUACAAGUCCAUGUGGUGGGUUUCCUUCCAAAAUUAACUUCUCCAGUUGAUUUUGUUCCGUUUUGACUCCGUCUGAUAUUCCUUUUCCUCGAAACACUAAAAUAGGCAUAAAAUAGCAAAUCUGGGCUGGGCCUCCGAUUAAUAGGUUAGUCCCAAAAAUAAUAUAAAAGUGGAUAAUAAAGCCCAAUAUUGCCUAAAACAGUAGAUAAAGUAGCAUGGAGCAAUCAAAAAUUAUAAAUACGUUGGAGACGUAUCUGGGACCGACUAGAGAAGGAGCUGGCGAAGCAGGCCAUGCGGCACACGGAGCGGGUCAAGAAGCUGGAGGCGGACGAGGCGAAGCUCAAGGCCGAGUGCGCGUGCUAGGCCGAGAGAGAGAAGCUCCUUGAUGACGGCUACUCCGUGAUCGAGGACCUGCUCGACGGUGAGCCCUUUUUCUUCUGUCCUGACUUCUCUCUGCCGACUUCUAUUGGGGGCCCGUCUUCUAACACCGCUGUCUUCUUUUGCGCAGAGUUCCUCCCAGGCCACUCGGUCACCGUCUGCAUGGCCAUCGAGGCUGAGCGCGAGGCGAGCCGGCGUGAGGGCAAGGAUAUUCCUUGGGACCGGCCUCAGACCAUGGGUGAGCAGCUUAUGGCCGUUAGGAUGCGCCUUGAGCCGACACACCGCCUGAUCCGUCGGCUUCAACACGUCAGGUCUUAGGUCUUGGAGGCCUUGUGGCUAGGCGGUCCGAUUCCGCGGACUCCAAGUCGGACAGUCGAGUGGCUGGGGUGGCGGUCCAGCGGCUCGACGCCUAGAAGAUCUCUGCCACGCAAGCUGGCGCCGCCAAGGCGCUGGAGUUCGUCAGGGCCUGAUACCCUGACGUGCACAUGUCGCAGCUGGCGACCUUCCGCCAGGAGGUGCUACCGGAGCUGGCAGCAGAGAGCGAGAACAUCGCCAUUCGGGCGUCUGCCCUCGCCGACUAUGCCAACAUCGACGUCUUCUUCCUGGAGAAGGUAGAUGACGGCACCGUCGUUCCCCCCUCCUAGUUUGGUCUGGACCCGUCGGACGGGGAGGACUCGGCGGAGGAGAUCGCCUCCAGCGAUGAAGGCAACGAGGACGGCAACUACGUUGCUCUAGACGACGGAGCGACCAGCCGGACUCAGCCCGACCCAGCGCCGGCUAGCGAUCCGCCAGAGACUUUGUCAGCCGCCGCCAAUAGCCGAGCCGAGCCCCAGCUGCCGGAGCUACGCCUGCCGCCAACCAGUCCACUCAACCCGAGGGGCUGUCUGCCUAGACGGCCUAUUUAUCUUCUUUCAAGUUUUUCUGUCUUUGUGCAUGAAAAACAAUGUUAAUUAUGCGCAAUUCCACCCACUGGGGUGUAUGUUUAAAUUUGAUGAACACUGGCCUUGGGCCUUUCGCAAUGUAUAAAGUUUAAAUCCCCACAUUAUUGCAUGUCUUGUCGGGUUCUAGCUUGAAUUUUCUUUUCUCUCUUUGGCUUUUUUCUUUGCCAUGUUCCUUUGGCCGCCUCCCUGCUAGCCGGACAGCCGCUCUGCGGUCUGUGGCUGGGCCAGGGACUUGGUCAUUUUUAGAACGGGCAAAUUACUUAAGCUGCGUAGAGCAUAGCUAAUCGAGCGAGAAGCCGGCCUGCCGGCUGCUAAGCAGCCGGGCGAGGGAGGCGAGAGGCCGGCUUGGCCUUAGUUGGCAUUUUCCUUAGUCGGCUUUCAUGUGGACAGCGUUCCCGCCCUUUGGCUCUUCGCCAGUCGGACAGUAGCGCUGUGAGCUGUGACUUGGAGCGAAGAGAGGGCUUUGGCGUCGGCACACUACUAGUCGGCUUUGGCUAGUGCGAACUUAGGCUAAGGCGGCGAGCCCCCGGGUCGGCUGACCGGAACCCGGACGGGGCAUGAAUAUAAAAAACUCAAAUCAUGGCAUAAGCUCAACUCAUAGAUAAGAAGGUAGCCCCCGAGUGCACCUCGGGGGACCUGAGGACUUUUACUUAGUACAAAAGUUAGUGUGGUACAUACACUCGAAUCAACUAUAAAAUGGGCGGAGUAGAUUUGCGUUCCAUGGCCGCUCCGUCUCUUCGCCGUCUGUGUAUCGCUUGCGCGCCCUGGGCUUCUAGCGGUCGAUGAGGUAGUACGAAUCAUUGCCCAGGGCCUUGCUAAUGAUGAAGGGGCCUUCCCAAGAUGCGGCGAGCUUGUGCUAUCCGGCUGAUCGCUGGAUCAGGCGGAGCACAAGGUCGCCUUCACGGAAUGAAUGCGGCUUGACCUUCUUGUUGUGGUAACGGUGCAGGCUCUGCUGGUAGAUGGCGGACCUGCUGCACGCUAGCAGUCGGGCCUCUUCCAGCAGGUUGAUGUCGUCUUCUCGCGCCUCCUUUGCUUCCGCCUCCGUGUACAUGGUGACGCGGGGCGAGUCGAAAUUGAUAUCCGUGGGGAUGAUAGCCUCAGCGCCAUACACGAGGAAGAAGGGCGUGAAGUCGGUUAAUAUAUUGGGUGUGGUCCGAAGGCUCCAGAGGACAGCCAGUAGCUCGUCGAUCCAGCAGCCGGCCAAUCGCUCCAGCGGCUCGAUCAGGCGGGGCUUAAUGUCGGACAAGAUGAGGCCGUUUGCUCGCUCCACCUUGCCGUUUGACUGUGGGUGGGCAACAAACGCUAAGUCCCAGUCGGAUUCCCUGAUUUGCGCAGAAACGGGCCAAGGCGCCUUUGGCAAAGUUGGUGCCGUUGUCGGUGAUGAUGCUGUGGGGAACGCCGUAUCGGACGGUGAUGUCGGUGAUGAAUGUGACAGCAGUUGGACCAUUCAACUUCUUGAUUGGCUUGGCUUCUAUCCACUUGGUGAAUUUGUCCACGGCGACCAGCAAAUGAGUCAUGCUACCGCGUGUUGUCUUGAAAGGACCCACCAUAUCCAAACCCCACAUGGAAAAUGGCCAGGAGAUGGGGAUGGUCUUGAGGGCGAAGGCUGGUUGGUGUUGCUUGGUGCUGAACUUAUGGCACCCUUUGCACUUCUUGACCAACUCUUUGGCGUCGUCCAAAGCAGUCGGCCAGAAGAAACCAUGGCGGAAAGCUUUGGCUACGAGGAACCUGAAGGCGGCAUGGUGGCCACAUUCACCUUGAUGGAUAUCCCUGAGGAUUUCCAUGCCCUUCUCCGGCUUCACGCAGUGCUGAUAGACACCGGUCAUGCUUUGCCUCACAAGCUCUCGGUUGACGAUGGUGUAGGCGCCUGCUCUGCGCUGGAUCUGUCAGGCUAACACUUUGUCGGCUAGUAGCACACCGCUCACCAGGUAUUCGCGGAUGGGCUACGCCCAAGAUGGGGCCUCCACCACUGUGAAGACAACAAUUGGCAUGAGGGUGGCCGGGUUGGGAGGCGGCGGGCUGGAGCCGACCGCUCCUGGUGGUGCUGACGAAGUCCCUGGGUUGACUGUAGCAGCCCCUGGGUCGCCUGCUGGGGCUUUUAGGCUGGGUGCUGGUGCUGCAGCCCCGGGCGGCCUGGUGAAGUCCCCGGGCCGACUGCCGAAGUUCCUAGGCCAGCUGCUGAAGUCCCCGAGCCGGAUCCGACUGCUCCGGGGUCUGCUGGCACGAAGAUGGAGUCGGACUCUAGUGAGGGCUUGAUAGACAGCUUGUGCAGGCACUCGAAGGAGACGCCGACUGGUAUGGCCUGCCGGGUGGAGCAGAUGCGAGCUAGGGCGUCCGCUGCGUUGUUGUCGGCUCAUGGUACAUGGAGGAACUCACAUCCAUCAAAGUGCCCACUCAUCUGCUGGACGAGGAAUCGGUAGCUUGCCAUGUUGGUGUCCUUGGUGUCCCAAUCGCCGGCCGACUGCUGGACCACCAAGUCCGAGUCACCGUAGCAGAGGAUGCGGUGGAUGCCGAUUUCUUUGGCCAAUCGGAGCCCAAAGACGAGUACCUCGUACUCGGCUACAUUGUUUGAGGCAACGAAGUGUAUCUGUAGUGUAUACUUCAGCUUGUCGCCUUCGGGGGAGGUGAGGACGAUGCUGGCUCCCAAGCCAGUGCGCAUCUUUGAUCCAUCAAAGUGCAUCCGCCAAUGUGUAAAAUCAGCCGUUGGCGGCAGGUACUGGGACUCGGCCCAAUCGACGAGGAAGUUGCCCAGCGCUUGGGACUUGAUGGCGGUGUGAGGCUGGUAGAUGAUGGUGUAGGGGGCAGCUCGAUGGCCCACUUGGCCACCCGGCCUGAAGCGUCUCUAUUGCCCAUGAUCUCGGCGAGGGGGGGCAGUGCAGACAACCGUGAUGGAGUGCUCUUGGAAAUAUGGCUUCAGCUUCUUGGCGGCAAAAUACACGCUGUAGCACAUCUUCUGGUAAUGGGGGUAGUUCUGCUUGGAGGCGGACAAGACCUCGCUUAGGUAGUACAUCGGCCUCUGGACCGACUGUACUUUGCUGUCUUCUGCAUGCUCGACGAUGAUCAUCGUCCUGAUGAUUCAGUUGGUGGCGGCGAUGUAGAGGAUCAUGGGCUCUUUAGCAGCCGGAGCCGCCAGGAUAGGCGGCGUAGACAUCAUACGCUUGAGCUGGAGGAAAGCGGCGUACGCCCGGUUGUUCCACUCAAAGCAAGUAGUUUUCUUCAUGAGCUGGUAUAGGGGGAGUGCCUUCUAGCCCAGCCGACUGAUGAAGCGGCUGAGGGAUGCCAGGCACCCGGUGAACUUUUGAACGUCACACAGCUUGGUGGGUUUCUUCAUCCGUUUGAUGGCCUUGAUCUUCACGGGGUUGCACUCGAUGCCGCGCUUUGAAACAAGAAAGCCAAGGAGUUGGUCGGCUGGUACACCGAAGACACACUUCUCCGGGUUGAGCUUGAUGUUGAAACGACGCAGGUUCUCAAACGUCUCCUUGAGGUCUUCCAUCAGGGUACCACGCUUCUCGGUCUUCACCACAAUGUCGUCCACAUAGACGUGGGCAUUGUGUUCGAGUUGCUUUAACAAGCACUUCUGCAUACAAUGUUGAAAUUUGGCACCGGCAUUUCUCAGGCCGAACGUCAUGGUGAUGUAGCAGAAAGUAUCGAAUGGUGUGAUGAAGGCGAUUUUCAGGUGAUCAGUCGGAUCCAGCUUGAUCUGGUGGUAGCCAGAGUAGGCAUCAAGGAAAGACAACAGCUCGCAUCCGGCUGUGGAGUCAAUCACUUGAUCUAUCCAUGGCAGAGCAAACAGAUCUUUGGGGCAGACUUUAUUGAGGCUAGUGUAGUCGACGCACAUGCUCCACUUUUUGUUCUUCUUCAGGACAAGGACUGGAUUGGCAAGCCAGUCCGGGUGGAAAACUUCCAUGAUGAAGCCGGCUGCCAGAAGUCGGGCGAUUUCUUCACCAACGAUCCUUCUCUUCUCUUAUGAUAGGCAGCGGAGGGGUUGCUUGACCGGAUUAGCAUCCGGCCUCACGUGUAGUUUGUGCUUAGUGAAAUCCGUCGGGACACCCGACAUGUCUUUGGGGGGCCAUGCAAAGAUAUCCCGAUUCUCACAGAGGAAAUCAAUGAGCUCGCCUUCCUAUUUGCUGUCGAGGUUGGUACCUACGACAACAAACCUCUCUGGGUGCGCCGGGUCUAGGGGGAUCCGCUUGGUCUCUUUGGCCGGCUGGAAGGAGGCCCCUGCUUCCGUCUCCUUGGGAUCAGUCGGCACGGCCUACUGCUCGCUGCCAUGGCUACCAUUCGGUCAAGGAGACUUUUUUCUUGAGCGAUGAUGAGGGACUCAGCCAGCCGGCUGCUGGCGGUGGCGCGAGCUAGCGACUUCUGGUAGUCGCCGGCAACAGUGAUGAUGCCCUUAGUACCCGGCAUCUUGGCCUUCAGGUAGGUGUAGUGCGGGACCAUCAUGAAUUUGGCCAGUGCAGGGCGGCCCAAGAGCGCGUGGUAGGGGUUGUCCAGGUCGACCACCUCGAACCAGAUCGGCUCGUGGCGGAAGUGGUCCUUGUCGCCGACCAGGACAUCAAUCUUGAUUUUGCCAAUUGGAGAGCAGGAAAGGCUAGGAACUAUGUCGUGGAAGACAGUUCGGCUGGGCUGAAGCUGCUUGGCCCUUAUGACCAACCGAUCCAUGGUCUCAUGGUACAGGAUGUUGAUGCUGCUGCCGCCAUCUAUCGGAACUCGGCCGAAGCGGCAGGUCCGCCUCUCCGUUGAGAAGGUUGAUUCGAACACCAAGGUGUAUACACCCGGAGAGGGCAUCACGGCUGGGUGGUCAGCUUGGCUCCAGGUGAUGGGCCUCUUGGACCAGUGCAUGUGGGUGGGAACCUCUGAGCUGACGGCGUUCACCUCGCGGUGCUGCUGCCGUCUGUUGGGGAUACACAUAACAGGUAGGCCCACGAAGGGUCGAAAUAUCAUAAAGCAUGGGGUCCACACAACACGUGGGUCUAGAUAAAUUUCAUACAGACAUACUAUCCACUCGGACAAGCAGCAUACGAUCCACUCGACCAAGCAGUAUACCAUCCACUCGGAUGACAGUUCACCACUCGACCGCUCGACUCACUCGGAUAUACGGAGACCAGCAGGCAACAAAGCAGUCGGCAUCAUUCUCGUGGUGAGGGCUUGGUAGUGGGCUAACAUUAUGGCAUUCAUGCCCCACUUUGUAACAUAGGAGGUGAGGGGGUGGCGCACUCUAUAUAAGCCACCCCCCACCACUAGACUUCGGGGGUUCUUUUCUUCCACCUCUCUCUCUUUUCGCCAUUAGUCUCAGGACUUAGCUCAGGCACGGGAUCCGUUCCCUUCUUUCAUACAUUGUAAUCUCUGGAUACAUAUACAGAUAAAACAAAGCCUCUCCGGAGCACGAGACGUAGGGUUGUUAUCUCCACCGUGGGAGGCCCGAACUCGCUAAAACCACCGUGUCACCCAUAUGCAUCUCGAUAGAUCAUGCUCCGUUAUCCUAUCCCUCUCUUACUGUCGGAGUCGUUCCCACGACAGUUGGCGCCCACCUUGGGGCAUGGCAUCUAUCGAUCCAUGAUACAGAUGGUUUCUUUUUCAUUCGUCUAUGUUUAAUUUCCUGUUCAUCCUGAUCGAAUUGUUCAUCUUUGCAGCAGGUAAUUAAAGCAUCUCAAAAGGAGAGGAUAAGAUACAUCUUCACUUGAUGUUGCAGGCGUACAUGACCGUUCGCAGACGGAUCGAUCAAGGGAUUUCUUUCUAUGCUAUCCUCUUAUGAUCUAACAAUCAUCGUAGCUCUAAACAAAUCCGUUGUUUUCCUCCCUGUACUAGCAGGCGCCCAUCGGGAUCAACAACAAAAACUUCCGAUGGAUAGAUCAGACAAGAGACGAGGAAGAGAAAAGGGCAUUGACGUGCUGCGCCAAGGGUCGUGGCCAUCGCCCUCACACUGUCACACACGGCCGCCAGCUUGCUGGACUGCGCCUCCUGCUUCCUCUUCUCAGUCGACCUCAACUCACCCAUCAUCCGGGUGUAGCGAUCGCAAGCGCUCGGCAGUCCAUCUGGCGACGCGGGCGCUCGGCCAUGGUCGUUGCGAUGUGCGCAUAGGCCUCGUGCUGCAGCGGCCUCCCUGCGACGGCCCGACAUGGCACGCUGCAGCGGCGUCCCUCGUCAACCGCGGCGCGGCGACCUCCGCGGUCGAUGCACGAACCUGACGCGGCGUCGUGGUCGAGGUUGUCCACGUCCUUGGACACAACAAGAUGGGAGCCACCGGAUCGACUAGCCGCCGCCUCAAGCUCCGCCUGCGCGCAGCCUCGCAGAAGAACGUGGUCCGCACUCGGACUUGUCGCGGGCCGCCUCACCUUGCGUUGGAUCCAUGUCAAAGCCGCCGCCGCCGCUGCCGUGGCCGACCAGGGAGCUCUGCGCCCCUCUACUCUCCUUUUAAUCUUAAUUCCAUCCCAUUUAUGUCCUGCAUGCAGGAGAUAAAUGACCGUGGGAAACGUUCAUUACAUGCAUGAAUGGCUCUAACCCUCGCUUAAUUAGUGCUCUCUUGCAUGCAGAUUCCGUGUACACGUCCUGGACAUGGGCAACUCCUUCAAUGCGUAAUUACCAAGGAUUUAUUGCUCCAUGAUUGUCUGGACUUUGUACCAAGUCGACCUCAUCGUUUGCCCUCGGGCGCCCAGCUCCGACGCCGUCGUGCCUGGCUGCCUCCGCUGCAUGGUGUCCAUGGCCGCUAGCAGCCGCCCGCCUCCAGCGGAGGAAGCAGCGCUCGUUCGCUCAUGGGCAGUUCCACGCCGAACCUUGCCAACGCCUCCGAGCCCAACACUCCGAGUCGGCCUGCCGAACCAGCUCCACACCGUCCAGAUCGCAACCUAGCUGAGUAGCUGUGGUUCACUUAGAUGGGCAGGAACACUCAGAUGAGGCCUCCACUCGAAUGGCCCUCGUUUGCCGUGAAGCCCCUGGGUUCACUCGAUAGGUUAACAUCCAGAACAUCAUCGACAGCAACUACGACCGUGAAUCUAUGGAACUAACCACAUCUUCAUCCACUUCGCCGCUCCGCGCGUCACCACUCCGCGGGACGCGUCUACUUCAUUCGGAUGUUCUGCACCUCGUCACUCUGCGUCACGCGUCUACAUCACUCGGAUGCCCCGGCGCAUCGUCACUCCGCGGGACGCGUCUACUUCACUCGGACGUCCUGCACCUCGUCACUCUGCGGGACGCGUCUACAUCACUCGGACGCCCCGGCGCAUCGUCAUUCCGCGGGACGUGUCUACUUCACUCAGACGUCCUGCACCUCGUCACUCCGCAGGACGCGUCUACUUCACUCGGCCGCCCCGCGCGUUGCCAUUUGGUUGGUCACCUCAUAACCACUCGGCCGCUCCGGGCCUCGUCAAUCGGUUGGUAAACCUCAUCACCACUCGGUCACCCCGCGACACAGUUUUUACAAUCUCAUAAAUGACUGUUAUUCUUUUCUAUAUGCUCUAAAUCCCCUAGUGGGUGACUUAGUUGCGAAUCCGUCUCACCUAAGUUUCAAAAAAAAUCCUGCCGAGUGGAGAGCAACCCUCCCACUCGGGGGCUUAGCUGCAGUCUAGUACUCGCCUAAAUUUUAAAAAAAAUCCUGCCGAGUGGAGAGCAACCCUCCCACUCGGGGGCUUAGCUGCAGUCCAGUACUUGCCUAAGUUUUCAAAAAAAUCCUACCGAGUGGAGAGCAAUCCUCCCACUCGGGGGCUUAGCUGCAGUCCAGUACUCGCCUAAGUUUCAAAAAAAAUCCUGCCGAGUGGAAAGCAACCCUCCCACUCGGGGGCUUAGCUGCAGUCCAGUACUCGCCUAAGUUUUCAAAAAAAUCCUAUCGAGUGGNNNNNNNNNNNNNNNNNNNNNNNNNNNNNNNNNNNNNNNNNNNNNNNNNNNNNNNNNNNNNNNNNNNNNNNNNNNNNNNNNNNNNNNNNNNNNNNNNNNNNNNNNNNNNNNNNNNNNNNNNNNNNNNNNNNNNNNNNNNNNNNNNNNNNNNNNNNNNNNNNNNNNNNNNNNNNNNNNNNNNNNNNNNNNNNNNNNNNNNNNNNNNNNNNNNNNNNNNNNNNNNNNNNNNNNNNNNNNNNNNNNNNNNNNNNNNNNNNNNNNNNNNNNNNNNNNNNNNNNNNNNNNNNNNNNNNNNNNNNNNNNNNNNNNNNNNNNNNNNNNNNNNNNNNNNNNNNNNNNNNNNNNNNNNNNNNNNNNNNNNNNNNNNNNNNNNNNNNNNNNNNNNNNNNNNNNNNNNNNNNNNNNNNNNNNNNNNNNNNNNNNNNNNNNNNNNNNNNNNNNNNNNNNNNNNNNNNNNNNNNNNNNNNNNNNNNNNNNNNNNNNNNNNNNNNNNNNNNNNNNNNNNNNNNNNNNNNNNNNNNNNNNNNNNNNNNNNNNNNNNNNNNNNNNNNNNNNNNNNNNNNNNNNNNNNNNNNNNNNNNNNNNNNNNNNNNNNNNNNNNNNNNNNNNNNNNNNNNNNNNNNNNNNNNNNNNNNNNNNNNNNNNNNNNNNNNNNNNNNNNNNNNNNNNNNNNNNNNNNNNNNNNNNNNNNNNNNNNNNNNNNNNNNNNNNNNNNNNNNNNNNNNNNNNNNNNNNNNNNNNNNNNNNNNNNNNNNNNNNNNNNNNNNNNNNNNNNNNNNNNNNNNNNNNNNNNNNNNNNNNNNNNNNNNNNNNNNNNNNNNNNNNNNNNNNNNNNNNNNNNNNNNNNNNNNNNNNNNNNNNNNNNNNNNNNNNNNNNNNNNNNNNNNNNNNNNNNNNNNNNNNNNNNNNNNNNNNNNNNNNNNNNNNNNNNNNNNNNNNNNNNNNNNNNNNNNNNNNNNNNNNNNNNNNNNNNNNNNNNNNNNNNNNNNNNNNNCGCGUCGCCAUCGGUUGGUCACCUCAUCACCACUCAGCCGCCCUACGCGUCGCCAUCGGUUGGUCACCUCAUAACCACUCGGCUGCCCCGCGCGUCACCAUCGGUUGGUCACCUCAUCACCACUCGGCCGCCCCGCACGUCGCCACGCCGCGUGAUGCGUCUACUUCACUCGGCCGUCCCGCGCGCCUUCAGACAGCUAAGUCAUUUUACAUUCUGUUAUUUUCGCCUUCCCGAGUAUUUCGUAAGUCACACAUCACGUUUACUCGGAGGCGACGCCACCAAGUGUACCUCUACACUCGGUUGCUUAUUUUCACAUACUUGCUUAGUACUGGUUAUGUGACUCCCAAGCCCAACUUCCAUUUUUUCGCAGACAUCAUUCACGAACACCAGGUGUCGUUCUUCAUUUCGAGUUUGCAUCGGUCCUCCAGGGCUGCAACUCACUCAGUCGAAACACUACACUUCCAUUUUAUUUGAGCUAGUAUUCCAAUGAGUUCAGUCGGAUCGGUCGCUUCGACAAGUUCGAACGGAUCCUUCGGUCUUUCAGACUCUUGCUGGUUAACCAGCAAGCCCCUUACACUCCCAGCGGGUGUCUAUGGGUGUUAUUCACACAAAUCAUUUAGCACACAUCAAAUUUCCUCGAGAAAUUAUUUUGUUGGCUUGUGCCCUUUUUUACACAAGUUACGCGGUCACUCGACGGCCCUUUGCGCCAACUUCAUCGCUGCUCGGACUCGGUCACCAUACCGGUCCCAGCGCACCACAACACUGACCUUGUCGUUCUGUUGGCUUCAAACACAUCCGGCCAACCCCUCUGUGGAAUCCUCUUCAUCGAUAAUAUAGACCUUAUCAGGCAUGAGACAGAUAAGUCCCUUUUAUAAUUAAACUUCACACGUCACUCUUUUUGCGAGUUUGCCUCUUUCGAGCUUCACUCAGAAAUUUCUCCUCAUCCUUACCCGAGUCCGACUCGAUGGAUUGCAAAUUAUUCAUUCAACACUAAAUUUCCCGUAUUCCGACAUGUCCGUUGUUGAAGACUGUAGUACGCUCGGGAGCUACGCCGCACUCGGGGGCUGCAACUCAUUUGGAAUGACACUCUCCUGAGUGGUCAAGUGCUUCAUCCCCAGUUAGAUCCUUCACUUCAACAAGUGCAUUUGACCCACCACUUUGAGAAGUUUUAUAAUCACCCAGACGCUCUGCGCGCCAUCUUCAUUCCUACUCAGACUCAGUUGUCACACCGGUCUUGUUGCGUCGCAACCACACUACAUCAACCUCGUCGCUACAUUAACUUCGAAAACAUCUGGCUAAAUCCUUCGAAGACAAUUUCAUCCACUUGGCUGGACACGUAGUCCUUCACUCGACCACCUCACAUAUUUUCACUCGGCCGUCCCGCACGUCGCCACUCGGUUGCGCACAUCUUCACCGCUUGGUCGCUCCGCGCGUCGCCUCUUGGUUGUGCACGUCUUCACCACUUGGCCGCUCCGCGCGUCGCCUCUUGGUUGUACAUGCCUUCGCCACUCGGCCGCCCCGCAUGUUGCCACUCGGUUGUGCAUGUCUUCACCACUCGACCGCCCCGCGCGUCGUCACUUAGUUGUACACAUCAUCGCCCCUUAACCACCUCGCGCGUCACCAUCAGUUGGACAUGUCUUUACCUCUACACCCCCAACACGGGAACGACUAAGUUACUCAUAUGAUCAAACCUCAUAUCACAUUCUGUAGCAAGCUUGCCUCUUUCGAGCAUCACUCGGGGGCUACGCACAGCCGUCGGCCAUGCCGCCCUCAGGGGUUAUGCCCAUUCAAUCAACCCAUUGAUCACAUCAGGAAAAUCUUUCUGACCAUACUUGCCCGGUCUGCCGAAAAUCUAUAAGGGUAGUAUUGUCCACUCGGACGAUCGCCCAAUUCAUUACCUAAAGUCAUCUUCAAAAACUGCAAAAAGGGUGAAAACAACGCUCCUCUACGGAUAACUUGGCCCUAUCCUAGGUUCCAAGGCGUCAGUUUCACAAACUUGGACUCAGAGAUGGCAUGUGCUGGUGUUCCCCCGGGAUAAUGAGUGGCUUCUCCCCGGAGAGUCAGCCUACACACUAGCCCCGUCACUCGGGUUUCAUGGCACGUCCAUGUCAGACCACUAGUCUAUCUCCUCCGGGAGACAUACAAGUGCCACUAAGUCUUUCCUUGCAAGUCAACAUACCUCGAUCAGUCGAGAAGCACGUCCACUCGGACAAAUACCCCUUUCAUGCAAAAGGGUGAAAAUGAAGCUCCUCUGCGGAUACAAUGUGCUCUUACAAAUACCCCUUUCAUGCAAAAUCUAACGGUAGAAGUACUAAUGGAAAUAUUACUCCCUGGAGUGUCCAGCUUUUUUCUACAGUCGGCAGUUUCAAAGCCGAAUUCAUUCACCGUGCCGAGAGCAUGAAGAUUCACCUGCUUGACCGAGUUCCAGGCUGAAUUUAUUCCGUGUCGAGUGCACGAAGAUCAUUCCGACCGACUCAGCUCCAGACUGAGCUUAUUUACCAUGUCAAGCACCUGAAGAUGCAUCCGAUUGACUCAAUUUCAGACUAAAAGAUAUUUACCGUGUCGACUGCGUGGAGGUUUACCAGGAGACUUAAACCCUCUGCCCGAUUCAUCUAGUCCGACAGAAGCUCGGGGACUACACCCAGCGGGUGCACUCAGCGUGCCCCCACUGGAAGAGAACUCAGAAAGAAACAUUUUGCUCGAUGCAAAACCAGCUCCAGAAUUACUCGACCUCCGAGUCAGAGAAGAACAAGUUCGAUCAGUACCAUCUAAGAAGAGUUUUAGUUCUCUCAGACCCCCGCCGACUGCCCGCAGUCAACGGUGGUCUCGGGGACUACACCCAGUGGGUGCACUCAGCGUGCCCCCACUGGAGUAAUCUCCACUCGGUACGGCCUGACCAGUCCGAGUGAUGAACACCACAACAAAAAAGACAGGCUCUAAGACUCCCGCCGUGGGUGCACUCAGCGUGCCCCCACUGGAAUGGUAUCCACUCGGACGGUCCGCCCGGUCCGAGUGACGGCCAAACAACAAAAAAAGACACGUUUCAGGCGUGAAGAAAUUCCGAGUAAUCAGUUACUCGAUGCAGGACCAGCUCCAAAUCACUCCCAAAAAAAUUGCUAUAAGGUGAGUUUAAGGCUCCUCUGUGGACCUGUUUUGAGCCUUCUUCCAGGACUCAGAGCGUGAAAGUCAUAAGUUUGGAUCUAGAGCCGACUCGUAUUGACGUUCCUCCGGGAUAAGAAUGGCAUCUCACCGAGAGAGUUGUCCAUGCGUCGAUCUUGUUGCCUGGAUUUAAUGACACAUCCAUACUCUGAUCACGAGUUAACCUCUUCCGAGAGAUGAUCGAAUGUUACCAAGUUGCUCCUCGCGGGCACUUACCCCAGAUCAGUCGGAAGCGGAGUGCCGAAAUCCAUUGAGAUUUUGUUCAAACCUUGGUUGUCUGAAAGUACGAUGACAGCUACCGAGUAAUCACUCGGGCCAAGUUGUGUCUUUCACAAACUCGUUCUGCAAAAUCGCAAUCGAUUCGGGGGCUAAUGUUGGGGAUACACAUAACAGGUAGGCCCAUGAAGGGUCGAAAUAUCAUAAAGCAUGGGGUCCACACAACACGUGGGUCUAGAUAAAUUUCAUACAGACAUACUAUCCACUCGGACAAGCAGCAUACGAUCCACUCGACCAAGCAGUAUACCAUCCACUCGGAUGACAGUUCACCACUCGACCGCUCGACUCACUCGGAUAUACGGAGACCAGCAGGCAACAAAGCAUUCGGCAUAAUUCUCAUGGUGAGGGCUUGGUAGUGGGCUGACAUUAUGGCAUUCAUUCCCCACUUUGUAACAUAGGAGGUGAGGGGGUGGCGCACUCUAUAUAAGCCACCCCCCACCACUAGACUUCGGGGGUUCUUUUCUUCCACCUCUCUCUCUCUUUUCGCCAUUAGUCUCAGGACUUAGCUCAGGCACGGGAUCCGUUCCCUUAUUUCAUACAUUGUAAUCUCCAGAUACAUAUACAGAUAAAACAAAGCCUCUCUGGAGCACGAGACGUAGGGUUGUUAUCUCCACCAUGAGAGGCCCGAACUCGCUAAAACCACCGUGUCACCCAUAUGCAUCUCGAUAGAUCAUGCUCCGUUAUCCUACCCCUCUCUUACUGUCGGAGUCGUUCCCACGACACCGUCUGAUGUACUUGUCGUCGGCUUCGCUCGUGAAGAAGGCGUAGGCGGCGUGUUCGUCGGGGAAGUCAUCUUGGAGCAUGCCAACAGGUCAAGCUGUCGGCUGCUGAGCGGCCGGGACGGCUGGUGGGGGAGGCGGGAGGGCCUCGCCCUUGGCGAUCCGAGCGAGCCAGUUGCAUUUCCAGGUGAUGUGGUUGGACGGCUUCGCACCGCUAUGGAACUUGCACGGGGCAUUAAGGGCUUGCUCAAAGGAGAAGGCCGGCUGCCAGGCACCCUUGCUGCCCCAUUGAUGCUUGGGGCCGGGCUGCCCAUCUGGCUGGUGGUCCUCAACUGCCGCCACUUGUCAGCUGUUAGAAGCUGGGUGAUGGGCCUUUUGCUUGUUGUUGUUUGGCUGCUGGCGCCUGCUGGAGUCACUAGCCGGUGUCUGUGGAGCCGGGGGGAGCACCUUCCCGGACGCAUCCACUCGGAGCUCCGACUUCAUGGAAGAGUCAUUCAUGGUGUACUUGUCUGCUAUGACCAGCAGUUCAUCUAGGGUGGCUGGCUUGUCGCAGAGGAGCUUGUGUUUGAGCAGGGUGCCUUCUCUGCACCCGGUGGUGAAGUACUCUAUGGCUUGAACCUCAUGCACCCCUUCGCAGGAGUUGCGCAGCUCGGCCCAGCGUGUCAGGUAGUCGCGGGUGAAAUCAAUCGGGCCUUGGACGCACAUGGAGAGUUGGUGAGGCUUGGGCGGCCGCUUGUAGCUGUUGGUGAAGUUGCGGACGAAGACAUCGGUGAAGUCCAACCAGUUGUUGACGUUGUACAACUUGAGGUUGUUCAGCCAUGUCCGGGCUGUGCCCUGGAGCAUGAGCGGAACAUACUUCAUGGUGACACGCUCGUUGCCGUUUGCUAUGUUGACGGUCGUGAAGUAGUCGGCCAGCCAAUCCUCCGGAUUCAUAGAACCGUUGUAUUUGGGAGUGUCUUGUGGGAGCGAGAACCCUUUGGGGAAGGGCUCAUUACGGAUGCGGAGGCCGAAACAAGGUGGGCCAAUUGCAUCUUAUUCUUCUUCCGCCAGGGACCGAGCAAGUCGGUCGAUCCGGUGGCGGGUGUCAUUCUCUCCGACUCCUUCACGGGGGCCAAGCCGGCCUCUGAGAGUCGGAUGCUCAACAAGCGGCGGGGAAGCGCACCUCUCCCUGCGUGGGGGAGGCGGGCGAUUGUCCCGUCAUUCCACUGCUCAUGGGCGGCCGUCUCGAUCGCGCUCGAUCGUGAUGUGGGUGCGCCGACUGCGGCCGACAGCCGGCUCUUGGUCUCUCCGACCGUGGGUACCGACUGUUGGGGGCUGAGAGGUUGCGCCGUGCUCGCGGCAAGGAGGACGAUUCUUGUCUUGUACGUCGGGCUCCACCACACGGCGGCCGGCUUGCUGCGCAGCAGCCGCGUCGAGGAGCUGCUGGAGGCGCUCCAUCAUGCAGCGCUGCUCGUCGCCCUCCAGGUGGUACAGUUCGUCUGCCGCCGCCUGGGCAAUGUGCAGGUUCUCCAUCAGGGUGGCGUAGACGAAGCGGUCGGCUCCCAGCAUGCCGGCGAUGGUCGCGCCGUGUUGCCGGAUCGCGCCCAAUCGGCUGGGCUUGCCAACAGACGGUGUGCCGCCCACGGCGCGCUCAAUCUCACGCUGGUAGGCCUCGGUGAGGCGCCUCAUGGUGGCCAACUUGUUGGCGCUGUCGAGGAGCGAGACGCGUAGUGUUUCUAGCGUCGCACCAUCCGCGCCUACCUCGAUCGGAGCGGACAGAUCCUGCAGCGCCGCCUGCUGCGGGUCAUGGCCCACUCCGGCAGAUGCUCCGUCCUCGCUAAUGACCAACACCUCUAUGAUGGUGUUGGCACUGGUGUUGCCGUACGCAGAAGGGAGCGGGUCGUCAACGAUGUCCACAUAGUCGGGUAGACGUCGGUGUUUGCCACGUCAGAAUGGACGAACAUCUCGACGGGCGGGUCGGUGGAGCCGACGGACUCCAAGUCAGAGGCGAGCUCGCUGGCGAUGUGGAGCUUGCUGAGGAUGUCGAUGAGGCAGCUCUCGGAGCUGGCCGAUCCUGCGUCGGGCGCGGGCUCGUUGGCGAGGAGGAUCCCGCUGAGGAGGUCAGCGAGGGAGCUCGCAGCGUAGACGGCCUCCACGCCGCGCAACGUGUCGGCGCAAGCGCCAUCCAGUGCGCCGGGCUGGCUGCACUCGCCGGGAAGGAAGAGGGUCCCCGUCUAGAACGUGUCUCCAGCCAACGGUGCACUUAGCCCCACGGUGGGCGCCAAAUGUCAUGGUGUUUCCUCGACAUAUGCCAAGGGAUGGUUUAUCAUGUGUGAGGAAAGGAGUACGUUGUCGGGCUUUAGAAGAGGGAGUAGGCAAGACCUCGGACGCCGACGAGUCUUACCCAGGUUCAGGGCUCUCCGUGGAGAUAACUGCGGGGUCUCCGCAUGAUGACUAUGAUCGAUAGAGGGGCUACAAGGUUUCUCCUUGAGUUGUUUGGCUAGAGGAAGUAGAAGGGUAGGGCUUGCUCUAUCUCUUCUCUAGCUAUGGGUGGAGGGAAAUGGAGUGGGAAUCCUUUGCAUGGGUGAGCCUAGGGGGUUUAUAUAGGCCUCCCCCCAGGGGUACAAUGGUAAUUCGGCCGGGUGGUAGGCCCCGACCAUCAGUGACAAAGGAGGCUGGGUUCUCUGUCGGCUGCUGGGGCCAGUCUCAGGUCGGCCCUGCCGGCUGCUAAGGAACCGUCUGACAGGUGGGCCCCGCCGCCUGCGGGUCCCACUGAUGGCUCUUCACGGUUGCACCAUCCGUGCUGAUGGAAGCCGUGUCGGGCACGCCAUGGAAUACAGUGCCGCGUCGGGCGGGUCGGCGACCGCCUGGCGGCGGUCACUCUAGCCAUAAGUCCGGGAUUUGGGGGAAGCAUGGCGCACUGUAGCCAUGCCCCAGCUUGUCUCUUGGUCGGGCUCAGACUCCAAGGGAGGGGACGGGCCACCUUCGCCGCCUUCUGGAGCGCGUCGUCUUCUCGGGGUCUGCCGCCUUCCUCGGAUCCGCCACCUUCUAGGAGGCGGCGCUCUGGUUCCAGCCAGCCUAGAGGACUAGCCUUGUGACCAGUCGGACUGAGGGGCUCGGCCAGCCUAGAUAUCUUGAAAUGUGGAGAAGUGCUGAUGAGGCUACCCGGGGUCUAUCCCCCCGUCACAUAGUUUUUUCAGUGAACAAAUAUACAUCGCUUUGGCGGCUCAGCGUUCUUAUGGGCCGCCCCAGGUGAGCGUCUCGUUGUCCCUGGGUGAGCUAUAUCUCGCGUACUGCGAGACAAAUCGUUGUGUGUUCGGUGAGUGGGCCGACUCAUUUAAGCGGAUUUCAGAACUCUCCAUGGGAGGCCUGGAUUUGUUUUAGGAACCUUCUGGUUGGUUUUCUGUCAAUUUUUUUCUCCUUUUCUAUNNNNNNNNNNNNNNNNNNNNNNNNNNNNNNNNNNNNNNNNNNNNNNNNNNNNNNNNNNNNNNNNNNNNNNNNNNNNNNNNNNNNNNNNNNNNNNNNNNNNNNNNNNNNNNNNNNNNNNNNNNNNNNNNNNNNNNNNNNNNNNNNNNNNNNNNNNNNNNNNNNNNNNNNNNNNNNNNNNNNNNNNNNNNNNNNNNNNNNNNNNNNNNNNNNNNNNNNNNNNNNNNNNNNNNNNNNNNNNNNNNNNNNNNNNNNNNNNNNNNNNNNNNNNNNNNNNNNNNNNNNNNNNNNNNNNNNNNNNNNNNNNNNNNNNNNNNNNNNNNNNNNNNNNNNNNNNNNNNNNNNNNNNNNNNNNNNNNNNNNNNNNNNNNNNNNNNNNNNNNNNNNNNNNNNNNNNNNNNNNNNNNNNNNNNNNNNNNNNNNNNNNNNNNNNNNNNNNNNNNNNNNNNNNNNNNNNNNNNNNNNNNNNNNNNNNNNNNNNNNNNNNNNNNNNNNNNNNNNNNNNNNNNNNNNNNNNNNNNNNNNNNNNNNNNNNNNNNNNNNNNNNNNNNNNNNNNNNNNNNNNNNNNNNNNNNNNNNNNNNNNNNNNNNNNNNNNNNNNNNNNNNNNNNUAGGUUGAACAUUCUUCACAUACUCCUUGAUUUUUUUUAAAUCUGCAUUAAAAAAAUCUGUUUGAUUUGUUCUGUUUUCUCCUUUUCGUUUUUAUGUAUUUAUUUUUUAUUUUCAAACAAAAUUUUAAUAUUAGAUCUGAUUUUUUAUCAACGGUGUCUUGCAUUUUUCCUCAAUAUAUACAAGGUUAUAUAUCAUAUCAACAAUUGUAUUUAGAUCGCUAUGCAUAUACCAAAGAAUUAAUCCAAUGAAGAAAAUCUCGAGAUAGAAUGAAACUUCUAAACUAUUCUCUAUCUUUUCUUUUCUUGAACGGGAAUCUGUAAACUACUAUCUGAUUUUCAAAACCAAAAAAACUUUCAACAGGGAAAAACAAAGGAAGAAAAUGAAAUGAGAGAAGCGGAGAAAUGAUAAAUCCGAUGGAGGGCUUGGACUGGGUCAACCCGCUACAUGUUGGGUGCAGGUAGACAUAGACUGGGUCAACCAAUGUCUAGGCGUCCGCAUCGAGACGAUGGGGGUAAGAGGGGAGCUAUGCUCUUAUUCAUGGCUCUUAAGAUACAGUCAUAUACUCCCUCUGUUCUUAAAUAUUUGUCUUUCUAGAGGUUUUAAUAAGUGACUACAUACGAAGAAAAAUGAGUGAAUCUACACUCUAAACCAUGUCUAUAUACAUCCGUAUGUGGUAGUCCAUUUGAAAUCUCUGAAAAGAUAAUUAUUUAGAAACGGAGGGAGUAGAAGACAUGUCUAAGGUUUAGUUCGCAAUUAGUGAAUUAUAAUGUAGUGUGCUUAUUUUAUAAUUUGUUUUGAAAAAGUAGACACAAAAGUAAGAAAAAACAGGUCAAACAAACACUAAAAUAUGGACAAAAAAGGGUGGGCAAACAAGAAUAUGAGAAUACACCAUGAUUCAAGCGCAUCAUAAAGUACCAAGUUCUAUAUUACCGACACUACUAGAAGAAAAUUCACGAAAUAUUGAAGAAAUCAUGUUAGCAAAUAAUGUCCUCGUGUUUGCUUUGUUUCUUAAAUUAGUAAGAUGCAAGGUUAGAAGUUGAUGCACAUUGGGAUGCUUAGCUGUAUUAUGAUGAUAUCAUUUGACUUUGAGAGCAGAGUUACAAUUGGUGCAAAAUGUAAAAGAGAAAGGGGUGAGAAGGGGGAAAACUCAAAACGGUGUCCAGGCUCAUCUGCUCCCUCUCAGCAAAAAAUUCAAAAAAAAUACUAGAAAAAUUCAAAAAAUUCCAAUUUUUUUUGUGGUGGUAGAUAAUUUGACGCGUGAGGUGCGUCCCAAAAUUCAACUCAUUUGAACAUCUGAGCAGCUCUCGGCAAAAAAGACAAAUCGGGUCAAAACAGUGCGUGAACAGUAUACAUUUUUACAGACCCUGAUUUUGUCUUUUUUGCCGAGAGCUGCUCAGAUGUUCAAAUGAGUUGAAUUUUGGGGCGCACCUCACGCGUCAAAUUAUCUACCACCACAAAAAAAUUUGAAUUUUUUUGAAUUUUUCUAGUAUUUUUUUGAAUUUUUUUCUAAGCGUGGGUGCAGAUUAGCCGCACUCGUGAGAAGGGUACUUAUUAGUUUGUAACAUUAUGUGCGAAACCUCUGACUAUUCACCGUUUUAUUGAGUUUAUUACCUGUUAUUUUCUCCAUGGUGGUAACUUUGUUUUCUGAAAAUGUUUUUUUUUAUUGAGACAUGAAGCGCAGCAAUAUUUGCCCUCCUGUGACAAACCUUCAUCUACAGGAGUAUCUUGAUUUCUCAGUAAGUAAUACUCCUACCUGUUUCACAACCCAAAACUAAUGCUGGUAUCUCAUUUGCCUAAUUGCACAUUAAUCAGAUCCGUCAGUUUUGUCAGGUACAUCUGACUAUCCAAAGUUUAGUUCGGUGGCCAUGUUUGUCUGAAAGCAACUUAGGAGUAUCUAAUUUAGCACUGUCAUCGGUUUAAACGGACAAAAGGUACAAGAUGUUAAUAACCAGAAGCUGACAGUCUCUGAAGCAAAGGCAGGUAACCAAACAUACACAAAAUGGAUCGCAGCAAUGGACAAAAAAGAGACAAUGAUUGAAAGGAUUGCAUCUUUAGCCAUUCCAGACAUAAAUUAGGGAUAAAUUACAGCCCUGACUGGCCCGUUCAUCAAACCAAUGAAAGUGCCACUACAACUAGGCAAUUACAUACAGGAUCCAAACAACCAAAUCUCCUCAUCCUCUCCCUGAUAUGGACCUAAGUAAUGUCACGACAGUAGUCUAUGGGGGCGGCUACUCCUUGGCAGCGACCUUCUUCUUGGGGGACUUGGUGGAGGUCUUCUUCUUGGGCGACUUGGCCUCCUUCUCGGCGGCGGCGGGGGACUUCUUGGGGAGCAGCACGGAGUUAAUGUUGGGGAUCACGCCGCCGUGGGCGAUGGUGACGCCGGCGAGCAGCCUGCCGAGCUCCUGGUCGUUGCGGACGGCGAGCAGCAGGUGGCGCGGGAUGAUGCGGGUCUUCUUGUUGUCCUUGGCCGCGUUGCCGGCGAGCUCCAGGACCUGCGAUCCAAAACGAAAUCUGUCAGUUAUCCGUCGAGCAGGAGAAGAACAGAGCAGAACAGGUGCUCGGGGACAGGAAAGAUCGGCGCAUACCUCAGCGGCGAGGUACUCGAGGACGGCGGCGAGGUAGACGGGGGCGCCGGAGCCGACGCGCUGGGCAUAGCGGCCCUUCUUGAGGUAGCGCCCGAUGCGGCCGACGGGGAACUGGAGCCCGGCCUUGACGGACCUGGUCACCGCCUUCUUCCUGUCGCCUCCCUUCCUUCCGGCCAUCUUCUUGCUCCUUCUCCGGCGAGCUGGAAACUACUCGAGAUGCGUGGGCGGCGGUGCGGGAUCGGGAUGCGCUCUGCUCUGAGUUUGUGGGUUGGGACGCCAGCGAGGGCGCGGCUUUUAUUGGGAAGGUGCAGACUUCGUGGGACGGCGGCAGGGGGGAGCGAUCCGCGUGACGCAGUGUGCCUGCCGUUGGAUCUGUGAGAAGUGGGCGGUGGGGAUUGGUUUGGGGGUGCGAUCCGCGAGAGGGUCCGAUCGGCCAAUCAGAGCGCGGGGAUUUGCAUCAAGAAGGGAUUUUGCUUUAAUUAACACCUGGUUUUCUUUUUGUGCAUCAUUUAGGCAUUUUCUUUCACUCUUAUCUUGCAUCUAAUUGAUUUUUUUCAGAUGUAGUAUUUGCUUAUACAUUUAUGUAUACCAUUGUUUUGCUAUUAUCUAACGUUUCAUUUGGAUGAAUGUACUAAGGCCCCAAUUUGGAUUUGAUAUUCUCCAAAUUCCAAUCCGGCUGUUUGGGAUGCACACGAAAAUAGUCGUCAAAAAUAGAACAAAUACAUGCAUGAAAUUGACAACUUGUCCCUUGUUUUCCCCAUCGACGGUGGCACCCAGGUAACCUCCCUUCGUCGGCCCUCCUUCUCCUUCUACUCCGGAACCUGAAUACCGGAUAACGCGGCUCGUUCCCCUCCUCCCAUGCCCCCCAUCUCCUCCUCACAUGGCCUCUACGGCCUGGUCCUAGCCGUCUUUCGCCGCUUCUCCUCCAAUAUUAGAAGUAUGAAAGGUACGUGAUUUCGAUGAAAGUAAUUAUCCUCACAAUUUGUGUCCACUCAAAUUGGCAACAAUAGAACAUAUCCGACAAAAUAGAAAGAAGAAGAAGAGCUCCAAGAAUAACCUUAAGAACAAAUCUUGGGAGGAGCGUAAGGAUGGGCCUUACUAUCCCAAGAAUCUCCAUCCUCUUUUCACUAAGGUAAAAAAAUUCAAUUUCACUAGCUUAUUAUAACAAAGUCGUGUCGAGGUUUUUGUGAAGGGUACGACCAUUGGUACAAGCGUAAGUGCUCGUACCACACCAUACUGUACCUCUAUUAAUUUUUUACCAAUGCCAAGAGACUCAGUACGGGCAAUGUCUUUGACGACGUGGUACAACCUAUGUUACAAGCACGAGCACUCGUGCCAUAGGUCGUCUUCCCCUCUGACUCCGAACCCCUAAAAAUAUUUCUUUUUCGCAUGUGUGGAACCCAAGUUAGACCACCAGUACGAGCCCGGCCGCUCUGGCUGAAGGCCGUCUUCCGUUCUAGAAAAAAGAUUGCUUUCGCCAGAACCCAAUACAUGCACGAAUACGAGCACCAGCUCUCGACCCGACCACGUCUUUUUCUCUGGUUCCUCUAUAACUUGCAAAUUCUCUAGGAAUUUGCCUUGUUUAUUUCCUAAUCUUCUUUAGUUAUCCUUAUCUCAUGAAACACUAUGGUUAUGCCCUAAGGGGACCAUCGACAGAUUGUUGACCCAAAUUGUCAUUUCCAAUAUCAACCACAUUCUCUUUAGGCGAUUAUGCCCUAAUAAAGAGGCAUUCCUUUGGUACUAAUUGGAAGGAUCGAUGCGAUCGACUAGAGGGGAUGAACAAGAGACUACAAAUUUUAAGCUUAUCUUCUAAUUUUAGGGAAUUGUGGAUAAUGUAGGUCCUCUAUAUGUGCAACUAGGUGAACAUGGCAUAUAUGGCAAACAAGCUCAAAGAAAAAUACAAGAGGCAAUGCUGUAAUUAGCAAGCCAACAAGCAUACAAAAAAGUGAAGGAAUGGGAAUUAUUAACCACAAGUGAGUUGAGAAUGCAUAUUUUAUCCCAAAGUUUGCACACUUCUGGUAGUGUUAAUCUUUGUUGGAGCAGUGCCAAAGCCAAAGCUAUAGAAGACCACAACGUGGCUCACUUUAUUCUACCUUCGAGUCACCCCCAAUGGAUGAACCUCGAAUCACUCGGUGUUGGUCUCGGAGGCUACCACCACACGUUUACAAACUUCUCCAGAGCACGCCAUACGCAAGGAAGCUUAUAGAGGAACCUCUACCACCUAGGAGCCCAAACUCCAAGAGUAAAAAGUAUUGAUGAAGAAAUUGAGUGGGGAACACAAAUCAGUUUGGUAGAAGUGUAGAUUGACUCUUGCUCUCCCAUAUCCAAAAGUAUUGGAGUCUUUGGGUAGAGGGAUUGAGAGUAUUAAGAAAAAUGGAGGUUAGCAAUGGUGGAGCAACUCUCAAGACAUUAGGGUUGGGUUGGAGGAAGAAGUUGCUAUUUGUACUCCUUCAACAAAUCUAGUCGUUGUCCUCCUGGAGCCCCCCGUGCACACGGGGUCACCCGAGGCAUUCCCCAUACCUCAUGGGCACGGGGGGUCAUAGACACCAUGGACAUGUGGGUUACAUAGGAUUCGCACUUGACCCCGUGGACAUAGGAUGACAGGGGUCCCAUGCACACGGGGAUCCAGAGAAUCAACCCUAGACCAUGUGGGCACGUGGUAGGAUGACAAAUAACACAUUUAUGAUGAGUUUGUGGUAUUUCAUGGAUAUAGCGUAGGGAAUGUUGGUGUAUGAGUUUGUUGUGUUCCAUCACUUUCUUUCGAGCACCUUGACCCCUCCUAAUGGUGUGGUUGCCCUAGGACUAAAAUAAAGCGAAACCAAAGCUUCAAGUCAUCAAAAAACCAUAUAUUUAUCCUUUUUGAAGUGUGUGUGUGGGGGAGGGGGUAUACUAUCUCCUUAAUUAUCAAUCAAGGAACCAAUGACGUGAGAUAAGAUUAUAAUAACCAUCAUUAGUUCCACUAACCAUGGUGUCAUCACACAAAAACACUCCCUCCAUCUCAAAUUAGUUGUCUUAGAUUUGUCUAGGUGCACAUGUAUCUAGACACGUUUUAGUGUUAGGUACAUCUGCAUCUAAACAAAUCAAAUUCAACUAAUUUAGGAUGGAGGUAAUAUCACUUAGAGAUAAAUGCACUUUAAACAUUAAUUCCCAAAAUGCACGACCCUAAAGGCAUCGAUGAUUAUAUGUAGGUCUCGUUGGUCAUCAUGCCCAUGAAAUUUGUCAUUGAACUCUUGGCCAACAUAGUACAAAAAAAUUUAUUCGUGUGAUGCAUUAGAACUAACAUGGUCUUAUGAAGGGAAAACAAUCCAAGAUUGCCUAUGCUGGGAUUUUGAAUAUCUACACCUUUGUCAAUUAUCCAGAAACCAAUUUUCAUACUACAGUUGGAUUUUGAAAUGGCAUUUGAUAAAGUUAAGUACAAGUGUAUAUUGUCUAUGUUGAAUGAAAAAGUUUUUGGCCCUAAAUGGCUUGGAUGGGUUGAAAUCCUACCGCCUAGGAGUACCCAACCUCCAAGAGUAACAAGAACGAUGGGGAAAAGCUCAAGACUUGCUCAAAUCAUGAAUUCCUUUGGUCAAGAGAGGGGGAGGGAGUGAAUCUAUCACUUGAUUGGACAAAUUCUCAAGAACUCUCUUGAAUCCCUCCGGAAUCUAGGAUUUGGUGUAUGAGGUUGCGGGAGAGAAUGACAUGUGUUCUAGGGUUAGUUCAAAGUGAAUGGUCAACCUUCUCUCAGAGUGGAAGAAUGCUAUAUAUAGUGGUGGUGUAAAUAUGGUUGUUGAAGUGUAAGUGGUUGUGACGGGGCGAACAUCCAACCAUUUGAAAUAUCCACAAGAUGCGCACAAUAUAGAGGAGAAAUGCAGAGUUCCCAGACAUCUGUCAUGGUGCUGAACAUUUGACGUUUGCAUCGCGUAAACCUGCUUCGGUACUAGAUAGAUCAAGCCGGGUAUCCGAGGAAGCCCUGGAUGUCCGACCACUCAGGAACACCCAGACAACCGGCCUGGUAACGGACAUCCGGCGAGCUCACCAUUAAAACCUGCACACGUGCACACGUGCUGGGCAGGAGGAGUCGAAUAUCCGAGAGAUACCCGGGCAUCCGGCCACAGGACCGGACAUCCGGCCAACAGAGAUAGCAAGCACUUAAGGUGUUGAUGAAGAUAGCCCAGAUAUCCAGCUAGAGCCCGGGCAUCCGGCAUACCGAUGUGUAAUGCGAGCACCUAAGACUUACAAGAAGAGCUCCGUGAGAUGUAAAGCUUGUGAACAAGAAUGUAGAGUAGGAUUGGUUAACAAGUUUAGAAAGAAGGAAUUUGAGACCAAAAUGACUUGAGCAAAUAUUUUACUAACACUAUCGAUCCCCUCUUAAUAGAGCGGGGUCCCUAUACUCAAGAAACAUAAAACGAACUCAUAAGCCUUUUGCUCUUUCUUCUUGAGCCAUAGCUUUUCAUUCGUCUAUGAUCCACACACACAACAUAGUCGGGGACGGACACAUGAGAUUUACUUACUCCCUCCGUCCAGGUGCAUAAGUCAUCUUAGGUUGUGCACCACGACCAAGCGGAAGAAUUACGAGAGAACUUAAUGUUUAUUUGCUAAUUAAUAGCAUUGCAUGCAAUGAACUGACCACUUCAUGUCGUGUUUGGUAGUCUCUGAAGGAAAUAUGCCCUAGCGGCAAUAAUAAAGUUAUUAUUUAUUUCCUUAUUUCAUGAUAAAUGUUUAUUAUUCAUGCUAGAAUUGUAUUAACCGGAAACUUGGUACAUGUGUGAAUACAUAGACAAAAUAUAUAGUCCCUAGUAUGCCUCUACUGCACUAGCUCGUUAAUCAAAGAUGGUUAUGUUUCCUAACCAUAGACAUGUGUUGUCAUUUGAUGAACGGGAUCACAUCAUUAGGAGAAUGAUGUGAUGGACAUGACCCAUCCGUUAGCUUAGCAUUAUGAUCGUUAUAGUUUCAUUGCUACUGCUCUCUUCAUGACUUAUACAUGUUCCUCAGACUAUGAGAUUAUGCAACUCCCGAAUACCGGAGGAACACUUUGUGUGCUACCAAAUGUCACAACGUAAAAGGGUAAUUAUAAAUGUGCUCCACAGGUGUCUCUGAAGGUGUUUGUUGGGUUGGCAUAGAUCAAGAUUAGGAUUUGUCACUGCGUGUUUCGGGGAGGUCUCUGGGCCCUCUCGGUAAUGCUCAUCACUAUAAGCCUUGCAAGCAAUGUGACUAAUGAGUUAGUUGCGGGAUGAAGUAUUACGAAACGAGUAAAGAGACUUUCCCGUAACGAGAUUGAACUAGGUAUGAUGAUACCGACGACCAAAUCUCAGACAAGUAACAUACCGAUGACAAAGGGAACAACGUAUGUUGUUAUGCGAUUUGACCGAUAAAGAUCUUCGUAGAAUAUGUAGGAACCAAUAUGAGCAUCUAGGUUCCGCUAUUGGUUAUUGACCGGAAGUGAGUCUCGGCCAUGUCUACAUAGUUCUCGAACCCGUAGGGUCCACACGCUUAACGUUCGAUGACCAUUGGUAUUAUGAGUUUAUGUGUUUUAAUGUACCGAAGGUAGUUCGGAGUCCCGGAUGUGAUCACGGACAUGACGAGGAGUCUCGAAAUGGUUGAGACAUGAAGAUCAAUAUAUUGGAAGGUUAUGUUUGGACAUCGGAAUAGUUUUGGAUGAGUUUGGGCAUUUACUGGAGUACCGGGAGGUUACCGGACCCCCCCCCGGGGGGGGGGGGGUCAAUGGGCAUUCAUGGGCCUUAGUAGAAAAUAGAGGGCAGCAAGGGAGCUGUGGGGCGUGCCCCCUAGGCCCAAACUGAAUUGGUUUAGGGCUUGGGGGGCGGCCCCCUCUUUCCUUCUCCCCUCCUCCUCUUUCCUUCCCCUCCUAGUUGGACUAGGAAAGGGGGAACCUACUCCUAGUAGGAGUAGGAUUCCCCCCUUGGGGAGCACCCUAUGAGGCCGCCGACCCCCUCCCCUUGCUCCUUUAUAUAUGGGGGCCGGGGGCACCCUAGAACACACAAGUUGACAAUUGUUUUAGCCGUGUGCGAUGCCCCCCCUCCAUAGAUAUCCACCUCAGUCAUAUCGUCGUAGUGCUUAGGCGAAGCCCUGCGCCGGUAACUUCAUCAUCACCGUCACCACGCCGUCGUGCUGACGAAACUCUCCCUCGACCUCAGCUGGAUCUAGAGUUCGUUGAAUGUCACCGAGAUGAACGUGUGCAAAUCGCGGAAGUGUCGUACCUUCGGUGCUAGGAUCGGUCGGAUCGUGAAGACGUACUACUACAUCAACCGCGUUGUCAUAAUGCUUCCGCUUUCGGUCUAUGAGGGUACGUCCCUCUCGUUGCUAUGCAUCACCUAUGGAUAGAUCUUGCGUGAUCGUAGGCUUUUUUUUUGAAAUUACUGCAUUCCCCAACAGUCUCAAGUCAUUGAAAGCAUACAUGCGCCACAUCUCUUAUUGGGUGAUUCCUUUAUGUAUGUCAAAAAACAAGAAACAAGGUGAGAGUUAAUGCAUUGUACCUAACUGUUUUGGUAUUAUUUGGUUUUCGUAAGCUGACUUAUACACCUAGAUGAAGGCAGUAACAAACAUGGUUAGUCCCCUACAUGUAUAUCGCCAUCAACAUCAAAAUAUGAUGCAAGGGCAUGAUUGCACUUUCACUUGACGCCACGCUCCCAUGUCAUCGAGAAGCUUCAGUAGGUGAACUGCCUAGAUAUCGUCAUGAUUAUUUGAAGUUCUAUCAAUUGCCCAACAGUAAUUUCUUUACCCACCGUGUGCUAUUUUUCUUGAGAGAAGCCACUAGUGAAACCUACAGCCCCCGGGUCUCUUCUUAGUCAUAUUUGCCUUCGAGAUCUAUUUUUAUUUGCUUUUGUUUUCAGAUCUAUUAAUCCAAAAAUGCAAAAGUACCUUGCUGUAAUUUUUAUUUAUUUAUUUUAUCUUGCGUUCCCGCGAGAUCUAUUUAUCCAAUCUACUACAAUUUUACCUAUCUUUUUACCCGUGAGGGAUUGACAACCCCUCUCUUACGUCGGGUUGCAAGUAUUUGUUCUUUGUGUGCAGGAGCUAUUUACAUGGUGUUGUGUGGUUCUCCUACUGGUUCGAUAACCUUGAUCUCAUCACUGAGGGAAAUACCUACCGUUGUUGUGCUGCACCAUCCCUUCCUCUUUGGGGAAAUACUGACGUAGUUCAAGCAAACAUCAGUGGCUUGCCAUCAAGUAGAUCCUUGGAUUUAGCUAGGUUACCUGUUUCAUUGCUUGGUUUUCUACCUGUUAAAGAGAAGCUUAGGUCUAUAUAGAUUCCUGAGGUAAUAUCCAUUGUUUCUCAUAUUUUAGUUACAACUGAUUCCUCAGUUCUAACUCCUUCAUGUUAUUUUCAUUAUUUGUCCUCUUUGUACCACUGUUUAUUUCAAUUUCUGAAAUAAGGAUGGCCUUGGUGGCUUCAAAAUAUGCAGGACCGUAUUUACUUGCACUUUGUUUAUAUAUGGUUGAUGCUAGAUUCUUCUAGAAAAUUUGUUGUUACAUUAGUGGUCUAGCUAGAUUGCAAGGAAGGGGUUGUAUCUUUCCUUGCUUUGUUUGAUCCUGGAAGAUGGGCGUCAGUAGGUGAACUAAUUGAUUUUGAUUUCAUAUUAUUGUGCAUGCUUCUAGUGUGGGAUUAUAUUAUAUUAUUAGGUUUAUCAUGCUCCUGAUUUUGCUAUUGACUGUGUUUUUCAGUUAGUGUCCUAUUGUUGAUCUGUGAUCUGUCGUCGAUUGUUGCUGCCGCUCGGUUGAUAAUUUACAACUCAUGUUUUUCUACCCCUACUUGUUUGUGAGGAGACAGGGCUGUGUCCAUCCUUCGGCCGUCUUUGCUUCGAUCCGCACACACUUCACAUUUGAUGAUAAGAGUUGCAGCUCCAUUAUUUCCUUGUUCUAAACUCUCAAAAGCACGUGAUGUCGUGGCAGCAGCAAUGGAGGUCUCCAAGGCCCCUUCCUCUUCUAGUUUGGCAACCCACCAGCCCUCCAAGGUUAGUGCUCCUAAUGAUCGAGAAUUCCUUUAUCGAUUAAUCGUGUGCGUCUCCAAGAAGCAUAGAGGUUAUUAUAUGUAAUGGUUUCCAUUCUUAUGCCUAGAGAUUCUUGAGACAUAGCACAGUGCCAAUGCGGUGUGCUUCGACGUGGAUUGCACGGUAUGCUUGGAUGAGGGUAUUAAUGAGCUUGCUGAUUUCUGUGGGGCUGGGCAGGCGGUUGUCGAGUGAAAGACAAAGUAAUGGUCACAUUUUCUGGAGUAUAUUAGUUGUUUAGCCUAUAAUAUCUUCCGAAAACUAAUCUUGGCCUUAUUAUUCUCAGGGCAAUGACAAGACCGUUCUAUUUGAAGAGGCUCUUCCUGCCUGGAUCUCUUUAAUUAAGUUAUCUCUGUCCCAAGUUGAGGAUUGUUUGGAGAAGAGGCCACCGAGGUGACCUUUUACAAGUCCCAGCUUCAAGUUAAUCACUAUUUAGCUGCCACUUUUGCAUUCCUAUAUUGAACCAUCUGAGAUUCCCCAGCUCUAUUAUUCUUGUAUUGGAAUGGUUAUAUAUGUGCUACUGAACAUAGAAUAAUGAUCUUAGGAAUGCUUAACUGGUUUUACUCGGCUUCUCUUUUUAAGCUAAUACGAAAAAUAAUAGCUACAAUAUAUGCAAAAUUUGUUUGGUACCACAGUAAAAAUGCGAUUUCAGAAUAGUACCACCACAUGGUAUAAGUUCAUUUCAAUAACACUGAAUGAUACAUGUCUAAGUUCAUUUUAAUAACACUAAAUGAGACAUGUCUAAGUUCAUUUUAAUAACACUAAAUGAGACAUUAAAAUCUGCCCAUACCACUUCAGUCUUAACCUUUAGGUUGUUACAUUCCCUACAACCACAACAUAACCCUUUUGACUUAUUUGCCUCAUGGGUUAAUUAGAUAUUUCCUAAGAUUUCUGGCUACAUAAUAAUUCUAAGGCAGUAUUUGUUUCAUUUAUUCAUCACUGCAACAUAUGUAAAUUUUGUGUUGGUUAUGCAUUAUUUAUCUUCCUAGUUCAUUGACAUGUUUAUAUGUUUGUAUCUGCAGGAUUUCUCGUGGAAAUGUUGAUUUUAUUAAUACAUUAAAAGCCAAUAAUACUAAAGUAUUCCUUGUGUCCGGAGGUUUCCGGCAAAUGAUCAAGGUAUAUCUUCACUAAACAGUUGCACUAAUGAUACUUUUGGAAUAUGGAUUAUCCGAACAUAGUCAAGAUGCUUUUAAGAUAUCCAUAGUUUGAGUACAGAAAUUGGUUCUAAAUUUUCCUUCUAUAUUAUUUGUUGAACAAUAAACGAGGAUAUGUUUCUUCCCAUGAUCUAAAAGCAACCAUUCCUCUUUUCUUCACUUGAGAACAUUUUAAAUUUAUUUUUGUGAUUAAAGUUUCACAUACAUGCUUAAAGAGUCAUUGUUGGACUAUUUUUCUUGUUUCCAGUCUUUGGUGUUUGGUCUUGGGAUUCCUACUGAAAACAUCAUAGAAAACCAAUUGCUAUUUGGAUCAUCUGGCUUUUAAUACACAGAGCCCACUUCUCGAAGGUGCUAACCAGGCCAACAAAAAGGGCUCACCUGCUAAUAAGGUUUGAAAAUCCUCAUAGUGGUCAACUGAGGUGUAUUCAGGCCUAGAACUUACAGAGCUGUGAUAAAAAGUGUGGUCAACAUAGGUGUAUUUAACCAAACUAAUGUGACCUUCUUUUAGAUUUCACUCGAGAUUAAAUUUUCACAGAGAUUUAAUUGAGAUUUAUUAAACUGCUUUUAUAUUAUAUGUUGGUUUGUUCCUUUAUACUCCAAAAGAAAAAAAUGUCUAACAAAACUCUGGCAAUGAUUUGAAGUAUCAGUUUGCCUGCCUUUUAUUGCACUCAUUGGAUAAUUGUCUACUUUCAAAUUGUUAUGACCUUUGAUCCAUAUAACUAAGUGAGUGUUCUAUCUUUUCAAUUUCUCUCUAUCUGUGUCUGUGUUUUGAUCCAUUUUCAGGAUAGAAAUGUUCCUCGGCACCAUGAAAAACAUCAACAGAGGAACAACCUUUUAUUUUAUUUUAUGUUGCCUCUACUAUAUUGUUGUUGCCACAAGGAUUUACCUGGACACUGAGCCACCAUGAUGUGUUUAAAAAUGAUUACAUUAUCCUUUUCUAACCUGAUGGUGUUAGAAACAUCUUGGCAUUCAAGCAAGAUUAGUUCAUUGUUUAUUAAUUACAAUUAUGUAAAAAAAUCACUAGCCAUUGCUUGACAGAAAAUAUUUUGAUAUGCCAGCAUGUGCACGGGCUAUUCACUAGUACCGGUAAAUGUUAUUUACAUGUUUUGGAUCAUGGAUGAUUGUUUUGAAUGAAAAAAAUAUCAGAUAAAAGAAAGCAUGUGAUAAUGCUGAUAGAUUGAAUUUUUGGUGUCCAUACGUCGUAACCGUACUUUAUUAGAUAUGGUGCGAUCUAUGAUGUCUCUUACUGAUUUACCGCUAUCGUUUUGGGGUUAUGCUUUAGAGACGGCUGCAUUCACUUUAAAUAGGACACCAUCAAAAUCCUUUGAGACGACGCCUUAUGAAAUGUGGUUUGGCAAGAAACCGAAGUUGUUGUUUCUUAAAGUUUGGGGCUGCGAUGCUUAUGUGAAAAAGCUUCAACCUGAUAAGCUCGAACCCAAAUCGGAGAAGUGCAUCUUCAUAGGAUACCCAAAGGAGACUGUUGGGUACACCUUCUAUCACAGAUUCGAAGGCGAAAUAUUUGUUGCUAAUAAUGGAUCCUUUCUAGAGAAGGAGUUUAUCUCGAAAGAAGUGAGUGGGAGGAAAGUAGAACUUGAUGAGGUAAUUGUACCUUCUCCUGAAUUGGAAAGUAGUUGAUCACAGAAAUCAGUUCCAGUGAUUCCUACACCAAUUAGUGAGGAAGCUAAUGAUGAUGAUCAUGGAACUUCGGAUCAAGUUACUACCGAACCUCGUAGAUCUUCCAGAGUGAGAUCCGCACCAGAGUGGUACGGUAAUCCUGUUCUGGAAGUCAUAUUACUAAACCAUGGUGAACCUAUGAACUAUGAGGAAGCGAUGAUGAGCCCAGAUUCCGUGAAAUGGCUUGAGGCCAUGAAAUCUGAGAUGGGAUCCAUGUAUGAGAACAAAGUGUGGACUUUGGUGGACUUGCCCGAUGAUCGACAAGCCAUAGAAAAUAAAUGGAUCUUCAAGAAGAAGACUGACGCUGACGGUAAUGUUACUAUUUACAAAGCUCGACUUGUUGCAAAAGGUUUACGACAAGUUCAAGGAGUUGACUAUGAUGAGACUUUCUCACCCGUAGUGAUGCUUAAGUCUGUCAGAAUUAUGUUAGCGAUUGUCGCAUUUUAUGAUUAUGAAAUUUGGCAAAUGGAUGUCAAAACUGCAUUCCUGAAUGGAUUUCUGGAAGAAGAGUUGUAUAUGAUGCAACCAGAAGGUUUUGUCGAUCCAAAGGGUGCUAACAAAGUGUGCAAGCUCCAGUGAUCCAUUUAUGGACUGGUGCAAGCCUCUCAGAGUUGGAGUAAACGCUUUGAUAGUGUGAUCAAAGCAUAUGGUUUUAUACAGACUUUUGGAGAAGCUUGUAUUUACAAGAAAGUGAGUGGGAGCUUUGUAGCAUUUCUAAUAUUAUAUGUGGAUGACAUAUUGUUGAUUGGAAAUGAUAUAUAAUUUCUGGAUAGCAUAAAGGGAUACCUGAAUAAGAGUUUUUUGAUGAAAGACCUCGGAGAAGCUGCUUACAUAUUGGGUAUCAAAAUGGAGAUAGAUCAAGACGCUUAAUUGGACUUUCACAAAGCACAUACCUUGAUAAAGUUUUGAAGAAGUUCAAAAUGGAUCAGUCAAAGAAAGGGUUCUUUCCUGUGUUGCAAGGUGUGAAGUUGAGUCAGACUCAAUGCCCGACCACUGCAAAAGAUAGAGAAAAAAAUGAAAGUCACCCCCUAUGCUUCAGCCAUACAUUCUAUCAUGUACGCAAUGUUGUGUACCAGACCUGAUGUGUGCCUUGCUAUAAGCAUAGCAGGGAGGUACAAAGUAAUCCCGGAGUGGAGCACUGGACAACGGUCAAGAACAUCCCGAAAUACCUGAAAAGGACUAAGGAUAUGAUUCUCGUUUAUGGAGGUGACAAAGAGCUCGUCAUAAACGGUUACGGCAAUGCAAGCUUUGACACUGAUCCGGAUGACUCAAAGUCGCAAACCGAAUACGUAUUAUCAUUGAAUGGAGGAGUUGUCAGUUGGUGCAGUUCCAAGCAGAGCGUCUUGGUAGGAUCUACGUGUGAAGUGGAGUACAUUGCUACUUCGGAAGCAGCUAAUGAAGGAGUUUGGAUGAAGGAGUUCAUAUCUGAUCUAGGUGUCAUACCUAGUGCAUCGGGUCCAAUGAAAAUCUUUUGUGACAAUACUGGUGCAAUUGCCUUGGCAAAGGAAUCCAGAUUUCACAAGAGAACCAAGCACAUCAAGAGACGCUUCAAUUCCAUCCAUCAUCAAGUGUCGGAACGGACAUAGGGAUUUGCAAGAUACAUACGGAUCUGAAUGUUGCAGACCCGUUGACUAAGCCUCUUCCACGAGCAAAACAUGAUCAGCACCAAAGCUCCAUGGGUGUUAGAAUCAUUACUAUUUAAUCUAGAUUAUUGACUCUAGUGCAAGUGGGAGACUGAAGGAAAUAUGCCCUAGAGGCAAUAAUAAAGUUAUUAUUUAUUUCCUUAUUUCAUGAUAAAUGUUUUUUAUUCAUGCUAGAAUUGUAUUAGCCGGAAACUAAGUACAUUACAUGUGUGAAUACAUAGACAAAACAUAGUGUCCCUAGUAUGCCUCUACUUGACUAGGUCGUUAAUCAAAGAUGGUUUUGUUUCCUAACCAUAGACAUGUGUUGUCAUUUGAUGAACGGGAGCACAUCAUUAGGAGAAUGAUGCGAUGGACAUGACCCAUCCGUUAGCUUAGCAUUAUGAUCGUUACAAUUUCAUUGCUACUGCUUUCUUCAUGACUUAUACAUGUUCCUCGGACUAUGAGAUUAUGCAACUCCCAAAUACCGGAGGAACACUUUGUGUGCUACCAAAUGUCACAACAUAAAAGGGUGAUUAUAAAGGUGCUCUACAGGUGUAUCCAAAGGUGUUUGUUGGGUUGGCAUAGUUCGGGAUUAGGAUUUGUCACUUCGUGUUUCGGAGAGGUAUCUCUGGGCCCUCUCGGUAAUACUCAUCACUAUAAGCCUUGCAAGCAUUGUGACUAAUGAGUUAGUUGUGGGAUGAAGUAUUACGAAACAAGUAAAGAGACUUGCCGGUAACGAGAUUGAACUAGGUAUGAUGAUACCGACGACCGAAUCUCGGGCAAGUAACAUACCGAUGACAAAGGGAACAACGUAUGUUGUUAUGCAAUUUGAUCGAUAAAGAUCUUUGUAGAAUAUGUAGGAGCCAAUAUGAGCAUCCGGGUUCCGCUAUUUGUUAUUGACUGGAGAUGUGUCUCGAUCAUGUCUACAUAGUUUUGGAACCUGUAGGGUCCGCACGCUUAACGUUCGAUGACAAUAUGUAUUAUGAGUUAUGUGUUUUUAUGACCGAAGUUUGUUAGGAGUCCCAGAUGAGUGUCUCGAAAUGUUUGAUACAUAAAGAUUGAUAUAUUGGACAUCUAUAUUCGGACACCAUAAGUGUUCCGGAAAAGUUUCGGAUAAAAUCGGAGCGCCGGAGGGUUACCGGUACCCCCGGGGGAACUAAUGCGCCACAUGGGCCUUAGUGGAGAGAGGGGGGGGGCGCCCCCCCUUUCCUUCUCCCUCUCCAUCUCCUUCCUUCCCCCUCUCCCCCUCUUGGUGGAAUCCUACUAGGAUUAGUAGUCCUAGUAGGAAUCCCCUUGUGGGGCGCGCCCUAGGAGGGCCGGUCGGCCUCCCUCUUGCUCCUUUAUAUACGGGGGCAGGUGGUCACCCUAGAACACACAAGUUUCUCUCCCAACCGUGUGCAGUGCCCCCCUCCACAGUUACACACCUCGAUCAUACCAUCGUAGUGCUUAGGCGAAGCCCUGCGCAGGUAGCAUCAUCAUCACCGUUGCCAUGCCGUCGUGCUGACGUAACUCACCCUCGUCCUCAACUGGAUCAAGAGCACGAGGGACGUCAUCGAGCCGAACAUGUGCUGAACAUGGAGGUGCCGUACGUUCGGUACUUGAUCGGUUGGAUCACGAAGACGUUCGACUACCUCAACCACGUUAUUGAAACGCUCCCGCUUUCGAUCUACGAGGGUAUGUGGACACACUCUCCCCUCUCGUUGCUAUGCGUCACUGAUGUCUACUACACAACCUUCUUCUUGUAGAUGUUGUUGGGCCUCCAAGUGCAGAGGUUUGUAGGACAGUAGCAAAUUUCCCUCAAGUGGAUGACCUAAGGUUUAUCAAUCCGUGGGAGGCGUAGGAUGAAGAUGGUCUCUCUCAAACAACCCUGCAACCAAAUAACAAAGAGUCUCUUGUGUCCCCAACACACCCAAUACAAUGGUAAAUUGUAUAGGUGUACUAGUUCGGCGAAGAGAUGGUGAUACAAGUGCAAUAUGGAUAGUAGAUACAGGUUUUUGUAAUCUGAAAAAUAAAAACAGCAAGGUAACUAAUGAUAAAAGUGAGCGUAAACGGUAUUGUAAUGGUAGGAAACAAGGCCCAAGGUUCAUACUUUCACUAGUGCAAGUUCUCUUGACAAUAAUAACAUAAUUGGAUCAUAUAACUAUCCCUCAACAUGCAACAAAGAGUCACUCCAAAGCCACUAAUAGAGGAGAACAAACGAAGAGAUUAUGGUAGGGUACGAAACCACCUCAAAGUUAUCCUUUCUGCUCGAUCUAUUCAAGAGUCUGUAGUAAAAUAACACGAAGCUAUUCUUUCCGUUCAAUCUAUCAUAAAGUUCGUACUAGAAUAACACCUUAAGACACAAAUCAACCAAAACCCUAAUGUCACCUAGAUACUCCAUUGUCACCUCAAGUAUCCGUGGGCAUGAUUAUACGAUAUGCAUCACACAAUCUCAGAUUCAUCUAUUCAACCAACACAAAGUACUUCAAAGAGUGCCCCAAAGUUUCUACCGAAGAGUCAAGACGAUAACAUGUGCCAACCUCUAUGCAUAGGUUCAUGGGCGGAACCCGCAAGUUGAUCACCAAAAGAUACAUCAAGUGGAUCACGUGAUAUCCCAUUGUCACCACAGAUAAGCACGGCAAGACAUACAUCAAGUGUUCUCAAAUCCUUAAAGACUCAAUCCGACAAGACAACUUCAAAGUGAAAACUCAAUCCAUUACAAGAGAGUAGAGGGGGAGAAACAUCAUAAGAUCCAACUAUAAUAGCAAAGCUCGCGAUACAUCAAGAUCGUGCCAUAGAGAGAACACGAGAGAGAGAGAGAGAUCAACCCCGAGGGUGAACUACUCCCUCCUCGUCAUGGAGAGCGCCAGGAUGAUGAAGAUGGCCACCAGUGAGGGAUCCCCCCUCCGGCAGGGUGCCGGAACGGGCUCCCGAGAGGUUUUUGGUGGCUACAGAGGCUUGCGGCGGCGGAACUCCCGAUCUAUUGUUCGCUUCGAUAUUUUUAGGGUAUAUGGGAAUAUAUAGGCGAAAGAAGUCGGUCGGGGGAGCAUCGAGGGGCCCAUGAGACAGGGGGCGCGCCCAGUAGGGGGGGGAGGGUGCCCCCACCCUCGUGGCCACCUCGAAGCUUCCUUGACUUCAACUCCAAGUCUCCUGGAUCACGUUUGUUCCAAAAAUCACGCUCCCGAAGGUUUCAUUCCGUUUGGACUCCGUUUGAUAUUCCUUUUGUUCGAAACACUGAAAUAGGCAAGAAAACAUCAAUAUGGGUUGGGCCUCCGGUUAAUAGGUUAGUCCCAAAAAUAAUAUAAAAGUGUAUAAUAAAUCCCAUAAACAUUCAAAACAAAUAAUAAAAUAGCACGAAUGCUUCAUAAAUUAUAGAUACGUUGGAGACGUAUCAGCAUCCCCAAGCUUAAUUCCUGCUCGUCCUCGGGUAGGUAAAUGAUAAAAGAAAGAAUUUAUGAAGUGUGAAUGCUAGCAGGUGCACAAGUUUGAUCAACGAUAAUUUCAAUCACCUUUUCUAGCAUGAUUAUAUGUCAUAACAGUAGUUCAUCUCAUAAAACUUCUCACGAUCAAGUAACAAGCUAUUCACAUGUUAAAGCAUAGGCCAUAAACUUUCUUGAAAACUAGCAAAUUUCAUUCUUAGUCAUCAAACAAUUACAAUUCAUCUUAUUUUCGGGAAGGGUCCAUGUCAGAGCUUUGAUUUAGCAAACUCCACAUACUCAACUAUCAUAUAGUCUUCUACAAUUGCUAACACUCACGCAAUACUUAUGGUUAUGGAGUUUUAAUCGGACACUGAGAAAGAUAGGGGCUUAUAGUGUUUCCUCCCAACGUAUUCACCUUUGGGUGAUGUCAACAAUAAUAGUUCAUGCUAACUUACAUCCAAUUGGAUAUAUAUAUAUAUAUAUAUCCUGAUAUAUAUAUAUAUAUAUAUAUAUAUAUAUAUAUAUAUAUAUAUAUAUAUAUAUAUAUAUAUAUAUAUAUAUAUAUAUAUAUAUCAGGAUCUUUCCAACACGAGGUGCUUGCCAAAGGAUAAAAUGAAAAAAGGAAAGCUGAAGAUCAGCUUGACUCUUGCAUAAAAGUAAAAGAUAGGCUCUUCGCAGAGGGAAGCAGGGAUUUUGUAGAGGUGCCAGAGCUCGAUUUUGAAAUAGAGAUAAAUAGUUUUGAGAGGUAUGAUCUCAUUAUCAACAUAACAACCAAGAGUUCCUAAUAUCUUCCAUACUACAUACAUUAUAGGUGAUUCCCAAACAGAAUGGUAAAGUUUUUACUCCCCCUCCACCAAUGAUCACACUCCACGGCCAUCCGAAACAACGGGGUACCGUCCAUACCAACAACAGUCCUGGGGGAGUUUUGUUUUAAUUAUUUUUAAUUUGAUUUUGAUCUUUUGAUCAUGGGACUGGGCAUCCUGGUUACCAGCCAUUUUUCUCGUGAAUGAUGAGCGGAGUCCACUCAUCUUGAGAAUAACCCACCUAGCAUGGAAGAUACUGAUAGCCCCUAGUCGCUACAUGAGCGAUUCGAGCAUACAAAACAGAUUAUUACUUGAAGGUUUAGAGUUUGGCACAUGCAAAUUUACUUGGAACGGCAGGUAAAUACCGCAUAUAGGUAGGUAUGGUGGACACUCAUGGCAAAAACUGGGUUUAAGGAUAUUUGGAAGCACAAGUAGUAUCUCUACUUGGUGCAAGGAAUUUUGGCUAGCAUGAGGGGGAAAGGCAAGCUCAACAUGUUUGAAUGAUCCAUGACAAUAUACUUUAACUGAGAUGUGAGAAAACAUAACCCAUUACGUUGUCUUCCUUGUCCAACAUCAACUCUUUAGCAUGUCAUACUUUAAUGAGCGCUCACAAUUAUAAAAGAUGUCCAAGAUAGUAUAUUUAUAUGUGAAAUCUCUCUUCCUUCAAUAUUAUUUCAUGAACUAUUCAAGUGACCAAUACAAUGCUUGCUAACCUUCAAUAAAUUUACAACCUCUACUUCUUAGAUGUGAAGUCAUUACUCCCCAUGGGAUAAGCAAAUGAAAAAUAUAUAAUUUUAGAUUUAUGACAUUCAACUCAUUCAACCAUUUACUCAUAGGAUAUAAGUGAAGCACAUGAGUAAAUGACAAACUACUCCAAAAAGAUAUAAGUGAAGAUCAAUGAGUAGCUAAAUAAUUGUGUAACUAUGUGAAGACUCGCUCUCAGCCCGGCCCCCACGUUGCUCCUUCCCCAGGGCGACACGGGCGGCCGCCAACUCCCCCCGGCCAAAGCUCCCCUCCCUCCUCCUCCCUCCUCCUCCCUCUCACCGUCGCCGCAGCCUUCGGCGGGCAAAGCCCGCACGGAGCCGCCGCCGGCGGGAUCUUCUCCUGCCCGGUGGCUUGGCUUGCUCGCGAGGUGGAGAACUCGUGGCGGAUGAUGGUGGUCGGUGGUGCCUGGCCUGGCGCGGCCCGCGUCGUCGCAUCUGGUGGUGCGGCUGGCGGCGGGGAUUGCGGCGGCGGUGGCUGGCUGGCGUGGGUGGCGGCUGCGAGUUGGAUUGGAGUGCUGGAUCGGGAGGCGCUCGAUCUGGCGGCCUCGUUGGGGUAGAGCUCCGGUGUCCGUGUCGGGGCUGCUAUGUGUUGCUGCCAGCGGGGUGAUGCGGCCGUCUUUGUCGCCGGGGCUGCAGGGCAAUGGCCGUUCCUUUCUCUCCCGUCAGAUCCAACAGGGCUUCGAGCCCCACGGCGGCGGCUGCUCGUCCGGCUGUGCGAGGGCUGGGCGGCGCGGUGAGUAGGCAUGGCUACGGCGGCGGCCUCGUGACGUCCAGCGGUGGGUCGAGGCUACGCGGUUGUGGGGGCUCCAUCUCGCUCGUGCGGCUCCGGCUUCCGGCGAUUCAGACCUGUUGUGGCUCGGCUGUAGCCUCUUGGCGGCGGCUUUGGCUGUCCUCCGGCCCACCGAGGCAAGGCUUGGGGCGAGGUCGCAGGCUGGUCAGGCCCUCCCUUGCCUCCAGCUCUGCGAUGUGGGCUCCAUGCCGUCGGGCCUGGCCGGACUCCUUCCGGCGGUGAAGACAAUGACAUGGUGGCUCUUGGGCUCCGAGGCGGCGACCCUGGGUGUGGUGAUGGCGGCUUCGGCCAGGGGGUGGUGCGUGUCUGGUCGUGGUGGAUCAUGGGAUCCCGUGGCCAGAGUGAGGCCGACCUCGGCAGGGGUGGUGGAUAGUGGGCGGCGAUCGGUGGUGGCAGGUGGUUGGACAUCUCCGGGAGAAAUCCUUGCUCCGGUCUUCACCGAAGCUGGCGACGGUGGUGCCUGUGGGUGCCGCGAUCUUUCUUGGAAGCGUCGUUUUGGAGGUGCUCCUCCUCUUCCCAACAGCUUGGGCUCCGGAGGGAAACCUCAGAUCCGCUGGAUCGGGCGAUGGAGGCGUCUUCGCGUCUUUUUCCUCUUUGGGGGCAUCGUCUCGGAGCCGAGCACGACUGAGAGAUUGGAGGAUGAUGGCAUCUUCGCCGUCGAUGGCGGCAUCUUCGCCGCGUGGUUUGCUGAGGCGGGGCGCUGGUUUCUGUUUGGCAAUAAUGAUGGCGUUGAGAGGAGCUUGGGUCGCGGCGUGGUCUUCGGUAGUCGGUUCUUCCCGACGCAAGUCCUGCAUAUUUCUCUUGUGUUGCUCGUCGUCAAAGUUGGAGCUGUCGGUUGCUUGCGCGUGGGGCCAUCUGUUGGCAUGUGCCGUCAUGGUUUCUAUUCCAUGUCGGUGGCCAGGUUGGUCGGUGGUGCCCAUGUCUUUGUGGGUUGUGUUGUAUCGGUUUUAGCCCAGUUUUCCGUCAAUUAACCGGGCAAUUCUCUUCUUCUUAAUCAAUGAAAAUGGCAAGUCUUUUGCCUCAUUUAAAAAAACUCUCUCUCAUUUAAGAAUUUCAGAUCUUGGUAUUUUAUUCAAACAGCAAGCAAAGCAAAAUAAAAUGACAUUGCAAGGAUAGCACAACUCAUGUGAAGAAGCAAAAACUUAGGCUCAACCGAUACUAACCGAUAGUUGUUGAAGAAGAAAGGUGGGAUGCCUAACGGGGCAUCCCCAAGCUUAGAUGCUUGAGACUUCUUGAAAUAUUAUCUUGGGAUGCCUUGGGCAUCCCCAAGCUUGAACUUUUGUGUCUCCUUAAUUCCUCUCAUAUCAUGGUUUCUCUUUUUAUCAAAAGCUUCAUCCACACCAAACUCAACAAGAACUCGUGAGAUAGGUUAGUAUAAACCAAUGCAAAACCUUAUCAUUUUCUACUGUAACAAAUCACUAAAAUUAUUAUUCAACAUUUCAUACCAAAUUCCUCUGCAUAUUUAAUACUCCUAUCCUCAAAUAGAAUCAUUAAACAAGCAAACAUAUGCAAACAAUGCAACCAUAACAGCAAUCUGCCAAAACAGUAUAGUCUGUAAAGAAUGCAAGAGUGUCAAUACUUCCCUAACUCAAAAAAUUAUAAUAAAAAUACCACACUGUAUAAGAUUUAUCAGAGCUCAAUAUGCAAAAAGUUUCAACAUUAUACCAUUCUCUGACUUUUCUAGGGAAUUUUUGCAACAACGGUAAACUUUCUGUUUUGAAACAGCAACAUGUAUACUAGCAAAAUAAGCAUGGUAAAGGCUAUCCUUGACAUUUCUAUUGAAACUAAAGAUGCAAAACAGUAAUCUAAAUAACAGCAAGCAAAUACUAACAAAAUAAAAUGACGCUCCAAGCAAAACACAUAUCAUGUGGUGAAUAAAAAUAUAGCUCCAAGUAAAGUUACCGAUGAACGAAGACGAAAGAAGGGAUACCUUCUGGGGCAUCCCCAAGCUUAGGCUCUUGGUUGUCCUUGAAUAUUACCUUGGGGUGCCUUGGGCAUCCCCAAGCUUAGGCUCUUGCCACUCCUUAUUCCAUAGUCCAUCGAAUCUUUACCCAAAACUUGAAAACUUCACAACACAAAACUCAACAGAAAACUCGUAAGCUUCGUUAGUAUAAAAAAAUAAAUUACCACUUAGGUACUGUUGUGAAGUCAUUCUAAAUUCAUAUUGGUCUAAUAUCUACUGUAUUACAACUUCUCUACAGUUCGUACCCUCCGAUACUACUCAUAGAUUCAUCAAAAUAAGCAAACAAUACAUAGAAAACAGAAUCUGUCAAAAACAGAACAGCCUGUAGUAAUCUGUAUGAAACGUAUACUUCUGGAACUCCAAAAAUCCUACCAAAUUAGGAAGACCUAAGAAAUUUGUGUACUAAUCCAGAGCAAAACGAAUCAGAUCAAAAUCACGUUUCUGUGAAUUAUCAAAACUAAUUUAUUGGGUGCAAAAGUUUCUUAUUUUCAGCAGGAUCAACACAACUAUCACCGUAAGCUAUCCUAAAGGUCUUACUUGGCACUUUAUUGAAACAAAAGCUAUAAAACAUGAUUACUACAGUAGCAUAAUCAUGUGGACACACAAAAACAGUAAGGAUAGGUUUUGGGUUGUCUCCCAACAAGCGCUUUUCUUUAAUGCCUUUUAGCUAGGCAUGAUGAUGACAAUGAUGCUCACCUAAAAGAUAAGAAUUGAAACAUAACAGGAGCAUCAUGAAGCAUAUGACUAGCACAUUUAAGUCUAACCUUAUUCCUAUGCAUAGGGAUUUUGUGAGCAAACAACUUAUGAGAACAAUAAUCAACUAGCAUAGGAAGGUAAAACAAGCAUAACUUCAAGAUUUUAAGCACAUAGAGAGGAAACUUGAUAUUAUUGCAAUUCCUACAAGCAUAUGUUCCUCCCUCAUAAUAAUUUUCAGUAGCAUCAUGAAUUAAUUCAACAAUAUAACCAGCACCUAAAGCAUUCUUUUCAUGAUCUACAAGCAUAGAAAAUUUACUACUCUCGACAUAAGCAAAAUCCUUGUCAUUCGGAAAAGUGGGAGUAUCAUAAGAGACUUGAAUACUAUAAAUUGUUUCCACAUUAAAAGAGUAAUGUUCAGAAAAAGGGGAAUCAUAAUCAUGACAAGUUUUAUAAAUAUAAUCAUCACUACUUUUUAUAGCAUAAGUUUCAUCACAAUAAUCAUCAUAAGUAGCAACUUCGUUCUCAUCAUAAUCGAUUGAAACCUCUUCCAAGAUAGUGGAAUCAUCACUAAAUAAAGUUGACACUCUUCCAAAUCCACUUUCAUAUUCAUCACAAUAAGAUUUAACAUCCUCCAAAAUAAUGGGAUCACUACUUCCUGAAGUUGACACUCUUCCAAACCCACUUUCAUCAAUAUAAUCAUCAUAGGUAAGAGGCAUGCUAUCAUCAUGACAACUUUGCAUAUCAAAACUUGGGAUGCUAAAAAUAUCAUCUUCAUCAAACAUAGCAUCCCCAAGCUUAUGGCUUUGCAUAUCAUUAGCAUCAUGGGUAUUCAAAGAAUUCAUACUAACAACAUUGCAAUCAUGCUCAUCAUACAAAGAUCUAGUACCAAACAUUUUAAUGCAUUCUUCUUCUAGCAAUUGAGCACAAUUUUCCUUUCCAUCAUUCUCACGAAAGAUAUCAAAAAGAUGAAGCGUAUGAGACAAACUCAAUUCCAUUUUUUUGUAGUUUUCUUUUAUAAACUAAACUAGCGAUAAAACAAGAAACUAAAAGAUUCGAUUGCAAGAUCUAAAGAUAUACCUUCAAGCACUCACCUCCCCGGCAACGGCGCCAGAAAAGAGCUUGAUGUCUACUACACAACCUUCUUCUUGUAGACGUUGUUGGGCCUCCAAGUGCAGAGGUUUGUAGGACAGUAGCAAAUUUCCCUCAAGUGGAUGACCUAAGGUUUAUCAAUCCGUGGGAGGCGUAGGAUGAAGAUGGUCUCUCUCAAACAACCCUGCAACCAAAUAACAAAGAGUCUCUUGUAUCCCCAACACACCCAAUACAAUGGUAAAUUGUAUAGGUGCACUAGUUCGGCGAAGAGAUGGUGAUAAAGUGCAAUAUGGAUAGUAGAUAUAGGUUUUUGUAAUCUGAAAAUAUAAAAACAGCAAGGUAACUAAUGAUAAAAGUGAGCGUAAACAGUAUUGCAAUGGUAGAAACAAGUCCCAAGGUUCAUACUUUCACUAGUGCAAGUUCUCUCGACAAUAAUAACAUAAUUGGAUCAUAUAACUAUCCCUCAACAUGCAACAAAGAGUCACUCCAAAGCCACUAAUAGCGGAGAACAAACAAAGAGAUUAUGGUAGGGUACGAAACCACCUCAAAGUUAUCCUUUCUGCUCGAUCUAUUCAAGAGUCCGUAGUAAAAUAACACGAAGCUAUUCUUUCCGUUCAAUCUAUCAUAGAGUUCGUACUAGAAUAACACCUUAAGACACAAAUCAACCAAAACCCUAAUGUCACCUAGAUACUCCAUUGUCACCUCAAGUAUCCGUGGGCAUGAUUAUACGAUAUGCAUCACACAAUCUCAGAUUCAUCUAUUCAACCAACACAAAGUACUUCAAAGAGUGCCCCAAAGUUUCUACCGGAGAGUCAAGACGAAAACGUGUGCCAACCCCUAUGCAUAGGUUCAUGGGCGGAACCCGCAAGUUGAUCACCAAAACAUACAUCAAGUGGAUCACGUGAUAUCCCAUUGUCACCACAGAUAAGCACGACAAGACAUACAUCAAGUGUUCUCAAAUCCUUAAAGACUCAAUCCGACAAGACAACUUCAAAGGGAAAACCUAAUCCAUUACAAGAGAGUAGAGGGGGAGAAACAUCAUAAGAUGCAACUAUAAUAGCAAAGCUCGCGAUACAUCAAGAUCGUGCCAUAGAGAGAACACGAGAAAGAGAGAGAUCAAACACAUAGCUACUGGUACAUACCGUCAGCCCCGAGGGUGAACUACUCCCUCUUCGUCAUGGAGAGCGCCGGGAUGAUGAAGAUGGCCACCGGUGAGGGAUCCCCCCUCCGGAAGGGUGCCGAAACGGGCUCUCGAGAGGUUUUUGGUCGCUACAGAGGCUUGCGGUAGCGGAACUCCCGAUCUAUUGUUCGCUUCAAUGUUUUUAGGGUAUAUGGGAAUAUAUAGGCGAAAGAAGUCCGUCGGGGGAGCCUCGAGGGGCCCACGAGACAGGGGGCGCGCCCAGUAGGGAGGGGCAACCUCGUGGCCACCUUGAAGCUUCCUUGACUUCAACUCCAAGUCUCCUGGAUCACGUUCGUUCCAAAAAUCACGCUCCUGAAGGUUUCAUUCCGUUUGGACUCCGUUUGAUAUUUCCUUUUGUUCGAAACACUGAAAUAGGCAAGAAAACAACAAUAUGGGCUGGGCCUCCGGUUAAUAGGUUAGUCCCAAAAAUAAUAUAAAAGUGUAAAUAAAUCCCAUAAACAUUCAAAACAUAUAAUAAAAUAGCAUGAAUGCUUCAUAAAUUAUAGAUACGUUGGAGACAUAUCAAUCACCUAGAUAGAUCUUGCGUGAUCGUAGGAAUUUUUUUGAAAUUACCGCGUUCCCCAACAUGUACACUGUCUUGUAGUUUCAUGACGAUGUUGAACUCAAUGGUGUUUUGCUCCUAUUACAUGUGAAUUUUUCUUCUUCCUUUUAUUUUAUUGUAUCAUGUUUGAAUACCUGUGCUAAACUUGAUUUCCUACUAAAUUGAGCAUGCACUACCUAGCCAUUGCGUUGUGACCAGCACCCUUGCGCCAAGGCGCGUUUCUGAUCUAGUACAUAACAGAGCAGCUCCAGGCCUUUUUAUGCAUUAAAGCCACGACGAGCUCGGUGUACUUUCGCUAUGAUGUUGCCUUCAUUGCAUCUGAAUUCCAACUGCCAUCUUGUUUCCCGAUUGAUGAACUCCACUCUCCAAACCAACUCGCAUCGUUUUCUUUUAAGAACAUCUCCAAUGGACCCCGAAGACAGGGACGGGCACUGAACGGUUUUUACUAGGCAUGAUCCCCACAAUGGUGCAACCUCAACCCCUCUUAAUAGCGUGGCUUUCCUAAGAUUUAAGUAAACCAGAAAAUACUUUGAGUCCUUCGACAAACUGGCACAUUUUGGGGGGAGAAAAAUUCACUCCAGGCCCUCAUACUCGUCGCGUUGGCCACAUUAGUCCCUGUAGUUACAAAUACCCGAAAAUACGUCACUGAACUUGUCUAAUGUGGUCAUCUAUGGUCGAAUAUAUGUUUUCUUCUACGUACGUGAUGAUUUGGCGGUUGAUUGGCAUGUCCACGGGGGCUUUGACUGCCAGCUCAUCUCCACGCGUUAUGGGCUGACCGAUUUGGUGGAAUGCGGGGUUUUCUUUUUGCAAAAUCGCCAGAGAAUAAACAGCAGCCCACCUGGUCGAACCUAUCCAUCCACCUGGUCAGACCAGACUGAGUUGCUCCCCUCCCCUGCUCUGCUCCGCUCCGCUCCCUUGUUUGUCGCCGAUGCCGAGGUGCAACCUCGAGCUUGCCGGCGUGGCCAACUGUGGUGAUGGCCGCCAUGAGCUCGCCGUCGGCCGCCGAGCCGCUGCCGUCUGCUCCGUUUGUCAAGGGCCCGCGUGACGUCCCUCUUGCCCCCUCCCGUCGUGAGGACCAUGCCUCGCCGCCACUGUAUGGUAUGUCACCGUCGUCACCACCUUCUCUUGCCGAUCUGUCCAGUUUAGCUCUGGGAAAGAGUGUGCGUCCGACUCAAUUGUGCUUAUGGGGUAGGGUUUAGGGUUCUUGGCCCUCCUUUUUGUCACGAAUGGGGUGCGCAUGUAGGGUUUUAGCCGUGGAUUGUGAAGUUAGUGGCAGAUCAAAAUUAGGGUUUCAUGAGGCCUUUCGAUAGGUUCUUCGUAUAUGAACUAUGGUUGUACAGAGGUAAAUAUGGUUUUGAUUGCUCGAUUUGUUAGGCUAAGGGUCUGCCCUGUUAUUUUGGCCGAAAAUGUUAGCUUCAAUUAGGUUACAUCCGUCAACCAUAUGUUGUUUUGUUAAUGAGAUGACCAUUUGUUUGCCAAAUCCCCUAAAAGAACACACUUUUGGACGUGAAAGAUCACACAUUUGAUUACUGGAUAUGCCAUGAAUUCCAUGCUUUUAUUCUGGAAAUGUCUGAACUUUCAAUGUCCGAACCUAUCUAAAUUAUCUAUUUCUGAGCCUGUCAGAACAUUGCCAUUUUGGUUAGAUUGGUGCAGUUACACUUAGCUAUUUGUAGCAAAGAUGCUAUUAAAUAGCAUGGUUCUGAGCCUAUCUGAACAUUUACAUUUUCGUCAUGUCUUCAAUUGGCUGAACUUAGUGCUGUCUCUGUCUGUUAUUGUUGUCUGAACAUUUUUGUCUGAACAUUGACAGUUUGGUUAGACUUGUCUUGUUACAUUGUGUCAAUUUCCUAGCUCAAAUGCUCUCAAAUAGCAUGGUUGUGUCAUUGUGCAGUUACAUUGUCUCUUCCCCUCUGUUAUUACCGUUUGUCUGAACAUUUUGUCAUUUCCAUUGUUUUGCAGGACCCCUAAGAAACCCCUUCUCUCUUGAGGUCAUACAUGGUGGCUAUUUCCUAUGUGUAGGCAAGCAUAGGGAUUACCACAAGGGCCACUCUAGUUGGUAUGACAACUAUGACAUAGAUAAUUGGACACCUACAGUUGUUGCCAGUCUGGUGGAAGAAAUUGGGUAUGAGUUUGAGGGCUGAAAUUGCCACUCUAAUUGGGUUAAUCUAGCAGAAGAUGAUGCCCAAGUACCACAACAGGAGGUCAAUCUAACACCAGAUGAUGAUGCUCAAGAUGGCCAACUCACACAGGAGGAGGUCCAUGUUGCUCAAGAUGUUGCUCAAGAAGAUGAUGAAUAUGAUACACCAGUUAUAUUUCAUGCAAAUGCUGAUCUUUUGUUCACUUCUUAUAUUUGAAUGCUUCACAAGAUGUACAAUGUUUAUCAGUUAUGUACACUUCUUUUCUUUGAGCAGGUGCAAGACUUUGGAUGUACAAUGCUUCACAGGAUGCAGCAAGCUAGACCAGUGCCUAGAGAAUACACUGAAACUAUUGUGCCAGAUUCAGCAUUUAUCUCAUUGACAGCUAGUUCUGAAGCUACAUCACAAACAACAACAGCUACAACUGAUGGGAGCCUGACCAUGAAGUUGCUGAAGAUGAAGAAGGACAAAGAAAGGCAGAUGCCAGCCAGAAGAAAUGCAGCACUGGAGGCCAUGAAUGAGUUGGCAGAGAGGAGAGCAGAGGAGGCAGAAGCAAAAAGGCAAGAAAUUGCUCUCAAGAAAGCAGAGGAUAAUGCACCCCAAGCAAGAAACGAAAAAUCUCGUACCAAGCAUUAAGCAUAAGUAACACCGAAUAAUGCACCACAAGUAGGAUAUAAAUUUCAUUGCAUAACUAUUGACUUCCAUGCUUGCAUAGGGAAUCACAAACCUUAACAUCAAUAUUCUUACUAAAGCACAAUUACUCAUCAACAUGACUUACAUAUCAUAUCGUCAUAUCUCAAAACCAUUACUAAGAAUCAAGUUUAUUUUUUCCAAUGAUCUUCAUGAAAGUUUUUAUUAUAUCCUCCUUGGAUAUCUAUCACUUUGGGACUAUUUUCAUAUGUUGUUUUUAAUAAGCUCAAACAAAUAUAAGUGAGCAUAAUUUUUUUCUUUCUCUCAAAAUAAUCUAAGUGAAGCAAGAGAGAAUUUCCUAAAAAAAUUACUAACUCCCAAAUAAAUCUAAGUGAAGCAUGAGAGAAUUUCUUCAAAAAUAACAAAGCACACCGUGCUCAAAAAGGUAUAAGUGAAGCACUAGAGCAAAUCCAUGGCUCUAAAAAUUUAAGUGAAGCAUAGGAGCAAGCAUAGCAUAAUUUUUGGCUCUCUCAAAAAGGUCUGUUCAGCAAGGAUUCAAGACUUAAAACACAAACAAAAACAAGCAAAUACUCAUAUCAUACAAGACGCUCCAAAAAAACUCAUAAUACGUGACUAAUAAAAAUAUAGCUUCAAGUAAAAUACCGAUGGUUGUUAGAAGAAAGUGGGGAUGCCACUCGGGGGCAUCCCAAGCUUAGUUGCUUGCUAGUUCUUGAAUAUUAUCUUGGGGUGCCUCGGGCAUCCCCAAGAUUAGCCUUUUGCUAAUCCUUAUUCCUUCAUCCAUCGCAAGAUCACCCAGAACUUGAAAACUUCAAUCACACAAAACUCAACAAAACCUUCGUGAGACCCGUUAGUAUAAGAAAGCAAACUACUACUAUAAGUACUGUUGCAAACCUAUUCAUAUUUUGUUUUUGCAUUAUAUCUACUGUAUUACAACUUUUCUAUAGCAAAAACUCAUCAAAGAAAACCAUAGAAUCAUCAAAGCAAGCACACAAUGCAAAGAAAACAUAAUCUGUCAAAAACAGAACAGUCUGUAGCAAUCUGAAUAUUUCGAAUAUUUCUGCAACUCAAAAAAUUCUGAAAAAAAUUAUAUUGACGUGAGAAAUUUGUCUAUUAAUCUUCUGCGAAAAGAAUCAACUCAAAAUCACUCUUCCGUUAAAAAUAACAAAUAAUCUCGUGAGCAGAAAAGUUUCUGUUUUUCAGCAAGAUCAAAUCAACUCUCACCCAAGUCAUCCAUAGGCCUUGCUUGGCACAAACACUAAUUUAAACCACAAAAACACAUCUAAUCAGAGGCUAGAUGAACUAUUUAUUGAAAAACAGCAAGGAAAAAUAUUGGGUUGUCUCCCAACAAGCACUUUUCUUUAAAGCCUUUUAGCUAGGCAUUGAUAAUUUUGAUGAUGCUCACAUGAAAGACAAGAAUUGAAGCACAAAGAGAGCAUCAUAUAGCAUGUGCCAAACACAUCUAAGUCUAACAUACUUCCUAUGCAUAUGCAUUUUAUAAGCAAACAAAUUAUCAAGGCAAGCAAAAACUAGCAUAUGCAAGGAAGAAGAAAGAAACAUUAGCAAUCUCAACAUGAAGAGAGGUAAUUUAGUAACAUGAAAAUCUCUACAACCAUAUUUUCCUAUAUCAUAAUAAUUACAUGUAGGAUCAUAAGCCAAUUCAACAAUAUAGCUAUCACAUAACAUAUUCUCGACAUGAUCCACAUCCAUGCGAAGUUGAGACUCUUCCAAAAUAGUGUGAUUAACAUUAACUAAAGUCAUGACCUCUCCAAACCCACUUUUAUCAAAAAAUUCAUAAGAUUGAAUAUUCUCCAAAGUAGUGGGAUCUAAAGUUGACACUCUUCCAAACCCACUUUUUUUGAUAGAAAGACUGUAAGGGAACCCCCCUACAGUAUAAUUGGUGCAACAAACCCAAAUUGCAAUUACCAUGCCUUGAACCUGGGUGGGUGGGAAGGCAUCAGCCCCUUCCCACCACUAGGCUAUGCCUUAUCAAUCUCAUAUUCAUCACGAGGCUUAAAUAAAUUUUCAUGAUCAUAAGAAGAAUAACCCCAAUCAUGAUCAUUGCAAUAAGUAGAGGACAUAUCAAAAUUAGCAUCCCCAAGCUUGGGGUUUUGCAUAUUACUAGCAUAAUUGACAUUAAUAGAAUUUAUUACAACACCAUUGCAAUCAUGCUUUUCAUUCAAGGAGCUAUCAUGAAUCACUUCAUAAAUUUCUUCUUUUAUCACUUCAUCACAAUUUUCAGAUUCAUGAAUCUCAAUCAAAACUUCAUAAAGAUAAUCUAGUGCACUCAACUCACUAGCAAUUGGUUCAACAUAAUUGGAUCUUUUAAAAAGAUUAGCAAGUGGAUGAGGAUCCAUAAAGUUUUCCUUCUGAUUUCCAAUAAAACACACAAUUAUGCCAAACAACCUAGCAAAGUAACCAAGUAAUACAUAAGGGCAAAAAAAAGGCAAAAAGGGAAGAAGGCAAAUAAAAUGGUAAAUUUUUGUGAAGUGGGGGAGAGGAAAACGAGAGGCAAAUGGAUGCAUGAAGCUUCCCCCCCCCCCGGCAACGGCGCCAGAAAUUGGGAGGAGAUGAGAUUUGUGAUUAGGAACCUGCUUGAUGUUGAAGAUCCUCCCCGGCAACGGCGCCAGAAAUUCCAUUUGAUAUCUGCUAGAACUAUGUCGGUAUUUCCCCAAAGAGGAAGGGAUGAUGCAGUAUAGCAACGUUAGGUAUUUCCCUCAGUGAUGAGACCAAGGUUAUCGAACCAGUAGGAGAACCUCCUCACACCACAUAAACAACACCUGCACACAAAUAGCAAAUACUCGCAACCCGACGUGUUAAAGGGGUUGUCAAUCCCUUUCGGGUACGGCGCCUCAAGAUAGGCAAGUAACAUGAGGUAAAAGUGGUAGAUAGGAUAAAUAGAUCGCGGAACAAAUAAAUUGCAGCAAGGUAUUUUUGUAUUUUUUGUUUAAUAGAUCUGAAAAUAAGUGCAAAGGAAAAUAGAUCGCAAAGGCAAAUAUGAUGAAAAGAGACCCAGGGGUUGUUGGUUUCACUAGUGGCUUCUCUCGAGAAAAAUAGCAAACGGUGGGAAAACAAUUACUGUUGGGCAAUUGAUAGAACUUCAAAUAAUCAUGACGAUAUCCAGGCAAUGAUCAUUAUAUAGGCAUCACGUCCAAGAUUAGUAGACCGACCCCUGCCUGCAUCUACUACUAUUACUCCACACAUCGACCACUAUCCAGCAUGCAUCUAGUGUAUUAAGUUCAUGGAAAAACGAAGUAAUGCAAUAAGAACGAUGACAUGAUGUAGAAAAAAUCUAUUUAUGUAGAAAUAGACCUCAUCUUGUUAUCCUUAAUAGCAACGAUACAUGUGUGUCGUUUCCCUUUCUGUCACUAGGAUCAAGCACCAUAGGAUCGAACCCAUCACAAAGCACCUCUUCCCAUUGCAAGAUAAAUAGAUCAAGUUGGCCAAACAAAACCCAAAUAUCAGAGAAGAAGUACGAGGCUAUAAGCAAUCAUGCUUAUAAGAGAUCAAAGAAGACUCAAAUAACUUUCAUGGAUAAAAACAUAGAUCUGAUCAUAAACUCAAAGUUCAUCGGAUCCCAACAAACACACCACAAAAAGGCUUACAUCAAAUGGAUCUCCAAGAGACCAUUGUAUUGAUAAUCAAGAGAGAGAGGAAGCCAUCUAGCUACUAACUACGGAACCGUAGGUCUACAAAGAACUACUCACGCAUCAUCGGAGAGGCACCAAUGGAAGUGGUGAACCCCUCCGUGAUGGUGUCUAGAUUGGAUCUGGUGGUUCUGGACUCUGCGGCGGCUGGAAUUGAUUUUCGUCGACUCCCCUAGGGUUUCUGGAAUAUUGGGGUAUUUAUAGAGCAAAGAGGUGGUUCAGGGGUGAUGACCCACAAGUAUAGAGGAUCUAUCAUAGUCCUUUCGAUAAGUAAGAGUGUCGAACCCAACGAGGAGCAGAAGGAAAUGAUAAGCGGUUUUCAGCAAGGUAUUCUCUGCAAGUACUGAAAUAAGUGGUAACAGAUAGUUUUGUGAUAAGAUAACUUGUAACGAGCAACAAGUAACAAGAGUAAAUAAAGUGCAGCAAGGUGGCCCAAUCCUUUUUGUAGCAAAGGACAAGCCUGGACAAACUCUUAUAAUAGGAAAAGCGCUCCCGAGGACACAUGGGAAUAUCGUCAAGCUAGUUUUCAUCACGCUCAUAUGAUUCGCGUUCGGUACUUUGAUAAUUUGAUAUGUGGGUGGACCGGUGCUUGGGUGCUGUUCUUACUUGAACAAGCAUCCCACUUAUGAUUAACCUCUAUUGCAAGCAUCGGCAACUACAACAAAAGUAUUAAGGUAAACCUAACCAUAGCAUGAAACAUAUGGAUCCAAAUCAGCCCCUUACGAAGCAACGCAUAAACUAGGUGUCGGUGUCAAAACCGGCGGAUCUCGGGUAGGGGGUCCCGAACUGUGCGUCUAGGCGGAUGGUAACAGGAGACAAGGGACACGAUGUUUUUACCCAGGUUCGGGCCCUCUCGAUGGAGGUAAAACCCUACUCCUGCUUGAUUAAUAUUGAUGAUAUGGGUAGUACAAGAGUAGAUCUACCACCAAAUCAGAGAGGCUAAACCCUAGAAGCUAGCCUAUGGUAUGAUUGUUGUUCCUCUGAUCUAUCGACUAGCCUAGCCCUGGUUUAUAUAAUGCACUAGAGGCCUAGGAUAACAAGAGUCCUAGCUGAAUACGCCGGUGGGGGAGGAGUCCUUGUCUUUAUCACCAAGUCUUGUGGAAUCUUCCUUGUGUGCGGCAACUGUCCGGACUGGCCCAUGAGUAUACGGCCAUGGGGAUCCUCGGCCCAAUCCAACUGAUCGGGAGACGACAUGGUGAGUACCCCCUAGUCCAGGACACCGUCAGUAUCCCCCUGAACCGGUCUUCAAGUUGGGGACGCUCCUCGAUUCUUCCUAACUGUUCUUCAUCUUUGGUCGUCGGUCUUGAAAAAUGGUUCAACAAAUCUUCUCAUCUUUGAUCUUGAGGAUCGCCGAAGUGCAUCCGAAGAGUUUACACGUUGGGUAUCCGAGGGGCCCCUUUAAGUUCCCGGCCUUUAUCAAUGCCUUGUUAUUUUUAUGCCAUGCCUCGGGUUUGAAGUUGUUCCCGGGAGGCAGUGUCCUCUUGCGUCCGAGAUCCAACGCAGGACUGCAUUCGAGGUAUCCUUUGCAGCCGAGCACCAAUGCCGGACUGCUUCCGAGCUCCAAUGCCGAAAUGUAUCCGAGCUCCAACGCCGGACUGUGUCCAAGCUCCAGCGCCGGACUAUAUCCAAGAUGUCAUAGAUCAUCUUGGUACAAAAAAGUUGAAGGAGUGUAGCCGAGCUUAAUGCCGGAAAUGCCCUCUAUGGAGCUAGCCGCUGGCGCCCGAGCUAUAUGCCGGACUGCCUCCGAGGUGGUGCACCACCCCGACCGCGGGUUGAUUUUUUGUGAAUAUUUUUAACUGGUGCAAUUUAUCCUCUGCCGAGAUAUACAACCAGUAUCCCUCAAGGUGUGUAUCAGUCUAAAACCCGAGACACACCUGAAGGAUAGCAUAAAACCGCUGUUCCCAGUAGCCCCUGAGACUCAGGUCGAUGCGCGACAUCGGCCUGAGGAUCAACUCCUAGCUCGGCAGCAUACAUAGGAAUAAAAAUGCAGUGUAAUAUAUUAGAGAUAAUAGUGAUCGGCGAACGGGCCCCUGAGAGAGGGUCGUGAGAAGUCGCCGUGAUAUAUAGCUUGAUGCCAAAUAGGUCCAGAUGGUACUUAUUGCUGUCCGAAGACGCGCUUUCCCAUAGUUCGAUCAAGCCGAAUGCUGAGCCCUUUGAAUUUUCUGCAUUGAAUAGGCAAUGCAGUAGCCCCCGAGACACUGGUCGGGUGGCAACACCAGAUUAGGGGAUCGAUGUGCCCUUUUAAUAUUUGUAAAUAGUGAGCGCAAAGCCCAGUAGCCCCCGAGCCUUAAUGUGGGCACGGGUGGCCGAAUUAAGGAUCGAUAUCCAGAGCAAAAUCACAGAUUAUGUGUAAUGAUUCUAUGUAUCCAAGUACUUUACAUCAUUAUUUUGACUCCAUUGCGACCGUUUAUCAGUUGAAAGUGGCCCAUCAUUGGCUUCUACCCCUUGGUAGAUACUAUGCAGGGUGUGUCCAAAAUAACAAAACAACCCUUAGCCGAUGUCUCGGUGCCCGAACGCGGUUGCGUUAGCGGAAACGAGGCAAUCAGAUAUGCGGGCUUUAUAACUUUCGCUUAGUCAUAGGAGCUUUAAACUGGGGAAGCUAACUAUGAGUCCCCGGUUAGUGUUCGGCGACAUCCAAGGUCAAGCCGUAAACACUUCGGCCAAUGUUAUGAAUGGCCCGUCAUUUAACAUAGUCAUCGGAUCGCUGACCAGUUUACGCCUAUUGUGACAGUCAGUUUUCGGCUUUCUCCACUGAGGUGCUUGACCAUGCGAGCUGGAAGCACAAUCGCAGUGGUUCUCCCUUUGCACACCUAGUCGAACAAAGCGGAACGUAGGAGGCAAGCACAGGGGCCGAGCAACCCAACUAUUAACCGAAGACACAAUUUGAAACCGAUGCAUAUAUAGCAAUAUCCGAUAAUGUUUUUACCGAAUCCCUAAAGGUGUCCGGCGUUGCACUGCGAGACUAAUGCUGGAAACGCACAAAUAGUUUAAAAGUGCCAUAGGCUCGAAAAGCCAAAAAACUUAUUCAAAAGUUUAAUGUCCGAACUAGAUCAAGUGUUCGGUGCCAAUCCGAAAAUUGGAUUUUUUUUAAAAAGGUGUUUCUGUCGUGCUUUAACAUGACACAUCCUAUCUCGAGACUUCAAGCGGGUCAGCCUAUGGCUUCAACCUCCUAUCCCAAAGGAGAAGUACUUCUCGUUAGGCCAGUUUAGCAAACUUUAGCGGCUUUGAGAGAGAAAUUAGGCGCCCCGGCUAUUGACCGCACACCCGCGUCGAAAAAAGGAGUGAUAGAAAAAAGACUUUGCAACGACUAAGAAGAAGAACACUUAUUAUAAAACAGCUCACAUAAAUUUAAGAGCUCCCGAGUGACUUGGGUAAAAGAAUGAUUGUAUGUACCGAAGUACUUAUAUCAUAUCUAUGUUCACCCGAAGUUUAAACGCGUCUUAACUGACCGUUGGCUUCUCCCUCUUUGGUCAAGGACCGAAAAGUGUUAUGUACUCCACCUGUCGAGAAUAUCGACGGUGUUUCCGAUAACCAGGCAAUCAGGUCAUAAGGCUAUACCAGACAAAGCGCGCUUAGGGAACUUAUGCUAUAUUACUGAUAAAGUGUAAGAAGCAUCUUCGAAGAAAAUAGUACCCCCACCGAUACCGUGCUCAUUGUUAAUAUGAGACUUGUGCAAUAGAUUUUUUGUACUCAUGAGUUCCGUUGUGUGCCGACCAUAAUUGAAAACAGUAAGAGCGCUAGCUUUCGGCUUCACCCAGUCUAAGGUCCGGCUCGGGUGACCCGAUCGUGACAAUCACAGAGGUGCUCCCUUUACUCCCUAGCCGAACAAUCGGAAACGUAGGGGUAAACAUAGGAGCAAGGCAACCCAGCUUGCAAAUCUCUUAAGUCAAUAUGGUGCAUAUCGUGGCGUAAUACACGAACAAGGAACGAAGCCGUACAAGUAUAAUCAUAUGCAAGAGGAAAGGCUUCAUGAAAGAAGCCCCCAAGUGAACUGGGUAUUUGAAAUUGUCCAUCACAAACAAAGUUUGGACAAGGAAAUCUUUUACAAGCAACUUUUUUCCAAAAAAGCAUAAUGCUUGAUCGAACCGAACACCAGUUAAAAAUUUAAAACUUUGAGCAUGAAGGCAACUUAGCUGGUUAAUGUGUUCGGUAUUGAUGACGCGGUCCGGGCUUGAUGUGGGACAAGGUUCCAUCCCCCAAGCCGGUCCCGAGGUGGCGGAGCAAAGAGCUCAGCACUCCGAAGUGGUGACAUAGCAUGGUCAAUGCAGGCCGGUAGAGUGAUGCCGAAGUCCCCGGCAUGGGGUAAUGAAGUGUUGAUGAAGCCCCCCGUCCAGCCGAGGUGACGCCAAAGGAUAUAGUCCGGCUGGAUCAUUUUCCUAUGCACAAAAAAAUAGUGCAAGCUAGGGGUAAUAGUAAUAAUAAUAAAAAAUGUUGCAUAAUAAAUAAUUUAUGCAAAGUGAGUAAUAUGGCCUGGCGCCGAAGUCAAUGUCGAUGCGGGGCGUCGGCGUGAUGCAGUAAAGGCGUGGCAAAGCCUGAAUUCAUAGGUCGGUCCGAGUUCUGGAUGCGGCGUUCGCCAGACUAUGUAUGGAAACUGACCGAACCACCAUGCGAACAUCGAUAAUGCGGUCACCAUUUGGUAGACCUAUGUACAUAUGAUGGACAAACCAGAGUAAUAAUUCCUUGGGAAAAAUGAACCCAAACAAGCAAAAAAUACUAGGAUUAAUAGCACAUGGUUUAUUUGUUGUAGCAAUCCGAAGGAAGGUGAUUCCCAAAAUUGGGACUCGAUCCGCACACCCAUUGCCUGAUGGGCGAUAAAGCGACGGCGUGGCGAUGCUGGCAAAGGUUGGCUUGCCGAGGCAAAGCCCUCGGUCCAACUAACGUGAUGGAGCUGGUAGGCUAGUGACGCUGAAGUCUCCGGAGUAGGUUGAUGAAGAGAUGUCGAAGCCCCUGGUCCAGCCAAGAUGUCGAGGCCUCGAUGCCAGCCGAUGAGUCGAAGUAGGUCGGCGUGAUGGACACCGGCUUGAAGAAGCAACAAUGCGGCCCUGCCGAUGCAGGUCGUGACGUGGUCAAUGCCGGCUUGAUGAAGUGUCCAUGCGGCGACGUCGGUGUUCCCGCCCCGUGUAAUCCGUGGGGUGGUGAUGUUGGUGAUGAUUUAUCCUUCACGAUGCCGAACUCUUGUUCGGCUUGCCGAGAUGAUGAUCCGAAGGGGUUGAGCUCGGCUCAACAAAGUGACGACGUGUUUAGCGCAGGUCGGCGGCCGUGGAGCAAUAUUGCCGGACUGGUUUGACACCAGCAUGAUGUUGAAGACCAUGUAUAUGUCAUACGACGAGGUGGCCUUCCAGUGCCCUAUAGGCGCUGGUUCUUAGUCGUCUCCUACAUUGGCGUCCAUACCAUCGAUGUCUUCGGACUCGAAGUUGAGCAUGUCGGUUAAAUCAUCGACAGUGGCUAUGAAGUGGGUGGUGGGUGGGCUUUGAAUUUCUUCGUCGUCCGCAUCCCAACCUUGCUGACCAUAGUCCGGCCAGGGCUCUCCUGAUAAAGAGAGAGACUUUAGUGAAUUUAGAAUGUCACCGAAGGGCGAGUGCUGAAAGAUGUCCACGGCGGUGAACUCCAUGAUCGGCGCCCAAUCGGAUUCGAUUGGCAGGGGCGCGGAGGGUUCGGAGUCCGGAGAGGAGUCCGGCACCUUGGAGUCACGGGCUUCGCAGAGGACAAGGCUGGUGUUCGGCUCGAUCGCCGUAGAGAUUGGAGCCCUCGAGGCGGUGUCCAGCCACCUGUCCUCAAUCGGCGUAGUCGGCUCCGAGCUAAGGGUCGGAGCGGACAUGGGUGCGGCCUCCAGGGCACUGUUCGGCGGCAGAGAUAGAUCAUGCCCAUCAUAAUAGUGCAGCGCGCUCGGCUGCGGCCCGAACUCGUCGAAGAUCAAGUCUCCGCGGACGUCAGCUGUGUAGUUCAAACUUCCAAAUCUGACCUGAUGGCCAGGGGCGUAGCUUUCGAUCUGCUCCAGAUGGCCAAGCGAAUUGGCCCGCAGUGCAAAGCCGCCGAAUACAAAGAUCUGUCCGGGGAGAAAAGUCUCUCCCUGGACCGCAUCGUUGUUGAUGAUCGGAGGAGCCAUCGGGCCUAAAGGUGACGACACAGAGGAACUCUCAAUGAAAGCACCAAUGUCGGUGUCAAAACCGGCGGAUCUCGCGUAGGGGGUCCCGAACUGUGCGUCUAGGCGGAUGGUAACAGGAGACAAGGGACAUGAUGUUUUUACCCAGGUUCGGGCCCUCUCGAUGGAGGUAAAACCCUACUCCUGCUUGAUUAAUAUUGAUGAUAUGGGUAGUAAAAGAGUAGAUCUACCACGAGAUAAGAGAGGCUAAACCCUAGAAGCUAGCCUAUGGUAUGAUUGUUGUUCCUCUGAUCUAUCGACUAGCCUGGCCCUGGUUUAUAUAAUGCACCAGAGGCCUAGGAUAACAAAGAGUACUAGCUGAAUACGCCGGUGGGGGAGGAGUCCUUGUCUUGAUCGCCAAGUCUUGUGGAAUCUUCCUUGUAUGCGGCAACUGUCCGGACUGGCCCAUGAGUAUACGGCCAUGGGGAUCCUCGGCCCAAUCCAACUGAUCGGGAGACGACAUGGUGAGUACCCCCUAGUCUAGGACACCGUCACUAGGGUUUAAGCUUCUGUCACUCUAGCAACCCAUCAUCUACUUAUUACUUCCCAAUGCCUUCCACUAGGCCCAAAUAAUGGUGAAGUGUUAUGUAGUCAACGUUCACAUAACACCACUAGAGGCUAGACAACAUACAUCUCAUCAAAAUAUCGAAGGAAUACCAAAUUCACAUGACUACUAAUAGCAAGACUUCUCCCUUGUCCUCAGGAACAAACGUAACUACUCACAAAGCAUAUUCAUGUUCAUAAUCAGAGGGGUAAUAAUAUGCAUUAAGGAUCUGAACAUAUGAUCUUCCACCAAGUAAACCAACUAACAUCAACUACAAGGAGUAAUCAACACUACUAGCAACCUACUAGCACCAAUCCCGGACUUGGAGACAAGAAUUGGAUACAAGAGAUGAACUAGGGUUUGGAGAUGAGAUAGUGCUGAUGAAGAUGUUGAUGGAGAUUGCCCUCUCCCGAUGAGAGGAGCAUUGGUGAUGAUGAUGACGAUGAUUUCCCCCUCCCGGAGGGAAGUGUCCCCGGCAGAACAGCUCUGCCGGAGCCCUAGAUUGGUUCCGCCAAGGUUUCGCCUCGUGGCGGCUGAGUCUCGUCCCGAAAAGUUGCUUCCUAUUUUUUUCUUGACGAAAGACUUCAUAUAGGAGAAGAUGGGCGUCGGUGAAAGUGAGUUAUAUCGACUAGAGGGGGGUGAAUAGGCGAUCUUUAUGAAUUCUUUACUGAGGAAUUUGCCGGUGAGGAAAUUUCUUAGCGAAGAACUACUUGCAGCGGAAUAAGUACUCAGAAGUAAGCAUAACAGGGUACAGGCAUGGUCAUCAUGAUGAAAUGAAGACAAGCACAGAGUACAGAAAGCGUAAUCACAGGAUAACACAAGAUGAAGACAAACAGACUGAAGAAAUUGAACUGAGGAAAUUGAGAAAGUCUUCAGCCAAAGUCUUGAAACACAGAUAUGAACAAUCACUCAACACAGUAAUGAGGAAAUGAAAGAGUUGAGGAAAUAGAACCAGUAAGGUUGGUGAAGACAAUGAUUUGGUAGACCAGUUCCAACUGCUGUCUCAGUUGUACGUCUGGUUGGAGCGGCUGAGUAUUUAAACUCGAGGACACACAGUCCCGGACACCCAGUCGCUGAGCACGCAGCUCAGGACACCAAGUCCUCACCGUAUUCUCCUUGAACUAAGGUCACACAGACCUCGUCCAAUCACUCGUGGUAAGUCUUCAGGCGACUUCCAAACCUUCACAGACUCGGUCACUCGGUGAUCCACAAUUCCUCUUGGAUGCUCUAGACCAUGACGCCUAACCGUCUGGAAGAAGCACAAUCUUCAAAGGUAACAAGCGCCGGAUCCACGCAGGAUCAAUCUCUUCAGUGAUGCUUAAUCACUUUGGGUUUGUAGGUGUUUGGGUUUGGGUUUUCCUCACUUGAUGAUUUUCACUCGAAGUCCUCGGAGGAUGGGUUGCUCUCAAAUGAUAGGUGUCAAGUUCUCUCGGAGCAGCCAACCAGCUAGUGGUUGUAGGGGGCGGCUAUUUAUAGCCUAGUGAGCAGCCUGACAUGAUAAGACAUAAAUGCCCUUCAACGAUAUGACCGUUAGGUGGAUAAGAUAUUUUGGGAUAGCUGGCGCGCAGCACAACAACGGUCGGAAAUUUGACUCUCAAAUUCCUCAGGGCUAUCAUGUUCCUCACUGUGUAGGCAAUCCGCACUGGCGAAUUCCUAACUCCUCAGUAAGAACAAAUUCCUCAGCGACCAGAAGAACUUCGUCUCUGUCACUGAAGAAAUUGACUGAACUGUAUGAGAUUUCCAAUGGCUUCACUCGAAGGGAUUGGUAGGUGUAGGAUUUUGAGUUGAGCAUCACAUGGAACUUUUUCCUUAGUAUUUCCUCGACCCCCUUUAAUAGUACGGUGUUUCCUAUGACUCAAGAAAGAGAAAACGAAACUACAAAAACAAAAGUCUUCACGCUUCAUGUUCCUCAAAUGAAUACCAAGUCUUCAAGGUCACACCAAUUUCUUCACUUUCAGAGUCUUCAGAAUACCAAAGUCUUCAGUCGAAGAACUUCAUUUUUAGGGGUCGACUUUCUCUGUAAAUAUCAAAUUCCUCAUAGACUUAUAGACCUGUGUACACUCAUAAACACAUUAGUCCCUUAACCUAUAAGUCUUCAAUACACCAAAAUCACUAAGGGGCACUAGAUGCACUUACAAUCUCCCCCUUUUUGGUGAUUGAUGACAAUAUAGGUUAAGUUUGAAACGGGGUUAAACAUAUGAUGCGUAAAUACUGAUAUUGAGGAAUUUGAUUGCAAGAUAUAGAAGAACUCCCCCUGAAGAUGUGCAUAGUGAGGAAUUUGCUUUUGAGGCAAUGCACAUUUGAAGAGUUGAAUCAUGGAGAUCUCCUCCUAUAUCUUGUAAUUUAUACACGCAUUUGACAUAUAGUAUGAAGAAUUUGAAAUGCAUGAUGGAAUACGGUGACUGAUGUAAUUCAGCAUGCGUGCAAUAAUUUUAAUGAGGAAUAAGCAUGCAGAAGAACACAUCAAAAGUAUCAGAGCACCAUUGGGUUUAAGAUUACAACUCGAUCCAAUAAAGUUUCAGAAGAGCGAGAGUUGUAACUUAGCAAAAAAACGCCCAUAUAAUAGACUCGCUUGAAGACUAACUCAAAUUUCUCCCCCUUUGUCAUCGAAUGACCAAAAGGAUCGAAACUGAGGACUAACGCCCCUGAAGAAUAUCAAGUUGAUGGAGGAGCACCAGCGUUGUCGGGGUCGGUUGUCGUAGUAGGGCCUGCCACAGUGUCGUCCAAGUCUUCAUUUUUAUCAGUGUCGCGCGAUGAAGAAUAAGAGCUGGCCACCAAGGAAGGAACCUUGACCUUCUUGUAUUUCUUCGGAGGAGGUGCAGACCAGUCAAAUUUCUCCUUCAUACCCAUUUUCUUUAGAUCUUCUUCGCUGUAGACAUGAGACAGAACAGCCCAUGUACGGUUGAAGGUUUCAUGGAGGUAGUAUUGGUUUUUCUUCACUGCAUUAUGUGUUGAGGUCAUGUUGUGAAGAAUUGAACCAAACUGAUGCUUGACCCAUUUAUGAUUGCGAUCAACUUUCUGAUGAAGACUAAGGAGUAACUCACGAUCAGUCAUCACCCUGGGUGCUGUGGCUUGAGAAUUUUGCUUGGCAGAGUUGUUGGCGGCAGAGUCAUGUGUGGCAGAGUCAUCAUUUGUGGAGUAGGAUGCAGCCUUGCGAAAUUGACCAUCCAAUGGACGAAUGCCUUCAUCUAUCACAGCAGUUGCCUUGCCUUUGUCAUCAACUGAGGAAAAUGGCCGUUUGAGGACUUCAAUUGGAGGCAAGUAACUGCAGUGGUUCAGAGUAUCAGCCUUGUAAUUGAGUGAAGACCUUGUCCUGAUGAACCUCAUGAUCCAUGGUGCAUAAGGCUUUAGCUCAAAUGGUGACAUAGCAAUAUUCUCCAGAGUCCUCAUGAAGAAAUCAUGGAAGUUGACGGGAACGCCAUGAAUGAUAUUGAAAAGGAUAUUCUUCAUGAUGCCAACGACUUCUUCAUCAUUUGAGUCGUGGCCUUUGAUAGGACUCAUUGUCUUCGUCAGAAUGUGAUAGACAGUCUGAGGCACAUACAGUAAUUCCUUGACGAGGAAUUUGGUUCGAGGGGCCUGCCCUGGCUUCAAAGGCUUCAUCAGCACUUGCAUGUAAUGAUUUGUAAGCUCAGGUUCAUUGUAGACGCAACGAGCACCUUCAAGGGAAGGACUGAGUGGGAGGGCACGAAGCAAUUCAGUUGUUGGUGCCUUGUAAUGAGCAUUUUUUGACAUCCAGUCCAGGACCCAAGAGUUCACAUCUUCAGAAUUUCCUGUGAUGUGUAGCGUCACAUAGAAUUGAAGAAUGAGUUCUUCAUUCCAAUCACAUAUGUCAGUGCAGAAAUUUAGCAAUCCAGCAUCGUGAAGAACACUGAGGACUGGCUCGAAGCCUGGCAGAGAUUCCAUGUCCACGUGAGGAAUGUGUGCAUGAUCGAAGACUUUGUCUUUGUUGAAUAGCACUAAGGAAUAGAAAUUGGCUUGACUAGCAGUCCAGAAACGCCUCUUCCUUAUGCGAGUAGAGUCAUAUGGGUUGUAGUCAGUGAAGAAUACAUGCUCGCUAAAGAAAUCUUCAGCCUUAAACUUUUGCUUGUGUGAGAAUGGAUCCUUUGGCUUUGGCAGUGGAGUGUCAAUGAGUUGCAUCACGACCUCAGGAAUUGCAAUCUCAGGUUCUUCAUGCUGAGGAAUUUCUGGUUCCUCUUCAGUUGCAGUGUGCGUUGUCAUAUGAUCAGCAGCAGCAGGUUCUUCAGCACUAGUGGCUGGAAUUUCUUCAUGCACAGACGAGGUGGGAUGAGUUUCUUCAGAGCCCAUUUGAACGGUUGGUGCAGGGGACUGAGGUAUUUGUUGUAGUGGGGUGAAGAGUGGAGAAUCGAGGUGCUGACUUUCCCAAAAGUCAUCGUUCAUCACUGGCGUUGUACUUCCAAUAUCCAUGUCUUCAUCUUCAAUUUCUUCAACACCAGCCUCUUCAGCUGUGAACUGAGGCAUUGGUGAGGAUACAACAGGUGUAGAAGGGAUCGCAUCCACUUCAAUUUCUUUAUCAAUCUGCUCUGACGAAGUAGCAGAAUGAUUUUCUUCAUCAGAUCCGCUAGGGAUCAUAUAUUCUUCACCAAAAGGAACAAGGUCCUUUGAUGGUAUGGUGGAGAUCGGAACAGCAUCAAUAGGGUUUUCAAACGAGCUGGUCAUAGGCUUCAUUCUCUUCGGAGCUGAAGAAUCUGAAGCAGCUGAUGCUUUCCUUUUCUUCACUGCAGCUCGCUCUGCAGCCUUGGUCUUCUUCACAUCUGAUGCAGAUGGAAGGAUAGGAGUUGGUGUAGGCGCAGGAGGAGCUGAGGAAUCUGGUUGAUUUGCUUCAGGCGCAACUGAUGCAGUUGCCCUGACUUCUUCAUGUUCUUCAGGCGCACCACUAGUGGAUGCCCUGGCAAUUCCUUCAGCGGCUGGAAUGGAGUCAUCAGCCCUGGAACUAGCAUUUUCUUCAGCAGUCUGAAGGUCAUCAGCGGUGCUAGCAUGUUCUUCAGUAGGCUGAGCAGAAGCUUUAGCCUGAGGAACUUCUUGUUGCGUUGGAGCUGCAACAUUGGUGAACUUCUCAGUCAGUUUAACAAACUUGACUUUGGCUCCUUGCCAAUCAGCAUAGUAGGCGUUGAAGUUGUCGCUGAGGGCUUUGAUUUCAGACUGAAUUUUGAUGAGUUCAUCAGUUGUCAUUUUGACAAUGUUUUUCCUCAGGAACUUCUCUUUCCUGAACUGAGCCUUCUUGAUCUGUCUGGACUUCUCAAAUUUCCAUUUCUCUUCAGAGAUGAAAUGGGUCAGCAUGUGACUUUGGCCAGGAGUCAAAUGAAAAUCAGGCAUAGGGGUGUCUGGAUCCUUGUGCCAGAGAUCAAUGUAAUCGAGGAUCAUCUUAGGAUCCAAAAGCAGUGGCACAGGUGUGCCUUUGGCUCUAGCAACCCUUUCUUGUCUGUCUCUGAUGAUUUCUGCAAGUUCAUCAUCAUCAGCUUCAUCGUCAGAUGGCACUUGGAAGGCAACUUGUUUCUUCUUCGGACUUGGCCGAGGACCUCGUCCAACCGUUGCCUUUGUCUUCAGCAGAGUGGGGCCAGAUGAAGAAUUUGGUGUGGCAGAGGAACUCGCUGAGACACCAGAGGCAAUAGAGAUGCAUGCAGUCCUUUGGCACGUGGCCAGAUGCACAGGUGCUGAGGACUUUGCCAGAGCAGCUGAGGACGUCGGAGGAGGAGCUGAGGAUUUUGGAGGAGCAGGAGAAGCAUGAGGAACUGGCCGUGAGGGCUUUGAAGAUUCUGGCCGUGAGGGCAUUGCUGAGGAACUUGGCCGUGAGGGCACAGUUGGUGAAGCACUUGGCUUGUGUGCGGGCUUCUUUGUCAUUGAUUUCCUAGGCUUGACAGAGGCCUCAGUGGCAGCAGCAGCAGCAGAGUCUUCAUUGAAUUUCCUCACUGCUUCUUUGGCUUGUCUUGCCAACUUGGCUUGGCGCUUGGCCCAUUCUUCAAGAAAAUCCUCACCACGCUUGAUGCUGGUGGGGUCAGCUUCUUGGCCAGGUGCCAAUGGAGCUCUUGGGCAUGGAGGAUUAAGUGCAAAUUUCUUCAUAUACUUUGGAGUUACAUACCUGUACUCCCUCCAUUCUCUUGCCCAUCUCCUUUCAAUCCUCUGUAUGCACACCUUGCGCUGAUUUUUGUUCACCUUUCCGAAAUUGGCCUCAUCAGGUGUGCAAUAGUCAGCAUAGAUGUCCUUAGGUAUUUCAAAAGCAGACAUGACCUCAGGCUUCUUUCCUCCUUUCUAUGGCUUCUUACCGUCUGCCAUAUUCUUCAGUUGAGGAAUUUGAACAAUCGAAUUCUCUGAAGAAGUGUGCAACUUUUCUUCGAGGAACGCUGCAAAUGAGUUAAGUUGAUGAGAACCUAGUGAUUCAGCAGCGGACAUGAGUACCUGUGAACAGAGUAUAGUUGCGAGGAAUUUGGAGAGGUCAUAUGCGUUCUCAGAAGGUUUUUCAAAAAAGAACAAGUUUGAGGAAUUUGACCAGAUGAGCCUUGAAGAAUUUCACUAAGCGUUCUUUGUCUUAGGUUCCAGAGUUGUAUAGAUCGAGGAUCCACACAAUUGAGGAAUCUUGAAGAAAAAAGAUGCUUAGAGAAACGAAUCAAGAACAGAUGACUAGUGAGGUGUUUUGUGUGUGAGGAUUUGAAGAAUCAAAGAGGGAAGUAAAAGUAACUUUUAAUUACCCUGGAUGAAGAACACGACGAACUGAGAAGUGUAGAUUUGAAGCUUGUCAGUUCAGAUCUUCCACGCCCUAACUCGGCGGAGGAAGACGGCUACGGCGGCGGCAGAGUGAAGAUUUCCGCGGCCGGCGCGAGUACGACGGCGACGAGGUCGAGGCAGUGAAGCUCUUCCUCACCGGCGACGAUGGAGUAGCGGCGGCGCUAGGGUUUGAGAAGCUAGAGCGAGAGAGAGAGAGCGGUCGAGCGGAGUAAAGGAUGUGAGGAAGGGGAGAGGGGGUAUUUAUAGUCGCAGUGAAAAACUGUUCGCCCAAAGAUUUAGGACGAACGUGCCCCUGACCCUUCUCAUUAGCUUGACAUGUGUCACCCACGUACUGAAAAGUGGAGAUCGUGUUAGAUCGUGGGUGAAUAGAUAAGUCUAUCGUAGGAAGCGGAACGGUUUGAGCGGCAAAGCCAAAAAUUUGGAUAAGAUUAGUUUUAAAGUUCCGUUCACAAUUUCUUCAGCUGACAAGGACACAAUGAAGAUUUUGAACGAGUUUCAAAUAGAACACACAUGAAGAAUUUGUGAAUAGAUUGGGUUUAGUAUAGCAUAGAGGGGGAAGGGUCUGAUCACAUUCACUUAGCAGAAAAUGCAACUUGAAGAAAUAGCCAUAAGUGAAUGCUGUAGAGGACAUAAACCCAUACAUAUAUAUAUAUAGCCAGUGAAGAAAAACGACGGAAACGGUGAAGAUUUUGCAAAGUUGAAGAAUUUGAAAAACUGAAGAAUUUCAAAACUGAGGAAAAACUCAAAUUGAAGAUUUUCAACUUUGGUGGUGGCAUGACCCACCGUAUAAGAAUGAUGAUUUCAGACACCGCGUACAAUUGUCAUAGGGUUCUGAGAAUCAAAUUCUUCAUUAAUUUCUUCACACUUAGAGUGUUGUUCUUCAUUGAUUGAAGAAAAACAUUUCUUCAUGUGUUGCACAUCUAAGUCAUCAAUUUUGCAUAAGUGUUAGGAUGAGUGUCCUUUUCAAAGAACAUUUGAAGAUUCUAAGAUAUUUAGCUCACACCGCAACUUGCUAAAUCUCUUCUCAUCCAAGGGCUUUGUCAAGAUAUCGGCUAGCUGGUCUUCAGUCUUCACAUGCUCAAUAGAAAUAUCGCCCUUCAACACAUGAUCGCGAAGAAAAUGAUGACGAAUCUGAAUGUGCUUUGUCUUCGAGUGCUGAACUGGGUUGUGAGCAAUCUUGAUGGCACUCUCAUUAUCACAAAGGAGAGGCACAUUAUUCACGUUGACGCCGUAGUCCUUGAGAGUUUGCUUCAUCCAUAGCAGUUGAGCACAGCAAGAACCAGCAGCAAUGUACUCAGCUUCAGCAGUAGACAGUGAUACACAGUUCUGUUUCUUCGAGGACCAACAGACCAUCAUCCGAGGAAAUGACAAGUACCAGAUGUUGACUUGCGGUCCACACGAUCACCAGCAUAGUCAGAGUCAGAAUAUCCAAUGAGAUCAAAAGCAGAGCCCUUGGGGUACCAUAAUCCUAGUGUUGGUGUGUGAGCUAGAUAUCGAAGAAUAUGCUUCACAGCCUUAUGGUGUGAUUCCUUCGGUGUAGCUUGAAAUCGGGCACACAUGCAAACACUAAGCAUUAUAUCUGGCCUAGAUGCACAUAAGUACAAUAAAGAACGAAUCAUGGAGCGGUAUACCUUUUGAUCAAAGUCAAUACCAUUUUCAUUAGUGCAUAGAUGGCCAUUUGUGGGCAUAGGAUUUUUGACGCCUUUGCAAUCUUGCAUGCCGAAUUUCCUCAGAACAUCCUUGAGGUAUUUCUCCUGAGAUAUGAGUAUGCCAUUGCGCUAUUGACGAAUUUGAAGACCUAAGAAGAAUUUCAACUCUCCCAUCAUAGACAUUUGAUAUUCUUCACUCAUCAUAUAGGCAAAUUCAUCACUAUAACGUUGGUCAGUACAGCCAAAGAUAAUAUCAUCAACGUAUAUUUGGCACACAAACAGUUCACCAUCAUAAGAUUUAGUAAAGAGAGUAGGGUCAAGUGAACCGGGUGUGAAGCCAUUCUUCAUGAGGAAUUCCUUCAAAGUAUCAUACCACGCCCAAGGGGCCUGCUUGAGGCCAUAGAGGGCCUUGUUGAGUCUGAAGACUUUGUCAGGAUUCUUUGGAUCUUCAAAACCUGGGGGUUGAGCAACAUAUACUUCUUCCUCAAGCUUACCAUUGAGGAAUGCACUUUUCACAUCCAUUUGAUGUAAAGUGAUGUCAUGAUGGUUAGCAUAAGCAAGUAAUAUGCGAAUAGCCUCAAGUCUAGCAACAUGUGCAAAAGUUUCAUCGAAAUCAAUUCCUUCAACCUGUGUGUAGCCUUGAGCUACAAGUCGUGCCUUAUUCCUCACCACAAGGCCAUUUUCAUCUUGUUUGUUGCGGUAGAUCCACUUUGUGCCAAUGAUAUUAUGCUUGCGAGGAUCUGGAUGUUUGACCAGUUCCCAGACAUUGUUGAGCUCGAACUGAUGUAAUUCUUCUUGCAUGGCCUAAAUCCACUCAGGCUCCAGAAAUGCUUCAUCUACCUUAGUGGGCUCUGUGAUAGAGACAAAAGCAUAGUGCCCACAAAAGUUAGAUAAAUGUGAAGCUUUUGAGCGUGUGAGAGGACAUGGUGCUUCAAUGUCAUCGAUGAUCUUUUCAACUUGCACUUCUUUUGCAACGCAAGGAUGAGAUGGUUGUCGUCGAGGAAUUUGAUCAGCAUUUUCUUCAGCACCAUUUUCUUCAGCAUCGUCUUCAGGUGCAUCAGCUCGACAUUCUUCGUGUUCUGGAAUGAAUUCUUCAGCAGAUUCUUCAGUAGGAAUGACAUCCUCAGUCGCCUUGAACUUGAUAGAAUCCUCAGGUGCUGGUUCAUCUAUCACAGAAGGUAGGUGCUCUCUUUGCGAGCCAUUAGUUUCAUCGAACCGCACAUCUACAGUUUCAACAAUCUUGUAAAGAACAUUGUUGAAGACUCUGUAGGUGUGCGAGUCCUUUCCAUAACCAAGCAUAAAACCCUCAUGUGCUUUCGGUGCAAAUUUAGAAUUGUGAUGAGGAUCUCUAAUCCAACAUUUAGCACCAAAGACUUUGAAAUAACUCACAUUGGGUUUCUUGUCAGUGAGGAGUUCAUAGGCAGUCUUCUUGAAGAAUUUGUGAAGAUAUACUCUGUUGAUGAUGUGGCACGCGGUAUCAAUUGCAUCAAUCCAAAAACGACGAGGCGUUUUGUAUUCAUCAAGCAUAGUGUGAGCCAUUUCAACAAGAGUUUUGUUCUUGCGCUCCACGACGCCAUUUUGCUGAGGAGUAUAAGGAGCAGAUAACUCAUGAGUAAUACCAAGUUCAUCAAGAUAGUCAUCAAGACCGUAAUUCUUGAACUCAGUUCCAUUGUCACUCCUGAUGUGCUUGAUCUUCACACCAAAGUUGGUUGAAGCCCUCGAGGAAAAUCGUUUGAAGACUUCCUGCACUUCAUGUUUGUAAGUAACAAUGUGUACCCAUGUGUAACGAGAAUAAUCAUCAACAAUAACAAAGCCAUAUAGAGAUGCAUCAUUAGUGACUGCUGAGUAAUGAAUAGGACCAAAGAGGUCCAUGUGAAGCAAUUCGAAUGGUCGAGUAGUGGUCAUGAUAGUCUUUACUGGAUGCUUGGACUUGAUCAUUUUUCCAGCUUCACAGGCUCCACACAAGUGAUCCUUGAGGAAUUUGACAUUCUCAAUGCCAAUGACAUGCUUCUUCUUUGCAAGCGUGUGCAAAUUCCUCAUGCCUGUAUGACCAAGUUGUCGAUGCCAUAGCCAGCCUUCUGAAGCUUUUGCAAGUAGGCACACGGCUGGUUGUGGUCCUGUAGAGAAAUCAACAAUAUACAAGUCUCCUCUCCUAAAGCCUUCGAAGACUUUGGAAUGGUCAGCUUCCAUAACCACAACACAACGAUACUUGCCAAAGACAACAACCAUAUCAAGAUCACAAAGCAUUGAGACAGACAUGAGGUUGUAUCCUAAGGACUCAACAAGCAUGACUUUGUCCAUGUGUAUGUCCUUAGAGAUCGCAACCUUACCUAGACCCAAUACCUGACUUUUGCCUUUGUCAGCAAAGAUAAUAUGCUUCAGAUGUGAUGGAGAUAAGGGAGCAUCCAUCAAUAGAUUCUUGUCACCAGUCAUGUGAUUUGUACAUCCACUAUCGAGGACCCACUCAAAGGCUUUGGGUUGAUCAUCCUGCAGAUGAAUUAGUGCAGCUUACGAACUCAUAUACUUCAUUAGUGAAGAAUAUGAUAUCAAAUUCAUCAGAUGAAUUUCAUCAAGCAGUAAAACAGAUAUAGCAGUAUGAGGACGUGUGAAAUGAAAGUUCAUUUCUUCAUGAUUAGCCUGCAUCCUUUCAGGCAUUUUUUGUCAGGCCCCCAGCAAAUUCUUCAGACGUUAAAGCACGUUGGAGACCUGACCCUGCAGAAGAGAUUAGUUCUUUUUCUUCACCACCCACAUCUGAAGGGGUGGCAAAGAGUUCAUCACUCUACGAGCUCCAUAUGAGAAUGUGAAAGUGCAACUAUCCCUAGGUGGUUUUGGUAAUUCAUAACAACAUAUAGCUCAUUGAGCUAAUGCUAUUCCAAGAUGAAUAUUUUAGGAAAGCUCAAUGAUUGGCAUGGCUUGGAUGAUGAAAGUGGAUCCCUCAAAAUAUUAAGGACAAAGGAUUGGCUCAAGCUCAAAAGCUCAAGACUCUACAUUUUACAUUUUAGUGAUCCAAGAUCACAUUGAGUCGAUAGGAAAAUCCAAUACUAUCAAGGAGGGAUGAGGUGUUGCUUAAUGAGCCUCUUACUUCAUGUGCUUAGUGAUAUGCUCCAAAACCCUCCACUACUUUCUCACAUCCACAUAUGACCUAAACCUAAAGUCAAACUCGGCCCUACCAAUUCUUUCUAUCCGGCGCCACCGAGUUCAGAUGUCAUAGCCACUGCCACAAACCCUAGGCAAAUCGGUCUCACUGAUAGGGAUCUCGAUCUCACCGAGAUGGGAUUGUAAUCUCUCUGUUUCCCUUUGUAACGUUUCGGUCUAACCGAAGUGAGUGAUCGGUCCCACCGAGAUUACAAUGUAAACUCUCUGUUUCCCUUUCGUAACUUUUCGGUCUCACCGAAAGAGCGAAUCGGUCCCACCAAGUUUACCUGACCAACUCUCUGGUUAGCUUAUUACCAAAAUCGGUCUCAGCGAGUUUGUGUAAUCGGUCUCACCGAGAUUACGUUAUGCCCUAACCCUAACCAUACCGGUCCUACCGAGAUGCAUGUCAGUCCCACCAAAAAUCCUAAUGUUCACUAGGUUUACUAAAAUCGGUUCGACCGAGUUUGUUGAUUUGGUCCCACCGAGUUUGGUAAAUUGUGUGUAACGGUUAGAUUUUGUGUGGAGGCUAUAUAUACCCCUCCACCUCCUCUUCAUUCGUGGAGAGAGCCAUCAGAACAAACCUACACUUCCAACUUACCAGUUCUGAGAGAGAACCACCUACUCAUGUGUUGAGGCCAAGAUAUUCCAUUCCAACCAUAUGAAUCUUGAUCUCUAGCCUUCCCCGAGUUGUUUUCCACUCAAAUCUUCUUUCCACCAAAUCCAAAUCCUGUGAGAGAGAGUUGAGUGUUGGGGAGACUAUCAUUUGAAGCACAAGAGCAAGGAGUUCAUCAUCAACACACCAUUUAUUACUUCUUGGAGAGUGGUGUAUCCUAGAUUGGCUAGGUGUCACUUGGGAGCCUCCGACAAGAUUGUGGAGUUGAGCCAAGGAGUUUGUAAGGGCAAGGAGAUCGCCUACUUCAUGAAGAUCUACCGCUAGUGAUGCAAGUCCUUCGUGGGCGACGGCCAUGGUGGGAUAGACAAGGUUGCUUCUUCGUGGACCCUUCGUGGGUGGAGCCCUCCGUGGACUCGCGCAAUCGUUACCCUGCGUGGGUUGAAGUCUCCAUCAACGUGGAUGUACAAUAGCACCACCUAUCCGAACCACGACAAAUACAUCCGUGUCUCCAAUUGUGUUUGAAUCCUCCAAACCCUUCCCUUCACAUUCUUGCAAGUUGCAUGCUUUAUUUUCCGCUGCCACUAUACUCUUUGCAUGCUUGCUUGAAUUGUGUGAAGAUUGCCUGACUUGUUCAAAGAUAGCUAAAAUCUGCCAAAGUCCAAAAUUGGGAAAAUGUUAGGUUUUUAAUUGGUCAAGUAGUCUAAUCACCCCCCCCCCUCUAGACAUACUUCAAGGUCCUACAGAAUGGUGGCAUAGAAGCCAAUCCAUUUCGUUUCACACAAGAGGGGUUAGGGUAAGCAUAUGAAUAAGCAGAGAAAUUCUUUGAGGACUUAUGAACAUAAUGGUUUGAGGAAUAAUGCACAUAUUCAUAGCCCUUAGCUCUACCCUGCGAAACAGAGUUGUUAGCACGAUGAUAAUCAUAUGAGGACUUUGAUCCUUUUGAGGAAUUUGAUCUACGUGAGGAAUUUGGUCCGUAUGAGGACUUGGGUCCAUAUGAAGAAUUUGGUCCAUAUGAAGAAUUUGAUCUGGGGUUCCUAUUCUUCACAGGUGGUGUCAUGAGGACAUUCACCUGAAGACUUUCAAGGCACCUUUUGGGAACCUAGAUUUUCUUCAUAGGAGAACCGUUCCUGCAGUUAGUGCCAACAUAUCUAGCAAAUACUUCACCAUUCUGAUUUUUGAACAGUUUAUAGUUGGAGUCAAAUGACUCAUCAGAAGAAUGAGGAGAUUCACAUGUAAAGCCAGAUAAGUUAGAUGGAUCAACUGGAGGUCCCUUUGCAGCAACCCAUGAGAUUUUGGGGUACUACUCAGGCUUCCAGUAUGUACCAUCAGCAUUGAGUUUCCUCUCAAAGGCAAUACCCUCUUUCCUAGGGUUCCUGUUGAGGAUCUGCUUUUUAAGCACAUCACACAGAGUCUGAUGCCCUUUGAGGCUUUUGUACAUGCCUGUCAUAUACAAUUCCUUCAGCCCUGCAUUGUCAGUGAUACUAGCGAUGUCCUCAGAUGAGGAAUUAGUGAUAGCAGAUGCAGGUGAAGAAUUUGUAACAGUUGAAGCAUUUGAACAUUCAGGUGAAGAAUUAGCAGAUUCACGUUCAAUGCACUUUAAGCAUGGAGGAACAAAUUCUUCCUGAGAAGCGCUGAUUUGUUGAGCUAGCAAUGAAUCGCGCUCCUUCUGAAGAUCUUCAUAACUCACUCUUAGCUUCUCAAGAUCUUGCUUUCUUUGAAGAAAUUCAUAAGAAAGCUUCUCAUGAUCAGACAAGAGAGUGUUAUGAUGACCUCGAAGGCUGUCAAACCUAGACUGAAGUCUUUGAAGAUUUUCAGUGAGGGCUUUAGUGUGAUCCAUUUCUUCACCCAACAUAUCAUCACUUUUGUCUAGCAUGUUUUGAACCUUUUCAAAAGCCCUUUGUUGUUUUACAGCAAUCUUAGCAAGUUUAGAGUAGCUGGGCUUGAGGUCUUCAUCAGAUUCAUUCUCACUAGAUUCAGAGGAGGUAUAUUUGAGUACCUUGGCACCCUUUGCCAUGAAGUAAUAGGUGGGAGCGUAGUCAUCAUUAUCUUCAUCAGCCUUGUUGGUGAGGUCAGUUUCUUCAGAGUUGAAGAUAGACUUGCUGACGAAUGCAGUAGCGAGAGCCAGACUCGCCACACCAGACUCGGACUCCUCAGAUGCCUCCUCUUCCUCAUGUUCCUCAGAUUCAGCUUCAGAGUCCAUUUCCUUGCCAAUGAAUGCCCGAGACUUCUUGGAGCUGCUCUUCUUGUGAGAUGAAGACUUCAAGGAUUUUGAUGAUGAAGAUUUUGACGAUUUCUUCUUCUUCUUAGCGUCAUCAGAACUGUAAUCCUUGUAUUUCUUCUUCUUUAAUUCCUUUUCCCACUGAGGACAAUCUUGAAUAUAGUGACCAGGUUUCUUGCAUUUGUGGCAUAGCCUUCUCUUGUAGUCACUGGAUGAGGAAUCACUGCUCCUUGAGGAUUUUCCAAAGCGGCCACGUCUUGAGAAUUUUUGGAACUUUUUCACGAGCAGUGCUAGCUCCUGGCUCAAUUCUUCAGGAUCACCAAGGCUGCUACCAGAAUCUUCACAUUCAGAUUCAGACACUGCCUUGGCCUUCAGGGCACGUGAUCUGCCAUAGCUCGAACCAUAGAGAUCUCUCUUUUCAGCAAGCUGGAACUCAUGAGUAUUUAGCCUUUCGAGGAUAUCAGCGGGAUCAAGUGACUUGUAAUCAGCACGUUCUUGUAUCAUCAAUGCCAGAGUGUCAAAUGAGGAAUCAAGCGAUCUCAACAAUUUCUUCACCACCUCAUGGUCGGUGAUGUCAGUGGCACCAAGCGCUUGAAGCUCAUUUGAGAUGUCAGUGAGGCGAUCGAAGGUUUGUUGAACAUUUUCAUUGUCGAGUCUUUUGAAGCGGUUGAAGAGAUUGCGAAGAACAUCAACUCGAGAGUCACGCUGAGUUAAGACUCCUUCAUUUACUUUGGACAGCCUAUCCCAAAUAAGCUUAGCAGUUUCCAAAGCACUCACUCUUCCAUACUAUCCUUUGCUCAGAUGGCCACAUAUGAUAUUCUUCGCUUGAGAAUCGAGUUGCUUGAAUCUCUUCACAUCGGUAGCGUUCAGUGAGGGUGAGCCAGUGGGAACACCAUUUUCCACAACAUACCAGAGAUCGUUGUCAAUUGCCUCAAGAUGCAUUCGCAUCUUGUUCUUCCAGUAGGGGUAGUCCGUUCCAUCGAAGGUAGGACACCCAGCUGAGACCUUGAUCAUACCUGCGGUCGACAUAACUAAAACUCCAGGCGGUUAAACCAAAAUCACACAGAACAAGGGAGUACCUUGCUCUGAUACCAAUUGAAAGUGAGUUAUAUCGACUAGAGGGGGGUGAAUAGGCGAUUUUUAUGAAUUCUUUACUGAGGAAUUUGCCGGUGAGGAAAUUACUUAGCGAAGAACUACUUGCAGCCGAAUAAGUACUCAGAAGUAAGCAUAACAAAGUACAGGCAUGGUCAUCAUGAUGAAAUGAAGACAAGCACAGAGUACAGAGAGCGUAAUCACAGGAUAACACAAGAUGAAGACAAACAGACUGAAGAAAUUGAACUAAGGAAAUUGAGAAAGUCUUCAGUCAAAGUCUUCAAACACAGAUAUGAACAAUCACUCAACAUAGUAAUGAGGAAAUGAAAGAGUUGAGGAAAUAGAACCAGUAAGGUUGGUGAAGACAAUGAUUUGGUAGACCAGUUCCAACUGCUGUCUCAGUUGUACGUCUGGUUGGAGCGGCCGGGUAUUUAAACUCGAGGACACACAGUCCCAGACACCCAGUCGCUGAGCAUGCAGCUCAGGACACCAAGUACUCACCGUAUUCUCCUUGAACUAAGGUCACACAGACCUCAUCCAAUCACUCAUGGUAAGUCUUUAGGCGACUUCCAAACCUUCACAGACUCGGUCACUCGGCGAUCCACAAUUCCUCUUGGAUGCUCUAGACCAUGACGCCUAACCGUCUGGAAGAAGCACAGCCUUCAAAGGUAACAAGCGUCGGAUCCACGCAGGAUCAAUCUCUUCAGUGAUGCUCAAUCACUUUGGGUUUGUAGGUGUUUGGGUUUGGUUUUUCCUCACUUGAUGAUUUUCACUCAAAGUCCUCGGAGGAUGGGUUGCUCUCAAAUGACAAGUGUCAAGUUCUCUCAGAGCAGCCAACCAGCUAGUGGUUGUAGGGGGCGGCUAUUUAUAGCCUAGGGAGUAGCCUGACAUGAUAAGACAUAAAUGCCCUUCAAUGAUAUGACCGUUAGGUGGAUAAGAUAUUUUGGGACAGCUGGCGCGUAGCACAGCAACAGUCGGAAAUUUGACUCUCAAAUUCCUCAGGGCUAUCAUGUUCCUCACUGUGUAGGCAAUCCGCACUGGCGAAUUCCUAACUCCUCAGUCAGAAAAAAUUCCUCAGCGACCAGAAGAACUUCGUCUCUGUCACUGAAGAAAUUGACUGAACUGUAUGAGAUUUCCAAUGGCUUCACUCGAAGGGAUUGGUAGGUGUAGAAUUUUGAGUUGAGCAUCACAUGGAAAUUUUUCCUUAGUAUUUCCUCGACCCCCUUUAACAGUACGGUGUUUCCUAUGACUCAAGAAAGAGAAAACGAAACUACGAAAACAAAAGUCUUCACGCUUCAUGUUCCUCAAAUGAAUACCAUGUCUUCAAGGUCACACCAAUUUCUUCACUUUCAAAGUCUUCAGAAUACCAAAGUCUUCAGUCGAAGAACUUCAUUUUUAGGGGUCGACUUUCUCUAUAAAUAUCAAACUCCUCAUAGACUUAUAGACCUGUGUACACUCAUAAACACAUUAGUCCCUUAACCUAUAAGUCUUCAAUACACCAAAAUCACUAAGGGGCACUAGAUGCACUUACAGUCGGAGAGCCACCAGGGGGCCCACGAGGUAGGGGGCGCGCCCCCCACCCUCGUGAGCAGGGUGUGGGCCCCCUAGCCUUCAUCUUUGGCGACGAUUUUUCUUUAUUUAUUUUAAGAUAUUCCAUGGAGUUUCAGGACUUUUGGAGUUGCACAGAAUAGGUCUCCAAUAUUUGCUCCUUUUCCAGCCCAGAAUUCCAGCUGCCGGCAUUCUCCCUCUUCAUGUGAACCUUGUAAAAUAAGAGAGAAUAGCCAUAAGUAUUGUGACAUAACAUGAAAUAACAACCCAUAUUGCAAUAAAUAUCGAUAUAAAAGCAUGAUGCAAAAUGGACGUAUCAACUCCCCCAAGCUUAGACCUCGCUUGUCCUCAAGCGAAAAGCCGAUAACAAUAAAUAUGUCCUCAUGUUUAGGGGUAGAGGCGUCGAUAAAAAUAAAAUAUGAACAUGCAGGCAUCAUGAUUAUUCUCAUAACAGCAACAUAUAUAGAUUUUGUCAUAUGAUUACUUAUGUUCAAGUGAUGAUCUUUUCACAAUGCGAAAGUAUGAAUUAGAAACCUUAUUGAGCACCAACAAGUUAUAACCUCAGUCAUUGAAGCAAUCGCAAUUUAUCAUAACAUUGGAAAGAGUCUAUGUCAGAGCUUAAAAGCAAGUCCACAUAUUCAACUAUCAUUUAGUCCUUCAUAAUUGCUAACACUCACGCAAUACUUGUGGUUACGGAGUUUUAAUCAGACACAGAGAAAGAUAGGGGCUUAUAGUUUUGCCCCACAACCUUUUACCUCAAGGGUAAUGUCAACAAUAAUAACUCAUGCUCCCCUACAUCCAAUUAGAUAUGUAUAUCAUGUUCUUUCCAACAUGCUGAGCUUGCCAAAGGAUAAAAUGAAAAAGGAAAGGUGAAGAUCAGCGUGACUCUUGCAUAAGGUAGAGGAUAAUAAUAAAAGAUAGGCCCUUCGCAGAGGGAACCAGAGGUUGCCAUGCGCUUUUAUGGUUGGAUGCACAAAAUCUCAAUGCGAAAGAACGUCACUUUAUAUUGCCCCUUGUGAUAUGAACCUUUAUUAUGCAGUCCGUCGCUUUUAUUACUUUCAUAUCACAAGAUCGUAUAAAGCUUAUUUCUCCCACACCAAUCAAUCAUACAUAUUUAGAGCAAUUUUUAUUGCUUUGCACCGAUGACAACUUACUUGAAGGAUCUUACUCAAUCCAUAGGUAGAUAUAGUGGACUCUCAUGGCAAAACUGGUUUAAGGAUAUUUGGAAGCACAAGUAGUAUCUCUACUUGGUGCUGAGAAUUUGGCUAGCAUGAGGGGGAAAGGCAAGCUCAACCCGUUAGAGGAUCCACGACAACAUACUUUAUCUCAGAUGUAAGAAAACAUAACUCAUCAUGUUGUCUUCCUUGUCCAACCUCAACUCUUUAGCAUGUCAUAUUUUAAUGAGUGCUCCCAAUCAUAAAAGAUGUCAAUGAUAAUAUAUCUAUAUGUGAAACCUCUCUUUCCUUAUUACUUCCUAUUUAUUGCAACGAUGACCAAAGCUAUAUUUUCCAACUCCCAACAACUUUUAAUCAUCAUACUCUUUCUAUGUGAAGUCAUUACUUUCAAUAAGAUCAAUAUGAACUCUUUGAUUCUUUUUAUUCUUUUUCUUUUAUUCACCCAAGAUCAUGGCAAAAUAAUCAAGCCCUUGACUCAACACUAAUCUUUAUUAUAUAUAUAGCUCACGGACUCGAUUACAUAGAGGGAUCAUAAAGCAAAACUCAUAACUAGAUCAUGCCAUAAACUUUAUUCUACUAGAACAGGAUACUACUAAUGGGAUCAAACUAAGAAAAACGGUAAAGAUAGGAGUUGUGAUGGUGAUACGAUACCGGGGCACCUCCCCCAAGCUUGGCAGUUGCCAAGGGGAGUGCCCAUACCCAUGUGAUUAUAUCUCCUUCUUUGUUGUUGGUGUAAUAUUUUUGGCGAUGAUUCCCCUCAAGAUACGGUUCUCCUCCUCGAGCUUAUUGACUUGCUGCUUGAGGUCCAUUAUUUCCUUGCGAAGCUUUCCUGUAAUGGCUAAAGCUCCUUGCACCCAAGGGUGUUGCAUAGCUGCGGGAGAACAAGAGACACUCCUCCUCAUAUUCUCAUAAGAAAGAAAUCUAACAUUGGAAGGGAUAAUCGAGUUUGGAAUAGCUGAGCUCUGUAGUUCCCCCAUCGUAAACCCAGCUCGGAGGCGAGAGGUGACUUCUUGAUCUUCCAUGGCAUCUACCCUCAUCAGGUCAGCCUCCAUCUCUUCCUCUGUUGCUGGCCCAAAGUGGUCAGCGUCGCUGUUUGCCCUUGGUUCCGGUGCCUGGUUAGAUACCCGGCUCUCCCCGACUGACUCCUGAGAAGACAUCUUGCUCUAAUCUGCAGCAGCAACAGCUCGAAACAAAAACAGAGGAUAUUUGCGUGAUACGGGAGUCAAAACCUUCGGGAGAAUAUAUAAUGAAUUUUUACCGACCAAAACAUGUAUCAUGCAAGAAAACGGAGUCCGGAGGGUGCACGAGGUGCUCACGAGGUAGGGGGGCGCGCCCAGGGGGGUAGGGCGCGCCCACCACCCUCGUGUCCUUUCUGGACUGCCACUUAUUUUUCUAUUUUUCUAAAUAUUCCAAAACUGAGAAAUAUUGCCUUAAAAAUUGUUUUGGAGUCGGCUUACUUACCAUACCACAUACCUAUUCCUUUUCGGAGUCUGAAACGGUCGGGAAAGUGUCCCUUAUGUAUUCCCCCGGGGUUACGGUUUCAAUAAUAUUGGUUUCAACAUUUAUAGGAUUACCUGAAAUAUAGUGUUUGAUCCUUUGACCGUUUACCACCUUCGGAUUUGUGCCUUCGAAGUUGUUGAUUUUAUAGCACCGGAACGAUAGACCUCCUCGAUAACAUAGGGACCUUCCCAUUUAGAGAGAAGUUUUCCUGCAAAAAAUCUUAAACGAGAGUUGUAUAGCAAUACAUAAUCACCUACAUUAAACUCACGCUUUUGUAUCCUUUUGUCAUGCCAUCUCUUAACUUUUUCUUUAAACAACUUAGCAUUUUCAUAAGCUUGGGUUCUCCAUUCAUCGAGUGAGCUAAUAUCAAAUAACCUCUUUUCACCGGCAAGUUUGAAAUCAUAGUUGAGCUCUUUAAUAGCCCAAUAUGCCUUAUGUUCUAGUUCGAGAGGUAAGUGACAUGCUUUUCCAUAAACCAUUUUAUACGGAGACAUACCCAUAUGAUUCUUAUAUGCAGUUAUAUAGGCCCAUAAUGCAUCAUCAAGUUUCUUGGACCAAUUCUUCCUAGACCUAUUAAUAGUCUUUUGCAAAAUUAAUUUGAGCUCUCUAUUGCUCAAUUCUACUUGACCACUAGACUGCGGGUGAUAAGGGGAUGCAAUUCUAUGAUUAACAUCACAUUUAGCAAGCAUUUUAUGGAAAGCACCAUGAAUAAAGUGUGAACCACCAUCAGUCAUUAAAUAUCUAGGGACUCCAAACCUCGGAAAAAUAACUUCCUUAAGCAUUUUAAUAGAGGUGUUAUGAUCAGCACUACUAGUUGGAAUAGCUUCUACCCACUUAGUAACGUAAUCAACAGCAACCAAAAUAUGUGUAUAUCCAUUAGAGGCAGGAAAAGGUCCCAUAUAAUCAAAGCCCCAAACAUCAAAUGGUUCUAUAACAAGUGAAUAAUUCAUAGGCAUUUCAUGACGUCUACUAAUAUUACCAAUUCUUUGGCAUUCAUCACAAGACAAGACAAACUUACGGGCAUCCUUGAAAAGAGUAGGCCAAUAAAAACCGGAUUGCAAUACCUUAUGUGCAAUUCUAUCUCCAGCGUGGUGUCCUCCAUAAGCUACGGAGUGACACUUGCGUAGGAUUUGUUCAUGUUCAUGCUCAGGCACACAACGUCUAAUAACACCAUCUACUCCUUCUUUAUAAAGAUGUGGGUCAUCCCAAAAGUAAUGUCGCAAAUCAUAGAAAAACUUUUUCUUUUGCUGGUAUGUGAAGCUAGGUGGUAUAAAUAUAGCAACAAUAUAAUUAGCAUAAUCAGCAUACCAUGGAGUGCUAUGAGAAGUGCUUAUGACAUUUAAUUGUUCAUCAGGAAAGCUAUCAUCAAUAGGUAGUGGGUCAUCAAGAACAUUCUCUAACCUAGACAAGUUGUCUGCAACGGGGUUCUCAGCUUUUUUUUCUAUCAACAAUAUGUAAAUCAAAUUCUUGUAGCAAAAGAGAACCCAUCUAAUAAGUCUAGGCUUUGCAUCUUUCUUUUCCAUAAGAUAUUUAAUAGCAGCAUGAUCAGUGUGAAUAGUUACUUUAGAAUCAACAAUAUAGGGUCUGAAUUUAUCACAAGCAAAUACAACUGCUAAAAGUUCCUUUUCAGUAGUAGCAUAAUUUCUUUGAGCAUUGUCUAGAGUCUUACUAGCAUAAUGGAUAACAUUUAAUUUCUUAUCAACUCUUUGUCCUAGAAUAGCACCUACAGCAUAAUCACUAGCAUCACACAUAAUUUCAAAGGGUAAAUUCCAAUCAGGUGGCUGAACAACAGGUGCAGAGACUAAUGCUUUCUUAAGUAUUUCAAAUGCUUCUACACAAUCAUCAUCAAAGACAAAUGGUACAUCUUUUUGUAAUAAAUUAGUCAGAGGCCGAGAAAUUUUUGAGAAGUCCUUAAUGAACCUCCUAUAAAAUCCGGCGUGACCAAGGAAACUUCUUAUACCUUUGAUGUCCUUGGGACAUGGCAUCUUUUCAAUAGCAUCAACCUUGGCUUUAUCAACUUCAAUACCUCUUUCAGAAACUUUGUGCCCCAAGACAAUACCUUCAUUAACCAUAAAGUGGCACUUUUCCCAAUUCAAGACAAGAUUAGUUUCUUCACAUCUCUGCAAAACUCGAUCAAGAUUGCUCAAGAAAUCAUCAAAAGAGGAUCCAUAGACGGAAAAGUCGUCCACGAAAACCUCACAAAUCUUUUCACAAAAGUCGGAGAAUAUAGCCAUCAUGCAUCUUUGAAAGGUAGCAGGUGCAUUACAUAGACCAAAAGGCAUACGUCUAUAAGCAAAAGUACCAAAAGGGCAUGUAAAAGUAGUCUUUGAUUGAUCUUUAGCCGACACAGGUAUUUGAGAGAAACCAGAAUAACCAUCUAGAAAGCAAUAAUGUGUAUGUUUGCAUAAUCUUUCUAGCAUCUGAUCAAUAAAAGGUAAGGGGUAAUGAUCUUUCUUAGUAGCUUUAUUUAAUUUGCGGAAAUCAAUUACCAUCCUAUAACCUGUGAUAAUUCUUUGAGGGAUCAAUUCAUCUUUAUCAUUAGGGACAACAGUAAUACCUCCCUUCUUAGGGACACAAUGGACAGGACUUACCCACUGACUAUCAGCAACGGGAUAAAUUAUACCUGCCUCCAGAAGCUUGAGUAUUUCUUUUCUUACCACUUCUUUCAUUUUAGGAUUCAAACGUCGUUGAGGAUCACGAACUGGUUUGGCAUCCGCUUCCAAAUUUAUUUUAUGUUGACAUAGAGUGGGACUAAUGCCCUUAAGAUCAUCAAGAGUAUAUCCAAUAGCGGCACGGUGCUUCUUCAGAGUUUUCAAUAAUCUUUCUUCUUCAUGCUCUGAAAGGUUAGCACUAAUAAUAACAGGAUAUAUUUUCUUUUCAUCAAGAUAAGCAUAUUUAAGAUUAUCAGGCAAUGGUUUAAGCUCAAACACGGGAUCACCCUUGGGUGGAGGAGGAUCCCCUAGGAUUUCAACAGGCAAAUUGUGUUUCAGAAUAGGUUCCUGUUUAAAGAAUACUUCAUCUAUUUCCCUUCUUUCAUUCAUGAACAUAUCAUUUUCAUGGUCUAGCAAAUAGUGUUCUAAAGGAUCACUAGAAGGUACGACAAUAGAAGCAAGACCAAUAAUUUCAUCCUUACUAGGCAAUUCUUCUUCACGAUGUUGUUUACUAAAUUUAGAGAAAUUAAACUCAUGAACCAUAUCAUCCAAGCCAAUAGUAACAACAUUCUUUUUGCAGUCUAUCUUAGCAUUAACAGUAUUCAAGAAGGGUCUACCAAAUAUAAUGGGACAAAAGCUAUCUUGUGGAGAACUAAGAACAAGAAAAUCAGCAGGAUAUUUAGUUUUCCCACACAAGACUUCAACAUCUCUAACAAUUCCCAUUGCAGAUAUAGUAUCUCUAUUGGCAAGUUUAAUUGUAACAUCAAUAUCUUCUAACUCAGCAGGUGCAAUUUCAUGCUUGAUUUCCUUAUAUAAAUCAUAAGGUAUAACACUAGCACUAGCACCCAUAUCACAUAAGCCAUGAUAACAAUGAUCUCCUAUUUUAACAGAAAUAACAGGCACGCCUACCACAUGCAUAUGUUUAUCUUUAUCACACGGUUUAGCAAUUCUAGCAGUUUCACCGCAGAACUGAAUAACAUGCCCAUCAAUAUUAUCAGACAAGAGAUCCUUAACAAUAGCAAUAUUAGGUUCUACUUUGACUUGCUCAAGAGGUGUAUAAGUUCUAAUAUUGCUUUUAUGAACAACAGUUGAAGCUUUAGCAUGAUCCUUUAUUCUAACAGGGAAAGGUGGUUUCUCAACAUAAGAAGCAGGAACAAUAGGAUCAUUAUAAGUGACAGUCUUUUCUUCAACUUUAAUAGGUGCAGCUACUUUUACUUCUAUGGGAGGAUGAUAUUUAAACCACUUCUCCUUGGGGAGAUCAACAUAAGUAGCAAAAGAUUCACAGAAAGAAGCUACUAUCUCAGAGUCAAGUCCAUAUUUAGUGCUAAACUUACGGAAAAUAUCGGUAUCCAUAAAAGAUGUAACACAAUCAAACUUAGGUGUCAUACCUGACUCCUUACCUGCGUCGAGGUCCCAAUCUUCAGAGUUGCGUUUAAUUCUAUCCAAUAAAUUCCAUUUAAAUUCAAUAGUCUUCAUCAUAAAAGAGCCAACACAAGAAGUAUCGAGCAUGGUGUGAUUGUUUUCAGAAAGCCGAGCAUAAAAACUUUGAAUAAUUAUUUCUCUUGGGAGCUCAUGAUUGGGGCAUGAAUAUAAUAUUGAUUUAAGCCUCCCCCAAGAUUGAGCGAUGCUUUCUCCUUCGCGAGGCUAAAAAUUAUAUAUAUAAUUGCGACCACGAUGAACAAGAUGCAUAGGAUAAUAUUUUUGAUGAAAUUCCAAUUUCAAUCUUUUGUAGUUCCAUGAUCCCAUACCAUCACAUAGCCUAUACCAUGUCAAUGUGUCUCCCUUCAAAGAUAAAGGGAAGAUCUUCUUCUUGACAACAUCAUCGGGUAUACCUGCAAGCUUAAAUAAUCCACAAACCUCAUCCACAUAUAUUAAGUGUUCAUCAGGAUGCUUUCUUCCAUCUCCUACAAAAGUAUUAGCUAGCAGUUUUUCCAUCAUACCCGAAGGAACUUCAAAAGGAGUUUCAUUUUCAAUAGGUUCAGUAGGUUGGGGAGCAACUCUUUGCUCUACUGGACGGGGUGAAGAUACCCCGAACAAGCCCCUCAGAGAAUUACUUUCCAUAGUAACAAGUGACAGUAAAUUUCAGCACACUAUAUAAAUUUUUCCUUACCAAAUUCCACCUACCAAAGGCGCUACACUCCUCGGCAACGGCACCAGAAAAGAGUCUUGAUGACCCACAAGUAUAGGAGAUCUAUCGUAGUCCUUUCGAUAAGUAAGAGUGUCGAACCCAACGAGGAGCAGAAGGAAAUGAUAAGCGGUUUUCAGCAAGGUAUUCUCUGCAAGUACUGAAAUAAGUGGUAACAAAUAGUUUUGUGAUAAGAUAAAUUGUAACGAGCAACAAGUAACAAGAGUAAAUAAAGUGCAGCAAGGUGGCCCAAUCCUUUUUGUAGCAAAGGACAAGCCUGGACAAACUCUUAUAAUAGGAAAAGCGCUCCCGAGGACACAUGGGAAUAUCGUCAAGCUAGUUUUCAUAUGAUUCGCGUUUGGUACUUUGAUAAUUUGAUAUGUGGGUGGACCGGUGCUUGGGUGCUGUUCUUACUUGAACAAGAAUCCCACUUAUGAUUAACCUCUAUUGCAAGCAUCGGCAACUACAACAAAAGUAUUAAGGUAAACCUAACCAUAGCAUGAGACACAUGGAUCCAAAUCAGCCCCUUACGAAGCGACGCAUAAACUAGGGUUUAAACUUCUGUCACUCUAGCAACCCAUCAUCUACUUAUUACUUCCCAAUGCCUUCCUCUAGGCCCAAAUAAUGGUGAAGUGUUAUGUAGUCGACGUUCACAUAACACCACUAGAGGCUAGACAACAUACAUCUCAUCAAAAUAUCGAACGAAUACCAAAUUCACAUGACUACUAAUAGCAAGACUUCUCCCUUGUCCUCAGAAACAAACGUAACUACUCACAAAGCAUAUUCAUGUUCAUAAUCAGAGGGGUAAUAAUAUGCAUUAAGGAUCUGAACAUAUGAUCUUCCACCAAGUAAACCAACUAGCAUCAACUACAAGGAGUAAUCAACACUACUAGCAACCUACUAGCACCAAUCUCGGACAUGGAGACAAGAAUUGGAUACAAGAGAUGAACUAGGGUUUGGAGAUGAGAUGGUGUUGAUGAAGAUGUUGAUGGAGAUUGCCCUCUCCCAAUGAGAGGAGCGUUGGUGAUGAUGACGACGAUGAUUUCCCCCUCCUGAAGGGAAGUGUCCCCGGCAGAACAGCUCUGCCGGAGCCCUAGAUUGGUUCCGCCAAGGUUCUGCCUCGUGGCGGCGGAGUCUCGUCCCGAAAGGUUGCUUCCUGUUUUUUUCUUGAUGAAAGACUUCAUAUAGGAGAAGAUGGGCGUCGAAGAGCCACCAGGGGGCCCACGAGGUAGGGGGCGCGCCCCAGGGGGGGGGCACCCUCGUGAGCAGGGUGUGGGCCCCCUGGCCUUCAACUUUGGCGACAAUUUUUCUUUAUUUAUUUUAAGAUAUUCCGUGGAGUUUCAGGACUUUUGGAGUUGCACAGAAUAGGUCUCCAAUAUUUGCUCCUUUUCUAGCCCAGAAUUCCAGCUGCCGGCAUUCUCCCUCUUCAUGUAAACCUUGUAAAAUGAGAGAGAAUAGCCAUAAGUAUUGUGACAUAACGUGAAAUAACAACCCAUGAUGCAAUAAAUAUCGAUAUAAAAGCAUGAUGCAAAAUGGACGUAUCAAGGGGGCACCCGAGGUGGGCACAACCCACCUGGGCGCGCCUGCCUCCAGGCGCGCCCAGGUGGGUUGUGCUCCUCUCGGAGCAACCCCGAGAUGCUUUCCUGGCCCACUGGAUGCCUUCUGGCCCAAAAAAAUUCCUCAAGAAGUUUCGCUGCGUUUGGACUCCGUUUGAUAUUCAUUUCCUGAGAUGUAAAAAAACAUGCAGAAAACAGCAACUGGCACUGGGCACUAUGUCAAUAGGUUAGUACCAAAAAAUGAUAUAAAAUGACUAUAAAAUGAUUGUAAAACAUCCAACAAUAAUAAUAUAACAGCAUGGAACAAUCAAAAAUUAUAUAUACGUUGGAGACGUAUCAAGAAUCACUAGGGACACAAUAUUUGUUUAUGUAUCCACACAUGUAUUUAAGCUUCCGAUCAAUACAAUUCUAGCAUGAAUAAGAAACCUUUGUCAUGAAUAAGGAAUAUAAUAAUAACAACUUUAUUAUUGCCUCUAGGGCAUAUUUCCAUCAGACGGGCCAAGGCUCCCUAUGCCGGUUCCGCCCGGGUCAUCUUGUCAGCCCACUGGCCCUCUAGGAGACAGAAUUUGAAGCCUUUCCGUUCAAGAGAAAGAAGUCGGAUCCGUGGCGGACUCCUCUCCACCGACGUUGCCAACUAGGGCCCUUAUAACCCUAGGGCCCCCGAUAUCUUAUAUAAACCAGGUUUGGGCUAGUCGACAAAACAUUUUAGACAUUAUGUACACCCCAGUCGAAAUAUACACAAAGUAGGAGUAGGGUUUUACCUCCAUCAUGAGGACCUGAACCUUGGUAACUCGUUUCUUUCUCCUCCAUCAUAAGGAUACUCUCAGGUAGCAUGGAGGUGGAUGGCUGCUACUGAUCCAGGCAGAGGCAUGGUGGGGCGUGGCGCGGUCCAGUUUCAAGCGUGGCAAGCGGGCGGAUGCAUGCGAGUCCGGGCGUAACGAGAAGGUGCACAUGGUCCAGAUCCGCACGGUGCACGACAAGCUGGGGCUGGCCGGUGUAGUAGGGCGUGACCAGAAGGUAUUUGCGGCCCAGAUCCGCGUGGUGCGUGCUCCUACUGGCGUGUUGCUCACGAAUGUGCACUUUGCGACGUAAUGGAGGAGCUUGACGCAGGAUGCUAAGCGAGUGGUGCGAUGCACAGAUGGCUUGUUAGGGGGGUUUCUCGAGUCCUGGGACUUGGAGGGUGAUGCCGGCGAACGUUGUACUCUUACGAUGGCGCCUUCGAGCCCCUUUUCCUUGUUGGAGGUGUCAAGGUGGCAGUCCUCACUUUUCCUCCCCACGAGCUACGGUGGAAAACCUAGAUCUGUUUUACCGAAUUGGGUGAUGGCAGCGUUGUUAGCUUUGCUUGGUGUUGCGUGCAUUCUCUCUUGAUGGCAUCUUUUCGGAGGUGCCACUCGGAGGGACUUGUGGCUUGUGGAGUUGGCCGGUGACGGCUAGAGUGUUUUCGCCCGUGUUGCAUUGCUUUAUUUGAGGUGUUCAUGUAAUACCCGUUUCUAAUCAAUGUGUUUUUUUUCGCAGGGUUCUAAUCAAUGGUUUUUAUUUUAUUUUUCACUCUCUUUUAAUGCUCUUUUUUUUUUGCGGGAACUCUCUUUUCAUGCUCUGCAACGUGCAAUAUGUACAUGGGGCUGGAGCGUACGCCGUCCACACGCGGGAGGUCGUCGUCUGCCGUCCCGACCGUAUACGUUCUCGCCACGUCAUCGAUCCGCGCGAAAGCUCAUCAUGGUCGUCCAUCCCAAGCAUCACCGAACGGCCGGAACCACUCCACGCCAUCGAUCCGAGGCAUCAUCCUCUCCGCCAACCACAGCCCCUCCUCCCCGCUCCCUACAUAACCUCGCCGCCCCUAUCCGUCUUUGCACACCGCAGCAUCAGCAGCCCGCCUCACAUCCCACCCAAACCCAGCCUCCCCACACGCUCCAACCACCAGCACGCAUGGCACCCAAGGCGGCGGAGAAGAAGCCGGUGGUGGCCGCGGAGAAGACCCCGGCGGGGAAGAAGCCCAAGGCGGAGAAGCGGGCGCCGGCGUCCAAGGAGGCCGGCGGCGAGGGCAAGACGAGGGGCAGGAAGAAGGGCAGCAAGGCCAAGAAGGGCGUGGAGACGUACAAGAUUUACAUCUUCAAGGUGCUGAAGCAGGUGCACCCGGACGUAGGCAUCUCCUCCAAGGCCAUGUCCAUCAUGAACUCCUUCAUCAACGACAUCUUCGAGAAGCUCGCCGGGGAGUCGGCCAAGCUGGCGCGGUACAACAAGAAGCCCACCAUCACGUCCCGGGAGAUCCAGACCUCCGUCCGCCUCGUCCUCCCUGGGGAGCUCGCCAAGCACGCCGUCUCCGAGGGCACCAAGGCCGUCACCAAGUUCACUUCAUCCUAGGCGUUGUCGUUGUUUCAUGAGUUGAUGGCGGCAGGCAUCGUGUAUGUAGUUGGCAGCAGUGUGAUGUUACAAUCUCUGUAAGAAUUGUGCUGCUUGCGGCCCUGAAGAAAUAGUGAUGUUGCUGUUUGAAUCAAUGUUGCUGUGUGCUUGUCUGUCGCUUCAGUGAUAGCUUGUGUGCUUGACUCUCUUCUUGAUGCCAUUUGUUUAUGUCAACAAGUUUCUACUGUGAUAGUUUAUCUAGUUUAAUUUGCUGUCAUUUUAUCUACUGUGAUUGUUUCCAAGUCUGCACAUAGAAACCUCUGAUUUUAAAUCUACAAUCUUUGGAGUUUGUUUUCUUAACCUAUAUACUGUUGCUGCCAUUUGAGUAAAACUGAAGUUGGCGAGCUUUGUUAAUUUCUGACAGAUCUUUCCAAGUUUUUCCCUUAGUGGACUUGUUAUCCAUAUGGCAAGAUGCCAAGAACAGCUUGACCGCUAGUGCUCAGAAAGUCACAAUGCAUUAGAUUCAGAUUAGCUUCUUGAGAUAAAUUAGAGGCUUUUCACAAAAAAAGAAGAAAUAAAUUAGAGGCAGCGCACCCAUGUUUUUUAGAGUCAAGGAGCAAGCUAGAUGGAACCAUCAUCUUUUUAGGAUGGCAUACCUGAGUUUUUUUCUCUAUAUAUGUUUAUACUACAGUAGCUAAUUUUCCUUUGUUCUACUACUACACUUGGUAAUUUGUGAUCACGAAGCCACCAAUUUUGUGAAGGUGCAAAGUUUUUUUCUAUUGAUUCAUUUCUCUAUGUUUAUGUACAUUUGUAUGGAUAUAUGAAUUCUAAGUUACUUGCAUUGGCAAUAACCCUUCACCAUUCGCCAUCUUUGGUUACGGGAGCUGUUCCUCAUUUGUGUUAGAUGAUGUUACUAGAGGCCUCAUGUUACUAUCUUGUAGGAGUUGUGCCGCGUGAAAUAGUACUGUUGCUGUUUAAAUUAAUGAUCAAGGUCUGCUUGCAUGUCACAUCAGAUUCUUUACAUAGAAGUUUUUAGUUUGCACUCUCGAAAUGUUUUUAGUUUGCAUUUCUGUAGUUAGUUCAUGACUUGCUGUUGUCCAGGUUUUGUUAGCAGCUUUCUCAUUUUCUCUACUCAUUUUGGCGCCAUAUCAAAAUUUCAAACCUCUACUGUUGGCGCCAUAUCAAAGCACUUGGACGUCAUGCUGUGAGCCAGCCUGGAGGAAUUGGAACUUUUGGAAGGUGCAGCAAGCACUGCCAGCAACAGAGGCAUUUGAGCUGUGACUGUUGUUGACAGGCAUUCAAACCUUGCGGAUAUCGUAGGGAGUUUGACGGAAUAUUUGCAAAGAAUUGCUAGGUGAAUCAAGGCACCUCAAAUUAUGCUAUUUUAGCUGGGUCCUGUUUGAAUCGUUCUCAUUUCCAGUUUUCUUGAUCUUUAGCAGAUGUGUCAUCCCCCUUCCCCUCUUAAUGCAGAAGCAGAGCUCCUGCUGCCAAAGUCAAAAUAGAUGCAAAAGCCACAAAUGCAGAUGAACCCAUUUUCCAACCAAAAAACAUAGGUCAAAAUGAGAGAAAUGGUUAGAGGGGACUGAAGCUCGACAAACAGAAAAGGUGGAGUGGGAAAAGCCGAUUUGAUUGUCUGAAGGAACAACUUGCGGCGCUAAAGAUGCAGUUGAGGUGCAAGAGAGCCAAUACAACUUGAGGUACGCCCUUAGCUAAAUCCAGUAGUACAAACAACCAAGGCUCCAUGGACAUGAGGCGAAAACAAUCUGGUACAACAAUAUAUGCCUAGGUUGUUUUUUCCGAUAAAGGGUGUUUUCUUACUGACUCAUAAUGUAGCAUGGAGGGAUACAAUCAUAAUUUAUACACAGCCGGCCUCUGCAUAACUAGGAUGCACGCAGCCAACAAACACACGCACUAACCGACCACACCGCCAAAAAGCAAAGCCAUAUAAGACCAAAGCCAUGCCUAUGCAGAGGAAAAAAAACCAAGCAAUAAAAAUAACAAUUGACGAUAUAUAGCAGUGACCAUCGGAGCCAACCAUUUCUUGGCAACACAAGGACUACGAACAACAUAUGCCUAGGUGGAAACCGUGACGUGGGUUUUCCAUUAGUAAGAAAGAGUAAAAACUGGUAAACACUGGUAAACUAAAAUGAACUUCAUAGUGGCCUUGGCCAUGGAUAUUUCUUACAUUGGAGCUGUAAAUCUGGCAGGCGAUGACUAUGCAGAACUUUUUGGCAAAGCUUGCCACCAAAGAGAACUAGGGAUCAACGGGCAUCUCCAUGGGAAUCGUUGGUACAAGUACAUAUACAGUUUGGUGUUCCUGGUCACUUUUUCAGCAAGAUCUUGCAAGAGGUCCGCUAUUUGGACCCUUCUGACUACAAACAUAAUCUCUUUUCUCGACAAUAGAACGAUAACCCAUCACCAGUUUACUGACUUGGAAAAUUGGCAAUCCAUCCAUAACGGCAGCCUGAAACAUGUCUUUGAGCAUCAUUUGCUUAGCUUGGUAGUUUCUACAAGGCAUCCAAGCUUCUGCCUAUUUUUUCUUCUAUCCAGGCAAGUCUCCUCUCAAGUUUUAGCACACUGGCAUGAAUAACCCUAAUAUCAACCUUUGCAAGCUUGGCAAAUGAGUGUACCAACAUGUAAUAAUCAGCGUGUCCAACACAAUCGAGACUACCAGUUAUAUUGUUUUCUUUCUAUAGUGAAGAUAGCCAUCUGAUCUCGGGCACUUCCUUGGCGGCAUAUAACAAAGUCCAUGGUCUUCCAUUUCUGACUUGAUACUUAGUAUCCCUGAUGAUGAUGAAGAAAAGCACCUUGCGCCAACAAAAUUCCAUCUCGACCUCGUUUAUUCACUCCAGUUGUGGUUCUUGUUAAACAUAUUGUAACGUGACAUACAUUGUAACGUAGCAUGUAGCGCCGGCUAGGUUGCUAGGAUCGAUCUCUAUCCUCAUGUAACCGUAGCCUUAUCUCUCCAUCUCUUUCCUUGGUUCACAAGUUGUAAUCCCAACCAAUUGUAUGCGCUAUCCAGGGAGGUGCGCCCCUGUUAUAUUAACACGCAGCGCGUCCCUCCAACGAGGUAAGACGCUUAAGCCAACCUUCACAUGGUAUACAGAGUCUCCCUCUUCCUAUACAUCUAGCAUCCAUCGUUUUCCAUCCACGAGCUCGCCAUGUCCUCCUCCUCCACCAGUGCUCCUCUGGCCGUCCUCAAUGGUCAGGUUACAGAGAAGCUCACCUGGACGAACUACGUCCUCUGGCGUGUGCAGGUCACGCCACAGCUGAUCGGGGCUGGUGUCUUCGGCUAUGCCGAAGGGACAAUCAAAGAACAAGAGAAGUUCAUCGUCACCAAGGACAAAGACGGCAAGGAAUCAGCCUCACCGAAUCCUCUUCAUCAAGUCUGGGUGCGGGAAGAUCAGCAGGUAUUGGCAUAUUUGCUGGUUAAUCUUUCCAGAGAAGUUCUUGUCCAGGUGACCAACAUCCACAAGGCGCACGAGCUCUGGGCUGCGGUGGCGAACAUGUUUUGUCCUAGUCCAGAUCGCGUGUGAACAACAUCCGUGUCGCCCUCUCCAACGCAGAGAAGGGCACAGAGACGGUGGGCGCCUACUUCGCCUAUAUGCGUGGCCUCGCCGACGAGCUAGCAGCUGCUGGCAAGCCUCUAGAUGACGACGAACAGAUCUCCUACAUCAUCGCCGGGAUGGGUAUGGAGUACCAGCCACUGGUGUCAGCCCUCGACGCCCGCACCGACCUGUCACGCUCGAUGAUCUGUUCGCUCAGAUGAGCAACUUUGAUCAGUGCGUGGCGAUGUUCCAAGGCAGCAACGGCAGCGGUUUCAAGUCCUCCGCCAACGCCGCUAUUCGUGGUGGCCGUGGUGGCUCCCGCCACCAUGGUCCGCCGCGCGGCAAGAGCAAAGGAAAUGGCAGCGGCAACUACAGCAACAGCAACGGUGGCGGUGCUCCUCGCACCGGUGCCGGCGGACGGCCCUCCUCCAACAACAAUAGGGGCCGUCGUUCCUCCUCCAGAAUCGCCCCGAUGCUGUCCGCUGUCAUAUAUGCGGAAAGCUGGGCCACUCCGCUAAAGACUGCUGGUACAGGUUCGAGGAAGAUGAAGGUGACUCCUCCCAGGACGAAAAAGUUGUUGGUGCUGCCGAAGCUUCAUACGGUGUAGAUACAAAUUGAUACAUGGAUAGUGGUGCUACAAACCACAUCACCGGUAAGUUGGAGAAAGUAACCAUGCGGGAGAAAUACCGUGGUCAAGACCAUAUCCACACUGCCAGUGGAGCAGGUAUGAGGAUCAAACAUGUUGGUCAUUCAGUUGUUAAAACCCCUUAUCGUCCAAUUCACCUCAGAAAAAUACUACAUGUCCCUAGUGCAUUUAAAAAUCUUCUUUCCGUCCAUCGAAUUGCUAUUGACAAUCAUGUGUUUCUCGAGGUUCGCCCCUUUUUUCUUUUUGAUCAAGGAUCAGGCAACGAAGAAGGUUCUCUACCGAGGUAGAUGUGUUCGAGGGCUUUACCCAUUGGUUCCGGAGUUUAGAAGAUUCAAUAAGCAAGCAUAUGGUGUCACCAAACUCUCAACGACGAGGUGGCACGAUAGACUAGGGCAUGCAUCUUUUUCUUAAGUUGAACGAUUGCUUAGGAAGAAUAAGCUCCCAUAUGUUGGAGAGCGUGAUAUUGAAACCAUUUGUGAUUCUUGUCAAAGAGCUAAAAGUCAUCAGCUACCCUAUCCAAUUUCAACUAGUAUUUCUACCAAACCUUUGCAACUCAUUUUCUCUGAUGUAUGGGGGCCUGCCCCAGUUCAGUUGGUAGACACACAUACUAUGUUAGUUUCAUCGAUGACUAUAGCAAGUACUCUUGGAUCUAUCUUCUUAAGAAACGAUCCGAUGUUUUUCAAGUGUUUCAAAACUUCCAAGCUCUCGUUGAACGAAAGUUUGAUAGCAAAGUUAUUGCUGUCCAAUCUGAUUGGGGAGGGGAGUACGAAAAAUUAAACUCCUUUUUCCAAACUCUCGGUGUCUCUCACCAAGUGUCAUGCCCUCAUGCCCAUCAACAGAAUGGGUCUGCUGAACGCAAGCACGGACACAUUGUUAAGGUUGGCCUUGCCCUUUUAGCUGGCGCAUCCAUGCCCCUUAAAUUUUGGGACGAAGCUUUUCUAUCUGCUGUUCACAUCAUUAACAUGUUGCCUAGUAAAGUCAUCAACAAUGAAACUCCAGUUGAACGACUCCUCCAUACCAAACCAGACUAUGCAUCGCUUCGUGUCUUUGGUUGUGCAUGCUGGCCAAAUCUUAGGCCAUACAAUCAGCGCAAACUUAUGUUUCGAUCAACACAAUGUGUUUUCUUAGGCUAUAGUCCCCAACACAAGGGCGUAAAAUGCCUAGAUGUUCCCACUGGACGCGUCUACAUAUCUCGUGACGUUCUUUUUGAUGAAACCAAAUUUCCUUUCGCUGAUCUACACCCCAAUGCCGGUGCACUCCUUCGCAAAGAAAUUCUUCUUCUACCUCCUAGUCUUGUUGGCGAUCAUGGGGAACACAACUGUAAUGAUCACAUGACUAAUCCUCCUAAUACCUUGGCUGAAUUGUGUGAUGAUGUAGACCAGCACAGCGAAGGCGAUGCAGCAAACAGAUUUGAAAAUAAUGAAGAAACAACCCAAACAGGGUGAUAUUUCAUGUGCAGGGACUUGGGGGACAAAUCUACAUCGGGAUCGGCUCCUCGUCAGGACGACAGGCUAUCUCCUUUGGGAUUCGCCCCGUCUGCAUGCACGCGGGCCGCAGGUGCCAGCGAUCUGCUCGACAGCGACCGCCCCGGCCGCUCCAUCUCGACCACGCGGCGCGCCUCCACCGACCCGGAGCCCUCCUCCGACCCGCACCAAUCACCGACUGCCACGUGGCGGUCUCCAAGUCGCUUCCCCGACUCCAUCCACUGCUAUGCGCGGCGUCAGCACCAACCGAUCGGCGCGGGCUCCCAUGAGCCAACCGCCACAGGCGCUGCGGCUCUGACGCACCCACCUGGUCCGGAAUCUGGCGCCACCCCAUCUGCUCCUCGGGAUGCCGCGACGCCCGGAUCUUCUGUGCUGCACCGCGCUGCUUCGUCACGCCCUUCAGCCGCAGACAAUCCUGAUCCAGAGGCGCCUGCUCCAGGGGGAUCUACUGCAUAUUCUCUAGGAUCUUCUGCGAUUGCUGCUGCUACAGCGCCUGCUACACCACCUCGGACACAUCUCUAAAGAGGGGUAACUCAACCUGUUAAUUAUAAAAAAAAUUCUCAAGUAUGGUCUGGCAUGUUCCACAGGUGAACCACAGUCUUUGCAUGAGGCACUUGGUGACACACGUUGGAAACAAGCUAUGGAUGAAGAAUACAAGGCACUUCUGAAAACAACACCUGGCACUUAGUUCCCCCACAACAAGGUAAAAAUCUCAUUGACUGUAAGUGGGUCUUCAGGAUCAAAAAAAGGUCUGAUGGAACUAUUAAUCGCUACAAAGCUCGACUUGUUGCAAAAGGCUUCAAGCAACGGUAUGGUUUAGAUUACAAGGACACCUUUAGUCCUAUUGUCAAAUUUGCAACUAUCCGCUUGGUUCUGUCUAUUGUUGUAUCCAGGGGAUGAACUCUCAGGCAGCUAGAUGUUUAGAACGCGUUUCUCCAUGGUGUUCUGGAAGAGGAAGUAUAUAUGAAGCAACCUCCUAGGUUUGAAAACAAGAACACUCCCUUUCAAGUCUGCAAACUUGACAAAGCACUGUAUGGGCUCAAGCAAGCCCCCGGGCCUGGUACUCACGACUCAGUCAGAAAAUGCAGUCACUUGGCUUUAUUCCAUCCAAGUCUGAUACAUCCUUGUUCAUAUACAAUAAGUCAAACACGGCUAUAUUUGUGCUUAUCUAUGUCGAUGACAUUAUUGUUACCAGCUCAUCUAAUGAUGCAAUGACAGGAUUGUUAAAGGACUUGGGUGUAGAAUUUGCACUCAAAGACCUAGGAGAUCUGCACUUCUUCCUAGGCAUUGAAGUCAAGAAACUUGGAGAUGGACUGCAUCUCUCUCAGGAGAAAUAUGUCAAUGAUAUUGUUAAAAGAGUUGGACUGCAAGGAUGUAAGCCAUCACCAACCCCUUUGUCUAAUACAGAAAAAUUGUCUAUUACAAAAGGAGAACUCCUGAAUCAGGAAGAUAGCACUAAAUACAGAAGUCUGGUAGGUGCACUUCAGAACUUGACAAUUACUAGGCCAGAUAUUUCAUUUGCCGUUAACAAAGUUUGCCAGUUUCUUCAUGCACCUACUACAAAUCAUUGGACUGCUGCAAAGCGUAUAGUCAGAUAUGUGAAAGCCACUAUGAAUGUUGGUCUUAGCUUUAACAAGUCUUCAUCUACCCUUGUUAGUGCCUUCUCAGACUCUGAUUGGGCAGGAGAUAUUGAUGAUAGACGCUCAACUGGUGGCUUUGCAAUACUUUUUGGACCUAACCUCAUAUCUUGGUGUGCAAACAAACAGGCCACUGUCUCAAGAUCAACCACAGAGGCAGAAUAUAAAGCAUUAGCAAAUGCUACAGCUGAGAUAAUCUGGGUACAGUCCAUGCUCAAGGAACUUGGUAUAAGACAGAGUCAAGUUCCUUGUCUUUGGUGUGACAAUCUUGGUGCCACGUAUUUGGCUGCUAAUCCUGUCUUUCAUGCAAGAACAAAACAUAUUGAGAUAGAUUUCCACUUUGUUCGAGAAAGAGUUGCUAACAAAGACUGGAGAUCCGUUUUGUUCAUUCCAGAGAUCAAGUUGCAGAUAGAUUCACCAAGGCAUUACCAACAAGGAAUUUUGAAGAAUUCAAGCGUAAUCUCAACUUGACCAAGUUGUGAUUAAGGGAGGGUGUUAAACAUAUUGUAACGUGACAUACAUUGUAACGUAGCAUCUAGCGCCGGCUAGGUUGUUAGGAUCGAUCUCUAUCCUCCUGUAACCGUAGCCUUAUCUCUCCCUCUCUUUCCUUGGUUCACAAGUUGUAAUCCCAACCAAUUGUAUGCGCUAUCCAGGGAGGUGCGCCCCUGUUAUAUUAACACGCAGCGCGUGCCUCCAAUGAGGUAAGACGCUUAAACCAAUCUUCACAGUUCUUAUUUCCUCCAUGUGUGCUUUUGGAUUCUCAUCCUACAAUGCAACAGAUUUAGCCAUCAAGUCAACAACAUCACCCCCAAAAGAAAUGCAGCAAAUCCUCAAGGUACUACAUUGUACAAAUUUUAAGCACAAAUAUGCUGCGAACAAAUAGAGAUUUUUUACAAUUAAUAAUUGUUUUUCUAUUUAUCUUUUAAUUUUAUAAUUUUGUUGUUUCUCAAAAAGAAACCCAGUUGUGUUUGGUUUCUAGAAUCAUUUACGUUUUCUUUCAUGCUGAUUUUGUUCCUGAAAUAACAUUCAUAGAUAGAAAUUGUUAGUGGUUUGUACCCAAGGUUUAGAAAUUCUGCAUUCGUAGAGAUUAGAAGUUCAAAAUAAAUAUAGUAUGUGAUUAGAGUAAAAUAGAAAACUCUAUCUGAAUAGCAACUUUAUUGUUUUUAAGCUUUUAAAUUUAUAACAUGCAGUUGCUCAAAAUAAAACAAAAUAUUAUUCAAACCAAUUGUGUUUGGUUUCUCAGAUCUUUUGCGUUUUUUUGUUCUGAUUUUGUUCCUGAAAUAGUAUCCAUACAUAGAACCUUGUUAAUGGUUUGCACUAAAGGUCCAGAUCGAAAGGCACUAGGCACUAGGCACUAAAGGUCCACGCGUUUUGUGAUAAUUCAUGAUGAAUAAUUCCAAUAAAGUUUAAUUAUUUUUAAUACCCAAAAUACAUUUUCUUAGUAUGCGAAGAACAUUUUUAGUACAUGGUCUUUUUUAAAAACACGUGGAUUAUCGUUAGUGAAAUAUAAAUAUUUUGUGCACACUAUAAACAUUUUUUAAAAAUAAAGUAUUGUCAUUUUCAGUAAAUUGUAAAACAUCCUUGAUAUACAUCAAAUAAUUUUUAACAAAGAAGUUAUUCUUUAAUACACAAAGAAAAACUUUUAAAUAAUUAGCUAAUAUUUUUCUAAUAUGUAAUAAAAUAAUUAAUACAUGUCGAGCCUUUAUAAUACGCAUGCACAUUUUUAAUACUCCCUCCGUUCCAAAAUGUAGUGCAUACAGUUUUCUUUUUGGAAAAGUCAAAGUUUACAAACUUUGACUAAAUUUAUAGAGAAGAAUAUUUAUAUCUAGAAUACCAAAUAUAUAAAAUACUCCCUCCGUCCAAAAAUAACUAUCGCUCAAACGAAUGUAUCUAGCACUAAAAUACAUCUUGAUACAUCCUUUUGAGCAACGGUUAUUUCUGGACGGAGGUAGUAUGAGACUACAUCUUAUGAUGAGUAUAAUGAUAUAUAUGUUUGGCAAUCUAGAUGUAAGUGUUUUUCUUUAAAAAAUAGGUCUAAGUUGGUGAGGUUUGACUUCUCAAAAAAUCUAUAUGCAGUACAUUAUGGAACGGAGGGAGUACAUGAAAAAACAUACUCCUAUCUCAAAGCAUGGGGACCAUUUUUUAGAAAGUGAUUUCAUAAAUGGUAUGGGGAAAGGAAAAAAGAAAUAAACAGAAAAAACAGGAGAAAGGAAACCCCAAAAGGGAAAACAAUAAAUGUAUAAAAAGAAAAAGGAAUAGAAAAGUAAAUAUGAAAGAAAAACUAAAGUGAAAGAAACAGGAAAACAAGAAAAAAAAGGGAAACAAGAGUUAAACAGAAAAUAUAUGCACAUAAACCACCCAUCCCAUAGGAAAUAGAGGCAAAACGAGGGAGGCAAACCCCCAUACAUUACCCGAGCCAUGACCCAUGUCGAGAUUGCUAGAGGCGAGUACAUGGUAUAUCUAGCAAUAAGCUAGAUAUUCUUUGUAAAAACAAACAACCAAUUGAGAACCGCUGCCAAUACAUAACAGAGCGGCUCCGGGCCUCUUUAUUAUGUAAAAACAAACACCAAUUUUUUUAUGUGAAAACGUGAACAUUAUUAGAAUUUGUCAACACUUUUCUAAAACGAGAACAUGUGUUGAAAAUAAAACAUCUUUAGAAAAUGUGUAUCUUUUAUACACGAACAUUUUUUUUAAUUUUGAAAAUUUCACCAAACAUGAAUAUUUCAAAUUUGGAGAAUUUUUUGGAAUGUCAUUUUCUAUUUAGAAAUCUCAAACAAUUUUGAACAAAAAUAAAUGGCUAACUUUUUGCAAGUUCCGAAUAUUUUUCAAAAUAGUAACAAUUUUUUGAAAUUCUGAACAUUUUGCCAAUUGUGAAGUUUUAAUUUACGAAAUAAAUUCAAAAAUAAAAAUAAACUUGGAAGAGGAAAAACAGACAGGGAAAGGAGAAUAAAAAUAGAAGUAAAACACAGAAAAAAAGAAAAAUUGGCAGCCCAUUAUUGGAUGUCCUGUGCGAAACUCCGACUAUUUCUCGCACUAUGCAGAAAAUAUAUUAUGUUCCCAACUGCGUGGGAAGAAAAAUAAGUGUGUUGGCUUCGCCGGGCCACAAUGUGCGGUCCACGUAAGAAUUUGUUUUUUCUAGCAGACAAACAUAUAAGAAUUUAGUACCACCUCGGGUAGAAAAAAAUACUUUCAGCGGUGAACGGAUGAAAAAUUAUAUAGUUUUGUGAAAAGAACAUAUUGCAUCACCAUAUUCAAAUCUUUCAUUUUGCCUUUUUCCCAAAUUUUCCGAAAAUAAAUUAAUAUUUGUGGAUUGAAAAAUAUUUUUAAAACAUGAACAAUUUUUAAAAUACCGAAAAGUUUUCUGAAAAUUUCGUUCAUUUUGGACAAAGGUGAACACCAUUUGAAAUAGGGAGAUUUUUUUAGACUUCACAAACAUUUAUCGAAAACAUGAACCUUUGAAAAAGCACUAAGGUUUUUUUAAUUUAGGAUUUUUUUUUAAUAGAAACAUGUUUUGAGCAUUUAUAACAAUCUUUGAAAAUGUAUUUAUUUUUAACCACUGUCGUUAUUUUGAAUUUGUGAACAUUUCAUUAAACAAGAAUAUAUAUCAAAUAUGGAACAUAUUUUAAAAAUCCAAUUUUAUUUCGAAAAUCCCAAUUUUUUGGGAGAACACAAUUUUUUUGAAAAAAUGGAACCUUUUCUCAAAUCCAAUUUUAUUUUGAAUACCUGUUUUUUGGAAAACAUAAACAUUUUUUAAAAAUUUGGAUUGUUUUUGUAAUUUUGAACAAAUUUGGAAUGAAUUUUUUUUCCAAGUUUCGAACAUUUUUAAGAACAGGAACAAAAGUUCGGAAAUCGGAAUUAUUUUCUAAAAAUUGAAAACACAAAUCUUAAUUCUGUUGUUUAAAUGUAUUUAAGGAAAAAACUAAAAAAUUCUAAAGUUUGCAGGAAAAGGAAAAAAGAAAUAGAGAAAGGAACAAAAAACAAAAUAGAAAUAAGACACAGAAAAAAAGAAAACGGUCUGGCCCAGCUUUGCGCCCUGUGCGAAGGUCAGACUAUUUGUCGCCGCGUGCGGUAAAUAGGGUUUUCCUAACUGUUUGCGCUGGGAAAUAAGUGGGCUCGCUUGGACGGGCCACAACGUGCACGACCCAUGUAUGAAAAUUACGUUUUCUUUUCUAGCAAACGGACGCACACAAAUUUAGUAGCACCUCGGAUAGGGGAAAAACUUUUCGGCGGUGAACGGAUGAAAAAAUUGGAGAAACGCACCUUAUUUUAUUAGUAGGUAUAGAUAUAGAUUAAAGCCAUGACGAGCUCGGCGUACUUUCGCUAUGAUGUUGCCUUCGGUGCAUCUGAAUUUCAAAUGCCAUCUUGUUUCCCGAUUGAUGAAGUCCACUCUCCGAACCAACUCCCAUCAUUGUCUUUUAAGAGCAUCUCCAAUGGACCCCAAAGACGGGAAGGGAGGGAGGGGAGGGGGUACUGAACGGUUUUUACUAGGCAUGAUCUCCACAAUGAUGCAACCUCAACCCCUCUUAAUAGCGCGACUUUCCUAAUAUUUAAAUAAACCAAAAAAUCAGUCAUCGACAAAUCAGCACAUUUUGAGCGAGGGGGAGGGGUGCACCAUCUCGUUCCUUUUCAUCAACGCUUUUAGUCCUACUAAACAUAUCAUCACAACAAAAUACAAUUAGGGUCUAUAUGCACUCUCAAAACUAUUUACUUUCCUUUUUUUAGUUAGAUGCACACAACAAAGAAAUAUAUUAAGAUAAAUACAUGUACACAUUGAUGGGUUUUGUGUACUAAUAACAACCACUUGGCUGGUUUCGUGUUUACAAACUCAUCUUUUCAGAAUCGUUUUCCUCCUGUCCCUGGCGGCUGGAACCCUAGCCGCCGCCAGGAGAGCCCAAUCUUUCGGCGCCGUCCUCCAGCGGCUCCCCUCCGCCGGCGACCUCGGUCGUCGGUGGUGGUGGGGGGGGGGGGUCGCCGGAUCCACGCGUGUGGAUUGUUUUUACUCCCUCGUAGUUUAGGUUUUUAGGCUGUUCAUCGUCUUUGCUUCGGCGGCACGAUGACAGCGCUGAAUAAAGAUUCUUCGGAUCCUUCCUUGACAAGGCCAUGGGUCCUAUGGUUGGGGAUGGAUUUGGAAACCAGUCGGUUCAAGCAAGGAUGGCGUGGCGGCGGCGGUAUCCUCAUGGUGGACCUGUGUCCUCGGGCUCCGCCAUUGCGACGAUGUUUGCUCCAGCAUCGGCGCGGAGCUUGGGAGGUAGUCCAGGAGCGGAUGCAGAUUGUGGUCUGCAUCGACGACAUCUGGAAGACGGAACAUGUGCUGGGUUCGUGGUUCGUGGAUGGCAGGUAUGGUUUCCUUCUGCGGCGUCUUAGUCGCGGUGGGGUGCCAGAUCUGGAGUUCGAUAGCGUGUCCGGGGUGUUGCCCCGGUCUGAUUCGUUCAACAAUAAGGGCUUCACUUUUGGUGAGCCACCUUGGAGGUCCGCAAAGCUGCAUAUCAGCGAUGAAACCGCGUCGAGCUCGGGUGAGGAGGUGAUCCAUCAUUGUUUUCUUCGGUGCCUAUUGUUGUGGUGCCGGAGGCAGGUGGUGGGCGUUGGUGUCAAGCUCAAAGAUGUUCUGCUAUCUUUUCAGUUUUGUCAUGUCGAUCCUUACGUGACUUGUACUUAAAUCUUUAUGAUAUGAAUAAGACAUGUAUUACCUUGCAAUAAAAAAACAUUUUUUCAGUGAACAAACAUACAUCGCUUUGGCGGCUCAGCGUUCUUAUAGACAUUGCAUAGCAGCGUCCGGUUGUGCCUGGGCAAGCUACAUCUUGCUUACUGUGAGACAAAUCGUUGUGUGCCGACUCAUUUAAGAGGAUUUCAUAACCCUCCGUGGGAGGGCUGGAUUAGUUUUAGGAACCUUCUGGUUGGUUUUCUGUCCAUUUUUUCUCCUUCUCUAUGUUUUUUCUCUACUGGUUUUCAUCGGUUUUCUUUCUUUCUUUAUAUUUUUGUUUUCUUCACUUUUUCCUUUUUUUCAAAUAUAUGUCGACUUUUGGUCGAUGUACGCUGAACAUUUUCAGUACAUAGGUUGAACAUUGUUCACAUACUCCUUGAUUUUUUUUAAAUCUGCAUUGGAUAUUUUUUCUGUUUGAUCUAUUUUUCUCCUUUUCGUUUUUAUGUAUUUAUUUUUCAUUUUCAAAUAAAAUUUUAGAUAUUUGAUCGGAUUUUUAAUCAAAUGUGUCUUGCAUUUUUCCUCAAUGUAUACAAGGUUAUAUAUCAUAUCAACAAUUGUAUUUAGAUGGCUAUGCAUAUACCAAAGAAUUAACCCAAAAGAAAAUCUCGAGAUAGAAUCAAACUUCUAAACUGUUCUCUAUCUUUUCUUUUCUUGAACGGGAAUCUGUAAACAACUAUCUGAUCUUCGAAUCGAACAAAACUUUCAACGGGGAAAACCAAAGGAAGAAAAUGAAAUGAGAGAAGCAGAGAAAUGAUAAUACGAUGGAGGGCUUGGACUAGGUCGGCCUGCUACGUGUUGGGUGCAGCUGCAGGUCCAAUACACAUAGAUUGAAGGCCCAAUGCCCACAAAAAUUCAUACUAAUCAAUCUCUAGGCGUCCGCAUCGAGACGAUGGGGGUAACAGGGGAGUAAGAUACAGUCAUAUAGAAGACAUGUCUAAGGUUCAGUUCACAAAAAGGGUGGGCAAACAAAAAUAUGAGAAUAAAAUUCACGAAAUAUUGAAGAAACCAUAUUAGCAAAUAUGUCCUCGUGUUUGCUUUUUUUCUUAAAUUAGUAAGAUGCAAGGUUAGAAGUUGAUGUGCAUUGGUAUGCUUAGCUGUAUUCUGAUGAUAGCAUUUGACUUUGAGAGCAGAGUUACAGUUGGGGCAAAAUGUAAAAGAGAAAGGGGCAAGAGGGAUACUUAUUACUCCCUCCGUCCCAUAAUGUAAGACGUUUUUUGGCACUAUGUGAAACCUCUGACUAUUUCACCGUUUUACUGAGAUCAUUACCUGUUAUUUUCUCCACAGUGGUAACUUUGUAAAAAAAAACUUUGUUUUCUGAAAAAGGUGUUUUUUAUAUUGAUACAUGAAGCGCAGCAUCGACUUGAUUAUUUAUCCAGCAAUGUUUGCCCUCCUGUGUGGCAAGCAUUCUUCUACAGUAGCAUCUUGAUUUCUCAGUAAGUACCUGUUUCUCAGUCCAAAAGUAAUUCUGGUAUCUCAUUUCCUAAUUGUUUCUCAUGUCUGUUAGGUACAUCUGACUACAUGAUUUUGUCAUUUGCCUUGUCAUGUUUGUAACUCAGGAGUAUCUAAUUUAGUACAGUCAUCUGACUAUCCAAUGUUAAUAACAAGAAGCUGACAGUCUCUGAAGCAAAGGAUGGAUUGCAGCCAUGGAUACACAAGAGAAGAUGAUUGAAAGGAUUGCAUCUUUAGCCAUUCCGGACAUAAAUCAGAGAUAAAUUACAGCGCCCAUCUACCGGCUUGUUCAUCGAACUAAUGUAACAGCCACUACAGACUUAGGCAAUUACACACAGGAUCCAACCAACCAAAACUCAUCAUCCUCUCCCUGAUAUGGACCUAAGCAAUGUCACGACAGUAGUCUAUGGGCGGGCUACUCCUUGGCGGCGACCUUCUUCUUGGGGGACUUGGUGGAGGUCUUCUUCUUGGGCGACUUGGCCUCCUUCUCGGCGGCGGCGGGGGACUUCUUGGGGAGCAGCACGGAGUUGAUGUUGGGGAUCACGCCACCGUGGGCGAUGGUGACGCCAGCGAGCAGCCUGCCGAGCUCCUGGUCGUUGCGGACAGCGAGCAGCAGGUGGCGCGGGAUGAUGCGGGUCUUCUUGUUGUCCUUGGCCGCGUUGCCGGCAAGCUCCAGCACCUGAGAUUCAAAAAAGAAAUCUGUCAGUUAUCCGCCGAGCAGGAGAAGAACAGAGCAGAACAGGUGCUCGUGGACGGGAAAGAUCGGCGCAUACCUCGGCGGCGAGGUACUCGAGGACGGCGGCGAGGUAGACGGGGGCGCCGGAGCCGACGCGCUGGGCGUAGCGGCCCUUCUUGAGGUAGCGCCCGAUGCGGCCGACGGGGAACUGGAGCCCGGCCUUCACGGAGCGGGUCACCGCCUUCUUCCUGUCGCCGCCCUUCCUUCCGGCCAUCUUCUUGCUUGCUGCGUCUCCGGCGAGCUGGAAACUACUCGAGAUGCGUGGGCGGCGGUGCGCGCUGCUCUGUGUUUGUGGGUUGGUACGCCAGCGAGGGCGCGGCUUUUAUUGGGGAGGUGGCUUCGGCGGGACGGCGGCAGGGGGGAGCGAUCCGCGUGACGCAGUGUGCCUGCCGUUGGAUCUGCGGGGAGUGGGCGGUGGGGAUUGGUUUGGGGGUGCGAUCCGGGGGAGGGUCUGACCGCCCAAUCAGAGCGCAGGGAUUCAUCACGAAGGGAUUUUGCUUUAAUUAACACCUGGUUUUCGUUUCGUUUUGGGCACCAUUUAGGGUUUUUCUUCACUCUUAUCUUGCAUCUAUUUGGUUUUUCAGAUGUAGCCCUUGCUUAUAUUAUGUAUGUAUAUCGUUGUUUUGCUGUUAUCUAACGAUUGGAUUGGAUCCAUGUACAAAGGCCCCAAAUUAGAUUUGGUAUAUAUUCCCCAAAUUCCAAUCCGGUUGUUUGGGAUGCACACGAAAUAGUUGUCCGAAAUGGAGCGAAUACAUGCAUGAAAUCGCUCACACGUCUCGAGGCCUCCCACGUUUUUGUGCUCUCCCGCUCCAAUUUGGCUAGAAAUCAUCCUCGUGCAAAGGAUAACGAUUUAUCCCUUCUUUUCCCCACCGACGGCGGCACCCGGGUAACCCCCACUCGCCGGCCCUCCUCCUACUACUACUCCGGGACCUUAAUCCCCGACGUCGCGGCUCGUUCUCGUCCUCACAUGCCCCCCAUCUCCUCCUCAUAUAGCCUCCACGGCCUCGACCUAGCCGUCUGUCGUGGCUUCUCCUCCAAUAUUAGAAGUACAAAAAUGACGUGAUUUUAAUGAGAGUAAUUAUCCUCACAAUUUGUGUCCCAAGUAAAUUGGCAAUGAUAGAACGGAUCCAAAAAAUUAGAAAGAGGAAGAAGAGCUCCAAGAAUAACCUUAAGAACAAAUCUUGGGAAGCGUGUAAGGAUGGGCCUUACUAUCCCAAGAACCUCCAUCCCCUCCACUAAGGUAAAAUAUUUCAAUUUCACUAGCUUAUUCUAGCAAAGUUGUGUCGGGUGCAGGUUUGUGUGAAGGGUAUGACCGCGUCCUAUCGUACCUCUGUUAAUUUUUUUUUCCAAUGCCAAGCGACUCGGUACGAGCACAAGCGCUAAUGCGAUGGGCCGUCUUCUUCUUUGAAUGGAGCCAAUGCCUUUCACGACAUGGUACGACCUAGUUAGACCAUCGGUACGAGCACUCAUACCAUAGGCCAUCCUCCCCUCUUACUACAAAACUCUAAAAAAAUAUAUCUUUUUCACUUGUGCUGGAACCCUAGUUAGAGCACCGGUACGAGCCCGACCGCUUCGACUGGAGGUUGUGUUUCUCUCUAGAAAUUAAUAUUGUUUUUGCCGGAACCCAGUACAUGCACAGGUACGAGCACCAGCGCUCGACCCGACCUCGUCUUUUUCUCUGGUUCCGUGAUAACUUGCAAAUUCUCUAGGAUUUUGCCUUGUUUGUUUCCUAAUCUUCUUUAGUUAUCCAUGUCUCAUGAAACCCUGUGGUUAUGCCCUAAGAGGACCACCGGCGGAUUAUUGACCCAAAUUUUCAUUUCCAUCAUCGAACAUCUUCUCUAUAGGCGGUUAUGCCCUAUUAAAGAGUCGUACCUCAGAUACUAAUUGGAAGGAUCGACGCGAUCGACUAGAGGGGAUGAACAGGAGACUACAAUUGUAAGCUUAUCUUCUAUUUUUAGGGAGUUGUAGAUAAUGUAGGUUCUAUAUAUGUGCAACUAGGUGAACACAACCUAUAUGAAAAGCAAACUCAAAGCAAAUUACGCUAGGCAACAAUCUAAUUAGCAAGCCAACAAGCAUGCAAAGCAAGUGAACGAACGGGAAAGAUUAACCAAAAGUGGGUCGAGGAUCGUAUUUUAUACCGAAGUUCACAGCAUUCCCAAAGCCGAAGCCCCGAAACGCCACCACAUGGCUCACUUACACAACUUUGAGUCACCCCCAACGGAUGAGUCUCGAAUCACAAGGGGUUGGUCUAGAAGGCGACCACCACACCUUUACAAACUUCUCUGGAGCACACCAAACACAAGGACGCUUCUGGAGAAAACUCUACCACCUAGGAGCCCAAACUCCAAGAGUAUCAAGUGAUAAGAAAAUCGAGUGGGGAACACAAAUCAGUUUGGUAGAAAUGUAGAUCGAGCCUUGCUCUCCCAGAUGCGAACACAUUGGAGUAUUUGGAGGGAUUGAGAGUAUUAGAAAAAUGGAUGUUAGCAAUGCUGGAGCAACUCUCAAGACAUUAUAGUUGGGUUGGAGGAAGAAGAAGUUGUUAUUUACACUCCUUCAACAAAUCUAGUCAUUGCCCUCCCGGAGGUCCCCGUGCGCACGAGGUCACCCGAGGGAAUGCCACAGACCCCGUGGGCAGGAGGGGUCAUAGACACCAUGCGCAUGGGGUAUACAGAGGAUUUGCACUCGACCCAAGUGGUGUCAGGGGCUCGUGCACAUGGGGGGUCCAGAGAAUCAACCCUGGACCCUGUGGGCACGUGGUAGGAUGACAAAUAACAAAUUUAUGAUGAGUUUUCUGGUAUUUUAAGGAUGUAGCAUAGGGAAGGCCGGUGUAGGAGUUUGUUAUGUUCCCACGUUUUUUCCAAGCACCUUUACCACUCUUAAUGGUGUGGCUUCCCUAGACUAAAAUAAAGCAAAAUUAAAGCUUUGAGUCAUCGGAAAACCAUGUAUUUAUCCUUUUUUGAAGUGUGUGUGUGGGGGGUCAACUUUCUCCUCUUAAUAAUCAAUUGAGUAGCCAAUGACGUGAGAUAAUAAUAUAACAACCAUAAUUAGUUCCACUAACCAUGGUGUCAUUAGACGAAAAUACUCCCUCUGUCCCAAAUUAGUUGUCUUGCUACAAGUCCAUCUGACAACUAAUUUGGAAUGGAGGUAAUAUCAUUUGGAGAUAAAUGCACAUUCAGCAUUAAUUACCAAAAUGCAUGACUGUAAAGGCAUCAAUGAUUAUAGGUCGGUCUCUUUGGUCAGCAUGCCCAUGAAAUUUGCCACUGAACUCAUGGCUAACAUAGUACAAAAGGAAAUUAUUCAUGUGAUGCAUUAGAACUAUAUGGUUAUAUCAAGGGGGAAAAUCCAAGAUUGCCUAGGCUAGGCUUUUGAAUAUCUACACCUUUGUCAGUUAUCCAGAAAACAAUUCUCAUACUCCAGUUGGAUUUUGAUAGGGCAUUUGAUAAAGUUAAGUACAUUUGUAUACUGUCUAUGCUGCAUGAAAAAGGUUUUAGACCUAAAUGGCUUAGAUGGGUUGAAGCAUUUUUAUACUUUGCCACUACCUCAAUCAAUGGGGUACCUACGAAAGUUAUUCAUUGUAAGAGGGGCAAUAGGAUGACCCUCCACCCCCUUCUAUAUGUGCUAACAACUGGUUUAUACAAUUUUUCAUAAAUGAUGCUUGGCACAAUGGUGAAAUCAACCUACGUCGACUAUCCAAUGUCCAGGAUUACCCUAUUGUUCAUUAUGCAUAUGAUAAGCUCUUAAUCAUGCCUGCUGACCAUCACAACUUGUUGGAACUCAAAGAUAUCUUGACCAAAUUCAGCUUCUCUACUGGAUUGUAUGUGAAUUAUAGUAGAUCUUCAUCAGUGCCCAUCAUUGUGGAUCGUCAAACUUGCCACAAAUUGCAAAAAUGGACGUAUUACAAAAGCAUUGCCAUGUACCUAUCUCGGAAAUUGCUAAGAUUGACUGGAGAUUGGCUCGCAUAUCGACUCCUAAUUCAUAUUCAUGUAGACUAACAUAUAUCAACUCCGACAUCACCUCAAUGUUUGUGUUUUGCAUGUGUACCUUCAAGAUUCCCAUUACCAUACUUCAAGAUUGAGAGAAACCAUGUAGGAGAUUUCUUUGGAACAAAUUGAUAUUAAUAAAAGAGGGAGAUGUCUCGCCAAUAGGAAAAAUAUAUGGAGACCAGAUGACCAAGGUGGUUUAGGAGUCCUAAAUCCAAGGGCAUAAAUAAUGCAUUACUCAUGGAAACUAUUCACAAGAUGCACACGCGUGAAGACAUUUCAUGGGUCAAUCUACUUGGGAAGUAUACUAUGAUAAAAGGAUUGUCCCUCAUGCUACUAAGAAGGAUCUUUCUGUUGGAAGGAUUUCCUAACAUGGACUUAUACAGAAGGAUUGCUUCCUGCAAUGUUGGUAAUGGUAAAACUAUGUUGCUUUGGAAAAACAUAUGGAAUGGCGACAUUAUGCCGAGAAAAUCCCCACAAUUGCAUUAUUUUGCUUGGAAUGAAAACAUAUCCAUGGAGCAUUUGGUUGCAAAGAAAUGGGCAGAUCUUUGGAAUUAUUCAACCCAGUAUCAACUCCCGUAUUGAAUUCAGACUUUGUUCCUUUAUUAUUCAUAGAGCUGGGCCUAGUCUUAGAGAAGGCAUGCAAUCAUGGUUGGAUUCUUUUAAACUUACCCUAUGGACUUUGACACCACAUGUAUAUUAGUACAUUACCACCAUCAUUUAUAAAUAAAUAAAUAAAUAAAAUGGCACAGUAGGGGUCUUCCCUACCAUUUUUUCUCAGAAAAAGGAAUGAAACCUCCAAGGGCCUCUUUGAUUCAUAGGGUUGUAAAAACAUGGGAAUAGGGAAAAUAUAGGAUUGACAUGACAUGACCAUCUCAAUCCUACAAGAUUUUGGUUUAUUUGAUUGCAUCAUAGGAAAACAAAGAAUUAUUUUAAAGAUGCUUGAGUGGAUGCUAGAAAUCCUAUGGGAAGUAGUACAAAGAAAUUGUUAGGAAGAAACUCUAUGGGAUUCAAUCCUAUGAAUCAAAUAACAAACAUAUGAAAAGUUCCUAAGGAUUAUAAUCCUCCGAAGUUCCUACGAAAAUCCUUUGAACCAAAGGAGCCCUAACUAUUUUCUAUCUUUUAUUUUCUAGAAUAGGAAUUUCUAAAUUGUUAUUCGAUCUCCCGAACGAACUAAAAUUUCAAUAGGGGAAAAGGAAGGAAGAAAACGAAAUGAAAGAAGCCGAAAAACGAGAACAUGUUGGUUGGCCUGUACCAUGUCUACUUGAGAUGCGUUGGGUCUCAAUACACACAUGUUGAAGGCCCAGUGCCCCCCCUGAUGUUAAACCAUCUCUAUGUGUAUGCAUCGAGGCGACGGGGUUAAGGCCAUAAGGAGGAGCUACGCCCCUUAAGAUACAAUUAUACAAACUUACAAAUAACAUUAGUAAGGUUCAACUCACGGGAUUCUGGGGAAAAGUAGGAUCACACAGGCGAUCAAAGGAGGCGACGAGGUCGGUUCCCUUGCGCGCCGCCGGUGGCGCUGCCAGUUCCCUCUCUCUCCUUCGGCCGCUCCGACGGCGGGAGGGAGGGUGAACUUCGGGUCUGUCCGCUAGGUGGGUGUGUGGUAGGGUUAGGGUUGAGGGUGACGCUGUCGAGGCUGUUGCGGUGGUGUCACGUCGGAAGUUUCUCCGGGCUCUGUUCGCGGUCAGGCGAGGCUUUUGCCUUCGUCUAGGAGCCAGCGGGGUGGGGUUCCCCGGAUCUCGUCGAGGUUGCGGGCUAUGGUGAUUGGAGGUCCAUCUGCACUGGCCGUUUGGGUCCUCAGAUGGGUGAUGGAUGCAGGGAGACAAAGACCCUUCUUCUUCCUUGUCGGUAUGAUUUGCUGCUGUUGUUCUUCUCCUUCCCUUGCGCUGAUGCUGAAGAGAGAUCCUGCUUUGCCCGGGCGGAUGGCCCGGCUGCGGUGCUAGACCGGUCGGAUGACUUGAGUUCUCUUCCUUUCGGAAGGGACAUUUUUCGUGGUACUCAAAGCCAAAGAUGGCGACGGCUGUUGUAGGUGUGUUGGGUUGAUGUACAUGCCCUCUCAGCGCUGGUGUCAAGAAAGGAGGAAUCAGCGUGGCGGCAAUUGUACCGUGGUCGAAGAUGAUGAUCUGCUUGCGCCUGGUUGCAUGUCCUUCUGCUGCAAGGGUCUUCUCACAAGAUUCAGGGAUGAUGUCAGAGGGCUUCGGAGAUCUUCUUGUGUUAUGGUUGGCUUAAGGUACUCUAUGUGUUCAUGGUCCUUUGUGUUUGCGUUUUUAGUGUGCUUGUAAGGGUCAACUACUUUGUACUGUUUCAUGAUUCGAAUGAAAAAAAAUUCUCGAAAAAAAAAACUCACGGAUUUGUCGUGUGAUAUGCUUAUUUUAUAACCUAUUACAAAAAAGUAGACAUAAAAGUAGGCAAAGGCGGGUCAAAGAAACACCAAAAUAUGGAAAAGUGGGUGGGGCAAACAAGAUGACGAGAAUAUGCCACGAUGCCAAGCGUGACUUAAAAUAUGUAUACUUCCAACGUUAGUAGAAAAAAUCAUAAAAUAUUUAACAAAUGAAGAAAUAGAAUCAACAACUAUUGUUUUAUUGUGGGAGCAAAGUUACGGUUAGCGCUAAACAUAAAAAAAAGAAAGGGCCAAGAACGAAACCUCUGACCAUUCACCGUAGAUUAUUACAUGUAUAUUUUGCGGCCUUUUUUUUCUAUCUGAAAAUAGUGUGUUUUUUUAUUGAUGAACAUGAAGCGCAGCAUCAACUUACUUAUUUGUCCUCUGAUGGGCCUGACUUGUUGAUGAGCGUUGCCCAUGUCUUAAUAUCCCAGUAUAUGAUUCUGUUUUCGGUUAGUCUAAAAAUUUUCUUAUAUUAACCUACAGAGGGAGGACCUCGUUUGGUCAGUGGCACAUAAAUCAUAGCCUUCACGAGUCAGCCUAGUUUUUCAGUUUUGUGGUAUCUGACUAUCCAAAGUUAGUUUCCAGCUCAACUCAAACCAAAAGAAUUUUUUGCUUUGUGACAAUUAAAGUCAGAGUUCAAUUGUUUGGAACAACGCUCCUUGGCAUCAAAUUUGUCAAUUACUAGCACAUGAUUCAGCAUUGUCAGGACUUAAUUCGCCAUGUUUGCCUGCAAGAGUUUUGAACCCUUCUUUAUCCAAUUUAGUACUGCCAUCGUUUAACACUGACAGAGGGUACAGGGGUGAAAAGAUGCAGAAGCUGAGUGUUUGAAGCAACAUUCAGAAGAUUAAUCGAACACCAAAUGUUUCAAAAGCAAUGGCAGGUUACGAACACUGUUGAUCAGUUCCAUGGAUAAACAAGAGAAUAUGAUUGAACGGGUCACAUCUUUAGCCAUUCCACGCAUACUAAAUCACAUGUAAAAUACAGUCCUGACUGGCUUGUUCAUCGAACUAAUGAAUGAGCCACUACAGACUAGCAUUUACAUACAGGAUCCAAUCAACCAAAAGUCUCCUCAUCUUCUCCCUGAUAUGGAACUAAGAGUCAGCUAAGCUAGGGGCGGCUACUCCUUGGCGGCGACCUUCUUCUUGGGGGACUUGGUGGUGGUCUUCUUCUUGGGCGACUUGGCCUCCUUCUCUGCAGCGGCGGGGGACUUCUUGGGGAGCAGCACGGAGUUGAUGUUGGGGAUCACGCCACCGUGCGCGAUGGUGACGCCGGCGAGCAGCCUGCCGAGCUCCUGGUCGUUGCGGACGGCGAGCAGAAGGUGGCGCGGGAUGAUGCGGGUCUUCUUGUUGUCCUUGGCAGCGUUGCCGGCAAGCUCCAGGACCUGAGAUUCAGAAACGAAAACUGUCAGUUAUCCGUCGAGCACGGAAAGAACAGGAGUGCACAAGAAAGGACGGGAAACAUCAGUGCGUACCUCGGCGGCGAGGUACUCGAGGACGGCGGCGAGGUAGACGGGGGCGCCGGAGCCGACGCGCUGCGCGUAGCGGCCCUUCUUGAGGUAGCGCCCGAUGCGGCCGACGGGGAAUUGGAGCCCGGCCUUGACGGAGCGGGUCACCGCCUUCUUCCUGUCGCCUCCCUUCCUUCCAGCCAUCUUGCUUGCUACUUCACCGGCGAAGAGGGCUCUCGAGGUGUGGUGUUUGCGGCGGCGGUGCUGGAUCGGAA